This 534212-nucleotide long non-coding RNA is filed under the name Gossypium barbadense (sea-island cotton). RNAcentral's name for it is "long non-coding RNA (GBAR_LNC016767)". The stretch from base 523150 to 523294 matches the Rfam family "MIR7502 microRNA precursor family". Lineage: Eukaryota; Viridiplantae; Streptophyta; Magnoliopsida; Malvales; Malvaceae. The record is from RNAcentral.
AAUGUUUUUUGGGAAUUUUCCUUGCAAACCACAACCAGCAAGACUGAGAGACCUUAGAGAAGAGGAUAGAUUCAUGAAGACAUGAGCAUUAACAGAAGACAUGUCCAUUCCAUCCAAAAACAGAUGUCUGACCUCGGUUAGGUUGUGAACAAGUCCCUCCAGAGCAUGUUUGUCCAUUCUAUAUUGCAUAGAGAAAGCAGGCCAAGAGGAGAGAUCGAGUAAAACCAAUUUUGACAGGUGGGAGACUUGGGAUGGGACUUCUCCUACAAACCCUGUAUAAGAAAGGUUGAGGUAGAAUAGGCUUGUAAACUGACCGAAAUCGGAUGGAAUUUUGGAAAGAUUAAAAUCAUUGCCGGCAAGGUUGAGUUUUUGAAGGUGAGGAAGAAGGAAGAGAGUGGUAUUGGAAGGGAAGGUGCCAUAUAGGCAACUGCAGCUCAAGUCAAGGGCAAUAACAUGAGCAUUUAGGUGGUCACAAGUGACCCCAUCCCAUGAGCAGCAAUCUGUACCCUCCUUCCAUGAAUUUGUCUUGGGAUAAGAUUUAGGGCCGCAAGACGAAUAAGCAGCCUCUGUUAUGGAAAAAGAGUUCUUGAACUGGAUUAGUAAAGAGCAGGAGUGAGAUCCUGAAGAAGAAAAAGAAGCAUAAAGAUGGGGAAAGAAGAGGAAUAGGCAGAGAAAGAGACAGGGGGCCAUGUUAUGUUGGUAGAGGAAGAUGAAGGAUAGGAAUGGUAUUUAUAGGCAACAAAUAAUACCACAACAUUGGUGUUAGUCUUUUUUUUCUUUAACAUUGAAAAGUUAUGGAUGCUUUUACCAUAUAUUUUUCAUUCUCAAAAUUGGAUGCUUUUUCUUUUAUUUCAUAAAAACGUGUAUACUUUUAUAUGCUUUUUGUUUUAGCAAAAUUUUGUAUUUCAUAAAAAUGUGUAUACUUAUAUAUAUAUAUAUAGCCUCAUAAUUCAAAUCUAAAAUCUCAUUUGUUAUAAAUUUUGAUAAAUCAAAGGGUGAUAAAUUAGGCCCGUUUAAAAUAUGAGCUGGGUUUAGGCUUGAACAUUCAAAGCUCGAGCCCAGCCCGGCCCAUUUUUAAGUGUAUAAUACUUUAUAUUUUAUAAUUUAGAACAGAUUAAAAAAAUAAACUUAUAUUAAAUAUAUAAUAAUACUAUAAUGUAAACAUUAAAAUAAUGUUAAGAUGACUAUAUAAAAAUUUUCAAUAAAUAAAAAAUAUUUAAAUUAUUAAAUAUUAAAAUAAUAUAAUAUAAAUAUUUAAAAAAAAACUAAAAAUUAUAUGGGCAUGCCUAAAAUGAGCUUGGGUUAGUCUUUUGCAAAUAUGGAUGAGUUUAGGCAAAAUUUUAAGCUCAUAUUUUGGGCCGAGCCGAGCUUGAGCAAGCAUAAAGUACGUUAAUAUCAUGCUUAGGCCUGACCUGGCCAGGCUCAUGAGCACCUCUAUAGUUGAGUGACUAGAAUAGAACUAAAGGAAUAGUUUAGUGAUUAUUUUUGUAAUUGACCCAUAUGAAAUUUAGGUUAAUUUCUGCUAUUAGUCCUUAUACUUUGCAAAAGUUGUGGACUUAAUCUUUAUACUUUAAUUUGGUCAUUUUUAGUUCAUCUACUUUUCAAAUUUUAAAAUUUUAGUCAUCACCAAACAAUAACCGUUAAAUUUAUUAAGUUUUGUUAUUUUCAAAAAAUGAUGCGACAAAUAUAUUAGGCUUAACUCAUAAAUCGGUAUCUAAAUUAUACUCAUUUUCCCAUGUUGGUACCUAAACUUAUUUUUGGUCACAAGUGGUACAUAAACUACUUUUUUUCCCAAGUUACUACUGCCAUUAGUCAAAAGUCUAUUUUAGAAAUAGGCUUAACCCAUAAAUUGGUACCUAGACUAAAAUUUGGUACCUCCGUCAUUAGUCAAACCGUUCAGUUUAUAUGAAAAAAAAAUUAACCAAUUAAAAAUUGACAUGUAGUAAAAAAAACUAUUAUUAUUUAUAUAAAUAUAAAUGGAGAGAACUAGUUCAACCGAUUUGUUUUUGUUCGCAAGUCAAUCGAUUCAAACCCUAUUUCCGGACCGAUUUCCUAUCCAACUAGUUGAAUCAAUCUGUUUUUGAAAACACUAGUUUCCCUCAGGUCAGAGAAGUAGGUGGUGAAAUUCAAAACCAAAAUUAAUCACCAACGUUUCGACCUCAAGUGGGCCAAUUUCAAACAUUAUCGGCAUUGUCAAACAUUAUAAAGGAAUAAGAAAGAAAAAUAUAAAAAAUUAAUUAAUUAAUAAUUAUUUUUAAAAGUUUAUAUGACAUACAAUCUAUUAUUUGUUGAAAUCUUUUUAGCCGAUAUAACAUUUUGGUGUAAAAUGAGUAAUGGAAGAAUAGUUUUAGUAAUACUUAUGGCCAAAAUAAAAAUUAGGUACCUUGGGAAAAGGAGCAUUGUUUAGGUAUUAAUUAUUAUUAAUAUUAUUUGAAUCAAGACUAAAAUUUCAAAUUUCAAAAAGUAAAUGGUUUAAAAUUGACCAAUUCAAAAAAUACAAUGACUAAAAUUGAUCAAAUUAAGGUAUAAGGACUAAAUCCAUCAUUUUCGUAAAGUACAGAGACUAAUAGCAGAAUUUAACCUAAAUUUUAAUAUAAAUAAAAUCCAAAGUAGAAUAUAUUUUUUGAUAACUACAAUACAUUUAUGAGCAAGGAAAAAAGGAAGACUUACAAAGAUAAACACAGUAAGAAUGAAAAGAAUAUGGGGAUAAUUUACACAAAUUCCUUCAAAAACCAUAGCUUUUGGAGGUGAAAUUUAAUCAAAGGAAGAAUGAAAGCUCAGGUUUGGGAGUAAAUGAUAACAUACUUUCACCAAAAAGUUCAAAUAAUGAUGCUAACAAGUUCCCCGGGUCUGUGUCUUCCUUCCAAGCCUGAGCUAGAACGGUUGAUGUCUUUGAAACUCGACCCCCAACCUCCCUUCCUAGCAUGUUUUCGUUUGAUAACGGCCGUGACAUUGAUGAUACACCGAUAUUGGAACCUCCUACGGUGGUAGAAAAGCCGCUAACUGCCCCUUGUAAAUCAGUUUGAAUGGAAUUUAUUGGCAUCAUACCUAUUGCACUCUCAGUUGCUAUUUUCUUCGCAGGUGGUUGCUGCUGCAUCAAGGUGUCCGUGCUUGCUUUUCGUUUAUCUUGAUUGAUCAGAAAAAGGAAUAUCGUAAAGGGGGAGAAGAGACUUGUGGAUUAAGUGUAAAUAUGAUGGUUCGAAGAAAUCAUACUUGUCGCAACUUUGUUGUUGCUUUUCCAGAUGGGACGAGUUGGGGGUGCUAGAAAACUGGGGAACAUUUUAAGCCGAUCAUACAUGCACAGUCCAGCUGCACGCUGUUAGUGGAAAUUUUAUGCAGUGUUGUUAGUUCUACAGCAAAUAAAUGAAACGAUGCUCAUAAACUGGUACCAAAUUUGAUGUUAAACUUACCAGCAGGGCCCCAUAAACACACCAGGCCUCGUGUCUUUUUAUUUCAGGUUCAAGAAGCUGCAAAUACGCUUCAAAGCAAACAUGAGAGGGAAAUUAUUCAAAUUCCGUGCAACCUGAGAUAAAUGUGGCAAAAAUGUAAGCUUGAGAUAACCAACCAAAAGUUCUUUGCAACACACAUAUAUAAUGAGGUAUCAAAGAUCUUUAAGACAACCUCAUCCGCAAUGAAAUAUGUAAAAUAAGGAACUAAAGGAUGUAAUCCCGAGUCUGUUGCCAAACUCAGUAAUGCUUGUUUAAAGAGAACUGAGACUGAUUUAUUCAUGGUAAUGUCCACGAUCUUGUCAAAGUAAAGCUGCAUGACAACCAAAUUAGUCUUUUAAUAACAUUCUGUGCAAAAUGUAUUUUAACAUAAAAAUGUUGCUGAAGAUGUACAACAUACUUGAAGCUCUCUAGAUAAUACAUGCUUAACAGGUAAUUUGACAUCAACGGAAAGCCCAUCUUCUUUGUAUUCAGCCUUUUUACCAUCAGAAGGUGCUGCAUGGAAAGCAAACUACCAAUUCCAUGUAGAAAUGAAGAUAAGUCGUAUUAGAUUAAAGUGAUAAAACCAGAAAAGAACAUGAACCAUGAGAGUAUUCAACACAAAUAGCUUCGAGAAAAUAUUUAGGUUAGCUAAGACGGUACCUUCAAUUGAAGCAUUUUCGGGAAUUGCUGGUUGAAUGCCUUCAAUCGCAAGCCAGUGGGAUGUAACAGAUGUAUCAAGUGGUGCUUUUGGUAAAGGUGACUCAAGAACCUACAUACAUAAGGCAACAUAGGAAUUUAAGUGAAGACUUAUUUAAUAAGGCAACAUACAACAGAACCUCGAAUAUUGUUGAUCAGUUCUUACUUCUUUAAACUCCACAUCUUUGUCAUCAAUGUAGAACAAAUCAUUAUGCUUCUUGAAUCGUAGUGCAUCACGAGAGGCAAAUCCACAUAUCGGCUGAUGCCAGAGAAACACAUAACACAAGCCAAUUAACCAAAAUGCAAAAUCUAAAGCAGCAGGUUAAACUUACUACGAUUGGAUUGCAUCAUUUUAACCAGCGUUUUUGGAUUGCAUCAUUUCGAGUUUUGUCGUUCGGGUUUGACAAUUAAUUCAAAUCAUUUUAAGAUCAUGUCAUUUUGGAUUCAAAUUAUCACUUCUUUAUAAUCAAAUCGAGUUGCGUUAAGUUUAAAUUCAAAUUAAUUCAGUUUUACUACUUACUAAAACUUAUGUUUCUCAAAAUAAUUUUUUCAAAUUAAAAUUUAUUAAUUAUUUAAAUUAAGAUGUUAUUUUUUUAUUCUUUAUAUAUGUUUUACAAUUCGUGUUCAAGAUCGGUGGAUACCGCACACAACAUUAUUAUCUCCAACGUCUGAAUACGCAUUAUCUCCUUGAGAAUGUAAUAUGAUUUGCCACUACGCCAAACACUUGUUGGUAUCUAAAAUGGAUAAAAACACAUUUCUCGUCCCUCUCAAUUUCUAUAUUGAACAAAUUGAUUCCUCUCAGAAAAUUAGAGCAAUUUAAUCAUUAUCAAUUUUGAAUGGGAGCAACUAAGAACAAUUAAUCAUUGUGUUAAUACUUUCUGUAAAUUGUAUAUAUUUUUUAUUGAUAUAAUAACAAAAUAAGCUCUCGAUGUUUAUAUAUUAUAUGUAAAUGUUAAUAGAAUAUGUAAUUGUUGCGGGAUAAAUUUGUUAAAUCAAGAUCAAAUUAACAGAAUAUGUAAACAAGUUUAUAAACUUGUUAUUAUACCAAUAAAAAUAUGUACAAUUGAUGGAAAAUAUUGACAUUGUGAUUAAUUGUUCUUAGUUGCUCACUUUCGAAAUUAACAAAGAUUAAAUUGCUUUAAUUUUUUUUAAAAUGGACCAAUUUACUUAAUAUCAAAAUUGAGAGGGACUAAAGAGGGUUUUUACCAUCUAAAAUGUUAUCUAAUACAAGAAAAACUUAACAACUAUUUUUUAAUUAUGAAAAGGUAAACUACAUAAUUAGCCACUGAACUAUGGGUAAAUCUUCGUUUUGGUCACUUAACGAAAAAAGUUACAAUUUGGUCACCCUAUUGUUAAAUGACACUUUGUAGUUGCUAUAAUAACAAUUCUAGUAUUUUGUUUUUAUAAUUUUUUUUGCCAAUUUAAAAAAUAUAAACUUCUGUAUAAAAAUUAUAAAAAAAACUCAAAAUUAUUUUUAAAAAAUAUAAACUUCUAUAUAAAAAUUCUAGAAAAAUAAAAUCUCGAAUAUGUUGUUGUUGAAGAACUAAUAUGUAUGGGAAAUAAAAAAAAUUAUCAUUCAAUAGAAUCCCAUAACAAAUUAAAAACAGAACAAAACAAAAAAAAGGUUAGAUCAUUAUACGCUUCCUCAAUGUUUUUUGCAACCAAAUUAGUAAAAUUUUCAAGUUGAGUUUCAUGCCCUUGAAGAACAUCCGUAACUAUAUUACAAAAGCUUACAAAAUCAACUUUGAUGCCAUUUUUCUAGCAAAAAUAUAAAAUAUACCACAAAAUUUUCUUUUUCAAACUCAAUUCGAAUUUUCAAUUCAUUUAAAUUUAUUUUUAAAAACCCAAAUUAUAAAAGCAGAUUAUAUACAGAUAAUUUUACUUAAUCUUUUUUUUUUUUACUUUUUUCUAUGUUUUCUAAAAGAAUGGAUAUUAGAUAUUUCUUUACAAAUAAUACAAAGAAAAUUUGGAGGGUUUAAAAAUAAUAUUUCCCUCAUUUUCUCUCACUUUAUUUAUAUUUGAAAUUUUUAUCUACUUUCAUUUAAUUUUUAAUUUUUAGAAUUUUGUAAAAUUUAAAAAGAAUUUCACUUUUGUAAUCAUUUUAUAUAAUUAGAGUUAAAUUGACAGAAAGUAUAAAAAUUGAGGAUAAAAAUUAUUAUUAUACCAACUAAAAAGUGUCACUUAAUAGUCAGGUGACCAAAAAAGUUGUAAACUAUAAAAAUAGUCACCCAACUAUUAAAAUUUCCAAUUUAGUUGCUAAACUUUUUGAAAUUAAAUAUUUUAAUCACUUUCCCUUUAGUUGUCGUUAGAUGAGUGACGGAAAGCUGAUGUGGGUUUUUUUUAAUUGAUUUAAUAACAAAUUUAACCUCUAAUAUUUACCAAUGCAACUUUUCACCAUAGGAAAAACUUUCUAACAGACUACUAAACAAGAAAUUAUGAAGACACAGCAGAAAUGCUUUAACUUCAUUUGAACCAACUAGAUCCUUCUUCAUCCAUUGAUGCGAUUGCUAUAUUUCGGCUUUCUUCUUCGCCUCUUCUCAUGUUGGUCUUCAGCCAAAUUCACGAACCUUUUCGCCUUACCGGUUUGGAAAACAACACAUCCCAUGGCCAUUCCACAUGUUGGAAAAGGAUUACCCCUACCGUUAUAUUUUGUCUUCUCUCAUCAAUGAUAUUGCGAUACCCAAAGUUUGGUAUCGCGAUAUCUACAACAGUCUUGGGGAUCCUUGGGAGUUUUGGGUAUCGCGAUAUCUUAUGACCGGUAUCACGACAACACUGUUGAUGGCUCAAUCUUCCUUGUUUUUAACAUUGUUAUGGGUAUUACGACUUUCAUGCUUUGAUCUGCGAUACCCUCUUUCUAGGUAACAUUUUCGCUCCUUCCAGGCCACCAUGGGCUCUCUGCAUCACUCAUCAACCUCAUUAGAUUCCCGGAGUGCCAUUUGGCCAUCUUAGGUCUUAAAAUAGCAUCAAAAUGCACACUAAUCAUUUAUUAAUAUAAAGAACUAAAACAAAAUAAAAACGCAACAAAGAUAUCUAAAUUGCUCGAAAAUAAACUUUUAAGUGUGAUGGAGAGCCUAAUUUGACAUAUCAAUUUAUAGCAAAUCAUAAACAUUAUUUGCGGAACUUGUUAAAAUUUCAGAUUUCUUUAUUAGUUUUCUUUCAAUAUUUUGUACGGUUCAUUUGUAGUAAUAUAUUGUGCAGAUCAUAGGCUAAAUUGCUUUAUUAGUUUUCUAUUGUUGAUCUUUAUUAUUAUUAUUAUUAUUAUUAACACUACUUCCUUUUUACCAUAUAAUUUUUAUUCAUAAAAAUGAAGAGUUGAUUUACCCAAAAUUUGUAUUUCAUUUGAACUCCCUAAAGAAUGAAGAACUGAAAUAAUUAGAAAUUAUUUUGACUUGCUCUUGCUUCCUUUCUAUGUAUGAAUGUGGAAAUUGGCAUAAUGCCAACUUAUUUUCCACGCAGAAGAAGAAAAUGGUGCUCUAUUCACUCCCUUUAACUCAGCAACUUUGUAAUCAUUCUAUAUAAUCAGAGUCAAAUUGACAAAAAUUAGUAUAAAAAUUGAGGAAUCAAAUUAUUAUUAUGCCAACUAAAAAGUGUCACUUAAUAGUCAGGUCACCAAAAAUGUUGUAAACUAUAAAAAUAGUCACCCAACUAUUAAAUUUUCCAAUUUAGUUGCUAAACUUUUUGAAAUUAAAUAUUUUAAUCACUCUCCCUUUAGUUGUCGUUAGAUGAGUGACGGAAAGCUGAUGUGGGUUUUUUUAUUGAUCUAAUAACAAAUUUAACCUCUAAUAUUUACACAUAGGAAAAAAAUUGAAAGACUUCAAAACAAGAAAUUAUGAAGAUACAACAUCAGCACUUGAACAUCAUUUCCACUAACUAGAUCCUUCUUCGUCCAUUGCUGCGACUGCCAUCCUUUGACUUUCUUCUUCGCUUCUUCUCAUGUUGGAUUUCAACCAAAUUCACCAACCAUUUCGGCUUACCAGUUUGGAAAACAACAUAUCCCACGGACAUUCCCAACACCACUCCGCAUCCAUAACCUAUCAACACCACUUUCCAACCAAAAGUAAUGUUUGAUUUUGAGCCAUCUUUUUCAAGCACAUUUGGAGGUGCUGGCUCAAUGAUGUUGCAACCUUUCGAGACCGGAAAUCCACAUAAUCCCCUGUUCCCUUCAUAUGAAUCAUUUCCAAAUGUGUUGAACUGUUUGCCUUGAGGAAUCUGACCAUGGAGUUGAUUUUCAGAAACAUUGAAGGACGAAAGAAAUGGCAGAUCUGCCAAUCUAAUUGGAAUCGUCCCAGACAACCUGUUUGAAGAUAGGUCCAACCAUUCAAGAUUUGUCAAAUUCCCUAUUGAGGUGGGGAUACCACCAUUAAGGUUAUUAUGAGAAAGGUUGAGCCCUUUCAGUAAGUUAAGCUUCCCAAUAACCUUUGGAAUACCCCCUUCAAACUGAUUGUUUGAUAGAUCAAUGAUCAUCCACAUGGUGAAAAUUUUCACCAAUUCCAUAUCUUGUCCUUUCAUAACAAUUCCAAUGGAAUAGGUAUAGAAGCCACUACCUCGAGGAUCAUUCACCCCCAUGUACGACACUGUACUACCAAUCUUCUCUAGAUUUAUGAUAGCCUUGAAGCUGUUGAUGUAUCUCACAGGUAGGGGUCCAGAAAAAUAAUUACUCGAGAGAUCAAAAAUUUGGAUUUUAGAGAAAAAAAGGCUAGACUUGGAGCUAUUGACACAUAAGGAACCAUGCAUAUGAUUUGACUUCAAUACAAGAACUUGCAAAAAUGGAAGACUUCCCAACCAAUGAGGAAAUGUAUCAUUGAUCUUGUUGUUACCAAGAUCUAGCACUUCCAGACCAAUACAAUUAAGGAUGGAUGGUGUCAAAGGCCCUUCUAACAGAUUUCCGUUUAAGUUGAAAUUAGUCAACUGGCAUCCCUCUGCAAAUGUUGGAGGAAUCGUCCCAUAAAACUUGUUCUUCUUCAGAUUCAAGAUUUCAAGGCUGUUGCUCAAAUUUCCAAAACAUUGCGGAAUUGUUCCACUCAAGUUAUUGUGGGACAAAUCAAGAAUUCCAAGACAUUGCGGAAUUGUUCCACUCAAGUUAUUGUGGGACAAAUCAAGAAUUCCAAGAGAAGUGACAUUGCAGAUUAAAGAAGAGACCUCUCCAUUGAAACUAUUAUUUGAGAUUAGAAAGACAUUGAUGGUCGAAGCUGGAAUCGGAAGAUUUCCACGGAUCAAAUUGGAGCUUAAGUCAAGAAAUUCAAUAUUCUUCCAUUGAAAGUGCUCAACUUCUGUCAAAGAGUUGUGGGAUACAUUUAAGUAAGUCAAAGAGCCAUUUCCCACCUCUUGCAUCCACUGUGGAAUCUUGCCUUCAAUUUUGUUGCAAGAGAGGUCUAACCAUUUCAAACUUUUAAGCCCCUUUAAAAAUUGGGGGAAUUCACUAAGAUUGCAAGAUGACAAAAAUAAGCUUGUAAGAUUAACAGUAGAAGUAGUAUUAGAUGUUAAGGAUAGGCUGUUAUAUGAAAGGUCAAGAUCUUCGAGAUUUGGAAGGUUUGAGAACAUGCGAAACUCUAUGACACCACUAAGAUUAUUUGAGGAUAAGCUGAGAAGGGUAAGAUUGAGAAGUUGGAAUAUUGAAGAUGGAAGAGGACCUUGGAGUUUAUUAUUGUCUAGAUAUAAAUAUUCUAGUGAUUUGGAUUGGAAUUCUUUGAUAAGCCCACUGAAUUGAUUUUGAGAGAGAUAUAUUCUCUUUAAGGAGGGAGCAGUAUGGAACCAUGACGGAGGUGUUCCAUUGAGUAAAUUGUUAGUUAAGUCUAAAUAUAUUAGAUUAGGAAAAGCGGUUACCUCAUCUGGAAUGGAACCGUUUAAUGAAUUUUCAGAUAUUCUCAAGCUUUCCAACUGCGUUAGGUUUAGAAUUGACGAUGGAAUUUGUCCACUCAAUUGGUUCUGCGACAAGUCUAAAAGAGUGAGUUGCAAGUGGUUCCCCAAUGAUCUUGGAAUUUGUCCACUCAAUUGGUUCCCCGACAAGUCUAAAUGAGUGAGUUGCAAGAGGUUCCCCAGUGAUCUUGGAACCGUUCCUGAUAAGUUGGAAUUGGAGAGAUCUAAAAACUUCAAUGACACAAGAUUCCCCAUCGAGUCAGGCAAUCCUCCAAAAAAAUUUGCGCCUCCAGUAAACAAGUACCCCGAUUUUCUGAUUGAGACAGAAGAAAAAAAACUUCCUGAUAGAUCUAAGUACUUUAAGGCCUGUAGAUUAUCAACUGAAUCAAUGAAUUCUGUAGAGAAGGGCAUGAACGACAGAUCCAAAUGUUCAAGAUUGCUGCUCCGAUUCAACUUCAAAGGAUCAAGACUGAGGAUUGGGUUGCUUCCCAAGUUGAGGAGAUUGAGGUUUGGCAAUGUUUUUUGGGAAUUUUCCUUGCAAAUCACAAUUAGCAAGACUUAGAGACCUUAGAGAAGAGGAUAGAUUCCUGAAGACAUGAGCAUUAACAGAAGACAUGUCCAUUCCAUCCAAAAACAGAUGUCUGACCUCGGUUAGGUUGUGAACAAGUCCUCUCAGAGCAUGUUUCUCAAUUGUAAAUUGCUCAUGGCCAUUAAUCAAAGAGAGAUCAAGUGAAACCAAUUUUGACAGGUGGGAGACUUGGGAUGGGAGUUCUCCUGCAAACCCUGUACGAGAAAGGUUGAGGUAGAAUAGGCUUGUAAACCGACCGAACUCGGAUGGAAAUUUGGAAAGAUUAAAAUCAUUGUAGGCAAGGUUGAGUUUUUGAAGGUGAGGAAGAAGGAAGAGAGUGGUAUUGGAAGGGAAGUUGCCAUAUAGGCAACUGCAGCUCAAGUCAAGGGCAAUAACAUGAGCAUUUAGGUGGUCACAAGUGACCCCAUCCCAUGAGCAGCAAUCUGUACCCUCCUUCCAUGAAUUGGUCUUGGGAUAAGAUUUAGGGCCAUCAAAACUACCGCAAUCAAAAAAAGUAGCCUCUGUUAUGGAAAAAGAGUCCUUAAACUGGAUUAGUGAAGAGCAGGAGUGAGAUCCUGAAGAAGAAAAAGAAGCAUAAAGAUGGGGAAAGAAGAGGAAGAGGCAGAGAAAGAGAUAGGGGGCCAUGUUAUGUUGGUAGAGGAAGAUGAAGGAUAGGAAUGGUAUAUAUAGGCAACAAAUAAUACCACAACAUUGGUGUUACAGUCUUUUUCUCUUUUACAUUGAAAAGUUACGGAUAUUAGAUUUUCAAAAUUUUUGUAUUUAUCAACAACCACUUAGUCUUCCUUUUACCAUUUAUUUUUCAUUCUUAAAAUUGGAUGCUUUUUCUUUUAGCAAAAUCUUGUAUUUCAUUAAAAUGUGUAUACUCAUAAUUAAAAUCUAAAAUCUCAUUUGUUAUAAAUUCUGAUAAAUUUAUUUGGGAAUAAUUAUUUUUCUUUCGUUAAUUAUUUCUCUUUUAAUCAAGUAAAAAUUAAAAAUUAAAAAGACAUAAUGAUUUAUUUAGCAUUUUUUAACUUUACAAACGAAAAGUCAUUUUAACUUCUCAUUUUUUUUUAUCUCUUUUAGCUUUAAAACAAAAAGACAUAAUGAUAUAUUUUGAUUUUUGCUCAUCUAAAAAAUCAAAGGGUGAGAGAGGGGAUUAAAAAUAUUUUUUAAAUAUAUAUUAAAAUUUUUAGAAUUAGAACUAAAUUGCUAAUUUUUGAAAAUAUUAAGGGUUAAAUUUAUUAAUUUUUUUAGAAUUUGAACUAAAAUGACAGGUUUUGUUAACAUUUAGGGCUAAAUUUGUUGAUUUUUUUUAUAUCUAGGAUCAAAUUGAUAGAAUAUGUAAACAUUGGAGGGCUAAAUUUGUUAUUAGACUAAUAAAAAAAGCCCACAUCAGCUUUCCGUCACUCAUUUAACAACCUAAUAGGAGAGUGACUAAAAUAUUUACUUUCGAAAAGGUUAACAACUAAAUCGAAAAAAUUAAUAGUUGAGUAAACUUGUUCAUGAGUUGGGCUACUUGCCAAGGCCCAAGUGCCGUCCGAAAUUUGGGAGGGUCUGGAUAAAAAUAUUAGGCCCGAAAAUUGAGUUUGGGUAAAACAUUAGGCCCGUUUAAAAUAUGGGCUAAGUUCAGGCUUGAACAUUCAAAGCCUGAGCCCAGCCCGGCCCGUUUUUAAGUGUAUAAUACUUUAUAUUAUAUAAUUUAGAACAGAUUAAAAAAAUAAACUUAUACUAAAUAGAUAAUAAUACUAUAAUGUAAACAUUAAAAUAAUGUUAAAAUGACUAUAUAAAAAUUUUUAAUAAAUAAAAAAUGUUUAAAUUAUUAAAUAUUAAAAUAACAUAAUAUAAAUAUUUUAAAAAAAACUAAAAAUUAUAUGGGCAUGCCUAAAAUGAGCUUGGGUUAGUCUUUUGCAAAUAUGGAUGAGUUUAGGUGAAAUUUUAAGCUCAUAUUUCGGGCCGAGCUAAGCUUGAGCAAGCAUAAAGUACGUUAAUAUCAUGCUUAGGCCUGACCUGGUCCAGCUCAUGAGCAUCUCUAUAGUUGAGUGACUAGAAUAGAACCAAAGGAAUAGUUUAGUGAUUAUUUUUGUAAUUGACCCAUAUGAAAUUUAGGUUAAUUUCUGCUAUUAGUCCUCGCACUUUGCAAAAGUUGUGGACUUAAUCUUCAUACUUUAAUUUGGUCAUUUUUAGUGGAGAUCAAAAUGGUAUAAUACCGACAGUGGGAACCUUACAACAUUUGAAAAAGUUAUGCCUAAUUGUGUAGUAAACAACACUUUAAAAAUGUAGUCCCUAUAUUCAAACUUAUGCCGUAAAAGUUGAAUAAUAGUAUCUAAGAAACAAAUUUUCCACCAGACUGGAAAUUUUGUAUUGCUUGGAAUUAAUUGACUCUCAUCUUCUGUUACUAGCUUCAAAAAUAUUGUAUUGCUUUAAAUUCAAACAAGAAAUAGGGGAAAUUUUUACAUGGAAACAAAUUUUGCUAUUUAAAUUUCCCAAUUCUUUACUCAAAGUUGGUUCUAAAUUAAAUUUAGAAAAAGAAAAGAGGUUUAAGGGUGCAAAAAGCCCUCAAACUUUUUCAAAACUAGCAACUAAACCCCUGCUCUUAUAUAAAAAUUGUAAAAAAAAUUGUAAAAUUAUUUAAAAAUUAAUAAAAAAUUAAAAAAAUUAAAAAUUAUUAAAAAUAUAUAAAAAUUGUAAAAUUUUAUAAAAAAUUGUAAAAUUUUAUAAAAAAGUUUAAAAAAUUUUAAAAUAUAUAGAAAUAUAAAAUUUUAUAAAAUCAUAAGAAAAUUAUACAAAAUGUAAAAAAAUAAAUUUGUAAAAAAAUUAUAAAAAUUAUUGUACCAAAAGAAAUAUUUUAUAAUUUUUCCAUAACUUUUAUUGAUUUUUACUUUUUAUCUGUUUUCACUACAUGUCACGAUGAGUUGCGACACAUAAUGACUUUAAUUGAAAAAACUAGAGGUCGUUAACUUUAACGAUCAAUAGUUAAAGUUAAUCGUUAAAAGGACUUUUUGAUGGAUUUUAUAUAUUUUUAUGAUUUUUAUAAAAUUUUAUAAUUUUUUUUAUUUUUUGACGAUUUUUCUAAAAAAAUUUCUAAUUUUAAUAAGUUUUUAAAUUUGUAUUAAAAUUUAAUAAUUUUUCUAAAAUUUUUUAUUUUUAUGAUUUUUUUUCUAAUUUUUAAUAAGAGCAGGGGCUUAAUUGCUUUUUUGAAAAAAAUUUAAGGCCUUUUUGAUGCAUUAUGAAAGUUCAAGUACCCAAUUGAGUGGGAAAAAACUAAAGGCUUAAUUGUUUCUUUGAAAAAAAAAAUUAAGGUCUUUUUGAUGCAUUAUGAAAGUUCAAGUACCCAAUUGAGCAGAAAAAGUUAGGGAUUUAAUUGCUUUUCCGCUGGAAAUUAAGUUCUAAUCUUUUCCGCAUUCAACCUAAAAGCAAAGCAUAUCGAAAAUUGGAUCAUGUAAAAAAAAAAAGUAGCCACACACAUUGGUCAAACAUAGGCAUGCUUAAUGAUCCACACGUAAUUAAUCUAUGUAUUCUGCAUAUAACAUGCAUGCUCGCACCAUUUGUUUUGCAUGUGUGAAAUAGCAUGAAAAUGAUAUACACUUGAUUUGAAGAAUAGAUCCAAGUUUAUAACUAAAAAAUCAGACAUCUGAAAUUCAUAAAAACGAAUAUGCAUGUAUAAGUCCAAAAGAAAAGAAAUCUUCACCUUUUGCAUAUUGAUGCCACUAGCUUUGCUGCGAAGUUUCUAAGUUCCCAAUGAUUGUCGGUGAAUUUAUUUCCUAACCUUUUUGCAACGAGGCAGGUAAUAAUAGAAGGCAUCAACUGGUGUAACUGAAGAACAUUUUAAAAAAUCAGAUAGGUGGAAAAUAAACCACUAGCAUAUUUGCGUUAGUUCGUGUACUUCUAAAUCAUUGAAAUAAUAAACUCACAUAAGGUUCUAUGAGUAAGUGUUCAUUCUGGAGAAGACUCCGGGCAACACGCAUCAAAGCAAACAUGUGGCAAAAAUGUAAGCUUGAGAUAACCAACCAAAAGUUCUUUGCAACAGACAUAUAUAAUGAGGUAUGAAAGAUCUUUAAGACAACCUCAUCCGCAAUGAAAUAUGUAAAAUAAGGAACUAAAGGAUGUGAUCCUUUUUUAUGCAUUAUGAAAGUUCAAGUACCCAAUUGAGCAGAAAAAAAUAGGGAUUUAAUUGCUUUUUUUAAGAAGUGUAAAGAUAUUUUUGAUACAUUUUAAAAGUUUAAAUGCUCAAUUAAGUGUAAAAAAAAAAAGAGGGACUUAAAUUUUUAUUUUUAUUUUUGAAAAUUUUGAAGGGUUUUUAUGCCCUUAAGCUAAUAAAAAGAACAUGUAUUAAUUUUGAUUAUAAUUUCAAUAAUGAUUUCAAUAUAUCGUUAAUUUUAAAAAAAAGGAAAUGCAACUUAGUUUUUUUAAAAAAAAUUAAAGAACAUGGACAACUUGAUGAUUAAAUAAAAAAAAUGUAAAGCCAAAAAUCUAGAUUAGAAUUGUAUUCAAAAUAAUAAAUAGAAUGCAUGUGUGCAAAAAGAACUCCAUUAGUAAUGUCGAAUUUCAAAGACAAAGGAGGAUGCUGUUUUUGUCGUGACAUAACAUAAAUAGUUGACUACGUGGGUGGCCACAUACAAUGCUUCAAAGGUUAAGAUAUAAUGGAAAACAAACUUUUCUUGUCGUCAAUGGUCAAUGUUAUGACCGAACAAAGUUUGGUCAAUUUCAAAGGUUAUAUUUGUCGUUUGGUAGACGAGGUGGGCGUUGCCACUGUGAAUAAUAAUAAUAAUAUCCAUACACUACAAUCCCCACCUUUGGGCCAAAAUAAUAAAACCCAAUUAAUAUGAAAGGGAGAGUUCAUACCCACUAAAAGAACACACUCCCUAUAAACCACCUCUAAUCCUGCUAAUAGUACAAUUUAACUGCACCUCCUUGGUAGUAAAAAAGUACGAAGCACAGAAUGAAAGCCCUAUGUUUCCACAUAAGUUCACACGACACGACAAUAACGAGUAGUGGAUAGUUAAUAUAAAUAAGCAGGAGGCCCCAGUUCUCAAUUGCAGACUGCAAUGCAGUGCAAUAGUUGUCACAUCUCAAACCCCUUCUUCCUCUUCUUCUUCUUCUGACACAUCACUCUCCACCAAUCCCAGAUGAUUUGGCUUUUGCCUUGUCUGAUUUGGAACCCAGUUCUCAAUUGGGUUUUUUUGGCUGCUAAGGGAAGUUGCCAUAUAGCCAACUGCAGCUCAAGUCAAGAGCAAUAACAUGAGCAUUUAGGUGGUCACAAGUGACCCCAUCCCAUGAGCAGCAAUCUGUACCCUCCUUCCAUGAAUUUGUCUUGGGAUAAGAUUUAAGGCCAGCAAAAUCAUUGCAAUAAGAAGAAGCAUCCUCUAUUAUGGAAAAAGAGUUCUUGAACUGGAUUAAUGAAGAGCAGGAGUGAGAUCCUGAAGAAGAAAAAGAAGCAUAAAUUUUAAAAAUUUUAAAAAUAAAACAUAUAUUAAAAUUUUCUAAGCAUUGCAGAAGAUUGUCCAAUAAACAAAUUAACGCAACAUUUUAGUUAUUGUCUACUGUCCAAUAAUGCCAUGUGUAUUAGUACAAACAUCCCCAUUUCACUUUUUUUUCAGUUUCCCAAAAACUCAUUUCACUCUAAGCUUUAUAAAAAAAAAAUUAUUUUAGUCCUUAAUUUAAUGCUGUUUUGCCUAGAAAUUGUUUUGCAAAUUUAUUUUGUUUUAUUUAUUUCUAAACCCAUAUUUCUUUUCUACAACCCCAAUUAUUAGAUUGUUUAGGGUUUUGACUAACUUUCGAUUUUGGAAUUUUAGAUUUUUUAAAUUUAAAUAUGAAGUGCUCUUCUUCUUCUCCAAACCCACAAUUUUUUUUGCCAAAUUUCAACUCAAUGUUUUACUUUCAGCUAUAAAUAAAAAAAUAUAUUAUAUUUAUAAUGAUCCAAGAAUAGUAGAGUCGACGCAGAUCUACAUGAAAAAGGAGGAAAAAAAAAGGCAAAGAAAGAUAAUAUGAAGAGAGCAUACAUCAAUAAAGCAAAUGAAAAACGAGCAGAAUUAAAGUAAAUGGGUAUUUAAUAUUUUUUUGUGAAAGUUCAAAGACUGAUUAUUUAUGAGAUUGGAUGUGGAAAAAGUAGUUGGAAAUUUUUUUUUUUCUUGCACCAAUUGAUUUUUUAUAUAAAUUUUUUAUUUAUUUUCAGAUUUUUAAAUUUUGUUACAAUUAUUUUUAUGAAAAUUUAAAAAUAUAAAAAAUACUUUUUGAACUAUAAUUUAAGGAUCAAGUUAGCUAUUAAUCAUUUGAAUAAAUAAAACAUACACAUGGAUUAAUGAAUUAAUCCACAAGCAAUGUUGGACAUUUUCAUAAUGCCAAAUUUCACUUCAGAUUUAGUUACCCAUAAUCAUAUUUAAACAAACAAAAAUACAACAAUCAUACAAAAUAGGCAUAACUAGAAAACAUGAGAAAAAUGAGAAAAGCUUGAAAACAAUUACAAUGGUAGCAAAGGAAAUGUAAAAAAAAACCCUAAAAAUAGAUUUUUAAUGAUGAAGGGAAUUUAUUUAUAUUAAAACCAAGGAUUAAGCUGAAAAUACAAAGAGUUAAAGGUACUAAACGAGCCAAUAAAUCCUAGCUACAGUGAUAAUUAACUUAACUAACUACUAUUAUUGGAACCAAGAAAAACUCAAAGAAAACAUGAAUUAAACCCUAGAGUUAUGGAGAAGAAAACUAAAACUCUAAAAAUAAAGAGAAAAAUUGAAAAACAUGAAAUGUUAAGUGUUGCCUUUUGUUCAGCCAAUUUUUUGCCCUUUCUAGCAAAUUACAGAUCCAAAAAUAGUGACCAAAUUGUCCAUGAUCAUCUAAUUUUGGUUAGGGGACAUGUUGGAAAAGGAUUACCCUACUGUUAUAUUUUGUCUCCUCUCAUCAAUGAUAUUGCGAUACCAAGUUUGGUAUCGCGAAAUUCACAACAGUCGUGGGGAUCCUUGGGAGUUUUGGGCAUUGCGAUACCUUAUGAUCGGUUUCACAAUAACACUGUUGAUGGCUCAAUCUUCCUUGUUUUUAAAAUUUUUAUGACGACUUUCGUGCUUUGAUAUGUGAUACCCUCUUUCUAGGUGACAUUUUCACUCCUUCCGGGCCACCAUUUGAACUCCCUAAAGAAAGAAGUGAAAUAAUUAGAGUUGAUGAUAUUGACUUGGUCUUGCUUCCUUUAUAUGUAUGAAUGUGGAAAUUGGCAUAAUGCCAAAACAGCCUUCAGUUCAUCUACAUUCCGCGUCAAAUCUACAAGCAUGAAUAUUAACCUUUGAACUCCAUAAUAACAACACCAAUUUCUGCAUUGUUCCAUUUUACAGUCUUUCCAUUUUAGCAAUUAAAGCAACCUAUAUGUACCCUUUUACAGUCUGCAUUGUUCCAUGUUUCAAUUCAUUAUAUCAUUCCUUCAACUCUGCUAUAUAUUAUUACUUUCUCCAUAUAACCAAACCUUUUACUGCUAACUUGUAAAAAAAUUAUGAAAAUACAACAGAGAUCAUUGCGCCAUUUUGUUCUCCUUUCUCCUUUACUGAGCAGUAGCAAAGAUUAUCGAGACUAAAUUGAAAGUCAUGAAAGAAGACAUAAACAACACCACCAUACAAAAUGUUACACUCAAACAAACCAUUACUGAAAGUACGAAAUGCAAUGAAAGACAGAGGAAUUGGUACAAUAAUAAAGACAGACACAUACCAAUGCAACCCUUCACCAUAGGCAAAACGGUCUACAGACUAAGAAAUUAUGAAAAUACAACACUAAUUCUUCACCAUCAUUUGCAGUAAUUAGAUCCUUCUUCGUCUACUGCUGCAAUUGCCUUUCUUUGACUUUCUUCUUCGCCUAUUCUCAUGUUGGUCUUCAACCAAAUUCACCAACCAUUUCGGCUUUCCAGUUUGGAAAACAACAUAUCCCACGAACAUUCCGAACACUACUCCGCAUCCAUAACCUAUCAACACCACUUUCCAACCAAAAGCAAUGUUUGAUUUUGAGCCAUCUUUUCCAAGCACAUUUGGAGGUGCUGGCUCAAUGAUGUUGCAACCUUUUGAGACCGGAAAUCCACAUAGUCCCUUAUUUCCUUUGAAUUGUUUGCCUUGAGGAAUCUGACCAUGGAGUUGAUUUUCAGAAAAUUUACGGACGAAAGAAAUGGCAGAUCUACCAAUCUAUUUGGAAUCGUCCCAGACAAACUGCUUGAAGAUAGGUCCAACCAUUCAAGACUUGUCAAAUUCCCUAUUGAGGUGGGGAUAUCACCAUUAGGGUUAUUAUGAGAAAGGUUGAGCCCUUUCAGUAAGUUAAGCUUCCCAAUAACCUUUGGAAUACCCCCUUCAAACUGAUUGUUUGAUAGAUCAAUGAUCAUCCACAUGGUGAAAAUUUUCACCAAUUCCCUAUCUUGUCCUUUCAUAACUAUUCCAAUGGAAUAGGUAUAGAAGCCAGGACCCCAAGGAUAAUUCAACCCCAUGUACGACACUGUACUCCCAAUCUUCUCUAGAUUUAUGAUAGCCUUGAAGCUGUUGAUGUAUCUCACUGGUAGGGGUCCAGAAAAAUAAUUACUUGAGAGGUCAAAAAUUUGGAUUUUAGAGAAAAAAGGGCUAGACUUGGAGCUAUUGACACAUAAGGAACCAUGCAUAUGAUUUGACUUCAAUACAAGAACUUGUAGUGUGGAAGACUUCCCAACCAAUGAGGAAAUGUAUCAUUGAUCUUGUUGUUACCAAGAUCUAGCACUUUCAGCUCAUAACAAUUAACGAUGGAUGGUGUCAAAGGCCCUUCUAACAGAUUUCCAUUUAAGUUGAAAUUACUCAAUUGGAAAAACUCUGCAAAUGUUGGAGGAAUCGUCCCAUAGAACUUGUUCUUCUUCAGAUUCAAGAAUUGAAGCUGGUAGCUGAAAUUUCCAAAACAUUGAGGAAUUGUUCCACUCAAGUUAUUGUGGGACAAAUCAAGAAUUUGAAGAGAACUGGCAUUGCAUAUUAAAGAAGAGACCUCUCCAUUGAAACUAUUAUUUGAGAUCAGAAAGACAUUGAUUGUCGAAGCUGGAAUCGGAAGAUUUCCACGGAUCAAAUUGGAGCUUAAGUCAAGAACUGCAAUAUUAUUCCAUGGAAAGUGCUCAACUUCUGUCAAUGAGUUGUGAGAUACAUUUAAGUAAGUCAAAGAGCCAUUCCCCACCUCUUGCAUCCACUGUGGAAUCUUGCCUUCAAUUUUGUUGCAAGAGAGGUCUAACCUUUCCAAACUUUUAAGCCCUUUCAAAAAUUGGGGGAAUUCACUAAAAUUUAAGGGUUUAAUAAGAUUUUUUAAAAAAAUUGGGGGUCUAAUAAAAAAAUUUAAAAUUUUUUGUGAGAUUAAUGAGAAUUUUCAAAAUUUUAAGAGCACUUAAUUAAAAUUUUCAAAAAAAAUUAAAAGGUAUAAUGAAAAAUUUAAAAAAUUUUUGGGGCUUAAUUGAAAUUUUCUAAAAAUUUCAAAGGAAAAAACAAAAUUCUCCGAUUUUUUUUUUUUUUUGCAUGGGUGGCGGGACAAAGAGCCCCCUAAGCCACCAUAAUAGUCCGUCUUUACCAAGGAUCAUAAUAAACCAUAUAUAAAUAGUUUAGGUACCACAUUAAACAUUUUCAAAGUACAUGUACCAUAAUAAUAACACAUACUGAUAGUACCACAUUAUAUAUUUUCAAAGUACUUGUACCACUAGACAUUUUAUGAAAGUACAGAUAUCAAAGGUGACAUUAUCCCUACUUAUAAUAAUAAUAUCAAAGUUAAAAGAUGCUUUUAGUCCCUAUAUUUAAAAGGUUAGAAAUUAAGUCUUCCGACUUUUUUAUUUAAAAAUCUCGGUACAAUCAUUAAACUCGUAAGUAUUUUCUGUCAAAAUUUAGUAAUUUAACAUGUUGAUUAAGCUAACGGAAACUACAACCAACAUAAAUAAUUAAACUAAUAUUUUUAAAUUAAGAAAAAUUAACUUUUAAAGUACAGGACUAAAACUCAAAUUCUAUAAACCAUUGUUGUUUUAUGCAUGUCGUGAAUGUACGGAAUUUGCUUUCAAUUCUGAAAAAAGCUUGUUACUUUCUAUUUGGUUUUCUCUGAUUUUCUCUUUACAUCAUUUCAUUUCAUGCUUUUUAAUUAGGAGGUUACGAUUGAUUUUAGGUGGUGUGAAUUUGGGUCGGGUCAAUUUUAAUUUAAAAAUUUUCGGGUUAUUUCGAGUUUAUAUUACAUAAAAUUUAGGUUAUUUUAGGAUUAAAUUAUUUUGGAUUUGAGUCGGUGUAAGGUUUUUUUUUUUUCAUAGUUUAGUUCAUUUGCUUUGUGUUUUUGGAUUGCAUCAUUUCGAGUUUUGCCAUUCGGGUUUGAUCACUAAAUCAAAUCAUUUCAAGAUCAUGUCAUUUUGGAUUCAAAUUAUCAAUUUUUUAUAAUCAAAUUGAGUUGAGUUAAGUUUAAAUUCAAAUUAAUUAAGUUGUAUUUUUAUGAUUCUGAUAUAAUGGACAUGUUUUAUCGAUUCAAUUUUACUAUUUAUAAAACCUAUGUUUCUCAAAAUACUUUUUUUCAAAUUAAAAUUUAUUAAUUAUUUAAAUUAAGAUGUUAUUCUUUUUAUUCUUUAUAUAUGUUUUACAGUCUGUGUUCGAGAUCCGUGAAUACCCCACACAACAUUGUUAUCUCCAACGAAUACGCAUUCUCUCCUUCAGAAUGUAAUAUGCCUUGCCACUACGCCAAACACUUGUUGGUAUCUAAAAUGGAUAAAAAAAACACAUUUCUCGUCCCUCUCAAUUUCUAUAUUGAACAAAUUGGUUCCUCUCAGAAAAUUAGAGCAAUUUAAUCAUUAUCAAUUUUGAAAGGGAGCAACUAAGGACAAUUAAUCAUUGUGUUAAUGCUUUCUAUAAAUUGUACAUAAUUUUUAUUGAUAUAAUAACAAAUUAAGCUCUCGAUGUUUAUAUAUUAUGUGUAAAUGUUAAUAGAAUAUGUAAUUGUUGCGGGCUAAAUUUGUUAAAUCAAGACCAAAUUGGCAGAAUGUGUAAACUUUGAGAGCUAAAUUUGUUAUUAUACCAAUAAAAAUAUGUACAAUUGAUGGAAAAUAUUGACAUUGUGAUUAAUUGUCCUUAGCUACUCACUUUCGAAAUUAACAAAGAUUAAAUUGCUUUGAUUUUUUUUAAAUGGACCAAUUUACUUAAUAUCAAAAUUGAGAGCGACUAACGAGGGUUUUUACCAUCUAAAAUCUUAUCUAAUACAAGAAAAACUUAACAACUAUUUUUUUAAUCAUGAAAGGGUAAACUACAUAAUUAGCCACUGAACUAUGGGUAAAUCUUCGUUUUGGUCACUUAACUAAAAAAGUUACAAUUUGGUCACCCUAUUGUUAAAUGACACUUUGUAGUUGCUAUAAUAACAAUUUUACUAUUUUGUUAUAUAAUUUUUUUUGCCAAUCUACCUCGAUUCUAUAUAAAAAUUAUAAAAAGAAACUCAAAAUUAUUUUAAAAAAUAUAAACUUCUAUAUAAAAAUUCUAGAAAAAUAAAAUCUCGAAUAUGUUGUUGUUGAAGAACUAAAAUGUAUGGGAAAUAAAAAAAAAUUAUCAUUCAAUAGAAUCCCAUAACAAAUUAAAAACAGAACAAAACAAAAAAAAAAGGGUUAGAUCAUUAUAUGCUUCCUCAAUGUUUUUUGCAACCAAAUUAGUAAAAUUUUCAAGUUGAGUUCCAUGCCCUUGAAGAACAUCUGUAACUGAUAUUACAAAAGCUUACGAAAUCGACUUUGAUGCCAUUUUUCUAGCAAAAAUAUAAAAUAUACCUCAAAAUUUUCUUUUUCAAACUCAAUUUGAAUUUUCAAUUCAUUUAAAUUUAUUUUUAAAAACCCAAAUUAUAAAAGCAGAUUAUAUACAGAUAAUUUUACUUAAUCUUUUUUUUACUUUUUUCUAUGUUUUCUAAAAGAAUGGAUAUUAGAUAUUUCUUUACAGAUAAUACAAAGAAAAUUUGUAGGGUUUAAAAAUGAUAUUUCCCUCAUUUUCUCUCACUUUAUUUAUAUUUGAAAUUCUUAUCUACUUUCAUUUAAUUUUUAAUUUUUAUAAUUUUGUAAAAUUUAAAAAGAAUUUCAUUUUUGUAAUCAUUUUAUAUAAUCAGAGUUAAAUUGACAAAAAGUAUAAAAAUUGAGGACUAAAAUUAUUAUUAUUCCAACAAAAAAGUGUCACUUAAUAGUCAGGUGACCAAAAAAGUUGUAAACUAUAAAAAUAGUCACCCAACUAUUAAAUUUUCCAAUUAGUUGCUAAACUUUUUGAAAUUAAAUAUUUUAAUCACUCUCCCUUUAGUUGUCGUUAGAUGAGUGACGGAAAGCUGAUGUGGGUUUUUUUUUAUCUAAUAACGAAUUUAACCUCUAAUAUUUACACAUUCUAUCAAUUUGAUCUUAAAUAUAAAAAAUUCAACAAAUUUAGCGCUUUUUACAAAAUUUGUCAUUUUAGUUCGAAUUCUGAAAAAAAAAAUUCAAUAAAGUUAGCCCUUAACAUUUACAAAAUUUGUCUAAUUCUAAUUCUAAAUUUUUAAUAAAAAUAAAAAUAUUUUAAAAAAAAUUAUUUUUAACCCUUUUUACUCACCCUUUGAUUGUGGCACCCACAUAGAAUCUUCGAAGCUAAUAAGCAUAAACCUAAAUUGAAGUUAAAAAGUAAACUAAAAUUGGUGAAAUCACCUUAACUCAAAGAAGAAAAUAAUCGCUGACAUGGUAGCGCCAUGCCAUCGCCCAUUGAUGACAUAUUAACCUUUGAGUUAAACUCAAAUUACUCUUUCUUUUAUUAUAAAUUAAGAGUAUAACUAAUUUUGAUAAGAAUGAUUACUUUUCAUUAACUCAGUUUAAAGGACUAUAACACGUAAAAUUUGGUCUAUUGCAGAAUUCACAUGCAAUGCGGGACAUUUACAUUAUGCAGAAUUCAACACAUAUAUGGGAAUUUUUGUAUUUCCACAAUCAUCAUGUUGUUAGUGAUCAACAACUAUUUCCUUUUUACCAUAUGUUUUUCAUUCAUAAAAUUAAUUCCUUUUUUUUUACCAAAGAAGUAAAAUAAUUAACAUUUCAUGAGAUUACAAAGUCUUCUUCCUUAUAACACGUUAAGUUUGGUCCCAAAUAAUUUUCCACACAAAAGAAUAAAGACUAUCAAUUGUCUAUUGACUUCACACUUGCUGUUGCUUCCUCCUAAAAUUAUCUCAUCGUCAAUGAAGCUACGUGCCUAAAAGCCAUGUAGGAUACCAAUUCCUGUAAUUGUAUUAAUCUCAUCGUUGCUGCAAUCUUUUGACUGUGUAAUCCAAUCUUAAAUAUGUUACUCUGCAAUGCUAUUGUAAAUAUUACUCUUAAAUUAAUAUUUGAACAUCUGCAACAUAAAUGCAUAUGGCAAAAGGGCUCAAACCAUACCUUACGUUCAUAAAUUCUCAUCGCCACGUGUUUAUAAAUGCAACUCAAACUUGAAUAAUUGAAUCUUUUGUAAUUCUACAUGUAUCCUUUUUUAUGGUGAGCAGUACAAUGUUUACUAAAAAUUGAAAUUCAAGAAAGAAGACACACAUAGUUGCACCAUACAAGAUGUUACACUCGAACUAAACCCUUACAAAUAGUACGAAAUGCAAUGAAAUACAGAGGAAUUGGUACAAUCAUAAAAACAGACACAUACCAAUGCAACUUUUCACCAUAGGAAAAACUUUCUGACAGACUACUAAACAAGAAAUUAUGAAGACACAGCACAAAUGCUUUAACUUCAUUUGCACCAACCAGAUCCUUCUUCAUCCACUGAUGCUUUAACUUACUCUGAGUAUUGAUACCCGGGCCGAAGUAUCCAUACCAAAUCCUUUUUACCAUAUAUUUUUCAUUCACAAAAUUGGAUACAUUUUUUUUCCAAAAUUUUGUAUUUCAUUUGAACUCCCUAAACAACUGAGAAAAUUAAGAUUGAUGAGAUUACAAAGUAGAUUGACUUAAUCUUCUUCCUCAUAAUACGUAAACAAUGUGGGUGUCUAUUUACUUAGUAUGUAUGGCUGUCAAGCAAUGUAGANNNNNNNNNNNNNNNNNNNNNNNNNNNNNNNNNNNNNNNNNNNNNNNNNNNNNNNNNNNNNNNNNNNNNNNNNNNNNNNNNNNNNNNNNNNNNNNNNNNNNNNNNNNNNNNNNNNNNNNNNNNNNNNNNNNNNNNNNNNNNNNNNNNNNNNNNNNNNNNNNNNNNNNNNNNNNNNNNNNNNNNNNNNNNNNNNNNNNNNNNNNNNNNNNNNNNNNNNNNNNNNNNNNNNNNNNNNNNNNNNNNNNNNNNNNNNNNNNNNNNNNNNNNNNNNNNNNNNNNNNNNNNNNNNNNNNNNNNNNNNNNNNNNNNNNNNNNNNNNNNNNNNNNNNNNNNNNNNNNNNNNNNNNNNNNNNNNNNNNNNNNNNNNNNNNNNNNNNNNNNNNNNNNNNNNNNNNNNNNNNNNNNNNNNNNNNNNNNNNNNNNNNNNNNNNNNNNNNNNNNNNNNNNNNNNNNNNNNNNNNNNNNNNNNNNNNNNNNNNNNNNNNNNNNNNNNNNNNNNNACUAGAUCUUUCCACUAACUAACCUUAAUGGUAGUAUCCCAUAUCAGUUAUUUGGUGCUUUUGAAAGACUGAUUUAUCUUAAUUUGUCUCACAACUCUUUCACUGGUUCCCUUCCUUCAGAUAUGAGAAAUAUGAAGAAUCUUGUCGAGUUUUACGUUCAUAAUAACAAUUUCCAUGGUGAAAUUCCCAUGACACUUGGGGAGAGUUUAGAACUUACAACUCUCUUCAUGCAAAAAAACUCAUUCCAUGGUACCAUCCCUCAAUCUUUUGCCUCCUUGAGAUCUCUUGAGAACUUAGAUCUUUCAAAUAACAAUUUGUCUGGCACCAUACCACCUGAACUUCAAAAACUUCCUUUUCUAGUGAGAUUAAACCUUUCUUUUAAUCAACUAGAGGGUGAAGUGACAAAAAAGGAGUUUUCAAAAAUGCCACUGGAUUUUCUUUCUUCGGAAAUAAAAACCUUUGUGGGGGAAUUCCAAAAAUACAGCUUCCCAAGUGCUUCAGUGAGAAACCAAAGGAAAAGGGAAAGGUUUUAUCAACCAAAACCGUUAUUGCUAUUAUCACCAGCAUUCUUCUUGGCUCUAUUUUGGUUGUUCUUCUUGUUUAUCAUUCCUUGAGACACAAGGCAAGAAGGGGAACAUUUAUGCCAUCAUCUUUGUUCGACAAUGGCUACUUGCGUUUAUCCUACAAAGAGCUUCUUGAAUGCACCCAUGGUUUUGCUUCCUCUAACUUGAUUGGAACUGGAAGUUUUGGCUCUGUAUAUAAAGGAGUUCUUUAUCAACAUGAAAAGCCUCUUGCUGUCAAGGUACUUAACCUUCGAAACCAUGGGGCUGCAAUAAGUUUCAUUGCAGAAUGCAAGGCUUUAAGGAAAAUUCGACAUUGGAAUCUUCUCAAAAUUAUAACUUCUUGCUCAAGCAUUGAUUAUCAAGGCAAUGAAUUCAAGGCUUUAGUUUUUGAAUUCAUGCCUAAUGGGAGUUUAGAAAGCUGGUUACAUGAGCAACAUGAUCAGUCAAGGUAUUUGAACUUUGCUCAAAGAUUAGACAUUGCUAUUGACAUGGCCAAUGCUAUAGAUUAUCUUCAUCAUGAUUGCGAGACGAUGGUUGUUCAUUGCGAUCUGAAGCCUUCCAAUGUCCUUCUUGACGAUGACAUGGUUGCACACGUCGCCGAUUUUGGAUUGGCAAAGCUCUUGUCUACCGUCACAAGCAAUAUUAGAAGCGAUCAAACAAGUUCCUCAGUGAUCAAGGGAACAAUUGGCUACGUUGCCCCGGGUAAAGUCUCUAACAUCGAAUCAAGGGAGAAACCAAAUGAUUUCUAUUAAAGAUUUUUAAAUUUUUUACGCAAUAUUAUUGCAGAAUAUGGCAUGGGUGGAUCAGUCUCUCCAGAAGGUGAUAUCUAUAGCUACGGCAUUAUGCUUUUAGAAAUGAUAACCGGAAGGAGACCGACAUGUGAUUUGUUUCAUGAUGGCUUAAGCCUUCAUAAUUUCUGCAAAAUGGCACUACAAGAAGGCUUGAAGGAGAUUUUUGAUGUUCGUUUAGUUGAAGAAAUUGGUGUAAACAAGAAGAGAAUAAGAAAUAAGCCAAACAUGGAAUCUGAGAUAUGGGAAUGCUUUGUUUCUUUCACUAAAAUUGGAGUUUCAUGCUCCACUGAAGUGGCUACUGAUAGAUUGAGAAUUAGAGAUGCCAUCAUUGAACUUCAUGCAACCAAAGCAAGGUUGCUUCGAACCGGGUUUUAUAGAAGGGACAAUAAAUAGGUUGCAAAAGCUGGUGAAAUGAAAUAGAGUAGAGUUUUGAAUUUUGCUGGGUGAAUUUGAUUUUGGGUACAACCAAUCCGAAAUGGUCAGUUCAGGUUUUGGAAUUUGUGGGUCAUAGUGAGUUAAUUUUAAAUUUCCAAUGGUUUUCGAUUUGAGUUAGUUUCGUGUUAGUGUGGUUUUUACUUUAAGUUUAAAAUUUUUAAAAAAAUGUUAUUGUUGCGCGGAAGCGUGUAAAAGAGUAAAGUUAUUGUACUAAAAAAUCACACUAAGUUCAAUUCCCAGGAAAGAGAGGUGGAUCACGAGGAUCGCUUAAGUACCAAAUCUUUCCUAGCCAGAAUAUCCCUCUAUAGUAAUUUAAUAGCACAAUAAAUCACUACAAUCACACUCGUAAAGUAUGCAAAAUAAACAAUAAAGAACACAAGAAUUUUAACGAGGUUCAGCAAAUUUUGCCUACGUCCUCAGGCACUACCAAAUAUAUUUCACUCUAAAAUACAAGUGAAAAUUUACAAAUAAGGAGAGAGAAGAAUGCCUUAAGUAGAGAAUGGCAUUUUUGUGGGAUGUAGAAAAUGAGAAAUAGCAAGGCCUAUUUAUAGUUGAAACUCAAGAAUCAACUUGCAAAGUCCCUAUUCAAUUAAGGACCAAAAUUGCAAUUAUCCCAAGCUAAAUUUCAACCCAAAAAUCUAUGCCUUAAAUGCUUAGAUUUUCGGUGCCAAAUUUCUGACACCAUUCAUCUUUGAAAAGUCAAAGAUUGCAUGCUUGCCAAUAAUCUCCACCUUGAAGAUUUGAUUAGGAUAAUCUUAUCUUCACACAAUUCUUUCUGCCUUCGACAACAAUACUUGAUAGUGCCUUCUUCAAUUGUUAAACUUGCAGAAUAUUGAUCAAGUUCGAACAAUGUUCGAACUUGAUUGUUGUUACCACCUUGGUCAUCAUAUCUGCGGGAUUAUCUGCAGUCUUGAUAUUCUGAAGAUGAAUUUUCCCCUCGUCAAUAAUUUCCCGCACAAAAUGGAAACGUACGUCGAUAUGCUUUGUACGUGCAUGAUAGACUUGAUUGUUUGCUAAAUGAAUAGCACUUUGACUAUCACAAUACACGUUAAUAUGCUCCUGAACCAAUCCCAAGGUUUUAACCAUACCUUGUAACCAAAUAGCUUCCUUUACAGCCUCUGUUACAGCCAUGUAUUCGGCUUCUGUGGUUGACAACACAACUGUAGACUGUAGUGUAGACUUCCAACUUAUUAGUCCUCCAGCAAGUGUAAACACAUAACCAGUGGUUGAUCUUCGUUUGUCCAAAUCACCGGCAUAGUCAGAAUCAACGUACCCAAUAACACCUUUACCAAGUGCAGUAUCCUGCUUGAACAAUAAUCCAACAUCCACAGUCUUCAGAAUAUACCAUAGAAUCCAUUUCACAGCUUGCCAAUGUCCUUUCCCAGGAUUAUGCAUAUACCUGCUCACUAUACUAACUGCCUGUGAAAUGUCGAGUCUUGUACACACCAUUGCAUACAUCAAGCUACCCACUGCAUUAGAAUAUAGAACUUGUAACAUGUAUUCUUGUUUCGUAUUCGUCGAAGGAGAUAGUUGUGCAGAAAGCUUAAAAUGAGAAGCCAACGGAGUACUUACAGGUUUUGUCUGCUCGUUCAUGCCAAACUGCUGUAGUACUUUCUUCAAAUACUGCUUCUGAGACAAACUGCUUCUGAGACAAACUAACUCUGCCUUGAGCUCUAUCUCUACAUAUUUCCAUGCCAAGAAUCUUCUUAGCUUCACCAAGAUCUUUCAUCUCAAACUCAAGAUUGAGUUGAGUUUUCAAUCUCUCAAUCUCAACUUUGCUCUUAGAUGCUAUCAGCAUAUCAUCAACAUAUAAGAGCAAGUAUAUGAAAGUUCCUACUUGUAGCUUCUGAAAAUACACGCAAUGAUCAAAUUUACUUCUUGUGUACCUUUGCCCUUUCAUGAACUGAUCAAAUCGCUUGUACCACUGCCUCAGAGAUUGUUUCAAUCCAUAAAGCGACUUUGUCAGUUUGCAAACCCAAUUUUCUUUAUCAGCAACCUUGAAUCCAUCAGGCUGAGUCAUAUAGAUUUCCUCUUCCAAAUCACCGUGUAAAAAAACCGUCUUCACAUCAAGCUGAACUAGUUCAAGGUCAUAUUGCGCAACCAAGGCUAGCAAAAUCCGAAUAGACGAAUGCUUCACAACUGGAGAAAACACUUCAUUGUAGUCUAUUCCUUCUUUCUGAGCGUAACCCUUUGCUACCAAUCUAGCCUUGUAUCGAAUUUCAUUUUUACCAGGAAAUCAUUCCUUCUUUGCAUAUACCCAUUUGCAUCCAAUUGCCUUCUUUCCCUUGGGUAGUGUCACCAACUCUUAAGUCCUAUUUUUAUGAAGAGACUGCAUUUCUUCAUUCAUAGCUUGCUUCCACUUUACACCAUCAGGGUUACUUAUUGCUUCUGUGUAAGUAGAAGGAACAUCAUCAUCUGCAAUUGGAAGUGCAUAGGCCACUAUUUCAUCAAAGCGAGCAGGCUUACGAAUCUCUCUUCUUGGCCUCCUAUAUGCAAUUGAAUCUUGUUGCUGUUGAAGUUCUUGGGUCAAAACUUCUUCAUCAUUUGUUUCUUCAAUAUUAGAUGAAUCAUCAUUAACCUUUUCAAGCUCCACCUGCUGCAAAGUGCCACUGGUUUUGUCAUCCUUUUGUGAAUCCUUGUUCUUCAUCAAAAGUCACAUCUCUACUGAAAAUAAUCUUCCUUGUAUCAGGACACCAGAGACGGUAUCCUUUUACUCCACCAGUUAUACCCAUGAAUAAAGCCUUCUUUGCUCUUGGGUCUAACUUAGAUUCUUUUACAUGAUAAUAUGCAGUGGAACCAAAAACAUGUAAAGAAUCAUAAUCAGUAGCAGGUUUACCAGUCCACAUCUCCGUAGGAGUUUUUCCAUUUAUUGUAGCUGAUGGCAACCGGUUAAUCAGAUGGCACGCAUAUGUAACUGCCUCAGCCCAAAAUUCCUUGCCCAAUCCAGCAUUGGACAACAUACAUCAAACUUUCUCCAGUAUAGUCCGAUUCAUACGUUCUGCCACCCCAUUCUGCUGUGGCGUAUCCCAGACAGUGAAGUGUCACACAAUGCCCUCAUCUCGACAUACUUGAAGAAAUGGGUCAUUUUUGUACUCAGUACCAUUAUCUGAUCGAAGUCGUUUGACCUUUCGACCAGUCUGAAUCUCCACCAUCUUCUUCCACUUCAGAAAUGUAUCCAAAACUUCACUUUUUAUUUUCAUUAGAUACACCCAUACUUUUCUUGAAUAAUCAUCAACAAAAGUAACCAAAUAGUGCAUACCUCCCAAAGAAGCCACUUUGGUAGGUCCCCACACGUCACUGUGAACGUAGUCCAGAAUUCCUUUCGUACUGUGAAUUGCUGAACCAAAUUUUACCCUCGUCUGCUUGCCCAGAACACAAUGCUCACAGAAUUCCAAUUUGCAAGAAUUUACACCUUUCAAUGAGCCUUGCUUCGCCAAAGUCUGCAAAGCUUUUUCACCAGCAUGUCCCAAUCGCCUAUGCCAUAACCUGGUAGCCUCUGAAUAUGCAUCUUUCACAGAAGCUGUUGAUGUUGAUCCAAUAACUAUACUUCCAUUUAAAUAGUACAAGUUAUUUCUUCUAGUGCCUUUUAUCACCGUCAAUACCCCAGCUACAACCUUUAGUAAUCCAUCUCUCAAAGUGAUUGUGAGCCCUUUAAAUUCUAGGGCCCCUAAUGAGAUGAGAUUUUUCUUCAAGCUAGGUACAUAGUGAAAAUCUGUCAAGACUUGGAUUGAGCCAUCGUGAUUCUUCAAUUUGAUUGUACCUACUCCCAUUGUCUUACAAGCACUGUCAUUGCCCAUGAAAACAACUCCACAUUCUAGUUCUUCAAGACUAGAAAACCAGUCCUUAUUAGGACACAUAUGGUAAGUACAUCCCGAAUCCAAAAUCCACUCAUCCGUAUGACAUGUAAUUGCCAUGCCAACCAAGCUAAAGUCUGACUCCUCAUCAUGCUCCGCUACACAUGCAUCAGAAAUAGCCUUGCCCUUUUGUAACUUAGGACAAUUCUUUUUCCAAUACCCUUUCUCACGACAAAAAGCACAUUCAUCUUUGGCGGGUCUCCCUUUGGACUUGCCCCUUCUACCAGGUUUGUUGCUCUGUGAACGACCUCUUACUGUUAAGACUUCUGCAGUUGUAUCUCUGUGAUCUCUUUUAUCUUUCUUUCGAGUCUCAGAUCUGUACAACGCACUGCAGACUGCAUCAAAUGUGAUCGUAUCCUUCCCAUGAAGCAAUGUGGUGGUAAGAUGAUCAUAUUCAUCGGGAAGAGAAUUCAACAACAAUAAUGCCUUGUCUUCAUCUUCAAACUUCUCAUCCAAAUUUAGCAAGUCUGCUAAAAUUUUAUUGAAUGAGUUCACAUAGUCAUUCAUCGACAUACCGGGUGCAUACGUGAACCGAAAAAGUUUCUUUUUCAUAUAAAGCCUAUUUUCAAGACUUUUCAUUAGAAACUUUUCUUCCAACGUAUCCCACAACUUCUUCGCUGAUGUCUCCCUCAUGACAGAGUACUUCUGCUCUUUGGCCAAACAUAGGCGGAUUGUACCACACGUCUGUCUAUUGAUCUUGGCCCACUCCUUGUCAUCCAUCUUGUCAGGUUUUUCUUCAAGAGCUAUAUCCAACUCUUGCUGACAUAAGACAUCCAGGAUCUCACAUUGCCACAUACCAAAAUUAUUGGUACCAUCAAAUUUCUCUACUUCAAAUUUUGCAUUGGUCACGGUAGUCUUUGUUGAUGACGACGCCUCUGCCAUUCUUCUCCUCGAUCCCAACUACUGUAUACGUGAACAGUACCGUCGAUGUGAAUAGUACUGUGGAUGAACAAUACCGUAUACGUAAAUAGUAUCGUAAACAGUCGUAUUCCCCAAGUACGAAUCUAGCUCGGAUACCAAUUGUUGCGCGGAAGCGUGUAAAAGAGUAAAAUUAUUGUACUAAAAAAUAACACUAAGUUCAAUUCCCAGGAAAGAGAGGUGGAUCACGAGGAUCGCUUAAGUACCAAAUCUUUCCUAGCCAGAAUAUCCCUCUAUAGUAAUUUAAUAGCACAAUAAAUCACUACAAUCACACUCGCAAAAUACGCAAAAUAAACAAUAAAGAACACAAGAAUUUUAACGAGGUUCAGCAAAUUUUGCCUACGUCCUCGGGCACUACCAAAUAUAUUUCACUCCAAAAUACAAGUGAAAAUUUACAAAAAAGGAGAGAGAAGAAUGCCUUAAGUAGAGAAUGGCAUUUUUGUGGGAUGUAGAAAAUGAGAAAUAGCAAGGCCUAUUUAUAGUUGAAGCUCAAGGAUCAACUUGCAAAGUCCCUAUUCAAUUAAGGACCAAAAUUGCAAUUAUCCCAAGCUAAAUUUCAACCCAAAAAUCUAUGCCUUAAAUGCUUAGAUUUUCGAUGCCAAAUUUCUGACACCAUUCAUCUUUGAAAAGUCAAAGAUUGCAUGCUUGCCAAUAGUUAUUCAAUGCUUUGCCUUCACUAUGUAUUAAUAAUUGAGAUAUUUCAACUUUACCCUGCAUUUUCUCAAACCAUUCAACUACUAUUCUAAUCUUCAAAAACAAAAGCAUUGCAACUCCUCCAUAAAAACUAGCAAACAAUAGGAAACAAGGAGCACCAAUUGGUUCCCUCAAUUAUGAAAUCUCCACUGUUGUUUAAGUUCCACGUUAGCCAUUCCUUUAAUUGUAUUGUGAAGAACGUGGAACUCUCCACAUUUUGAACAAUUGUCUUCCAUAUGUUUUGAACAAUUGUCUUCCAUAUUCUAACUUUUUCUUGUUUUGGCUUCUCAUUUUUAUUUGUUGUCUAUUUUUACUUCUUUUGAAUCAAUUAUUUUUUGUUUAAAUUGAUUCUUCUCUAUUUUGAACCGAUUGUUUUUUUAUUUGAAUUGAUUCAUCUUGGUUUAAAUCGAUUCUUUGUGGAUUAACUCAAUUCAAAUCUCAACUAAUGGUAUCGAAAGCCUGUCAUAUUUGAGGGCCUUUGUUCUUUGUUGUUUGUAAAGAAAGAAGGAAAGAAAGAGAAGUUGUUUUGUUGUUGUAAAACAUGAGUUUUUCACCACCACUUGUAUUUGGUGGUGAAAACUAUCAUAUAUGAGUAGUGAAAAUGAAGAUAUAUCUGCAAACUCAUGAUUUGUGGGAUGUGACUGAGACAGAUAGAGAGUCACCUCUAUUGAGAGCUAAUUGCUCAAAUUAGACAAUAUAGUAAUGAUUGGCGUAAUAUUUCAAAAUAGUCACCAUCGUUAAAAUUCUUGUACGAAAUUCACUGAUAUGAAAUUUUGAAAUAAAAAGAAAUUACACUUGGUAGUCAUGUAAUAAUAAAAAUAAUGUUGAAUCAAAUUAUGAAAGUAGAUGAAUCAAAUUAAAUAACAAAACUAAAGUAUAUAGAUUAAAUCUUAAGUUUUAACAUAGUAGAAGGUCAAAAUUGAAAUUUGAACAUUAAAAAAAAAAAGGCAACUCCUACCCUCAAAAAAUAUGUCACGUUGGGUAGUUAAUAACAUUAAAAAUUAGAGGGGCUAAAUUAUAUUAAAAAUUAAAAUAUAUAGAUUAAAUUUUAAAUUUAAACGUAUCAAAAGGACCUAAAUUAAAACUUAACCUUUUUUAUGAAUUGCAAAAACAAAAAAGCGGGUGGGGGAGAAAGGGAACAUGCGGGUGGGUUGUUAGAACAAUUGUUUAGUAACAAGGAAAGCACUUAGUGUGUGUUUGAUGAGGUGGAAAAUAAAACAAAUUUUCAGGAUGUUUGGUUGAGAAAAAAAAAAGAGAAUUAAUUAUUUUUUAUUUUAAUGCAUAAAAAUUAAUUCUUUAAAAUUGAAAUGAUGAAUAGAGAGAAAAUGAGAGCAAUGAUGGAUCAUGGUAUCGAGUUUGGAGGAUAGUACAUUUAAAAAAAAGGAAUUUAAUGAGAAUAAAAAAAAUUGGGUGACUAAUUAAAAUUUUAAAAUUUUUUGUGAGAUUAAUGAAAAUUUUCAAAAAAAAAAUUAAGAGAGUUUAAUUAAAAUUUUUAAAAAUAUAUAAUUAAAAGGUAUAAUGUGAAUUUUAAAAAUUUGAGGGGUUUAAUUAAAAUUUUUAAAAAAUUUUGAUGAGUGCUUAAUUUCUCUAAUAUUUCUCCUAUUGAAUUAUGCUAUUUAUGUUCUUAAAUCUUAUUUAUACUUAAACUUUAUUUAUUAUGUAUUUAGGGAAUAAUCGGAGAAAAGUGAUGUUAAAGUUUAUUUUUAAAAAGUUUUCUGCGAUUUAGAUUUUUAAUAGAAUGUAGCUUGAGUAUUUUUGACAUAACUUGAGCUGUAGACUUCUAUUUUGGACCCAUAAUAUGCUGAUUCGAAGGAAAUUGAAAGAUCUAGGUAAAGUUCUUUAUGGAAGAAGCCGAAAAACAUCAAGAAGGAACCUAAAAAUGGCCUGAAAGUUUGACAUGAAAAUUACCAAACAAUCUAGAAGAAUUCUGUUUUAUUUAAUAAGGGCAUUUUUGUAUUUUCUCCAUUAUAUUAUUUUUUUUCCCUAUAACUAUACAAUCUUAAGUUAAGAUUUGGGGGACUUAGACUUAGUCAUUCUUAAUUUUUUUUUAUUUUAUUUUAUGAGUUUCUAAACCCACUUUUCUAGUCAAAGGUUAUAUCAAAGUUUGGAGAUAUAAGUUCAAACCUUGGAGACAACAUUAUUGGGAGGGGCAACCAUGAACCCCAAAUAUGGACCAUAAAAUGGACAUGAAGAAUAACAAAAAAAAAAGGUUUGACUUAAUAAAUUCGUGAGACUUAUUUGUGUUUUAAUUCUUCUUUGUUCUUUAGUAUUCAUGCAUCUUUAGUUUUAAUUUCAAUUGCUCAAGUUUAUUGAAUGUCCAACCAGUAUUUGAUAGCUUACAAUGAUUGUCGAGUCAAUUUGGAUAAUUAAAUUCUAAUUUUAUCUAAUACCAGUGACAAAUUGUAUAACUCGUUUAUAUCAUAGUUUACGUUUAUGUAGUGUGGAUGUGUGAUAUAGCUUAAAUAAACUCUAUUGAGGUGAGUUUGUUGGUUAGAAUUAUGUCUCUCUCAUUCUUAAUGCUAUCGGUAGGUUAAGCUUUAGGCGUUGAGUUACAAGAUUAUUUAUUAGUUAGAGAAGUAAUUUCAAAUGAGCUGCCUCUUAGAUAUCGAAUAGGGUAAGGAGAAAUUAGUUGUUCGACACUGAGUCAACAUCUGACACUUAGUUAACCUUUGACUAGACCUUUUUCCCAUUGGUUUUUCUAAAACUUUUAAUUAAUUGUUACUUUCAAUUGAAGCCUUAAAUUUAAAUUUAGUUUUUGAUUUAAUAAAAUCCCCUUCCAUUUUACUUUUAUUGUUUUGUUUGAAGAAAUAAAUUUAUUAUCAACCUCUAUGGAUGUUGCUUUCUACUAAUCUCAUACUUUUAGGUAGGUUUUUAUUUUUGUAGGUCUUGACAGCCUAACAAAUUUUAAGGGAGAAAUUAAAAUUUCCCAAAUUUAUUUUGGCUAUCACAACGGUCUGCCUCAGAACAAAUGAAAGAUUUAUAUGUUAGUUCAAAAUUAUAUAUUUUUCAAAUAUUUUAUUUUCUUUACUUUCAAUUUUUUACUUUACCAACCACACCUAUAAAAAAAAAUUAUGUUAUCCUUUUAAAUUUUUACUCCAAAUUUUCAAUUUUCUUUCCACUCUACCAAACAAAAUCUUAAAGCUACCCUAGGUUCUGCACAAUAUGGAGGAUGGAAAAGAAUGACAUAAUUUGCGAUUGUUCAAAUACAUGAGCAACGUAUAACUAAGAGAAAUAGAAGCUUAAUUUAGUAAAAGCAGAACCAAACAUAAGAUCACACACAAAUAUGCUUUGUUAAUUAAAAUCAGAAGCAGCACAAGAAUCAUGGCGUGCGGUCAUUCUAUGCAUUCUCGCUUGAACUGUAGAAGGGAUAUUAUGUUUUUACGUUAAACCAAGCAUUAAACAAUAAUAUGAAUAAAGUCUAUACCAUCCAGCAGCAGUUUGCAACACAGUCCAUCAGUCAUAGAACAAGCACUUCAGAGCAAGGCUCAAAAACCUCUCAUUGAUUAGAAACAACAAUAGUUAAAUCACAGUUAACAUUUAAGUAUGGCUAAGAAAUCAAGAACAGAGCCAUGUUAUUUGCUUGAUUUACAUAGCCCACUUAUUCAUUACCUGUCAGCAAGCACAUAACCUUGCAAAUAAUCAAUAAAGAAUAAUAUUUUCUCAAGUUUCAUUAACUUGCUUUAGUUUUUUCAGACCUUCAACAUUUCCAACAAAAGUUCAGACAACUGCCUGAGAACAAUCCCAAUUCCAUAGCCAUUAAUCCUAACUCUUGUAAGAUCGCAGAAGUUUUAAUCUAAGCAAAACAAGAAAUUCCAGCUCACAAAAAAAUUGUACAAUAUCCUUUGCCCUGUGUGUGGAAACUGCUUACUUCAAAGCAUCAACAAUUAAUACAUAACCUUGGCCUUCUAACCCAGGUUUUCUACUCUUGAAUCUGCCAAGCCAACAAAUAAAAAAAUAAAAAAACAAGUUAAAAGAUAUCCUCACAAGUCAUAACCUGUCUACAAAACAAAGUCACAAUAAGCCUAUCAUAUUGUCCACUGUGCAAAGCUAACAACUAUUCUAUUAUAAGGAUUUGAUGAAUUACUAAAAAAAAUAAAAUAAAGUCAAAUUAGAAUAAAAUUAACAUUUAUUAUUUCAAUUUAAAAAAAAUCAUUUAUUAUUUCAAAAAUAAAUCAAUUUAAUUUUUGUAUUAUUAAAAAGAAUAGAACAAAGUCAAAUUAGAAUAAAAUUAACAUUUAUUAUUUCAAUAUAAAAAAAACAUUUGUUGAAUAGGUAAUUUUGGACGCAUACUAUAUACAUUCCAUUCUCAUCAUGGGGAAAUAAUUUUGGAAGUUUUUCCAAUGUUAGGGUUGUCGAUAAACAUUUAUCAGUAAUAUGAUUCCACAACACUUAGUCAUAGUUUCCAAGGUCCGAAUUAAUGAGUUAAAAGCAUCUUGGAGGCUCCUAUACUAAGAGUUAGACUGCAUUUUGCCUCCUUUAAUCAAAAAAUGAGCAAACUAGUCCUUGAACAUUAUAUUAAAGAGAAAAUUGGUCCUUUUUGUUAAAAAAUUCAUCCAUUUGUACUGUUAAAAACUAGUGUGAUUGAAGAAAUAACUAGACAAUAACAUGUGACGUGCUAUGUGUACCUCAUGUUAACAUUCAGGGACCAAUUUUUAAUGGUAGAAAUGGAAGAAAUUUUUAAUAGAAUCGACAACCAUGUUUUUACCUGCAUUUAGUUGAUAUAUUGAAAAUCUUCAUUUUCCAUUUUGCAUUCAUGUCCCGUUUGGGUAUGGAUAUAAAAAUAUGGUACUCCAAAUAUAUGAAAAAACCUUUAAAAAAUUAAAUAAACUCGUGUUAGACACAAAUUAUAUCAGACAUUUGAUCAAAAAAAUCUUAGCAACAUAGGCCUCCACCUAUUGAUUUAUGUAACAUGGCUUUGAAAGAUGCCCUAAAAUCAUCCGUUCUUUCAUGUAACGUGUGGCAGUUGACUCCCAACCCACCUCCAGUUCCAAUUUAUUUUCUUGCUGAAAAUUGGAUUUCGGAUCGCAUCUUGCUCAACCGAUUGGGGUGUCUUUAAAAAACAAUUGAAGAAAAAUUAAAACUGAAAUUUUAAUCUCAUGUCAUCAAGGAAAAAUAAGAAACACAUAUAUUCUUUAUAAAAUUUUUGCAUGUUAUGCCUUUUUGUUGUAAUUGUUGUAACUACUUAGAAUAAAGUAGGAUUAAAGGGUUGUAGGAUCGAUACCUUUGUUUUGCAAUGCACAAAUUCCUGUGAAUCAAUGAAGAAACCAGUUGUCAACUUAGGGCAAUCUCUUUCUGUCAAAACUCUCAAUGCUGACAAUACAGAAUGAUAUCUUUUGGGAUAGAAGUGAAUGAGGCCUGGUAGUUCUUCAAGUGAUAACCAUUCUAAUUUAUCAAAAUUCAUCUCCUUUUCAGCUGUCACUUCCACUUCAUCUUCUAAUUCGAAUACUUCUUCCAAUUUAGAGUUCAUUUUCAAUUUCAAACAUUCAAGUUUUGGAAGAACAUGAACAUAUCCAAAAGGAAAGGCUUUUCAAAUUUCUACAAUUUCUAACUGUGAUAUUAGUCAAAUUUGGAAAGCUUAUAGGUUGGAGGCCAGUAUCACCAUUUGAUGAUGAUGAUGAAGAAACUUGGUCCUUGGCUAAAAUGAGUCGUUCUAUUUCCUCACACCCCUCGAUGAAAAGAUUCACCAAAUGCGAUAAACUGUGAGCCGUUGUAGGUGAAAAUAUAUAUCCUAACUUCUUGCAAUCCCUCAACUUUAGAGUUGUAAGGUUCUCAAGGGUUACAACUUGAGCAAAAUCAUUCCAUAUAAUCUGCACUUCAAAUAAAUUAUUCAAGUCCAAUUCUUUUAUCCUUGAGAACGAGUACCCACCUUGAACUUGAAAUACUUCUUCAUGAUUCCCAACUACUAUACAAUCUUCAUUCAAUACAUACAGAAAUCCCAACAAAUGUCUUAAAAACACACUAGAGUAAAUGUUACCCAUAAGUGUUCAUAUUUUACAUGUUCCAAGUAAUAAUGUAUACUACUUCUCCAAUUUCAUUACCACAUGUAUCUUUUGUUUUUUUUAAAGGAUAUAUUUUAAAAUUUAAACCCCUAAAAUUUCAACCAAAUUAUUUACACAUGAGAGGCAAAUGCUUGAUUUUACAUUUUUAUUUAAAGAGUGAACAAUGGGACUCGCGUGCAAAUUAAGUAUAAAAGGGGAAUGAAUUAUCGCAUGAAUUAAGCAAAGCAAUAUAUUGAUUUACUAGUUUGCUACAGUAUCAAAAUCCAUAUAUAAAAUGCAAACAAUCUAAAUAAUACCUCCAGGAGCCGAGCUUGUACAAUGAAGCAUGAGAAUAUUGGGCAAUCCAUUAUUUGAAGAGUUUUCAAUUUUGCCCAGUAAUAAUUCUGCAUGAAUGAACCACACAUUUAGAUAUUAUACAAAAUAUAUUUAUCAUUUAUAUAACAAUUAAUACAGAAGUACCUGUGAUCUAAAUUCCGGAAGCACAAUAUCUUGCCCAUUCUCAUUUUGCUCCAUGUUGAAUAUUUGCAUAAAUUGAGGACAAUGACUUAUGUGAAGAAAUUCCAAGGAUUGAAGCCCUUGAGUCGAAGUGCUUACACAAACAUAUUUCAAACUUUUGCAGGACUGUAUGUGAAGAAUUCUCAAUUUCGGCCAGUAACAAAGACCACAAUCAUUUUGCGUAUUUCAAACACACAUAUUAGGAAGUUAUUUAUUUUUAAUAAUUUUUUAAUAUUAUAAAAAAAUUGAGCAUAUCAAUAUAAAAAUUUUAAAUAUAUUGAUCAUUAUAUUGUAUUUUCAAGGUAUUUUCACUAAUGUAAAAUAUUUGUUAUUAUAUUAUAAAAAAAUGCUAUAAAAAAGCAAAAAAUAGUUAAGUAGAUUAACAAAAUGACUUCUAUAGGUAGUUUCACAAACCUUCUCAAAAUCACUUUGGCUCGAUAAUUUCUCUCCAACAGCAACAGGAGUUUUAGUUGCCUUAUUGUUUUGCAUGGAGAACUUGGUCAGAAUCUUUGUGGCAAAGCUUUUCUGACUUAGGAAUAUCCCAUUCUGUGUUUGUGAUACCUCCAUUCCAAGAAAAUAGGACAUCUCACCUAGAUCAGACAUUUCAAACACUUCCUGCAUGUUGGUCUUGAAAUUGACCAGCACUGUUCGAUCUCCUCCUGUUACCAGCAGGUCAUCAACAUACAGGGACACAAUGAGCUGUGUUUGUGCCCCUUCCUUCUUAACAUACAGUGUUGGCUCACUCUUGCUUCGAUCAAAUCCCAAACUAAUCAAAUAGCCAUCGAUUCUGCUAUACCAGAACCUUGGGGCCUGUUUCAAGCCAUAUAGGGCCUUCUUCAGUUUAUAGACCAUGUGCUCUCUGCCAGCUAUCUCAAACCCUUGUGGUUGUUCAACAUAGAUGUCUUCAUCUAAGAAGCCAUUCAGAAAAGCUGACUUCACAUCGAGUUGAUGGAUCUUCCAUUCGAGCUGUGCUACUAAGGCAAUCAACAGUCUGAUGGUGUCGAGCCUGGCCACUGGUGCAAAGGUCUCCAAGAAGUCCAGGCCAUAUUUCUGACUGAACCCCUUGACAACUAACCUUGCUUUCAGUUUGUUCAAGGUUCCAUCAGCAUUCUGCUUGGCUUUGUACACCCAUUUCACUCCAAUAACCUUCCUUUUGACUGGCUUUUCAACUAACUCCCAAGUCUGGUUCUUCUCAAUCAUGCUGAUCUCCUCAGCCAUUGCCUACUUCCACCCUUGCUGAGCUUUAGUCUCUUCAAAGUUGCAUGGUUCAACUAUGGUUACAUGAGCCCUUUCAUAAAUCUCAGUCAAUGGUCUUGUUCCCCUGACUGGUUCAUCAUCAAUGUCCAUUUAAGGAACAUUUUGGUCUGGCUCAGCUUGAUCUGCUGCAAGUUCUUUUGAAACUUCCCCAGGUUCAUGUCUUUCCUAGUUCCAACAUGACCUUUCAUCGAAUACCAUAUCCCUGCUGACUGACACUUUAUUUGUUAAAGGAUCCAAGAUCCUAUAGCCCUUCUUGACAGUGCUGUAGCCCACCAGAACACUAGGUCGAGCCCUUUCAGACAACUUUUCCAUUUUAACAGCAGUUACAUGUACAUAACAGAUACAUCCAAAGACCUUCAGAUGAGCCAGUGAUGGCUUGAAUCCAAACCAAGCCUCAAAUGGAGUCUUCUGAUCCAAAGCCUUGGUUGGGAGUCUGUUUUGAAUGUAGGUUGCAGUGUUAACUGCUUCUGCCCAUAGAGCUUUAGGCAGAUUCUUCUGAAUCAUCAAGCACUUGGCCAUAUCCAUCAGGCUCCUAUUCUUUCUUUCACUUACACCAUUUUGCUGAGGUGUAUAAGUGUUGGUAAGCUGAUUUUUGAUGCCUGCCUUAUCAUAGAAGGCUUAGAACUGAGCUGAGGCGUACUCAGUCCCAUUAUCAGACCUUAUGGUCUUCAGCUUGCAGCCUGUUUCAGUCUCAGCAGCAGUUUUGAACUUCCAAAAACAUAGAGGCCACCUAUGAUUUCUGUUUCAAGAAGUAAAGCCAACAAUAUCUCAAGAAAUCAUCAAUAAACAGUAUGAAAUACCUGUUUCCACUUAAUGACUCAGUCUUCAUGGGGCCACACACAUCAGUGUGCACCAGUUGAAGUUUUUCAGAGGCUCUCCAAGCUUGAUUCGAGGGAAAUGGGAGUCUGGCCUGCUUUCCUAGCUGACAUACUUCACAUACAUCAUCAUGCUCCACUGAGUUGAUAGAGUUCUCAGCCAAGACCUCUCUGACCAUUCGAGCCAUCGAUCUGAAGUUGGCAUGUCCAAGCCUUUGAUGCCAAAGCUAAGAUUCAUUUGAUGUGGAUGUGUAGGCAAUGUCUGACUCCUUUGUUCAGUCAACUACAAAGCUCUUAUCAGCCAUAGGGACUGACAUUAGCUUGGAUCCACUUGGAUCACUGAUUUGGCACUGGUUGUCUUUGAACACAACAGAAUAACCUUUCUCCAGCAAUUGAGCUAUGCUGAGCAGGUUUCUGUCAAUUUCAGGCACCAAGAGCACAUUUGAAAUCACUUUGGCACCUGUGAGAGUGCAUAUCAGCACAUCACCCUUGCCUUCAGCUUUUAUAAAGUGGCCAUUGCCUAUUUUAACUUUGGUUCUGCAGCUUCUGUCUAAGAACUUGAAGAUAGCAGCAUCAGGUGUCAUAUGGUUGUAACAUCCACUGUCUAGAAGCCAACCAGAUGGAAUUCUUUGUUGAGCACCUGAGCAUGACACAACAAAGACUUGCUCCUCUUGAUCACUGUCUUCUUUGGCCACUCGAGCUUCUGCCUUCACUUGUUGGGAAUGAUUCUGCCUUGGUUUACCCAUGCUUUUGCAGACUCUUUCAACAUGACCAUUUCUUUUGCAAUGCUGGCAUACAACAUCUGGAUUGAACCACCAUUUUUCUUCUGGAUGACCAACCCUUUUACAGUGCUUACAAGUCUAACCCUCUUUUCUUGCAGCAUCAUACCUUGUCUUGUCUCUCCAGGCCUUCUUGGCUUUGUAGGCAGUUUUUGUCCUUGCCUGAAAGGCACCUUCUUUGUGCUUCUCCAGUCUGCUUGCUCUUCUCUGCUCUUGAGCAUAUAGAGCAUUGAUGAACUCUGUCAGGGAGGUGCUGGACAAGUCCCUUGAGUCUCCGAGAGAUGAGAUUUUUGCCUCAUACCUUUCAGGCAAAUUUGCAAUAACCUUCUCCACUAUCCUAGCUUCAUUGAACUGCUCUCCAAGGAGCCUAAUGCUGUUAACCACAGCCAUAAUCCUGUCAAAGUAUUGCUUGAUAGUUUCUUCUUCCUCCAUAUUCAAAUUCUCGAAUUCUCUCCUCAGGUUCAACAACUGUUGCUGCCUUGUCCUCUCUGUCCCAUGAAACUCCUCUUGCAACUUGUCCCAGGCCUGCUUUGGUGAUUCACAUGCCAUAAUCCUUGUGAAAAUCACAUCUGACACUGAGUUCUGGAUGCAAGACAUAGCCUUGUGCCUCUUGGUCCUCUCAUCAGCAUGCUACCUGAUCUGAGCCACUGUUGGAUUGGCUCUAAGUGGUUCUGGUUCAACAUCAGAGUUGACCACCUCCCACUGAUCGAAAGCCUGCAGGUAGGUCUUCAUUUUGACCACCCAUAUGUGAUAGCCUUCUCCAUUGAAGACUUGAGGUGCAGCUGGGGAAAAGUUUGAUGAAGCCAUCCUUAAACAGUAGGUCCCUUAAGAAACAGGCUCUAGAUACCAAUUGUUGGUGGAAUAACAGAAAUUAACAUACUCAGCUAGUGUCUUGUGCAACAAGCCUCGAUGCUUGCUGAGCAAACAAACAAAUUUGAGCCAAAGAAAGAAGAAAAGCUAAGGAAAAAUGGAGAGUAUUUGAUGAACAAAAUCUGAUUCAUUCAUUGAAUAAACAAUGGCAUGAUGCCAAUACAUAAAUCAAGCACUAAGCUUGUAAAAAAUAGCAAGUAAUCACCUAAACAUUACCUACCUCCACUAAUUACAUAGAAAAUUGAAAUUUUAGCUUGUAAACCUAUACAAAGCUGUGUUUACAGCUCAUAUACAAGCUAAUUACAUCAAUCAAAUACUUAACUUAGUUAGACUAAGACUCAUUUCAUGAACUAAAGUUUACAAAAUGAACAAAAUAAGCUUGCAUCAGCACCUCCUGCAUGGCUUGGUCUUCAUGCUGUCGAGUGUUGGCUGCAUGCUGACCAACUUCAUCAUUGUGAAAUUUGAUUAGUAGAAAGUAUCACUGAUAAUGCAGUUAAACGAGACAAUGAAUUCAACUCCAAUAAACUGAUAUUGCUUUUGCUUAUGACAUGUAACUCUUGCAGUGAAGUCAACCUAUUAUUUUCAUAAAAAAAUAGCAUUAAUUAAGACACAAUACACAUGAGAUGAAUAUGAAAUAUUAAAGAUGAAACUGGCCAAAAUUGUGAAAAAAAUUCAAACAUUCAUAAAAGUUUAUAAAUCAUUAAUGAUUUUUAGUUUUAUAAUAUUUUAAAUAUUUAUUUAUUUUAUUAAAUGAUAAAAGUGACGCAUUAUAGUUAGUUGGUGGUGUAUGAAAUUCAUACAUUGAUGAUGUAUCAAAUAUUAUCUCAUAUAUAUGUAUUAACUCUAAAUUUACAAAAAGCUCUUAAAAAAUCUAAAACUACAAAUAGUACCCUAUUUUUGAAAAAAUAUUUAUCCAAUUAUUUAUUUUUAAUUUAAAUAAAUUAUUAAUAAAAUAUUAUACCAUUAAAAUUAGAGGACUUAUUAAAUUAAAAUUUCUUAAUUGAUUUCUUCUUCAACUCCAACACUAGAAAGACGUAAAUAUUUCAGUGUAGACAAUUUCACUAAUUCUUCACUUAUCUCAUCAAUUUUAGUGCCAAUCAAUGCAAGAAUCUCAAGGCUUCUCAUAUUUUUCAGUGAUGAUGAGAAGUUUUCCAGCUCGCAAUCCACACAACACAAAGUUUUAAGAUUUGGUAAGGAAUGGAAUCCUAUGGGUGAGAAACUGACACUUUCUAGAUAUAGAACUUGGAGGACUUUCAUUUCUUCAAAAAAUAUACUGGAAACCACUAGUAAAUCACCUCGCUUCCGCUUCCGCUUCUGCCUCAAGUCCCAUCUCCAAUCGCAAUCCCAAUCCCCCUCUAAAAUCAAAGUCAUGAGCUUUGAAAAUUCCACUUUAUCAGGAAAUUUUUUUAUGUUACUACUACAAUUCCAUAAAGCGAUUGCACCAUAACAUCCAUCCAUAUCGGGCCAUUCUUUCAGCUCAUCUUUUACCAUGAACCUUUUUUCUCCGGUUGAUGUUAGCCAAUGAGCAAAAUCUCGAAUCACAUCAUGCAUUCUUAUCCUUUCUGCAUCAUCAGUUCCCAAUAUCAAGCCUGAUUUUUGGAGUUUUUUAAGUGCCAUAACAAUUUCAUUCCUUUUAUCUUCAAUCGAGAAAGCAUUAGGGAACAAUCCUACUCCAAUUCCACACAUAAUCAAUAUCUUAAGAGAGAUUUCAUAAUCUUCAGGAAAAAGGGAACACAGUAAGAAACACAUUUGGAUGUCAUUUCCCGUCAUUUGGCUAUUGCCUUCCUUCAAAUAAUCGUAGGUAAGCUUAAGAGGCUUGGGGACACCUCCGAGAACUUUUUCAUUAUCCAAAUGUCUUGAUUCCUUGAAUCUCUGAUUUACGGUUGUCCACCCAUUUAAACUCUCACCUUUCAAAGCUUUGGCCACGAAAACAAUUGCAAGAGGCAAUCCCUUACAUUGAGCAGCAACCUCUUUGGCUACAUCAUUCAAGGUGGAACUGUCAUCAUCUAAACCAGUUUUACCUCGAAAUAAAACCCAUGCUUCGUCUUCGGAUAAGAUGCCAAGUUGAAUUUCCUUCUUACAGUUCAUUUUAGUGCAGAAUUGUUGAUCACGUGUAGUCAGAAGAAUUUUACAACCCUUGUGUUCAUCACCGAAUGGAAUUCUGAUACUCUCCAAUUUCAAUUCUUCCCAGAGGUCGUCGACAAUUACGAGGAUUUUGUUCACGCCUUGCAUACUUCUGAAUGGCACUUCUACUUUUCCUUCUCGGCUACUUGUUUCAAAAUUUAAACAAAAAAAUCUGCAACUUUAUCUUGGAUUUUGUUGAUGUUUGGAUUUUGGGACAUAGUAAACAUCACAAAUUUAUCAAAGAGCUUUUGUUCUCGAGCAUGCUUCCCAACUUCUUGGGCUAAAGUUGUUUUACCAACUUCUGGCAUUCCGUGCAGUCCGAUCAUGUUGACACCCUUAGCGUUUAUAGCCUCCAUCAUCUGGUUCAAAGCUGAUUUUGAAGAUUCAGAGUCCAUGAAAUCCGUGGAUGUGAUGAACUCUAUUCCUUGAAGAGAAUCACAAUAGCCCACCUGUGGGAAGUUAGAAGCCUCUAAAAGUUUAGAGAUAAUAGGAUUCUUCUCUGCAAGUUUCUUACUUAAGCAGUAUCGCCAGCCCCAUUUAGGACACCAUUUGAAACACUUGACGCUAUCUAUUUCAUCUUCCAAGUUCUGGGUUUCUUCCAGUUCUUUCUCAGCACUUCUAAGCCAGUCCUCAACGUCCUCAUAAAUGACCUCAAUUUUCCUUUUAGCCUCAUCGACACGAGUUUUCACCAUCUGUUUCCUCAAUUUAAGUGCCUUCCGUUGAUUCGUGAAAUCUUCAAUGAUCUCUCCAUAACCGAAAAAGUAACGGAGAUAAGGUAAUGUGCAUUUCUUUGCCUUGUUUGUCACAUUUUCGACAGUAGUAGAGGCAACAUAUUCGGCCAUUUUUGUUGAUUGUCUGAUGAGGAUGAACAAAAAACUCUGGUUAUUAGUUAGAAGAUCAACAUAAAGACAAAUAAAAGUAAUUAUGACAAAUAAAAUCAGUAUUUGUAGUGGAUUCCGAGUAGUAAAAAAUCGAAUGGAAGCUACCAAUUAAGAAGCUAUAAUUAUUCUUCUAAACCAAAGAUAUUAUUAUUGAAGAAGCUAGACAUUACUCUUGAACUUACCUCUAUUUCUCUCUGUGAAUACCAGGAAGUAAAUAGAGCUUGAGAGAAAUAAAUAACUGUAAAAGAUCAAAAGUGUUGAUUUAGUGCAGGUAAUAGAAAAUUGAGAAGGCCAAUAAAUAAAAUGGAGAUCCACUCAAAUGCAAACUAAAUGGCAUUCAAAAAAUGAUGAAAAUAUAUAGCAAGGAAGAUGAGGAGCAAUUCCUCAAAACUUACCUUCACUGAACUAUCCUCUGCGCUGUUUCUUUUUCCAAGUGGAAAUCAAGGUAAGAAGAAAGUUUGCUUUUCCAGAAAUAAAAGAAAGUUUGCAGGUUUUUUUUUUACCUUAAUUGACCCAAUACAAGAAAAUUUUGAAAAUUGAAAAACAAAGAGUGGAAAUGAUCACAAACAGAGAUUUGGGAAUUUGGAUGAAGAAACAACAAUGGCGAGUAGUUGGUUUAACUUUAAUGUUUUGUCCAUCCUUAGUUAUUUAGCGGAUGGCAAAUAAAAGACACUACUUUUAAUCCACCUCUCCGCCUAUGCCCUUCAAAAUUUUUAAUUUUAGUUACUCAAUUCUACUUUCGCAUUAAUCGUGGAUAACUUCCGUUUUUUCUUUCCCUCUAAGGUUCCAGGUCGAUGUUAGUUGAAAAUGGUAGUUGAAUGUCCAAAGUAGGUUAAAUGCUUUCUUCUUUUUUCUUUUCGGACGGCAUAAAAGGUUGAAGAUGAUGAUGUUUAUAUCUUUCUCCACUAACAUUUCACUUCUUUACUUACAUUAAUUUAUAAUUAAACCUAAUUAAUUUACUUAUUAGUUCAGCAUUAAUAUUUAAUUAGCUUAAUAUAAUGACGUUUCCCACUACCCUCAAUUUAUGAUUGAUUUAUUUGUCAUUUUAGUCUUUUGAAUAAUUAUCAUUUAAGUAGCUAAGUUAAGCUUUUUUUUUAAAUUAAAAAUCUACUAUCUCUAAACUUAAUUAAUUACAUUUUUCGCUAAAUUCCUUAAUUGAAUUUCAAUAUCCAAAUACAUGAAAUAAAUGAGAUAAAGGUGUAUAAUAUUCUCAUUUGCCAAGUUUCAAAAUUAUACUUGGUUGAUCUGUCUCUCCUUUUCCAAGAGUGCUUCGCCGAGAGUCCUAGUGGAGGCAGUCACUUCUGCAACUUGGGAUGGGGGAAAACGGUGGAGAUGAUAGAGAGCAGAGGGACGAGAUCUCACUCUUAACUGAAGAGCUUAUUCAAUUAUCUGUCAAACGUUCGAACCAACCCUGAUUUGCACAAUAUGGACAGAGAAGUUCUAUAAUCCGGAAAGUUUCAAGGCACAGAUGAAGAGUUUGUGGAAAACAAAAAAUAAGUUCGAGAUUCAAUCAGCAGGACAAAACCUAUUUUGAUAGCGUUUGAGGCGGAAGAGGAUUUAGAAUUGAUUAUGGAAGGUAGGCCAUGGUUAUUUCGGAAGAGUCUAAUCCUUUUCGACAGGAUUACUCAAUCGGUGGAAAGAUCUCAGAUUCGGCUCAACUCCUCACCGGUCUGGCUGAACGUAGGACCAUGCCUACCUGAAUUUGAUAAAAAAGACUUGCUGCAUGCCAUAGGUGUCACUUUUAGUGGGAUAAUCAGAUCUGAAAUCAAUGGAGAAUGGUGUCGUCUAAAAAUAAAUCUCGAUGUGCAGAAACCCCUUCGAAGGGGUAUUUUUGUCUCAGUGAAUAAUAAGAAUAAAUGGUGGAUUUCAUUUAAAUAUGAUAAACUGCCAACUUUUUGCUUCAGAUGUGGAAAGCUGUGGCACGGACUCCCAGGUUGUAACUCACUGAAUCCUGCAGAAAAAACAAAAAUUAAAGAAAAUCCCCCAUACACAAUGGCACUAAGAGCAGAAUCAAACUUACUUGGAAAGGAGUGUAUUCAAUUAAAUAACUCUUUAAACCAGAAUAGGGUGCAAUGUUUUUAUACAGGUGGCUCUGACCUAGAUUUGAUUGAAUAUGGAAAAGCUGAAGAAACAAAUAAUUGGUUGGGGAUGACGCAUGGAGAACUACUAGUGAAUGAAAACAAGGAGGAGAUGAAGAAGCAAGAAAAAGAAGAUUACGUUAUGAGCAAUGAGCGGGUGGUUGAUAAGAGGAGAAGUCAAGACAGUAAUCCAAAUUCAGUAAAGAAUUCAACCUGGAGAAGAGUCAAUCCAGCCCCAACAGUGGCAAAGCAGAAGGAUUGAAAACGGUAACAAGAAGAGGAAAGCUACUGAAGAAAUAGUAGACUUAUUAUAUAGAAGCUGAAUAUGGAGUUGCGACAAAAAGGCUAAAAAAAGAUAGUGAACAGGAACAAGGAGAAACGCUACUAGAAACGGUGGGAAACGAUAUGCAACAGAGUGAUACUAAUUUACUCAGGAUCGGUGGCUGCCAAGAGGCAAGCCGACCGAACGCAAUGAAAAUCAUUACUUGGGAUGUUCGUGGAUUGGGGAGUCCACGAACAGUUAGAAGGCUGCGAUAUUUUCUAAAGCAGCAAAACCCCCAAAUGGUCUUCUUAAUGGAGACAAAAUUAAGCAUGCAAUGUAUGGAGAAAGUUAGAAGAAGAUGUGGUUUUCAGAAUGGAAUCGAUGUUGAUGCAGAAGGUUCCCGAGGUGGUUUAUGCUUAGCAUGGAAAGAAGAAAUUACGGUUACAUUAAGAAGUUUUUCUAAGUCAUAUUGAUGCAAUGGUUAUGGAAGAAACUGACAAUGCAGAAUGGAGAUUCACAGGUUUCUAUGGCUCCCCUUAUGCCAAUCUGAAGAAUGAUUCGUGGAAUUUGCUACGUAAAUUGGGACAAGACCAGACACAUCCAUGGGUAGUGAGUGGGGACUUUAAUGAAAUCAUGUAUUCUUUAGAGAAAAAAGGAGGCUUACUAAGAGAUGAAAAGCGGAUGGAGGCAUUUAGAGAAACUCUUGAAGAAUGCAAAUUGGAAGAUCUAGGGUACAUAGGGCCUUGGUUCACAUGGGAAAUGGGAAAUAUGCCAAAAACAAAUGUUAAAGAGAGACUUGAUAGAGGAGUAGCCAAUGAUAAGUGGAGGAACCUAUCUCCAAUGGGUAACAUUCAUCACUUGUCCCAUUCAAUAUCUGAUCAUUGUCCUCUGCUGCUUAUUACAAAAUCAGAAAACGUUAAUUUUGGAAAGCCAAGUUUUAAGUUUGAGGCAAGAUGGACCAUGGAAGAGUCUCUCGAAGGAGAAAUUAAAGCAUCUUGGGAUUCAACUACAAAUACCGUACCGGAGAAACUGGUAAAACUACAGUCAGACUUAAAAAAAUGGGCAGGGGAAAUUAAAAAAGGACGAGAAGGACUGAAGAAAAGGCUUACAAAGAAACUGGAAAUGCUGAUGGAAAAGGAAAGUACCGAUGACAUAAUGGCAGAGAUCAUUGAUACAAAGAUGCACCUAAACCUCGAAAUUGAUAAAGACGAAAGAUAUUGGGAACAACGAGCAAGGGUAAAUUGGAUAAAAGCAGGGGACAAAAAUACAGCUUUCUUUCACAGGCACGCCACAUCUCGACGGAAGAAAAACACGAUAUCAAGGCUGGAACUUGUCGGAGGAGGAGAAGCGACGGAAGAAUGCAAGAUCAGUGAAGAAGCUACUCUUUUCUUCCAGAAGUUAUUUACAUCAAAAGGAACAGGUGAGCUAUCCUACCUCCUAACAGGCAUUGAAGGAAAAAUGACACCAGAAAUAAAUGCAGACUUAAUGGGGAAAUUUACGGAGGAGGAAGUGCAUCUUUCCUUGAAAGGAAUGGGGCCAACUAAAGCACCAGGACCUGACGGAUUCCCAGCACUUUUCUUUCAACAAUAUUGGCAUAUUGUAGGUAAAGAAGUCACCACCUUUUGUUUGGAAAUUUUAAACAGUGACAAAAUUUUAGGCCAUUCAAAUUUUACUAGUAUUGUUUUGAUCCCAAAAGCGCAGAAUCCCAAAAACAUAACAAGUUUCAGGCCUAUCAGUCCAUGUACUGUUAUUUACAAAAUUGUGGCAAAAGCAAUAGCCUAUAGACUUCAAGGGGUUAUUGGGCAGUGUAUUGAUCUGUCGCAGAGUGCUUUCAUCCCAGGAAGGUUAAUUUCUGAUAACAUGUUGCUUGCCUAUGAGAUCUUACACACUCUUAGACGAAAACGAACAGGCAAGAAAGGCUUUAUGGCAGUUAAACUUGAUAUGAGCAAAGCCUUUGAUAGGGUUGGGUGGAGUUUUUUUAAGGAAGUCAUGUUGAGAAUGGGUUUUACAAAAGAAUGGGUUGGUUUAAUUAUGAAAUGCAUUACUACAGCUUCUUUCGCAAUCAAUAUUAAUGGAAAAGAGGGAAGUCUUUCAAUCUUCUAGAGGACUACGACAAGGUGACCCACUUAGUCCUUUCCUUUUUCUACUAUGCAAUGAGGGGCUUUCGGCACUAAUGAGAUUAGCAUUGUAAGGACGGAUAAGAGGAGUCAAGGCAAGCAGGACAGGACCAGCGAUUUCACAUCUACUUUUGCUGAUGAUUGCAUUCUGUUCGGAGAAGCAACUAACAAGGGUGUAAGGGCGCUAAAAGAAAUCCUUAAGGAAUAUGAAGAAUGUUCGGGCCAAUGUGUCAAUUUUGAAAAAUGUUCAAUUUAUUUUAGCUCAAACACGUCAGCCAGAGAUAGAGAGGAAGUUUCAGUAAGCCUAGGUAUAAGAGGGUCAACAGAUAUGGAGAAGUAUUUGGGCCUUCCUAAUGUAGUUGGAAGGCGGAAAAAGGAGGCUUUCCAAUAUCUCAAAGAUAAAGUUAAUGCUAGAAUUAAAGGGUGGAGUACCAGACUAUUAUCACAAGGUGGCAAGGAAGUUUUCAUCAAAUCCAUCCUUCAGGCAAUUCCGACUUAUGCCAUGUCAUGCUUUCUUCUCCCUAAUUCUAUGUGACAAAUUGGAAAAGUUAUUCGGUACCUUUUGGUGGCAAAAGAAGCAAGGAAAAAGAGGAAUCCACUAGUGUAAAUGGCAAAAUAUGUGCAGAGCAAAAGAACAAGGGUGGAAUCCACUAGUGUAAAUGGCAAAAUGGCAAAAUAUCUCCUUAUUAGCUAAACAAGGCUGGCGAAUCCUAAAUAAUCCAAACUCGUUAGUUGCAAGGGUGCUAAAGACUAAAUAUUUUCCAGAUACGGAUUUCCUUAAUUCGCGUCUUGGGAAUAAUAGUUCUUUUACGUGGAAAAGCAUAUGGGCAACGAGAGGUGUUCUACUCGAUGGAAGCUGUUGGAAAGUAGGGAGGGGUACCGCAAUUUCGGUCAUUAAUGAUAGUUGGUUACCGGAUUAUCCAAAAUUAUCAUCUUAUUUUACCAAUUAUACCAGGUUAUCGCAUUUGCAGGAAUAUAAAGUUGCAGAUCUAAUUGAAGACAGAAACAAAGAAUGGAAAAAAGAACUAAUCGAAGCUACCUUUCCUGCGGAGAUAUCUGAGAAAAUCUUCUGUAUCCCACUUGCAAAAGAGCUUCAUGAUGAUUUCCUGGUCUGGCGGGGAGAGUCUUCAGGAGAAUUCACAGUAAGAAGUGCCUAUAAACUAUUACAGAGCUUCGAAAAUGACCCUAGUGCUUACGCUUUACAAAAUAAUUCUAGAAAUUUCUACAGAAACCUAUGGCUCCUUAAUCUACCUCUUAAGGUAAAAAUUUUAGUCUGGAAAAUAACUUGGAAUUAUAUCCCGACUCGAGUCAACUUGAACUGCAGAAGGCUAUUAAACAAUGUGACAUGCGUUGGGUGUGGUAAUGCAGCAGAGUCUGCAAAUCAUAUAUUCCGAGAAUGUCCUGUGACAAGAACAGUUUGGGAAGAAUUAUUAUUCCCAGAAUUAUUACAAGUUCAUCAUAUGGAUUUCGUACAAUGGCUUACCUGGGUUUUUGAACAGAAUUCCACCAAUCGGCGACGGAUCUUUUGUUGUGCUCUUUGGGCAAUAUGGGGAGAAAGGAAUAGGAGAGUGCAUGAAAAGACUAAUAGAUUUGGGAAGGAGACAGCAUAUUUUGUUAAGAGAUAUAUUAGUGAACUGAAUGAGAUUGGAGCAAAAACACCUCAGGUUAGACUAAGAGGCAGGAAAUGGAAGUACCCACCUGUCCAGUUUGUGAAGGUUAACUUCGAUGCAGCAUUUGAUGUAAACUCACAACAAUCAGCAGCGGGUAUAGUGGCCAGGGAUAGCGACGGAAACACACUCUUAUCAUGUACUGAGAUUCAUCAUCAUGUGGCAUCAGCCUUUGCCGCGGAAGCAAUAGCGUGUCGAACAGCAACUCAAAUAGGCAGGGACAUGCAAUGGUCAAACAUUAUUAUUGAAGGGGAUGCAUUAUCUAUUAUAAAGAAGUGCAAACUGAAAAGCCAUGAUAAAUCCAGAAUCGGAGCAUACAUCCAAGAUAUUCAUCAGCUAUUAAAAAAUUUUGGAAACUACUAUUUUGAGUAUAUUCCCAGAGAAGCUAACAACCUGGCACACAAACUAGCGACGGUGGCAUUAAAGGAAAAAAAAGAGCUUUACCUUCUUGGAAGAGUCCCGGACUACGCUGCGAAUCUGGAAGAAGCCGAAAGAAAGACAGGGGAAAUGUGUUGAGAAGAAAUGAACGGUUACAAGGAAAAAGAAGCUGUAUUGCAAAAUUCAAAGGAGUGGCAGACAAGGCUUCAUUGGAAAUCCGAAAACGUCUCUCUGAAGUAAUGAAUAGAAGAUUUUGAAAAGACGGAAAUGGAUUUUUUCUGAUUGGGCAAGAUAUGUUAGCAUUUAUUAGGUUCUGGAAGUUUUACAGACUGUUUUUUAUUCUUUUUCUUUAAUUUCCUUUUAAGAGUUGGCCCACAGUUUUGACUUGUCUUCGGGCCAGAACUUGCUUUAGUUUACCCUGGACUUUUUAUAUUUUUUCUUCAUUUUAAGUUAUAAAGCCCAAUCUGAAUUUGUUUCAAAAAAAAAUUAUACUUGGUCAAAAUUUGUGUCAAAAUUUAAAUGUAAACUUGAUCUAUCAAUAUUUCACAGCAUGUCUCGAGUAAUGGGUGUAACAUGCCGCCCGGUGAAAUCUUAGUAUCUGAAUAUUGUUUGAAUAAAUAAGAUAGGUAAUACGAUCUAGAAGGGUAUAGUGAUUAAAGCUAGAUUAUGAAUAAGAACUAUUUGAGUGCGCCUAUGGCACCUUGAGAUUGGCGAGCACUAGGUUAGCCCAUAACGAGUAAGAAAUAUAUCUGACAGAAACGAUUCACCCAAAAGCCUUUGAUUGGCGUAAAAAAGACGGGUGGAAUAUGUUAUAAGUAACGAGAAAAUAAACCGUGUGUCGAGAAGUCUAUGUCAACAAUAAGUGCACUUAGUAACGAUGGCCUUGAGCCAGUUAAGUUAUAAAGAAACAAUGGUUAAGUUUAACUGAAUAUGAGCUAAAAUAGUUAAGAACUAAAGGAAAGCAGUUGAUUAAUAUUCCUGGAACUGGUAAGAUUUGGAUAAAACCACCAAUUGAUUUAUGUGACGUGUGCCUAGUUCCAAUAUAGACUUGGGGUUAAGUUAAGGGCAUGAGAUAGGUUAAGAAGAGAUAUCUUCUCUCUCAUUGGUGGAGUAAGGCUAAGAGAAGAUGUAUGAACUCUGAAAAAGAUCUAAAGUCGACAAUUAGGCAAGUGAGAGGCAAGGUAAUGACGGGUGUAUGGGCAAGCCUUCGUAGAUGUAUGUUUGAUGAGCUUUCAAGUGAUGCUCGAAUGAUGAUAUGCUUGAAUGAGAAAGCAAUUUAUGCACCUGUGUAUUGAAUACCGUUAGUUGAACAAGGUCAUGACCUAAUAAUAAAUAUCAUUUACUAAGGAUUGAGGGCUUAUUUGAUCAGUUAAGUGGGAUUUUCCAAAAUUGAUGUAAGGUUAGGUUAUUAUCAGAAAAGGAUUAAAGGUGAUAGACAGCUUUUCAGUCAAGAUAUAGUCACUAUGAGUUUUUGGUGAUGUCAUUUGGGUUGACAAAUACACCAAUAAUAUUCAUGGACUUAAUUAAAUUCCAACCUUACUUGGAUCAAUUUGUUGUAGUCUCUAUUGAUGAUAUAUUGAUAUAUUCUAAGAGUAAGAGUGAUAAUGAAGAGCAUUUGAGAAUUGUGUUGAGAACCUUGCAUAACAGUUAGUUGUAUAUUAAGUUCAACAAAUGUGAGUUUUGGCUAGAAAAAGUGCAUUUGUUAAAUUUUAAAAAAUAAAAAUUCUAAAGAAUAUAUAAAACAUUUUAAAAAUUCUAAAAUAAUAAUUCUGGGGACAUAAAUAGGUAAAUUAAUGGUUCAUGUUUAUCAUACUAAAGUAUUUUAUUUUUUCAAUUAUUUUGAUUUGAAAGAGUUUCAAAUAUAUAUGCUCUAAAAUAGAAUUAGUUGUAUGAUUACAAGAUUUGAAUUUGAUAUGUUUAAUUUUUUAAUAUAACUCAAAUAAUUUUACUCGAUACGACUCAAAUUUCAUUUUACUUGAUUCGAUUUAAAAAAAUUCAAAUUAAGUUAAAAUAAUAAAAUAAGACUUAUCAACUUGAACUUUUUCCAUUCGAUUCUACUCUAUUCGAUCCAAGACUAAGAAAUCAAAAUUUUUGUUCUCGAAAAACCAGUAAUGGUGAUUAGAGCAGAACAAAUAUUUCCAUAUUUAAAGAACACCAUUAAUUUGAGUUUACUUUUCUUUGCGCUCCUCAAGUAAUUAAUUACGAAGAGUCUUCACCACUUUUGCUAGUUGGAUGGGUAUUGUUAAUGAAUUAUUUUUUAUUAUUUUUAUGAUGAAUAAUUAAUUAUCAAGUUUGCUCACCACUUUCGCUAGUGGGACUGGCAUUGUUGAUGAAUUACUUUUUACUAUUUUAACUUACCUGCUUCUUUUGACGAAUUACUAUUUUUAAAUUAAACAAAAUUAAGAGACAUGACAUACUAAGAGCACGCUACAUCAAUUUUUUUAACGCUGUUAACAGUUGGGACAAAGUGAUACAUAGUUAGAAACUUUAGGUGUCAAAUUAAUGCAAAAAAAAUUUUAAAUACUAAAGUGAUAAUUGAGUGAAACUUUAGGGGGCAAAUAAUUCGUUAACCCUUUUACAAAUAGGAUAAGUUGACCUAAAAAAUUUAACAAAAUUGAAAUUUAAAAAUUUUAAAAAUGAAGGGCAAAAUUUAAUUAAAUUAAAGUAUAAAAAUUAAAUAUACAAGUUGCACAUAAUACAAAAAUGGAUAAUAAAAUUUAAUUGCUUAAAUUAUAGAUAGAAUUUCAUCAAGUCUUAAGUUUUAAAUCUUGUGAGAGUUAUUUUAUUCAAUAAUAUCAUUAAUUAGUGGAAGACGAAGACAUUUUAUUUGGAGUUAUUGGUUUCACUUUUUUAUGUUUAUUUAUUUUAUUUUUAUUUUUAGAAUAAAACAAUUGUCGAAAGAAAAAUGGGUUUUGGUUAGAUUAUUUUAUUUAAUAAGAAAUUAUGGUAUUUAUUUAUAGUGCUAAACAUAAUUUAUCCCUUCAAAUCUUCAAUAGCUUUGCUAUCUAAAAUACUAUUAUGUUGAAUAGGCUUAACUCAUCCUUUGAUAUUUAAGUAUCACAAAUGAUAUAUAGAUUACUUUUUUUAUCUAAGUCUAUUCAAAAGAUGUCAUCAGGAAUGAAAUUUCAAAUGUCUUUGACAUCAACUAAAUAGUCAACAUUACUAUAAUAACUAGAGUUUACACUCUAAUCAUGAAUGUUUUUAUCCGUAUCAUUUUCAAUCGGGUCUUUUCUUACACUAGUAUUUUCAACCUUUGUUAGUCAAACAGUCAAUCAAACCGUUAAUCUAUUUAAAAAAAGACUUAACCCAUAAACUGGUACCUAGACUCUAUCAUUUUUUCCAUUUUGGUACCUAAACAAUUUGUAACAUCUCAAACCUGACCUAGACAUUAAGAUUGAAUUUGGAAGAUUACAUCGGCCACCGAAAUGACCUAGUACGAUUGGAGUUUAUAAAACGGUUGUUUAUUAUUGAGGAAAACUUAGCAUGUUAUCUUUGUUUUACUGAAAGUUAUAAUUUUCCCAAAAGGAUGGAAUUUAAAGUUUACUUAGUAAAAGUCGAUUCUCGAUUUUUAUAUGUUUUUCAAAUCUCAUUUACAUAAUAAUGUAGCGAAAAAAGUGAUUUCAACUUGAGUUUAAUGAAAACUAGAUUUGUAUGCAUGAUUAAUUAAUAAACCAUAUUUUAAUAACCUAAAUCAAAAUAAAAUAUCAUCCAUGCUGAGCAAUCCCAAAGCCUAAGUCCCAUGCCACAGUUUAAAUAAAAUAUUACAAUCUUUGUAUAGAAAAAAUUGCGAAAAUGAUCUAAAAUAAUAAAAUAAUAAAAUAUGAAAUAAACAAUCUGUGGCAAUAAUCCUAGUGGCAUUCAUACCUAAUCUAAAUGAAUUUCAAGAAUGAUCAUACAAUAGCCCUAGUGGCACUCAUACCUAAUCUAAAUGACAUGCUUCCAAUAUAUGCAUGGGAUGCUAUGACAAUUUUAUAAUAUUCACAUUCUUUCACAAGAAUCAAUCAAUCAUAAAAAAAAUUUUUGAUUCUCUAGAGUUUUUCUUUUAAGGGAAAAACUGAAGAAGUGAAUGUGAACCGUGCACUAGAAACAGUCCUAGGAAAGGGAGGUGAGUCAAAUUUGACCACUUAAAAACAAGCCUUUCCUAGCCAAAGCCAGUCCUAAACAUGCACAUUCUCAUUACCAUACUUCUCACAGUAAUCAAAUAACCUAAAGAAGUUAAUAGAAUAAUACAACACAUGUAUUUUCUCAUUACCACACUUCUUAUUUUUUAAUCGAUCAAUUGUGGAUCAUCUCAUAUAUAUAUCACAAUUAUAACAUUAAAUAGAUAUAUAAGAUGAUAGGUAAUUAAAAUAAAAUUGCCAACCAAGGUUUCCAUGGUUCUAUUUAUAGAAAAUAAACGAAAAAAAUAAAAUUACACAGUUUUUAGUUUUUCGCCACAAGGUAUUCCUCGGGUCUUCAACUGCCAUCAGUCCAUAUUCUCCUCGUCAUGGACACCUUUUUGGAAAAAAAUACAUUUAAGUCUUAUGUCCGUUUUCGGAUCACAAGAAUUCUAUGAAUUUUAAAAAAUAACCCUACACGGAAAUGAUAGUCCACGGUCUAUUUUCUAAGAACCACAACCUCGAUAAAAAAAUUUAUAACAAAUAUAUAAUAUCGCAUUCAUUCUCAUAUAUAACUCAAUAUAUGCAUAAGAUCUAAAGAAUGCUACUCUCUAUGUAAUCAAGUCAUUUAAGAAGAAGUGAAAUUUAUUUUGAUUAUCUGUUUAUACUUAUAGAUAGAGUACAACCUGGCUCUGUUUAUAUAAUAGACAUAUAUAUCAUUCACAAUCUAGGCAAUUAUAUAUAACAUUAAUUCAGCCAAUCAUGUCAUGGAUUCUAGCAUUUUCAAUAUUAUUAGGGACUUAAUUGUAUAAAAAUAAAACACUAAAAAGUAGUUUGAAAACUAUUCAGUGACAAACCUGAACAAAUCAAAAAAUUCUAGGUAAACUUGUAAAAUAGGGGCUCAAGGCCGUGUGCAAUGCCUUAAGCCAUGCGAAGGGUUUACACGACCGUGUGACAGACUAUGAAAAUGUGGAUCAUGCAAAAUCAAGGUACAAGGGAGACACAGCUGUGUGGNNNNNNNNNNNNNNNNNNNNNNNNNNNNNNNNNNNNNNNNNNNNNNNNNNNNNNNNNNNNNNNNNNNNNNNNNNNNNNNNNNNNNNNNNNNNNNNNNNNNNNNNNNNNNNNNNNNNNNNNNNNNNNNNNNNNNNNNNNNNNNNNNNNNNNNNNNNNNNNNNNNNNNNNNNNNNNNNNNNNNNNNNNNNNNNNNNNNNNNNNNNNNNNNNNNNNNNNNNNNNNNNNNNNNNNNNNNNNNNNNNNNNNNNNNNNNNNNNNNNNNNNNNNNNNNNNNNNNNNNNNNNNNNNNNNNNNNNNNNNNNNNNNNNNNNNNNNNNNNNNNNNNNNNNNNNNNNNNNNNNNNNNNNNNNNNNNNNNNNNNNNNNNNNNNNNNNNNNNNNNNNNNNNNNNNNNNNNNNNNNNNNNNNNNNNNNNNNNNNNNNNNNNNNNNNNNNNNNNNNNNNNNNNNNNNNNNNNNNNNNNNNNNNNNNNNNNNNNNNNNNNNNNNNNNNNNNNNNNNNUAUUGAUGUUGGUACUGCUUGGUAUCCAUUUAAUAUUAUGCAUAUAAUGAUGGAAAACAUAAUAAACAUACCCACUUACCCCUUCAAAAUGAAGUACUGAUUCCAAGAAUUUGAGUGUGAAAAAAAAAGCAAAUCCAAACAGUCUAUUUUGCUCUGAUUUAGUUCAAGAAAAACAUAAAAAUAUAAUAUUAGAUGAAGAAAUAUAUAACAAAUUUAUAUAUAAAAAAAUAAAAAAUAAAGAAAUUAAGCAUACAUAAAUACAUUUACCUCACUUGGGAACUUCAAAAUCAAACUAGACUAGGUGCUGAGAAGAUCCUUGCUACUUCAAGACGAUCAAAUGGGAUUUGAAGGGAUAUUUUCUUGGUUUUUGGGAGCAAAAGAAAGUAAGCAAAACUGAAGAAGAAAAAAGAAAAAAACUUGAAGGUCUUUUCUUCUUUUUAAGGGAAAGGAAAUAAAUAAAAAUAAAAAUCAAGGUUGCACUAAAAUGUUAAGAAAAGUUUUAAGACAACUGGGUUCAAAGGAUUUGUGUUAUGAGAUUACCUCGAUAUGGGGAGCUAAAUUAUUGAUGUUGGCACUGAUUGGUUUGGUAAUGGCCCCAUCCAUUUAUUUUGCAAUUAUGAUAGGAGACGACUUAGAAAAAGAUGAGUCUUUGGGUCCUAUUUUCACACUUGAUAAUUAGCACAUCAACCACCCCUAAAUUAUGACCAUUAUUUUAAAUCUAUUUUCAAACUUCAAAUUCAUCUACUAAACAAUUGAUGUUAUAUUAAUCAAAUUAUUUUGUUGUUAAAAUCAAUAAAUGAUACGUUAAAUUUUAUAUAGCUAAUUUUAAAAUAAAAAUUUAAAGAAACUAAAAUUAAAUAAAACUGAAUUUUUUAAAAAAUGAACAAUAAAAAUUUUGUAAAAACUUCAAAACCAAGUUUUUUAAAAUUAACUAUUUUUACAAUUUUUUUUAAAUUUUCAUACUUCUGUAUCUGAUUGUUUUUUUACAAUAUGGUAUGUUUUAAAGUUUUGAUUAGAAUGGCAUGUACUUAGGAAAAAUAUUAGGUAUGUUCCAAGUAUUAGUUUUUUAUGUUCAAUUAUAUUAGUAAUUAGCCAAGUAUUAAUUUGGCACCAAAUGUAAUAUUCUUAUAUCAGGUUCCUUAAGUCGAACAUGGUAUAGGGGUGUUACAUUUAGAAUUUUCUGCCAUUUUUGAUUCUCCAUUGAUGUCCAUUUCUCCUUCUCCUGUUGUCGCACAUUGAAGUUUUUGUUGCCCUCAUAAUUUCUGCAUUGCUGCCCCAUCUAAGUCUCAUCUUGUCAUCAUUAUAUCUCACCCCUUGACUGAACCCUCUUAGCUUGGUUAGUGAGCAUUCAUUAUUGUUAAUCGACUAUUAACGCAGAUCUUCAAACCGGUGUAGCGUUAAGAAGGAAUCGAGACGAAUCCGAGUUGUAGUGGUGCUCCGGUCAAUUGUUAAUAUUCUAUGGAUUGUAAUUGAGGUGUGAGAUUCAAAUCAAUUGUGAGUGGUGUAUGCAUGUGUACUAUUUUGCAUGUUGGCCGAAUAACGUUGUUUUACCAAAUACUUAUCGAUCAACUUCCAAUUAGCUGCUACUGGUUCCUUUUGUUACUGACUUGCUAUUUAAUUUGCUUCAAUUUUGUUGCUUAACCUCGUACGAUCAAAUGGGAUUUGAAGGGAUAUUUUCUUGGUUUUUGGGAGCAAAAGAAAGUAAGCAAAACUGAAGAAGAAAAAAGAAAAAAACUUGAAGGUCUUUUCUUCUUUUUAAGGGAAAGGAAAUAAAUAAAAAUAAAAAUCAAGGUUGCACUAAAAUGUUAAGAAAAGUUUUAAGACAACUGGGUUCAAAGGAUUUGUGUUAUGAGAUUACCUCGAUAUGGGGAGCUAAAUUAUUGAUGUUGGCACUGAUUGGUUUGGUAAUGGCCCCAUCCAUUUAUUUUGCAAUUAUGAUAGGAGACGACUUAGAAAAAGAUGAGUCUUUGGGUCCUAUUUUCACACUUGAUAAUUAGCACAUCAACCACCCCUAAAUUAUGACCAUUAUUUUAAAUCUAUUUUCAAACUUCAAAUUCAUCUACUAAACAAUUGAUGUUAUAUUAAUCAAAUUAUUUUGUUGUUAAAAUCAAUAAAUGAUACGUUAAAUUUUAUAUAGCUAAUUUUAAAAUAAAAAUUUAAAGAAACUAAAAUUAAAUAAAACUGAAUUUUUUAAAAAAUGAACAAUAAAAAUUUUGUAAAAACUUCAAAACCAAGUUUUUUAAAAUUAACUAUUUUUACAAUUUUUUUUAAAUUUUCAUACUUCUGUAUCUGAUUGUUUUUUUACAAUAUGGUAUGUUUUAAAGUUUUGAUUAGAAUGGCAUGUACUUAGGAAAAAUAUUAGGUAUGUUCCAAGUAUUAGUUUUUUAUGUUCAAUUAUAUUAGUAAUUAGCCAAGUAUUAAUUUGGCACCAAAUGUAAUAUUCUUAUAUCAGGUUCCUUAAGUCGAACAUGGUAUAGGGGUGUUACAUUUAGAAUUUUCUGCCAUUUUUGAUUCUCCAUUGAUGUCCAUUUCUCCUUCUCCUGUUGUCGCACAUUGAAGUUUUUGUUGCCCUCAUAAUUUCUGCAUUGCUGCCCCAUCUAAGUCUCAUCUUGUCAUCAUUAUAUCUCACCCCUUGACUGAACCCUCUUAGCUUGGUUAGUGAGCAUUCAUUAUUGUUAAUCGACUAUUAACGCAGAUCUUCAAACCGGUGUAGCGUUAAGAAGGAAUCGAGACGAAUCCGAGUUGUAGUGGUGCUCCGGUCAAUUGUUAAUAUUCUAUGGAUUGUAAUUGAGGUGUGAGAUUCAAAUCAAUUGUGAGUGGUGUAUGCAUGUGUACUAUUUUGCAUGUUGGCCGAAUAACGUUGUUUUACCAAAUACUUAUCGAUCAACUUCCAAUUAGCUGCUACUGGUUCCUUUUGUUACUGACUUGCUAUUUAAUUUGCUUCAAUUUUGUUGCUUAACCUCGUACUGUUUGCCAUCUAAAUGUGCUGCCUGCUAUUUGGGUGCUGAUUAGCUUCAAUUUCUUGUUGUUUUAGCCUGCUGUGCAUUUGUCAAUCAGCCCUUUAUUAUAGCCGUCAAUUACCUUGUGGCCAUUGUGCUAAUCUUAAAAAUUUGCAACACCGAUUCUUUCAUUUUUUUUUUCAAUUGUUGUUUGCUUCAGCCAUUGCCUUUAAGUGCUAUCAACAUUGGCUUAGUUGUUGCACUUGUUUAAUAUUAUUGUGACUCGGCAAACGUGAGCUUGAGGAUAAUAGAAAAGACUACUCAAUGAAGCAUUCAUCAUAAACGAAUCGAAAAGGUACAAUUUUUAUUAAGUGUUUAUUACUUUAGAUAUCACAAUUAAAUUCUUAUUUUAGAAUUUUUUUAAACUUAGGCUUUUCCCUAUAUUGAUUUUUGCUGCAUUUUCAAAAACCCCUAUAUUAGGGGUUGACUUCCAUCAAUAAUAGAUCAGUUUCAGAAAAUACAACAAUAAUCCCAGAUUUCUCCAAAACCAAACAAAAUUGCAGACACUUUAACACAAAAAAACACGAAUCAAAGAAGGAAAAUUAGAAGAUCAAAGAUGAAACUAACCCGACUUUAAUAGCAAGAGCGAGCGAAGCUCUUUUUCUGAAACCCGUACUGUGGAUAGAGAAGGAACGGAAAGACAAAAAAAACCACAAGCUUUUACCUCGAUUUUUCUUCUUAAUCAUAGGUUAGAUUCUAUGAUAAAAUUUUCCUUGAGUUUCAUUCUAAUUGCAGAUUUUGAUCUUAUAACAUACCAGAUUAGACUACCACAAAUUCUAUCAUCCAAUUCUUCUAUGCUACAUAAGAAGUCUCAGAUAUUGAAUUUGUUAAGGUUCAGUGAUCAAAGCCACUGAAUAUAUACUCAACAGUACACAUUUAAGCAUUUCCAGAAUGUACGCUCUAUUAUGAUACCAUGGGUUCAUGAAAAUUUAAAGUAACUGGUGCUUAUUAGUCCCACUGAACUUAUCACUCGAUAAAAACAAGUCAUGUAGCUUUGCAUAUAUAAAUACAAAUCACAUGGUUACUAAAUGAGCAAUUAUUAGAUUGAAGGGUACAAGCUUCUUUGGCAGAGAAAGCUGGUUAUACUCUCAAUUGCUGCUUUACAGCCACGAGCACGAAAGUGAUUGGAUUUCUUCUUUGAAUGGCCAACAAGUUUGGGGUUAACCAGUUGAUUUUGCAAUUCACAAAUGACUCUUUUCUUCCUUGUCAGAUGCUUCACAGACAUCUCUUCUUCUACAUCAUUUUUAACUUCUGGCUUCCUAGAAUUUACUGCAACAUUCCUGUUAUCAACUGCGUCCUGAAAAUGUUCAAAACAGAUGUGAAGCAUCAAACAAAGAAGAAAAGAGCUACCAUGAAAUGCAAAAAAUCGAAAUCCAUGAUAAGCUUAACAAAAAUUGUAGCUCAGAAUUGUUGCAAAAUUUUUACCAAAGAAAGAACAAAUGGUACUCAGAAAAUGCAUUGAAUUUUAUCAUAAAAGCAGCUUAAUAAACUCACAGCUUAAUAAACAUACUUCCGAACAUCAUCCUCCUUAGACAAGUUGAACAACUUCCUGAUUUUUGAUGCUCUCUUCGGACCACUCAUUCUUGGUUUCUAAGUGUCAGUCAGUCCAGGAAGAUCAUUUUCACCCUUUUUCACAAUAACCAAGUUCAAAACUGAAAGAUCCUGACUAACAAUGCAUCCACGAACUGACUUCCUCCUACGCUCUCCAUUUCUCCUACCAUAUCCAUGGAAGCAGGGAGUAUCUAUUCAAAGAAUUAGAAAAGAAGACAUUUAAUUAACCGAAAAAACAUUUCUACACAAAUAAGAACAAGGAAAAAUAUUUCAGAAUCCACAGACCUCUGUGAAGCAAAAGACGAACACAUCCAGGAGUGAGAACUCCUUGCUUCAUUGGAAAACCUUGUUUAUCACAGCCUCCCAUGAUCUUGAAUACAUAGCCCUUAAACUCCUGUUGAAGGAUAAUUAAGGGGUGAGCAAAUUGCAGUUAUGAAGUCCAGAUGCACCAGCAGAAACUUGAGGCAGUGAACGAAAAGCUAAAGGUAACUUGGAAACAUACCUCAUCGAAGGCAUCACCAUUGACUUCCUGUGAGAUCCUCUUGUCAAAAAAGGCUCGACUGCAUUUUCAAAUGUCAAUGUGAGAAUACUUUCUUCUUAAUACAAAGUAACAACUACCAACUAGCAUUGACGCAAGAGAGUAAAUGGAUGCUCACAAAUACAAUCAAGCCAAGCUGCUUAAAAGAAACUAUUAUUUUAACAUAAUAAUCAGCUACAAAUUUAAUAGAUGAGCUAUUAUCUUAUAAGGUAUAUUUGACGCACCGAUUAGAUACAAGUGAACUAUAUCCAGAAGGCUAAUCCACCGUAAUAUUAAAAGUUCCACUUCAUAUCUAAAUGAAAAAAGGAAAGACCUACAAAUCAAAUCCAUUUGUUGAUUUUGUGUUGCAAGACCAUCAGAAUUUUUUUAAUUUCUUUCUCACAGUUGCAUAAAAUCAUGCCUCAAAUAGAAGAUAUCCAAACUUCGUUAGCAAAUAAUAUACAUUUUAUUUUGCUUCAACAUAAUUGACUUUUCACAUUCUAUAAAUACUCAGAAAAGUUGAAUCCCACCCAAACAAAAUAUAACUGAAACCUGAAUAUAUAUAUAGACAACAUGACCAAAAAGAAGACAUAUCCUUCAUAUGGGUCUUUUCAUGGUUAAGACAAGCAGCAUUAAAUUUAACACUAAAUACUGAAAUUAAAUCAACGAAUUCAACUUAAACCCAACUAUUUCAUGAGUUAGAGAGAGAAGAAAAUCACAGUUUCUGGUCAUCAUCAAUUUCCAGCUUUUUUUGGUAACCAAUAGUCGUAUUUGCAAUGUUGAACUGAGAAAAAAAAAAGAAAAAAAUCAGCAAAAUGAAAAGAAUAAACAAACCCCCAAAAAGGAUUGAAAUCUAUUUAUAUUUAGUUCAAAAAAGAAAAAAGAAAAAACCUUUAUUUCUGUUUGAUGGGUCUUCUGAGGAAGAGGUGAUCAUAAAUGGGAUGGGCCGGGUUUGGGUCGGGCCGGGUCAAAAAAAAUUUUAGCUUGCUUUUUAGGCCUUGGCCUAGCUCAAAAUAUGGGCCUAAAAUUUUGUCUAGGCCCGGCUCGAGGAAAAAAUACUAAGCCCGAGUCCGGUUCGGCCCGGCCCGUUUUUUAAAAGAUUAAAUUAAUUUUUUAUCAUUUGAGGGCCAAAGUAUAAUUUUACCAUUACUAUUUUAAAAUUUUAUAAAUUAUAAAGAGUUAAAAAAAGAAUUUUUAUUUUAAUUUUAGAAUAGAACCCUUGCCCAUGAAAUAUCAUAUCAACAAAUUUGACAAUACUAAUAAUUAAAAUUAAAUUUUAAAUUUUGAAAUAUAAAAAUUAAAAAUUUUAAAAUAAAAAUAAAAAAAUAAAUUUCAAAAUAUACGAGCUUAGGGAAAUGGGAAAUGGGGAGGAGAAAUGAGAAUUUUUUUAAAAAUAUAUAUUUAUUAUAUUAGGGUCGAGCUGGACCUGGGCCAAAAAAUUUUUGCCCGAGGCCCGGCUCGUUUUCUAAACAGGCCUCGUUUUUUACCCAAACCCAUAUUUCGAGUUUAUAUUUUUACCCAAACCCUCCCAUAUUUCAAGCCCAGCCCAGUCCAUCAUCACCUCUAGUUUCGCUUCUAUUAAAGGGUUUUUAUUUGUGGAUAUUUAUAUAAAUAAAAGGGGAAUAACUAGGUGCUGCUAGUGAACACGAUAACUUUUAUCUGAAUCAACAUGUGGACAUUUGAUGGGUCUUGAAUUCUAAUUUAGGCUUUGGGUUAAUUGGUUAAAUGGGCUUACUUGGACCCACUAUAAUCGCUUUACUCUAAGUGAAAAAAACAAAAUUAAAAAAAAAAGAUUUGAAAAUACUUAAAUCAAUAAUUAAAAGUAAAAAAUUGGUAAAAAUCAUAAGCACAAAUUUAAAAAAAGUAAAAGCAACCAUUAACAAUUUAGAGAAAAAAAUACUAGUAAAAAGUCAAAAUUUAAAUUGGUGUAGAUGAUGCAAACCGAUAAGGUCAUACAACAACAAUUUAAAUAACAGCAAUAUCCCUGGAGGAAUAAGAAUGAAAAUUAACCUUGUACUUAUUAAAAUGUUGUGAAACUAUUUAAUGUCAAAUUCUUUGAAAAUGUUUAAAAACUCAGUAUUACUGUUUUCUUAUUCCCUCAACAAAUAUAAUGCAGCUUUAACAGUUUUAAAUACACCGAAACGAUUUUGAAGAACCAAAUCUUCACACGAUUUUGAAGAACCAAAUUAAUAUUGUCUAUUUUACAAUUAUAUAAUAAAUUAAUUAAUAUAUAAAUUAGAAAACACUAGUUAAUCUAAACCCUAAACACAUAACAUCUAAACCUUAAACCCCAGCCUUUAAACCAUAUACCAUAAACCAUAACCCUUAAACCCAUAAUCCAUAAACCUUAAAAUAAUAACUCAUAAGCCUUAAACUCUAAACCAUGUACCCUAAAUCAAAAACCCUAAACUAUAGUGAUAAUUAAUUCAAUAUUUUAAAAUUAAUAUUGUAAUACCCAAUUUUAAGUUCGGGCCCAACACCAAAUUAAAAUAAAUUAAAACUAUAAGUGUCCAGCCCUAAUUACAAAUCCAAAUAGCCCAAAUUACAAAAAACCCUAGCCCAAUAGGCCCACAACAUGUUUUCAGCAACAAAGGAGGCAGAAGCCCUAGGGUGCGCCGCACGUCAGCAAGGCUCCCUCGCACGCCUUCGCUCACGUCGCAGUACGUCACCUUCGCACUACGCAUGUUCUCCCUGCAACAAACGAUAAACCAAAGCAGCAAAAAGAAUAAACGGACUUACAACAAAGAAAAUAAUAAAUUUACAGCGAAAAAUUGUAAGGGGAGAUAAAAACAUAAAAAAAAGCAAAAAAUAGAAAACGAGGGAUUUUGAUUUUUCUUUUUGGCUAUAUAAAAGCCAAACACGGAUUUGUAAAGGGGGAAUACGAAAAUCGAUUAAAAAAUCAAUAAAAAAAUUAUAGCAGUGAGUUUUUAAGGUGAUUUCCUUUUCUUUUUCGAUUUCUCUGUUUCUUUUUAUUAUUAUUGUUUAUUCAUUGUGUGUAAAAAAAAUCAAUUAGAAAACAGAAAUUACCUGAAGUGUUGAAUCUGCUUGCUCCGUCGCGAUCGGAGCCCUUGCAAGGUUCGGGAAGCCUCAAAACAGCCUGAAUUUCCAAAGCGGCGGAGAGAAAAAAAACCCAAGGUUUUAUUUUUUUGGUUUUAUUUUCUGUAAAAGUGGCGAAAAUUCUGAUUAGGGUUUAAUUUGGGGGAUUUUAUAAGGUAAUAAAAAUGACAUCGUUUAGGUCCUGCUUUAGUGGCCCCAAAACGACGUCGUAUAAUGCCACACCAAUUAGUGACCCGCGCGAUCCGACCCGAGGGGAGGAUCUGCGCGUUUUGUCCCAGGGGUAAAUUUGCGCAGUGGUCCUCUCUCUUUAGUGGCGUGUUCAAAUAAAUUCUUUUCUUUUUUUAAAUUUCGCCCUUUAAUUCAUUUUUCGCUUUAUUUUAGUCCAUGUUGCAACACAGUGUUUUGGAGGGUUGGGAAUAUUUCCAAAUUAACCUUUCAUGUCAUUCGCGCAUUGCACAUUAGCCCUUAUUUUGUUUUAUUUACAUUAUUCCCCGAUUAAUUUCAUUUUAGUUGCAAUCUAAUAUAUUUUUUUUAAAAUUAGUUUAAUAUUUUCAUUAAUAUUAGGAUCAUUGUUGUUGUUAUUAUAAUUAUUGUUAUUACUACUUUCAUUAUUAUUAAUAUUAUUACUAUUAUUGCUAUUAUUGAUAAUAUUAUUUGCUUAUAUAUUUUCCUAUUACAUAUACAUUACUUUAUUUUAUAUGUAUUAUUGUUUUAAGUUACUUUUAAAAUCUUAUAUGUAUUUACCUUUUUAUAAUAUACUAUUAUUAAUAUUAUUUGAAUUUAUUUUAUUCUACAAUAUAUUUUCUCUAAAUUCACUCAUUACAUAUUUUUAGGUUUGUAUAAAUAUAAAUUUUUUUACGUAAUACUAUUUAUGUAUACAUAUUUCAUAUUAAAUUAUUUUCAUUAUACAUACAUAAUCUAUUGUUAAUUUCGUAUUAUUAUAUAGAUAUUUUAUUUCUUUCAAAUAUUUUAACAUCUUUAAUUCAUUUCAACUUAUUUCAAUAUUGUUAAUUUAUUUUAAUAUUUUAAUAUAUAUAUUAUAUUUAUUUCUUAAAUUAUGCUUAAAUUUGUAUAUUUCGUUAGUGUUUAUGUAAAAUUGCUUGAUUUUAAUUAGUUUCCACUUAUUAGCCAAUGUGGGUAUUUACAUGAGAUUAUUGUUGCUAUGUGUAUUACUUGCUUGUAUUUAUCUACCAUUCAUUUGAUUAAUGUAUAAUUUAUUUACAAAUUAUCCUUUCGCGUUGCAUAUUGUCAUUUAAUCACCUUACAUUUUUCAUUCAAGGAUUUAUAAAAUAAGACUCGGUAUCCAAGGUUCUCGAGAAGAUUGUGCCCUAACUUACUGGGCCUCAAUCUUCCUCGUUGAAUUUAAGUAACCGAGUAUUCCUUUUUCAAUUAAAGCAAAGAUUCCAAAUUAAAGCUUAUCUCGAAGAUUCAAAAUGUUGUGUCCUAACUUAUUGGAUACAACAUCCUGUUAUCUCGAGACCAGGUUUUUAAAUAAAGGCAAACUCAUGUGUCGUCUUUGAAACUUCAAGGAGUUGUGCCCCAACUUACGGGGUUUCGAUUUCUUCAUUGAAGCAAGAAGACUGAUUUUUUUAGUUUUCAAAAUAAUAAAUUUCAAUAAAGAUUUUUUAAAGGGGAAUCGCUUUUCAAUCUUUUCGAAUUUUCAACAUUCGAAUUUAAGACAUUAAAUAAUCAAUUCGGUACCAAUUUUGGGCGUUACGAGGGUGCUAAUCCUUCAUCUUACGUAAUUGUCUCCUGAACUCAUUUUUUCUGAAACUUGUAGACCAAAAUCAUUUUUAAGGUGAUCCGAUUACACCUCAAUAAAAGAUCGGUGGUGACUCCCAUGUUCGUAUUCAUUUUUAAAAUCCAAGUCGAUCCCAUUUUCACAAAAAAAAGGUUUUGACAAAUACUAUCUCUUUUACGAUUAUAUAAGAAAUUAUUUAAUAUAUAAAUUAAAAAAAUUAGUAAUGUACCCAAAAAACUUUAAAAUUAUUUUAAAUAAUAGUAUUUUAAUUUUUCCAUUUUUAACAAAUAUUUUUCUAUGUUUUUUAUUUUAAAUUAUUUCUACAUGUCAUUAUUUUUUCUGAAGAUUUUAACUAUUCAAUUAAAAAUAAUUUUAAUUUUAAUUAAUAUAAAUAAACCAAUUAAAUAAUAAAUAGACAGAUAAAAUGUUUAUUGCGACGCUUUUUUAAAAACGCCGCUAAAAAUAGAGCAUUCACAGCGCUUCUUCAAAAACGCCGCUAAAAAUAGAGAAUUAGCGGCGCUUUUUCAAAAAUGUUGCUAAAGCCCCAAGAAUUCGCGGCGCUUUUUCAAAAAUAUUGAAUAUUGUAAAAUUGUCAUAAUCUAAGAAUGUCACUAGGACUAUUGUAUGAUCAUUCUUUAAAUAUGAGAUAAAAAACCUUUCAUAUUAUUUUAAAAUAUUGAGUGGGAGAUGGUCAUUUAACAAGACCUACGACCUCCAUUGAUGGCCCUUAAAUGGUAACAUGAUAAUUGAAAGAAAAAAAAAUUGUCCCAAGAUAAACUUUAUCAUUUGGGUUCCCUAGAUGAGAUUUACUUUUCAGGAUAAGUAGUUGUGCAUGAAUCUUAGUGAAAUUGUCCCAAGAUGACUCACAAAUGAAAGCAUGUUCAUGAUGGGUGUUGAGUCAAUAGUUACAUACUUAAGAACUUCUUAUGAAAUAGUUUCCCAAAAAACGAUAUUUAAGCUAGAGGCAAUGGCUAAACGUUAAACGAUCGUUGGUUCCUGUGGAGUCUUGAGAAUUAAGAUUCAUGAACUGAUUCCAUGUUCUUACUAGUUAAUCAUGAGACCCCAAAGCGACAUGAUUGAUGGGUGUGAGAAUGAUCGUAGCAAUAAAAAAAAAUAUUAUCAAGAUUUUAAUACAAGACGCAUGCAUCAUACUGCAUUCUUGAUAUGUUGCUGAAAUGAAAAUAUUUACUUAAUACAAAGAUAGUAAUUAAUGAAUCUUUAUUUUUUUCAGUUCAAAUAUGUCUUAUAAUCCUCUUAUUAACAUUUUUACUAAGAAAAAUUUAAAUGGGGAUCAUUUUUGUGAAUGGCAAGGGUUCUCAAGGAAAAAUAUUUUUUGCGUGAUGAUUUCCUACUGUCGACAUUAGGGAGCAAACCUUCUUUUAUUAGGAGGAGCAUCUGGGCGACGAAAGGCCUACUUGUCAAAGGUUGUAGUUGGUUGAUGGGGAACAAGAAUGAGAUUUUAGUUUGUGACAAGUCAUGGCGCUCUAGUGAUCGACCAUUUCUGGUGGAGUCACAACGAGUCAACGGUAUUAAUUAGGUUGUUGAUUUGAUUGACACAAAUAUGAAUAUGUGGAAUGAGGAUCUUGUUCUAUCAAUGUUUGAUGCCUUAGAGGCUCGUACGAUCCUCUUCAUUCCUUUGCCGCAGUAGGGGGCCUUGACAGUUGAAUUGGUGCUUAGAAGGUUCUCGAGAGUACACGGUUCGGAGUGGCUAUUGACUCAUUUUGCAUGGUUUUCCUUGUUCGAUGAAGGACAAGUACAUUAAUGUGGGUCAAGACAUCAAGGACAUUUAUAGAAUUCUUUGGCAGAUUCCUGCGUAGGAAAAUAUCAAAAUUAUAGUGUCAAAAUUCGUAAACAACUAUGUGUCUACCAAUGCUUAUCUUUUCAUGCGACAACCUUCGAGGUGACUGAUGUGCCCUCGAUGUGGUGUGGGUGGUGAAACAUCUCUUCAUGCUUGUCAUGAUUGUCCAUUUCUGUUCUGGGUUUGGUUGAGCCUUGGUUUCACUUGGCAUGUGGAUGAGGUUAACGACUCUUUGUUUUGUUGGGUGUGGGAUUUGCUUUGUGGUAGUUCUCCUGCACAACGUCUAACAAUAAUUGUCACCAUUUAGGCAAUUUGGUAUUUGAGAAAUCUUUUGGUGCAUGAGGGCAAACGACAAUAAAAUUCAGAGCUUCUUACCUUUAUUUUGGGUCAUGUCCGAAGGCUGGGAUGCUUACUCGAUGUGCAUGGUCGCGGAAGGACUCAACCUUCUGAACAUGGUGAUUGUCGGUCGAGCCUUGUAUGCGACCUAAUUUUGAUAUGGGGUUUCAUAGGGACUUGGGGGUUGCACGUGCAGGGGUCAUGACCUUGAAUCAUUUGGGCCUUCUAAUGUGGGCAGCCUACUUCUGGACGGAGUAUGUUUCAACCCCUUUGGCAACGGAGGCAUGGCUGAGUGUGGAAGAGAUUUGGUUCACAAGGGAGAUGGGGUUUGGUUCGAUAUGGGGAGCUAAAUUAUUGAUGUUGGCACUGAUUGGUUUGGUAAUGGCCCCAUCCAUUUAUUUUGCAAUUAUGAUAGGAGACGACUUAGAAAAAGAUGAGUCUUUGGGUCCUAUUUUCACACUUGAUAAUUAGCACAUCAACCACCCCUAAAUUAUGACCAUUAUUUUAAAUCUAUUUUCAAACUUCAAAUUCAUCUACUAAACAAUUGAUGUUAUAUUAAUCAAAUUAUUUUGUUGUUAAAAUCAAUAAAUGAUACGUUAAAUUUUAUAUAGCUAAUUUUAAAAUAAAAAUUUAAAGAAACUAAAAUUAAAUAAAACUGAAUUUUUUAAAAAAUGAACAAUAAAAAUUUUGUAAAAACUUCAAAACCAAGUUUUUUAAAAUUAACUAUUUUUACAAUUUUUUUUAAAUUUUCAUACUUCUGUAUCUGAUUGUUUUUUUACAAUAUGGUAUGUUUUAAAGUUUUGAUUAGAAUGGCAUGUACUUAGGAAAAAUAUUAGGUAUGUUCCAAGUAUUAGUUUUUUAUGUUCAAUUAUAUUAGUAAUUAGCCAAGUAUUAAUUUGGCACCAAAUGUAAUAUUCUUAUAUCAGGUUCCUUAAGUCGAACAUGGUAUAGGGGUGUUACAUUUAGAAUUUUCUGCCAUUUUUGAUUCUCCAUUGAUGUCCAUUUCUCCUUCUCCUGUUGUCGCACAUUGAAGUUUUUGUUGCCCUCAUAAUUUCUGCAUUGCUGCCCCAUCUAAGUCUCAUCUUGUCAUCAUUAUAUCUCACCCCUUGACUGAACCCUCUUAGCUUGGUUAGUGAGCAUUCAUUAUUGUUAAUCGACUAUUAACGCAGAUCUUCAAACCGGUGUAGCGUUAAGAAGGAAUCGAGACGAAUCCGAGUUGUAGUGGUGCUCCGGUCAAUUGUUAAUAUUCUAUGGAUUGUAAUUGAGGUGUGAGAUUCAAAUCAAUUGUGAGUGGUGUAUGCAUGUGUACUAUUUUGCAUGUUGGCCGAAUAACGUUGUUUUACCAAAUACUUAUCGAUCAACUUCCAAUUAGCUGCUACUGGUUCCUUUUGUUACUGACUUGCUAUUUAAUUUGCUUCAAUUUUGUUGCUUAACCUCGUACGAUCAAAUGGGAUUUGAAGGGAUAUUUUCUUGGUUUUUGGGAGCAAAAGAAAGUAAGCAAAACUGAAGAAGAAAAAAGAAAAAAACUUGAAGGUCUUUUCUUCUUUUUAAGGGAAAGGAAAUAAAUAAAAAUAAAAAUCAAGGUUGCACUAAAAUGUUAAGAAAAGUUUUAAGACAACUGGGUUCAAAGGAUUUGUGUUAUGAGAUUACCUCGAUAUGGGGAGCUAAAUUAUUGAUGUUGGCACUGAUUGGUUUGGUAAUGGCCCCAUCCAUUUAUUUUGCAAUUAUGAUAGGAGACGACUUAGAAAAAGAUGAGUCUUUGGGUCCUAUUUUCACACUUGAUAAUUAGCACAUCAACCACCCCUAAAUUAUGACCAUUAUUUUAAAUCUAUUUUCAAACUUCAAAUUCAUCUACUAAACAAUUGAUGUUAUAUUAAUCAAAUUAUUUUGUUGUUAAAAUCAAUAAAUGAUACGUUAAAUUUUAUAUAGCUAAUUUUAAAAUAAAAAUUUAAAGAAACUAAAAUUAAAUAAAACUGAAUUUUUUAAAAAAUGAACAAUAAAAAUUUUGUAAAAACUUCAAAACCAAGUUUUUUAAAAUUAACUAUUUUUACAAUUUUUUUUAAAUUUUCAUACUUCUGUAUCUGAUUGUUUUUUUACAAUAUGGUAUGUUUUAAAGUUUUGAUUAGAAUGGCAUGUACUUAGGAAAAAUAUUAGGUAUGUUCCAAGUAUUAGUUUUUUAUGUUCAAUUAUAUUAGUAAUUAGCCAAGUAUUAAUUUGGCACCAAAUGUAAUAUUCUUAUAUCAGGUUCCUUAAGUCGAACAUGGUAUAGGGGUGUUACAUUUAGAAUUUUCUGCCAUUUUUGAUUCUCCAUUGAUGUCCAUUUCUCCUUCUCCUGUUGUCGCACAUUGAAGUUUUUGUUGCCCUCAUAAUUUCUGCAUUGCUGCCCCAUCUAAGUCUCAUCUUGUCAUCAUUAUAUCUCACCCCUUGACUGAACCCUCUUAGCUUGGUUAGUGAGCAUUCAUUAUUGUUAAUCGACUAUUAACGCAGAUCUUCAAACCGGUGUAGCGUUAAGAAGGAAUCGAGACGAAUCCGAGUUGUAGUGGUGCUCCGGUCAAUUGUUAAUAUUCUAUGGAUUGUAAUUGAGGUGUGAGAUUCAAAUCAAUUGUGAGUGGUGUAUGCAUGUGUACUAUUUUGCAUGUUGGCCGAAUAACGUUGUUUUACCAAAUACUUAUCGAUCAACUUCCAAUUAGCUGCUACUGGUUCCUUUUGUUACUGACUUGCUAUUUAAUUUGCUUCAAUUUUGUUGCUUAACCUCGUACUGUUUGCCAUCUAAAUGUGCUGCCUGCUAUUUGGGUGCUGAUUAGCUUCAAUUUCUUGUUGUUUUAGCCUGCUGUGCAUUUGUCAAUCAGCCCUUUAUUAUAGCCGUCAAUUACCUUGUGGCCAUUGUGCUAAUCUUAAAAAUUUGCAACACCGAUUCUUUCAUUUUUUUUUUCAAUUGUUGUUUGCUUCAGCCAUUGCCUUUAAGUGCUAUCAACAUUGGCUUAGUUGUUGCACUUGUUUAAUAUUAUUGUGACUCGGCAAACGUGAGCUUGAGGAUAAUAGAAAAGACUACUCAAUGAAGCAUUCAUCAUAAACGAAUCGAAAAGGUACAAUUUUUAUUAAGUGUUUAUUACUUUAGAUAUCACAAUUAAAUUCUUAUUUUAGAAUUUUUUUAAACUUAGGCUUUUCCCUAUAUUGAUUUUUGCUGCAUUUUCAAAAACCCCUAUAUUAGGGGUUGACUUCCAUCAAUAAUAGAUCAGUUUCAGAAAAUACAACAAUAAUCCCAGAUUUCUCCAAAACCAAACAAAAUUGCAGACACUUUAACACAAAAAAACACGAAUCAAAGAAGGAAAAUUAGAAGAUCAAAGAUGAAACUAACCCGACUUUAAUAGCAAGAGCGAGCGAAGCUCUUUUUCUGAAACCCGUACUGUGGAUAGAGAAGGAACGGAAAGACAAAAAAAACCACAAGCUUUUACCUCGAUUUUUCUUCUUAAUCAUAGGUUAGAUUCUAUGAUAAAAUUUUCCUUGAGUUUCAUUCUAAUUGCAGAUUUUGAUCUUAUAACAUACCAGAUUAGACUACCACAAAUUCUAUCAUCCAAUUCUUCUAUGCUACAUAAGAAGUCUCAGAUAUUGAAUUUGUUAAGGUUCAGUGAUCAAAGCCACUGAAUAUAUACUCAACAGUACACAUUUAAGCAUUUCCAGAAUGUACGCUCUAUUAUGAUACCAUGGGUUCAUGAAAAUUUAAAGUAACUGGUGCUUAUUAGUCCCACUGAACUUAUCACUCGAUAAAAACAAGUCAUGUAGCUUUGCAUAUAUAAAUACAAAUCACAUGGUUACUAAAUGAGCAAUUAUUAGAUUGAAGGGUACAAGCUUCUUUGGCAGAGAAAGCUGGUUAUACUCUCAAUUGCUGCUUUACAGCCACGAGCACGAAAGUGAUUGGAUUUCUUCUUUGAAUGGCCAACAAGUUUGGGGUUAACCAGUUGAUUUUGCAAUUCACAAAUGACUCUUUUCUUCCUUGUCAGAUGCUUCACAGACAUCUCUUCUUCUACAUCAUUUUUAACUUCUGGCUUCCUAGAAUUUACUGCAACAUUCCUGUUAUCAACUGCGUCCUGAAAAUGUUCAAAACAGAUGUGAAGCAUCAAACAAAGAAGAAAAGAGCUACCAUGAAAUGCAAAAAAUCGAAAUCCAUGAUAAGCUUAACAAAAAUUGUAGCUCAGAAUUGUUGCAAAAUUUUUACCAAAGAAAGAACAAAUGGUACUCAGAAAAUGCAUUGAAUUUUAUCAUAAAAGCAGCUUAAUAAACUCACAGCUUAAUAAACAUACUUCCGAACAUCAUCCUCCUUAGACAAGUUGAACAACUUCCUGAUUUUUGAUGCUCUCUUCGGACCACUCAUUCUUGGUUUCUAAGUGUCAGUCAGUCCAGGAAGAUCAUUUUCACCCUUUUUCACAAUAACCAAGUUCAAAACUGAAAGAUCCUGACUAACAAUGCAUCCACGAACUGACUUCCUCCUACGCUCUCCAUUUCUCCUACCAUAUCCAUGGAAGCAGGGAGUAUCUAUUCAAAGAAUUAGAAAAGAAGACAUUUAAUUAACCGAAAAAACAUUUCUACACAAAUAAGAACAAGGAAAAAUAUUUCAGAAUCCACAGACCUCUGUGAAGCAAAAGACGAACACAUCCAGGAGUGAGAACUCCUUGCUUCAUUGGAAAACCUUGUUUAUCACAGCCUCCCAUGAUCUUGAAUACAUAGCCCUUAAACUCCUGUUGAAGGAUAAUUAAGGGGUGAGCAAAUUGCAGUUAUGAAGUCCAGAUGCACCAGCAGAAACUUGAGGCAGUGAACGAAAAGCUAAAGGUAACUUGGAAACAUACCUCAUCGAAGGCAUCACCAUUGACUUCCUGUGAGAUCCUCUUGUCAAAAAAGGCUCGACUGCAUUUUCAAAUGUCAAUGUGAGAAUACUUUCUUCUUAAUACAAAGUAACAACUACCAACUAGCAUUGACGCAAGAGAGUAAAUGGAUGCUCACAAAUACAAUCAAGCCAAGCUGCUUAAAAGAAACUAUUAUUUUAACAUAAUAAUCAGCUACAAAUUUAAUAGAUGAGCUAUUAUCUUAUAAGGUAUAUUUGACGCACCGAUUAGAUACAAGUGAACUAUAUCCAGAAGGCUAAUCCACCGUAAUAUUAAAAGUUCCACUUCAUAUCUAAAUGAAAAAAGGAAAGACCUACAAAUCAAAUCCAUUUGUUGAUUUUGUGUUGCAAGACCAUCAGAAUUUUUUUAAUUUCUUUCUCACAGUUGCAUAAAAUCAUGCCUCAAAUAGAAGAUAUCCAAACUUCGUUAGCAAAUAAUAUACAUUUUAUUUUGCUUCAACAUAAUUGACUUUUCACAUUCUAUAAAUACUCAGAAAAGUUGAAUCCCACCCAAACAAAAUAUAACUGAAACCUGAAUAUAUAUAUAGACAACAUGACCAAAAAGAAGACAUAUCCUUCAUAUGGGUCUUUUCAUGGUUAAGACAAGCAGCAUUAAAUUUAACACUAAAUACUGAAAUUAAAUCAACGAAUUCAACUUAAACCCAACUAUUUCAUGAGUUAGAGAGAGAAGAAAAUCACAGUUUCUGGUCAUCAUCAAUUUCCAGCUUUUUUUGGUAACCAAUAGUCGUAUUUGCAAUGUUGAACUGAGAAAAAAAAAAAGAAAAAAAUCAGCAAAAUGAAAAGAAUAAACAAACCCCCAAAAAGGAUUGAAAUCUAUUUAUAUUUAGUUCAAAAAAGAAAAAAGAAAAAAGAAAAAACCUUUAUUUCUGUUUGAUGGGUCUUCUGAGGAAGAGGUGAUCAUAAAUGGGAUGGGCCGGGUUUGGGUCGGGCCGGGUCAAAAAAAAUUUUAGCUUGCUUUUUAGGCCUUGGCCUAGCUCAAAAUAUGGGCCUAAAAUUUUGUCUAGGCCCGGCUCGAGGAAAAAAUACUAAGCCCGAGUCUGGUUCGGCCCGGCCCGUUUUUUAAAAGAUUAAAUUAAUUUUUUAUCAUUUGAGGGCCAAAGUAUAAUUUUACCAUUACUAUUUUAAAAUUUUAUAAAUUAUAAAGAGUUAAAAAAAGAAUUUUUAUUUUAAUUUUAGAAUAGAACCCUUGCCCAUGAAAUAUCAUAUCAACAAAUUUGACAAUACUAAUAAUUAAAAUUAAAUUUUAAAUUUUGAAAUAUAAAAAUUAAAAAUUUUAAAAUAAAAAUAAAAAAAUAAAUUUCAAAAUAUACGAGCUUAGGGAAAUGGGAAAUGGGGAGGAGAAAUGAGAAUUUUUUUAAAAAUAUAUAUUUAUUAUAUUAGGGUCGAGCUGGACCUGGGCCAAAAAAUUUUUGCCCGAGGCCCGGCUCGUUUUCUAAACAGGCCUCGUUUUUUACCCAAACCCAUAUUUCGAGUUUAUAUUUUUACCCAAACCCUCCCAUAUUUCAAGCCCAGCCCAGUCCAUCAUCACCUCUAGUUUCGCUUCUAUUAAAGGGUUUUUAUUUGUGGAUAUUUAUAUAAAUAAAAGGGGAAUAACUAGGUGCUGCUAGUGAACACCAUAACUUUUAUCUGAAUCAACAUGUGGACAUUUGAUGGGUCUUGAAUUCUAAUUUAGGCUUUGGGUUAAUUGGUUAAAUGGGCUUACUUGGACCCACUAUAAUCGCUUUACUCUAAGUGAAAAAAACAAAAUUAAAAAAAAAAGAUUUGAAAAUACUUAAAUCAAUAAUUAAAAGUAAAAAAUUGGUAAAAAUCAUAAGCACAAAUUUAAAAAAAGUAAAAGCAACCAUUAACAAUUUAGAGAAAAAAAUACUAGUAAAAAGUCAAAAUUUAAAUUGGUGUAGAUGAUGCAAACCGAUAAGGUCAUACAACAACAAUUUAAAUAACAGCAAUAUCCCUGGAGGAAUAAGAAUGAAAAUUAACCUUGUACUUAUUAAAAUGUUGUGAAACUAUUUAAUGUCAAAUUCUUUGAAAAUGUUUAAAAACUCAGUAUUACUGUUUUCUUAUUCCCUCAACAAAUAUAAUGCAGCUUUAACAGUUUUAAAUACACCGAAACGAUUUUGAAGAACCAAAUCUUCACACGAUUUUGAAGAACCAAAUUAAUAUUGUCUAUUUUACAAUUAUAUAAUAAAUUAAUUAAUAUAUAAAUUAGAAAACACUAGUUAAUCUAAACCCUAAACACAUAACAUCUAAACCUUAAACCCCAGCCUUUAAACCAUAUACCAUAAACCAUAACCCUUAAACCCAUAAUCCAUAAACCUUAAAAUAAUAACUCAUAAGCCUUAAACUCUAAACCAUGUACCCUAAAUCAAAAACCCUAAACUAUAGUGAUAAUUAAUUCAAUAUUUUAAAAUUAAUAUUGUAAUACCCAAUUUUAAGUUCGGGCCCAACACCAAAUUAAAAUAAAUUAAAACUAUAAGUGUCCAGCCCUAAUUACAAAUCCAAAUAGCCCAAAUUACAAAAAACCCUAGCCCAAUAGGCCCACAACAUGUUUUCAGCAACAAAGGAGGCAGAAGCCCUAGGGUGCGCCGCACGUCAGCAAGGCUCCCUCGCACGCCUUCGCUCACGUCGCAGUACGUCACCUUCGCACUACGCAUGUUCUCCCUGCAACAAACGAUAAACCAAAGCAGCAAAAAGAAUAAACGGACUUACAACAAAGAAAAUAAUAAAUUUACAGCGAAAAAUUGUAAGGGGAGAUAAAAACAUAAAAAAAAGCAAAAAAUAGAAAAAGAGGGAUUUUGAUUUUUCUUUUUGGCUAUAUAAAAGCCAAACACGGAUUUGUAAAGGGGGAAUACGAAAAUCGAUUAAAAAAUCAAUAAAAAAAUUAUAGCAGUGAGUUUUUAAGGUGAUUUCCUUUUCUUUUUCGAUUUCUCUGUUUCUUUUUAUUAUUAUUGUUUAUUCAUUGUGUGUAAAAAAAAUCAAUUAGAAAACAGAAAUUACCUGAAGUGUUGAAUCUGCUUGCUCCGUCGCGAUCGGAGCCCUUGCAAGGUUCGGGAAGCCUCAAAACAGCCUGAAUUUCCAAAGCGGCGGAGAGAAAAAAAACCCAAGGUUUUAUUUUUUAUUUUUUUGGUUUUAUUUUCUGUAAAAGUGGCGAAAAUUCUGAUUAGGGUUUAAUUUGGGGGAUUUUAUAAGGUAAUAAAAAUGACAUCGUUUAGGUCCUGCUUUAGUGGCCCCAAAACGACGUCGUAUAAUGCCACACCAAUUAGUGACCCGCGCGAUCCGACCCGAGGGGAGGAUCUGCGCGUUUUGUCCCAGGGGUAAAUUUGCGCAGUGGUCCUCUCUCUUUAGUGGCGUGUUCAAAUAAAUUCUUUUCUUUUUUUAAAUUUCGCCCUUUAAUUCAUUUUUCGCUUUAUUUUAGUCCAUGUUGCAACACAGUGUUUUGGAGGGUUGGGAAUAUUUCCAAAUUAACCUUUCAUGUCAUUCGCGCAUUGCACAUUAGCCCUUAUUUUGUUUUAUUUACAUUAUUCCCCGAUUAAUUUCAUUUUAGUUGCAAUCUAAUAUAUUUUUUUUAAAAUUAGUUUAAUAUUUUCAUUAAUAUUAGGAUCAUUGUUGUUGUUAUUAUAAUUAUUGUUAUUACUACUUUCAUUAUUAUUAAUAUUAUUACUAUUAUUGCUAUUAUUGAUAAUAUUAUUUGCUUAUAUAUUUUCCUAUUACAUAUACAUUACUUUAUUUUAUAUGUAUUAUUGUUUUAAGUUACUUUUAAAAUCUUAUAUGUAUUUACCUUUUUAUAAUAUACUAUUAUUAAUAUUAUUUGAAUUUAUUUUAUUCUACAAUAUAUUUUCUCUAAAUUCACUCAUUACAUAUUUUUAGGUUUGUAUAAAUAUAAAUUUUUUUACGUAAUACUAUUUAUGUAUACAUAUUUCAUAUUAAAUUAUUUUCAUUAUACAUACAUAAUCUAUUGUUAAUUUCGUAUUAUUAUAUAGAUAUUUUAUUUCUUUCAAAUAUUUUAACAUCUUUAAUUCAUUUCAACUUAUUUCAAUAUUGUUAAUUUAUUUUAAUAUUUUAAUAUAUAUAUUAUAUUUAUUUCUUAAAUUAUGCUUAAAUUUGUAUAUUUCGUUAGUGUUUAUGUAAAAUUGCUUGAUUUUAAUUAGUUUCCACUUAUUAGCCAAUGUGGGUAUUUACAUGAGAUUAUUGUUGCUAUGUGUAUUACUUGCUUGUAUUUAUCUACCAUUCAUUUGAUUAAUGUAUAAUUUAUUUACAAAUUAUCCUUUCGCGUUGCAUAUUGUCAUUUAAUCACCUUACAUUUUUCAUUCAAGGAUUUAUAAAAUAAGACUCGGUAUCCAAGGUUCUCGAGAAGAUUGUGCCCUAACUUACUGGGCCUCAAUCUUCCUCGUUGAAUUUAAGUAACCGAGUAUUCCUUUUUCAAUUAAAGCAAAGAUUCCAAAUUAAAGCUUAUCUCGAAGAUUCAAAAUGUUGUGUCCUAACUUAUUGGAUACAACAUCCUGUUAUCUCGAGACCAGGUUUUUAAAUAAAGGCAAACUCAUGUGUCGUCUUUGAAACUUCAAGGAGUUGUGCCCCAACUUACGGGGUUUCGAUUUCUUCAUUGAAGCAAGAAGACUGAUUUUUUUAGUUUUCAAAAUAAUAAAUUUCAAUAAAGAUUUUUUAAAGGGGAAUCGCUUUUCAAUCUUUUCGAAUUUUCAACAUUCGAAUUUAAGACAUUAAAUAAUCAAUUCGGUACCAAUUUUGGGCGUUACGAGGGUGCUAAUCCUUCAUCUUACGUAAUUGUCUCCUGAACUCAUUUUUUCUGAAACUUGUAGACCAAAAUCAUUUUUAAGGUGAUCCGAUUACACCUCAAUAAAAGAUCGGUGGUGACUCCCAUGUUCGUAUUCAUUUUUAAAAUCCAAGUCGAUCCCAUUUUCACAAAAAAAAGGUUUUGACAAAUACUAUCUCUUUUACGAUUAUAUAAGAAAUUAUUUAAUAUAUAAAUUAAAAAAAUUAGUAAUGUACCCAAAAAACUUUAAAAUUAUUUUAAAUAAUAGUAUUUUAAUUUUUCCAUUUUUAACAAAUAUUUUUCUAUGUUUUUUAUUUUAAAUUAUUUCUACAUGUCAUUAUUUUUUCUGAAGAUUUUAACUAUUCAAUUAAAAAUAAUUUUAAUUUUAAUUAAUAUAAAUAAACCAAUUAAAUAAUAAAUAGACAGAUAAAAUGUUUAUUGCGACGCUUUUUUAAAAACGCCGCUAAAAAUAGAGCAUUCACAGCGCUUCUUCAAAAACGCCGCUAAAAAUAGAGAAUUAGCGGCGCUUUUUCAAAAAUGUUGCUAAAGCCCCAAGAAUUCGCGGCGCUUUUUCAAAAAUAUUGAAUAUUGUAAAAUUGUCAUAAUCUAAGAAUGUCACUAGGACUAUUGUAUGAUCAUUCUUUAAAUAUGAGAUAAAAAACCUUUCAUAUUAUUUUAAAAUAUUGAGUGGGAGAUGGUCAUUUAACAAGACCUACGACCUCCAUUGAUGGCCCUUAAAUGGUAACAUGAUAAUUGAAAGAAAAAAAAAUUGUCCCAAGAUAAACUUUAUCAUUUGGGUUCCCUAGAUGAGAUUUACUUUUCAGGAUAAGUAGUUGUGCAUGAAUCUUAGUGAAAUUGUCCCAAGAUGACUCACAAAUGAAAGCAUGUUCAUGAUGGGUGUUGAGUCAAUAGUUACAUACUUAAGAACUUCUUAUGAAAUAGUUUCCCAAAAAACGAUAUUUAAGCUAGAGGCAAUGGCUAAACGUUAAACGAUCGUUGGUUCCUGUGGAGUCUUGAGAAUUAAGAUUCAUGAACUGAUUCCAUGUUCUUACUAGUUAAUCAUGAGACCCCAAAGCGACAUGAUUGAUGGGUGUGAGAAUGAUCGUAGCAAUAAAAAAAAAUAUUAUCAAGAUUUUAAUACAAGACGCAUGCAUCAUACUGCAUUCUUGAUAUGUUGCUGAAAUGAAAAUAUUUACUUAAUACAAAGAUAGUAAUUAAUGAAUCUUUAUUUUUUUCAGUUCAAAUAUGUCUUAUAAUCCUCUUAUUAACAUUUUUACUAAGAAAAAUUUAAAUGGGGAUCAUUUUUGUGAAUGGCAAGGGUUCUCAAGGAAAAAUAUUUUUUGCGUGAUGAUUUCCUACUGUCGACAUUAGGGAGCAAACCUUCUUUUAUUAGGAGGAGCAUCUGGGCGACGAAAGGCCUACUUGUCAAAGGUUGUAGUUGGUUGAUGGGGAACAAGAAUGAGAUUUUAGUUUGUGACAAGUCAUGGCGCUCUAGUGAUCGACCAUUUCUGGUGGAGUCACAACGAGUCAACGGUAUUAAUUAGGUUGUUGAUUUGAUUGACACAAAUAUGAAUAUGUGGAAUGAGGAUCUUGUUCUAUCAAUGUUUGAUGCCUUAGAGGCUCGUACGAUCCUCUUCAUUCCUUUGCCGCAGUAGGGGGCCUUGACAGUUGAAUUGGUGCUUAGAAGGUUCUCGAGAGUACACGGUUCGGAGUGGCUAUUGACUCAUUUUGCAUGGUUUUCCUUGUUCGAUGAAGGACAAGUACAUUAAUGUGGGUCAAGACAUCAAGGACAUUUAUAGAAUUCUUUGGCAGAUUCCUGCGUAGGAAAAUAUCAAAAUUAUAGUGUCAAAAUUCGUAAACAACUAUGUGUCUACCAAUGCUUAUCUUUUCAUGCGACAACCUUCGAGGUGACUGAUGUGCCCUCGAUGUGGUGUGGGUGGUGAAACAUCUCUUCAUGCUUGUCAUGAUUGUCCAUUUCUGUUCUGGGUUUGGUUGAGCCUUGGUUUCACUUGGCAUGUGGAUGAGGUUAACGACUCUUUGUUUUGUUGGGUGUGGGAUUUGCUUUGUGGUAGUUCUCCUGCACAACGUCUAACAAUAAUUGUCACCAUUUAGGCAAUUUGGUAUUUGAGAAAUCUUUUGGUGCAUGAGGGCAAACGACAAUAAAAUUCAGAGCUUCUUACCUUUAUUUUGGGUCAUGUCCGAAGGCUGGGAUGCUUACUCGAUGUGCAUGGUCGCGGAAGGACUCAACCUUCUGAACAUGGUGAUUGUCGGUCGAGCCUUGUAUGCGACCUAAUUUUGAUAUGGGGUUUCAUAGGGACUUGGGGGUUGCACGUGCAGGGGUCAUGACCUUGAAUCAUUUGGGCCUUCUAAUGUGGGCAGCCUACUUCUGGACGGAGUAUGUUUCAACCCCUUUGGCAACGGAGGCAUGGCUGAGUGUGGAAGAGAUUUGGUUCACAAGGGAGAUGGGGUUUGGUUCGGUGGAGAUUGAAGGGGACUCUCUGGUGGUUAUUAUGAAACUUCGCUCUCCUCUCCUUGAUCCCUCAGAUAUAGUUCAUAUGUUCUAGAGGCUCAACAACUUGUAAAGACAUUCACUACUUGAAGAUACCAACAUAUUCACAGAGAAGGAAACAAUGUUGCUCAUCUCAUGGCUCAAGAGGGGUUUCUGUUGUUGAACUGCUUGUUGGUUGUUGGAGGAUGGCCCUGAUGUUGUUCAUGAUCGGGUGGCUGCGAAGAUGGCAGGUGAUCAGACAUCUAUCCAACCACAAUAACAUCUAGGAGUCAGGGGUCAUGGCGACAAGUCUCUGUUGGUUCAAUUGGGUGGCCGGGAUGUUGGAUGGACAAUUCUUUUGGAGAGCUUCAUUCAUCACUAUAUUGUUACUCUGUUGGGAGAGGGCAGCUCAUAUGCUGGCUGGAUUUAAGUGUUUUUUUUUCGGUUGUUUUCUUCUUUUCAUUUUCUGGUGUUUAGGGACUUUUUCGUUUGUACGAUGGCUUUUUAAUUUUAAUAAGGUUCCAACCUUUUACUUCAAAAAAAAAAUAUUAUUUGAAAAAAAAAUAUAAUACGAAGAGUGAAAAUACAAAAAAAAAGUGAAGAGAAAUCUAAAAAAUUAGUAAAAGAGAGUUAAUAUAUUUCUAUAAAACAAUGAAACCUUCUGUAUUUAUCUCCAAAUAAAUUUUUUUAUAUUUCAUGUAUUUUAAAAAAUGAAAAGUAAAUUUGAUUUUUAAUUGUUUUAAGCUUUUUCUGAAAUUUUUGAAAUUCUUAUGUUUUUUUCUUUUUCUUUUGUAUUUUUAUCUAUUUUUAAAAAAUAGAAAUAUGUUUUUUUUUAUUUUGAAAAUUUUNNNNNNNNNNNNNNNNNNNNNNNNNNNNNNNNNNNNNNNNNNNNNNNNNNNNNNNNNNNNNNNNNNNNNNNNNNNNNNNNNNNNNNNNNNNNNNNNNNNNNNNNNNNNNNNNNNNNNNNNNNNNNNNNNNNNNNNNNNNNNNNNNNNNNNNNNNNNNNNNNNNNNNNNNNNNNNNNNNNNNNNNNNNNNNNNNNNNNNNNNNNNNNNNNNNNNNNNNNNNNNNNNNNNNNNNNNNNNNNNNNNNNNNNNNNNNNNNNNNNNNNNNNNNNNNNNNNNNNNNNNNNNNNNNNNNNNNNNNNNNNNNNNNNNNNNNNNNNNNNNNNNNNNNNNNNNNNNNNNNNNNNNNNNNNNNNNNNNNNNNNNNNNNNNNNNNNNNNNNNNNNNNNNNNNNNNNNNNNNNNNNNNNNNNNNNNNNNNNNNNNNNNNNNNNNNNNNNNNNNNNNNNNNNNNNNNNNNNNNNNNNNNNNNNNNNNNNNNNNNNNNNNNNNNNNNNNNNNNNNUUCAUUUAGAAUCUGGAUUUUUCUAUUUCAUUUUUAUUUACUUAUUUAUUAGAGGUGAUCAUGGGCCUGGCUGGUUGGUCUGGCCCAGCGGUCCGCCUGAAAUAUUAGAGAGUUUAGGUAAAAAUAUAGGCCCAAAAUAUGAGUUUGGGAAAAAAAUGAGGCCCGUUUAGAAAAUCGGCCGGGCCUCGGGCAAAAUUUUUUUGGCCCGGGCCCGAAUAUAAUAAAUAUUUAUUUUUUUUUAAAAAAAAAUUUCUCAUUUCCCCUCCCCAUUUCCCAUUUCCCAUUUCCCAUUUCCCUAAGCCCGUAUAUUUUGAAAUUUAUUUUUUUAUUUUAAAAUUUAGAAAUACUCUAAAAUAAAAAUAAAAAUUCUUUUUUUAACUCUUUAUAAUUUAUAAAAUUUUAAAAUAGUAAUGGUAAAAUUACAUUUUGCCCCUCAAAUGAUAAAAAAAUUAAUUUAAUCUUUUAAAAACGGGCCAGGCCAAGCCGGACUCGGGCUUAAUAUUUUUCCCCGGGUCGGGCCUGGAUAAAAUUGUAUGCCCAUUUUUUGGGCCGGGCCAGGCCGGGGCAUAGGAAGCGGGCUGAAAUUUUUUCUAGGCCCGGCCCAUGAUCACCUCUAUUUUUAUCUUUCUUUUUUUGACAAAAAGACUUGAUUUUUCCAAUCCAAUUAAUAUAAUAAUAACACUAUCUUCUUAUCCUGGAGUCUAAAAUCAUCUCAUACUCCUACCACUGUAUCUUGUUUUUACUCUGAUGGUUCCCUCCAGCCGUAGCCUGUGCCACCUUAUUGGCCAACUUCUCUUGCAAUACCUUUGCAUCUCUGCUCAUAAGACAUAAUUUAUAAAACCACAAGUAGAAAGCGAAGGCGCAAAAUUCACACAAUAAAAAAAAUUAUAAAAAGGAAUUUAAAGAAAGAAAGAAAGAAAGAGGGGACCUUUCAUGGUGCUGCUAAGGGGCUAACGCCUAUUUUUUUAUAAUUUUUUGAGUAUUUUAUAUAUAUAUUUUAAAUUUUUAUGUAUUAUAAGAUUUUUAAAUUUAAUUAUAUUUUUUAAUUUUUAGAAUCAUGACCAAAUUGGUAUAAUGUGUAAAUACUAAGGGUUAAAUUUGUUGUAUUUUUUUAAUUAGGAGUAAAUUAAUUAAAAUGGGUAAACAUUGAGGGCUAAUUUUGUUAUUAUAACAGGCAACGUCAGCAUUCCAUCUAGUGAUAAAACUCAUUUUAAUGGUAGAGUGACUAAAAUUGACAACUUAUCAAACAUGAAUAACAAAUAAUAAAAUUUUAAAAUAAGUGACCAAGAUAAAAAUACAAAUAAACUCAGAGGACUAAAUAGGUAGUUUGCCUUUUAUAUAAUCUCAUUAAUUUUCUUUUCUAACUAUUUUAAAAUGCAUGAUGGGUUCACCUUUGUCUUUCUUGGGGUGGAUUGUUAUUGGAUUUCUGAAGCUUGUUUUUUCAUGGUAAUGUAUAUUAUUUAAGUGUGUGAUUGAGUUAGUGUCACGAGUUAACUUGACAUCAAUUCAAUUAAGAAAAUUAUUAAAAUAGUCUUACAUAUUUUAAAUAAGUUAUAUCGUUACAAGGAUAUUUUUGUCUUUUUUUUAUUUAAAGAAAAAUUCCUAAAAUGUUAAUAAAUAUUGAGUUUGAACUGUAUACUACUAACAUUUAUAUUAUCUCAUUUAACUAUUUUAACCAAAGUUUUAUUUUUAUAUUUUUAUAUAUUUCGAUGUAAUUGCACAAAUUUUUUCAUUCACAUUAUUUGUAUAUAUUAUUAAUAUUAUUGAUUGAGUUAGUGUCACAAAUUUACUCGAUAUCAACUCAAAAAAAAUCAUUUUACUCACACUUUAAACUAAUUUUUUUAAUUUUAAUUUCGAUCAUAUUACAUAUAUGUUGUUGUUGUUGUUAUUAUUAGUUUCAAACUUUACAUUUGAUUGAAUGUUAAAACGCAUGAUGACAAAUUUAGUCUUUAACAAUUACACAUUUAUCAAUUCGACCCUUACUUUUUCUUUAACUAAAUUUGACCUUCUAAAAUUUAACCAUCAAACCUUUCAACUCCUUAAAAAUACUGAUUAAAACAUUAAAUUUUUAAGUAGGAAAGCUUGCAUAACAAUCGAUGAUGUAUACUUCAUGUUUUUUUGUUUUUCCCGAUACCUUAACCAAUUUCCAGUCCCCAAUUAAAACCCCCUUUUUUUUCUUUUUUUUAAUUUAAAAAUCCCACUCCAUGUGUACCAUCAGUGAAGUCAAUAAAACUUGCCUAACAGUACAAAAUUUGAUAACUGGUCUCUUUUACACCAGGAAUUGAACAUGAUAAAAGUGGUAAGAAGAAAAAGGGAGCAAAUGUAUAAAAUUUAACUCUGUUUAUGAAACAUUGUUGAAUGUAUAUCCAGUUCGACAUUUAACAGUUAGUAGGGAAUGUUGAAAAAGCAAACAAUUUCUUUAGCAACAGGGAUGGAUAAAAGAAAUGGGCCAACCAGCCCUUUGAUUAGAUUAGAUCGACAUAUAACAUGAAUUUUUCCCUCUAAACCCGACAAAAAAAACAUAUGGAAAAAUGGAUCAUCAUUUCAACAAAGAGGGGAGUUUUGGUUGUUCCUUUCUCCCCCCCUUUUUUUUUCCUGGGGACUGGUAGGUCGGAGUAAGAAUUUAAUGGCGCCAACCUGGUUCUCGUUACGGAUUAUUAGAAUCUGAAAUCCGGAUCCACAUCCAUUGCCCAAGCAAACUUUGCCAGAAGUGACUUGUUGAAUAUCUGUGAAACAACAUCAUACAAUCAAGAAAUUGAAUAAUGUGUGUCAUUCUGAUAAUUAUAACAAACAUGGUUUUACCUUCUCGAUGGGAACUUCAUGCCGCUUGCACCAUGCAACCGUGAUUCGAGGGUCAAGGUAAUUGAUUUUGGAUGUGCCCAGUGCUACAGUUUUUAGAUCCUCUUUAGUCUGCAUGUCCCGUUCCAUCUUCUCAAUCUUUACAUUUGUUUGAGCUAUCUUUUUCUCUAUCCUGCAUCGAAAAUGAAUCCAUAAAAAGAAGUUCGAUUGUAAAAUUUGCAUGGAAGCCUUUAAGAAAAAGAAAAGGGAACAAGCUAUAUUACGCUUCAGGGGUCAAGUUCCUCUUCUGCUUCCCAUCAGCAUCCUUCAAUGGCGGCUUCCCUUUCUUAGCCCUGUCCAAAUCAGUUUUUAGCUCUUUUAGAACACCCUACAAGCAACAAAAAAAGGUCAGUCUGAUAGAUAUGGAAUGGAAAAGCACCAAAUUGUAAGGAAAAGCCAAAGUGACUAUGUUGCUUCGACUCUACAUUUUCUUCAAGUACCCAUGUUUGAACCCAACAUAUAUUCAUAAAAGGGUGCAGGGAUAUGAUCCUCCGAAUACAUGUAAAAGCUUAGAAAAUUCAACAUACUUGUGCCGGACACAUCUAUUGUUUUCCAAGAAAAUUUCUAGCGAGAGUUAUUACCUUGAGUUCUGUUAUUUUCUCGGUCAGCCUUGACAUUUGCGCACUAUGAGAUUUUGAGAUACUGCGCUGAUGAUUACAAAUGAUUGCAACCUGCAGGAAAAACAAUCAAACUUCUAGAUACAAGAAAGUUAAGCAGAAAAUAGAUAACUUCUUCAGCUCAGCAUCUAGCCAGAAACAGUCCUUACCUCCUUGUUUGCACGCUGAUAAAUUACUACUUUUUCUGCUACAUCACCAUCUUCGGUUUCUUGAUUUAACUGCAUUGAAGAAAAGAAAAUCUAAAUAAGCAUGAAGCUAAAACUUUCUUUUAAAAAAUUAAUCCAACCAUAUCACACAAGUACAGACACUGCAAAAAGCAAAUUUCCAUGCACAGUAUUGACACUCCUAAUCUUGUUACUCACUACAUUGAAAGUUCUCCUAAAUAUAUUUUAUAUAUAAUUGUAAUCGUUACAGUCCAAUAUAUUUGUCUCAUACACUUAUUGAUGACUUGCAACUAGGGUAUGCACACAAACAAUAUUAGAGUAAAAUGCAUGCAGGUCAUGCAUAGGUUGACAUACCAUAUCGUCCAAUGUAAUGGAAGCAUUAUAGGUACGGAAGACUUUCGCUGUAAGACCAGGCAUGAGUUCCUUCAAAUGAGCAUUUAGUUUACUCGUAUCAAGCUCAUCAAAAAGAUCAUCACUUUUGCUUUUCCCUGCAUAAAAGAGAGAUCACACCCUUUGGCUUAAGUCAUAUCAUAUAUGUCUCAAUUCUAGUCACAGGUAGUCAACAACUUACUAGUUUGAAACUGUCCAAUUGCCUUGUAUACAGGAAGCUCAACCUCUACCGUGUUCACGUAUUGGAUCGAAUCUUUACCGAGGAAGUCAAACUGAAUGAAUAAAACAAGGACAAAAAUGUUAACAACAGUCUCAGCUAGCAGAUAAAUGACUUGGCUUCCACAGAAUUCAACAAAACUAACGAGUUUUAACAGGCAAAUUCCCAGAAAAAAUAGGCCCAUUCUAACAGUUACCAAAGAAAUACUAUCUUUUCUCGGAGCAUAUUCCAACCUUACCUUCAAUUUAUUUGGAGGAAUACAUUCCACAUUUCCUACUUUAAGCGUGCAACAACCAACGGUAUCAGCUUCAUCAUCAUCCUGCAAAUGGCCAACCAUAACAUAAGGAAUACCCCAAAAAAAAGAGGGUUGUCUGAAAGUUUUCUUCGUAACUAAAAGUUAAUAGGACCCAGCAACUUUCAAGACAAACAUAGAUUAUAUAUUGGUUAUCAAUAUCUUUCAACCUAAAAGAUAAAACAAGACCUAAGUAAAGACUACUACAUGAAGUUGAAAGAGUUAAAAGGUCAAGAGAGAAGGAGACCAAAAAGAACUAAAAAAAAAUAGAAAAGCAAUAGUUCAAAAUGAUUCAAUGGAAGAUGCAAUCAACUUUAACCCUUUACCCUUUAGCCUUUCUGCCCUUCUGCUAUUACUAGGAGCAGCCACUAACAUUUUCCAUAAACAUCAAUAGAAUGCACAUAGGACCACCAAAUAUAAUACCUGACUAACACAAAAAGCCUAAUAAACUACAUCAGCUCGGACAUUUUAUUUCCUCCAUUGAAUUCAAUCCUACCCACACAAUUAAUGUACAAAGAGAUGUUAAUGCACUAGCACAAGUAAAAAGAAACACAAAUUAGAUUAUCCAUGGUAAACAUGAUAUACCUUCUCAUUACCCGCCCUAAGAGCUAAUUUGUCAAUUAGAUAGGUAGCAACUGCUAUUUGCCUCUUUGUAACAUCUUUCGCUGUAAAAUCCUUCGUAUAUGCUGCUCUGAUGUUCUUGAUAUAGUCCUGCAUUUAAAGUGCAAACAUCCAUUUAUUUAUAUAGGGUUAACUAAAUAAAAACUAAAAGCACCAUCCUAUUGCUUAUUACCUUCAGCAGCCUUGCUUUCUCAUAUUUCUCCUUGUCACUUUGCCCUUUCAAAGAACUGCUAGCAGCCAAAAAUACAUAUUUGAAUUCUUUUGGAUUAAUGGGAUCAUUCCAGAAAGCUAACCAUGUAACAGUAUUGUCAUGUUUUAUAUCUUUCCAUCUGCCAGUCAGACAAAAAAAGAAAUCUCAAAGUUAAGAUCAUUAGAUUGAAAAUAACCUUCAAUCUUUACGUAUAUUAUAGAAAAUAAAUGCUCUUCUUGUCUCUUAAGUCUUAACCUUUCACCAGGGAUUGGACAUUCUGGAAUUGGGGCAUCCUUUCCGAUAUUAAUGGUAAUGUCACAUGGACGAAUACGUCUUUUCAACUUUCCCAUCUGAAAGCAACAAUAAAUAGAAAGAGCGUCAUAUAAGAAUCCUAUAAAUGGAACUAUGCGACUAAAGCAUAGAGUUUUUUGCGACAUUAAAGUUGUCACACAUGUCAUCAAUACCUUGGGAUGCUCUCCUCGACCUCGGAAAAGUCCAGGUGGUUCAACUCUGAAAUUUCCUACCUGCAGUUAAAAACAAUCAUCUGAAUUAAAUCCAGAAGAAAAGAAAGUAGUUUUAAAUGGGAUAAAUCAAAUUCUACAUUGAAGCUAAAUCUUCACCUUCUCUUUGACACCAUCUACAAUAGCCCACAUAUACUUUUCCUCCUGCUUCAACUUUUCUUCUUUCAAAGCCUUCUUCUCCUACAAACAGUAACCAUCCUUAAUGAUUGUAAAACCUUAAGAUAGAAUUCACUUUGAAGGAAUAAUACGAGAACAGAUAUCUAGGUUCUAAGAUAGAUGUCAUAGAAAAAGCUAUAGUAUAUUGAAGCCAAAAAUUAUUUACAACCAACUUACUUCAGAACUCAUUUGUUUCUUCUUCUCUUUCUCCUGCAAAUGCCACUCAUAGAUUGGAGUGAAAUCACAUUUGUCCAAGCUCUUAAUGACAUGGUUUCUACCCAGUAAUUUACUCCAAUCCUCCCAGAAAUUCUUCUUGAACUGUGGUUUACUCAUGUAAUCGGUCUCUUGCAUUACCGCAAACAUUGUUGCCACCUGCAGAAUGGAAAGAUCACAUUAAAAUAUCCACUAAAAAUCUUGCAGACAUUGGUCCUCACGAAAACACACGAAAACAGAAUUGACAUAUAAACAUCAAAUAUAUUUAGAGAGUGAAAAAGAGACCUCCUCUUGUUCAGGAGUUAGAUCCACUGGUUGCCCAUCAUAUAGCAUCUUAACCCCAUGAGGCUUGUAUGGAGGAGGGAAUAUGACACCAUUGUGAACCAAGGUACUCCAUUUUUUCUGUCCAUCACCAGAACUAGGCGACAGCUUUGUUGACUUGCUAUAUUUAGAUUUUUUCAUAUCUUUCUUCGACUUAUUUAUCUUUUUAAAUGAUGAAGAUACAACCUUGGUUGCCUUUUGCUUCACGGAUGAUGUUUUACUGACUGAUGAAACCGACUUUUUUAUCCGUUGGGAAAUUGGAAUAUGAUCAUCUUCAUCAUCUUUUUCUGCUUUCACAGUAACUUGCUUGGUUUUCAUCGUUGUAGGAGUAUCUGAAAUCUUUGGCUUCUUAGCAUAAGACUGAUCUGAUGAAUUGCCUUUAUCAAGAGGUCUCUUAUCUGAUAACACGGAAAACUUUUGCUGCUUGUCCUUCAUGAUAGAACCAUUCUGCUGAAUUUUAGAAGGCAGAGGUUUCUUCUCAUGAGAUCCAUACGACUUACUGCUCGAUGUCCCAGUAUUGGACUUCAUGCUGAACCUCGCAGACAAAGGAGCAUCAUCAUCUGGAUCUUCAGCAGAUCCUUUUACCUCAAUUUUUGGUACCAAUCGCUGUGACUGGGCAGGAGUUGAAGUGCUCACCCCUUUAUUGCCCUGGCUUGAGAUCCCCUUAAGCCUUGCACUCAAAGGUUUUGAGUCAUCGUCGUCGUCAUCGCUGUUUGUUUCAUCAGUACAUUUAAUCAGGCUUUUCUCUUCCUUGACAGCAGUAAACUUAUUCUGCUUCAAUGCUUGUUUUGACUGAUCACUUAAUGAAGUCGAUGCCUUAGAACGAACCACUGGUGACCUCACUGGUGAUGCCUUGGCGGAUGAAUUAGAUGAUUUCGGGCUCAAAAUAGGUGAUCUGGUGGGAGGUGACUUAGACGGCAGGAUUGACUUGUUGGUCCAGGCAACGGAAUUUUGACCAUUAGGAGCUUGUACACUGGAGGCCUGUCUCCCAGACUGUCCAUCAGACCUUUGAGAUGAUGCCUUCUUUACUUCUGAGUUUAACUGAUUUUGCUUAGAGGACGAGGUAUUACUCCUCUUGAAAACUACGGGCCCAUCGUCAUCCUCAUCAUCAUAGUCAUAAACAUGUUUGGAAGGAGCCUCAACAGCCAUUAUCCAACCACAAACUGUGUUGGCAUGUAUAUCAAAUCAAAUAUCUGAUUAAAACAGAAUUCCAAUUACUUUGGCAAUAAAACAUACUUUACAUCUAAAACCCUUAUAAAUUGACAAUAAAUUAAUUAAACAGAUUAUAAUUACUGUACAAGCUUAAUUGCUAAACCAAUUAUGCAACAUACCUAAAAUGCCAACCCAAUAACUCGAAGAACCGUCAGAAUCCCCACAAAUGAACAAAGCCUACCAUGCAUAUCCACAUACAAAAAACCAUCCCCCCGGCGUUAAAUCAUCCUAGCAAUGAAAUUAAAUGGCUAACAAUAAUGGCGUAAGCUCGAGGAAUGACCAGCAAAACAAACAAGAAUUCCAAACAAAUUCCAUUAGAUACAGAACACCCAUUACUCCAAACACCCCAAAUUCAAAAGGCAACCUAAUAAUAAGACCAAUAAUAAAAGAAUCCACAAAUGAAAAAGGCGUUUUCCUCCAAACCCAUAUGCAUACACAUGCAAAUAGUCACCAAUAAGAGCAAACUAAUAACCUUCUAAGUUCAACCUAACUUACAAUGCCAAAAAAUUAGGCAAAAAGCUUCAAGCAAUGAUAAACCUAAGCAAUAACAAUGGACCGAUUGAAGCUUAUAAUCUUUGCUCCUUUCCCCCUAAAUAAAACAGAGGUUUUUGCUUAAAAAACUUAACCCAAAAAAAAUUCCAAAACAGUGAGCUAAUAACCUAACCCAAGAGAAAAUUAUCGAAUUUAAAACAUUGAAGCAAUAAGAAAAAAAGAAGAUUAACAAAACAAAAAAAAAGUUCCCAAUUUUGAGUGGAAGAAAACCCUAAACAUGAAAAUUUUAUGGGAGGCCAAAACAAAAAGAAGGGUGCUGAAAUUAAUGGGGGAAAAAGGGUUACCUUUAAAACAAAAAGAUCAAAGCUUUGAUAAGAGAGUGUAGAUCGAUUCAACCCUUGCUUUAUUUCUUUUGAUUUCUUAGUUCUUCUAUUUAUCAGCGGUUUUUUAAAUAAAAAAAAUGGAAAAUUUUUCUUUGUAUUUUUUUCUUUUUCUUUUUUCUCAGAUUCUGAGCUGUGUGUUAAACUUCAACCGAUAAAGUUUAACAUAUAGACAAAGUUGUGCAGUUUUGGUAGGAGAACAAAAGGUAGCUCAAUGGGCCUUGGGCCUUGGGCCUCUUUGGGGAUAUUAUGGGCCUUGUGCCCAUAUGAUUUUAAAUUUUUAUUUUUACUUUUUUAUUUGAUGUAUUUUUAUGUAUGUAAUUAAUAUAAAUACGGUAAACUACACUGAUAAUCACCAAACCACUAGUAAUUUUUCCAGCCACUCAAUUAUUAGGAAAUUUCUUUUUUGAUUACCGAAUUACGAAAGUUACAAUAUAGUCACUCAGCUUUUCAAUUUUAUCUUUUGUCCCUAUCAAUGAGCUAACGGUGGUAGGUUUGAAAAUUAGCAUAAUAGCAACUUAACCUUUAACAUUUAUAAAUUAUGUCAAUUUAGUCUUGAUUCUAAAAAAUUUAACCCUCAACAUAUACACAUUGUGCAAUUAAGUUGUGUUUUUUUUUGCGGUUUUAUUUUUCUUUGUGACGUCAAGGGUUGAUUUUAAAAUAAUGAGAAAAUAUCAAAAUUACUAUCUUGGGAUUUUUGGGUUUUUCAUUUUUUUUUUGUAUAGUUUCAAUCAAAUUUAGUUGAUAAUUUUUUUAGCUUUUUAGGUGAAAAAAAAAGAAUAAAAAAGAAUAAGAAGAUUAAAUUACACAAUGUGUAAAUGUUGAGGGUUAUAUUUUUUGGAAUUGAAACAAUGCAUAAAUGUUGAGGGUUGAAGUUACUAUUAUGCCAAUUUUAACUAUUCUAUCCAUUUUGGGGUGAUUUGGUAAAAACUACAAUUUUAAGAACUAAAAGAGAAAAGAAAUUAAAUGAAGGGUUAAACUGUGAUUCCAUGUCAUCCAUAUCCCUUUCUAAUAGGAAAAUGAGAAAUGUCAUGUUUUUCCUCGUGAUUUGUAUUAGCAAUUUUUAGUUGAAUUUGAAUAUUUUUCAAGAGGAAAAAGCUGAAAUUUAGGAGAAAAAAAAUUUGAUUUGUCAUUCUCCUAAUGAAAAGUAAUAGAGAUUAUGUGAAAUCACAGUUUCAUACCAUAUUUCUCCCAUGCGUAAAUAGUUUUCUAGAUUUAUAUAUUUUAUAUAAAAAGAUAAAAAUACACUCAUAAUAAGAUUUUAGUCAUUUCUCAACUAAAUUAAUAUUCGAUAAAUAAAUAAUAGUAUUGUUUUUAUUAAAAAAUAAAAAUAUUUUAAAAAUUUUCAAAUUAAAUUAAUAUCCUUCUGCCAAGAAGUUUCCAUGGUUGAUUACCAAAAGAAAGCUUCGUGUUCAACUAUUGGAUUUGUGUAUAUAAAGUCAAAAUUGAAACAAUGAUGGAUGAAAAAUUCAGGUGGGUUGACAGGAUUCUCGAUUUUUCUAAAAUAAAAUUUUUUUAUUUAAAUCUAUUUAUAAUUUAUAAAAUUUUAAUAAUAAAACUACACGUUGACCCUCAAAAUUAAUAAAAAAUUGAUUUAAUUCUUUAAAAAUUAUAAAAAUAUAAACUAUUAAAAUAAUAAACUUUAAUUUUUAUUAUCAUAAAAAUAUAUAAUUUAAUUUCAACUCAAAAAAAUUUUCUGACUUCACCAAUGUUGAAGUUUAGGCUCACAAAGAGUUGUCUAAAUACAAGAUGGAGUUUUCUUUUCCUUAUAUCCUAGACCACCGAAAGGAUCUAACCGCUUGACCAAUCUUAUAUCAUUCUUUCCCCUAGUCUUAUUGAAAGGCUUAUGGAAACUAUCGACUUUUUUGAAAUAAUCAUUUGUCUAAAAAAAUUUCUUAAUUUGAAGUAAAAUUCAAAUAAAAAUAAUUAAUCAUGUCCGUCUUUGGAUAUAGAAGGGAAAAAGAGCUCAGAGAUUGAGUUCAAAUAUGAUAUAAAUUGUGUUAUACAUCAGUAAUUACCGACUCGAGCCCUACUAGGAAUCUGAGUCUUUGACCCGUGACCUGGAUAGGUCCCACCAGAAGAUUGAGUGUGAAACAAGCCACGAAGAGGACAACAAGGCGAGUUUACGGAGUUAGCUCGCAAGGCAAAGCCAAGAACCUAGCUCGUAAAACAAGGCCACAGAUCCAGCUUGCAGGCCCAAGGAAGGUCACUGUCUCAGUUCUCAUACACCCAUGGAGCUCGUAAAAAGGGUCGCGUGCUCCACAGGCCACCUAGACACGUGUCCACCAAGUAUGAAGCCAGCCCAGAAUGUUAGUCCUGGGAACAUAAAAGACCGCGUGCUUCGUAAACACGUGCUUAGGAAACCUAGAGUUCUAAGAGAAUGUUAGUACUAGGGACAGAGAGUGCAAUUGCCAGUACCAGAGGCAGUGGAGUCAAGGCAAAAUAGUGGGGCCCUAUCAUGAGCUAUAAUAACAUCUAUAACUAUAACACCCCCUACCUGUAUUGGGCCCUACCGGAGUUUACUGAACGUUUUCAAUAAUUCUGAGUUAUUUAUUAUUCAUAUUCUGAAAAUAAUCAUAACGUCCCUUUAUUGGGCCUCGAAGCCCAAAACAUUCAUUAGGAACCUACUGGGAUUAAAUCAGAAUCAUAGGGAAUUUUUGCAGAAUCCUAAAUAUAUAUAUAGAUUUUAGAAUUUUUUAUUUUCGAAUUAGGUGCAGGAUUCAUAUGGGCGUAUCACAUAACAAAUCUUUUCAUAAGAAAUUGCAUAGCUGAAACCUGUUCACUCUUUUAUAAGCUCAAUUAUAUUUUUAUCUAAGCACUUACCAUUCCAAUGCACCUUAUAAUUAAACAUAUUACCAUUCAAUAGUAAUUUGGCACUUGCCUAAACCUCAAGCAACAACAUUGGUUAGCGUACUUUAAUAUUGACAAACUUAUUUUCUCGCCAUGUCUCACUUAAAUUUAUUACUCGUCUUAAUACACAUAAUUUUCCUUGUAUCAACGUAUCAAAGAGAGUCUCACAUUUACAUGUCAUGAUACAUAUCAUUUUCUUGUUAUUUCUUCUUAAAUAUAAAUCAUUCAAUUCAUUAUGACAAUAUUUCAUGUACCAUAAUUUUUUUUAUAAGUUCAAUGUCUAUUUAUUCCAGAAGCAGUUCAUAAUCUUGAAUAUGCAUAAUUAUCAGGCAAGUUUCACAUACAUGUAUUUUCCAUAUCAUAUUUUUGUAUAUCAAAUAAUUAUCAUUUCUAUGUAUUUCAAGUUUAAUUUCAUGAUUUUAAGUACUUAUCAUUUCCUAUUUUUAUCCCGUUAAAUUUCUCAAAAUUUUGAUAGAUUUUCAGGGGUAUACUUUAGUGUACAAAUUCGGGUCCGUCAAUUCAUAUUCAUGUGCACACAUUUUCCAAUUCAGAGAGCACACUCCCGCGAACCUCAUUUCUUACAGCGGGAUUACCAGUCCAAGCUAAAUCCCCUGCAAGAUAGCACACUCCUGCGAACCUCAUUUCUUACAGCGGGAUUACCAGUCCAGGCUAAAUCCCUUGCAACGACAAUUACUCUAAUGAGCUUGAAUCUGAAUUACCAGUCCAGGCUAAAUUCAGACCCUAAUUCGGAUUACUCGUCCGGGCUAAAUCCAUUUUCCACAUAUUCUUCGGGAGGCCUAUAUCAAGAUCACCUGUCCGGGCUAGAUCCUUUUUACCGUCAAUUCCUUUUCAAAGAUCCAUCGAAUUUUCCUUCCAUUCAACCUGGAUUUCUUCCCCUUUUUAUCAAAUUUAUCAAGGUUUCAUCAAUUUUCAUACAAUAAACAUUCAAAUCAUAUUCACAUCAAUAACAUACAUUUCAAGCAUUUAAGAAUAUAAUUCAAGUUACAUGAACUUACCUCGUUACUUGUUAGUGUUUACAAUUUCACUAAUCCGAUGUCUUUUUUUUUCCACGUUCAAGUCUCGUAUUUGAGUCAUUCGGAUCUUUAUAAAUAAAUAAAUAAACAAUCCAUUUCAUGCAAUUUGAUCAUUUUUGAUAUUUUUACAAAAUUACCCUUACAGUUUUACUUUUAUUCAAUUUAGUCUCUUAGCCUAAAACGUGCAAAUUAUCCAUGCUACAUGAAUAUUCAUAUAUAUAUAUAUUUUUCUUUCUCCUCCUCUCCAUUCCACAUCCUUAAUUUAUAUAACAUGCUUAUAAGUAACAUUAUCUAUGACUUCACUAUUUACUUGUAAAUUUAUUCUAAGCUGUCCAUUUGAGUCAUAUUCACUAAAUUAUUUUUAUCUUGAGCUACAGAACUCCAAAUUAAGAUCCUCUAUUUUUUCCUGAAACUAGACUCACAUAUAUUCUUACCAUAAAAUUUUCAGAAUUUUUGGUUCAGCCAAUAAGUACAGUUUAUUCUUUAAAGUCACCUCCUUCUGCUUCUGACAGUUCCGACUCUUCUUCACUAAAACUUAAUUAUCUCCUCGUACGAGAUUCGAAUGAUGUUACCGUUUGUUUCUAUUUAAAAUAGACUCAUUAAAGAUUUUAAACAUAUAAGUUUAAGCCCCUAUAUAUUUUUUUUCAAUUUUUUAUGAUUUUCCGAAGUCAGAACAGGGGAACCCGAAAUCAUUCUGACAUUGUCUCACAAAAUUUAUUAUAUCUCAUAAUUUACAAUUCCAUUACUUACACCGUUUCUUCUAUGAGAAACUAGACUCAAUAAGCUUUAAUUACAUAUUCUUUUCAUCCUCUAUUUAAAUUUCUACUAUUUUUAGUAAAUUUUCAAAUUUAGACUAUUGUUGUUGUCUCAAAACUGUUUUAAUGUAAAAUGUUGAUAACUAAAUUUAUAAUACCCUCCUUUCCUUUCUCUUCAAUAUUUUCCAUCACUUUCUCUUAUUUCCCUUUACUAACAUAACAAGAAUAUAGAACCUUAUAUAAGGAAACUCUACAUUAACAUUAAUUUCCUACUUUUUCAAUAAUAUCAAACUCAAAAAUAUAUUAAAAUCUUAAUGUUCUUACCUUGUGGUAUUGAUUUCAAUCUUUAACUUGAUUUUCUCUCUCCUCCAGCUUCUAUUUCUUGAAUCUAACUUGAUAUUCUAGCUCCCUAUUGUCUCCUUAUUAUUUUUCUCUCUUGGAAGCUAUGGAAAUUCUUUUGAUUUCUAAGUGAAAAUGGUGGAUUUUUGGUAAAAAUGACCAAAUUGUAAAGAAAAGAAAAUUUUCUUUCUUUCUUCUUCUUCUCACGUUGAUGCAUGGGAAAGAUGAUGAAUUCUCUUCAUCUUUCCUCCCUUUUAUAUUAAUCAUUUAAUAAUAAAAUAAUACUAAAAAUCUUAAUAAAAUAUUAAUUAAAUAACAUUUAUCUAAUUAAUUAAUUAAAAAUAUCACCAACAUCAUCAUUACCUUCUAGAAUUCUCUCUCUAAUUUUUGCCCUUCAUUAUCUUUUGAAAUUCCAUCCUCGUGUCAUCACUUAAUUUGGUAAAAUUGUAAUUUAGUCCCUCAAAAUUCUUCACAAUUUCAAUUUGGUCCUAAUUCAUUCAUUUUCCUUAGUUUCUAGAUUAUUCCACCCUUAAAAUAUUUACACUACUUGUCCUUCAACUUUUUCAUAUUUACACUUUAACCCCUCAAAUUUUGAUUAUUUACUCUUGGGUAACAAAACUUUUCCCACUUUUGCAAUUUAAUCCUUUCUUGAAUUAAUAUGUCAUAAUAUACUUCCCAAUGUUGUCAUAACUCAAAAUUCUCCUUUUUGUCACUUUAUUUCCUUACUAUAUCAAAGAUAAUAUCUUACUGUCAAAAUUUUUUGGGGUAUUAUAGUAACAACAUGUAUAAAUACUCGAACACUCCUAUUAAUAACACACGAGAAAAUAUUACUCAACAAAUCAAAAUUUUAUUUCAAUUGAAAAUAUUUUAUUAUUACUGUAAUAGCCCAAAUUUGCCUGGGCCCAAACAAAAAAAAACCAAACAGAAAUAAAUGAUAAUUGUCCAGUCCAAAUUACAACCCAAAUUACAAACCCGUUACCCAAGGCCCGAUAAGCCCAAAACCUUAACUAGUUUCAGUAAAAAACUGAAACCCUAACCCUAAUGCGCCGCACCCCCUGCUACUCCCAUGUCCGCCGUUCCUCCUCGAGUGCACCGCCCGCGCCUCGUCCCGAGACCUACCCCUUAAUUUGCUCAGCCUUACACCAAAACAGUAAACUUCACCUCUGCUGACCACCUGCAAGAAAAGAGAAAGAAACAGGACUACCGAAUAGAGGCCAAACAAUGCUAAACAGUGCAAAACAGUAUAAGAAUAAUAAAAAAACACAAUAUUGUAAUUGGCUAUAAAAGCCUAAGAAUGGAUUAAUGUAAGGAGUUUUUUCUUUGAAUAUAAACGAAACAGAGAAAAAGAAAUAAACAAAAAUUAAAAAAAGGUGAUUACCUUGAUUUUGAUUUAGGGUUCUUCUUUUUUUUUUUAACUUUAUUUUUAUUUUAUUUUAAGCAUGAAGAUACAAAAAGGAAAGGGAAAAAGAACUCACCGAAGUCAUUCUGUGUUCUCGUCGGAGGCUCCUUCUCCGGUGACAAAAUCGGUUGUAGGAGAAGGUUGAUGGUCCGUUUCCUUGGUUUUUUCGGGUGUUUUGAGGCCGGAUUUGAGCUCAGGGGGUCAAGAUCUUAAAAAAAAACUUUUUUUAUCUUGCCGGCCACCGUGCGCGACGGCGCUGACGCCGGCGAUCGGCGGCCAGCAUGGUGGCCAUCGAUUGGAGCUUUGAGAGGAUGAGAGUGGUUGAGAGAGUUUGGCGAAUUUUUUUUUAAAAUAGGGCUGAAAUUAAUUUUUUGGGGUUAAAAAAAUUCUAUUUAUAGUAUAGCCCAUACACGUUGUUUUGGGCCCAAGCUUCAGGUGCCAAAACGACGUCGUUUUAAUGUUGCCUGAUUACUCGACUCGCUCCAUGGCUAGGAUCUGCGAUUUUUUUUAAGCGGAAUGGCUAAUUGCGUUUUCAGCCCUUCCGCUUUCGUGAUGCACUUCAAUUUAGUCCUUUGUCGCCUUUUGGUUGUUUUUUUAAAUUUGGCCAUUGAUUUUUUUCGUGUUUCAAUUGGGUCUCCAGUCUGUUGAUCUGCAGAGGAAAGGACACGUGUCUUGGGAUGGGGCUAAUUACUUAUUUAGUCCCCGCUUGUUUUUGCGCAUUUAAUUUUAGUAUUUUACUUUAUUUGAUUACUUAAUCUAUUUAUUUUAUUUUAAUUAUUUACUUUAAAUUUUACUUAGAUUCUGAUUUAGUCCCUUCUUUCAAUCUUUUAUUUUUUUCUUUGUAUUUAUUUAUUCAUUUAUAUUUACACUUUUUUUUUCUUUCUUUCCAUAUUUUUUGUUUUUUUUUCAUUUACUGUUUGUUUCUUUUACUAUAUUUAUUAUUAUAUCUAUUAUUACUAUCUAUUUAUGCAUUUUAUUACAAAUCACACCUACGAUUUCAUUUACAUUUUAAUUAAGCCCGUCAUUUUCAAUAUUAUAUAUAAUAUUUUUCUCUUUAUUUAUUUACAUAUUUAUUUAUUUAUUUAUUUGUCUUCAUUAUAUUUAAAAAAUUGGUAUUGUCAUUUCAUAUGCAUAUUUUGUCAUUAGAACUAUCAUUUAUUUUAUUAUUGAUUAUUUAUUUAAUUAAUUAUUAUUUUUGAAUGUUAAUAUUGGUAUUAAAGUGAUAUGUAUUAUGAAUUGCUUAUUAGAGCAUCUAUGUUAUUGCCGUUCAUUAGCGUAACAUUUUAUUCAUAUAUCAAUUUUAAUAUUACAUUAAUUUUUACCCAAAUUCGUAAAAAAGAAAAUUUCAAAAAAUAAAGGUAAUAUUUCAUAUUUAGAAAUUCGAAAAGUUGUGCCCUAACUUACUGGUUUUCGAUUUUUCUCACGUUAAACCUAAUAACCGAAUAUCCUUUUAAAACUAAAAUAACUGUGUUUUAAAUAAAAAUAAAGGCAAUAUUCCGUAUUUAAAAAUUCGAGAAGUUGUGCCUUAACUUACUGGGUUUUGAUUUUUCUCGCGUUGAACCUAAAUAACUGAAUAUCCUUUUAAAACUAAAAUAAAUGUGUUUUAAAUAAAAACAAAUGCGAGUUUAUUCUCGAAAAUACGAGGUGUUGUGUCUUAACUUACGAGAUGUAACAUUUAGUUUCUUCGAGAUAAGGAGACAUUUUACAUAUUACAAUUUAUCCUAGUAAUUUUUAAUUAACAUUAAUAAAAAAAGAUCGUAUUUUAAGUUCUUUUCGAGUUUUUAAUUUUUGAUAUUAAGACACUAAUUAAUCAACUAGGUACCAAUUUUUGGGCAUUACGAGGGUGCUAAUCCUUCCUCGUAUGUAAUCGACUCCCGAACCCUUUUUUUAAAUUUUGUGGACCAAAAUUGUUGUUUUAAUAAAAUCAAAUUGUUUAUUAAAAAUAACUACUUUUCGAGGUAACCCGAUCACACCUCAUUAAAAAAAAUUGGUGGCAACUCCUAUUUUCAUUUUUGUUUUCAAAAUUAAAGUCGACCCCUUUUUUUAAAAAAUGAUUUUGACAAUUGCAGUACGAAAUCAAUUCUCAAUUAAAUCCAAAGGAAGGAAUUAAAAUAGCUCGAUUUUUAUUUAUAAUAAAAUUGAGCCUUAGAUAUUUAAAAAAGAAAAAACUGACUUUUUUAAAUUAAAAUAUAUUCAAAAUGUAAGCAAACCCUUUAAAAGAUCCAUCAACUUGCAGUACUCUCCUAUGGCCUUCUCAUCUACACCAUUCCUCAACAACUGCGGAAGAAACAACCAAACGGCAGUCACGGCCAGAAAUCCCAUAGCCAACGCCCCGGAAACCACUGGGUGCAACCUCAUUUUCUCAGGCACCACCUUCUUUACCACCACUUCCGCCGCCACCGCAACCCCAUGUAAGAUGAAAAACCAUGUCAUCUCCCAAGUAGGAGCCACAUGAGUCACGUAAUAAUACAUCAAUUCAUGCAUCAAGCCGGAGACGACAAACACGGUGAUGAUCGCCGGCAAAGAAGUCCACCUUGAUCCGACCAAACGAGUAGAAAUACGACGCAUUGGGUAAUAUACGGUUGGUCGUAGAAUACUAGUAACGAUAAGGUUCCAUCUACGACCCCAGAAAUCUUGUAAAGAGGUAGUUAAGAAGGGUUCAUUGAACUGUGGCUCGAUCUCGAGCCCAAACAUGGCUCGAGCCGGGAUUGCGGCCAAGGCUAGGGUGAGCUCAAGCUCAAUGUACAUAUGGACACCGUACAUUGCUAGAACUAUAUUUUUAUGGAGAUUUCGUUUGUAGUUAUAACAAUGGUAAAGCAAAGCUAAUAUUAGAACUUUUAUAGCAAACAAGAUUGAUCUUUAGGGUGGUUUAGAUUUGUUUUGAGAUGAGGUUUUUUGUUGAAGUUUAAUGGGAAGAGACGCUAAGGAAAUUGUUGCGCGGAAGCGUGUGAAAGAGUAAAAUUAUUGUACUGAAAAAUCACACUAAGUUCAAUUCCCAGGAAAGAGAGGUGGAUCACGAGGAUCGCUUACAUACCAGAUCUUUCCUAGCCAGAAUAUCCCUCUAUCGUAAUUUAAUAGCACAAUAAAUCACUACAAUGACACUUACAAAAUAUGCAGAAUAAACAAUAAAGAACACUAGAAUUUUAACGAGGUUCAACAAAUUUUGCCUACGUCCUCGGGCACUACCAAAUAUAUUUCACUCCAAAAAUACAAGUGAAAGUUUACAAAUAGGGAGAGAGAACAAUUGCCUUAAGUAGAGAAUGGCAAGUGUGGGAUGAAGAAAGUAAGAAAUGGUUAGGCCUAUUUAUAGUUGAGGUUUAAGGAUCAACUUGCAAUGUCCCUAUACAAUUAGGGACCAAAAUUGCAAUUAUCCCAUGCCAACUUUUAACCCAACUUGCCAACCAAUUUUACUUUCUACUUUCGGUGCCCACCCUUUUUGACUUUUCAAACAAUGGGUGGGUUCCAAUAAUCUCCACCUUGAAGAUUUGAUUAGGAUAAUCUUAUCUUCACACAAUUCUUUCUGCCUUUGACAACAAUACUUGAUAGUGCCUUCUUCAACUGUUAAACUUGCAGGAUAUUAAUCAAGUUCAAACAAUGUUCGAACUUGGUUGCUGUUACCACCUUGGUCAUCAUAUCUGCGGGAUUAUCUGCAGUCUUGAUCUUCUGAAGACAAAUUUUCCCCUCUUCAAUAAUUUCCCGCACAAAAUGGAAUCGUACGUCGAUAUGUUUUGUACGUGCAUGAUAGACUUGAUUCUUUGCUAAAUGAAUAGCACUUUGACUAUCACAAUAUACGUUAAUAUGCUCCUGAACCAACCCCAAGGUUUUAGCCAUACCUUGUAACCAAAUAGCCUCCUUUACAGCCUCUAUUACAGCCAUGUACUCGGCUUCUGUGGUUGACAAUGCAACUGUAGACUGUAGUGUAGACUUCCAACUUAUUGGUCCUCCAGCAAGUGUAAACACAUAACCGGUGGUUGAUCUUCGCUUGUCCAAAUCACCGGCAUAGUCAGAAUCAACGUACCCAAUAACACCUUUACCAAGUGUAUUAUCCUGCUUGAACAGUAAUCCAACAUCCACGGUCUUCUGAAUAUACCGUAGAAUCCAUUUCACAGCUUGCCAAUGUCCUUUUCCAGGAUUAUGCAUAUACCUGCUCACUAUACUAACUGCCUGUGAAAUGUCGGGUCUUGUACACACCAUUGCAUACAUCAAGCUACCCACUGCAUUAGAAUACGGAACUUGCAACAUGUAUUCUCGUUCCGUAUUCGUCGAAGGAGAUAGUUGUGCAGAAAGCUUGAAAUGAGAAGCCAACGGGGUACUUACAGGUUUUGUCUGCUCGUUCAUGCCAAACUGCUGUAGUACCUUUUUCAAAUACUGCUUCUGAGAUAAGCUAACUCUAUCAUGAGCUCUAUCUCUCCAUAUUUCCAUGCCGAGAAUCUUUUUAGCUUCUCCUAGAUCUUUCAUCUCAAACUCGAGAUUGAGUUGAGUCUUCAAUCUUUCAAUCUCAACUUUGCUCUUAGAUGCUAUUAGCAUAUCAUCAACAUAUAAGAGCAAGUAUAUGAAAGUUCCUUGUUGUAGCUUCUGAAAAUACACGCAAUGAUCAAAUUUACUUCUUGUGUACCUUUGCCCUUUCAUGAACUGAUCAAAUCGCUUGUACCACUGCCUCGGAGAUUGCUUCAAUCCAUAAAGCGACUUUGUCAGUUUGCAAACCUAAUUUUCUUUUCCAGUAACCUUGAAUCCAUCUGGCUGAGUCAUAUAGAUUUCCUCUUCCAAAUCACCGUGUAAAAACGCGGUCUUCACAUCAAGCUGAACUAGUUCAAGAUCAUAUUGCACAACCAAGGCUAGCAAAAUCCGAAUAGACGAAUGCUUCACAACUGGAGAAAACACUUCAUUGUAGUCUAUUCCUUCUUUCUGAGCGUAACCCUUUGCUACUAAUCUAGCCUUGUAUCGAAUUUCAUUUUUAUCAGGAAAUCCUUCCUUCUUUGCAUAUACCCAUUUGCAUCCAAUUGCCUUCUUUCCCUUGGGUAGUGUCACCAACUCCCAGGUCUUAUUUUUAUGAAGAGACUGCAUUUCUUCAUUCAUUGCUUGCUUCCACUUUACACCAUCAGGGUUACUUAUUACUUCUGUGUAAGUAGAAGGAACAUCAUCAUCUGUAAUUGGAAGUGCAUAGGCCACUAUAUCAUCAAAGCGAGCAGGCUUACGAAUCUCUCUUCUUGGCCUUCUAUAUGCAAUUGAAUCUUGUUGCUGUAGAGAUUCUUGGGUAGGAACCUCUUCAUCAUUUGUCCCUUCAAUAUUAGCUGGAUCAUCGUUAACCUUUUCAAGCUCCACCUGCUGCAAAGUACUACUGGUUUUGUCAUCCUUUUGUGAAUCCUUGUACUUCAACAUGGUUGAUUCAUCAAAAGUCACAUCUCUACUGAAAACAAUCUUCCUUGUAUCAGGACACCAGAGACGAUAUCCUUUUACUCCAUCAGUUAUACCCAAGAAUAAUGCUUUCUUUGCUCUUGGGUCUAACUUAGAUUCUUUUACAUGAUAAUAUGCAGUGGAACCAAAUACAUGCAAAGAAUCAUAAUCAGUAGCAGAUUUACCAGUCCACAUCUCCAUAGGAGUUUUUCCAUUUAUUGCAGCUGAUGGCAAACGGUUAAUUAGAUGGCACGCAUAUGUAACUGCCUCAGCCCAAAAUUCUUUGCCCAAUCCAGCAUUGGACAACAUACAUCGAACUUUCUCCAGUAUAGUUCGAUUCAUUCGUUCUGCCACCCCAUUUUGCUGUGGUGUAUCCCGAACAGUGAAGUGUCGCACAAUGCCCUCAUCUUGGCAUACUUGUAGAAAUGGAUCGUUUUUGUACUCAGUACCAUUAUCUGAUCGAAGUCGUUUGACCUUUCGACCAGUAUGAGUCUCCACCAUCUUCUUCCAUUUCAGAAAUGCAUCCAAAACUUCACUUUUUCUUUUCAUUAGAUACACCCAUACUUUUCUUGAAUAAUCAUCAACAAAAGUAACAAAAUAGUGCAUACCUCCCAAAGAAGCUACUUUGGUAGGUCCCCACACAUCACUGUGAACGUAGUCCAGAAUUCUUUUCGUAUUGUGAAUUGCUGGACCAAAUUUUACCCUCUUCUGCUUGCCCAGAACACAAUGUUCACAGAAUUCCAUUUUGCAAGAAUUUGCACCUUUCAAUAAGCCUUGCUUCACCAAUGUCUGCAAAGCUUUUUCACCAGCAUGUCCCAAUCGCAUAUGCCAUAAUCUGGUAGCCUCUGAAUCUACAUCUUUUGUAGAAACUGUUGAUGUUGAUCCAAUAACUGUACUUCCAUUUAAAAAAUACAAGUUAUUUCUUCUUGUGCCUUUCAUCACCGUUAGUUGCCCAGCUACUACUUUUAGUAAUCCAUCUCUCAAAGUGAUUGUGAGCCCUUUAGAUUCUAGGGCACCUAAUGAGAUGAGAUUUUUCUUCAGGCUAGGUACGUAGCGAACAUCUGUCAAGACUUGGAUUGAGCCGUCGUGAUUCUUCAAUUGGACUGUACCCACUCCCAUUGUCUUACAAGCACUAUCAUUGCCCAUAAGAACAAUUCCACCUUCUAGCUCUUUAAGACUAGAAAACCAGUCCUUAUUAGGACACAUAUGGUAAGUACAUCCUGAAUCCAAAAUCCACUCAUCCGUUUGACAUGCCAUUGCCAUGCCAACCAAGCUAAAGUCUGACUCCUCAUCAUGCUCCGCUACACAUGCAUUAGAAAUAGCCUUGCCCUUUUGUAGCUUAGGACAAUUCUUUUUCCAAUGCCCUUUUUCACGGCAAAAGGCACAUUCAUCUUUGGCGGGUCUCCCUUUGGACUUUCCCCUUCUACCAGAUUUGCUGCUGUGUGAACGACCUCUUACUGUUAAGACUUCUGCGGUUGUAUCUCUGUGAUCUCUUUUAUCUUUCUUUCGAGUCUCAGAUCUAUACAACGCACUACAGACUGCAUCAAAUGUGAUCGUGUCCUUCCCAUGAAGCAAUGUGGUGGUAAGAUGAUCAUAUUCAUCAGGAAGGGAAUUCAACAACAAUAAUGCCUUGUCUUCAUCUUCAAAUUUCUCAUCCAAAUUUAGCAAGUCUGCUAAAAUUUUAUUGAAUGAGUUCACAUGGUCAUUCAUCGACAUACCGGGUGCAUACGUGAAUCGAUAAAGUUUUUUUUUCAUAUAAAGCCUAUUUUUAAGACUUUUCGUUAGAAACUUUUCUUCCAGUGUAUCCCAUAACUUCUUCGCUAAUGUCUCCCUCAUGACAGAGUACUUCUGCUCUUUGGCCAAACAUAGGCGGAUUGUACCACACGCCUGUCUAUUGAUCUUGGCCCACUCCUUGUCAUCCAUCUUGUCAGGUUUUUCUUCAAGGGCUAUAUCUAGCUCUUGCUGACAUAAGACAUCCAGGAUCUCACAUUGCCACAUACCAAAAUUAUUGGUACCGUCAAAUUUCUCUACUUCAAAUUUUGCAUUUGUCACAGUAGUCCUUGCUGAUGACGAUGCUGCUGCCAUUUUUCUCCUCAAUCCCAACUACUGUAUACGUGAACAGUACCGUAUACGUGAAUAGUGUCGUAUAUGUGAAUAGUGCCGUAUACAUGAAUAGUGUCGUACACGUGAAUAGUACCGUAAACGGUCGUAUUCCCCAAGUACGAACUUGGCUCUGGUACCAAUUGUUGCGCGAAAGCGUGUGAAAGAGUAAAAUUAUUGUACUGAAAAAUCACACUAAGUUCAAUUCCCAGGAAAGAGAGGUGGAUCACGAGGAUCGCUUACAUACCAGAUCUUUCCUAGCCAGAAUAUCCCUCUAUCGUAAUUUAAUAGCACAAUAAAUCACUACAAUGACACUUGCAAAAUAUGCUGAAUAAACAAUAAAGAACACUAGAAUUUUAACGAGGUUCAGCAAAUUUUGCCUACGUCCUCGGGCACUACCAAAUAUAUUUCACUCCAAAAAUAUAAGUGAAAGUUUACAAAUAGGGAGAGAGAACAAUUGCCUUAAGUAGAGAAUGGCAAGUGUGGGAUGAAGAAAGUAAGAAAUGGUUAGGCCUAUUUAUAGUUGAGGUUUAAGGAUCAACUUGCAAUGUCCCUAUACAAUUAGGGACCAAAAUUGCAAUUAUCCCAUGCCAACUUUUAACCCAACUUGCCAACCAAUUUUACUUUCUACUUUCGGUGCCCACCCUUUUUGACUUUUCAAACAAUGGGUGGGUUCCAAUAGAAAUGAAGUGAAAAAGGUUGGACGGUGGUGGUGAGAGCGGUGGUUGGUCGAAACAAAAGAGGAGGAGCUUGAAAUUAGCUAACCAAGAGAGAAAGAAGGCGGUGAUGCCAACAAGAUGAACGGAGGAGACGGUGAGAGGUAGGUAAAGGAAGAAGAUGAUGGUUGGGGUUAAAGAAAAAGGCUUGAAAAUGCCUUUGGGGAGCUUUGAUGAUAUGUAGAAACAAUAACAAUGGGAAAUGAUAGCUAAAAUCCAUACCUUGAUGAAAUUGUGAAGUUCGUUCUCCAUAGGUUGAUCUUUGGAUCUUUGAUGAAGAUGACGUUUAAUGUUUAAUAUUGAUAAGGAUUGUAGUACUUGACUUUACUUAGAUAAGUGCAUAUUAAUUAAUGUGUAUUUAAUUGAACGUUGUAGAUAGGUGUAUUGUCUCCAAUCAUAUCAUAAUGAAUUUAAGCCUAGAAUUUAUUACCUCUGAAUUUUUGUUGGAUAUGAUAAAUAUAAUUUUGGUUGUGUUUGAUUAAAAUAUUGAUAUAAUUUUAUAAUUAUUGAGUGGUUUUUUUUAUUUUAAAAUAUUACAUUAGUGAAUUUAAUAGCGUUAACGAUUAGAUUUGAAUUUUUAAAUUCGAAAAUUAAAGUAUUACAUUUCCAAAAGUAAAAAUAUAAAAAUUAAAUUUCAAAUGCACGAAGACUACAAAGAUAUAUAUAGAGUAUAUUUUAAUAUUCAAUUAUUUAUUUUAUAAUUUAGCUUAAAAAAUAAUUAACCUAAUGCGAAGCGUGGCAACAACUAUACUAGCUAUAUUUCAAAGUAGAAAAUGAGAGAAAGCCCAAUUUAUCCUUUUCAUAACAGUUACCUUGUUGUUAUAAUUUUCAAGUUGAUUACGCGCACAUCGCACCAAUUGUUGAUACAAAAUGUUGGCUUAGUGUACAUGGUGAUUCAUAUACAUCACUAUGGAGAGCCGUUGAUGGUGGUUUUGAGAAUUUUAAUCUCUUUCUUUUUGAUUUGAUAGGGCCACAAUUUGGUUUGGUGGUGAGAGAAUAUCUUAAAUACUCAAAUGGCAUGCAAAUUUAUUAUUAAUUGUGAAUUUAGUCUCUUUAUUUUAAUGUAGUCUAUUUUAAUUUUUGUAUUUUUUGAAUUAGUUAAUUUUAAGUCAUGUAUUUUAUAAUUUCUGUUUUAGACAUAAAAAUUUAUAUUCGAUGAAUUCGACACCCAUCGCAGGUGUCUUUGGAUGUAAUGAAACAAGUUAGUAUAGUCGAGUCAAUAUGGCUUGAAGUGGUGGAACCAGGAUGUUAACCUUAAUAGGGCCAAAACUAAAAUUUAAUGUGUAUUUAAUUGAACGUUGUCAAUUUCAGUUGGUUAUGAAAAUAUAAUUAAAUGUAAUUUAAAUUAUGUUCGUAUAUUUAUGUGGCUUUAAGUCAUUACCUUUUUAAUUAUAUAUAUUUUUAGUUCGUUAUUUUAAUUAUAACUUUUAAAAUUUUUAUUAUUUGUGAUUAUAUUUGUAAUUAUAAUUGUAUUUGUAAUUUUUUUAUAUUUUUUUAAAAUUGAAUAAUUUAUUUCUCGGUUAUAUUUAUUUAAAAAUUAACAUAAAAAUACACGAUAACUUAAAUAAAGAAAGUUAAUUUGAUAUAAAAAUUGUUCAAGUUCAAACUUAAAGAUCAUCUGAAAUUUGAAAAAAUUUAGAUAAACAUAAAUUAAAAAAAUUGGUUUAGGCAAAAAAAAAAUGAAUAAUUUGCAAAUACAGAUUGCAAAUACGUAUAAUUAUCAAAUAUUAAAUAAUAAAUAUUAAAUAAAAUAAUUAUAUUUCAAAAAUAUAAAAUGGUAUACGUGAAUCUAGACAGGCUUGAGCAAAUUAUUUGCAAAUACGGAUUGCUUUAGGCAAAAUUUGAAAUCCAUAUUUUAAGUAGAGUCAAGUUUGGGCAACUAUGUAUGGUAUUGAUGUCAUUAAGUGUAAACGAGCCUCAAGCUAUUAGUAACGAAGCUCAAGCUCGAUUUAAGAUUAAAAUCAAAUAGUUUGAACAAAAUUAAUUAUACUAAAUUAAAGUUUAUCGAUGUAAGAAAAAAAAUCUUAAUUUUCAUGUAACUUCAAACUCGAUUAUUGAUACUUGAUUUGAACUCGAGUAAUACUAAUUAAAAAAUAUUAGACUAGUGAGCAAUAUUUAAAUUCAAUUUACUCAAAUUCGAUUAAAAUCAAGUUAAGUUAAAUAGAAAAGUUUGCUAACUCAAUACUUAUUAGUUAUUAUCCCUAGAUAUGGGUGCACGCAAGAAAAAUACAUUAUUAAAAUUUGACAUAAUGACUUAUUUGGUCCUCUAAUAUUAUAAAGAAAAUAAUUUUAGCUAUUCAGUUAAUUUUUUGUUUUCUUAAAUUUUUAAACUUGUAUUUGUUUGUCAAAUCACCCCCAAAAUAAAUGAAAAUUUUAACUUUUACUAGCGUGGCAUACACAUGGAUUGACAAUUAAUUAAUUUUUUAAAAAUUUUAAAAAUUCAAAAAAUUAUUUUAAAAAUUAAAUAUUAUUAAAAUAAAAAAUAAAAAUUUUAUUGGAAAUAUUUUUAAUAUUUAAAAAAUUAAUUUCACACUAGACCUGUCCAUGGGCCGGGCGGCCCGGCCUGGCCCGACGGCCCACCCGAAAUAUGGGAGGGUUCGGGUAAAAAUAUAGGCCCGAAAUAUGGGUUUGGGCAAAAAACUAGGCCCGUUUAGAAAAUGGGCUGAGCCUCGAGCACCACUUUUUUGGCCCGGGCCCGGCCCAAAUUUAAUAAAUAUAUAUUUUUUAUUUUUAUAUUUUUAAGUUUAAAAUAUUUUAAAUUUUUUUUUAUUUUUUUAUUUUUAAAAUAAUUUUUCGGUAUUUAUUAAAAAAUGGGCCGGGUCCUGGUUUAGGAUUUUAUUCCCGGGCUGGGCCUGGACAAAAUUCCAGGCCCAUAUUUCGGGCCGGGCUGGGCCUAGGAGGCGGGCCAAAUUUUUUUAUGGGCCCGACCCGAACCCCUGGCCGGCCUGGCCCAUGGUCACCUCUAUUUCACACCAAAGAAUUUAAUAGAAUAGUUUCAAUGGUGGUAACAAUUGCACUUGAGUUUUUAAAUUCAAAAAUUAGAAGACGACAUUACUGAAAAUAAAAGUAGGGGACUAACUUUUAAAUAUACAAAGUGCAUAGGGAAUUAGAGCAUAUUUUAACUUUUAAAUUUUAAAUUUACAAUUUCACAUGAACAAAUAGUCAACCGAAUGCGAAGUGUGAGCCUAGAACCAUACUUGUAACACCCCAAACUUGACCUAGAUGUUACAGGCAAAUCCGGGGAUGUUAUCGUAAAUUGAUUGAAAAUUCUUAAUUUGUAUGUUUUGCAAAUCAUCGUAAACUCUAUUUACACAAAAACCCAGUUUAAUUGAAAGCAUAUCUUUCCUAACUAUUUUAUUGAAAACGUUGUGUGCUUACACUUUCCAAAAUUUAUAAGUUUGCAGCAGAAAUUUUUAGAACGUUGAAUUUUGGGAAAAUACAGUUUGUUGUUUAGAAAUCCAUUGUUUUUGUAGGAAAACGAUUGUUUUCAAUAAAAACAUUUAAAUAGUUUCGUGUGGAAAACGGAAAUAAAAUCUAAAACAAAAACAACCCAAAAUGUCUAGAUAGUCUAAAAUAUACAAAACAAUUAAACCCAAAUUAAAAUAAAUAAAGUGAACAAAAAUGUUAUUAUAUCCGAGCUCCUGUCGCAUCGACUUGCCUAAGUCUGAGGAUUACCUAAAAGUGACAGAUAACAGAAGGUGAGUUUUCAAAACUCGGUGUGCAACAUUUCAUAUAGAAAUCAGUCAGAUCUAUGUAUAAAAAUAUAUAUCAGAAACAAAACUUAUCAAAGCACAACAGAUACAAAUAAUCAUGUCCCCAUUUGCUACACACUAUCUCUGACCAUCUCAACACACUAUAUAGGUAUUAUAUAUUCAUCUAGGCCUACACACCGCUUAGUGUCGGUAUGACACUGAUCAAAAUAUUUGCAGCAGAGUUGCCAGUUUAUUAGGUGAUCUAUCACUGUCCAGAAACAUAUGUGGUUGAGCCACCAAAUACGACAGGUUAUUAAAUUGCCUACACUUCAUAUAACAAAUCCCAUCCCAGAUGCAAAUGCAAAACUAAUAGGUAUCAGAUAUGUUUACGAUGUACAUGCUUGUCAUGACAGAUACAAAGCAUAAAUAACAUUUGUCAUGAUUUUACCUAUCUUAUAUCAUUUCAAACAUGUGUAAUUAUAUCAAGUUUUAUGCUAACAAAUCAUAAAAAUCCAUGUUUUAUAGCUUAAUUAAUUAUAUACCGACCCUACGGAGGCUUACGUUCAAUCCAGACGAAGUUUACGGUCCUAGGAAAAAAUCUUAUUUGUCAUGCUCCUAUUGAAAAGAGACAAUGAUGACGCGGAAUCACAGUUUCAUACAAUUCUUUCUCUAUCCCUAACAUCCCAAUUCUUAUUCAACUAAGUUCUCUAACUGAAUUUAGAAAAAGAAAUAAAUAUCUCUCAAAGCUCACAAAGAGACUCCCACUCAAAACCUUAACCACUAAGACAAACACAUGAUAUAAUUUAACAAAUCAGGAAUUCAUAUUUUUAGGACGUUGCAACACUAAUACACCAAGCUUGAAAUGUGUGCCACCUUCAUUUAAGAUUAUAUAACAAUGGUAAAUUUUAAUUUUGGUAUAUGUGUUACACUUGAAUUUAAGAUCUAAUCUUAAUACUUCAACUUUUUCUUUAUAUAAUUUGAUAUCUUAACUUUUACAGUGUCAUUGAUUAACUCAAAUAUUUUAUUUAAUUAAAAUAUUUAUAUAAUUUUUAAGAGUUAUAAAUACUGUUAGAAAAUAUUUGUUAAAUUCAAGUCUAUUAUAAUAUUUUUUAUGUGACUACUAAAUUCGUAUAGUCCUAUGCGAUCAAGUUUAAAUGACCGCGCAGUUUAAAAGUUAACCAAAUCCAAUUGAUGGAAAUUAAAUGGCUCUAUUUUUAUUUAUGAUAAAAUUCGAUAAACCCUCUAAUAUUUAAAAAAGAAAAAAAAAGGUUUUUUUUUCAAAAAAAAUUAUGAUGAUAUUCAAAAUGGAAGCAAACCCUUGAAAAGAACCAUCAACUUGGAGUACUCUUCAAUGAUAUUCUCUUCUACACCAUUCCUCGCUAACUGCGGGAGAAACAACCAAUUGACAGUUACCGCCACAAAUCCCAAAGUCAACACCCUGGAAACCGCCGGGUGCAACCUCAUUUUCUCAGGCACCACCUUCUUCACCACCACUGCCGCCGGCAUCGCUAUCCCAUGUAAGAUGAAAAACCAUGUCACCUCCCAAGUAGGAGCCACACGAGUCAAGCAAUAAUAAAUCAAUUCAUGCAUCAAGCCGGAGACGACGAACACGGCGAUGAUGAGAGGGAGCCUAUUUUAAUAUGGGUGGGGUUCUAAUAGUUAAAGUUUAUAAUAUGUUAAUUACGUAGAUUAUGUAAUUUAUACAGUAUGAAAAUUAAAUAAAUUAUACCAUAAUGUAAGCAUUAAAAAUAUGUUAAGUUGUUUAUGUUUAGAAAUUUAAUAAAAAAAUAAAAGAAAUAUAUACAUUUCAAAAAUAUAAAAUGAAAUAGGUUAGCCUAAACAGGCUUGAGCAAGUUAUUUACAAAUAUGAGUUGCUUUAGGUAAAAUUUGAGGUCUAUAUUUCUAAGUAAAGUCCAGCUUCGGCAACUAUGUAUGGUAUAAUUGGUGUCAUUAGGUGUAAAUGGAGCUCAAGCUCGAUUUAUGAUAAAAAAUUAAAUAGUUUGAGCAAACUUGAUUAUACUAUAUUAAAGUUCAUUGAUGUAACGAAAAAAAUUCUUGGUUUUCAUGUAACUUCUAACUCGAUAAUUUAUACUUAGAUUUGAGCUCGAGUAAUACUAAUUAAAAAAAUUUUCCCUCAAUUUCGAUUAAAAUCAAGUUAACUUAAAAUUUUAAAAAUUACUCAAUUUACACGAUUUUUAAUAUAAUUUGAUUUUUAUAUUUUUAUAAUACAACGAGCAAAGAGGGGCAGCUGUACAAGCCCAAAUUUGCCCAGGGCCCAUUAACCUAAAAUACCCCAGCCUAACAAGCUAAAAUUAAACCCAAAAACAACAGACCCAAAAUGACCCAAUAAUGAAAACCCUAACAGCCCAAAAUGGCCCAAACCUAAACUAUUUUCAGCAAAAAAAAAGAAAGAAAAAACCCUAGGCGCCGUACCUAGGGCCUUCAGGUCUCCUCUGCCGCACGUCCCAUCGGCCACCCCCACCUGCAUCUGACCCGCGCCGCACGUCUCCGUCAAUGCCUGCAAACACGAAAAGAAACAGAGACAAAAAAUAGAAGAAGCAAUAUAAACAAUAGGUCUUUUGAUUUUUCUUUACUUUUCUCUUUGGCUAUAUAAAAGCCAAGCACAGAUCUGUAAAAGGGGGGGCUAAAUCACUGUAAUGGGGGGAUUUUUCUUUUUUUCUUUUCCUUCGGCUAAGGCCGAAUACACUGUAAAAGGUUUUUUUUUACGAGAUUUAAGAAAAAAAACAAGUUUUUGAAGGUUUUUUCCCUUAGAUUCGCGUCUUUUAUUUUUAUUUAUUUAUUUUAGAUACUAAUAAUAUAAAAUAAAAGAGGAAAAGAGGAGAAGAGACCUUACCUGCGCCGUGCCGGAGGGAGGGGAGACGGGCGGUCUCUCUUCGCUUUUCUCGAGUACGGGCUCAUUUCUCGCGGGAUUCGGCCUCGAAUCCGUGUCCUAGAGGCGACAGGCUCCAAAAGGGACCAAAAAGGUUCGAUUUUGUGCCUCCGACCACCGUGUGCGGUGGCCGACGGACGGCGGCUUGAUGACCGGGGACGGCCGGACCAUGGCCAGAUUUGGGGAUUUGAGAGGAGUUGGUGGAGCAGGUGAGGCCGUGCGUCGGCGGUCAGAGGACGGCGGCGGUAGUUAGGACCGAUUAGGUUUUUCUUUCUUUCUCUAUUUUUUGUUUAUUUUGGGCUGGUAGAAAUGGGUUUGGGUUAAUUGGGCCAGGUCUAGGCUUGUCUAGUUUGUAAUUGGUUUUGAGUUUAGGUUUAGGUGGGUUUGGGCCCGGGCAAAAUGGGCUUGUACAUUCGAUAUUUAGGAUCUUCGAGAGAAUCAAGCCCUAACAUAUUGGGUUCCGAUUUCCUUCGUUGAAUCUAAAUAAUCGAAGCUAUAUUUUUAUAAAACAUCACUAAAAGCUCGUUAUUGGGAAUUCACUAUGUCGUGUCCUAAUGCAUUGGAUAUGAUAAGUUAUUUUCUCAAGACGAGGAUUUUUCUUAUAAAUGCAAUAUUCAAUGUUUAAUAUUUUGAGAAAUUAUACCCUAACGUAUUGGGUUGCAAUUCUUUCACAUGACUUAAAUAAUUGGAUAUCGUUUUAAAUUUUACUUCGUAAGUUUUUUAGACAAGCUCAUUUCGGAAGAGGUAAAAUAUUGUGCCCUAACUCAUUAGAUGUGACAUUUUCUCUUUCUGAAAUAAGAGAGUCUUAACGAGUAACUUGAUUAAUAUAAGUUUUAAAAUAAAGGAUCGUAUUUUAAAUCUCUUCAAAGUUUUCAAUUUUCGACACUAAGACAUUAAGUAAUCAACUAGGUACCAAUUUUGGGCGUAUUAAGGGUGCUAAUCCUUUUAUAUUUACAUAAACUUUUAUAUUUAAUAAUUUUAAAAUACAUAUAUGCAUAUUUUUCCAUAUUUUCAUAAUUAUAUAUAUACAUGUUUAUAUUUACAUAACCUCUUAUAUUUAAUAUCCUUAAAACAUAUAUAUAUACAUAUAUAUUUCAUACUUUUAUUAUUUUAUGUAUAUACAUACAUAUAGUCCUCUUUAUGUACAUACACAUGUCCACAUUUUAUAAUUUUCAUCUAUUUUCCUUUUUUUUAAUGUUCAUUAAUUUAUGUAUUUAUUUAUAUGUCUAUUUUUAUGCUUUAGUUUAUUUAUUUGUUAUGGUAUAUACAUGAUUUUUAUUUAUUUAUUCGAUUUUGCUCAUAUUAUUUUUGUUCACAUUAUCAUAUUUAUUAUUCCAUUAUGCAUAUUAUAACACCAUACUUCAAAAAGGAAAAAUUUUCUAAAUGAGGCAAUAUUUAGCGUUUGGAAAUUCGAGGAAACGUGCUCUAAUGUGCUGGGUUUCGAUUUUUUCUCGUUCAACCAAAUAGCUAAAUAUCCUUUUCAAAAUUUCAAAAUAAGGCAAUUUUUGCGUUUGGAAAUUCGAGAAAAUGUGCCCUAAUGUGUUGGGUUUCGAUUUUUCUCGUUCAACCAAAUAGCCAAAUAUCUUUCCAAAAAUUUCAAAUAAGGAAAUGUUUUGCUUUUGGAAAUUUGAGGAACGUGCCCUAAUGUGCUGGGUUUCGAUUUCUCGUUUAACCAAAUAGCCAAAUAUCCUCUUGAAUUUCAAUCCAUGUCAUCCGAGUUUUUUUAGGAUCGUAAUUUAAAUCUCUCUAAAGUUUUCAAUUUUUCGACACUCAGAUAUUAAGUAAUCAACUAGGUACCAAUUUUAGGCGCAUUGGGGGUGCUAAUCCUUCCUCGUUGUAACCAACUCCCGAACCCGUUUUUCUAAAUUUCGUGGACCAAAAUUGUUGUUUUAAUAAAAUUAAAUCGUUUAUUAAAAACAACCACUUUUCAAGGUGAUCCAAUCACACCUUAUCAAAAAAAAGGAUUGGUGGCGACUCCCGUUUUUAUUUUCAUUUUUUAAAACCCAAGUCGACCCUGUUUUCAUCAAAAAAAUGGUGUCAACAGCUUGGCGACUCCACUGGGGACCCAAAAUAAGAGAGUCAAGCUACAAGUUGAUUACUUUUUGUCUUUUUUGUCGAAAAUUAAAAAUUUAGUUUAAAUUUACGAUCCUUUCAUUGCAUUUCAUUCGUCUUUAUUAUAAUUUCCAUUAUUGUGGUUUAUGAUUGCUGUGUUAGCUUAAAUUUUGGCAUCUUUCUGCACAUUAUAGUGCAUGACCUUUGGUCACACCCUUUUAAGUGGGAGUGAGAAGCUACUCCUUCGUGAGGUUUUCACCUCCAUGCAGGAUAGUGGAUCGCUUUCGGGAUACAUCCGUACCUAUGUCUUCGUGAGAUUUUCAUCUCCGUGCAGCCAUAGGGAAAUGUAUUCCCCUGAAUCGAACUCGGUCUAUAUGAGCCUAUAAUGGGUGAAGAUCGAGGAAUCUGCUGGUUCGGGUACCCUUACUUUAGAGCCAAACCUCAUGUAGUGAACCUUAGAAGCCCACCCUAGGUAGAACCACUUCGAACCCUUAGUAUUCACCCAAAUAGGUGUUCUAUUUAUUCUUGCUUGCUCUUGCUUUGUACUAACCUGUUUUUUUUUUUUGUUAUGAUUGUAUUGCAUUUUCAUCAUAAAAAGGUGUUGAUUCACGUUCGGUUGUUAAAUAGAGAGCUUGCAAUAAGGAAAUGGGUUACUUGAUAAAGUGGAUAAUAAUACUGUUGUCUGAAUAUAUUCCGAGAAAACACAAUAAGAGAAGGGUGAUAGUUUAAUGGAGGGCUACACGACCAUUGCUCCGUAGCCCGAGAAUUCAAGAUGAUAAAGAUUAUUCGAGAGCCGCUGAACUUUCUUAAAGAGAAGCCAACGAGCGUCACGAGGGUAAGUGAUUAACGAGUCGCGGCCCAGAUCAAGCAAAAAAGAGAUAGAAGAGACGUCCCUUUUGAAGAGUUCGUGAGAUUUAUCUUACGCGCGAAUGAAGAAAAUGAUCGUUGUCUUAGAAUAUACGGGCAAGGCUGUAUAUAUAUCCGUUUUAUGUAAAGAGACUUGUUUUCUAGUAAAGUUGUUCUAAUAAGAAUUGAACCAAGAAUCAACGUCUUUUUUUGCAUUCAUUUCACGCAUUUGCAUUAUAUAACAUCAUGUGCAUUAAGGACUAUUAAAAGACUCUAAUUGAAUAAAAUUAUUUCAGUUAACUUGAAAAGCUGACACAUUUACGGAACUCGAGCGAAAUCAAAGAACAUGGAUCAAAGAUUAGAAAAGCUUGAACAACUCUAAAAAGAUAUGCAAGAUCAGAUACAAGAGCGGAUGGAAAGAAUUCAGCAAGAUAUGACAAAAAAGAUGCGGGAGUCCCAGAACGACAUGAUGGCACAGUUAACGCAGUUGUUGAGAUGAGGAAAUGACAAGGGAAAAGACCCUGUAAUUAAUGUUGAAGAAGGAAAUAAUGAUGACCCCUUUACCGUCCAGGCUUCACCCCUCCGCACGCGCAUACUGAAGCUAAGCUGAACCCACAUAAAUCCUCCCUUACAAUCAGACCCCAGUAAUUUCAGACAGGUCCUUCAAUGCCAAUGAACUUUCAAAUAGAAGUAGGUCCUAAUCCUGAAGAGAAUCCUACUAAUCCCAUGGUUCCUGAUCUCGAUGACGUAGUAGAAAUGGAGAAAGCAAAAGUGGAUCUGCCAAAACAAUUAGAAGACCGGUGUAAAUGGCUAGAGGAGAAGUUUAAAGUAAUGGAAAAUACUGAUUACCAUCGAGGAAUGGACGCUAAAGAUUUGUGCUUGGUACCUGAUUUGGUCCUCCCUCCUAAAUUUAAAAUGCUAGAGUUUGAGAAGUAUAACGUGACAAGUUGUCCCGAAGCUCAUAUCACUAUGUUCUGUCGAAGAAUGACCGGAUACAUCAACAAUGAUCAACUACUGAUUCACUCCUUCCAGGAUAGUUUGAUCGGGUCAGCGGCUAGAUGGUACAAUCAAUUGAGUCGGACCAACAUCCACUCAUGGAAGGAUUUGGCAUAGGCCUUUAUAAAACAGUAUGGACAUGUGAUGGAUAUAGCACCUGAUCGAAUUGUAUUGCAAAACAUGGAAAAGAAGCCUAAUGAGAGCUUCCGACAGUAUGCUCAGAGAUGGAGGGAGGUGGUAGCGCAAGUUCAACCACCACUUUUAGAGAAAGAGAUAACCAUGCUUUUUAUCAAUACUUUGAAAGCUCCAUUUCUGAGUCACAUGUUGGGCAGUGCCACUAUGAGCUUUUCAGACAUAGUGAUGUCCGGAGAAAUGAUAGAGAAUAUGUCUGGAGAAAUGAUAGAGAAUGCCAUAAGAUGCGGCAAGAUAGAAGUGGGAAAAAGCGCCCAGAGGUCAGCUCCAAGGAAGAAAGAGCACGAGAUAAAUAAUGCAAGCGUGUUUAACAAGGGCUAUUCUAAACCAAUCACGGUGGGACAAGCAAGAGCAGUAACCACUAAUCAUCAAGGUUCUUCAAGGCAGGAAACCAAUCCUAGGCCAAAUAAAGAAAGAACCCAAUUUACACCCAUCCCGAUGACAUAUAGAGAGUUGUAUCAGAGGCUAUUUGAUGCACAUGUGGUAUCUCUAUUUUACUCAGAGCCCGUACAACCUCUGUACUCCAAAUGGUACGGUGAAAAUGCCCAAUGUGACUACCAUGUAGGAAUUACGGGGCACUCAAUAGAAAAUUGCAUCACCUUCAAAAAGCUAGUUGAAAAACUCAUCAACAUAGGUAUUGUCAAGUUAGGUGACUCAUCUACUGCAGAAAAUCCGCUACCCAAUCAUGAUUGACAAUAAGGUGAAUGCGAUGUAGGAAGAAAUGUUGAGAAGUUUUCACAUUAGUGUCGUGCAUGAAGACAACUAAAAAGAGGUCUUGUUAGAUAUCCACCCUUAUAAACCUAGGAGUGUUCUAAGCAAUUGAACUGCGGAAGUAACCCCUGUAGUAUUUAGGGCUUGUUUAGAAUAAUAUUCAGAACAACCUUGUUGCUUUUAGCCUAGAGGCAAUAAGAACUCUUUUGUGAAAUAGGCUCAUGUCUGAACGUCGUUAUUUUAAUGGAAUUGCAUCUUUGUGAUCUUUUUGAACCAAUAUUCUUUCAUUUCUUACGAACAACUAUGAUUAUUCUUUUAUUCUUUCUUCUAAAUCAUUAUUUCAUUCAUAAUCAUAUUGUACAUAACUUCAUAUAUUCUUUGUAUAUUCUUUUGUACCUACAAUAGGUCUCUGAAUAUCAAAGACAUGAGUAACGCUGUUACAGACUCAGAAUCUCAUUUUGAGCGAGACAUGUGUUUAGAAGAAUCUCACGACUUUGAAGAUGACAUAGAUUGUAGCCUAUCUCAAGACUUAUUGAGGAUGGUAGAACAAGAUGAAAAACAGAUCCUACCUUAUAAAGAAUCAUUAGAAUCCACAACUUCUCCCUAUGUGGGGUAUGAAUGUCAUUGAGCCGAUCUUACCAAAAAUUUCUGGAGGUCAACAAUUCAUCUUUGCAGCCGUCGAUUACUUCACUAAGUAGGUUGAAGCUGCUUCAUAUGCCAGUGUCACGAAGUCGAUAGUCAGCAAAUCUUUAAAAAUCAUAUGGAAUGUCAAAAAUGAUCAUAUUUGACAAUGCACUAAAUUUGAACAAGGGCACGAUAUCAGAAGUUGAUAGUCUGUUUGAGAUUAACAUCAUGUCGUCUCUAAGUGAAUAGUAUAUUAGAGGUAAAAAAAACUCUGUCGGGGCAAUGUCGUUCUCUUGGGCCUACCACGAUUUUGCCUAUUAAAGACGAGAUUCUUUCUCUCUAAGUUUUUAGACCCAAUCCUGAUCGAUGAGGAAUGUUCAAAGUAACCCAUCAUGGUCAAAUGUGCCAAAAGUAAAUGAUGCGAGCUCACAAAAAGUUCGCCCAAGAAAAUCCCAUGAGAGGGACUUGGUAUCGAAGAAGAUCCUUCCCACACAAAAAGAACUUCAUGCCAAGCUGAAAAAAAACCUUAAAUAGAAUGCCUUAUCUGGAAAAGCGUCAGUCAUGAUCAGAGGGGAUAACAAGGACAUGCCUAAUUCUAAGAGUUAAGAUUCAAAAAGAAAAAGAAAAAAGAAAAAAAGAAGAGAAAAGAAAAAGAAAAAAGGAGAGGCCAAGGUAAAAACCCGCAAAGGGCGCCUUGAGACCAAAGAGGACUUGAGUUGAAAACCCGAAAAGGACGACUCAAAUUUUGGAUCAAAUUGGGGCAUGAGGCGAUCAGAGCAACUCAAAUUUUGAUCAGAUCGGGGCAUAUGGUGAUUUGUUAUACCUAAAUCAAUAGGAAAGGGUAGGCGACAUCUUGGGGCAUCAACAAAGUCCUAUAGAUCUCCUAAACACAUGUCAAACUCAGAAUGAUCUUUCAAAGAGUUUGUACAGAGAAGUUCAAGCUGCGAUAUCUGGGGCGUCUAGUCCUCAUACUAUUUAUAUUGAAUUUUUUAUUCUUGGAAUACUUCUUUUUUUUUCAAGAUACAUGUUCCAAUCAAUUCCUUUUUUUAUUCUUGUUAUCCUUGAUAAUUUAUUCAUUUCGAGCUAUGCUCUCAAAUCAAUUCUAUUUUAUCUAUCGUUAUGAUCUGUUGCAAGCAUAUUGCAUUAGAGUAAUGAUUAAUGGACUAAUAAUACUUUCACAAUGGAAGUUUUGCAUAUUACUCUAGAAGUUUCUAAAUAAUAUAGAAACCUGAAAUAGGACUAUUGUUUAGAAAACACCAAGUUUAAAGGGUGAAAUAUCUAAGAAGGAAGAAUCUAAGUUAAAGACUAUCCUUUCGGAUUUUUUUGUCCAAACAUUAAUGGAACAAAAUGACAAGAGACCAGAGCUUCAAUGAACAAACAAGUGAUGUUUACCAAGCAAUACGAAAAGGUCUUCUGGGAGAAAAAAAUUCUUCAUUGUGCAUAAACUUUUGGUAUGACACCCUUGGAAUGGUGUAGGAGACGAAGGAGUUUCAGAUCCUGUAUCCCCGAUUUGCAGUGGGAGAGAUUUGAGAAUGAGCUAGAUCUUAUACUCCUAAAUUACAGUAGGAGGAGGAUGGUUUUGAAUUUUAUGUCCCAAAUUACGGUAGGCUUAACUUUGAAAAUCGCAAUGAAUUGAACUCUGAAGAUUACAGCGGGGGCAAUCUGAUCAAGUAAGAGAUGAACAUUAUCAACCGGACAAGAUAGCAUUCUGACGCGUUGGCAAUAAAGCCUUAUUGAGCAAUGGGCCAUAACAACUCAAAUAUGGAAAGAUCAUUUUCAUUUUGCAUUCAUGCAUACACUUUUAGUCAGGAUAUUUUGAUUCAUUUCGAUCAUAAUCACUAGGCAUAAAUAAGUUCAUAUAGGUUAUGUUCCCCAAAGAACAGAUCAACGAAGAUGGCAGGUCUUGCUUUCCUGAGUUGACAGCGAAACAGAUCGAAGAAACCAUAGAUUGCAAUUUAAAAGAUUAAAGCCACAAUGACGAAUCUUACUUCUCAGGCGAUGCAACGGAAUAGAUUGAAGCAACGACGGUGAAUCUCGCUUCCCUGACAUUGUAAUUUAAAAGAUUGAAGCCACAACGGUGAAUCUUACUUCUCAGGCGAUGCAGCGAAACAGAUUGAAGCUACGACGGCGAAUCUCGUUUCCCCAACAUUGCAAUUUAAAAGAUUGAAGCCACAACGGUGAAUCUUACUUCCAGACGAUGUAAUGGAACAGAUUUAGCUACAACGACGAAUCUUGCUUCCCCGACAUUGUAAUUUAAAAGAUUGAAGUCACAACGGCGAAUCUUACUUCCAGGCAAUGCAGCGGAACAAAUUGAAGCUACAACGGCGAAUUUUGCUUCCCCGACAUUGCAAUUUAAAAGAUUGAAGCUAUAACUGCGAAUCUUACUUUCAGGCGAUGCAGCGGAACAGAUUGAAGCUACAACGGCGAAUCUUGCUUCCCCAACAUUGCAAUUUAAAAGAUUGAAGCCACAACGGCGAAUCUUACUUCCAGGCGAUGCAGUGGAAUAGAUUGAAGCUACGAUGGCGAAUUUUCCUUCCCUGACACUGCAAUUUAAAAGAUUGAAGUCACAACGGCGAAUCUUACUUCCAGGCGAUGCAGCAGAACAGAUUGAAGCUACAAUGGCGAAUUUUCCUUCCCCGACAUUGCAAUUUAAAAGAUUGAAGUCACAACGGCGAAUCUUACUUCCAGACGAUGCAGCAGAACAGAUUGAAGCUACAAUGGCGAAUUUUGCUUCCCCGACAUUACAAUUUAAAAGAUUGAAGCCACAACGGUGAAUCUUACUUUCCCAAGCGGUGAAGUGGAACAAAUUGAAGCUAUGACGGCAAAUCUUCCUUCCUCGACAUUGCAAUUAAAAAGAUUGAAGCCACAACGGUGAAUCUUACUUUCCAGGCGAUGCAGCGAAACAAAUUGAAGCUACAACGGCGAAUCUUGCUUCCCCGAUAUUGCAAUUUAAAAGAUUGAGGCCACAACGGCGAAUCUACUUCCAGGCGAUGCAGCAGAAUAGAUUAAAGCUACGACGGCGAAUCUUGCUUCCCCGACAUUGCAAUUUAAAAUAUUGAAGCCACAACGGCGAACCUUACUUUCCCAAGCGGUGCAGUGGAACAGAUUGAAGCUACGACGGCGAAUCUUACUUCCCCGACAUUGCGGUUAAAUAGAUUGAAGCUACAACAGCGAAUCUUACUUCCCUGGCGGUGAAAUGAAAUAGAUUGAAGCUACUCUAAUUUCUCCAACAUCGCAGUUAAACAGAUUGGAGAUGACAGACCUUAUCUCUCUAAAGUUGCAGUAGAGCAGAUCGCAUCCAGUCCUAUCUCCCUAAACAGUCCAAUCUCCCUGGUUGGCAGUGGAAUAGAUUGAAGAUUUCAGAUCUUGCCUCCCUAAGUAGUAGUGGAGCAGAUCGAGUAAUGGCAAAUUUUACCUCCCUGUGAUUACAAUGGAGUACAUUGAAGUCAGUAAUUCUAUCUCCCUGGUUAGCAGUGGAAUAGAUUGAAGAUUGUAGAUUCUAUAUCCCUAAGCAGUAGUGGAGCAGAUCAAAGAUGGUGAAUCUUAUCUUCCUAAGGUAGUAGGGAAGUAAAUUUAAACCACAAACCUCGCCCCCUGAAGUUACAACAGAGUGGAUUGAAGCUACAAGUCGUAUCAUUCUGAAGUGUAAUGGAGUGGAUCGACGCGACAAGACACAGUGGAUCAAAAUAAAGCUACUUAAAGAGAAACGACAAGAGAAGUCAAGACUCGGCGAGGCUGGGCAAAAUUGGUCUUUCUAUGUCUUUGCUUUGUUCUCGUUACACAACAACGAGCAAAGAGGGGCAGCUGUAAAGCCCAAUAUUUGCCCAGCCCAAAUUAACCGACCUAGACUAAACCCAAAGUCGAAUGGCCCACUUACAACACCCAAAGCCCAAACAGAACCAAGCCCAAUUAACCCUCAACCCAAACCUGAAGCCCAACUGAUAUAACCCUAGCCCAAAAGAAAAUACAUCAGAAACAAAUCAAACCCUAAGUGCGCCGCACCUAAGGUCUCUAGUUCUGCCACCGCCGCCUGCAGCCACCUGCCCACUUGCCACCACCACGGUCACGUUGCUGAAUUGCCACUUGCGCCUGCAAGAUCAGAAAGAAGCGACAGAAAGCAAAAAAUGGGAAUAAAAAAUAUGUAAAAAAAUGGCUAUAUAAAAGCCAUUCAAAAUUGUAAAAAAGGGGAGGGGGAGAGAACCGAUCUGGAGGUUUUGUAAAAAAGGAGUCUCUUCCUCGUUUUUUUUACAAGCAUUACUUAGAAAUAAAAAGAACAAAAAGAAACAGAUUUAAAACAAAACAUUCAAUGUGACUUUUCAUUUUUUUUCCUUUUCUAUACGUACUUAGUUAUUUUAUUUUAUUUUAUUUUAUUCUCUCCUAACAACAAUAUAUAUUAGUACAAGAGUAUUUAAAUAAAAAAUAAAAUUUUACCUUUUUUGGCGGUCCUGUUUGUCGUUUUCUGGGCUCUGGCUGGAGGAGGGGAGAGAGUUUCUGGUUUUUUUUUUGGAAGAAACGAAAAAAUGAAAAUUUUGAAAGAAAAUUAGCUUAAAUAGCUGAACAAAACGACGCCGUUUUGAUGGGGUCAGGAAAGCCCCAAAACGACGUCGUUUUGGGCUCCUGACCCGAGACCCGACCCGCCUACCCCAGGGGAUCCGCGUGUUUUGACGGAAGGGCUAAUUGCACGUUUAGCCCUUCCGCUUUUUAAUGUUUUUUUUUAAAUUAGGUUCUUUUAAUUUCUUUAAAUUUUACCCAAAAAUUUAUUGUGUUUUCAAUUUAGUCCCUACUGGAACUCUGCGUUUUGCAAGAAUGGGAUUAUCUUCCUUUUGCCCCUCCUAGUUUUUCAGCGCGUUUGAUGUGGCCCUUCCUCUUUUAUUUAUUUCAUAUUUGACCCCAAAUUUUGUUUUAAAAUUUUAAUUUGGUCCUUUUUCGUUAUUUUGGUUAUUUUAUUAAUAAAUCUAUUAUGGUUAUUAUUAUUAUUAUUUAUUUCCUCAUUUACAUAUAUACAUAUUUGCAAUUUCCAAUUUUGCUAUAUAUAUAUGUGCAUGCGUGCAUUUUUAUAUUAUACAUACAUAUUUCUAUAAUUUAUUUUUUUAUAUAUAUAAACAUGCUUAUAUAUAUAUUUUAUAUUUUAUAAUUUUUAUAUACAUUUUGUAUACAUAUACGUGCAUAUACAUAUUUACAUAAACUUUUAUAUUUAAUAAUUUUAAAAUACAUAUAUGCAUAUUUUUCCAUAUUUUCAUAAUUAUAUAUAUACAUGUAUAUAUUUACAUAACCUCUUAUAUUUAAUAUCCUUAAAACAUAUAUAUAUAUACAUAUAUAUAUUUUUUCAUAUUUUUAUUAUUUUAUGUAUAUACAUACUUAUAGUCCCCUUUAUGUACAUACACAUGUCCACAUUUUAUAAUUUUCAUCUAUUUUCCUUUUUUUUUUAUGUUCAUUUAUGUAUUUAUUUAUAUGUCCAUUUUUAUGCUUUAGUUUAUUUAUUUGUUAUGGUAUAUACAUGAUUUUUAUUUAUUUAUUAGUUUUUGCUCAUAUUAUUUUUGUUCACAUUAUCAUAUUUAUUAUUCCAUUAUAAAUAUUAACACCAUACUUCAAAAAGGAAAAAUUUUCUAAAUGAGGCAAUAUUUAGCGUUUGGAAAUUCGAGGAAACGUGCCCUAAUGUGUCGGGUUUCGAUUUUUUCUCGUUCAACCAAAUAGCUAAAUAUCCUUUUAAAAUUUUCAAAAUAAGGCAAUGUUUUGCGUUUGAAAAUUUCGAGAAAACAUGCCCUAAUGUGCUGGGUUUCAAUUUUUCUCGUUCAACCAAAUAGCCAAAUAUCCUUCCAAAAAUUUCAAAUAAGGCAAUGUUUUGCGUUUGGAAAUUUGAGGAACGUGCCCUAAUGUGCUGGGUUUCGAUUUCUCGUUUAACCAAAUUGCCAAAUAUCCUCUUGAAUUUCAAUCCAUGUCAUCCGAGUUUUUUUAGGAUCGUAUUUUAAAUCUCUCUAAAGCUUUUAGUUUUUCGACACUAAGACAUUAAGUAAUCAACUAGGUACCAAUUUUGGGCGUAUCGGGGGUGCUAAUCCUUCCUCUUGCGUAACCGACUCCCGAACCUAUUUUUCUGAAUUUCGUGGACCAAAAUCGUUAUUUUAAUAAAAUUAAAUCGUUUAUUAAAAACAACCACUUUUCAAGGUGAUCCAAUCACACCUUAUCAAAAAAAAGGAUUGGUGGCGACUCCCGUUUUUAUUUUCAUUUUUCAAAACCAAGUCGACCCCGUUUUCAUCAAAAAAAUGGUGUCAACAGUAUCAAUGUAAGUUCUAUGGUUGAAAUUCUGUGAAUGUUACUCUCACUUGUAACACCCCUAAAUUAAUUUGAACAUUUGUUCGAUAAAUUUUGUCAAUAAUUAAGUUUUCAUAUUUGUGGUUUAGUGCUCUGUUUAUGUGUUUGAGAUCGGGGGUUUGAGUAUUUCUUUUUGAAAUUUCUCUGUUUAUUUUAACUUAACCCUUACCUUUGAACUCUCGACUUAUAUUUAUUUCUACGCUAAUUUAUGUAAAAAAUGAGCUUGUUAUUUUGAUGGUUAGGCCUCUAUAAACUUCCUAGUCUUGUGUUUGAAUCUUUUUGCAUGCGUUAAUGAAAUAUUUUUAUGCUACUUGUAAAAGCUUGUUAGCUUUUUUUUAGUUUAGUUUGUAUUGUUUAGAAGUUCUGUUUUUAUUUUCUCUUUCUUUUUAUUCACUUCACUUCACGUUUUCCUUUUCUUCUUUCUUUCUUUUAUUUUUGUCCUCUUUUUUGUUUCUACUUGCUUUCAUUGACUGCUAUCGGGUUUAAUUGGAAAUUUUAAGUUUUUCGUUGCGUCAAUUGAAAGGUUAUUGUGUAAGUUCUGUUGUUAUUCUCUUUUGUCUCGCGAAAUUUCGUUGUUUGCUUUGAAGUUAAAAAUGACUGUUGUUUGUUUGAAUCUAUGUUAAUUGUGUGAUUGGGGAUUCUUUUAGGCGAAGGACUUGUGGGAGCGGUUACUCCAACGCACUGAUUUCAUAACUCGUUGUUACAUACGAGGUAACGGGUGUCUUUCGAGUUGGGGUUCUAUGUCAAAUUUUUCGACAUAAGUUUGGGUGGUGCGCUAAUCUUAGUGUUGCAUUGCGAAUAAUUGCUUAAUUGCCUUUUGGAUUACUGUUUUUAGGUUUUGAACUUCUUCUGGGUGCUUCUACAUAGAAACCGUACCAGGUGUGUACCGAAAAUCUGAUUUUCUGCGAUUUUUGAAUGCCAGAAAACAUGGCUGUCGACGUCACAUGGCCGUGUGGCUGACUGUGUAACUUACUAUUAAUGAGUUAGAGGCACACGGGCGUGUGUAAAGCCCUAAAAAUAAGUCUAGUAAUUUCAAGUAAGUUUACCGGGUUUCGAGUGAAAAUUAAGAGUUAAUCGGGUUUAUUAGUAAAUUUUUAGUUAGCUAAUUUCAUUUAAAAAUCGAGAAAUAAUAUUUUGGAAAAUUAAAAUAUUUUUAGAAAAACUAAUUUUAUAAUUUUAAAUAAUUUUUGGGUAAAAUAAAUGUUUUGGGUCAAAUUAGAAUUGAAAAAUAAAUUAAAAUAGGGGUUUAAUUUAGAGAAUUUAAAAUAUUAAUUACAUAGGACCGUUUUGCAAAAUAAGGGAAAUAUUUGAGUGGUUCUAUGGCAAAUUACCCAUAUUUUUAGAAUUUUGGAGGGAAAUGAUUAUUUAGUAAAACAAAGGAAUUGUGACAGUGCCUCAUGGGAAUUUCUCCAAUUUUUGGAAAUUAGGUGGGGGUUCUUCAGUUCAAAAACGCUGCAGCCUCCUCACUUCACACACAAUUCUCACCCAAUUUCUAAGUAUUUCUCUCGUUUUCCUUUUUCAUUUUUGAAGUGCACAUAUCAAAUAUUAGAUCUCAUCUUUUAUUCUCUCAAAAUUCUCCGGAAAAGAUUUCCAAAGUCGAGAAAAAAAACUCAUCUGAGUUCUUCAAAGGUCUUGAUCCAAUGUUCAAUAUUAGUGAUUCCAGAUCGAUUGAAGGUAUUUCUCAACCCUAAAUUUAUUCUAAGGUUGACAGCAAGGCGAGUUCAAGGACUUUGCUCGCAGAGUGAGCUCACAGACUCAGCUCGCAAGGCAAAGCCAAGGACCCAACUCAUAACGUAAGGCCACAGAUCCAACUCGUAGGGACCUAGGGAAUUAAGGCCACUGUCUCAGCUCGCAUACACCUAGGGAGUUAGCAAAAAGGGCCACGUGCUCCGUAGGCUACCCAGACACGUGUCUAGCAGGUACGGAGCCCGCCUAAAAUGUUAGUCCUAAGAACAGAAAAAAUCGCGUGCUCUAUAAACACGUGCCUAGCAAACCUAGAGUUCGCAGAGAAUGUCAUUACUAGAAGCAGAGGAGUCUAGACAAAAUAGUGAGGCCCUAUCAUAAACUGUAAUAGCAUCUGUAAUAAUAUAUAUAAAUACUCAACCGCUCCUAUUAAUAACACACAAACAAAUAUUACUCCAUAAAUCAAAAUUUUAUUUCAAUUGAAAAUUUUUUAUUUGCAGUACGAAAUCAAUUCUCAAUUAAAUCCAAACGAAGAUAUUUAAAAAAAAUGACUUUUUAAAAUUAAAAUAUAUUCAAAAUGGAAGCAAACCCUUUAAAAGAUCCAUCAACUUGCAGUACUCUCCUAUGGUCUUCUCAUCUACGCCAUUCCUCAACAACUGCGGGAAAAACAACCAAACGGCAGUCACCGCCACAAAUCCCAAAGCUGACGCCCCGGAAACCACCGGGUGCAACCUCAUUUUCUCAGGCACCACCUUCUUCACCACCACUUCCGCCGCCACCGCAACCCCGUGUAAGAUGAAAAACCAUGUCACCUCCCAAGUAGGAGCCACACGAGUCAAGUAAUAAUAAAUCAAUUCAUGCAUCAAGCCGGAGACGACGAACACGGCGAUGAUCGCCUGCAAAGGAGCCCACCUUGAUCCGACCAAACGAGUAGAAAUACGGCGUAUGGGGUAAUAUACGGUUGGUCGUAGAAUGCUAGUAACCAUAAGGUUCCAUCUACGACCCCAAAAAUCUUGUAAAGAGGUAGUUAAGUAGGGUUCAUUGAACUGUGGCUCGAUCUCGAGCCCAAACAUGGCUCGAGCCGGGAUUGCGGCCAAGGCUAGGGUGAGCUCAAGCUCAAUGUAGGUAUGGACACAGUACAUUGCUAGAACUACAUUUUUAUGGAGAUUUUGUUUGUAGCUAUAACAAUGGUACAGCAAAGCUAAUAUUAGAACUUUUAUAGCAAACAAGAUUGAUCUUUGGGGUGGUUUAGAUUUGUUUUGAGAUGGGGUUUUUUGUUUAGGUUUAAUGGGAAGAGACGCUAAGGAAAUGAAGUGAAAAAGGUUGGACGGUGGUGGUGAGAGCGGUGGUUGGUCGAAACAAAAGAGGAGGAGCUUGAAAUUAGCUAACCAAGAGAGGAAGAAGGCGGUGAUGCCAACGAGAUGAACGGAGGAGACGGUGAGAGGUAGGUAAAGGAAGAAGAUGAAGAUUGGAGUUAAAGAAAAAAGCUUGAAAAUGCCUUUGGGGAGCUUUGAUGAUAUGUAGAAACAAUAACAAAGGGAAAUUAUAGCUGAAAUCCAUACCUUGAUGAGAUUGUGAAGUUCGUUCUCCAUUUCUUGAUCUUUGGAUCUUUGAUGGAAAUGUAGUUGACUUUACUUAGAUCGAGAACCAUGGUCAUAAUAUGUUAAUAGGUAAUUGUAAUUUUCCAAAAUUUUGGAAUUUAGUCCAUAUAUUUUAAUUCCCAAGGAUUUAAUCUUUAUAUUUUUUGAAUUUUAAAAUUCAAGUUCAAUUAUCACUUCGAUAAUGUGAACAAACAUUAACUUUAUCCAUUAUUUUAAAGUGGCUUGACAAAUAAUAUAAAUUUAAAGACUAAUGAAGGACUAAAAUAAAUUUUUUUAUAAAGUUAAAAGGUAAAAAAUUGUCAUUAUACCUUACUUAUUUUUUAGAUCUAAAGUCAGUGCUCUCACUUAAUUUUAUAAUGUUGUCCUUCAGCAAAAAAGUAAAUACGAAGUUGAGCAAUAAUAAUAACACGUGAGGGACUGUGGAAGUGGGUGCUGUCUUUAGGACAAAUCUAUAUCUAUAUAUUCAAAGCACUGUCCUCCUGCCGUCAAGUGGUAAGUCGACUGCUCUUUUUUUUUUAAAUGAAAAAUUUUGUUUACUUUUGAAAUUUAAUCUAUAUAUUUUAACUUUUUAAUAUAAUUUAGUUUUUAUAUUUUUAUAAUAUUUUUAAUUAUUUUAAAUAGUUGAUAUAAUUUACUUUUCAGUUAAAAUAUUAUGUAGUUAUAUAUAAUUUGAAUACAUUAUAAGUCUUAGAGACAGGUACCCGAUGUUCUAUUUCUUUUAGAUUUGUGUCGCUUUUUUUUUUACAUUAGAACACAAUGGCUAAAUUUUAAUUUUAGCUUCUAGACUAUGCUAAAACUUGAGAGCCUCUAUCCCGACGAUGCGACGCCCCCUCGCCCCGACGACGCAAAUGCCACGUCACGACGUGGCGACGUGCACCUCAUGUUUUUCGGUUUUCUUCUCCUAGUUAAACAUUAUUUUUAGUUUUCUACUUAAACUAUGAUUAACCUACGAUUAUUCUAAUCAUAUAUGCUACGAAUUUUAGCCUAUAAAUAGGCAUUAGUUACUCUAGGUUACAUACAAAAGAAAUAUUUAGAUUGAGAGAAUUCAUUUAUUUGUUUUGAAGGGUUUAUUUUUUUGAGGCUUUGAGAUUUCCUUUGAUUCUCUCCAUUUUUUGUACUCUCUUUAUUAUAGUGAAAUCUCUUUUUGUCUUUGUUUUUUUAUCCUCUUUUGAUGAGCUUUUUCACGUACAUUUUACGUGUUCGAUCCUGUCGUUUUUACUUUAUUCACUUGUUCAUUGCAUAUAAGGUCCAUUUCCCUACACUGUUCUCGUAGUUAAUUUAUCACUACGGAAGAAGUCAGAGAUUUGAGGUUGUUUUUGAAUCUCUGUAACUGACUUAUCAAUUGGAGGAGAGAGAAUCUAUUGUUUGAGAUCAGUUCAAAGUCGGAGUCAAAAACACACCUAAGGCUAGAGUUUUCAUUUUAUCGGUUUAUUAAGUUUUAAUUUUGUUUUACUUAUUUCUACUUUGCUUUUAUUUUUAUUUAAUUUUUGUGAUUUAUUUUAUAUUCCAAUUUAAUCCCCUCAAUUUUGUAUAGGUUGGCAUGAGUCAUGGACACGAAAAUUACUUGGGAUGCGUUAUUGUUAUAAAGAGAUAUAGAUUCAGGUAAAUCAAUCUCUAUGGAAUCGACCCUACUCUAUAUACUAUAAAUUUAAUUUCAGUUUUAGACAAAAAAUUCGUGUUGGACAUAUUUCUAAACAGAGAUAUAAGAUAUGAUUUCUUAAAAAUUUGUUUUUAUCCAACCUGCUCAAAGCCAAAUAUAAGGAGGACAAACAGACAAAACUUUGACAAUUCACAUGUUGUGUUGUGUUUUAAUUAUCUUUUUAUAGCCUAUAGUCUAGAUUAUGAUUGCAUGCCCUGUUUUCUUAUACGAAACCAUAGUUUCCCUGGAAACCAAACAUCAAACCCACAUUUUCGAAAUUCAAAUUUUAAAAUUUCAAUACUAAUCAGAUGAUAAUUAUUAAAUUUGGUAAAUUUUGUUAUUUUUAAAAUUUAAUGUGGUAAGUAAAUAUAUUAUCAUCUGUGUAAUAAUAUGAUAACUUGUUAUUUCCAUAUAUUACUCACUAAAAAUACAUGCAAUGGCUUAACGAUUAUCACUUGCUUCAAGAUUAAAAUUUUAAAGUUCAAAAAAUAUAGGGACUUAAAAUCUUCCACUUGAAGAAUAUGGAAUAAAUCUGUAACUUUACGUAAAGUGCAAAACUAUUAAUUGAAUUUAACUGAACAAAUUUUAGCUGCUAUUAUGUGGGUUAUGACUAAAUGUCAAAAUUCAAAAAAUAUAAUACUAAAAUUAAUUAAAGUAAAGUAUAAAGACUAUAUCCAUAAUUUUGACAAAAUACUGAGAUUAAUAGCAAAAUUUACCUUUUUUUAAUGAAAUAAAAAAUAAAACCAUGAAAACAUUCUUCAUAGAACUUUGUUGUUUAAGUCAGACUCAGAGAGUUAUGUACUUUCUACUCAAGUUCUCUCGUGAUUGUCCUACAAACUGUAUUCACAUGUCUUCUUAUAUAUAUAUAUAUAUAUGUAUAUAUGGGUAGACUAUGCUAGUAGUUAACCAAAUAUUAAUAUUUUUUUUUUCUAAAAUUACAAUGAUAUUCAAAAUGGAAGCAAACCCUUUAUCAGAUCCAUCAACUUGGAGUACUCUCCAAUGUUCUUCUCAUCUACACCAUUCCUCACUAACUGCGGGAGAAACAACCAAACGGCAGUCACCGCCACAAAUCCCAAAGCCAACGCCCCGGAAACCACCGGGUGCAACCUCAUUUUAUCAGGCACCACCUUUUUCACCACCACUUCCGCCACCACCGCAACCCCAUGUAAGAUGAAAAACCGUGCCACCUCCCAAGUAGGAGCCACACGAGUCAUGUAAUAAAAAAUCAAUUCAUGCAUCAAGCCGGAGACGACGAACACGGCGACGACCGCCGGCAAUGAAGACCACCUUGAUCCGAGCAAACGAGUAGAAAUACGGCGUAUGGGGUAAUAUACGGUUGGUCGUAGAAUACUAGUAACCAUAAGGUUCCAUCUACGACCCCAAAAAUCUUGUAAAGAGGUAGCCAAGUAGGGUUCAUUGAACUGUGGCUCGAUCUCGAACCCAAACAUGGCUCGAGCAAGGGUUGCGGCCAAGGCUAGGGCGAGCUCAAGCUCAAUGUAGAUGCGGACACAGAACAUUACUAGAACUACAUUUUUAUGGAGAUUUUGUUUGUGGCCAUAACAAUGAUAAAGCAAAGCUAAUAUUAAAACUUUUAUAGCAAACAAGAUUGAUCUUUGGGGUUGUUGAGAUUUGUUUUGAGAUGGGGUUUUUUGUUUAGAUUUAAUGGGAAGAGAAGCUAAGGAAAUGAAAUGAAAAAGGUUGGACGGCGGUGGUGAGAGAGGUGGUUGGUCGAAACAAAGGAGGAGGAGCUUGAAAUUAGCUAACCAAGAGAGGAAGAAGGCGGUGAUGCCGGCGAGAUAGGCGGUAGAGAUGGUGAGAGGGAGGUAAAGGAAGAAGAUGAAGAUUGGGGUUAAAGAAAUAAGCUUGAAAAUGCCUUUGGGGAGCUUUGAUGAUAUGUAGUAACAAUAACAAAGGGAAAUUAUAGCUAAAAUCCAUACCUUGAUGAAGUUGUAAUGUUCAAUCUCCAUAGGUUGAUCUUUGGAUCUUUGAUGAAAAUGAAGUUUAAUGUUUAAUAUUGAUAAGGAAUGUGAUUGCGUUUUCUUAGAUAAGUGCAUAGACACGUUUAAAAUUUAAUGUGUAUUUAAUUGAAGGUUGUAGAUAGGUGUAUUGUCUCCAAUCAUAUCAUAAUGAAUUUAAGACUAGAUUUUGUUAGUUGUCAAUUUUACAUGAUUAUUAAGUGGGUUUUUUUUUAUUUUAAAAUAUUAAAUCAAUGAAUUUAAUAGUGUUAACAACUAGGUUUGAAUUUUUAAAUUCAUAAAUUAAGGGAUUAAAUUUUUAAAAAUAAAAAUACAAAGACUAAAUUUCAAAUGUACGAAAACUACAAAGACAGAGUAUAUUUUAAUAUUCAAAUAUUUACUCCAUAAUUUAGCUUAAAAAAUAAUUAACCUAAUGCGAAGUGUGGCAACAACUAGACUUGUUAUAUUUCAAAGGAAACAAAUAAGAGAAAGCCAGUUUGACCUUUUCAUAAUAGUUACCUUGUUGUUGGUUACUUUGAACAACUGAACUAGCUUGGUACUAAAACUCUUAAUAGUUGUAAUUUUCAGGUUAAUUACAUGCAUAUCGCACCAAUUGUUGGUACAAAAUGUUGGCUUAGUGGUAGAUGAUGAUUCAUAUACAUCACUGUGGAGAGCCGUUGGUGGUGGUUCUGAGAAUUUCAGAGAUCAGUAAAAAGGCUUCUUGAAGGGUUUUAACAAAGUUUAUAGGUAAAAAGGGGUAUUCUAAUAAACGAUAAUAAAAUUCAUAAUAUUUGAAAUAGGUUCCUUGGAGGGAAUUUGGAAGCUUGGUCAUGAUGCGUCUUUUUGCACGUUGAUAAUGUGCUUAAUCAACAUGUUUUUAGUGAUUUAUUGUAAUUAAUUUUAGACAUGAAUGCUACUAAUUCGAUACUUUUUUAUACUAUUUUCUAUAUUGGUAUAAUGCAGGAUUGAAAUGUUAGAGUACAAGUUGCUUUCAAGGUUAUGCACUUGGUAAUGGUUAGUCGUCGUGCUGGUCUCGUAAUUAAUUUAUCACUACGGAAGAAUUUGGAGAUUUGAGAUUGUUCCUCGAUCUCUAUAACAAACUUAUCGAUUAUAGGAGAAAAUCCAUUAUCUAGGAUUAGUUCAAAGUCAAAUUCAAAAUUGUGCCUAAUGCUAGAUUUGUCAUUUUAUCGUUUUAUUCAUUUUUUAUUUGUUUACUUAUUUCUAUUCCAUUUUAUUUUUUAUUUAUUUUUUUUAUAUUCUAAUUUAGUCCCCAUCUAUUUUGUAUAGGUUGGCAUGAGUCAUAGGCACGAAAACUGCCUGCAACGCAUUUUGGUUAUAAAGAGAUACAAAUUUAGAUAGAUUAGUCCUUGUGGGAUCGACUCUACUCUUUAUACUAUAAAUUUAAUUUUUCUUUUAGAUGUAAGAAUUUAUUUUUAGUGGAUUUGACAUCCAUAAUAGGUGUGUUUGGAUGUAAUGAAACAAGUUGGUAGUGUCAAGUCAAUGAGGCUUGCCUCUUUUACACUUGUCAAACAUGCAUGAGACAGAUGUUUAGCAAGGAUUAAUAUUUUACCAUGUUGCUGAGCUUCCACAUAUAGAUGUUGGUGAAAUGUUAUAGACGAAAUUCUCCUAUUUUCCAUUGGUCAAAGAGGUUGACUUGACAAGAUCCAUUAGGCAAGAUGACACAUAUAACAAUUACGAAUAUGCGAAAACAAAAAAUGAAAAGAGGAAGAACAAAAAUUCAUCGAGACAUAUCUUUUUUACACUUCACAACUUUACAAUUUUUCAUAUGAUGUUUUAGGAGGGGCGACUCCUUCGCGAGAAGUCUUCAAAGUGUCGUAUAUUGGGCAGCUGACCUGAUCCCCCAACAACCGAAGCUAUUGUCCCCUUGUCGAGGUUUUGUCUUUAGCUUUCAUGAAGAGCCAUGUGCAGUUCAUGGAGGGGGCGCCUCGAGAGAUAGGUGCUUGCAAGACUUGGGAAAGAUGUCAAUAUGGUGCGUGUGAAUAAUAGUGGGGGUACUUGGGUGCGUCCAGAUUCAAACCACCAACCAAGGCUUAAAGACAACGUGUUUGCAAACAUGGUACUCUUCAUUUUUUUUAAAACCCCGACACAGGGACUAUAUUGAUUGUUGGGUGUCUGGGUUGACUGUCGGAGGACGACACUUUGAAAACUUCUUACAAAGGAACUGAUUCUCCCCUUAACAAUUAUGAUAAUUAUAACAGCUCGAUUUUCAAUGGUAUUGAAAAAGCGAUUUGAAACUUCAUUUCCGUAAAACCGUGUUUGUAAAUAUUAAUAUUUAAUAUUUACGAAGCUAUUAUAGUAAUAUAUUAAAUUUUGGUUUAGUAAUUUUGUUGAAUUGAUAGCUAAUUAAGGUUCAAUGACUAAUUUGUAAAAUUUUAUUGCUAUAAGUUUUUAAUUGCCCAAAGAUUUAAGGACUUAAAUUACAAUUAAUAAAAGGUCCAAAAAGGUAAUUUAACCAAUUUAUAAUAUGAAAUAGUGGCAUAUGAUGACAUUCCCACUAUCUUUGAUUAAUAGUUAAUUAAUUAAUCUUAAAUUAAUUAAACUUAAUUAACUCAUCCUUGGUCCAAAAAAAUUAAAAGGAAAAGUUAUCAUCUUUUAUUCAUCUUCCUCUCUUGGCCGAAUCUUGAAGGAGAGAAAACCUAAGGAAACAUUUCACAUUCGACUACAAAAUUGGUAUGUGCAAUUAAGUCAUUUUCUUGUAAUUUUUAUGUUUUUGGGGCCAUGGGAACUUGAUUUAGCUAGAUCAUGUACCAAUUUGUAAAACUGUUAAAAUUUUUAAAAGUUGUCAUUGCUAAUUUCUUACAGAAAUUAGUGUUAAAUUGGUAAACUUCAAGCUUAGAUGUGAAAAAGUAUAAGAUUGUAAAGUUUAAAUUGUUAGUUUUGUCAAAACGGAUUAAAGUGUAAAAAUUGAAUAUUUGAUGUGAAAUUUUUUUAACAAUAGAUAGUAGAGGGUCCUAAAAGGAUAGGAGCUAGAUCGAUUUUGAAAUCUAAGCUCAAAAUUGAAAGUUAUGGCAAUUUCGAUUUUUGGGUCUAAACUGAAUAAAAUGCAAAAAUUUAGGGGCAUUCAGAAAAUAAAAUUGAACUGGUACAUGCAUAUAAUAGAAUGUUAUAAAAUUUUUAGUAUUGAUAAAUUGAAUUGAGUAAUUGUAUAGAUCGAGAAUUGAACCGAACCGAAGAUAAUUAGGAAAAUAAAAAAUUGUCAAUUAGUCCUUAAAGUCUCGUUUAUUGCUCUUUUUCUGGGUAAGUUCAUCUGAAACUUACUAAAUUAUCUUUUGAAUUUUAUUUUUUUUAAUUGCAUGUUUAUAUUUAAGUGAAAUUGUGGAAAUUGGCUUAUUUGGCUAUUUAUGGACUGAAUUGUAAAACAUGAAAAUGUUGGCUAUACGAAAGGGUACAAAGUACCGAUAUGAACGUUACAUGUUUAUAGGAUUUGUAUGGAAUAAGUAUUCUGAUAUAAGACUUGAAAUGAUACGAUUAAGAUAAUGAUGUUGUGUGAACUUAGUAAAAGAUUAGAAUAUGUAUGGCAUGCCAUUAGGGUCAAAUAUGGAAUUGGUCAGGGAUUUACAUGGUUAUAUAGUCAACUUUUUUUUAGAAACCCUGAUCAAUGUCAACUUGUGUGAGCAAUAUAGUCACGUUUAUCCGAAAUGGUAACCUAACGGAAAUGAAAUCAUUGUAAUGAUACAAAUGUGGAUUGAAUUUUACAUGUUUUCAAAUUGAAUAUGAAUUUUUUUGUACAUGUUUCAAAUUGAGUUGUGGUAAAUUAAUUUUGUGUAAAGUUCUUGAUAUGAAAAUGGACUAAUCUAUUCAUUGUAUAUGAUAUUAUGUGUUAGCUAUUUCAAGAUAUGUCAAAUGAUGCCAUACUGAAUGACAAUGUAUUUAAAUUUUUAGUUUGUUGUAAUAUCAAGGUAAGUUAAAUUUCAUAUGAACUUACUAAGCAUUAUGUUACUUUUUGUUUUCCUUGUAGAUCAUUACCUUGCAGAACAUAUCAAGUAGAUCGCUUUGAAUCUCACAUUAUCCUGUUUUUGAAUCAGUAGCUUUUCGAUCAUUUUAAGUUUGGAAUUGUGGCAUGUAUAUAGGCGUUUUGUAUAUGUUAACUUUCAAUGUUGGACAUAGCUUAAAACCUUCCUAAUGCAUGAUUUUGACAAUGUUAAUGUCUAGUUGAAAUGGCAUGUUUUGGUAAAUGUGUUUGAAUUAGGUUUGGAAAUUAAAAUCGCAUGUUUGAACAUAAAGUAGCAUAGAUAAUAAAUUGGUAUUUUAAUGGCUAGUUGGUUGGAUGGAUGAUUUAUAAUUGAAUGAGUUGAAUUGGUAUGUUUUGUGUUAAUUUGAACUUAUAUUGAAUUGAUUGAUUGGAAAUGGUUAAAUGACUUGUUUUGGUAUGUUUUUGGUAUGGUUUGAUUCAAGUAAAGAUCGGCGAUUUGUUCAGUAAAUUGAAUAGGUUGUUUGGAAGCAUUAAAUAGGUACCGAAUGGUUCAUUUUUCUUAAAAACAGGUUCCACAUCACGAUUAUGGUUCUCGACAUCGCAACAUUGGAAAUUCAGAGAGUCUCGUUGCGACAUAUUGAGGUGCCCAUGUCGCGAUGAGGAAACACUGAAGUCACGACGACGGUUAAUUUUUAAAACUUUACAAUUUGGUCCUAUUUCGUGCUCGGGUCAGUAAAAGAGCUUUAGUAAGCUCGAUUAAGGCUCGAGUUUAAUUGAUUAACAUAAUGUAAAUGUGUUUAGCACUUAAUUACAUGUUUGAUUGAUGUUUACUGUAUAAUUGACUAUAGUUACUUCGACAACAAAUGUGACAUACUGUAACUCGAACCCGACAAUCGAAUCGGGCUAAAAGUGUUACAAUAACUAUUGAAUGCCAUUGGUACUCUCAUUUUUUUUUAAAAAAGACAUCUAUAAUUAAUAUUCAUGUUCCACGUAUAUUUAAACAUAGAUAUAAGAUUUGCUUUCUCAAAAAUUUGUUUUAUUCCAAUCUGGUCAAAGCCAACAAAAGUGUUUGAUAGAAACGAGAAGGACAAACAGACAAACUUUGUGUUGUGUUUUAAUGAUAGUCACUAAACAUGGCGUGGCCCGUUUUCUUAUACGGAACCAUAGUUUCUACAUCCUGGAAAUGGAACAUCAAGCCGACAUUUUUAAGGUUAAUUUCUGCUAUUAGUCCUUAAUUUUUGCGAAAUUUAUAUAUUUAAUCUCUAUAUUUUAAUUUAGUCAUUUUUAGUCAUUGAACUUUUCAAAUUUUAAAGUUUCAAUACUAACCGAACGGUAACUAUUAAAUUCAGUAAGUUUAGCUAUUUCAAAAAUCUGAGGUGGUAAACAUAUUAUCAUAUGUGUAAUAGCAUGUCAGUUGAUUAUUUCUGCAUAUUACUAACUAAAAAUCCAUGCAAUGGAUUAACGAUUGUCAUUUGCUUUAAGAUUGAAAUUUUAAAAUUCGAAAAAUAUAGGGACUUAAAAUGAUCCACUUGAAGAAUAUGGAUUAAAUCUGUAACUUUAAGUAUAGUACAGGACUAUUAAUUGAAUUUAACUACUAUUAUUUGAGUUAUGACUAAAUUUUAAAAUUCGAAAAAUAUAGGAAAAUAAUUGAUCAAAUUAAAGUAUAAAGAUUAAAUCCAUAAUUUUGACAAAACAUUGAGAUUAAUAGCAGAAUUUGCCUUUUUUAAUGAAAUAAAAAUAUAACCAUGGAAAUAUUCUUCAUAGAACUUUGUUGUUCAAUUCAGACUCAGAGAGUUUUGUACUUUCUACUCAAGUUCUCUCGUGAUUAUCCUACAAGCUGUAUUCACAUGUCUUGUUAUAUAUAUAUAUAUAUAUAUGGGUAAACUAUACUAGUAGUCACCCAAUUAUUAAUAAAUUUUUUUUAAUCACACAAUUAUGAAAAGUUAUAAAUUAAAUGAUCAUCUAGCUAUUAGUAAAUUUCUUUUUUAGUCACACAACUAUGAAAAAUUACAAAAUAAUUAUUAAACUAUUCAAUUUUGUCAUUUUUGGUCCCCAGCUGGCUACCAUAAAAAUAGAAAUACCCAAAACUCCAAGAUAGUUAGGUGACCAAAAAAGAAAUUUACUAAUAGUUGGAAGACCAUUUUAUAAUUUUUCAUUGUUGAGUGACAAAAGAAAAUUAACUAAUAAUUGGGUGAAUAUUAAAUAGUUUACCUCAAAACCCUUGCUAUAAUUUAAGUGCAGGUGUGUUACUUAGCAUUGUGUUUGAUAUAGUUUUUUUGAGGCAAGAAAAAUGGCUAAGGUUAGUGAGAAACUGAUGGUGUAUUGCUUGGUAGCAAUCUUUGUGGUCAUUGCAAUGGUGGAAGGAAUUUAAAUGGCUGGAUUUUUAUUUAUGAUUUUUUUCUAAAAUUACAAUGAUAAUCAAAAUGGAAGCAAACCCUUUAUAAGAUCCAUCACCUUGGAGUACUCUCCAAUGUUCUUCUCAUCUACACCAUUCCUCACUAACUGCGGGAGAAACAACCAAACGGCAGUCACCGCCACAAAUCCCAAAGCUGACGCCCCGGAAACCACCGGGUGCAACCUCAUUUUCUCAGGCACCACCUUCUUCACCACCACUUCCGCCGCCACCGCAACCCCAUGUAAGAUGAAAAACCAUGUCACCUCCCAACUAGGAGCCACACGAGUCAUGUAAUAAAAAAUCAAUUCAUGCAUCAAGCCGGAGACGACGAACACAACGACGAUCGCCGGCAACGAAGCCCACCUUGAUCCGAGCAAACGAGUAGAAAUACGGCGUAUGGGGUAAUAUACGGUUGGUCGUAGAAUACUAGUAACCAUAAGGUUCCAUCUACGACCCCAAAAAUCUUGUAAAGAGGUAGCCAAGUAGGGUUCAUUGAACUGUGGCUCGAACUCGAACCCAAACAUGGCUCGAGCAAGGGUUGCGGCCAAGGCUAGGAUGAGCUCAAGCUCAAUGUAGAUGUGGACACAGUACAUUGCUAGAACUACAUUUUUAUUGAGAAUUUGUUUGUAGCUAUAACAAUGAUAAAGCAAAGCUAAUAUUAGAACUUUUAUAGCAAACAAGAUUGAUCUUUGGGGUGGUUUAGAUCUGUUUUGAGAUGGGGUUUUUUGUUUUGGUUUAAUGGGAAGAGAAGCUAAGGAAAUGAAAUGAAAAAGGUUGGACGGCGGUGGUGAGAGCGGUGGUUGGUCGAAACAAAAGAGGAGGAGCUUGAAAUUAGCUAACCAAGAGAGGAAGAAGGCGGUGAUGCCGACGAGAUGGGCGGUGGAGAUGGUGAGAGGGAGGUAAAGGAAGAAGAUGAAGAUUGGGGUUAAAGAAAUAAGCUUGAAAAUGCCUUUGGGGAGCUUUGAUGGUAUGUAGAAACAAUAACAAAGGGAAAUGAUAGCUAAAAUCCAUACCUUGAUGAAAUUGUGAAGUUCGUUCUCCAUAGGUUGAUCUUUGGAUCUUUGAUGAAAAUGAAGUUAAUGUUUAAUAUUGACAAGGAAUGUAGUUGACUUUACUUAGAUAAGUGCAUAGGCACGUGUAAAAUUUAAUGUGUAUUUAAUUGAAUGUUGUAGAUAGAUGUAUUGCCUCCAAUCAUAUCAUAAUGAAUUUAAGCCUAGAAUUUGUUAGUUUUGAAUUUUGGUUGGACAUGAUAAAUAUAACUUUGGUUGUUUUUGAUUAAAAUAUUGAUAUAAUUUUAUUUUUUUUUAAUUUUAAAAUGUUACAUUAGUAAAUUUAAUAGCAUUAAUUUGAAUUUUUAAAUUUGAAAAUUAAAGGAUUAAAUUUCUAAAAGUAAAAAUACAAAGAUUAAAUUUCAAAUGUACGAAAACUACAAAGAAUAGGGUGUAUUUUUAAUAUCAAUUAUUUACUCUAUAAUUUAGCUUAGAAAAUAAUUAACCUAAUGCGAAGCGUGGACAGAACUAUAUUAGCUAUAUUUCAAAAUAGAAAAAUGAGAGAAAGCCCAAAUUGUCCUUUUCAUAAUAGUUACCUUGUUGUUGGUUACUUGACCAGCUGAACUAGCUUGGUACUGAAACUUUUAGUAGUUAUAAUUUUCAAGUUGAUUAUGUGCACAUCGCACUAAUUGUUGAUACAAAGUGUUAGCUUAGUGGUACAUGGUGAUUCAUAUAAAUCACUAUGGAGAGUCGUUCGUGGUGGUUUUGAGAAUUUUAGAGAUCGAUGAAAAGGCUUCUUGAAGGGUUUUAACAAAGUUUAUAGGUAAAAGGGGAUAUUCUAACUGUACUUGGGUAAGGGAAACGAUUAUAUAACUCAUAAUCCUUGAAAUGGGUUCCUUUGAGGGAAUUUAGAAGCUUGGUCAUGAUGCGUCUUUUUGCACGUUGAUAAUGUGCUUAAUCAACAUGUUUUUAGUGAUUUUUUGUAAUUAAUUUUGGACAUGGAUGCUACUAAUUCGGUACUUCUUUUUUCCUAUUUUCUAUAUUGGUACAAUGCAAGUUUGAAAUGUUAGAGUACAAGUUGCUUUCAAGGUUAUGCACUUAGUAAAGGUUAGUCGUCGUGCUGGUCUUGUAAUUAAUUUAUCACUACAGAAGAAUUUGGAGAUUUGAGAUUGUUCCUCGAUCUCUAUAACUGACUUAUCGAUUGGAGGAGAGAAUCCAUUAUCCGGGAGCAGUUCAAAGUCGAAGUCAAAAUUGCGCCUAAGGCUAGAUUUUUCAUUUUAUCGGUUUAUUCAUUUUUUAUUUUGUUUUACUUAUUUCUAUUCCAUUUUAUUUUUAUUUAAUAAAAGGUCCAAAAAGGUAAUUUAACCAAUUUACAAUAUGAAAUAAUGGCCUAUGAUGACAUUCCAACUAUCUUUGAUUAAUAGUUAAUUAAUUAAACUUAGUUAACUCAUCCUUAAUCUAAACAAAUUAAAAGGAAAAGUUAUCAUCUUUUAUUCAUCUUCCUCUCUUGGCUCAAUCUUGAAGGAGAGAAAACCUAAGGAAACAUUUCACAUUCGGCUACAAAAUUGGUAUGUGCAAUUAAGCCAUUUUCUUGUAAUUUUUAUGUUUUUGAAGCCAUGGGAGCUUGAUUUAGCUAGCUCAUGUACCAAUUUGUAAAAUUGUUAAAAUUUUUAAAAGUUUUCAUUGCUAAUUUCUUAAAGAAAUUAGUGUUAAAUCGAUAGAUUUCAAGCUUAGAUAUGAAAAAGGAUGAGAUUGUAAAGUUUAAAUUGUUAGUUUUGUCAAGACGGAUUAAAGUGUAAAAAUUGAAUAUCUGAUGUGAAAUUUUUUUGACAAUAGAUAGUAGAGGGUCCUAAAAGGAUGUGAGUGAGAUCGGUUUUGAAAUCUAAGCUCAAAAUUGAAAGUUAUGGCAAUUUUGAUUUUAGGGUCUAAAUUAAAUAAAAUGCAAAAAUUUAGGGGCAUUUAGAAAAUGAAAUUGAACUGGUAUAUGCAUGUAAAAAAAUGUUAUAAAAUUUGUAGUAUUGUUAAAUUGAAUUGAAUAAUUGUAUAGAUCGAGAAUUGAACCAACCCGAAGAUAAUUGGGGAAAAGAAAAAAUUAUUGAUUAGUCCUUCUAGUCUCAUUUAUUGCUCUUUUUCCGUGUAAGUUCAUAUGGAACUUACUAAAUUAUCUUUUGUAUUUUUUUUUCAAUUGUAUGUUUAUAUUUAAGUGAAAUUGUGGAAAUUGGCUUAUUUGGCUAUUUAUGGACUGAAUUGUAAAACAUGAAAAUGUUGGCUAUAUGAAAGGGUACAAAGUACCGAUAUGAAUGUUACAUGUUUACAGGAUUUGUAUGAAAUAUGCAUUCUGAUAUAAGGCUUGAAAUAAUACGCUUAAGAUAACGAUGCUAGUAUGAAUUUAGUAAAAGAUUAGGAUACGUAUGGCAUGCCAUUAGGGUCAAAUAUGGAAUCACAGGGAUUUACAUGGUUAUAUGAGAUCCAAAAUUUGUUGCGGAUUCUUAGCCUAUAUGUAUCAUUGGUUUAGCCUGGACUAGUAACCUCAAUACGAUGUUAGCUUGUUUGAGCAAAUUCAUAAAUGUCAGCUUGUCUGAGCAACCCUAAUCCCUACCAACUUGUGUGAGCAAUAUAGUUACGUGUAUCCGAAAUGUUAACCUAACGGAAAUGAAAUCAUUGUAAUGAUACAAAUGUGGAUUGAAUUUUACAUGCUUUCAAAUUGAAUAUGAAUUUUUUUGUACAUGUUUCAAAUUGAGUUGUGGCAAAUUAUUUUUGUUUAAAGUUCUUGAUAUGAAAAUGGACUAACCUAUUUGUUGUAUAUGAUAUUAUAUGUUAGCUAUUUCAAGAUAUGUCAAAUGAUGUCAUAUUGAAUGACAAUGUAUUUAAAUGUUUAGUUUGUUGUAAUGUCAAGGUAAGUUAAAUUUCAUAUGAACUUACUAAGCAAUAUGUUACUUUCUGUUUUCCUUGUAGAUCAUUACCUUGCAGAACAUAUCAAGCAGAUCGCUUUGAAUCUCACACUAUCCUGUUUUUUAAUCGGUAGCUUUUCGAUCAUUUUAAGUUCGGAAUUGUGGCAUGUAUAUAGUUGUUUUGUAUAUGUUAACUUUGAAAGUUGGACAUAGCUUGAAAGCUUCCUAAUGCAUGGUUUUGACAAUGUUAAUGUCUAGUUGAAAUGGCAUGUUUUGGUAAAUGUGUUUGAAUUAUGUUUGGCAAUUAAAAUAGCAUGUUUGAACAUGGAUUAGCAUAGAUAAGAAGUUGGUAUUUCAAUGGCUAGUUGGUUGGAUGGAUUAUUUAUAAUUGAAUGAGUUGAAUUGGUAUGUUUUGUGUUAAUUUGAACUUAUAUUGAAUUGGUUGAAAGAAAAUGGUUAAAUGGCUUGUUUUGGUAUGUUUUUAGUAUGGUUUUAUUCAUGUAAAGAUGGUGAUUUGUAGAGUAAAUUGAAUAGCUUGUUCGGAAGCACUAAAAUAGGUAUCAAAUGGUACAUUUUUAUCGAAAACAAGUUCCACGUCAGAACUACAAAUCUCAACAUCGUGACAUUGGCAACUCAGAGAGUCUCGUCGCAACGAGGAAACACUGAAGUCAUGAUGACGGCUUGGAAUUUUUAAAACUUUACGAUUUGAUCCUAUUUCGUGCUCGGGUCAAUAAAUGUAUUUAGAACUUAAUUACAUGUUUGAUUGGUGUUUAUUGUAUAAUUAAUUGUUAAAAUUUAAUGUCAAUAAUGACAAUGAAUCACAAAGAAAGAGAGAAAAAUAGAACAUGCAGAAUUUUACAUGAAAAUCUUUUCGGGAAAAAAUCACGGGCUGAGGAGAAGAAAUUCACUAUGUCGAAUUCGAAUGAUACAAGAUAAGUAUAGAUUACGUCUAUUUAUAGGUUUGUAAAACCAUAUUUUAAUCAAAGUCAAAUAAAAGUAAUGCAGCAAGAUUAAAACACCUUAUUGUAAUCAACAUCAAAUAGAGGAAGUAAACUUCUAUACAGAUUUCACUUGUGCAGCAUGUACUAUACCGCGGGGGAUCUACAAUGGGCUACGACCUUUACCCUCGUAGAUCCUCCUAUCUUGCCACUUGUAUUUUAUUUUUAACAGGGAUUUGAGUCACACAAUUUCUAACAUUAACGAUAGUUGCUUCAACAACGAAUAUAGCAUCCUAUAUCUCAAACCUGAUCGGAUUACAAUGAACAUUGAAUUCCAUCGGUACUCUAAUUUUUUUAAAAGACAUCUAUAAUUAAUAUUCAUGUUCCACGUAUAUUUAAACAUAGAUAUAAGAUAUGCUUUCUUAAAAGUUUGUUUUUAUCCAAUCUGGUCAAAACCAACAAAAGUGUUUGAUAGAAACGAGAAGGACAAACAGACAAAACUUUGACAAUUCACAUGUUGUGUUGUGUUUUAAUUAUCUUUUUUAUAGCCUAUAGUCUAGAUUAUGAUUGCAUGCCCUGUUUUCUUAUACGAAACCAUAGUUUCUACAUCGAACCGACAUUUUUAAGGUUAAUUUCUGCUCUAAUUAGUCCUUAUUUUUUUGGGAAAAUUUGUUGAUUUAAUCUUUGUAUUUUAAUUUAAUCAUUUUUAGUGAUUAUAUUUUUAAAAUUUUAAAAUUUCAAUACUAACUAAACAAUAAUUGUUAAAUUCAGUAAGUUUUACUAUUUCCAAAAUAUGAUGUGGUAAGCAUAUUAUCAUAUGUGUAAUAACAUGUCAACUAAUUAUUUCAAAAUUCGAAAAAUAUAGGGACUUAAAAUGAUCCAAUUGAAGAAUACAAACUAAAUCCGUAACUAACUAUACGUAUAGUACAAGACUGUUAAUUGAAUUUAACUAAACAAACUCAACUAUUACUAUUUGGGUUAUGACUAAAUUUCAAAAUUCGAAAAGUACAGGACUAAAAUUGAUCAAAUUAAUAGGAUAAUUUAACUUUUUUAAUGAAUUAAAAAAUAUAACCAUGGAAACAUUCUUCAUUGAACUUUGUUGUUCAAUUCGGAUUCAAAGAUUAAGUAUUUUCUACUCUUUAAGUUCUCUCGUGACUAUCCUACAGACUGUAUUCACAUGUCUUGUUAUAUAUAUAUAUAUGCAUGUAUGUAUGUAUAUGGGUAAAGUAGGCUAGUAGUCACCCAACUAUUAGUAAAUUUCUUUUUUAGUCACACAACUAUGAAAAAUUAUAAAAUAAUCACUAAACUAUUUAAGUUAUCAUUUUUUGUCCCCAGCUGGCUAACAUAAAAAUAGAAACACCCAAAAAUUCAAUAUAGUUGAGUGACCAAAAAAAAUUUAUUAAUUGUUGGAUGAUCAUUUAAUAACUUUUCAUAGUUGGAUGGCCAAAAAAAAUUUUCUAAUAAUUGGAUGACUACUAAGAUAGUUUACCCUCAAAACCUUUACUAUAAAUUAAGUGCAGGAGUUUUACUCGGCAUUGGGUUUGAAAUAGUUUUUUUGAGGCAAGAAAAAUGGCUAAGGUUAGUGAGAAACUUAUGGUGUAUUGCUUGGUAGCAAUAUUUGUGGUCAUUGCAAUGGUGGAAGGAGCUAAAGGGGCAACCAUAUGUAACAUUCCAUCGAGUAGGUUGAACCUUUGCCGGCCGGCGGUCACCGGGAGAUACCCUCCACCACCGACCAAACAAUGCUGUCUUUUGAUAAAACAUGCCGACUUGAAUUGUCUUUGCAACUUCAAGGAUGCUCUUCCUGCCUUCAAUAUCAACCCUUCUCGCGCAUUUGCAUUGCCUAAGAAGUGCAAAUAUAAUCUUCACAUACCACCAAAAUGCAGGGGUAAGUUCUUUGGGAAAUAGUUUUGUUGAGGGUUAAAAGUUUUUAAAGUGUCAUCUAUUGAACAGUCGGUCGUAGUGUAAGUGGUAUAAUGUUCCUUAAGUGAUAACCUGUAUGUCAAUGGUAACCCCACUAAGGGCGAGACGCUCAUGACCCUUGGUGGGUGGUUGUGUGCCCAAGUACGGUCGAGGCACUUCUUUUAUGAACCAUUUACAGCUUUUGGCUAGGGAUGGUAAAAAAAUUCAAAUCCAACGAGUUUCGACCCCACCCGAUCCGUUAGGAUUGAAAGUUUUUUGGAAAAUUAGGUUCGAGGCGAGUUAGGUCAAGUUUAAGGUAAAACUACUCCAUUCCAAGAUAUUUACAAAAUUACCCCAUAUAUAUAAUAUUAAAUUUUAAGCUUAAAAAAAAAGAUAAAUCAAUUAAAAAUGUAAUAUUAUUUCCUUCAAAAUGAAAAACAAAACAAUUAAAUUAAAUUCGGAUCGGAUUGAAUUAAAUUAGAAUCGGAUGUCUUAUUAAAUUUCAAGUUUAGAGCAAUUUUUUUCUUAAAAAUCGAGAUCGGGACAGAUUGGUCAAGCUUCGAGUUGACACAGAACAUCCCUACUUGUGAUAGAGUCAAGGACAAAACCCGAAUCAAGAGACAAGUUUGUAAAUCAUUGUUUUCUUGUUUGAUAACAUUAAUAGUGGGGACAGUUUUGGUUUCUAACUGAUAUGUCUUGUUCUUUUGCAGGCUGAAGCACACUCGAAUGUUCCCUCAUUAUCUGCUGAAGAGGUUUUUUGGACCCUGCUUAGAUCUUAUAUGUAUUGAAAUUGUGUUCUUUGAGUUUUUCGUCUUUCUUGCAAUAAUCAUUUCAGUUUUCUUCUUAUUAUUUUUGGUCAUGUCCUUAAUGAUUGUAUUGUUCAUGAAUGUUACUCGAAUUCGAGUUUCGAUAUUUUAUAAAGAUUUUCAUAUAUCAGUUUACUGAAAUUUAAUUGUAACUCAAACACCGUUUGAUUAAAUUUAAUUAUUAAUCUUGUACUACGUGUAUAAUUGUAAAUUUAGCCCAUGUUCUUCAAUUAAAUCGUUCUAAAUCUCUAUACUUGUCAAAUUUUGAAAUUUCAAUAUUUAACGCAAAUGAUAGUCGUUAAUCUAUUGAUUGAAUUUUUAAUAAAAAAAUGAGAAAAUAAUAUUCUGACGUGAUAUUACAUAUAUGAUAAUUUGAUGUAUUAUAUUUUAGAAAUAACAUAACUUAAUAAAUUUAAAAAUACAAAGUUAGAAAAACAUAAAAAUUAUAUCUACAACUUUCACAAAUUACAAGAAUUUUUUACAAAGCAGACAAUGUCACAUGCAGCAAUAGGUUACAUUAUAAUACAUACAAAACAAAGAAAUCAAUGCAAAUAUAGAUUGAAAUCCCUAUACUUUUCAAAAAUUAAAAAUUUAGUCCCUAUACUUAUAUUUCUAGAAAUUUAAUCCUCUACUUUUUGUAUUUCAAAAUUCAGGUUCAGCUAAUUUUUUUUGUUAAAUUUUAGGUUAUUGACAACAUUUUUUUUAUUACAUUGCUACCAAAUGAAUACUUUUUUUUAUAUUUCAGAAUCCAAUAGCAACAAAUUUAACAACAAAAGAAUUAACAGUAUUAACAGUUAGACCUGAAUUUUAAAAUCUGAAAAGUAAGGACGAAAUUCCUAAAAAUACAAGGACAGGGACUAAAUUCCUAAUUUUCGAAAAGUCGCAUCUAACCGUGGAAUUUACAUACACUUUGAGUUAUCAUAUCCUCAAGGUCACUGAUGAGUUUCAACAAACAGAGGGACUCACUCUGGUUUAGCUUUUACAUUCUGUUUCGCCUCUAUAGCUGGUUUAACUGCCAACCGAAAAACCCAAACCGCUAACAAAGUCGCCUCUAUCGGAGCGAGCCAGUAUACGAGUAUAUGUUCCUUCGAGAUAUGAUCUCCACGAGCAUAAGCCCAUCCCAUUACCUACAUGUUUUAAAUAAUAAUAAAAAAGAGUUUGACCGUUAGGUUCUGUUAUCGACCACAUCGAUCGGGACUAAGAAACGGUGGGUGCUUACAGAGGCAGGGUUCAUGCAUCCACCAGUGAGAUUAGAGCCAAGAAUAUGAAGAGUUAACUUGGAGAUGCUUGCGAUCCACGUCUUCAUAAAGAAACUGCUAGGGAUCUUGGUAGUAAGCCCGAGCGAGAUGAUGACAAUUGCAAAUGUUAAGAAUCCUUCAGUUAAUGCACCUUGAUGGAUAUCGACAUUCAAACGUGGCCCGGAUCCAAUCCCCGGAAAGAUCUGGAUAAUGAGCUUAACCCCAGUAAUAGAUCCAAUUACCUGAAAAGGAAAAAAAAACCAUACAUAACAACAUAUCAAAGUGCAAUGAAGUAAAAGCUGUUUUUGAUCUAUCAUACAAUCAACAUUUGAGAUCAUAAAUAGCUUUGGCAACAUACACUGAUCAACCGAAACAUAGUUCAAAAAUGUUCGGUUUAUGGUCGUGUGAGAAACCAUGUUACAAGUCAUGUCAAAAACCUAAAAGAAUGAUGUACUAAGCAAAGCCAAAGGGCUAACGUAAAACAACGGUUUGUUCCCCUAUCACUAUUAGGAGUGCAAAUGAAACACUGGUGACAGCAAGCUACUCGAUUCGAUAAUUAUCGAGCCGAGCUUGAACUCAAGCAACUCAAGCUAUCGAACGAGUCAAAUUCGAGCUUAGUAAUACUUGAUUUGAACAGCUCCUGAGCCUUAUCGAGCUUUUCAUAUUUUAUAUUAUUAAAUUACAUUAUUACCCUUAAUAUAUAUUAUUAACCCUAAGCUUAAUUUUUGGGCAGAGCUCGAGCUUAAUUACAAAAAUCGUUAAAUGAGUAGCUCAAUUAUAUCUCAAACUUAAAAACAGAUGUUCUACCAAGCUCAAGCCAAGUAUCGAGCUUAUAAUUUCAAGUGGAGCUCGAGUUUGACAGUAUUCAAGCUCAGCUCACUUACACCCCCUAUUCACUAUUAAGCAUGUUUAGAUUCUUGUCUAAAGAGAAACAACAUUCUUUGAACAACCAUGUACAAACAACAGAUACCAUACAUAUAAAAUACCAGACACUUGGCUUGUAAAUCCAUAUCCUUGGUAAGUUUGGUAAGAACAAACAACAUUAUAGUUCCCUAAGUACUUGAUGCAGACAUGAAAUGAGAUAAACAAUGGCAGUAUAUUCAGUAAAAGUAUCAUGGAAGCCCUGUGCUAGGAGUCAGAUUGCAUUUUGCCCCCUUUAUUCAAAAAAUAAGCAUAAAUGGUACAUGGCGUGUCACAUGUCACUCUAUGGUAUUUCUUCAACCACGCCAAUUUUUAUCGGUAUAAAUGAAUGAAACUUUUAACAAAAAAGAUCAAUUUGCUCUUUAAUGCAAUGUACAAAGACUAGUAAAGGGAGCAAAAUAUAAUCCAACUUCUAAUUCAAGGCCUCCAUAGUACUUUUUUACCAAUUUUCAGGACUAGUUUGCUUUAGUAGAGCAAAAUGGAAUCCCCCCAAUGGUUACCUAGUGGAUUCUAACAAAGUAUCAUGCACCAAGGCACAAAAUCCAAACAUCAACAAACAGGAAACAUCAAAAGAAAUCUAAAAUUCAGAAUUAACCUAAACAUCAACAAUGUAUAUAAUUUAAUCAUUAAAUAUACAUAUAAUUUGUUGUAAAAAGACAUUAACCUGAGCGGGAAUUCUGGCCCCAACAGUGAAAAGGAAGUGGGCGAAACCACCAGACACGGCGGAGGCUAAAACAGUCAAAGGAUUAUAAGCGCCGCCAUUAGUGACCUUACCCAAGAAGGCGAAGAAGAACAUGUUGAUAACGGAUAAAGAAUUCUUCACAAAUUCAGCCUUGGGUUGGUAAUCAAUCCCUAAAAUUUGAUUCACCAACAGCUUUAUCAGAAAAUUAGACCAUACCCACAUCAAGGAGAUGAUAAAAUCGUAUAUAAUCACCCCCCUCUUGCCCAUCUUUUUUUUUUCUUUUUGAAAUUCCAGUUUCUAUAUGAUCAUACAGAUUUCCAUUUAGCGCUUUUCUUUCAACUCUUUGUUUAAAGCUGACAAAUUUCUCCAAAAAAGGAACUUUCAUGGAAAAUUCUGCGAAUGUUUUUUUAUAUGGGUUAAUUGCAAACAUAAUCCUCCAUUUUUUGUAAAAGUUCUAAAUUCGUCUCUGAACAUUUAACCGUUAGCCAUCUUGUUAAAUUUUUGGUAAAAAUAUGCUAUUAGUUCUUGUACAUUGACAAAAUGUGAGAUUUAGUCCCUUUAUAAAAUAUUAACAAAAGACAAUAAAAUAUUACUUUGGUUAAAGGUAGUAAAUAUAAAAUGAGAGUCGUAAUAUUUUGGGUUCAAAUCUCUUUAUACACGUAUUUUCUAAAUUUUAUAUAAAAAAUGAAAGAAUAAAAAUAUCUUUAAAAUAAUUUUUUUAUAAAUAAUUCACCACUAAAUUAGUAAUUCGAUUAAGGAUGACAGCAAUUUAAUAAAAAAUCUUAAAUAAUAUAUCAAUGCUAAAUAUUUUGGUCGCAAAAUUUUAAAAUUAAAUUAUUAUAUGACGUGAUUAAUAGCGAAAAAUAUGAUAUGAUAAUUAAAUUAAAUUAAAUAUUAUUUAAUGUGAUUAAAUUAAAUUAAAAUGUUAUAUAUUGUAAUUAAAUUAAGGUAAUAGUGGGUAUCAUAAUUAUUUAAAACCAACUCCUAAGCGAGUUUUUAGUAGUUAAUAAGGAUAUUUUAGGUAACAUAAAAAAUUAAUAGGGAUAUUUUAGGUAGUAUUAAAAAUCAAUAGAGAUAAAUUAUUCCUUAGAACUUAAUACGGGAAUUUUUUUUAAAGGUAAAAUCAUUAGUUCAUUCAAUGAAUGGAAUCAUACAAUUCAGAGAAAAAAAUAGUAAACACUUGUCGUAGAUAAUGAAGGACAAGCUUCUUCAACACAACAAAGGCUUUAGCCUUAGCAUCAAAAGAACAUUAUGACACGUUGAUAAUUGGCUUUGUCACAAGUCAAGCACGACGUAUCUAAAGUGAUUGCAAGUACUUAAUACGAUAAGGAAAUCAACCCCAGAUGGUCUAUAGCAGCGAGCAAAAAUCGACAAAAGAAUCGAGCAUUCACCAAUCUAGAGAGGAUGACAACAAAAUCAUCCGUAAAAUCAAUUGUAAAACUAAGAUUACAUGCAUAAGCAAGACUAAAAAACGUAUAACAAGCGUAGACAAAAACUUCUAAAACUAAAAACUUAUUAAGUAAUGGAAAAACAAAUAAAAAAACAUAUAAAAUUUAAGACAACAUGGGUCCAAAUCGACAUUUGAAAUCAUUAAUUAUUCUGAAAUACUCUCAAAACAGAAAUAGAUUAAGAAGUUGACAAAGAGCCACCCACUUUCCAAGAAAAACUACGGAUGGCCGGUGGAGUUUUAGUGAACGACAAACACCAUCAUCUAUCCAUCACAAGUUGUGAAAACAACAAAGAUAUCCACAAAAUAUAUUUACAAAUUGAAAAAAAAGAAGACAUAUGUAGUGAAUGAGAAGAAGAUAUUCAUAAAAUUUAAUUUAUUUUUAAAUAUAUAUAUUAUAAGAAGAAGACCUUCAAAGCUUUUUAGAAAGAUUUAGAAAGAUUUAGAUAAAAUUAAAAAUUGUUUUAGAUGAUUGAAUAAAUAUAAGGACAUGUCCAAAUCAUAAAACUGAUGUUCAAAGCUCUUCAGCUCAAAUCGAGAUCUUGUGUUUAGAAACAUAUGUAAAAUCAUUUGGAAAUUUUUAUGGGGUGAUCGGAGGUGUUUGGGGUCUGAUAUAAGUUUCGGAGAGUUCAAAACAACCAAAACAAUGCAAGGGAGUCUAUCCAAGGGCAAUGUGUCGAUACCUAUACCCAAGGUUUUGGUGCCUUAGUUUGGAAUUGUAGCAUUUUGACUACUGUCAUUGAUCUCUCAAAUAUUAUUUAUUGUGGUUCAAUUCAAUUCAAUAAUUCUUUUAGGGUUAUGGACUGAUUCAACCCGUCAAUCUAAUCUAAUGUAAACAACCAUGAUUAUCAAUUUUAUAUGUUGAACUACAUAAAUUUAAAGUUUGAGUCUCGACCCGUGACAUUACCACCAACAUAACCACAGAUUAUGUAACUUAAUUUUGUUUUAAAAUAAUUUUGUAACUCAUUAAAAAAAAUGGGGUUUAUGAUUUGCAUGGUAAGGCCAAGUUGAAACUUGCUGCUUGGAUAUCUUCUUGGUUUCCAUAACAAAGUAUUAGCUAUCUAUUCAAGGGUAUGGCUUGGAUACCUUUUAAAUUUAAGUGAAAUUUAAGUUAGCCAUUGUUUGCCGAUUGAGUCUUAGUUCGAUUGGUAUAGGUAUUGUUGUCAAUAUAGGAGGAUGUGAGCUCGAUUGCGUUGAAGCGCUUAUCUUCCUAUUUAUCGGUUGGAGGGCUAUGGGUUGUGUCAAAAAUAACAGAUAUGACCAGAACACCUUUAUUCGAAAAUUAUUAAAAAUAUUAAAUCAACUUAAAAUUAAUAUUUUCAAUGAUUUAAUUUGUUUAAGUACGUUCGAUAAUUGAUUAUAAAAAAAUAAACUAUAGAUUUUUUCAAUGAAAAAAAUGUGAAAAAUGUUAAGUAGAUAAGAAGCUACUUAUCACUUAAUGUUGAAUUUUUUAAUUCUGAUUAUUUUAUUUUAUUUCUUUUGACGUUACCCUUUAAAUAAUUUACUUGGGAUUUUAAUUGUUAAAAUUAAGGAAAAAUAACUUAUUUGGCCUUCUUUAUAAAAAAAUUUUAUUUUAGCCCUCUAUUUAAUUUUUCGCCUUUUUUAGCCGUUGAACUUGUAUUGUUUGUUAAAUCACCCUAAAAUAAAUGAAAAAAAUUAAUUGUCUGUUAACUUUACUGACGUGGCAUCCAUGUGACAAUCGACAUGUAUGACACGUUAACAAUUAAUUAUUUUUUUUAAUUUAAAAAUAUUAAAAAAUAUAUUUUAUAUACUUUUUAAUAAUUUUUAAUUUUUUAAAUAACUUUAUAAUUUUUUUAAUUUUCCAAAUUAAAAAAAUUAAUUAAUUGUUAUCAUGGCAAUCCAUGUGUAUAUCGCAUCAACAAAAUUAACAUACGUUAACUCUUUCAUCUAUUUAUGGAAUAAUUUGAUAAAUAACACAAAUUUAAAGACUAAAAGGGACAAAAAAAUUUGGAUAAGAAACACAAAAGUCUAUUCUUGUAAUAUCGUCUCAAUAGUUGAUUGAGUUUUAGUUCGAUUGAUAUGGGUAUUUUUGUCAAUGCAAGAAGACGUGAAUUUGAGUGUGCUGAAACGCAUUACCCUCUUAUUUAUGAGUUGGGGAAACUAUAAACAAUUCUAAGCAUUAUGUUAAAAAAAUAAUCCAGAUAAAUUAUUUCAAUAUAUAUACAGAAAUAUAUAUGUGCCAAAAACCUGACAGCAUAUCUCAGUAUCCAGAAAUAACACAUGCUAAACCAUGUGCUUUUUAUUUAUUAUGAAAUAUAAAGACUAUGAUUUCCUAGAGUUAUAAACCUAUGGUUUUAACAUUAAUUUUUAAAUUACUAAAUAAUUAUUCAACAUGCACCUACCCGUAUAUAAAAAUAUUUCCGGUAAUAAUUAGGGCUGUCGAUUGAGUCAUAUCUCGAUUGAAAUAGGUAUUAUUGUCAUUGUAGGAAGAUGUGGGCUCGAGUGCACUGAAUCGCAUUAUUCUCCUAUUUAAGGGAGGGAGAAAGAAUAUAUUAGUAUUUACUCCCUUAAAUAGAGAACUCACAUCCUCUUACAUAAGCAACAAUGCCGAUACCAUUCAACCUAAGACCAUUCAAUUCAAUGUAUACAUCUUUUAAACACAGUACAUACAUAUUUAUUUAAUAUUGGACCAAUUAUUAUAAUAUUUUAUGAAUUUUCAUCACUUUAUAAUUUAUUUAUUUGUAUUUUAUAUUUAUAUUUAUAUUUAUUUAUACUAAUAUUAUAAUAUCAAAAUCAAUGAAGUGGUCCUCACGAUUUGGGUUGUUUCUAUAUUACACAAAAACAAAAAAAUGUUACAAUCAAAUUUUCUUUGAAUAAUUCAAAGCAAUAUAUAUAUAUAUAUAAUAUGGAAAAAAAAGUAAAGUAGGUGUCCUGGAACAUAUCCCUUAAAAUUAGUGUCACCAUCAUUUGCCCUUUGAACAAGUCUUUUUGUAUUUAAGGCACCUUUCUACUUACGCCUGUUUUGAUAAGAUUGAUUUAGGGUAAAAUUUGUCACAAGUCCUUGUAUUUUUAAAAUUUUAAGAAUUUAGUCCUUAUAUUUUUAUUUUUAUGAUUUCAAAAUUCAGGUCCAACUGUUAAUCUUUUUGUUAAAUUCAAGUUAUUUACAAAGUUAUUGUUUUAAUUACAUGGAAACCGAAUGUCAACAGCAACAAAUUUAGCCGCGUUAAUAAUUAGACAUGAAUUUUAAAAUCUAAAAAAUAGAGGGACUAAAUUGAAAUACUUUAAUCAUUUAUUUAUUCUUAUUAUAAAAUGAUUUUGGAUUAUUUAUUUGUAUGUACAUGACAAGUUGGGAUAAUAUAAAAGAGAAACUUCCUCCCACAAUAAAAUAUAUCAAAUUAUUUAUUUUACAAUUUAGGGCUUCAGCAAUGCCUUUGACUAUGGUUUUAAAUUGAUUAGGUUGUUAAUUAUAAAUUAUAAUUAGGUAGGAGAAUUAAGGAAUAUAACAUUAAAACUAUAUAAUAAAAUCGAGAUUUUCAACUAUUGGACUAUACUCACCGAAAUUAUAAAAUCAAAUUAUCUCGAAAUAAAUGAAAAAGUUAACUUUGUUGAUCUGACAUACAUGUAACUGUUACAUUAAUAAUUUAAAGUUUUUAAAAAAUUUAUAAAAAUGAUUAUGAUAUAAUAAAUAUGUAGAUAAUGAAUUAUCAUGUCACAUUAAAGAUGAAAAGUAUGCUUUCAUAAAGGUGCAUCAAAAAGCAUGAAGUCUACUUUAAGAUUAUAAGUACUGCAAAAAUUAGUUGUUGGGUAACCAUCUAAUUGAACUUUUUUUUUCUUUUUAGUGUCAACUAUUUUGGUCAAUAAAAUUCAUUUUUCCACAUAUGAAAAAUGAUAUAUUUCUACUUUAUUUUUAAUAUUAUGAUUAAAAUUUACUUAAAAGUGUUAUGGAGAUUCCCGUACUAGAAGUGAGAUUAGAUUAUAAUUUUUAUAUUAAAAAAAUACGUAAAUUGCUAUGUGCAUUAGGUUAAAGAGUAAGCUGAUCCUUUUAUUAAAAGUUUUAUCUAUUUUUACAACUAAUUUCUGUACGUCAGUAGAAGGUACAUAUGGUAUGCCAUGAGUCACUGUUUAGUUUUUUCAUUAGCCACAAAGGGAUAAAAUUUUCAAAAGAAAUGAUAAAUUGAUUUUUUAUCUAACCUACAAUGGCUAAUUUGUCUUUUUUUUUUGCGUAGAGGGGACAAAACGCAAUCUGACUCCUAAUACAAGAACUUCCAUGGUACUUUUACCUACUUAUAUUGUAUUUCCAUUGAGAAUGUCAAUAGCAAAUAAUAUUAUGUAUCUAUAUUAUUAUUUUAAGUGUUCGACUAAAUUGGUGUCACGAGUUAACUCGACACCGUUUCAAUCAAGUAAAUUAUUAAAAUAAUCUUACAUAUUUUAAAUAAAUUGUAUUAUUACGAGGGUACUUUUGUAUUUUUUUAUUUCUUAAAAAAAAUUUUGAAAAUAUUGAUAUUUAAACCCAUACCACCAGUAUCUAUAAAAUCUCUCCUUUACAACUUCAACCAAAGUUUUAUUUUGAUACGUUUACCCACAUUAGUUGAUUGAGUUAGUAUCAUUAGUCAACUCGAUACUAACUCUAGAAAAAUGAUAAUAACAUAAUAAACAAUCGAAAUGCAUUUAAUAUUCUUAAUCCGAUGUAGUUAAAUACGUAAUUUUUAUAUAUAUAUAUGUAAAAGUUGGGUCAUUUUAAAAUUCUCUUGGCUUUUACAUAAAGCAACUUGCAAUUAAUAAAGAACUAUUGGAUUUAUAUUUUUAUGUAUUUUUUUGCUUUAGAUUAUUUAGUAAUGUCUUUAAUAGUUUUAUAAUAACCAACAAAGGUAGAAUGGUACAAUUAUUGCCUUUUCUUUAAUAUAAACAUAACCAAUGGUACCUUUUCUCCCUGUUUUUGUAAUUAAUAUUUUAAUCAUGCAUGAAAUCAUAAUUAUCAUUAUAAAGAGUCUAAAGAUGAGUUGGUAAAGAUAGAAACUCCUUUAUAUAAUUCCAUUAUCAAAUUUUGAAUUGAGAUCAUCUCUUUAUAUAUAUAUAUAUAUGUAAGUAUAAAUUUUUUAUAUCAGUGCAGAGCCAGAAAAUUUUUUUAAUGGCCAAAGUGUAAUUUUAUCAUUACUGCUAAUUUGAGAUUUAAUCUCUCUAUUUCACGUUGGGUUAACUAAAUUAUAGAGUAAAAAUGUAAAGGUUAUAAUAUGCUCAAAAUACUUGUACUCUUCAUAUCUUUGGAAUUUAAUCUCCAUACUUUUAUUUUCAAAAAUUAUUUAAUCUCUCUAUUGUUUAAUUUUUAUUAUUAAGGUCUAUUUGUUAACACCGUUAAAAUCCUUUUAUUAAAUUUGUUGGUGUGAUAUUUUGAAUUAAAAAAAACUCUAUUGGUAUCCGUGCAAUAGAAAAUGAUAUUAUAAUGAACUUGAAUUUAAUAGAGAAUUUUAACUGUGUUAACUAUUCUAAAAAAUUGACCUCAGCAUUUUAAUCAGAAUAAAAUAUUUAGACCAACUAAUGGCACUAUAUAAAAGUUGAAGAAUCAAAUUAUGUCAAAAUUAAAAUAUAGAUAUUUAAAGCUCACAUUUGAGCGAAAUAUAGGGAUCAAAAUUGAAAUUUAACCACUUUUAUAUAAUCUUAAAGAAAGUAGAUGGAUUAGACUUGAAAUUGGCCAUUAUUUUCUCAUGUCAAAAGAAAAAAAAAGAACAAAAAGUACGAAUAGGUGUCUAAAUUAUAUCAAAAUUAAAGUAUAAAAAAUAAAUCUCAAAUUUGAGUGUAAUAUAGGAUCAAAAUUGAAAUUUAAUUAUUUUUACAUAAUCUUAAAAAGGUAUAGGGAUUAAAAUUGAAAUUAGCCACUAUUUUCCUCAUGUCAAAAGAAAAGAAAAGAAUGGACAGGUAUCAAAAUUAAAAUAUAAAUAUAAAAUAUAAAAUUUGAACAAAAUAUAAGAGAAAACUGAAAUUUAACCAUUUUUAUAUAAUCAUAAAAAAGUAGAAACAUUAGAAUUGGAAUUUAACCAUUGUUUUCUUAUAUAUAAAAUUAAAAUUAUAUCCUCAUUUAUCUUUUAUUUUAUUUUUAAAAAAGAAUUUAGUGCCCAAAUUUAUCUGUCCUUUAAUCAUAUACAGCUAAGAGUCCAAGCAUACAAUUUUUGAAUUUGAAUUACUUGAAAUAAAAUAAUAAAAAAAGUUUAAUAUAUUAUUUUGUACUCGAGUUUGACAUUUUUUUUAAUGUGACACUUAUGUUAUUUUUUUGGUCCAAGUCGGUACCUAUAUUCGAUGAAAGUUACAUAUUUUAGUACCCAAAUGUAACAAUGUUAAUUUCUUAGUAUUUAGUUCGGUUUUUUUAGUAAAAUAAAUUUAGUAUUAAUUAUGAUUUUCUUCAAUCCCGUGUUUAAGUUUUCAAAUGCAAUGUGAUGGAUGAUGUAAGUUUUAUUAAUAAUAUUAAGGUCAACAUCAAAAACCAAAAAAAAAGGAAAAUCAAUUAAUGUUUUUAUACAUUGACUAAACCCAGCCAAAAUCCCAAACCAAAACACAAUUUGCCAAAUCUUUCAAUUUCACCCUCAACAUUUUAUGUUGACCCCAAUUUGCUAUUUUAUUAUUGUUCUUAUUAUUUGUUGUGGUGGGGUUUCCACCUUGUAAGGUGACCAUUUGACGAGUUAAGAUGAUCUCACGGUGGUGGCCAGCCAAUGGUAUAAUCCCACGUGGUUAUUUGCCAGGGUGGCGAUAGGGUUUGGACACACACUACCAGACAGCUGUCCUCCAAUCAGAAACUUGGUGGCUUAGUGCGCCGCAUCCAGUUGCUGGCUCGAGCCGUGGGAAAAGAAAUUGGGCUCAGUUUUCCUUUUGGAUGAGAUUGAGAGAUUAUAAAACUUCAUCAAAUUAGUUUAUUUACCAUUAAAUGGGUUAAUUUAGUUCUUGUAUUGUUAAAAAAAUUAAAUACGAUCAAACACCAUAUGUUGUCCAGAUAGUCAGGGAGUUCACCGCCUCAGGUAUAAUUUGGGUUUGAGUCGCGUUACUCAUGUUGUUGUUAGGGCUUUACCCUCCUAUUAUAAUUCACAAAAAAAAAAAUUAAAUAAGGUCAAAUUGGAAUAUAGUUAAUUUUUACUGUUUAAUAUUUUUAUGGUUUUGUAAAUCAAAUCUUUUGUUUGGAAUUAAACUGCAAUUGAAAAAAAUCAUUUUUAAGAUAUUUUUUAUAUGGUAAAUGUUAACUUUGAUACAGUGUGGACUUAUUUGAUUAUUUUUAAUAGUAUAUGGACUAAAUUGAUCAUUUUAAUAAUAGAGGAACUAGUUUAAUCCAAUCCUUAUAAUACAUGGAAUUCUUAGGUACUUUAACAAUUUUUUUUUACAUUAUAGGGAUUGAAUUUGGACUUAUUUGAUUCCUUUCAAUGAUAUUAACAUAAUUUGUGCUUGGCCAAGUUCGUUUCGACCCAAAUUUUAGACUCGUCCAUAUUAUUUUCUUAAUUUUUUAAAUAAAUAUUUAUAUUUUUAAGCAUUUUUAAACAUUUUAUAUAUUUUUUUAAUUUAUUAAAAAUUUAUAUGUAACCUCCCCAACCCGGCCUAGACAUUAAGCCCGAAUUCGAGAGAUUACAUCGGCCACCGAAAUGGCCUAGUACAUUCGAAGUUUUACAAAAUAGUCAUAUUUAAACAAUCAUUUUAUUUUAGAAGAAAACUUAGCCUAUUUUCAUAAAAACUCAUGAAUUAAUAAAAACCGAUUAAGCUUAAUAUUUUCCUUGUAACGGUGACUACUUUUGAAAACUUCGUUAAUUUUUAAUUUAUUUAUUCUUCAAAAUUUAUUUAUAAUCUAGUAGAGGAAAGAGUGAUAUCUAGUUUAGUUUUAAUAAAAACUGAAGUUCAUGCAUAAUUAAUUAAUAUCCAUAUUUCAACCUCCUAAAAUUAAAUUAUGUGUCAUGCAUGCUAUUUUUAAAAAACCUAAGUCUCAUGCCAUGAAUCGAAAUUAAAGCAAUAUAGUCUCUGGAUAACACAAAUAUCGAAUCAUAAAUCUAAAAUAUUUUAAUAAAAGUAAAAUUGAGUCGAGACCCUCUGGAUGUCGAGUCCGCGACCUAACCUAGUGGGUUAUCUAUAAAGAUAGAAAUAAUGGGGGAGAGAGCUUAUAAAGUUCAAUGUAAGUUCAAUCAUGAGAAAAUCAAUGAAAACAAUAGAUAAAACAUAUUGAAUAAUAAUGCAUAGAAUAAUCACAAUUGAAUAACAAUUCAGAACAUCGUUGUUUCAAAUAAACUCAACACAAUAUCAUUUCAAAAUUCAUAGUUUUGUAUGCGCAUGUUUAUGAAUGCAAUGUAGUUUCAAUUUAAUAGAAAAGGUCCUACCCAACUCUGCUACACACCACAGUAAAAGUUCCCCACAACUCAUCCAUCCCUACACACUGCGUUGUGGAUAAACCAUAAAUUUGCAGAUAAACUGCUGCUGGGCUAUGGAUACACAGCAAAAUUUGCAAAUGAGAACUGCCACUGGGUUGUGGAUGCACAGCAAAAUUCACAGAUAAAAUCUACUAGUGGGUUGUGGAUACACAACAAAAUUUCGCAAUUAAAAUCUGCCACUGGUAGGGGUGAGCAUUCGAUCGAAUCGAAUCGAAAAUUUUCGAGUUAAUCGAGUUUUCGAAUCUCAUUUUAUCAUCCUAACUUUAUUUAAAGUUUUCUCGAAUCGAGUCGAGUGAGAUGGAAUUCGAAUCGAAUCGAAUCAAAUCGAAUAUAUUUGUUCGAGUUAAAUUUUAAAAAAUAAUUUUGGGUCCUUGUAACCAAUGUAACCCAUCGUAAUAAAAUUUGUCCAGCUUAAUCAAAAUUUUUAUUAACUUUCAUCACUUCAUAAUUUAUUUAUUAAUUUUUUAUAUACUGGUUAGCGUCUUUGCUUGCUUAGUUGUUUCAAUUAUCUUCAGAUUCUUGUCACUAUGUAUUUUAAAAUUAAAAAAUAUAUUAAAUGUAAAAAUAUGAUUUUUUAAUAAAAGUUAUUUUAAAAAUAAAAUGAGAAAUUGAUACAAAUAUAAAAUUUUAACACGAAUAUUUUAUGGCAUAAUUAAUAAUUCAAUUUUAAUAUAAAUAUUCAAUAUGACUAAACAAUUCAAUAAUAUAAAUAAUAUAAAAUGUGAAAUUUAAUUUAAUAAUAUAAAUAGUAGAUAUAAAUAAAAUUAUUACUAUUUAUGUUUAGUGAUUUUUUUUGGGAUAAUUUUGAUUUUUUAUUUGAGAGUAAAGGGUGAGAAGUAAAAGUUUAGGGGAAAAAUAAAAAGUUUUGGGGAAUAAAAGUUUGAGGGAAAGUAAAUAGGGGGAGUAAAAUUUUGGAGGGAAAAUAUUAAAAAAAAAUUGGAGGGGGGAGGGUUUGGGAUAGAUGGGAGGGGAAUAAAAGUUUUAGGGGAAAAGUGGGAGGGAGUAAAAAUUUUGGGGGAAAAUAAAAGGUUUUGAGGGUUUUUGGGAGUAAAAUUUUGAAAAAAAAUAAAUUGGAGAGUAAAAUUUUGGUGGGAAAUGGAUUUUGGGUAGAUUGGGGGGUUGGGAGGGGAGGGGAGUAAAAGUUUUGGGGGGAAAGUGGGAAGGAGUAAAUGUUUUGAGGGAAAAGUAAAAAGGUUUGGGAAUUUGGGGUAAAAAUGCAAAAUACUAUAGUUUGAUAUUCGAAUUAUUCGAGUUAUUUGAAUUCGAAAACUCAACUCGAUUCGAACUCGAAAUUCGAAAAAAAAUUCGAGUUGAUUCGAAUAACUCGAUUCGUUUAACUCGAAAUUCGAAUUUUUUUUUCGAUUUUUUCGAGUCGAAUCAAGUUUUGCUCACCCCUAGCCACUGGGCUGUGGAUGCACAGCAAAAUUUGCAGAUAAACUGCCACUCUUCCUCCGUACAUAUUGUCCCACCCCAUGCAAUGUAAUAUGUCAUGCUUUGUAAUAGAACAAUUCAACACUAGCAAUAGACAUGUUUAACAUGUACUCAAUUCAUCAUUAACAAUAGACAUGUUUAACUUGUACUCAAUUCAUUAUUAACAGUAGACAUGUUUAAUACGUACUCAAUUCAUUAUUAACAGUAGACAUGCUUAUCAUGUUCUCAGUAGGGCGGUAACAAUAGUAUCAUUAACAAUUUAUCGGUUUCACUUUAACAUAAAGCAUAUAAUAUUCACAAAUCAUGUGAUGUAACAAUAGAACUUUAAGCAUUUAAUUCAUAGAUUCCAGAAUUAACAUAGUAUUAGGGACUUAAUUGAGCAAAUAAAAACUCUAAAAAUAAUUCAGGGAAUAUACAAGGACUAAACUGCACAUAAUAUAAAUGUUUGGGCAAAACUGCGAUAUGGCAACCUAUAAAUAGGCUUAUUACAAUUUUAUUCCAAAUCAAAAUAAAAUAGGUCAACAACCUGCAAUAGAUUCAAUCCUUCUUAAAGUAAAUCUUGAUCAACUUCUUAGUAAAUAAGUUUCUACUUGAAGUAAAUCUGAUCAACAACUUAUCCAUUAAGAUAACAAUAAAUUGUAGUCAAAGUUGAACUUCUAAUUCAAGUCAAAAUUAUCACCCCUACUUGGAUACGACUUUAAACUCCUUUAACCCUAGUUUCUUUGGUCAUAAAAAAAUGUUCAACACAUUCUUUAUUUGCUACUUAAUAUAAAUCUCUAAUAUUAUCUUUAUACAAGUCAAAAUUGCCAACAAAACAAAAUAUACUUUGAUAACACUAAAUCUGCUCUGAUCUAACUGUUGUUCAAAUACGAUCUGAAACAAUAGAAACAACGAUCAAAGUUUCCAAAAAUUAAUUUCAUAUUUAAUGUGAUUAAAGUUUUUGGAAAAGCUUUCAUAGGUGUCAAGGUAUUUAAUAGAAUCCCAUUUCGCACCUCAAAGGGCUUGAAACUCAUUGUUCGUUAAAUUUCAAAUUGACUCGACACUUGAAAUUAAGCGGUGGAAAAAUAUUUUUUAAUAAAUAAUUCUGGAUGUUUGAUAAUUUGGAAAAAAGAAUAAUUGAAUAAAAAUUUCCUAAGGCUCUACCCGAUGUUUUUUAAACUAGACUGGUGGUUGAACUCUUCAAACCACCAGUUCCCAAUUUGAUUGGUUUGUUUAGUUCAAAGUAAAUAAAUUAUUAAAAAAAUAAAAAAAAAUCUAAUUCAAUUAACUCAACUAGUUUUUUAGUCCAUUUCAAUCUAUGUAUAUCACUUUUCAAGUCAAACGAUUUUUUUCACUUUCCGAACUGGUACCCCGAAUGGUUCAUGGCCCAAUCAACCAUUCUAAUUUGAUUAAAAAACAUUGGCUAUACCAUCCAACCUUUCAAAUACCAAUAAAAUGGAGAAAAGAAAAAUAUUUUUUUUGGGCUCAUGAUAAUCUUGUGGGAUCGGUGACACUCAAUACUUAUCUUAUUGUUUUACGGCAAAAACCUCCAAAAAACAAAAGCUUAAUAUAUAGAUUAACUCUUGAACUUGGCAACUUUUCUCAAACUAACUCUUAAUUUUUUCUUGGAUCACAUUGGUCCCUGAGGUUGGCAUUUGUUACGCAAAUCAUUCCCUAUGGUUAACACCAUUAGUUUUUUUAAGGCUUAAUAUAUAGAUUGACCCCUAAACUUAGCAAUUUUUUUCACACUAGCCCCUAAACUUUUUUUUGGAUUAUAUUGGUCCCUAAGGUUGGCAUCCGUGACACAAAUCGACCCUUACAUUAACACAAUUUGUUUAUAAAAAAAUUGCUAAUGUGGAUAAGUAUGGGGGCAACACGUGGAGAAAUAAAGGGAUGUGUGUUUAAAAUAUUUUUUAAUUUUAUAUUUUAUACUUUUACACUUUCUUGCAAUUUUCUAAAAAUUAACCAAAUUUAUUUAUUUUUUGAUUUUCUAAACAUAUUUAAUUUUUUUAAAAUUUUAACUAAAUUUGUUAUUUAUAUAUAUUAUUUUCAAUUUUUAUGUAUAUAAUUUUUGAGGUUUUAUAAUUUAUAUAUUUCUUAUAUUUUUUAAACAAAAUUUUAAGAUUUUUAAUUUUUUUUAAAGAAUGGUUAAAAAUGAAUUCACGUGUCGUUCUUUUAUUUCUCUUUGUGUUAAUCUCGUGGUUGCAGUUGUCCACAUCAAAAAAUUCUUAAAAGCAAGCAAACAGUGUUAGCGAAGGGACCAAUUUGUAUAGCAGAUGCUAACCUUAGGGACUAAUAUGAUCCAAAAACAAUUUUAGAGGCGAAUGUGAGAAAAGUUAUUAAGUUCAGAGCUAAUAUUAAGCCAAUAAUAAUAGCCAAGAACCUUCCUGAAACCGGCUCGAGCCGAGCUUAGGACAACGCGUAAUUUGGUAUAGCAUUAGAAAAAAAAAACCUGAUUUAAAAAAAGAAAAAGUCAUAAUUAAAUAUUAUAAUGAAUUAAAAUGGAAUAAUUAUAUAAAUAUUGAAACCAACCAAAAAAAAAGAAAAGAACUAAAGACAGCCUAAAAAGUUCAGUAUUUUUCUGUUAUUCUUCUCCGUAAUCUUGCGCGGUUGACGAAGGGAGGGAAGGAAGAAACCGUCGACGGAGAUCAGUGGCGGAACUGAGCUGAGUUGUCAUCGGAAAAGAUAUUUCCGGCAAUGGGAAGCUUACGUGGCAUUUCGGUUGCCAUUUUUGUAGUUCAAGCUUUGUUAGCUUCAGUAACUUUGGUAUCUGCUCAGGGAUCUACCAACGGUUCUCGUUGGCAGACUCUAAGUGGUGCGUUUCUCGUUAUUAGAGUCUUCUCUUUGUUUUCUUUCUCUUUAAGCGAUUACAUGAUGAGAAGAAUCUCUUCUUCUUUUUUCGUUGGUUUAGUUUCUUGUUUCAAUUUUUCUUUUAGCUAGUUUUCGUGUUUGAUUGAUGAGAAAGAGGGAAAAAUGUUGAGAAAGUAGCUUUUUGGGAUGGAAGCAUGUUCAAUUUUCCAUAUUUUGGCUUAAUUGUUAGGUUUCGUCUCCUCAAAAGUGAAGGAAAUGAUAAGAAAAUGGUUCAAACUAAGCUUACUUUGACUUUGAGCUGCUUGAGCUUUUAGCAGAUUCGUUAAAGUUUAUUUUCUUGUGUUAUGCUUGAAUUCUAGCUUUCUUUUCAGUGUUUUCUGUUUGUUUUCAAAGAAAACGGAGGAAAAAACGAUGAGAAAUGUAUGUUUACUAAUUUCCAACUCCAUGCUUGUCAAAGUGGAAAUAUUUCCUUUAUUUUAAAUAAAAUUUGACCUUUUUUUUAAAUAGAUUUUUUAUCCUUAAAAUUUAGUUAUUUUCCAUUUGGUUUCUGAGAAAGUUAAUGAGCCAGGUUUUUUUCUCUAUCAAAGUCAACUGCAAUUAGUGUUUUCUUUUUUUCCCUAAUAAUAUGUGUGUGGGUCAUUUUAACUUUUAUAGGUUUACUUGAAAUAUAAGGCUUUUUCUUAGUCUUAUAUAUUUGUUUCAUUCGUUCACUAGUAAAUCUUUUCGGUUUUGUUGAUGAGAAAAUGGAACAAAUUGAUAGAAAAUGCACCUUCAUGCCUUCCUGAUUUACUUAUUUGAAUAUUAUUGUUUCUAUUUUGAGUCUUCCUUCUUAAAUUAGAAUGAGAUUUACUCACAAUUCACUGAAGAAAGGCUCUCUUUUUUUUUUCCUCUACCAAAGAGGUUGAGCUUUCUCCUAUUGCUUCUACCUAAGGCUGGUUGAAAUUACGAUGACAUCACCUGACAGCAUUCUGAGCUAUACAGCAUUGGAACAUUUGAGUCUAUAGAUGCAGAGAAAACUUUUAGCAUUAGCAUCCGUAGCAGCAAAAAGUUCUGUAAAGUUUGUCUCCCUUUUUAUAUGAUGUUCCAUAAGAUUAAACGGUUUGAUUGCUUUUGCAGGGAAGGCACCCUCCGUCAUAGCUCACGGUGGAUUUUCAGGAAUAUUUGCUGACUCCAGUUUUGGAGCUUAUAGUUUGGCUUUAUUAACUAGUCUACCUGAUGUCAUCUUGUGGUGUGAUGUUCAAUUAACAAGAGAUGGAGCUGGGAUUUGCUUUCCUGAUCUUAAGCUAGAUAAUAAUUCUGACGUGGCAGUUGUAUACAAGGAUAGGCAGAAGACUUACCUUGUCAAUGGGGUCUCUACAAAGGGAUGGUUUUCUAUUGAUUUCACUCUUAGAGAACUUGGAAAUGUCAUACGUAAGUUUAGCACACAAUUUCUCUUCUUUUUUUUCUUUUUUUUUUGGUCAUCAUCAAUGUUCUCUUAGUAUCAUUCAUUACUUUUGCCCUUGCUACAUUCUGAUUAUUAUCAUCAUCUCCUCAAAAUUAGUUAUCAGUUUUGAAUCUUAAAACAUAAACACAUUCCCUAAUCACUACCUAGUUCAAGCAAUUACGAGCAAUCAGGUUUUUGAUAUGCUUGUGCUAGUUGUUAUGUCAAUAUUAGGACCUAUAGAGGUUUAGCAUCUUUUCUAAAUUUCUUUUGGUUUGACUUGCUUCAAAAUGUACUAGUAAUAAAAUCUUCUCUUCUUUCAUUUGUUUGAUGUUUCACAUUCUAAUGUUCUGUUUGUUAUUUGGACAGUAAACCAAGGUGUCUAUUCUCGAACUAAUAAGUUUGAUGGCAAUAGUUACCCAAUUAUGACUGUUCAGGAGACCUAUGCACAGUUGAAUCCACCUCGGUUUUGGUUGAAUAUUCAGGUAAAGAAUUUGCAAAUGCUUAACAAUGCCAUCUAACUUUUUCCCUCCUGUCCCUUCUUAUCCCCUUGUUAAAUAAGUAUAACUCCACCUUCCUGUUUUUGGAUUUAAUUGAUUGUCUUUCAAUUUUGCAGCAUGAUGCAUUCUAUACACAACACAACUUGAGUAUGAGAAGCUUUGUACUUUCUGUAACUAGAAAUAGGAAUGUAACUAUUGACUAUAUCUCAUCACCAGAAGUGGCUUUCUUGCAAAACAUUGCCCCAAGUUUCCAAAGAAGUGCAACAAAUCUUGUCUUCCGGUUUCUAGGACAGAAUGAUGUGGAGCCUUCAACCAAUCAGACUUACGGUUCUCUCUUAAAAAAUAUCACAUUUAUCAAGACAUUUGCCUCCGGAAUUAUUGUGCCCAAGUCUUACAUAUGGCCUGUAGAUAAGGAUCUUUACUUGCUACCUUCUACUUCUCUUGUCUUGGAUGCUCACAAAGAAGGGCUAGAAGUUUUUGCCUCAGAUUUCUAUAAUGAUGUUCCAUUUAGCUUCAACUACUCCUAUGAUCCAGUGACCGAGUAUCUUCAGUUUAUUGACAAUGGUGAAUUCUCUGUUGAUGGGAUGAUAUCCGACUUCCCAAUAACUCCAUCAGCUGCUAUAGGUGAGUUAUACGCCUCUGGAUGCAAUAUAAAUCUUCAUAGAAUUCUUCAAUUUGUUUUUGCAUCUCACACACUGAUAUUUGCUUUUCAAUUUAAAUAAUGGUUGAAUUUAAAAUAUUCUUAAGGAUCAUUACUUGUCUCUGUGACUUGUGCUUGCAAAUGUCUUACAAAUUUCUUUAGUUUUCUCAACUUAGGUAGUAUAUCAAGAGAGCGCACCCAAGGAUCUUGCACUUUGUUGGUUUUAUUCUCAUUAAUUGCCUCAUGCCAUGGUUGCAUCAUAUAAAUAAGAGGAUGAAGUGAGAUUUUGUCUGCCUUUUCUGUCUCUCUUUACUCUCUUAGCCUGACACGCUCUACUGCCUACAAAAUAACUUUGAUUAUUGAAAGAAAGAUUGCCUUAUUUUUACUAAAUACCAUUAUGUUUCGCUGCUAAUGGAUAAGAACUUUUUUUGUUGAGAUGCUAACUUUUGUUGAACAUUGCAGAUUGCUUUGCUCACCUUGGCAGAAAUGCCUCCAAACAAGGUAUGCCAUUAUAUGAUGCUUCAAAGUGAAAGACCUUAGGUUUUCUUGCUAGGAGUCAGUAGUAAAUGAUCAUAAGAUUGUGUGUUUUAAGGUACCAACUCAACUAAACUAUUUUUCUUUUGUUGCAAUGUUACAGUGGACCUUCUGGUCAUCUCAAGUAAUGGAGCAAGUGGAGACUAUCCUGGUUGUACAGAUAUGGCAUAUUCAAAAGCAAUUCAAGAUGGUGUAGAUGUUAUUGACUGUCCUGUUCAAAUGACAAUGGAUGGAACACCUAUUUGCUUGAGCUCUAUCAAUCUCAUAGAUAGCACAACAGUUGCUCAAUCACAAUUCAGCAAUCUUACAACAACAAUUCCACAGAUUAUGCUGGGCAGUGGAAUAUUUUCCUUUAAUCUGUCAUGGAGUGAAAUUAAAACCUUGACACGUAAGUUAAAUUUAGUUUUCUUUCUAUAAAAUAGAAACAUAACAUGUUGGGAAAAAAAAAGUUUUCCAGCUCAAUCUAGAUUGAAGUUUGUACAUUACAUUGACUGGGUUUAUAAAAACUUGACGCUUUGAGGAUGCUCUUCAUGUUCAUGUUGAUGGAGCAUGAAUAAAAAAACCUUGCUUUGGGAGAUAAUGGUUCCUUACAUAGGGUACUUAUUUCAAUUUUGUAUACUUUGCCUAUCAUCUAAAUCUGUGUUUUAGUUGCUCACAUUUAGCUGGCUUGUUGUUUCUUAAAUAGAUAUGAUUUGCAUUAGCUUUUCAUCAACUUCCUUGUUUUAAUCUUUCAUUACUUUCACUGUAGCUAUAAUAUCAAGCCCACAGUCACAGUACAAAUUGUUUCGAAACCCGAGGUUCAAAAAUGCUGGGACGUUCUUAACAUUAUCCGAGUUUUUAACCAUAGCAAGCAAUGCUAGCUCUCUUCAAGGUGUCUUAAUCAGCAUUGAGGUCAGUUCUUUCCCUUCUAUAUUUUUCCUCUUCAAGUUCCUUCCAUUGGAGUUUACUUUCAUGGUUUUCAUUUUCUAUUUCCACACUUUAUUGAGCCUCAUGAUGGAUGUUAAGAGGUGAGGCACAGUAACUGAAUGGUCGCUAUUGUUUUCCGUUGUGCCAUGGUGGUAUGAUUAGCAUGGGAGCUUAAUUAUCCGGAGAUGCAUAUAUUUGUAUUUCAUAACAAACAUUUUCUUGUGAAGGGUUGUUGACAUUUUUGACUUGUUUAUUCCUUUUCAGAAUGCUCCUUUCCUUUUAGAGCAAGGAUUUGCCGUAACCAAUGCAGUGCUCGAUGCUUUGAGCAAAGCUGGCUACGGUAACAAGACAGAUCAGAAAGUCAUGAUUCAGUCAAGUAGUAGCUCGGUUCUAAUGAAGUUCAAGAGUCAAACCAACUAUGAUCUCGUUUACAAGGUUGACGAAGAUAUUGGUGGUGCUCAAAGUUCAACGAUUGAUGACAUUAAGAGUUUUGCUAGCGCUGUCGUCAUUAGCAAGGAUUCUGUAUUUCCUGAAAAUUCUGCAUUCAUCACUAGUGCUACGAAUGUUGUACCGAGGCUAAAAGCUGCUAAUCUCUCUGUAUAUGUUCAAACCUUCAGUAAUGAGUUCACAUCUCAAGCAUGGGACUUCUUCUCCGACCCAACUGUUGAAAUAAACUCAUUCUAUUUAGGAGGUGGUAUUAAUGGUGUUAUUACAGAUUUCCCGAAGACUUCUAAUAGAUAUCGGAGUAAGUACUUGCUGAUUGAAUUUUGACACUGCUAUGUGCUGAAACUAUAACAUUUUCAUCUCAUUGUACUACCAGCUUUUAUGAACACCAGUAUUGACAUAAUAACCGUUUUGUAGGGAACCGAUGCUUGAACAGACGCAAUCAAAUUCCUGGCUACAUGAGUCCCGUGCAACCUGGAAGCCUUUAUGGACUAAUCACAGCUCCUUACUUGCCACCAGCUGAAGCUCCAAAUCCGUUCCUGACUGAAGCAGAUGUCAACGAGCCCCCUUUGCCUCCUGUUGCUGCAAAAGCCCCAAGUACUUCUCCAAAUGGUACUGCACUUGCCCCAACAUCACCAAAUGGACAACCUAAAGUUGCUGCAGCCGCCAUCAUGCAGCUAUCGACUGUUUUUCUUGCCAUUUCUCUACUGUUUUGAAGCCGUCGAAAACCUGGCCUUCCCCUAACACGUUUUACCCCCUUGUUGUCGUAUGUUAUUGCUUCCGUACCGAGUAGCUCGAAGGUCUUAUUGCAGGAGUGGUGUGGCAAAUACCACUUGUUCUUUUUGGUUCUCUCCCCUUCCAAAGUCCAAAACAGAAGUUAAUUCUUUCACCUUUUAGUUUUGAAGGUUUGUUCAUUCUUCUCUCUUGUAAUUUUCAAAAACACAAAAUUCUUCAAAGAGGUACAUGUCCUUAAUGGAUCCUUUCCUUAUUUGAUUUGUGUAUAAAGAUAUGGUGUGAUUAUUCUUUUGUGUUAGCACUUACUCUCUCCUUUGUUUUAUUUCCUUUGAUAUUAGGCUCCAAAUCUUUAAUUUAUUAAUUCCUAAAAAGGGCUAAUUAUGGGUUUAGUCCUUACACUAUACUGAAAAUUGAGAUUUCGUCUUUCUAUUUUAGUUUUGUAUUAUUUGGUCCCGUUUUAUGAUGUUAUUAGUGGACAACGAGGGGAACUUUAUUUUUUUUUAGCUAGCUUUAAGUACUCGGGUAAUAUAUAAGUUAUUAUUGGUUGAACAUUGGUUAACUAGAGACAUGAUUUUGAUUGUGUAACUAAAUAAUAGUAUUACAUAAUCACUCUAAUAAGCAGUGUACCUCUCUAGAAGAGCUCUCCCUUAGGGUUUCUUCCUAGGCCUUCGUCCUCGUUUGCCCUUCCCAGUGACUCCUCCUCUGUCAGCUCGACAGACCUUCUUGAUUCCCUCUUCCUUUUUCUUGUUUCUAUUCGUUGCAUUCUCUUCUUUCCUGCAUUAACUCCUAUUUUUGUAAUCAUCUUCGUCGCCACCUUUUUUCUCCCCCUACAUUUAAUCUACGUCACCCAAUCCUUGCUAAUCUUAACUAGUUUCCUCUCUCAUGCGUUCCCCUCAUUAUUGCUCUUACCCUUCAUCCUUUGGCUAUCCCAUAACCCCAUUAAUCUCAUCAUAACGCUACAUCCUUCCCUGUCGUUUCAUUUCCUCCUCCCUAAUAUCCUCAGGCCUUUUCUCUCAUCGUUUCGACUUCCCAAGACACCAUGACUUACAGACACUUAAAACGACAGAAAAUAGGAUCCCUUGGUCUUGUUUCUCUUCACAGUUUACUAGUUUCCCCUCCAUCACUCGCUUCUUGUUCAUUUCCAAUCCUUUCCUUCUCUGAUCCUCCUCCUCUAAAUCCCAAGAUCACCUUCCAGAGAUUGUGCUUGGCCUGACAACAAAUCUUCUAGGACCUCCUCUAAGGAUGACUCUAGCAUGCAACAUACCAUUCAAGCUGAGGUCCAUCCCCAUGCAAAUGCAACAGUCAGAAGGGGCCUGUCAUCCCUUUCAACCAGCAGGAGUUUGAAGUUGGUAGAGCACAAUGGAAUCAUUACCUAAUCAGAUAUAUGCAUGACUUUAGAUGUUUCGAUCCUCCUAAUCUCAAACGCACUAUCAAAUAGACUUUAGAUUACUCGAGGUUCGGUACAUGUAGAUUCCAGAAGUGGUGACAUUUUCAUUCUCAGAUUUGAUUCCAUGAAAAAACUUCAUCAGAUCCUUUGAGAGGGGCCAUACGCCAUUCAUGGUGCCCUACUUAUGUUAGCUAGAUGGUCCCCCAACAUCACUUCCUCCAGAGAACUAUUUGCCACCUUACCUGUUUGGAUACAAAUUUGGGGACUACCAUUGGAGUAUUUUCGUUCUUUUGUGGCAAUCAGAUUAGGCAGAAUCGUUGAAAGGGUAGUGCAAGUGGACAGCCAUGACGAGACUCCUUAAAACAUUCGUUUUCUCGGAGUCAAAGUGGAAAUAAACCCUUGGAGAACUCUAAUCUCUGGAUGUAACAUCCAAAGAGAUGACAAAGUUAUGCAAUGAGGCCAUUUUCAAAAGGAUGAACGAUCACAUGUGAAACACUGUUCCAGUGACCUUCAAAAUGUUGAGUAUAUGGUAAACGAGCAAAAGAAUGAGAUUUGUGAGAAUAUGGGAUAUGAAAUUGAAAACAAUGCCAAUCAGACCCUUUUCAGAGGUUGCAUUAGAGCAGCCAUAGCCAGAGGCACCAACCGUUCCACUUACGUGAACCUUGACACUCCUCAAGUCUAAUUUUGCAUUAGUUGAUCGUAUCUUUUCUGCAGAAGAACAAGAUUCCAUUUUGGUUAUAGUUUAAGAACCACACCUCCAAGAAGUUAUAAUGCAGAUCAAAAUGAUGAAGCAACCAACCCCAUCCCAUGGCAAUGGUAUUUCGAGUAUGGCUAACCCUAUUCCUAUUGACGAUGACGAUGAGGAAUCUAACCCCUCAAUGGAUGAAGAUGAAAAAAAUAGUGAAGACUUAACUCCCUCAAAAAUAGACUUGGUGAUGAAUGCUACUACUGGUGAUCUUCCAUCUAUUCCCUCUUCUUCCCUUACAUUUGAUAAUCAUGCUUUAGCAAUCAUUCCACAUUCUAGCAACCCUAUUACGAAUCCCUUCUUAGCCCCCAUCCUUGAUUUUGGCCCCUAUGCUCUUGAUGUCGAAGUGGAUGAUUCCAUUAGAGCCCAAUUUCUUGCCUCUUUCAUCAGGGCUAAUGAACAACUUCUAAAUUGGUGGGUCAACAGACAAUUCAAACAGAUUGAAUGGAUUAUUGUUGAACUAUCCUCUCACUUUCUCUCAAGGAGUACAUAUCUUAACUCUAAAGCUUAUGCUAUGACUUUUGUUUAACCUAUGAACAAUAGAUCUACCAAAUUUUGAGGUGACUUUUGCGAACUACCGCCUUCUCUUGAUGAUUCCACCAACCAAGCUGAAUCAAGUCAGGCUGAGGCUUUGGGUGGCUUUUACAUGACCCUCAGGUUGUAUCAAGUAAAUCUCUUCAUCAAUAUCUUUGAAAGUUGUUUUAACAUUCAUUUGAUGGACUUCUAGAUUUCGCAAGGCUGCAAUUGUAAAUAUCAUUUAAGUUACUCUGGAUGUUGGAGAAAAAAUAUCAAAAUUGUCAAAGCCUUUUUUUAUCUAUAAUCUCUUAUAACCAAUCAAUUGUUUCAUCUGCUUUCAUUUUCCAUUUGAAAAUUCACUUAAAAUAUAAUGGUUUGAUUCUUGGAAGAAGAUUCACUAAUUCACACGUAUGAUUUUGCAUGCUGGAGUUAAUUUCACUCUUAGCAUCUUUUCAUGAGGUGCUUUUGGAUAAUCGUAUAGUAUCAUUAUACAUUUGAGGUUCGGCUUCUAACAUUAAAGUUAGAAAAUUCAAUCCAAAAAUUUUUUCCACCCUUGCUCGUUUACUCUUCUUAGCUCUAUCUCAGGCAACUUUUAGCCUGCACCCAUAUAUUAAGAUAUUCACUUUGAAUUUUCUUUUGUUAAAAUUUUCCAAAAAAAAAAAAAACACCCACUAGGUAGUAGUGUCAUGCUUUUGUGCUAAUGAUGUCAUUUGAUUUUAAACCUAAGAUUCUAAAAGAAAAUUGUUUAUUUGUAUUUAUAUUUAGAAAUUCAAUAUAUUAAUAAUUAAAUGGCAAAAUGAUAAAUUUAGACAUUAACUUUGACUUUUUUUAUUUUAGUUAAAUUUGGCCAUUAAUCUUUCAAAAAAAGUUAAAUUAUUUUUUUAACGGAAAUAUUGACUAAAACAUUAAUUUUUUAACGAUGUUGGUGUGGUAACUCGCAUGAUAGCCCACUUAUAUUUCAUACUAACAUAACACUAUUUAUCUUGUACGCCCCAAAUUUUGUGUUUCUGGAUUGUUAAAAAAUUGAUAAGUGAAGUGAUUUGGUUUAGUGAUUAAGGGUGAAUUUGGACGGACGGUGCGUUUACCUGCUGUUAGUGUAAAAACAGCAGUGGCGGUGAGAUUAGAUAUUGUAGCGAUACUGUAGCGUGAGACAAAAAAUAAGCUAAACGCACCGCACCCAAUCGCCCAUCCAAACCCACCCUAGGUGUUGUGUCCUUGUGUGAGUUGUUUUAAGUUUGAAUCCAUUCCCUUAAAGUUUUAGGUAUUUUUGUCUCGUUCUUGAUCUUUGAGCAUCUGGCUUAUGUUUUAUUUUUGUGCAAGUGUUAACAAUAAUAAGUUUAUUGGUUCAAUGAUAAAGCCUUAGCUUAUCUUUGGUAAUGUGUUUGAACCCGUAUCUGAGUUAAAUAGAAUUAUUUUUACUAAUGAUCCAGUGUGCGGCCCAUCUAGAGAUAUUUGGGUUAAAUUCGAAUUUAUGAGAAUCUAUUUAGAUAAGGAUCAAGUUGUGGGUAGUUUUAGAUUUUUUUUUAAUUUUAUUUUCUUUUUCUUUUUUUAAAAAUAAUUUAUUUCACAAACUUGGUUUUUAUACCCAGUUUUUUCUGCUGUUGCAUCUGACAUUGCACGGUAUUUUUCCUUUGCGCUUGAUCGAGAAACUGUUCUUUGUUUCUUGCUACUCCAUAAGAUAAGUGAACCAGCAAAGAAGACACAAAAACCUGAAAUUGAUCUCCUUGAAUCAGGAUCUCCGCCCCAGUUAGCAUCUGAGUAAGCAACCAGAUUAGGUUGCCUUUUGACAGUAGGGAAAAAAGAAAAAAAGCCCAUCUGCUAAUGUUCCUUUCACAUAACCAAGGAUUCUCUUGGCAGCUUGAAUAUGUAACUCACGAGGAUCAUGCAUGAAUUGAGAUUUAUUUGUUUUAGCUAAAUUUGAUCACUAAUCUUUAAAAAAAAAGGUUAAAUUUUCUUUUAACGAAAAUAUUAGUUAAAAUAUUAAUUUUUUAACAAUGUUGACGUGACAACUCGUGUGACAGUCCACUUAUAUUUCAUACUAACAUGAUGCUAUUUAUCUUAUAUGUUACGUCAAUAAAUAAUUUAAAUUUUAUAAAAAUAUUCAAAAAUACAAAAAAAAUAUGUAUAAAAAGCUCAUAAAAUUACACAUGGGUUCCCACGAAAACUAUCACGAAAACUGUCAUGGUUAAAAAUUUAAUAUUUUAGUCAAUAUUUUUAUUAAAAAAUAACAAUUUUAUACUUUUUAAAAUGUUGAUGACCAAAUUUAGCUUAAAAAAAUGUAAACGUUAAAAGUUAAAUUUAUCAUUAUACUUAAUUAAAUCUAUCUUUAUUUUAUGUUUUCUUUUGUUUUAAAUCAUUGUCUCGUUUGUCGAUUAAGCCUUAACUCAGUUGGUUUUAUUGUUAUUGUAAUAAUAAGAAAAACGUGGGUUCAAGCACAUUUAAAUACUUCUCUCCUUCUAUUUUAAGGAUAAAAAAGAGUUAUGAGUAGAAAUAAGCUUUGUAUUAAAAAUAUUGUUUUAAAAUUAUCAAGUGUAUAAAAUAAUUUUAAAUUAAAAAAAGUAUAUAUAUAUAUAUAUAUUUUUUAAUUAAGCAGGUUUUUUUCAACUAAGCCCUUAGCAAUAUUUUGAGCUUUGUUAACAAAAUCAUCUAAAUAUCCACUACCCUUCUUGAUGUACACUCCUUUAGCAUAUGCUUCCCAUAUGUUUUUAUUAUUUGGUAAAAAGAUUUCUCCAGUCUCUCAUGUUAAUUUUAAAAGUGGGCAACGAAGAAAAAUUAAUUACGGUGUUAAUGUUUUUUUUAUUAUUAUCAAUUUUACAUAAUUUUGUUUGGCAUAAUAUAAAUUUGGUCUUCAAUGUUUAUAUAUUUUUGUUAAUUUAGUCUUGAUUCUAAAAAGUUCAACAAAUUUAGUCUCAACAUUUUCUCAUAUGUUGCGGGCUAAAUUUGUUAGAUCAUGACCAAAUUAAAAGGAUGUGUAAACUUUAAGGGGUAAAUUUGUUAUCAUACCAAUUAAAAUUAUGUACAAUUGAUAGAAGACAUUAAUUCUGUAAUUAAUUAUCCUUUAUUGCCUACUUUUAAAAUUAACGGAUAUUAAAUUACUCCGAUUUUUUUAGAAGAAACAACUUACUCAAUAUCUAUAUUGAAAGAGAUUAAAAAUGUUCUUUUACGACUUUCAUCGUUAAAAAAUUUUAGUAUAGCGUUAGAAAUUUUGAUAUCGAGAAUAUUAAAUGACUUGCUAAUGAGGUAUGGACCCUCCCACUACCAAACCCAUGGGUCACCACUAGGAGAAAGAGGUCUACUCUAGAAAUAUCAACAACUUAAUUUUCAUAAUUAAUCAUGAUAAUGCAAUUAAUUUAUCUUUUAAUAGUCAUUACUUAGCUGAUUUUAAUGCACUUUCUUUUUCCUUUGUGUGUAGUAUAAGCAAAAUAUUAUCAACACACCAUAAAUGAAAACAUUUUUUUUUGUCAAAGGAGUGAUAAAAAAAUAUUGAAAAAUCACGAUAGUUAGGUGAGAUAAUAAGGGUCUCUCUUAACUUAAUUAGUGAUUGAGAGUUUGAUCCUUACUCUGGGUAUGGAGCAGAUUUAAAACUCGUAGCCAGUAUCUCCCCUUAAUAGGUCUACAGAACGCGGAUGAUUAAUUACUGAGCUCACUUUGAUAAAUACAUUGAAAAAAAAAAUGAAAAUUUCCUAGUUCCUCAUUAGACUAUUCUUAAUCCAAAUUUACCGUUUUGGCUAAUUUUAAUUAUUGGCCUUCACAACAUUAUUUGAGUUUCUAUUAUCAAUUUGAAUAGAUAUUUUUUAAAAAUUUAAAAUUAAUAUAAAAUAAUGUGAGGAAAGACUCCUCAUAUUAUAUCAUGAAAAUUUAAUGUAUAUCUUUUUAUCACUUUGAUUUUUAAUCUUCAAAAUUUCGAUCCAACUCACAUAGUAAUUGACGUAUACUUUGUUAGCAUGCACAUAUUUUUAAAGAUUUUUAUGAAUUUUUUAAUAAUUUUAAUUUUUUUUUAUUUUUUAUAAAGUGCACAUGACAAUUAGGGAAAUUGCUACACUAAUAUCUUUAAAGUUUAAUGAUUCAAUCAAUUUUUCAUUUAAAAGGUAAUAAUUUGAAUAAAAUUUAAAAGUCGAGGCUAAAAAGUAAAAAUGAUAAAAAGAACUUGUGAUUUUGCCUUUUGAAAUUAAGACUGGGGCAACUUGUAUUUCUUGUGGCAAGGGAAUAAGGGUUCCUUUGGAUAGGCAAUGUAUUUACAUGCGGUUAAUAUAAAAAUAGCGAUAACAGUAAAAUUAAAUAUUGUAACGAUAUUGUUGCGUGAGACAAAAAGAAAGCUAAACGCACCGCACUAAAAGUAAACGUCCAUCCAAAAGGACCAUAAGGACUGUUCAUUUACAAAUUAAUACGGGGUAGAAUAUCAUCCCUUCAUAUUUGUGGACCAUUGCAUUUUUCAAAUCAUAAAUAGGAGGAUAAUGUGCUUCAGUGUAUUCGAACUCACGUUCUCCUGUAUUAACAACAAUGCCCAUGCAAGAUAAAUAUUGAAUGGCUCAAGUUUGCUUAGUUAGAUAUGUUCAAGAUCAUCACUUUAUUAAACAAUAAGUUGAAUAUUUUUAAAUUUAAUUAUUUGUGUUCGUGGUCAAAUUCAAGCUUGAAUUAAAAAAAUUCCAAUACUAAUUUUUUUUUAAAAAUGUAUAUAUUAAAAACAAAAGCUAAAACAUCUAUUCGAUCCUUUCAAUUUCGAAAUUGAAUAAAUUGAUUUCUUUAAAAAAAUAAUUUAAUUUUUGUCAGUUUCAAAAGUGAGCAACUAAGAACAAUUAAUCACGACACCAAUAGUUUUAGCCAAUUAUACAUAAUGUGUAAAUUUAGCACUUUGAUGUUUAUAUAUUCUAUGUAAAUGUUGACAAAAUGUGUAAAUAUCACAUGCUAAAUUUGUUAAAUUAAGACUAAAUAGACAAAAUUUGUAAGCUUUGAAAACUAAGUUUGUUAUUAUAACAAUAAAAAUAUGUAAAUUUGGCAAGAAAAACAUCAACACUUGGAUUCUUUUUUCGAGAGAGACCAAUCUAUUCUAUAUCAAAAUUAAGAAGGACCAAAAUGAUAUUUUACCGAAAACAAGAUGCUCCUAAACUAAUUUAGAAAAUGUCAACCAUUAAUGGAAUAAUGAUCAUUACCACAUCAUGGCAACGCUAUGAUGACGUUUAACUUAGAGUUGAAGGUAUGGCGAGUCUUUUAAUUGGCCAACUCUUUGCCCCCUCCCUUUUGACCUUCCAUAAUUCACAUUCUUUACAUUUUCUUCACAACAAUCCCAAAACCCAAAAGAAUAAAAAAAUCCCAAACUUUUUUUUUCGAAAUUAGUGAUAUCUAACUUCAGUAGCAGUGAUUAAUCGUCUCGUUGUGCAAGUGUUUUCUGAAAAGAUAAGCUACUGAUUACAAAUGCCCGAGGAAAACAAUAGUUGUGUUGGUUUAAAUGAACCAAGAUUGGUAGUGAGGAAGUUUUUGGCUAAGCCACAAUAUGAAGGUGCUGGAGCCAUAGUGAGAAGAAGCAUUGGCAGGUAGCUUGGGAAUAUAUAUAUAUGAUUAAUUUGGUGCUUAUUUUUUCAUUGGAAUGAAGGAAUUUGAGCAAUUUAGAUCAAAGGGUAUUUUUUUUUCAUCUUUUUUGCAGGUUUGAGUUGAGAUACUUUGAUCCUUUCCUUGUUUUGGAUGAAUUUUCAGGUUAGUGUCACUCUGUUUUUUGCUCUGUUUUCUGUCUUUUUUAAUAUCUAUAUUGUAAUGUUUUGAUUCUGGAAAUUGCAGUCACAGCACCUGCUGGAUUUCCAGAUCAUCCACACAGAGGUUUGAUUUUCAGUUUUAUAUGUAGGUUAAAAUAUGCUAUUAGCCCAUGCACUUUUAUAUAAUUUGAGAUUUAGUCCACAUACUUUUAAAAGCCUCUUACUUUACCAAAAAUCUUAGUCAAAAUAAUUAUUAUCAUCGGUAGUUUUCAUUAAAAUUUAUCAGAUAAUAACUUAAUCAACAUGUUAAAUUAAUAAUUUUUUAUAAAAAAUACUUACGAUUUAAUGAUUGAAUUGGAAUUUUUAAAUAAAAAAAAGUUAGGAACUUAAUUUCUAUAUAUAUUUUUUUUUGGUUAUUCUUAUACAUACUCUGUUUCUCUUGUUAACAGGAUUUGAGACAGUCACCUACAUGAUACAGGUAUACAAUUUAUCAUUUUAAAGCUAAACCUACAUACUCUGUUUUUUUAUUGAAAAAUUAUGUGUUGAUGUACAUUGUUAGGAGCGACAGUCACGAACUCCGAAUCAUAAAACGAACAUGAAAUAUAUCAAAAUAAUAACUUAUAAAAGAAAAAAGAAAAAGUCAAAUUAGAUGUGAUAGUUUAACUUUAAAGAAAGCAACUCAUAAAUGAUAAAUUGAUCAUCUAUCCUACUUGAAUGAUUAGAUAUAUAGAUAUGUAUUGGGUACUGAGAUAUUUAAAGGGUUAAAAUAUUUGUAUUUUUAGAAAAAAAAAUUAAAAUUUGGUUUUUAUAAUUUUAUUUUUAAGAAUUUAAUCCUUUUACUUUUCAGAUUUUAAAAUUUAGAUUCAAUUUUAAACAUUAUUAUUUUUUGUUAAUUACAACAUCAUUAUUUAAUUACAUGGCUACCAAAUAAAUUUUUUAUUUCAAAAUGUUACACUAAAAAAAUUUAACAAAAAAAAAAUAAUAAUGUUAACAGUUGGACUUGAAUUUUAAAAUUUAAAAGUAAAUGAACUAAAUUCUUGCAAUUAGAAGUACAUGGACUAAUUGGGGUUUCUUUUUUUUUGUUUGUAUUUGACAAUUUGUCGUUUUUUAGGGUUAUUAUAACUUUUGCCCCUAAAUUUGGUAACUAAAUUCACGAUAUACUUGUACUUUUUUGUCCCACUUUGGUACUUGAAUUCGACAAAAAAGUUUAUUUUGGUCCCUGACCUUAAAAAAAUAUAACAGUUUAAUGAUGUGACACUCCUAGAUUGUACUACUUCGACAUCUAAAAAAAUAGUUGACGUAAUGACAUGACUUUAGAGUUCUACAUCAUUAAACUUUUAUAGUUUUUCAAUUUCAUGUAUCAAAGUGGACCUAAAAAAAUAUAAAUAUUAAAAUAGACUUGGUUAUUAAGUUUAGGGGAAAAAAUAAAUUUAACCCUUUUUUAAUUAAGGUUUUUAAACAAAAGUGUAUGAAAUGAAAGUUACCUUUGGUUGAUAUUGCAAUAGGGGUCAGUUACACAUGAAGACUUUGAAGGGCAUAAAGGGACCAUUGGAGCUGGUGAUCUUCAAUGGAUGACUGCAGGGAGAGGCAUUGUCCACUCUGAGAUGCCUUCACCACAUGGUACCCAAAAGGGUCUACAACUAUGGGUCAAUCUCUCCUCCAAAUAUAAAAUGUAAGUUUAAUUUUAUAUAUAUAUAAAAAUGAGGUUCGGGAAAAGAAAAACUAUCGUAAAUAUUGGGUUCGGAUUCAUAAUUAUUGAAAGUAAUCUUUUUUAAAGGUGACUAUAUAAAUCGGUUUUCUAAAUCCUGGUUCAAUUAAAUAGAUAUUUACAAGUUUUAUGAAAUUAAAAUGGGGAUUAAAAGAGAUCACAAAUUUGCUAAAUACCACCUCUUGCUCUAGUUCUAAGAGUUAGAUUUAAAUCUUAAACUUAUUAAAUGGUCAAUGAUAAAAUGUAUCAUUGUAUUAACGUAUAUCUUUAUUGUUUUUAUGAGGAUUAAAUCAAAAUUUUUAUCAUUUUAAGAGUAAAAUAUAAUUUUACCAUUUAUUUACUUACUGAAAGUACAAUUUUUCAUUUUUUGAGGGGGCCAAGACCCUUGCUUGCCCCCUUCCAAAUUCGACACGGGUGUCGGAUUGAUAGUUUUUGUUGAACAUUUACAGGAUGGAACCAAUGUAUCAAGAAAUAUCAAGCAAGAACAUUGCAGAAACCACAAAGGAUGGAAUCAAAGUUAGGGUUAUAGCCGGUGAAGCCUUGGGAACAAAGUCACCAAUCUACACAAGAACCCCAACAAUGUAUUUGGAUUUCACUCUGGAUCCCGGAACUCACCUCCAACAACCGAUACCUAAACCGUGGAACGCCUUUAUUUACAUAUUAGAAGGAGAGGGUGUCUUUGGGCAGUCGAAAUCGUCAGCGAGUGCUCACCAUUUGCUUCUUCUAGGGCAUGGGGAUGGGUUAGAGGCAUGGAACAAGUCCACUAAAUUGUUAAGGUUCAUAUUAGUAGGAGGUGAACCAUUGGAUGAACCAUUGGUGCAAUUUGGACCAUUUGUGAUGAACACUCAAGAAGAGAUUGAUCAAACAAUAGAGGAUUUUGAGAACUACACCAAUGGAUUUGAGAAAGCAAGGCAUUGGAGAUCUGAAUCUGGUCUUAGCCUGGAUUUUUUAUUCUUUGUUUUUGGUUUAAGAAGUAUUCAUUGGUUAUGUAAUAAAAAAAUAUAAUUCUUUCUUUUUUAUACAAUUAUCUAAUAAAUUUAUUUAAAAUUUGAUAUAAAUAUCAAAUAUGUUUUUCGUUGAGAUAGUAAAAUUGAGAACGUAGAGGUCAUUGUGCUUUGGGUUUGAAUCUCAUCCGGUGUAUUUUUCCACCAAUUAACUUGUACCAUUUGCAGUUUGGGAAGUACAGUUGAAACUUCAGGAUCCGAAGGUGUUUCACCUUUAGCAAAAUCGUUCUAGCUAGCAGGAGUUGGCUAUGAAGUUUCGAGUGACCAGUGCAAUGUGUGGACAUGUAUGUAGGCAGAGAGGCGUACCCGGUAAUUGCUACCGGAAGGGUGGAAGGUUUAGACCGAGCAUGUGUUCCGAUACAUGUCGCAUGCUAUCUCCAACCUCAGUGCGAGUAGUAAGUGUGAGCGAAUUGAGUAAAAGAUGGUAGAGUUGAUGGCAGAGUUGCACACCCCUUAGCACUUACGUAGGAUUUGGUGUUUGGUUGGAGAAACAGUCCUGGUUCCUGUGUUUCCAAAUUUGCCAAAGGAUUAGGAUCCAUUCGUUGUACAUGGAUUGGUGUCUGAGUUCUGUCUUGGAAUAUUGUUGAAUCCACUGACUAAUCCAUUCCCUGAUGUAUGGUACACCAAGUUGCUUCGGACAGACAGAAUACUAAGAUCCAAACGGAAGGGGGAUGUUCGAAAGAGAUGGUCGCUGGUUUCGUCCGCUUGAUCACAUAGUGGGCAUUGGGAAGAUGUUGUGAUAUGUCGGGCACACAGUUCUGUUCGGAGAGGAAGGUAAUUAUUGCAAAGUUUCCAAAGAAAUAUUAGAAGCUUCGUAACAAUAACUUAUAUCUUUAUAAUUUUUAAAAAAUUAAAUUUAAUUUUCAUAAUUUUAGGGGCUAAAGUAUAAUUUUAUCAUUACUAAUAUAAAAUUUUAUAAAUUAUAAGAGGCCUAAAUGAAAAUUUUUUUAUUUUAAAGGAGGCCAAACCCUACCAAGUCCUUGACUCUAAUACGACACUUUAAUAUAUAUAAUUCUCUACUUAUAGUACUAGAUUUUUCAUCUCUACUUUAUCUUUUAUAACAAAAACUAUCCAAAUCACAAAAUAUAGAGUUAAACUUUCUACAACUACAUAAUUAUAAAUCAGAAAUUUUAUCACGCUAUUGGCGUGAAAAUUAUGUAUUUGGAACAUAGAUUUAUGUUUAAAAAUAAUAUAUUCAAAUUAAUAAUAAUACAUAUACAAUAUGUAUAGAAUUAAAAUAAAAAAAUUAGUUUAAAUUGUGAGUAAAAGAAAAUCUAAAUUCUUAUUUUUGACUUGAGGAAAAUUAUUGAGGGAUAUAUUUGGGUAAUUUAAAUAAGACUUUUAUAUAAUUUUUUAAGUUUAUUUUUUAAAAAAAUAAAAAAAAUGAAAAAGGUUUAUUUCUCUUAUUCUUAUAUUUUUAAGGGCUAUUUAAAUUUAAUUUCAAAAGAAAAGACUUAACAUGUAAAUAGAUCAAAAGUUUAAAAGCAUUUAAAUGAAUGCGGUGAGUAAUCAUAUAAUCUUUUUUUUAUUUAAUCUAAAAAGGUUAAUUGCUUCAUUAGAUCCCUAAACGUUUCAUAUAAUCAUACUUCAGUUCGAUGCCGUCAAUGACAGAGGCGACACCGAAGUUCACUGUUCAAAACGAUUCUUUACCUACAUGAUUUUGAAAGCGGAUUAUUUUCGUAAUUAAUAAAAAAUAAAAAAUUCAAUUUCAUAUAAUUUUUUAGUAUUCAAACUGAUUUUUUUCAACAAAAUCAUCAAAACCUAAAAUCUCAAAAAUCUUAGAAAUCUUAAAAUCAUCAAAAUUUUAAAAUCACAAAACCUAAACUAUUUUUAAAAAAUAAUAAUAAGAAAAAAAAAACAUUCCACCCAUGAACAAGGCAGAAUUAAUUUUUAUCAAGAUCUUCUUAGCUCUAUUUGCUCUAAACUCCCUCUCUCUUUAUGGUUACUUCUCCUCCAGCCACCCCAACCAUCAUCACCAUCAUCUGGCGGUUAACCACCGUAACACGACGGCGGCGGAGGGUUUUCCCAAAAAAAUCCCACACCGUAAACCCCAUUUGUCAAACCCCGCGCGACCAAUCAUCCCAUCAAAGCCCUGGCCAACCAUCCCAUCAUAUCUACCUUGGUCUUUCUCCCCAACCGUAGCUUUAAAUUCAUGUGAAGCUUAUUUCGGGAAUGGGUUCACAAAGAUAUCCAACAUUUUGCCCGUAAAGGCCGCCUUGAGAUCCGGGUCUAGUUGGUUUAGGUGUCGUUACUCAGAGACUUUGAGGACUUCAAUUUGUGAAGGUGGGAAGAUAAGGAUGGAUCCCGGGAAGAUUAAGAUGUCAGGUGGUGGUGAAAAGCUUAAAGAUGUUAUUGGGAGAAGUGAAGGAAAAGAAUUGCCUGAGUUUGAAGAUGGAGCUUUUGUGGUUGAAUCAAGGUUAAAGAGAAGGAAGCUUGUUGGGUAUAAGUUCUUGCAUAAAAUUUUACCUGAGAAUGUUACGAGACACCCUAUAAGGGAAUCAGUUAGGUCUAUUGUUAUUGUGGGUCAAAAUGAUUUUGAUUGUCAAGAGGUUAGUUUACAUUUUUCUUUGAUAUUUUAAUGUUUACUGGGAUUUCUAAUUCUGGGUUUUGUUUGAUUUAGUAAAUUAGUGCUUAAAAAUGCAGAUAUGGAAUUAGAAUUUAAUGCAAUUCUAUAUGUUAAAAUUAACUUUUCUUACUUGGUUUUAGUUAAUUUUUUAGUUUAAUAGCUGUUUGUGAACUCUUUGAUUAUAAUGCCAAUUUUGAACAUGGAUAUAAUUCGUAAGCAGAGUGGUUCAUUUGUUAAUUUUCUUCUAAUUUUUUGCCCUUUUUUUAUGGAAUAUUAACUUUAUUCUUACUGUAUUAGCUGUUUAGUUUCUUCAUUCAUCUUACUAAUUCGAUUCGAUUUGUCGAUUGUUGUUAGUUCUGCUUUUAUGGAUUCUGAUGUGGAAAAGCUCUGAUUACAGUGGGUAGAGGAACCUACAUUGCUGGUAACAAGAUUUGAGUAUGCUAACCUUUACCACACGGUGACAGAUUGGUACAGUGCUUACAUGUCUUCCAGGGUUACCGGCUUGCCUAAUCGGCCACAUUUGGUCUUUGUUGAUGGUCAUUGUAAGGUAUACAUGCUUGGUAUUCCGAAUUCUGUUCCUAUUGUCAUCUUUCUUCUCUUUAGGACAUUAUCAUUCUUUUAUCACCAUGUUGUUUGUCAUUCAUGUACUCGAAUUUAUGAGAAAAUCACUGGCCUUUCAAGCUCAGGGAGUUGUCCUUUCUUGCCCGAAACAGAUUAGAGUGGAAUGCUCAGUUAGUAAAAAGUGAACCACAGGGAGAAUACAUGCAAAAUGAAUUGCAUUCCAUAAUAAAUAAAUCCUGAGAUACUAUUCGAAGAAUUUAUGAGAAAAACACUGUUGUUUCGAGCUCAGGGAGAUGUCCUUUCUUAUCCGAACAGAAUAGUGAGAAAUGUUUGGUUAGUGCAUCGUGAACAUCAGAUACCUAUGUCAGUCUAGCCUGCAUCCCAAUUACAGACAAAAUGAAUUUUAUUCCAUAGGCAGUCCCGAGAUACAAUUCAAAUACUUAGAUUUUAAUAUUUGCUUGAUUUUAAUUUCUUGGCUUCCCCAACCUAAAGUUCUAUUAGUUCACUGUGUCAUCAGCGGUCCUCCUUUUCUCUAGUAUCAACAUUUCGAACAUCUCUGUUGAGUUUAAACUGUUUAUCUAGUAAUGCUUUAUUAUCCUACAAUGCUGAUCUUUUGUUCUUGGCUGAACAUUUCCAGACACAAUUAGAAGAAACAUGGAAAGCUUUGUUUUCGAGCCUUAGAUUUGCGAAAAACUUUACAGGUCCAGUCUGUUUCCGCCAUGCUAUUUUCUCGCCUUUGGGAUAUGAGACUCCAUUAUUCAGAGGGAUUAGUGAAGAAAUAAAUUGUCGUGGAGUUUCUGCUCAUGAUCUACAGCAAAAUCCUGAUAUCCACAAAACUGCUCGAGUAUCUGAGUUCGGAGAAAUGAUCAGAGCUGCUUUUGGAUUUCCGGUAAACAGACAUCAUGCUGGUAAGGCAGCCUCGGGUCAUAAUGUUCUCUUUGUCCGUAGAGAAGAUUAUUUAGCGCAUCCACGCCAUGAAGGAAAAGUUGAAUCCAGACUUACCAAUGAACAACAUGUGUUCGAUUCAUUACAGAGCUGGGCAUCUGAUCAUCUCAAAUGCAAAGUGAACUUGAUCAAUGGGUUGUUAGCACAUAUGCCGAUGAAAGAACAGAUCCGAGCUAUUCAAGAUGCUUCAGUUAUCAUUGGUGCUCAUGGUGCCGGUCUAGCGCACAUAGUAUCUGCAACACCUAACACAGUGAUCCUCGAGAUUAUUGGCCGUGAAUUCAAACGGCCACAUUUUCGGUUGAUAGCGCAGUGGAAAGGAUUGGAAUAUCAUGCCAUUUACCUUUAUGGAUCGUAUGCCAAUCCUCGAGCUGUCAUUCUUCGGCUUAACAAGAUAAUAAAGAGUCUUGGUUGCUAAACAACGGAUAAUCCUUCCAUCAUAUGCGUGUUAGAGUUAGCCUUGCACGAUUUUGCUCAUUUUUCCCCGAUUUUUUUUGGAACUGACUGAAGAAUAGAAUGAGAUUUUUUUUUUAGAAACUUCUUAGGUGUUCAUUCCAUUUAAUGGAUUGAAAUUAUAGUCACGGUACAAAGAUAAAGGAGAGGGUGAAAUCAUUCUAGUUGAUGAUGGAUAUAGGCAAUAUCCACAUUCAUAGAUGGAUAAAAAAUUAGGGUUUCAUAUGGUUAACUUUAAAUGUAAAUUUACAUGUUUGAUUUCACUUUCUUUUUCCUUUGAAUCAAUUCCUUUGAAGAAUUGAAAUCCCUCAAAGAUGCAUAUACACUUAAAAUCUCUCAAAGGUGUAUAUACAAUAAUUCAGAUAUUACAAAAUACAAAUAACACCUGUGUAAAGAAAUACAAAUAGACCCAACAAGUGUUUUGGAUAAUUUGGGUUUUUGCAUAAUAGACUUUGUAAGUUCAUUUCUCGUCUUCAUUCUUAUUUCAUUGGAUCAUAUUUAUACUCUUAUUGAUUUGGAAUCAUUUGGAGUCAUUACAGUAAGCUUUUAGCUGUUGGGAACAUUAAUUUCGUGCAUUAACUGCAGUCUAUAGGGUCAAGUAUCGAUCUUGACACUUAGUUGAGAAUAGUCGUUCAAAAAACAUUGGUCAGGUCUUGUGACCUUAAGAAUAAGACUUGAUACGUACCAUGCUCCUUUAAAAAGGAUUUUUGGCUACUGACUUGCAAGCUUUAAUAUCGAUACAUGGUUGCCUAGGCAUCGAAGACUUGCCUGAUAAAUCCCGAUACCAUACCCCUCUAGAAAGUCAUUUUAGCUAUUAUUUGGGAGGUAUCGAUAGUAGUUUUGACAACUACGUAAAGCUCAUUUGCACCCCUACAUUUUGAACUCAGCCUUAAAAUUUAUGUGUUAAGAUCAAUUUUUUUAAAACUGAAACGGUAGUCAAAUCGAUCGGGUUAUCGGUUCGUUGAUCCGAUUAGUUGGAUUGAUUAGAUUAAAAAAUUAUUAAAUUUUAAAAAAUUAAAAUUAAAAAAUUAGUUUAAUUGAUUCAAUCAUCAGGUCAACUGAUCCAUACUGGUUUCCAAUCUAAUCGGUUCAAAGUCAUUCUCCCCACUAGUAUCUUAACCGAUUCCCAAUCCAACCCGUUUAAUCGAUCAGGUCAGUUUGGUUCAACCAUCCUUGGUUAAGAUAACCCAAUCUACGAUAUGGAUCACAUAAUGUUAGUCUAUAAAAGAACAGGCUAGGACUAGACCUGAUCAACGGUCGGGCCACUUGCUCAGGCCCAAAGGCCUACUUGUAAAAUGGGUUUGAACAAAAAAAUAAGACUUGUUUUCUAAAUGGGUUGUGCUUUGGGUAGAAUUUUUUGGCCCAAGCCCGACUCGACCCUAAUCACAUGCCUAUACUUUUUUUUAUACUUUCAAUUUGUUGGGAAAUAUUUAUUUUAAUAUUUGUAGUGUUAUGUAGUAUAUUUUAAAAAAAAUUUGUUUUUAUAUAAAAAAAAUCUAAAACAAAUUAUUACAGCCAGGCUUGGUUGGGCCCGGAUUUGGUAUUUUUAAAAUGGAUCGAGCUUGGAAAAAAAUUUAGCCCCAGUUUUCACCGGCCCUAGUUGGGUUGGGUUCAAGCUUAGAAAGCAGGCCUAAAAUUUUACACCGGCCCAACCCAAACCCGACCUAGCUCAUGAUGAGGUCUAGCUAGAACUUAGAAUCAUCUUUUUUCUCCCUUGUGAAAAAGGGUUAAUAUAACAUAUGGUACUUUAGUUUGGCUUUAAUAUUUAAUUUAGUAUUUAAUUUUUUUUAUUUCAAUUAAUACAUGAGUUUAACUUUAAUAUUCAAUUUGGUACUCAGACCAAACAAUAUCACGUGACCCUAUGAACAUUUGAUACGUUUACUUUAGUAAAAAAACAUAUGUAUUUAAUUGAAAUAAAAAAGCUCAAAUACCAAAUUAAACAUUAAAACUAAACUUUUGUAAGGGAAAAAAAUAAGUAAGAAAACGUAGGUACCAAAUUGAACAUUAAAUCCAAACUCAUGCCCCAAAUAGUAUAUUAAGCUGUAAAAAAUAAAAACAAAAAAUUCAACCCUUUAAUGGAUUACAAUUGUUCUUAUUUUAUGUCGAAUCUGAAGUUCAAAACAUUCCAAUAUUAGACAAAGUCUAUUCCUUGGGAACUUGCCUGUUUAAAGCAUUGCAGUUUGAGGUAUGAGUUCUUUCUCUGUUAUGUUUCAAUGUGUAAUAUCAUACAAAUAUGAAGUAAUUAUUUCAUGUAGAAAAAAGGCAUGAAUUAUGGUGCUUAAACAUGUUUAUAGUUUUAUAUCGUUCAUGGUGUCACUGUAAUUGGGUUAGAUUGAUUAUGAACUAGGUUAAAUCAAUAUAGUUCGCCAAGUGUUUGACAAAUUGCCUCUGAGAAAAAGCAUGUAUUUACUAUGCGGUUUAUAACAUGUUACCCACCUAAACCCGUGAAGGGGAGGUCUUAAAUUGUGUACAUUAUUGGAAUCUUCUUGGUUCUGGGAUCUGUUGUCUGUGUUAACUCGAGCAUUUUCGUGGCUGGUUUAUGUUACAUGAUUCUUUGGUGAUCAGCAAAGAUGGUUUUUUGCUUCCCAUCUACACCUAAGAAGCUGGCAAUGACUGUGGGUUGCUUCAUUGCUGGUGCGGGCCUUUUUGUUGUUGGUACGUAUCUCUCCUAUGUAAACGUUGCUCCUCAGCAAGCUCGAAUUAAAGCACGAAAUGACUUUGUUAAGGAACGGUUAAGAAAGAAAUAUGGCAAACCAUAGAAUUGCAUUGCACUGUUGCUUCAUCCUUGGUUUUUACUCACAUUCUCUGCUCUCAUUUAAUGUUUUUAUGGUAAUAAGAGUUCGCAUUAGAAUGUUACUUUGACUUUGGUUUUAUGGUAAUAACAAUUCUCUUUGUUGAUUUGGUUAUGCACUUGAGAUUCACAUAAGCUUUAGCAGAUAUCCCAGAUUCGGUAAAAGUACCAUGGAUAUUCUUGUAUUAGGAAUCGGAGUGCAUUUUACCCCUUCUACUCAAAGAAUAGGAAAAUUAACUCCUGUAUAUUAGAUCAAAUAAUAAGCUAGUUCUUGAUUAAAAUUUCAUUCAUUUCUACUGUUAAGUAUUGGUGUGGUUGAUGGAGCAACUAUACAAUGACACGUGACGUGUACCUCAUGCUAACGUGGAGGGAUUAAUUUAAGCAAAAUGGAUGGAAUUUUAACAAACAAUAAAUUUGAUAGAAUUUUUUACGUAUAGAUAUCACUUAACAGUAGAAAUGGAUGAAAUUUUGAAUAGAAGAAAUAAUUUGCUCUUUGACUUAAUAUAUAUGGACUAAUUUGCUCAUUUUUAAGUAGAGGGGUAAAGUGUGAUUCGACACCUAGUACCGGUACUUUUACGUAUAGAUUCUUAUUAUAUAUGGUUCAUAACAUUACUUGCUAGAUGUGGUUGAUUGCUAUUAUUUACACUAAGUCCAAGUAUUAUUAUCUAAAUCCAAUUUUAAAUUAAUUAAAUUACUCGUUAAAUACUAAAAUCUUGUAAAUACUCAAAAAAUAUAUUAAAAUAAGAACUUUAACGAAAUGCAUCUCGAUUCAGAUAUCUAAUUUCAUUAUUCGUAAAAGAAAAAUGAAUUUAAAUAAUGGAUAUUUGAUUCCAAAUUUGUUAUUUACAAAAAUAAAACAAAUUCGAAAUAUAAAUAUACCCAAAUUAAUAUUCACAUCUUCUUUGAAUCCGUUAUAAAUAUAAAUAAAAUAUCGAAAAUAAAAAAUUUCUUUGAAUCCGUAACAUUAAAUUUCGUAAAAUAUCAAAUACAUCCAAAUAUUAAAUACCCAAAUAUCAUGCACGCGGAAAAAUUAAAUUAAAUUAAUUGGUAAAAAAAAUAUCUCUUAAUUUUGAUAUUAAGUAAAUUGUUUUUUUUUUAAAUUGGAGUAAUUUAAUUCUUGUUAAUUUUGAAUGUUAGUAACUAUGGAUAUUUAAUCACAACAAUAAUAUUUUUCGUUAAUUGUAAAUUAUUUUUAUUGGCCUGAUAACAAAUUUAGUCUUCAAAGUUUCCAUAUUUUAUCAGUUUGGUCUUGAUUUAACAAAUUUAGUUCGCAACAUUUUCAUAUGCUAUCAAUCUGAUCUUGAUUUAACAAAUUUAGUCCGUAAUAUUUACGCAUUUUGCCAAUGUGUACAUAAUAUAUAUAAACAUUAAAGGCUAAAUUUGUUAUACCAAUCAAAAUUAUGUAUAAUUGCCAUAAAACAUUAACAUCGUGAUUAUUUGUCUUUAGUUGCUUACUUUCAAAAUUAACAAUGAUUAAAUUGCUCUAAGUAAGAGAGACUAAAGAAGCGUAUUUACCAAACUAAUUAGAAGUGACAAUUCGACGGGUUCAAAUCAAAUUAUUUUAAAUUUGGAUUAUUACAAAUUUAGGGUUUUUCGAAUUUGAACUUUUCUAAAUUGAGAGUUUUUCUGAGUUAAAACAUCCUCAAGUUUAGAUUAUUCUAAAUUAAGAUUUGGUUCAACGCAAUUUACAUCUGAAUAUAAAUUUAAAUGUUUAUUGUCAUUACAUUUUUCUUUAAGUAUAAUAUGUCUGACUACUACGGUGUACCAACACUAGUUUAAAAAAUUACUAUUUCAUUUAUUAAAAAAAUUUGAGAGCUUUUAUAAAGAAAAUCUCAAACCAUACAUGAUUUAUAAUUUAAUGUGCAAAUUAUAUACAUGAACUUUGAGUUUAAAAAUUCUAAUUUGAUUCAAUUCUUAUAAAUUAUUAAAACAAUUAAAAUAUUUAUCCAACAUAAAAAUAAAUUAAGAUAUUUAUUUUUAAAAUGUGUAUGAUUAAAUCAAAAUUAAAAUUUCAAAUAUACAUUUGAACCACAAAUAUAAUUUCACAUAUAUAAUUAUUCCAAAUUUUAAAUUCAUUUUUGGAUUUUCUUGAAUGAGUUUUUUUUUUCAAACACAAAUUUUAUGAGCUCCCACCUUUUCUUGUUCAAGUCAUAUUUUCAAGCUCGGGCCUAGUAGUUUGACACCUUUAAAAUUAACUAGAGAGCCACAUCCCAACCAAAGUUGGCUCCAUCUAUAAAGUUCAAGAUACUACCUUCAAAGUACAAAAAAUAACAUGCAAGUAUAUAAAAGUACACAAUAAUUAAUAUUCAAACUAAAAAAAAAAAAGCUCAAAACUAACACAAUUUCAAAUGUUCUCAAAUGGUGAAAGUAAGGCAAAAAAAAAAAAGGACAUUUUGAUCUUAAUGAUGAAAUACUCAAAAGCAACAAAAUUUUAGGCAGCUCCCUUCCCCCUCUUUCUCUGCAUCUUCUUCAUGUAAAACUCCAGCUCUUUGCCCUCCAAGAUAUAUCUAUAAAUCCCAUUUCACAUCAUAUUAGAAUAACAUUGAUACUAGUUAUUGUUUCCUAAAGGGUUAAUGUAAUUUUUGACCCCUGAACUUGAUAAUUAGGUCCACAGUCUCAAAACUUGCAGCUUUUACCAAUUUAAUCCCUGAACUUGAAUUCCGUUGAAGUGUGAUGUGACACUAAGAUUCUGUAACAUCAGCUUUUCCCAAGUUUAUAUAUUUUUAAAAGUUUUAAGUGAUUAUGUGAAACAAUCUCAAAGUGUCACAUCAUUACACCAUAAAAGAAUCCAAGUUCAAGGACCAAACUGAGAAAAGUUGCCAAAUUCUAGGACUAAUAUGGGGAAAAAUUUUCAAGUACUGAAGUGAGCCUAAUUGCAAGGUUCAAAGUGAAUCCAAACAUAUCAUCCAAGAGACUAACGAAUCAAAACAAUAUUGCGAAGGAUAAUUAGUCUAUUGGCUGUCUAAUUAAUAUUCUUCUUCUAACAAAGCAAUUAUAGAUGCUAAUAAUAAAGAUGAGAAGUUGAGGGUAUAUGAUGGAAGGCUUUUGUAAAAUGACUUUUUAAGACAUGACUUACCCAUCAGCACGUCCGCAUUGACCAGGCCGUGAAGAGAUGCAAGCCAGUAAACGACCACUACCAAAUUGCUCCUCGAUAUGGGGGUCAAGUGUGCGACUCUGCUGACGUUUCUCCAGCUUCCUCAAGACAUGGCUGCUCUUCUUCACUUCCUCAGUAGCAGUUUCACCUUCCUAUAGAUAAAUGGAGGAUUAAAAGAAGAACCAUACACAUCAUUACCUCCCUCUAUUUUAGGGACUAGAUAAAAUUAGUCCUAUUGUUAAAUGGAUCAAUUUAAUCUCUGUAAUUUUAAAAAAGUCAAAUAGGACUGAAUUGUAACAGAGCUAACAUUUACUGUUUAAAAAGUGACCAUUUGCAGCUCAAUUUCAAACAAAAGAUUUCGUUUGCAAAAUUAUAACAGCUUUCGAAACAACUAACUCUGUUAAACAGUAAAUGACAUUUUUCAAAUAAUAAAUGUUAACUCUGUUGACAUUUGGCCUUAUUUGAUUCCUUUUAAUAGUACAAGGAAUAAGUUGGCCCAUUUAAUAGUAGGACUAAUUUGAUCCAAGCUCUAUAAUAGAGGGACCUACCAGGUGCUUCCACCCAUCAUUAUGCUUAACCUUAAGUCUUGCCUACGGUACAACUUGGAUAGCUAUAUAACUUCUAUUUUGUAGGAAACCAAGUUCGAGAAGGUGCAGAAACAAACUUAUCAUAGCAUGAUAAGAAUUAAACUCUCGUAUCACAGAUCACUCUAACAGCGAGGACAAAUCAAUUGCAAAAAGAACUGUGCAAAGACACCACUAAAGUGGAGGAUAACAAGGUUCAAUUUCUUUCUGAAAGACAUGAAAAAUACAAAAAGAAUAAACACAAAGCAUAACGACUACCACUUUAUUAGAAAAUAUUAAUUCAUCUGUCAUUGAAGCAAUAUCUGUGAGAUGAAAACAUGAAAAGAUAGUCCUACCUCUCCUUCUUUCUUGGCUCCUGCUGCUGCUUUCUUCUUGCGACCAAUGUCAACACCAUAGUGCUGGAGAUACCAUUGCUUGAAUGGAGCAGCAUCGACUUGAACAAUAGCACUCUUCACCAGAGUUUGUGUACGAACCAACUCAUUGUUAGACGCAUUGUACACCACAUCCAAAAUUCUGGUCUUACGAGUCACAGCCUCACUUCCCCAGGAGUAGUUUCCUGUGUCAAGCCUCAAGGCACGCCACUUCACAUUGCCACCUCGGACCCUAAUCCUCCUGACCGUCUUGUUGCUGGAUAGCUUUGUGUUUGCAGGUUGCCUUCCAAGCUCAUACCUUUCAAGAUAAAUCACCAAAAUUUAGAAAACGAGAUAAAAUCACAUCGAGACAUCAACUGAAAUAACCUAAUAAUAAUGGGAGAAAAAAAUGGACAAGUCUCUGGAUCUAAACAAGCUAGAAAGGUUAAAGUUUAAUGGUAAUGAUAAGCAAUUUGAAUCGAUUAGCAAAACCAAUAAAAAAAAAACAAAAUUCACUCCAAAAUUUUCAACCACAAUCAAAUGAAGCUAAAUCCAAAACUAAAGACUAAAAGUAGAAUAUUAGUUCAAGUAAAUCACAAGAAUAAAAGUUCCAAUUUCUUAAUCAUUUUAAAUUAACUUUCUAAGCAACCAAUCACAGCCAAAAAAGAAAAAGAAAAAAAAUGAAAGCACAAAGAAAAAUGGAGGAAAAAGGGUCUGUAGAUUACUUUCUCUUCUUCCUCCAAGCCUUCUUUUUGCCACCAGUGGCACGCCUCUUGUGCAUGGAAUCACGAGAAAUACCUAUCAGUACAAAACAAUUAACCCCAUUAAACAAGAGAAUUAAUAAUAAAAUUCAAUGAUUUAGAAGAGACUAAUAACAAAUUAAACGAAUGUGAGGAAUACCCAUUUUGGCUUGGCAGGGGCUUUAGAGUGCUGAAGCAAAAUCUCAAAGAAGAAGGAAGCUAGGGUUUGAAAGGAAGUGAUACGCUGAGAUUAGAAGAUCGGUUAUACACUCCGAAAAAAAAAUUGAAAAACCCUAGUUUUUAUGAAAUUACUUUUGUGUCCUUUUCGGAUUUGGGUUUUAUGUUAGAUAAUGGAUAAAUUAUGGGUUUUGAUCCAAUAAAUGUUUGGAUUAAUGAUUUGGUCCUUUAAGGCCCAAUACUAAUGGAUGCUUUGGAACCCAAUUAGUCCUUUUUUUUUCUCUCCAACCUUCAUAAUUAGUCUUUUUUUUUUUACUAUGUGAAAAUUUGUAAUAAUUGAUUAUAAUUAUAAUUAUCGAUAUAAUUAAUUGUAAUUUUUAAAAAAUAUUAGUAAAAAAAUUUUCUUCAAUCUCUUUCAAUUUCGAAAUUAAACAAAUUGGUCCUUCUAAAAAAAAUUGGAGCAAUUUAAUCCUUAUCAAUUUUGAAAGUGACUAACUAAGGGCAAUUAAUCACGAUGUCCUCCGUAAGUUGUACAUAAUUUUGAUGGUUAAAAUAUGCUACAAGUCCCUGUACUUUUUGAAAAAAAUAGGAAUUUAAUCUUUCUACUUUUUAGAUUUCAAAAUUUAAGUCCAACUGUUAACACUGUUAAGUUGCUUUUGGUUCAUCAAAUCUUAGGUUGCGUUUCAUAAUAGGAUUACACUAGUGUAAGAUUCAUGUGUUUGAUUGACAAAAUUUAAGAUUCAUGUGUAAGAUAGAAUUUUUAUUUUUAUAAAUUUAAUUUUUUAAAUCUUAGAUUUUUCAUAAAAUUAUAUUAACUUAAAAUUUUCAUUUUUAUUACACAUUGAUUUUAUCAUAUGAAUUUAAUUUAACCACUAAACCUGAUUAUGAUUGUUUAUUUAUACAGUUUAUAAUUAUUUAUUUUAGAGAAUUUGGUUUUCUUUUAAUAUGAAAAGACAACUGCAACUUAAUACAGUUUGGUAUAUAAUUUCAACAAGAAAUUACAAACAUUAUCAUCACCACAUAUUUUUAUUCAUUAAAUCAGAUAAAUAGAUUAUUCAGUUGUCACUUCAUGGUUAAAUUAUUAAUAAAUUUACAUUUUGAUGACUUGAUUUUAAAAAUUAUAAAAUAAUUAUUAAAUUGUUUAAAAAUUUUCAUUUAAGUCGAUUGGAGUAUUAAAACCGUUGAUAUAUAACAUUUUUUAUUUGCAUCGCUAGCACCAACUGAAAACUCUCAUGUCACUUCUUUUCUAUAGAUCAAUAUUUUUUCAUAAAACAACUUUGAACGUCAUAAAUCUGCGAACCAAAAUUCAAACAACUUUCUUUUCUGAUCUCCGACACUAACCAUCAAUCAACAUGGACCUAAGGUAUAUCCUUCUGAUCUUCAAUGGGUAUUGAUCUACCAUACCGAUCAUCGAAUCAUCGUUUGGAAUUUGCUAAUCGGACUUUGAAAAAAAUCUUAACAACCCAGUGACUUAAAUAAAAACUUUCAAAUAAUUCAACGACAAUUUUGUAACUUUUUAAAGUUGAAUAAUCAAAACGCAAAUGAGAAUAAUUUACUUUAAUUUUUUUUUCUUAAAUACAUCAAGUGUCAUAUUAAGCAAACACUUUCAAACAUGAAUAAUCUUCAACUUUUAUGGGCAUCCCAAGUUGAGCCUCAAAGACUGACAAAGUUCUAUCUAGAAAAGAGUAUCUUUCACCUUUGAGAGCAAAACAAAGUUGAUGCCUUUUGGCUAAUAUAUAGAGCUAAUUGUGUUGUUAAUCAUUUUAAUUUCAAAAGUUGUCAUCUACCAACAAAAGUUCUUCAAACAUGACUAGGUUUUUUUACUUUGACAAUUGGAUUCUAUAAAUAUAGAUAACCCUUUUUUUUGCUUGAUGUUAUGGUAGUGAAAUUUACAAGUUCUUAACACCUUUUUAGAUUCCAUAGGGCUAAGAAGCUUGUAGAUGUGCUUUUAUCCAUUCUAUAUGCCAAUAGAAGUGUAUAUAUUUGCAAAUGUACAAUUAAAGAGCAAAACAAGCUAUAGUUUUAGUUCAUGAAAUGAUACUAAAAUUGGUCUAAUCCAUCUCCAUCAUCAUUUAAGAUAAAAAGAAGAAAGAAAUAAAGAAAAAGGAGAAAGCCCCAUUUCUAUCAAGAAUUCAUGUGAGCCAAGGGGUCACCUUUGAUUAAAAUGAAAAAGAUUGUUUGAUUAGAGGGUGUUGUAGGCCAUGUUUUCUCUAAAGUCUACCCCCAUAGGUAUUUUUAUUAUAUUAUAUUUCUUUUCAAUUUUUUCCUUUUUUAAAUUUCAAAGGGAGAGUUAAGCAUCAUUGAUUAAGUCUAUCCCUUUUAAGUCUUUUCAAUUAAAAGAAAAAUAAAUAAGACCCCACCUUAUCAAUUUUGUCUUUGAUUUCUAGCAUUUUGGGUUUGCAAAAAAGGGCAUUUAGUUUGAAAAAUACAACAUAAGGCUUCAUGAAGAGGAAGGAUGGCAUUUUAUUUUAAAAUUUACAUUCUCAAAUUUUCGAUAUUAUAUCAUCGCACUUUUUCAUUAUUGAAACCAUUAAUGUAACUAUUAAAUUAUACAUAAAAUUCUAUACGGCAUAAUUUAAAAUAAAAUUUUAAAAUAAUAAUAAAACGUUGUGGCGUAGAGGUGUCUUGGCUAGUCAAGCCAAGUCUAAGUAUGAUAUUAAUAUACAUUUUGCUUGCUCAAGCUCAACUUGACCCAAAAUAUAUGCCUAAAAUUUUACCCAAGUCUAAACAUAUUUGUAAUGACUAGCCCAAACCAAUUUUAGACUCGUAUUAUUUUAAAUUUAAUAUUUAAUAAUUUUAUAUAUUUUUAGUUUAUUAAAAUGUUAUACAUAUAGAGCCCUUAAUAUUAUUAUAUCUUACUAUAGAUUUAAUUUUUGUACGAGUUAUAAAUUAUAUAAUAUAUAAAAAUAACACAAUAUAAUAUAUUGGAAGCUUAGAAAUGGGUAGAGCCAAGCUUGGGCAUUCAAUGAUUGAGUUUGAGCAUAGCUCAUUUUUAAACGGGCUUAAUUUUUUUUUGCCCAAAUUUAUUUUUUGGUCCUAAUGUUUUUUUCCCAAACUUCCAAAAUUUUUACCAGGCCUUCAAGCUUGGGCUAAUAACUCGGCUCAUGAACAAAUUUAUUGUGAAAUAACUUUAAUUAAAAACUAAAAUAAAGCGAAUUGAAAAAAAGAGAGUGAACGAUAGUUUUUGUAAAAGUUUCAAAAAUUUUUAUUUUUACAAUAUUCUUUUUAUUUUUCAAUUUUUUAUCUUAAAUCAUGUCACAUAAUAUUUGAUUUCUCAUUUAACAGUAAAAUUAACAAUUUUAGUAAUAAAAGGACCUUAAUAAUUUGAGAAUGUAAUUAGAAUGUUUUAAAGUUUGAGGACCAAUUUAGAAUUAGGCUCAUAAUUUGGGAAUGUUUGGUGCAAUUAACUCUUUAGUUAAACACGUUUUAAGUUUUUUUACUUUUCGUAUAUUUGGAAUUUAGUCCUAUUUUUAUUUUAAAAAGUUUAAUCCGUUUACUUUUCAGAUUUAAAAAUGUAAGUACAAAUUCUAACAUUGUAAAUUCUUAUGUUCAGUCAAUGAUCAUUACAAUGUCAUUCUUUUUGUUACAUAGCUACCAAGUUAGUUUUUUUCUUAAACUUCAAAAUAUCGCAUCAACAAUUAUAAUAAAAGAAUUUUAAUAGUGUUAAUAAUUAAAUCUAAAUUUUAAAAUCUUAAAAAUAGAAAGAACAAAUUUUUAAAAAUAAAAUAAAGGACUAAAUUCCAAAUAUUAAGAGUACAUAUUUUAAACUAUUAAUAGUGAAAAAUAUAUAAAUAUUAAUUAGAUUAUGGAAACGGAAUUAUGUUAUAAAUAUAUUUAUAAAAAAUUAAUAUAAUUAAUAAACAAUGUUUCAGUUAAAUGGUAAAAUACAAAUGUUGAAAAUUGUACAAGUUUAUUGUAUAUUUAUAUUUUCAUUUUAAAAAAUAUAAAAUAACAAAAAACUCCUUAAAAUAAUAUAAUUUAUAAAAUAAAAUAAAAUAAAAGUAUUUCAUCAUUAAAAUUAAUAAGAGAUAUAAAAUGUUUUUUUAAUAAUAAUAUAAACUUUUAAAUUAGUCCAAAUUUGACCACAAAAAUAGACAAAAAACCCAACAGCAGUGAGGCCCCAAUUAAAAGAAAAAAAGGGUUGUGCUCUCUCUCUUCUUCAUCCCUUAGUGGGGGAUUUUUGUCCCUAAAGUGAGAAUUAUCCUAAAUCCUUACAUUUUAUUUCACUUUUUGCUUAGUCUUGAUUGUUCUAGAAUCUCAAAAAUUUCCUUACUUUUUACACAAAAUUGUUAUAUAGUUAUAAUAAAGAAAAUAUUCGAUUAGGGUCUGACUUGAAAAUUCGAUCCGACAUAAUAAAGGAAUAUCCUAAACCUCAAAAUGGGAGACUCCUUGAGCCUCCAUUUUACUUCUGUUGAUUCUCUGUACCAACGCUUCUUAUUACAAAUACUUUUUCAUUCAAGAAAAACAAAAGAUUUUUAUGUCUUAAUUUUGUGGGUAUUUAACACAUCAUUUGUAAGUACAAAUAGUUGGUGAAAUUAGUGACAUUAAUUCCAUGUUAUGUAAUAAUUAUAGAGUUAUCCCUCAAAAAAGAAGAUUGAUUAAUUUGCUAUUAUUUCCAUUAUUUCCCAUCAAUUAUAGGCUUAGGUUAGUUGGAUACAUGGGAAUGGAUUUGGCUUUUUAUCAUAAAGAAAAAACAAAGUAGAAGAAAGUUUAGAAUAGUCUAAAUACACCUAAUAAUUGACCUUUCUAGAUAAUCUACUUAUAAUAGAUUUCUAUUUAAUUUUUCGUCUCUUUUAAUUCUUCAAUUUAUAUUCUCAAAAUAGAUAAAAAAAAAAGUUAAACGUCUGUUAACUUUGUUGACGUAACAGUUCACGUGUAUACCACGUUAGUAAUUAAUUAAUUUUUAAAAUAUUAAAAAAAUAUUUUUUAUAGUUUUUUUUAAAUUAAUUAAUUAUUGUCAUGGCAUCUAUAUGUAUAUCAAACUCUUGGUAAAUAACAUAAGUUUAAGGGCUAAAUAAGGUGAAAAAUUAAAUCAAAGGCGAAAAUAAUUUUUUUUUGUAAAGUUGAGGACGAAAUAAGUUAUUAUGCCUAUCAAAUUUACAUAUGAACUUUGAUUUGGUAAAAAUUAUAUACAAGAAACUUGAAUUAUAGUUCAUAUGUAUACAUGAAACUUUGAUUUUGUUUUAAUUAUAGACAUUUAAGGAAGUAGAUAUAUAUGUAUAUUUUCAUAUUAGAUUAAUAUAAUUUUUUGCGAAUGAAAUAGAUUGCCGUAAAAUGGUGCUAAUUCGACAAUAAUAUUAAUGAUUUGUGACAAUUGAAUAAAUCAAGUUAAUGUAUAAUUUUAAUAUUUAUCUCUUCAUACAAAUAAUAACAAAUAUAUAUAUAUUUUUUUGAAGUAUUUUUUAUCAUCUAUAUAACUAUAUAUAAAAGGAAGGCAUGAGAACCUUAUGGGUAAACUUUAAUUCUAAUACCUCUACUUUUUCAGAUUAUAAAAAUGGUUAAAUUUUAAUAUAAUCCCUGUAUUUUGCUUAAAUUUUAGAUUUAACCUAUAUAUAUUUUAAUUUUGACAUAAUUUGAUACGUCAAUUUUUAUAUUGCCAUUAGUUAGUAUAAAUACUUUAUUCUAAUUCAAAUGAUGAUACGAAUUUUAAAGAAUUGUUACAAUAUUUUUUAUGUUACAUUGAUACUAAGAUUUUUUUUUUCAAAAUGUCAUAUCAACACGAAAGAAUUCUAACAGCGUAAAUAAAUGGACCUAAAUUUUAAAUUUUGAAAGUAGAGAAAUUAAAUUAUUGAAAAUAAAAGUACAACGAUAAAAUUACAAAUAUACGAAAAAUACAAAAACUUUUAAUAAAUUGUAACUUUUAAAAUUUUAAACUAUAAUUUAAUUAAGAAAUAAAUAAUUAACCCAACACGAGACGUAUUGAAAAUGUAAUUGGGUUAUAUUUUUUUAUGUAAUUAAAUAAAAUAAAAAUAUAAAAGUAAUUAUGUGUAUAGUACAUCUACAUGUGAUUAUAAGUCAAAGUCUCAAAAAAAAAAUUUAAUAUCCUAACAUGUCAUUCAUGCAUUUAUUGACUUUAAUGGUGAGACUGAAUGCUGAAAUUUAUUACCUAGAAAGCAAAGAGUUUGACUACAAACACCUCAGCAUUCAAUGUUUCAAGCUGCCAUUGAAGACAGGCAUUAAUAUUUGCAGGCUUGCAAACUUAUGGCUAUCCUAUUUUCCCUUUUAUUUUGUCAAUGAAAACUCCACAAAAAUGAAAACUCCACAGGCAAUUAAUGGUUGAUAAAUAUUAGUUAUACAUAUAUGUAUAUAUCAUAUAAAGUAAGAUAUAUAUAAUAGAAAUUAUUUUACGGACCAUUUCAAUCAUAUUAUUUAUGGUCUCUUUUUAAUUAUUUCAUGAUAUAUUAAUAAUUUUUUUCACAUCAUUGAUUUUUUUUACUUUAAACCCUGAACUCGAACCCCAAAUCUUGAAAGUUUAAGGUUCAAGUUCAAAAUUUAGGAUUUGAACUUGAGGUUUGGAUUUAGGGUCUAAGUUCAGGUCACACAUUAUCCCAAGUUUACAAUCCAAGUAAGUAAUAUUUUUGAUUUCUCGUUUCUAUUACAGGUAUCAUCUAAAUGACCAUAAAUCUAUAAAAAAAAAAUCAAUGCAAUGAGAAAUUAUAAAUAUUUUUCAUUCAAUAUAUUUUUAUAUAUUAAGUACAAUUACACACUUAACUUCGAUUCAAAGGGAGCUCUCAUGGCUGGGAAUGGAUAGGCGUUAACUACAUCAUUCGUAUUUAAGCUUGUUUUACAAAAGCAUACAAAAACCAUUUAUUUCACUGAUUGACUGUUGAAUCACCUUGUAAUCUAAUGGAUCUUAUUGCUAAAGAAGGUUUUUUGUAUUACAGGUAUGAUUCAAAUGACCUUAAAGGUGAAUUUGGAUGGGCGGUGCGUUUACUUACGGUUAGUGUAAAAAUAGCGGUGACGGUGAGAUUAGAUACUAGAGUGAUACUGUAGCGUGAGACAAAAAAUAAAUUAAACGCACCGCACUGCACCCAAUCGCCCAUCUAAACUCACCCUAAAUCUAUAAAAAGAAUCAAUGCAAUGAGAAAUUAUAAAUAUAAAUGCACCGUUAAUUCUUAGUUGAUGAUAAAAGGAAAAAAGAAAACUUUAAAAAGACAGUAUUUUGAUUCAAGAAUUAUUGCAUAGUUAAUAAUAUACAGAAUAAUUAUGAGCCACACAUCCACAUGAACUUGUCUCUGACAAUGAACAGUUUAGGUAAAACAGCAAUAUAAAGGGGGAAAAAAAUACUGUAUAAUAAAAAUGUAUAUAAAUAUAAAAUUUCCCAUGUCAUUGUAAUCAUUAAGCUUCAGAUAAGGAAAAAAAAAUUAAAAUAUUCAUAAAACAUUACCACUGACCCAACAGCUCCAACAGCCCACACUCUCUUUCCGACAAGCUUCCAUAGACGCCUCUCAGAACUGAGAAUCCACUGGUUUUUUUUAUUUGUAAGAGAUUUUAUUCUUUUGUAUUCCUUUUUUUUUUGUUUUUUGGUAUUAUAUAGAAUACAGUGCUUCCUGUUAGAAACUACCAAAAAGGAAAAAGAAAAGAAAAAAGAAGAAGCUCAGUUCUUUACAAAGAAAACCCCAAAAAAAGGGUCCUCGAUUUUGGAACUGGGUUUGUGUUUUUGUUUAAAGUUUGUUUGACUUUAAAGUCGCAUAGACAUUAGAGCCAGAGCCCCGAGGUGAAUAUACAGUUCAUGUUUUUUUAUUAUUGCUAUUUAAUAUUGCUUUGGAAUUGCUUGAAGUUGAGAGGAAAUUUGGGAAUUUUCAUUGGGAUUUUCUUUUUCCUGUUUUUACUCUUCCUUGGAUUCUGGUUUUUGUGAAGAAAAAUUAAAAAAAGUUGGUUGCUUUAUUGGAAUCUGAGCUUUAACUGUUGAUGGGUCUUUGCCAAGUCUCUCAAACUUCAAAAAUUUCAACUAUAUAAUAAAAUCUAAAUGUUAGGUCUUUUUUAGAUAGUUUUAAAUUCUGAGUUUCUCAAACUUCAAAAAUUUCAACUAUAUAAUAAAAUCUAAAUGUUAGGUCUUUUUUAGAGAGUUUUAAAUUCUGGGUUUUUCUUUUUUGGUUUUAAAAGGCAAAUCUUUUGAGUUUUUGGUUGGUGUUCUUGGUUACAUAAAGGUUAAUAAUUAGGCUUCAAUUUGGAAUUUUCAUAUCCUAGUGUUUUGAUUGAAGAAUUUAGGGUUUUUGAUUUGGGGAUUGUUUCUCCUCUUAGAACUGAUUUGGGGAAUUUUUUUUUCUUUUGUUUUUGACAGGUUUCAUUUGACCAUGGAUUCCCCACAAUCAGUUGUGUCACCAUUGAAGAACACAGUUAUAGCUGAAUCUGGUGAGAAGCAAAAAUCCAACACAGAAGAAGCUGUUUUGUCCAAAAAAGACAACAACAUCCUAGGUGUUCUUGAAGUUUAUGUUCAUCAAGCAAGGGACAUUCAUAACAUCUGCAUUUAUCACAAACAAGAUGUGUAUGCUAAGCUUUGUCUCACCACUGAUCCUCAAACCACUGUUUCCACCAAGAUCAUCAAUGGUGGUGGAAGGAAUCCGGUGUUCAACGACAACCUCCGUCUCGAUGUUGGGAACAUCGAUUCGUGUCUUAAAAUCGAGAUAUUCAUGAUGAGUAGAGUGAAGAAUUAUCUUGAAGAUCAGUUAUUGGGGUUUGCAUUGGUACCACUGUCUGAAGUAAUACUCAAGAAUGGGAAAUUGGAGAAAGAGUUCUCCCUUUCUUCGACGGAUUUGUUUCAUUCGCCGGCUGGUUUCGUUCAAUUGUCGCUCGAGUAUAUCGGAUCAUCUCCCGAUGUAAUGACUAUUCCUAAUGUUGUUGUUGAUGAAACCGUUAAGGAUUCGGAAACGGAGGAGCUCGAAAAGAUCGAGUUCCCGGAUCCGAAAAUCGUUAACGAGAACCAAAUGAUGGUGUCCGAGUACUUUGGGAUCUCGUGUUCGAAUUUGGACUCCAAGAAUUCGGAAAUGGGUGUUAAUGUAUUGGAUUCAAUCCAAGUCCCUGAGCUUGAUUCUCCCCCAAGUAGUGUUUCCACCAAUGGGGUUUCCCUUUCAAGCUCCGAGUCUUCCGAUGGCGCUUCGAAAGAGAAAACCGUCGAUGUGGGUGACGGUGACAGCAAUUUAUCCGGGGCGAAACCGGUUGUUUCCGUCAAUAUCGAGCCUGAAAUGAAGGUGGUACAACAAGACAUAGUGGAUAUGUAUAUGAAAAGCAUGCAACAAUUUACCGAUUCCUUAGCUAAGAUGAAAUUGCCUUUGGACAUCGAUAGUGGACCGGCCAAAUCGGAGAAUUCGAAUUCGAGUACUACAUCCGAUCAGAAGACACCGGCAUCGAAAAAUUCCGGCAAUCGAGUGUUUUAUGGAAGUAGGGCUUUCUUUUAAAGCUUAUAUCUUCGUCUUUUGAAAAAAGGAAGACACAUAGGUGACUUCAGAUUUUUAGGAUGGUGACUUGUAAUAUGUUGUUUUCCUUGAUGGCAAAAAAUCAUGACAUUAUGACUCACUGUUACUACCUUUGUUUCACUGCAACUGCUCUUAGUUUAUAUAUAUAUAUGAACCUUUCCUUUUUUAUAAUGGCAAAUCAUAUAUUUUCUAAUUAUGAUUAAUCAUAUUCUUGUUAUGUUUGGUCCCACCUUCCAAAGUAUUUGUAUUCGACACAUAUUCGGACAUUUCACUUCAAUUUCCACAGUCGAAGAAUAUUGAAGCAGAUCUUGGAAAACAAGUGCGAUGACAGGCGAGGGUGAUGGAGACAAUAAAGGGUUGAGAAAUGCGAGAGUUACUGUUGCUGUGAUUGUAAAAAGAAAGUCGUAGAAAGAAUUUUAAAGAACUCGAGUUUGUCGAAAGAUCAAAAAGUCUCAAAUGAAACGUUUAAUCCUCUAUUUAUAAACAUUAAAAAGGAAGUUAUUCAAAGACGGUUAUAACGAGAAAGUGGGGAUGAACAUGUUAAACUAACGAGUAGUGAGAUUGAGAGAAGUUGGCAAACGUGCUCCUAUACUCUUCAAGACAUCCGAAGCAACCUAGGAGUCCUACUAACCUUUCAAGUUAAGGCGUGUUCUCUAUUACCGGGGAAAUACAUUAUCAAGCCAAAAAAUGAUUUUCCACUAGAGAAGCAACAAAGAACAUUCGACUUUUGGAGUCAAAUGUGCGAUCAAAUCACACCACCCAAUAUUACGUUAUUUAAAUAUUUCAUGUAUCAUUAUACUAGAUUAUUUAAUUAUCAUAUAACUUAAAAUUUUUUACUUUUUAUUAUCAUGUUUAAAACGGACAUUUUAAUCAUAAUGAAUAACACUAAGAAAUAACAAAUCGUAUUUUUUUGAAACAUUUUUUUCUAAAAACACUUUUCAAUCACAAUAGUAACAGAGAACUAACCCUUAAUUUCAAUAAAAGUCAUUUUUAACAUAGUAUUGUUCGCGAGGAUAUCUGAUCUCAAGAGACUAUUUAUUUCAACGUUUUUAGUGUAUUUAGUAUAUUAUUUUUUAAAAUAAAAAUUAAUCUAAAAAAAUUGAAUAAACUAACUUUACGUUUCUUAAAUUGAAACCUAAACUUAAAAAUUAAUUUAAAUACCUUGUAUAAACUUGACCCAAACCCGAGAUAAGCUCUAGAUAUUACUUAUAAGCAGCUUGUAUAAAUUGGAGUAUGUAGUAGUGGUGGUACAUUUCUCGAGCUAUGUGCAAAUAAGUGAAAUUUGCGGUGCAAUCAGAGCCGUACAGUUAUUGUCAAAACCUAGGUAAAUGUCAUUUUCUUUGUAAAAACAGAACCCAAUUCCCAGGUUUUUUUUUAAUAAAAAUUAAUCGAUUAAAAAAAAUUAAAAUAUGUAUUCUUUGUAAAUUCAUUUAGAAUUUAAAAAUUUAGUGUUUUUAUUUUUUAAAAUUUUAAAAUAUUUUAUUAAAUUCAAGUUUAUUAUAAUAUUUUUUUAUAAAAUAAUUAUCAAGCGAGUAUUUUUUUAUUUUAAAAUAUUAUAUUAAUAAAUUUAACAUUUGAACUAAAAGGUAAAAAGAUUAAAAUUCUAUAAAUAAAAGUAGAUGGACUAAAUUAUAAAUUUACAAAUAAUAUAAAAAAUUAUGACAUAUCUUAAUAAAAGUUUAAAUUGCCAAAAAAAAAAAACUUCAACUUAUCAAAAUCAAAGUAAGGUAAAAGUACCAUGGAAUUCAUUUUACUAAAAGUAUCGUAAAAAUAGGUAAACUAGUCACUAUAUGUUAGGUCAAGAAAGUAUAUUGGUCGUUCUGUUAAAAAUUCUAUCUAUUUUUACUGUUAAAAAUCUAGUUCUUAUAUCUCAAAAAUGGGUAUCUACCCAUGACAGACCACGUGUAACUGUUUGAUUAUUCUGUCAACUAUAUUAAUUUUUAACUUUCAUUUAACAUAUAAAGACUAAUUUACUAUUUGUUACUAUAGUUAUAAUGAGCAAACUUUGUAGCAGUGAAACAAAUUAUUAAAGUUGAAGUCAAUCAUCCAUGUAUGGUCAUUCAUGAAUGAACCACCAGAACUUUUUUCUCUUUUGGACAAACAUUUGUGACCAAAAGUAGAGGGACCAACAAAAAACAAAAUUCAAUUUGGGGGCACAAAAUAAAUAAAUAAAUAAGAGAUCCUGCCUAAACCAAAAUGGCAUUUUAACCUUUGCCCCCACUGUAAAUUUGAAUGAAAAAUUUAUCAUCUUAAACCUGUGUUCACUUAGGAAAUUUUUUUAAUGGACUCACAAUCCAAUUACUUCGACCUCAAGUCAAGGUUAAAUUAUGCUAUUAGUACCUAUACUAUUCGUAAUCCUAUAAUUUCGUAAUUUUUAAUUCUUAUUCUUUUAAAAUUUUAGUCCAUUGUUUUCAAAAUAUUAUCAUAUGCAAAAAAAAAUCUCAACUAAUACUAAUAGAUUUAACGACUAUAGUUCAUGUUAAGAUUAAAAUUUUGAAGUUCGUAAAAUACGAAUAUUAAAAAUGAUUCUAUUGAAGAACAUGAACUAAAUUUACAACUAAUGACAGAAAUGAACCAAACAUAUUUAAUUGUUACGGUUUAUUAAAAACUAAAAUUCCGAAAGUCAAAUAAAUCCCCCCAAGUAUAGGGUCUAACAAUGCAAUUUGACCUUAUUCUUAUUCCCAUCUAACAUCAUUAUUAUCAUUUUUGUAGCAACUUGCAAAAUGAAAACCCACAUAACAUAUAAUUUAACCUAAUUAGUUAAAAAAUAAUAUUUGACCUAGGGUCGGAUUCGAAAUUCAAAUCUCAACAUCUGCAAUCUUUUUAUCAUAACCAUCCCAACUUUUUUUAUACCAAAAGUACCCCAAAAAAGAAAAUAGAAAACUUAAAUAAAGUGAAUUGGAUAGUGGAAACCUACUAAAAUCCACAUAUCAAAAAAGUUCAUCUCAUUAUCAUAAAAUGAAAAUUCACAUAAAGUUAAGAGAGGACCACAAUCAUGGUAGUAUCCAUUUUUGGAUGCCACUAUUAAAUAAAUAAAUGAAAGUGAUUUGAAAACCCCAGCAAGAAAAAUUCCAGUUUUCUAUGGAAAAAGUAAGGAUAAGAGCUUAGUAUGGCCACAAAAAUGGAAACCUAUGAAUAACACACCAAUGGCAAUUAAUGAUGCAGCACAGUCCGGAUUCCGAUUGUAUCGGUAUAUCAUAACCAUAGAAAAACAGCAUGUCAAUGAGAGAUGAACAGCAACAGCAAAAGCAAAUGCAAAGGCAAAAGAUGGAGAAAUUCUUGUAACUUAUUUGAUUGGGAUUUUUUUUAUAUGGACGUUUUCUCUAAUGUUUCACACUAGCAAAUCGAAUCGAAUCGAAACUCCUUAAAAUCGGAUAGAAAAAACAAUCCCGGAUAAUACGAAGAAGAAUAUAAGGACAAGAACCAGCAGCUUCGCCAGGCAUUACAGCAGUUGAAAAUUUUGAAAAAGAAAAAAAAGGGAAAAAUCAUUAAUACCCUAUUGUUCAAUGUACCACGAUUGGCACGCGUUCGAACCGAUCUUCUGGAGUAUAUAUAUCCCGCAUUCUGAUUGUAAACCUCACUCAAAUGCCAAGAAAGGAACCUAAAUUUUGUUCUUUCACUAUUUUAAAUAAAGUAAAAAGAAAAAAAAAAUCAAAUCUCAAACCUUGUUGAAAAUCGCUUGAAACCGCUCACUCUGAAUGUGUAUAUUUCAAACCAUUAACCGUUGUUAGUGCCAUAAGAUCAAUUUCCGUGUAAGCCAACAUAGUAACGAGUCAUAUCGAAUUUGUGCAAAUCCAUUCACCCUACAUUAUAGUAUCUGAUAUCCGAAUACCGGAUCUCCUAGGCAGCAAUUCCUGAAAGAUGAAACAAAGAAAUAGAUGAAUUAAUGAAGGCUGCAAAAGCCGGGAUUCACCUCUCAAGCCUCAACAUUCGGUCUUACGACAUUAUUAAUAAUACUGAAUUUUCGGUGUUCAUAUAGGGGUAAUCUGAUAACAAUUGUUAAAUAGGCAAAAGAAGCAUGUUUACCUCUAUUGGACUGUCUACUUGCGACAUUGUAACUUCCAACAUAAUCCUCAGAGGGUCUUGUAGUAACAUCUGCGGAUGUAUUGCCAAGUCCAUAACCAAACGAGCUAGAACCAUCCAAGUCAGGUGAUGCAAACUUCCAAGUUGAGUCACCAUAAACUGAAGCAUUACGGUAAAGAUCUCCAUAGGAACCUUCAAUAUUACCAGUUGACCCAGCAAAUGAUGAUGGUGGUGCUGCAACAAUGCCGAUGUUUCUUCCAUAUCCUCCCCCUCCCAAACUGUAGUUGUCAUCGGCACUCCCACCGGUAUAACCAGAAGCGUUCCCUCCGCUUCGAGCAGGAAGAGAAGGUCUCCAAUUUGCCCCACUAUUUCCUAAAGAACCGAAACUACCAUUUCCAGACCCUAAGUAACUAGCAGGACUGGAAGCAUUUGUAGCAUUGCUAAGGCCUACAUUUCCCCAAACAUUCCGAGUAGCAGGGCUCAAAACAGAAUCGUUUCUUCCACUUCCGACACCAUAACCAAUUGGAGUAUUAUACCUGUUUGAAUUCCCACCGUAAUAUGGACUAAUUAUCUGUCCGUAUCCAAGACUGUUACCAAAGUUAGAAUUCCCCCCAUAGUUCGGGCUCAUUCCUGGUUCCAUAUUCAUACCGAUUCCGUACCCAGUGGUACUAAAUGGAGAAAACCCGUUUUGCCUACUAGCGAGAGGAUUAAACCUACCAUCCAUCCUAACUCCAAUGCCUCCGAUGGGACUUAGAUUAAAUCCCUGCGCAUAACUAUUGAGGAAGUUGGAAGCCCUAUUUAAACCAUAAUUAUAUCCAAUAACAUUGCGGUUGGUAACACCUGGAGAUAGUUCUUUAGGAACUGCUCUCUUGACCUCAACCAAUUUCCCAUUGAGUUCGUGAAAUGUUUUAUGUAGGACUUUGUCUACUGCUUCUUCCGAAUCAUAGGUGAUGAAGCCAAACCCUCUCGGCCUUUGUGUAUUAUGAUCAUACAUCACCACAACAUCAGUAAUUUUACCAAAUUGAUCAAAGUAGUUCUUAAAGUCAACCUCGGUGACGGUAGAUGCCAAACCUCCAACAAAAAUCUUUUUCGUUUGUCCAAUACCGGUAGAUCCAGUGACACCAACCACGUUCCGGUUUAGAACAAUUUGAUCAUCCCUAGGAACAGCCUUCUUUGCCUCAACCUGAAAAAUCGGGCAGUCAAAAACUUGAAUCAAAUAAUUGCAUCUCGAUUUUAAAAAGGAUAAUUAUAAUCGAGGCUCUCACCUUGCGACCAUCGAUCAUAUGCUUAUCCAUAAUUACCCUCUCAGCAACAGCAGAAUCAGCAAAGACAACGAAACCAAAGCCACGGGCACGGCCAGUGACACGAUCUCUCAUGAUCAUUGCCUCCACCACUUCCCCGUACUUUCCGAAAUACUCCUUAAGACGUUCCUCAUCGGUGUCCCACGAUAUCCCACCAAUGAAGAGUUUACCAAGAUCAGAUUCCAUCUUUAUCUAAAAUCACCAUCAUUAAACCACCAAUUUCAAUCCCCAAAAACACAAAUUCUAAACUUUGUUUUUCUCAAAAUAAUGUUUCCCACAAUUGGAUUCAAAGAUUAAAUUUCUCAAAUUCAAUCAGAAUUCCGAUACCAAUUCAAUAAAAGUAACUCUUUCACAUCAUCCUGAAUUAUCCAAAUUAUCAUCAGCAGCUAAAAUAGGAUCCAUCUUUAUGCAUAACAAUAACAACAAUUAAACACUAAAAUUAAAAGGAAAACACAUACCUUUUUAUUGUGAACAGAUAGAAUCCUAGCAAAGAAAAAAUGGGGAUCUGUCAAAUCCAAUAUAGGAUCAUCUGAAAAAAUACUUUAUACACUAAUCAGAAGACAACCCAGAAUUCCUGCCAAUCAAAAAGGAAACAAAAAACUUUAAAAUUGAGACCAAAUUAUGUGGAUCAAAACAAAAAGACCAAAGAGCAUGAAGAAGAUCAAAAUUUACCAUAUUGGAAAUGACCCAGAUGAGAAAAUGGGAAGGAAAUUAAGAUCUGAGAUGAGAAAUGAUGAUAGUGGAAACAGAAGUGGAGGUUUUAUAGUUCAUUUUCUUUAAAAAAAAUCCUUUUUCUCUCUUUUCUCCUCCUCUUCUUUGGUUAUUCCACUCCUCUUAAUUAAAUCAAAAGAAAUGGAAUUUGAGGAAAGAAAAGAGAAGAGAGAGAAUAUAUGGUGUCUGUGCGUGAGAGAGAGAGAGAGAGAGGGGGGGGGGGGGGGAGAGAUUGAGAUUGGCAAUCCUCUGGGCUAAGAAUAUUUGGAGUAUUGAUGGCAGGAGAGGGUGAUUUUUUAUGGUUUUAUUUAUGUUUUAGCCCCUAAAUUAUACAUUUAAUUAUAUUAAUACUUUUAUUUUUCUCCCAUAUUAAUACCUCAACUUUAUUUCGGUUAAUAUUUCCACUCCAAAUGCCAAAUGGCAUUAAAAAAGUUGGAAAUCAAAUCAGAGUUAGACACGUGUUUGGGUUUAUGAUAAAUAAAUUUUAAAUGACAAAUAAUAAAAAAAACUAUUUAAUUUAUAUAUAUUUUUGGCAUACUCACAUAUUGUCCCUUAAAUUUAGACAUGUUGAUAGCGGAGUUAUACACCCAAAUUUAAAGGUUUGCCUGAAAUUUUGGGAGGGUUUAAAAAAAAUAUUUAGCUUAAAAAAUGAGCUUUGGUAAAAGAUUAGGCCAGUUUAGAAUAUGCGUCGGACUCAAUCUUGAACAUUCAAGGCUUGAACCAGGCAUGACCUAAUUUUUUUAAAAGUAUGUAAUGUUUUAUAUUAUGUAAUUUAUAGCACAUAAAAGUUAAAUCUACAGUAGUAUUAUAUAAUACUACUAUAAUGUAAACAUUAAAAAAUGUUAAGAUGAUUAUAUAUAUAAUUUUAAUAAAUAAAAUAUUAAAUAUUAAAUUAAAAAUAAUGCAAAUAUAUAUUUUUAAAUAAUAAUAUAGGCCGACCUAAAAUGGGUUUGAGCUAGUUAUUUACAAAUAUGGAUGAGUUUGGGCAAAAUUUUAUACUCAUAUUUUUGUCCUUUAUCUAAAACUAGAACCCAGAUUACCAAGUCCAAUGUAACACCCCACACCCGACCUGGUCGCUAGAUUCGAAAAUCUAAUGUCAGAUUACGUUGUCGAAGUAAUUCAAAUUAGCUUACUACUUAUUUACAUCAUUCAAAGAACAUUUAUCAUAUCAAUCCAUUUGUUCAUCCAACACAUCCAUCUUAAUGUUUAAGAAUCUAAUUUAUUAAGUCAAUUUGAGAGUUAGGACUUGAAUCCGAACUCUAUUAUCACAUUUUAGUGUUGUGUCUCAAGAUAAAAAAAACUUUAUAUCUUGAGACAAACCUUAUUUUAUUUUUGAGAAUUUUUGUUUUGAUAUCAACAUGUCUUGAGACGCUAGAUGUGGUGUCUUGAGGUAAGGUACCUUAUGUCUCAAGACUAGGUCUCGAGACCAACCUCGCUGUUUUCUUAUUUUAGCUCUAAUGUUUGAAUGUCUUGAGACAAGUGUUCUUUUUGUCUCGAGACCUCAAACAGGGCCAAACCUAAUUAGUUUCGAUGUUCUCUUGUCUUAAGACAAAAGCCACAUUGUCUUGAGACUUAAAGGGAAUUGUCUCGAGACAUUAAACAUAUACAUAAACAAUAAGGUAAAUUUUGUUCUUAUGGUCUUGAUACACGUUCUUGUAGUUUCGAGACUCAAUGGCAAAUUGACCUUAAAUGCACAUUUUCAAGUGUCCAAGCCAUACCAAAAUAUACCGUAAACAUACUUAAACCUUAUCUCAAUGUAAAAUCAUCAAUUUAUCACAUACAAACACAAUCAAACAUCAUCGAAUCGUAAUAAUUGAUACAUCAUUAUCUAACCAACUAAUUCACAUAUUCAAACACAUAUAAUCUAGCAUAAUUAUCUACUAACCAAGGAACAAAACUCAUCUUAAUAAAGUUUAUAUGCCAAGUAUAAAAAAAUCAAAAUGUUAACUUAAACAUCAUGCCUAGAACAACCUAGGUAAAUGCGUAACGCCCCAGAUUUCUUAAAUUUGAAUUGUUAAAUUAUGUCAAGUAAUUUGUUAUAGUUAAGUGUUCUGGUUGUGUGUGUGAAGUUCUGAAUUCGAGUCCUUUCCCUUGAAUUUUUGCUAUUUUUCUCCCAACCCCUGACUUGAACUUUUGGCUUAUCUUUAAUUUCUGAGUAAUUGUUAGCAAGAAUGAACCUAUUGGUUUGAGUCCACUUCCCAUCUUUUCCCAAUUUUGUUUUCACGUCAGUUUCUUGUUAUUGCUAAUUUUUCCUUCUUCUUCUUCUUCUUUUUUUCAAAUUUUCUCUAUUCAGUUUCUGAAAACUAUCUUUCUCCACCAUGGUGUUCCUUCUUCUGGUUUUUUCCAUUACCGUCAUUCUUGUUGUUAGUGCAACGUUCAGACUUGUUAUUCUUUGUGCCAUCGUUUGCUAAUUGCUUGUCUCUGGCUGUGUGAAACUUGGGUAUUUUAGUGUUGUGUCUUCAUCUCUUUGUAAGUGCCUUGUUUACUCUUCAUGGGGGUGAUCUUUAUUUUUGUUAUUAAUCAGUUUCAAAAUGGAGGUAGGUGAAUGUGUAGGUUGAUCUUUUGGUUGUGUAUUGAUCGUUUAUUUCAUUAUUUCUAAUUAGGAGAAGAUCUGGUGGCGAUUAACCCUUUGACGAAUUAAGAAAUCUUAGAAUUUCUGAAUUAAGAAAUCUUAGAAUUUCUUUCUUUCUUUAGGUAAGUGGUCGACUGCCUUGGUUAUUACUGAUUCUGUUUGUCUUGGUUGAAUGCUUUGAUGGUUUUUUGGCUGAAUACUCUAACUUAGUAGGGGCCGAAUGACUGUCUCAAUUUUGGUGUAUUAUUGCUAAUUAGUUUAGUUGGAUGUUGAAUGUAGGAGCUAGAAGGGUUAUUAUAGUGUCGACAUCGCAUUUCAAUUAGGUGUGUAACUCUAAUCCCAAAAAAUCAGUGAAUAGCACGAAGCCGAAAACCUUGUUGUCGACACCACACGAUUGUGUGCUUGGCCAUUUGCUAGGCCAUGUGGGCAACACGGGCCCACACACUCAGUAAAUUUAGUUAGGGUCAUGUUUUGAAGUGCGUUUCGAGGUCAGUGAUUUUAUAGGUUCUGUUAAGUGAUAUGCAUGUUGUCUGAUAAAUGAAAAUUGUUGUUCUGUUGUGAUUGCAUAAAUUCAGGAGGUAUGUCUGCCUUAUAAAAUUUGUUUAUGAUAUGUAAAUCUGUGAGCAUCGUUAGCAUGUUUCUGAUUAAUUAAGUAUAUACGAGCAUUAUUAUUCGGAAUACAUACAAAUAUAUACUAUGUUGUUUCAUGUAUAUUUGGGGUGGGAUAUGAUAAUGUGACGGAGGAAGUUCUAGAAGAUUCUGAUUUACAUUUCUAGCAAUUAAACACUAAAUAUAUCUGAUUCUGGAGGUUUUUCGCACUAUAUCUGGUAGUUUGACUACAUAUUUAUGUAUAAUGACAUACAAUCACUCAUUUGGUGCGUGGGGUUGGAUAGGUAUUAAUUACCCUAUUUGGUGUGUUGGGUGGGACAGAGAUAGUAUGUUGCGGAUGAGGGUAGGAUCUGUAUAUGAUUUGUCUGGUAUUGUUGUAUCACUUAAUAUGUAUGUAUAUACAUACAAAAGAGGCAGCAAAAUAAUUCUCGAGUUGAGUUGUUAAGAUUGGGUGCUUGAACACUUUCAAUCUACAGAAAUCGUUGUCCAAGACCUGUGUACAGAAAUAAACAUUACCGUACAAUGAGUAUUGAAUACUCAAUGGUGCUAAUAUAAUUCAAAGACAAUGCAUUAAAGAUAAACUAAAGCAAUUACAUAUAAAAGUAUCAAUUACAUUAAUGUAUACUACUUUAACUCAUCACAUCAUUUUUUAACUUUCUUGAUCAUUUCAUGUUUCAGUAUCAAUUUCAAUUGUUACUCAUUUUGACCCUUAUUAUCCAAUGAUAGACAUUAAAAUUGAUACUCAGAUCUAUAUAAUGAGUAAGCCCAUGACACUCGGGAAAUUUGAGAUUGAUUUAUUCUACCAUCCUUGGUUGUCUGGCAAUAAUGACUUUUAGUAUUUGUUCGGACUAUUUUAUUCUGUCACCCCGAGUUGCCCAACAACGAUGGCUUUUAGUAUUUUCUCAUGACUCUCAAGGAAUUGGAGCUAGUAAAUCACUGGAUCGGUGACCCUAUGACAUACAAAUAUACCCAGACUACGUCUAACAUCUUUUAAUUAGGCAUUAACAUCAUAAUCACCAUUGUAACACAUGUCAUCAUAAUAUCAAUGUAUCAAUAUUUAUAUACAUAUCAAACACAAUUUCGAAUAUUUAUCACAUAUUCUAUCAUCACAUUGGACCCAUCUUUCUAAGUUUAUAGGGAAAAGAUACAAUUACCUUGAUAUUUAUUCAUAUUAGAUUAUUACAACCAAUUAAUCUACGAAAGCAAAUUCAAAUUGAAUUAUAGAAACACAAACCGCAGUAGCUAUUUGACGUUCGCCUUUUCUUUUUCCUUCAUCUUGGACGUUCCAGCGUCGUCUUUCGCUACAUUCAAUAAUAUCGUUUCAAAACAAUAUUAGUUUCUCAAUCAAAUUCACAUAGUAACAAUAAUUAAACAUAAAUACAUUUUAUUAAUUUUAGUCCCUAUAAACCCUAUUAACCGAAAUGCACGUAACCUUUGAUUUUCCUGAUUGAAUUUAAAAUCAACUUCAUAAAUAUAGUACAAGGACCUCCUACUAUCAUUAUUUGUUACUAAACCUCAAAAUUUUUAUCCUUUAUAAUUGAGUCCUUAACAAUACAUAAUUAAUCAAAUCAUUUAAAUAUAAUUCAAACUUAUAUUUCAUACUUUUUAUUAUAUUUGUAGCAUAUUGAAGCCAUGUAUUCUAAUCUCUUAACAUUCAAGUUACCAAGAAUCCAAACAAUGGAAAUUGAACCAUAAUUCCACUAAUUCAAUGAUCAAGAAAAUGGGCUUUAAGGAUUUGGCAUUAACAACUAAAAAUUUAUCAUUAAUUCAUGAAGAAAACUUGCCAAUUAUCUUGAUCAUGGAUCGGCAAUGGUGGAAAGCUUAAAGAAAUUUUCUUUCUUUUUGGUUUAGCCGAAUAAGGAAGAAGAAAAAAUAGUUUUUUUUUUUUGUGAAUUAUAAGAAGAGGGAAAAGCUUUAAUAGUAACACGACUGGCGCGACUAAAACCCAGAUCACACUUGGGACGAUGAACACCUUGACUAUGAGGCCAACACACGAAGUUUAGUUUAUAUAUACAUGAUUAACAUGGUGUUUAGUUUAAUUAAAUUUAAGUAAUUAACUAAUUAAAUGUUUACUUAGACUGUAAUAUUGGUUAGUAGUAAUUAAGAAAAAAAAACUUUUUGAAAAAAUUGCAUCAAUGAGUAAAAUCUUCAAAUUAGCCCAAUAUUUCCUCCCAAAUAGUCCAAAUCGAAUAUACAGGAAGUCAAACCUUUCAGCAUUUUCUACACCUAAACAAAGAGGGAAAAAAGUAAAAAAGGGAAGCACACAGACAGACAUCCUCAAAUCCUUAAGUAUCAAAUGUCUGAAUAAAAAAAGUAAAAUGUUAGACUUUGAUUCUUGCUAAGGUGAUUCAUCUUCAAAGGAAAUUAUUUGCAAGACUUUUUAGUAUCAAUAAAAACAAAUCAUGAUUAAGCACAAAAAGAGGAAAAAAAGGAAGAAAGAAAGUUGGGUCCUAGUCUUUGAUUUAUUUGGUUAAAAGUCUAAGUUUUUAACUAUUUUAGGAAGUUGACUUAUCAAUGCAACCAAGACAUGGAUCGUAGAACUUUGCUAAUUAGUUAAUUUUACGGUCCAUGUUGAGUGUUUGUGGUUGUCUUUUCCAACAAUGUCUCGUAUUUAAGGUUUGAACUUACAUUCUUUUUUUUUAAGAGUACAAUGUGCUUUACCAUUGCACCAAAUACUUGUUGGUAAUGGUAAUUGAUGUUAAAUAGAAGAUGUGAGGUAGAAGGAAAAAAGACGAGAGAUUCAAGAGGGAAAUGUAAGCAUUGCUGCAAUUAUUUCAGAUAUUUCUUGGUAAGCAUAAAGGCAAUAACGACUAGACAGGAAAAAGGAGGUUGAACUACUUUAUUAACGUGGCCAUUAACGAAUGAUGAACUAUUAUUAUUAUUACACAUAAUCAUUUAUGUGGAUUAUCAAUCAAUAAUUUAAGAUUAUAAAAAAGUAAAAAAAAUUAAAAUUAUAGAAAUUAUUGUGUAUAUAUGUUUUAUCUAUAUUUAACCCUUGUGGUAUUGCAAUAAGUGAGAUAGAUUGUAAAAAUCUAUAGUAGUAGGGGCUUGUAUCAGUACAACUGGUGUGUUGUAGCGAUAUCACAGUGUCUUGGUAAAUUCACUUCGUUUUGAGUUUCGAUCACUUCUAUUCAACUCUGAAUCAUUUUUAAAACUUUUAAAUUGCUUAAACUUGAUUUAGUAAUUUUAUAAAAGUAUUUUUAAAGUUCCAACUCUUUAAAUAAGUUCAAAAUUUUUUUCUUGUAUAUGUUCCAGUGACAUCUCUCAUCUGUACUGGUCGUCGAGACGGAUGGGGGAUAUGACAGGGAGAGGGCUAGUCUGCUAGAGAGAAGAAGUGCUGGGAGGUUCCUCUCCUCCUUUUCCCAAUUUAAAAUUUGCCCAAGUGGGCCAAAGGCCCAAACCUAAAGUCCAAGUUCAUGGGUUUUUUUUUUAUUAUGGAGGCCUACUUUUAAUAUCUAUGAUCCAAAGGUUUCAAAAUUUAUGUAGUAUAUUAAAUAUAUUAUUCAAAUAAUAUUUCCACUAUAAGAUUUUCGAGAAAUGACCAAAAUGCCCUGUAUGACCAAAUUAUCAUUUUGCCUCUAUUGAGCUUUUCCACAAUUUCCUCACUACAAUAAGCAUUUAUCAAAUUCAAAUCUCACAAAUUUAUAUUUAUCCUAUAAUAUAGACCCAUGGGUAGAGAUAAUUACACCAUAGAGAUCUAGUGCUCUUAGUGUAGUAUUUUUGUCUAUGUAUACUUGUAUUUUUUAAACAAAUCGGUUUAAUUAAAAUAUCCAUUAAUUACAUUAAUAUCCUUUGUAUAUUGUUUUCAGUGGUUUUUGCAUGCAAAGCAAAAUGAAAGCGAAUAUUGACUCAUUGAUUAUCUAAUAUUUAACUAAUAUUAAUUGGUAUUACCUGGUCGGAUUGUAAUAUGGAAAAACAACUUAUAUUAGUAGAUGAUCUAAACAUGUUCUUAGUUUAAUCGGAAACGAGCAAAUUGAUUGAAAAACUAAUAUGUCGUCUAUGAAGUCCUAUAAGGGAGAUACUUUGUCAUGGGUAUCGGAGCGGAUGACUCCUAGAAGAUAAAGAUAUAGAUGUGAUUACCUGGAUUGAAGUAAAUUGGAUAGGACCUAAGUAGCAUAAAUCCUAGACCCAUUUAUAGAUUUAUUCACUUGUUUAAUUCAUAUUGUGACAUACCUUAAUCCUGAGUGGAUGAUGGGCUAUGUAUGCGUGACUCGUACCUUUUGCAGUAAAUGAAAGGCUAAGUUCAAAUAGAUAAGGAUCCAGAAGCUAGUAUGUUAGGUAUACAACUUCUGCAGUAUGUAGCAUCAUUCCACAAUAGUGGAAUUUAUAGCCCAACUAAAGGGUAAAUAAUAUCCUCUCAUCGGCAUUACAUGUUAGAUGAAAAGUAAACAUGAUCAUGUGUCAUUUGUCUUUGUGAUAAAUGAUUUAAUUACUAUCUGAUCGUAAUUGACUUUCCAUGAAGGAAGAUGUAAUGGUGAUCGUGAAAUAAAAUAUGAUCAUAUUGGGAGAACAAAUUUUAUCCCAAAGAAAUUAAGGGUAUCUUAUGAGUGUAACACAUUUAUGACAAGAUCAUUGGACGAGCACUUAUUAAGUAGAUUUCAAAAUUGUAUACAAUAAGGGAGAACCCAAUCACGAUACUUUAGUGGAAUGACUUCGUGUCUAAAAAAUAUCAUAAAUAUCAUAAAAAAUAUCCAAUCGGUCUUUCCACUAGCUCGAGAUAACCAUAAAUGAAUUGCACGUAAAACCAAUAUAUAUAAUUGAACGAAAACUGUCACAUCCCAAAAAUCAUGUUAGUAGAAUUGAGUUAUUAAACUGAGGGUUUGAGUUGGAUACCGAAAAUUUGGGUCGCAAAUAGGUAAUUAAAGUAACACAAUUGAGUCUUUAUUUUAUUAACUAGCUUAAAACCAAAUUUAAUUUUGAGGUCUAAUUUGAAAAAAAAUGGAUUUUAAUUGAGUUAGGACCUAAUUGGAAAAGAGAAGAAACAUGAAGUGACCAAAAGAGAAAAUUGCCCAAUUUUUUAAAUUAGUCUCUUUCAAGGAGAAUAUCCAUUGUCUUCCCCUUCCUUUCAAAACCCCAAACCAUUCAAAAUUUUCCUAAACCUAAAAUUAGAGAGUUUUUUCAAAAUCAAUCCAUUCUUUCAGAUUUAUUAACCUUCCAAACACCAAAAUAACCCCCAAUUUCAAACGAAAAUAGUGUUUUAUUCCCCAAAUUUGUCAUUGUUCUUCUUGAGUUCAAAUCUCAAAUUAGAUUUGUAGAUCAUUGUUUUCAUCGAAGUUGUAACAACCCGUUUUUUAGUGGUGUCAAAAAUAAUGGUUUCGGGACCACCAUUAUGACGAGAGAGUCUAUAGAUAUAUUUAAUUAAUAUUUAUGAGUUAAAUAUAGUAUAAUAGUGAAUUAUGAUUUAAUAGAUUUUAUUAAUUGAUCAAGUUAGUCAAGGUACAAGUGAUGCAUAUCGAAAGUCAAGUAGUUUUGAAAAAUUAGGUAUCAGGACCUCGUUUCUGUAAAUCGAGCCUGUAAAUAUUUUAUUAAAUAUUUACGGAGCUUUUAUAUUGGUGAAUUGAAGAUUGGUCCAAAAAAUUUAGUGAUUGAAUAGUUAACUAAGGAAAAAUGACUAAAUCGUAAAAAAUGUAAAACUUAAUCGCAUUUGAAUUUUAUUAAUUAAAUGGUUUAAAAAGUAAAAGUGGGAGGUUUUAUGUUGCAAAUAGACCAUAAUAAAGUUAAUGGAUGGUUGAACAUUAUUUUAUAUUAUAUUUUAUAUGUUUUAAUUUAAUUAUUAAAGUAAUAAUAUUAAUAAAACAAAAGUAAAACAUGUUUCAUCUUUUCAUUCUUUCAUUUUUCACAACCAAACCACUAUUUUUAUACCUUAGGAAGCUUCGGUCAAGCUAAGCUUGCAUGUAAGAUAAAUUUCCACCCGUUUAUUAUAAAUUUUAUGUUUUUGAAAUCGUUGUAGCUUAAUCUAGCUAGUCCAUGGACUAAUUUGUGAUACUGUCAAAUUUUUUAAAACUUUUCAUUGAUGUUCUUGAAGCUUUUUAGUUGAUAAUGGUUUAGUUUGAAGCUUGAUGUUGAAAUAGGACUAUUUUGUAAAGUGAUUUUGUAUAGUUCUUAAAUUUAAGGACUAAAUUAGUGGAAAUUAGGAGUUAAUCGAGUUUAUUAGUGAUUUUUUUGAAAAUUUAGUUAGCUUAAUUUCAUUUAAAAAUCGGUAAAUAUAUUCCGAAAAAUAAAAAUAUUUUUAGAGAAAUUAAAUUUAUGGUUUUAAAUAUUUUUUGGGUAAAAUAAAUAUUUUGGGUCUAAUUAGAAUUGAAAAACAAAUUAAAAUGAGGGUUUAAUUGAAAGAAUUUAAAAUAUUAACUAAAUAGGACCAUUUUGCAAAAUAAGGGAAAUGUAAGAGUGGUUUUAUAAGAAAUUAUCCUUAUUUUCGAAUUUAGGAGGGAAAUGAGUAUUUUGUAAAACAAGGGAAAUGUGGGAGUGGCUUGAUAGCAAUUUCCCUACUUUUUGAAAAUUAGGUAGGGGUUUUCAAUUUUAAAAACAUUGCAACUACGUCACAUUGCACACCAUUUUCACCCGAAUUAAGAGCUUUUUCUCUUGUUUUUUUUGCUCAUUUUCAUAGACCACAUAUUAGAUAAUAGAUCUAAACUUUUACUCUCUCAAAAUUCUCUCCAAAAUCUCCAUAAAAGUUUUCCAAAGUUGAGCAAAAGUCAUCCGAAAUUUCUUCAAUGAUCUUGAUUCAAUCUUCUAACUUGAUGAUUUGAGAUCAAUUGAACGUAAUUCUCAACUCUAAAUUGAUUUUUAAGUUGUUUUCAAUCAUUAUUUUCUAUUUAAAUUGAUUAAAAUGGAUUUUCAAGUUUUGAUUUCUUCUUUCUUGAACAUGGAACUCAACAAUGAUGAAUCCAUAAUUUUGAGUUGGAAUCCAAGUUUUAAUGGAUGUCUAAGCUCAAAAUAUGUUUAUUAAGAAGUUUUUAAUCAUAAAACAAGAGAUCAAACUCGUUUGGUUGAUCAAUUUUGAUAAAUUCAUUUUUAAUCAAGAAAUAAAAUUAUCACUAGUCUUUUUGGAUUUGACUCUACUCAUUGCUAUCUAGAGCUGUUCAUGGGCGGGGCGGCCCGCCCGAAAUAUGGGAGGGUUCGGGUAAAAAUAUAUACCCGAAAUAUGGGUUUGGGCAAAAAAAAUGAGGCCCGUGCAGCACUUUUUUGGCCCGGGCCCGGCCCGAAUAUAAUAAAUAUAUUUAUUUUUUUAUUUUUUUAUAUAUUUAAAAAUAUUUUAAAAUACUUUUUUUAAAAUUUUUUAUUUUUAAAAUAUUUUAAAAUACUUUUUUAAAAUUUUUUUUGGUGUUUAUUUAAAAAAUGGGCUGGGCUCGGGCAUAUGAUUUUUUUCCUGGGCCGGGCCUGGAUAAAAUUUCAGGCCCAUAUUUCGGGCCGGGCCGAAAUUUUUUCUGGGCCCGGCACGACCCGGCCCAUGAGCACCUCUAUUGCUAUCUACAAACUUAUAUUUUGAGUAGGAAUUUAUUUUUGGCGAUCUCGACAACCAUACAUAAUCUUCUAGUGAGUGUUGAAGCAUUUGGUUAAUCAUCUUUCUCACUCAACGCUCAUGCUUUUCAUAUGCUUAUUAAACUCCAUUCAUAUCUUAUCUUUGGAUUGAGCUAUAGUUGUUAGUUGAUGCCUCUAAACAUUCAAAUUUUUGUUGGAGAUACCCAACUUCUAUUUGCAACAAUGUAGAAAUCUCAUCCCUUAUUUUCCAAAAUAAAGCCCUGAUACCACAAUGACAUCACUUGAAUUUGCAGAUGAUAAUUUAAAAAAAAAAUACGAUAAAUGUGAAAAUAGGAGAAUAAUUAACAGAUGAUUGAUAGGGUAGAAAAGAAAGAGAAAUUAAAGAGAUAAUUGUUGCAACCAUCUCCUCAAUGGAAAGAAUACGUUUCAUGUAUAUCAACAGACCAUCACUUAGUACAACAUCAUAAAGGUCUUAUUUAAUGUUCAUAUUUUUGUCUAUAAAACUCAUUUUGAUAGUGGCUUAGUUGUGAUCUUAAUACGAUAUUUUUAAAAUGAUUUUUUAAAUUAUUUUUUGAAAAACUAAGUCGACAAAGCAAAAUCAACUAAAUAUUUUAGAUAAAUUGUUUUGAGAAUGUUUAUUUUAGCAUUCUUAAUAGAGUUUAAACAUAAAAUAUUUGUUUAAAAAAUAUCUCAAAAGUGAUCUACAUAAAAAACUGGAAACAUGAUAGUUUGAUAAUAACGAUAAAAUGUGCAGGUGUCACCCUGGUAUUCUAACUAGCUCUAACAUGUUUUUCACUUCGCCUAGAUGAUUGUUGAAAUGCCGCCACUUUCUAUAGCAGAAGUGAAAGGGCUAUCCGGCAGAUUAAGUCCUUCGCUGCAGAUACAUGAAGUUUUGAUUUGGAAUAGAUCAUUAAACAAUCAAAUAUGAAAAGAAAAAACUUGGAAAGAAAGUAACUUUUAUACCUUUCUUGGUCAUUGUUGUUCAUCUCUACAUGUUUGAUUUUUCCAUCAGAUGUGGUGUUGAUGUUGAGAGCUUCCAACAAAUAAUUGAACUCUGCCGACGGGAAAUCGAGUUGAUCUGCUAGGUGGAAAAGAAAGCGUUGUAAGGGUGGCCAAGGUAAUGAAUAUACAUAUAUAAAAUGGGAAAGUUCGCUACCUUCCGUGACCUUUAACUCAUCCAUGAAGUAACCGAAGGAUUGGUGAGCUAGAGGCUUUUGUGACAAAUGCAUCUCUGACGAGUGCCUUCUUUGAAGCUUAAAGAUUUGAUCUUGAUCUUCGAUAAAUUGCUUACGGAACAACCUCGACGUCGCAUAUCCUUUUGGAACUGAGAAAAUCAUACAUUAGAUACUCGAUAGUAAACAUUGCCUAAUGCUUAAAACUAUACAAUAUGAAUUAACAUCGUAUUCAACAGAGCUAAAUCGAGUAAUAGCCCCAAAAAUGGCGAGUGUUUAUGUAGCUAUGGACCAUAAUUUGGAUAAACGAUGAAAUGGAGGUACUUACUUGAGUGAAGCUCGGGUUCCAUAUAAUAUGAAGAAUAAUACAUGGGAGACUCGAUUCUCUCGGGGUACUUCCUACACAAAAAUCAAAUGUAGCCGAAUGAUAUAGAAACCAAAAAAAUAUUAAAAAAAAAAGAAGAGAAAUGAUUGUCAUACUAUGCAUUCAAUUCAUGAAAUUGGUGUAAAAAUGAGAAACAUUUAUAUUUACUUGUAACACCCUAAAAUUUUCGAUAUAGUAGUUGGUACUAUUCUAGAAAUGCAUAUAGUAGAUUUAUGAAGAAAAUGAGUUGAGAUUUAUCUGAAUAAAGUAUAUGGGAGAUGAAUUAGAUAUUGAAGAGAAAGAAUGAAUGGUGAAAUUUUAGUAAGGAUUAAAUUGAGAAUUUGUAAAAGUAUAAAGACUUAAAGUGCAAAUAGACCGUAAGAUGAAAAUGGGUGGUGCAAAUAAACAUUUUUUUAAAUAUGACGUCGAAAAAUAUAUUGACAUGUGGAGUUGAAAAAUCGAGGUAUAUAUUAAAUUGAGUAAAGUGGAAAAGUUUAAAGACCAAAGUAUAAUUUUACUAUUUUGUAUCAGGGGUCCAAUUAGCAAUUUUUACCAUAAUUGGUUGAUAUUUCAAGACAUAAUGAUGAAAAUUUGGUGGGAUGGGAUAGGUUGGUGGAAUAAGUGGAUUAAAAUGAAAGAAAAGAAAAAUGUAGAAUUGUAAUGCUCCGAUUUUUGCUGAAGUCAUAGAAUUCGGUUUUAAGUCGAUUUAUUAAAUCGACCCAUCCAAAAAGUUAAAUUGUUAGGUUUUCGAGAAUAGGUGUGGGGACGAAUCAGACGAAUUCAAAUUUAUUUAGAUGUGUCAAUUUUUUAGAAUUGAGAAUUUCAAAUUUAAGGCUUAUGGGCUAAAUUGCAAGAAUAAUAAAAUUGUUGGGGUCAAAAGCUAGGAAAUAUAUUAGGGGAUGUGAGAGAAUUACAAAAUAGAUUUUUUCAGAGGUGAGGUCCUUGAUUGGUAAUUGUUCCAACCCCAUUUUAGCAAAUCUCCCUUUUUCAAAAAUUGGUUAGAGGAGCAGUUUAGCUAGAUUCUUGAGUUUUGAGAGUUUAGAAUAAGAAUAAGAUAAGUGAUCUUAAGGUAGUGUAAGGAAGAUAACUUGAGCAUCUCAUCAUUAGAUUUAGGAGGUUUUAAUGCUUAAUUAUGUUUUUUUUCUAACCUUAGUUCAUCUUUUUUAUUAGGGUUUGUAGCAAAGGAAGUGGUCAAAUCUUCUAAAGCCAAAGGAAAGAAGAAGAUUGAGGAGGUGUAACAGUUUUCAGUUUGUGCUUGUUUAAUUCAAUUUGUGGUAUAAACUUGAUUGAGCAAUUUAGCUUAGGAAAUCUUGUUGAUUUUAUAUUGUCGGUGAUAUGUGUUGGCAAAGACUUGACUUUUGCAUAUAUGAAACCUAUGCUCGACAUGUUAAUUGCGGUGAAACAAUGUAAAUGAAUAUUAUUGUCUCAAGUAUGAUUUGUUGUGAAGAAUGUGGGAUUGAUUCUUGUGAUGCAUGAUGAUAAUUAAUAUUGCUUGAUGAUUCUAAGACAUGUAGAUUGAUAAACACCCUAUUAAACAAAGUUGGGAAUGGUUUGAGUAUUGUUGUCAUGCCAUAGGAUUUGUUUGUGAUAGAGGGAGGAUUUGCGCUUGUGUGCCUUCUAUUUGUGCUUGUGUUCAUGAUUGGUGUGCAAGGGAAGUCAUGUUUUCACUCUUACUAGUGCAUUUUUCCCCAUUUGGCGCUUUUGCACAACUUUUGAGGUGUGUUAUGAGUUUGAUUUGUGUAUCUAUUCGUUGUUCCACUAUUGGUUAAUAGGGGCAAAACUUUAAUUAUGAUUUAAUAUGGUAAUGAUGAAUACAAAUUGAAAAUGUUGAUGAUCGUGACACUUGGGAAUAUGAUAUGUAAUUAUUUGAGGCAAAUGCUCCAGUAUGGUUUGGAUAUAUUGAGGAACUUGAAUUAUGCUAUUGGAAAUGUUUUAAAUGAAGCUAAUUAGAUAACACAUGUAUAUUUCUUGUGUUAGCGUGCUUUGUUGCUUAAUUGUUUUGUAUUACAAACUUGGUUAUAUUUGUUGCUUAGCAUAUGAAUUAUUUGUUCCAAGCACAGGUAGUAAGAAUGUGCACGAAUUUUGAUUUGGUUAUCCCAACAUCCAAGGCUUGAAGUCUCAGCUUUACUUUUGAACUUUAUAAUGUUUAUUUUAGACUUAGUGUUUUAGGCAUGUAUAUAGGUCACUAGGUGAAUUUUUGCAUCUUUAAGUGGAUUUUUAUGUUGUUUUGAAGUAUUUGGUAUGUUUUGGUUCAUUUUGAAACUUUUCCACACUUUUGGAUUUAAUCUGUGAUGCAAAUAUGUAUGGUUUAUGCAUGCAUUAUAAGUGUUACAAUUUACUUACCUAGUGAUUUUUUUUUAUCUAUUGUGGUAAUAGCCAAGAUUUUAUAUGUGUUUGACUUGUUUUGGCAUUUCAAAUAUGUUUUCUAUUAUUUGGUUGCAUGUUGCUUAUGUUUAGGGACCUUUAGAGACACAAUUGCAUGACUUGUAAUGCUUGUUUUAUGCAUUUUUGGGCAUGUGUCUCAAGAUCACAAGAAUAUUUUCAUGUGAUUCUUGCAUUUCCAAGUGCAGGCCUUGAUACAUAGACAUCAAAGUCUCUAUAUAUGGUUGCAUUACCUUGAGAGAUAAAAUAUUGAAGCUAAAAUAUAAAAAAUUCAGUCCAGAGUCUUGAGAUAUUGUGCAUUGUCUUGAGACAUAAAACUUCGAAGCUAAGAUCUGAAAAUAAGGAAAGUAUGUCUUAAGACAUAGUCUUGCAUUUUUCUUGUUUGACUUACAAUUUGUAACCUGGCUCUAUGUUUAACUUUCUUUGACCUUGGUUUAUCAUAUGUGGGUCUAAUUGAGUAUGUUUAACACUUUAUAUCUUCUUUUAAGUGUUCAUGCCAUGCUUGAGUUGUUUUAGUUGAAUUUUUUUAGCUUCAAUGAUCGUUUUAAUGUUUGCUUCGACAACGAAUGUGGUAUCUUGCAUCUGAUCGUCUUCUAGGUCUAGUGUAGGGUGUUACAUUAGUUGAUAUUAGAGGGGGUUUUGGUUUAGCUGGUUCUAGGCCCAAAAUGCAUAAUUUUUUUGUGAUUUUGUCUAGGGUACAUGCCAUUAGGUGAACCAACCAAGUUUUAUUGAUAGUUAAGACUUGAAUGUUGAAUUUUUCUCUAGUUGUUAUAUGUUUGUAUAAAUUCAAUAUGUCUGUUGAAUCUCUUAAUGCAUUAGAUGAGGAGGUUGAGUUAGACCCUCAAAUUCUCCCCUUACCUUAAGCUACUCAAACUGAUGUGGGAGACAAGAAUUAACCUAAGGCACUUGAUGUUGGUGCACAAACUAUAGUUGGUGGUCGAAAUGCUAAAAAUGAUGAUGCUCUAUUGUGUACUAUCGCAGAUGCACUCCAUAGAGUUUAGGGGGGCUACACCACAAGUUUGAAUUGUUAUGAGAGUUUGUAAGAUUGCUACUAGGAAGCUUAAAAAAUACGAAAUAGUGGACUUCAAGGGGUUGAAAGGUGUUGAUCCUUUCGCAGCAGAAUCUUAGCUUGCAAUGAAUCAACUAGAAUGUGUUCAAGUUGAGUGAGUUCAGUGCAUAAUUCACUUGUUAAAGGAAGAAGCUUACCAAUAAUGGUUAACUAUAAGUCAGUCUAUUCCAAUUGAAAUGAUAAAUUGGGUUUUUCCAAGCGAAGUUCAAAAAGACGUAUGCCAGAAAGUUGUAUUUGGAGGAUUGGAAAUAAGAGUUUAUUAUGCUAAUAAGGCAACUUGUUUGUGGCAAACUACGAGCAAGAGUUUCUCUGAUUUAGUUGGUAUGCUCCUAAGAUGGUACCAAUGAAAGUUGAGAAUUCCAUCUAAUUUCUUAGAGGAUUGUGGGAUGAGAUAUAUGUACAACUAGUGGCCACCGAGUGAGAGUUUUCUGACAAAAUUAAGAGAGCCAAGAUGGUUGAGCAAGUUUUGGGGUUAGACGAGAAACUCGAUGAUAACCAAACUCAAGAGAAGAGAGUUGGUGGUUCUAGUUCGUAGCCUGUUUCGAAGUGAGCUAGAGAUUUCAGAGUUUCUAAGUGAUUUGUGCCUUCUAGGUUCCAUUUUGAGGGAAGACGAUCGCAGCAAUAUUUUGUUUCUAUGGCUAGUUCAGGUGGACCUGUUUUGGUAUCUAGUACUUCGAAGUGUGACCACUGUGGCCAUAGGCAUGUGUGGGGAGUUUUGAAAGAAGAUUGGUGCAUGUGCCUUGUGGUUGUGGUACGACUACAGGGGGAGAGAAUGUUGUUAGGUGAGGUUAGAGGAGGACUAUAGAUAUUACUGCUACUAUUAGAUUUGAGGCUAGAGCUUUGGUUUUGGCUUAAUUUGUUCGUGCUCGUUAUGGUGUGGACGCUAUUGUUAUGGUCUAAGGUAUAUAUUCUUUUUUUCUAUUCCAGUUGAUGCAUUGAUUGAUCCUUCUACACAUUUCGAUAUAUAUAGUAGUGUGACCUGUGUGUGCAGUGUUCCUAUGGAAUUGCCAGAUAUAAGGAUUUCAAUGUCUAGUCUUUUAGGGGCAGGGUGUGAUUGUUGAUAAGGUCUGUAAUCAUUUUCAUUCGAUGAUUUAGGGAAUUAUGUUCUUAGCAGAUUUAAUAGUGAUGUCAUUUUUUGAGUUAGAUAUGUGAUUUUGGGAGUGUACUGGCUAUCAAGCAUAAUGUUAUAUUGGAUAGUUAGAAGAGGUUUGUUAUUCAAUAUUUGUAUGGUAUUGUGCUGGAAGUUGUUGGUAUGAAGUUUGGAUGCUUUGCUAAAGUGAUUUCUGCGGUGAAGGCUUGGAAAAUGUUGAAUAAGGGUUACAAGGUUUAUUUAGCGUGUAUGGUAUCUUAGGGGAAGUCAAGUUUUCACACACAUUGGUGCAUUGUCAUUAGCAUUGUUGUUAGUGUACUGAAGUGCAUUAUCUUCCUAUUUAAAAGUUGAGGAAGGGCUAUAAGUAGUUCUAGGCAUUAUAUAAAAAAAAGUAGAUAUGAUAAGAAUUUAUAAUGAGAUUAAUGUUGAAUAUGAAAUUUAAAAUAUUAGUCACUAUGUAAAAUUAAAAUAUAUGGAUUAAUGGUGUAAUUAAUUAAUGUUAUAAAAGAUAAGAAAUAAGUUGAAACAAGUUUUAAAUAUGACAUAAUUUGAAAUAAAGAAUUUAUGUACAAGUGUUGAAAUAUGUAUGUGAUAUGAAUAACAUAUGUUUAGGAUGUGAAUGGUUAUGUAUAUGAUAUGCUAUGAUUCAAUAACUUGUUUUAUUUAUGUUAAUGAAAUUAUGAUCACGGUGAAGAUAUUAUAUGUUUAAUGUUUUAAAUGAAAAAUAUUGUUUGAGUCUUACAUCGAUUGAUAUGAUAAUUGUUGUCAAUGCAGAAGGCCGUGAGUUCGAGUGCGCUGAAGUGUAUUAUCCUCUUAUUUUAAGGACUUUAAUGUAUGAAUGGUAAUGUAUAAUUGAAGAUUUAAUUGUGAGUUAUAAGUUAAUUUAUUAUAUUUGAUGUCACUUAAUUUUAAUUGGUUACAUGUUAGACAAAAUAUCUUAUAUCAUAUUUGAAUUGGAUUCUUGAAACUUAACCAUUUGAGAUCACAUCACUCAAUAUGGACUCAAGCUCAAGCCAUUUGGUAUAAAUUUUGUACUUAGAAAUGGCAUGUGGCAUAAUGUACAUUUGAUUGUGCGACUAGGUAUGUUUAGUGUAAGUUUAUCAUAUUUUAUAAGUUAACGGUGGGGCGAAGGCAAAAAUUUUUUUGAGAGGUCGGAAAUAAGUUGUAUAUUUUUAUGAUAAUAAAAAUGUAAUUUUACCAUUUUAAUAGUUUAUAUCUUUAUGAUUUUUUUAAAUGUUAAAUUAAAAUUUUAUCUUUUUUAGAAGGGCAAAGUGUAAUUUUACCAUAACUAAUUUAAAAUUUUAUAAAUUAUAAAGACUUGGAAAAUUUUUUAUUUUAGGAGGGUCUGGUCCUGUCAAUCCUCUUGUCAAAAUUGUUUAAGAAUCAUUAGCUAAAUUAUUAUAGUAAAAAGAUAAUGUAUCGAUACCAUACAAGAAAGUGUCUAUACAUGUUGUCUUGAAGCUUAAAAUUCGAGUUUUUAUGCUUGGUUUUGGGCACGACUUAAGCCAUAACAUGAGUUUUAAACCUCUAUUAUGAGAUUAGAUAAGAGGUGUUACCGUACUUGUCAACCAGCUUGGAUUUUUCCCUGUAAGGUUUGACGAGAACACGAGCCCCGCAAACGUAAUGCGGAUUUCCUUCGGCCAAAAUCAUCUUCACAGUAUCGGAACUAACAAAGUUUACGAACCCAAACAUUCGUUUUUGUUGGCAAGGGAUCCGUACAUCUUCAACUUGUCCAUAAUUGCUACGCAAGUAAGAGAACUCUUUUAAGACAAUGAAUAUGCAAAUAAGCCUAUAAAAUGGCUUUAAAACAUCAUGUAACCUGAAAUAAUUGGAGACAUCAUCUUCACUAAAUGUGCUCUCGGCCGGGAACGUAAGGUAUAUCUGCCUCGACCCGUUAACGAUCGGACCUGGAUCGUUUCGAUCAUUUCGAUUUUCCAUAUAUUUUGGUACAUCUUCGGCUAAAAUGACUGCAUGUUGUCCAUGCGGCCUGUUAUUGAAACCACGUAAGAUUUCAUUUUUAUUGGUUUUAAGUUCUAAUCGGAACGAAGAAACGUAAAUGAACUAAAUUCUUAAUUUUCGAAAAAUACAAGUUCAUAUCAUGUACCUGUCGAUCACUCGAAUAGCGGUUUUCAAUCUUGCGAGAAGCUUAGUUAAACUAUAGCCUGCUUUUCCAUGUCUUUGGCUUUCAGUAAGAUAACCAUCUGCUUGUAGAACUUUGCCAUACUUCUCAUAAUAUAGCAACGGUAACGACGCGAUCGAGACCGGAUCGCCUCGUUUCGUUCUCAAUAACUCGACUAAUUCAACCUCUAAUUUCUCUAGUGACAUAACAUUAUCUUUAUAACCAGUGGCACCAUCCAAAUGAACAAACAUUUGAGGGAGAUUAUCCGAGACUUCACCAUGAAAGUACCUACAAUUACUCCCAUGUUUGCAAUACCCUUUGUUGAAAUAAUGACAAGUCUUAACCGGAAAAUCGGGUGCGUUGUUUUGAUGCCGACGUAGUCCCGGUCUUACUCCGAAAUUACAGUAACAAUAAUCAUUGGAAAAACUAUUAUCACUUCUUAAGUUUAAAGAUCCCAUUUGAUCAUCUAAAGUGCUUGAUGAGACUGGUGGUGAGAAAGAAGUGAACUGUGAAGAUAUUUCGGAAUUGAGAGUCGUCACCGAGUUCAUCGACGGUGAUAUCGGAGGUGACCCGGAUUUAAGGGCGAGUUGUUGAAGCUCAAGUUUGAUUUUAUAGAUUACUUCUCGAAUGACCUUAUCAGGGCACAGUGCUAAUUGAGCAAUUUCUUGCUCACCAUGGUCUUGUAAGAGAAUGUAUCCUAUGAUUUUCAAUACAUUUUCAGGCUCAAAUUUCUUGAUUUUGUUGAAUAAAAUUUGUGUAUAGUCGGAAAAUUCCAUCAUGCAUUUAGUUGAUCAACUUAAAUCUGCAAAUAACAAAAAUAUUAAGUCAUAAAUACAAAAAAAAAAGCACAAAACCCAGAAAUUCUUUAAAGAAAAUAGGAACUUACCAAGGAGAAAAUUUGUUGGAAAUGUAAAAGCAGCUGGUUCCUGGUAGCAACAAGUAGAGUUGUUGUUGUUCUAUGAAGAUAUUAAAUUCUCUUUUAUGCUUCACUUUUCAACUUUUCAUAUGAUUUUUUAUGGUUUUUUUCUUCAACUAUAUGUAUAUAAAAAAAGAUUUUUUAAAGUAAAAACAAAAACUUUGUUUACUUCGUGUUGGUAAAUUUAUACAGAAAAAAUUUCACCUUAAAUAGUUUUUUUAAAAUUAUAAUUUUUAGUGAGCUUAAAAAAAGAAUUUAAAUAUUCAAAGCUAGAUAUUUUAUAAAAAAAAUGAGUUAGAGAGAAUUAAGGCGAUAUACUUUCUUACUUUUUCUUAUUACUAUACUCAAAAAUCCCCCCCCCUAAAUGUUAUUUAUUUUUUUUCUAUAGAAAAAUGAGUUAUUAAAAUAUUAUUUAAAAAAAUCCCAAUGUUCUAAAUUUAGAUUUGAUUAUGAAUGAUAAUUUAAUAAUUUUGUGGUUUAUUUAAUUUUCAUUUUAUACAAAAAAAUUGGGAAAUUAUCAAAAUGAUUAAAUGUGAGGAUAAAAAUGGUAAUUAAAGGAAAUUAUUUAUGAAAGUGAAGACCAAUUCUACAGCUGGAUAAGUGGGGUGAUAGGUAAAAAUAAGAAUAAAAGAUUAGAAAAAAAUUAUAAUUUUUGGUAAAUAAUAAAUAAGUAAUGUUAGAUUAAUUAAAAAGAAAGGAAUUUUUGGAGAGCUAAAAAGGAAAAAAAGAAUUGAUUAGAGAGAAUGAGGCUUUUCUGUUCUAAUUAUAGAUAUUAUCUGGAUCUAUUUCCUUAUGAUUUUUGACUUUGUCAUUUAGUUUUUUAAAUAAAGGAUUAUGUAUAUAUAUAAAAAGCAUGUACUAAAUUUGUAUUUAAUUAAGUUUUUGUAAAUAAUUAAUUAAGUCUCUUCGUUAAAAAUUUUGCCAUUGGUCAUGUUGACUCUUAAAAUAAAUUAACGGACUAAUCAGAUGGUAACACGUGAUAGUUUAUUGUUUAAUCUAAUAUUUUUCUGACAAAAAUUGUAACCUCUUCAAAUCGCCCUGGAUGAUAGACCCGAAUUCGGGAGAUUACAUCAGUCAUUGAGAUGACCUAGUAUGAUCAAGGUUUAUAAAACAAUCAAUUUAAAAUAUUUAUUUAAUUUAGAAGAAAAUUUAGUCUAUUUUCAGAAAAGCUGACGGGUUAUAAAUAAAUGUUUUAGUUUAACUUUCUUAAGUAACGAUGACUUUUAAAAAAAAUUAAUUUUCUAUUUUUUUAUUAUUCACAUUUUUCAAUUUUAAUCUGGCAGGGGAAGAGUGAUUUUUAUUUGGAUUUGUUAAAAUUAUAUUUCAUGCCUUCAUUGAAUAAAAACUAUAUUUUAAAAUUAAGUUAAAUGUUAUGUAUGCUAAAUAAACCUUAAAUAUGAGUCUCAUGCCAUAAAAUAAAACAGUAUAGUUCCAAAAUAACAAAAAAUAUAAAAAUAAGUCUAAUAAUACUUUCAUAAAAAUAAAACAUUUUUGAGCCCUCCGUAUGCCCCGUUUGUGUUCUAACCUAGUGGGUUAUCUGUAAAGAUGAAAUAAAAGAGGAAGUGAGCUAUAAAGCUCAGUGUGAGUUCCAUAACAAGAAAACCAUGCAACAAUAGACAAAACAUUCAGAAAAUUAACUUGAUAAAUCACAAUUAAUUAGAAAUACAAAAUAUCGAUAAUUUGAAACAACUAAUCAACAUAAUAUUUCAAUGUUCAUAGCCAUGUGUAAUUGCUUAUGAAUGUAAUGUAAGUUUGGUUUAACAGUAGAAAGGUCCUACCCUAUCGCUACACACCACAAUAGGAGUUCCUCAGAACUUCUCUACCUUUAUACCACAUUGUGGAUAAAUCACUCAUUGCAAAUGACCUGCUAAUGAUAAGAUAUAUUGGCGGAUGAACCAUCAGUCUGUGCAGAUAAAAGCUGCUAAUACGUUAUGGAUGAACCACUGGUCAAGCAGAUGACUGCUGACUAAACUAGCCAUGGAUAAACUACUAAUCAAACAGAUGGUUGCUGACUAAAAUACAUUGUUGAUAAACCAUUGGUCAAGCAGAAAAGCUGUUGACUACUUCCUUCGUUCAAAACAUCCCACCCCAUGCAAUAUGCAAUAUAACAUGGCAAUACAUACAUAUUUUUCAAUAACAGUUUAUGCGGUACAUUAUCAUGCUUAUCAAGUAAUUCAGUAAAACAGUUUGGUUGUAUGCUUUGCAUACAUUUGGUUAAUAGUAUCAGUGCAUGUUCACAUGCUUUUGGAAUGCUUAAGAUCAUGCAUAAUCAACUUAAUAUUACAUAAUACAAUUCUAAUCAUAACAUGUCUCAUAUGCACAUCAUGGUAUGCCUGCUAGUCAAAAACGAUAUAAACCAACCAUAAUAAUGUUAGAACAUAUAACAAUUUUGCAUAUUAUGGUCUCGAAUCAAGCAUAUAAUCACUAAAGAGUUUACUCAUCAAGUUUCAUGCAAACAAGCACAAAACACAUAGACUUAGUUUAGAUUCCACAUAGGCUCGUGGAUAAGGUUCGCAUGAAUGUUUGCAUUAAAGGUUCACAUGACUGUUCGCAAUAAGGGUUCACAUAAGGUUUGCAGUACAAUAUACAUAAGGGUUCACAUAACAGUUUUACAAAAGGGUUCACUUAAUAGUUAAAAGGAUCCCAUAUUAGCUUUAAAAGGAAUCGCAUAACAAUUCACUAAAAGGUUUGCCCAACAUUCACUACGGGGUUUGUUGGGAUAUGUACCCAUGGUGUAGUAAACAUGUAAUUAUUUUCUAUGUAUUUGAUCGAUGAAUAAAUAAAUUUCACAAUUCACUAUUAUAUCUUUUUGUAUUUUUGUCCUUCAUAUUUUGCAUGCAUAUCGAAAUUGUGACAAUCAAAUACUAGCUUAUUAAUUGUCUAAGUUCAAAUUGAUGAUAAGUGGCAUUGUAAGAACAUUUACAUUUCAAGAAAGACAACUUAUUUCAGUAAAUAAUCUAAAUGAGUCUGUAAUCUCAUAAAAGAAUCAAAGUGAGCAUUUGAUUCAAAUACUGAGAAUGAUUAUUAUGUUAUCUACAAUUUCAAUUAAGGAGAUGGCUAGUCUUGGCUAUCGGAGCAGUUGACUCCACAUGUAGAGAUAUAGAUGUAUUCAAUGACAAAAUGAUACAUUGGACUGGACCCAAGAUAAAUUAAUUUUGAAUCUGUUUGUGAAUUAAUUAACUUGUGACAUUCAUGGUGUGAUUUGUCGAAAUCCUAAGUUAGUAACUAACCAUGCAUAUGUAGCUCAUGUGCUUUGAUAUAAGUAGAGGCUUAUGCUCUAAAGAUGAUCGAGCUGAUAGCUAGUAUGUUGAGUACAUAACUUGUGUAUGGGAUGGCUUUACUAGCAAUAGUGGAAUUCAAAGCUCAAUUAAAGAGUUAACGAUAUCCUUUCAUUGACAUUGUGUGGAUUGAUAAAUAUGGAACGUGACCACGAGUUGCUUGUUCUCGAACGAGUAAUUUAUCGCAGUCAUUUGUUGGCAGUGAUUAUAUUAAUCAUUAAGAAGACACAAUGGCAGCAAUGAGAUAAAACAGGACUGUAUUGAGUGAACGGAUUUAACUCAAAGGAAUCAAUGAUAUCAUAUGAGGGUAACACACACAUGAUGAGGUCAUUGGACAAUGGAAUUGGAUGAAUUGCUUUCGUAAAUAGUAUACAAUAAGGAGUUUUCAAUCAUGGUACUUCUUGUGGACUGACUUCAUGAUUAAGUAAUUUCGAAUUAUCGGAAUGAUGCUUUUGGACAUAAUUUCAAUUACUAGAGCUUAAUUGUAUAUGUCUGAUUGGUCCCUCCGCUAACUUAACAAAAACUCGACCGGACUGCUUUUGAAUUAGAAAAAAUUUUUACGACUUUGGAAAUAAUUUAAUUGAGUCAAUUUAUUUGAUGUAGAAUUAAAUUGGGCAAUCGUAAUAAUUGUUAAACUAGAAAAUUUUAUUAAAGAAUUUCUUGAAAAAUUAAUUUGAAAAAUCUAAGUGAUUUUUGGGAAAAUUAAUUUUGAUCAAGUAAAAUUAAAUUAAUCAAAUUAAUUAAAAUUAAUAUGAUAUUUUUGAAAAUUAAUUUUCAAGUCAGACAAUUGGCCCAAUGGGUAAUUGAACUUGAAAAUUGGAUCUAAGAUCGUAAAUUGGGUCCGGGAGCCCAAAACUGAGACCAAGACCCAUAAAUUGGUUGAAUCGGGUCUGGUAUGUGAAACUGGCCCGACGAUCCAAUCGGUGGCUGGAUCGGACCGAUCGAGUCGUCAUUGGCUUGGACCAAACUGGCAAAAACGGACCAGCUCGGGGUGUCGACAGCUACGAUAGCAGCAUUCUGUUGGCUAGAAAAUGGUCGAUGACGGUGGGUCUUCGGUGGUUGAGCAUUGAAAAAAUGACACUCCUAUUGGGACUCUAACAAAGAAUUUGAUUUCAGAUUAACUAUUCCAAAAAUAAUAAAUUUAAUAUUAAAUUUAAUUUAAUACUUAUCUUAAUAGUAUUUUAUUAAUUUAAUAAGACUUAAUAUUAAAUUUAAUCUAAUAUUUAUCUUGAUGAUUAUUAUAUUAAUUUAAUAUUAAAGUGAUUAAGUUUAAUCAUAAUUGAAAUCUCUAAACUCUCUCUAUAUAAAUAGAGCCUUGGGUAAUAAUUUUUCACAUUUGAAUUCAAGAGAAAGUUGUAGAGAUAAAAUUUUCUGAAGAAAUUAUUUCAGAAAAUUUCUAGAGAUAUUUUUCUUAUUACAACUUGGCCCAAAAGUUUAGAGAAUUGCGAUAUUACUUGACUGGUAAUUUUUGUGAAAGCUUUUCUGAUUCGAAGCGAGCCCACACUCGGCAAACAUGAGCUUGAGAAUAGUGGGUCCAUCCUAAACGAAUAGAAAAUGUACAAUUUUGAUUAAGUGUUUAUUACUUUAGAUAUCACAACCAAGUUCUUGUUUUGAAUUUUUUUUAAAACUCUGAUUUUUCUUUAAAUUUAUUUUUCGCUGCUUUUUUCAAACCCGAUUUUCCAAUAGGGUUCGCAUAAAAUUUACUAAGGGGUUCACAUAACAUUCACUAAGAUGUUCGCAUAACAUUCAAUAAGGGGUUCACACAACAUUCACAAAGAGGUUUGCAUAACGUUCAUUAAGGGGUUUGCAUAACAUUCAUUAAGGGGGUCAUGCGGUCCACAUAGGCGGCCCACAUGCCCAUGUGGUAGGCCGUGUAGUCUGGGUUAGGUUCAAUUUUGCCUCAGUUUCCUUGUAAAAUAACACACACAUGACUUUCAAGGUUUUGAACGAUGAUCCUAUGUCCAAGUCUAGCUCGGGAUACCUACAACAAGUCUUACGAUCGAAAAAUAUGUAAGAGUUAAUGUCAACUGGCUUGCUUCGGGCCUUGCGGACUAGAGGAAUGAGCGGAUUGCUAAGAAAAUAGAAAUUUUAGUUAGAUUUCGCAAUCAGAUUUUGUUGAGUGCAAACCGGGAAAGCUCCGGGCCUUGCAGAGGGGACAUUGUAAUGCCCAAGCAUCAAGGUUAGAUGCGAGACAGAAUGAUAUCAACUGGCUCACUAGAAUGGAACCGUGAUGACGGUUAUCAACUAAUUCUUCGGGACGACACCGUGACAACGAUUUAUAGGUUCCAUAGAGCCACACCGUGACAACGGUCUACAGGCUCUAUGAAGCGACACCGCAAUGGCGGUAAGGUCUUUAAGGGUGACACCUCAAAAAUGGUUUAAAGGUGUAUGACCAUAGCUCGGCUAUGGCAACCAAUAGAGUCCACUGGGACAAUAAAAAUGGGGUAGUCUGCCGAGACAAUAAAAAUAGGGUAGUCCAUCGGGACAAUAAACACAGGGUAGUCCGCCGAGAUAAUAAACAUGAAGUAGUCUGCUAGGAUGUUAAACAUGUGGUUUACAUGUAUAAGACCAUAACUCAGCUAUGGCAGUAUGUGCUAUCCACAAAUCAGUAAAUCGGGAAACCCGCCAAAGUAUAAAGAAGAAGUUGCAUUGUGACUUGAGCAACCAGUCAUCAGACAGAAUGGGCCUGACGCGUUUGGAGACACAUGCUAACGGACAACUAAUGGGAUUUGUCAAAGGAAAUGAGGAUUAGAACCUAGGAAGUGUAUUAACUUAGUUAUGCGAAAAAAGAUGGAAAGAUUCUUUAAACAAGAUGGUAAAUGUAAUGUUUGCCUAGGAAAGUCCACCAAAAAAGUCACGGAUUCUAUAAUGUUUAAGCAGAUAUAGGCUCAAAUUUGAAUCGAUAAAAGGUAGCUAAAUGAGUAGGCACCAAGAGUAUUCAUGGGAGGAAAUGUCAACUCAAGGCCGAAUGGCUAAUAAAGUUUGCCAGAAAAUAGUAAGAAGCACUAGAAAUAUCUUGAAGGUCUACCAGCGGUGGAAAUUGUCAAGAGAUACCUAGGUAAGAGAUAGUUCGUUGGGAACUACCGGUCAAUCGAAGUAUCUAAAAGUAAUAGAUUGAAAGAACAGGUACCAUGGGGUUACAUUGAGGUCCUGAGUCCAUUAAAGAAAAGUGGAUAUCAAGAAGAGACAUUAUUUAGAACAAAGGUUUAGGCUAAGGAACCGCGGUCAGGGCGAUUAUUCGUAUAACCACAAUUAGGGCAAGAUUUAGUCCCAUAAACACAAUUGUUAUAUGUGCGUUAGAUUUUACGGAGGUCAGGGCCAUUUAAGUUCACAGAAUUUCCUCACGAAUCCUAGGGAGUUUUACUCUACGCACAAAAUAUUUUCUCUUAGAAUUUAAAGCAACCCUUUUAAAGUUGAAUGAAUAAACUCACUAGGUUUCUUUGAACUUAUAGAAAUUCCUGCUGACAUGGCAUGAAAGCCUCCCAGCUGGGCGAGCUUUCUUUAACAAAGUUACUAUUUCCUAGGUUGAAAAGCUUGACGCUUCAAAUAAUUCAGACACUUUAAACAUUUCUUCAACACGUUUAGAAUAUAUUUCAGUGCGCUUUGAAGGUUUCCCUUUGCAAACAGACCCUUCAAUGCUGCUAUAAAAUGACUUUUACAUACCAAGCUUCAUCAUCCCUCACUCAUAUAAUUUCUCUCUAAUCCUUUCUAUUUCUCUACUAUAAACAAUUUUUCGGUCUUAAAAUUUUCAGUCGCUAAAAAUAUUUGGUUUACAUUCGAGGUACUCUUGAGUCGUCGGUGAUGCAAUAUCACUCAGAGCUACACACAUUUCAUAUAUCAUGCCGAGAAGGGAUCAUUGCCUCCGAAUCCUAUCCUAGGAAAGCCGGUUAUGGGGUGAUUUUGCUUUCUACGGUCAAGGGUAGAAGUCGACGUGGAGCCUCAAUCGACGAUCGUUAUGCGGUAAUGGAUCGAGAUAUAACGGGGGAGCAAGUUGAUGGUUGUUAUGUGGCCACGAGCUCAAUCUUUUCGAAUGCCCGAAAAUGAUGUCCUAUAAAUACCAUAUAGAAGUUUGAGGGCAUAUUCAUACGGAAAAAAUCUGGGGCUUUUAGCUAUAAUUGGUGUAAUUUUUUUCUCUAUUUCCAGGCAACCAAUACCUUUAACCUUCCUUCUUAUUCGAAGGUCGGCACCGUCGUGGAUGCAAAAGGACUCUUAGGUGGGGAGCAAUUGUUGUGGUGUAGUAAAGGUGAUGCUUCUUCAGAGCGACGACGAUUGUCGUUAUUACACAACCCAUUAAUAACUACAAUUGCUACCGCGCAAACCCGAGUUUGACCUCUACUGUGUCGGAACAUCCGCUCACCUCUUGAGAGCCCUUUUCUGUCCACCUCGGUGUCAGCCUUCGGACAAGAAUGAAAGGUUAAAGAUACCGGUUGCUUGGAAAUAGAAAAAAAUUACGUUGAUUACAUCGAAAGUCCUUAAAGUUAUUUCGAAUGGUUAUGACCUCAGUCUUAUGUAUGGUAUAUAUAGGGCAUUGUUUGCAGGUACCCAAAAAGCUUAAACUUUUGAUUGUGUAACAACUGUUACCUGGCCCCCCGAUUAUACUCGAACCCAUGAUCGCAUCACGACCGCUGACUAGGACCUUCACGUUGACUUCGACCCUUGAUCGUAUCAAGCAUUAUUACCUCGAAAUCAGAUUUCCCCAUGAUGAGUUUCUAAGGUCAUGGUCCUAUCCUGCCAUGACAUAUGAAAUGUAUGUGUGCUAAUGCGUAUUAUCACAUCUCCGACCCUUCAAAAUUAUUUAAGAACUUCUGUUAUUUCAGUUGAAAACCCAAAACACUUUCAAAAUACCCUAAACCCUAACCUUAAAAUAAAAACUCUAACCUUAAAAUAAGCCCUAACCCUAAAGAAAAAAAGGAAAACACAUCCAAUUGGACAAAUUUUUUGGAAAGUGCAUCCAACUGGACGAGCGUUUUAGAAAGCUCGUCUAGCUAGGCGCGCUUUCCUGACACCUGUACAGAAAGCUCACCCAACUGGACACGUUUUCUAUUGAAAUCAGUCUAUUUCCCUAAUUAAUUUUAAAACCGGCCUAAAACCCCAAUUAAUUAAAAAAAAUAGCCUAUUGACCUUAUUGUCAAUUUGAUCUAAUCUCACUUAUUUCUAUUAAGCUAUUUAUGAAUUGGUCCAAACUCCAAUUAGUUCCAACAAUGUAACAAUUUGACCCAAAUUCAGUUGUAGUUGGUUUUAAAUUUUACUUUUGUCUAGCCCUAAUUAAAUUCCAAUUAUUUAUUUUUUAGAAAAAAUGCAAAAAUAGAAGAAACUGCUGCCCCAGCAGGCCAGCCAAGCCAUUACAAAAAAUAAAAUAAAAUAAAUAUAAAAAAGUAAACUCCAGAUCUUCCAAAACGACUUCAUACAAGCAAGAAAAACGUAUAAAACGACGUACGUUUACGUUCCUUUUUAUUUAUUUAUUUAUUUUUAAGCUUCCUUUUUCCUUCAUCGAUCUGCAAUUUCUUAAGCAAGUUUUCUUUUUUUCUUUCUCUCUUUAGAUCUCCCUUUCCACAAAUUCCUUUUACAACGCCGUCGUUUUUCUAUUUGAUCUACAGUUUCUUGAAAAAUCAUUGUGUGGAUCCUUCCAUGGCCAGUCACUGAAGCUGUUCGCCGCUGAAUACGACACCGGUUAGUCGUUCUUUUUUAAGCUUUUGAUUGUUUUGGCGAAGAUAUUUUUUUGGGUUUUCAAAAAAGAAUAUUUUUUUUACUCAAAACUGAAGUUAAGUUAGUGUAAAGGGAAAUUGAAUUUUGGAUUAGUUUAUUGGAAUUUCAGUUUUAUGAAUGAUUUGUAAAAUUUGAAUCUCAACUGUUUUUGUUUGAAUUUAGAUUAGUAUUGAAUUAAAGGAGCUGGAUUUUAGGGAAAUUAAUUGGAAUUGAGUUGAAUUUUGAUUGUUUUAGAGUGUUCUGGAAGUUUCUUUUGAUUGUUAAACUGUGUAUUAUAGCUAAGAUGCAAAUAUUAAGUGCUUAAAACUGAUUAAAUUUUUAUUUAAAUAAAAAAAUCAAACACUUUUCGAGUUCAAUUAUGUUUAUAUGUGAUCUUCAAAUAAUCAUAUUUUAGCUAUUUGGAAGUUAAUUUAUCAACUCAAGAUUAUGCUUUUAUAUAAGACUUUUGCCUUAGAUUCAUGGAUGUGGUUGAUUGUGGCUGGCUUGGAAGUUAGCAUUUGGGUGGGGAGGGGUGGGGGGGGGGGGGUGGGGUGGAGGGGAGGUUGAAUCAGUAAUAUUUCCUUUUAGUUGUGGGAUGCAUGGAAUUAUUGAGCAUGAUAAUUUUGAAGGAAAAGUGAAAUUUUGAAAUAUUUAGUUUUUCUUGGUGCAUUUGGUGCUGCUUGAUUCUUGGUGAUGUCUGUGGAAAAUUUUUGCCUUUUCUGGGUGAUUUGGCUAUGAAGUUUACUGGUGUUUCAUUUAUUACCUUUUGUGAAUGCUCACUAUUGUGAUAUUACUUAUCCUGGCAGGGUUAGUUGCGGGAGAUUGCCUAUUCAUAACAUAGUCAUAAUAUUGAACACCAUGGGGACUGAAAAUCCUGGUCGUCCGAAUUUCCCCAUGCGACCUUCUGCUACCCCUUUUGCUUCUGCUCCGCCAACUGUGAGACCUUUUUCAUCAUCUGGUCCUGUGGUGGGAUCAGAAAGCAGCAAUGUUAGAUCUGCUCCACCAGGUGCACCCCCAACUAUGACGCCUUUCUCGUCAGGUGGACCUAGACCACCUGCUCGUUUUAGUGAUCCACCAGUUCCAUCUCCGCCCUUAACAUCUGUUCCACCUUCUGGGGGAUCUUAUCAGCGAUUUGUAACUCCACCGUUUCCUUUAGCUGCUCAAGCACCCCCUGCUCGUGCACCACUUGUGGGGCAGCCACCAUUUCAACCUCCUGGGAGUCAAGUAUCAGUGCCACCACCUUCUUUCCGACCACAGACACAAGUUCUGCCAGUGCCAAUGGGAUCUCCACCACAAAAUGUAAAUUUUCCUCCAUCCAGUGCGAAUGUUCCUCAACCUCCAUCUGAUUCAUCAUUUUCGGGGCCCAGACCCAAUUUUCAGAUGGCUUCCCCCCUUCCAGAUCAUUCUGCUACCAAGUCGAGCUUCCAGCCACCUUUUCCUGGAUAUCCAGGCAAGCAGCCUGCAGUUUCACAAGCACCGUCACCUUUUCCUGCUCAGCAAGGAAGUUUUAUGCCUCCUCCUGCACCGCCUUCUCCUUUUGCUAGUCAGCAAGGAAGUUAUGCUCCUCCUCCACCAGUAGCAGCUAACUUGGGCUACCAAUCAAGGGACCAAAUGCAGCAUCCAGGCUCUGCACCUCCUACUGGCAGCAUCCAAAGCUUGACAGAAGAUUUUAGUUCACUCUCCAUUUCAUCUAUGCCUGGAUCAAUUGAGCCAGGACUUGAUUAUAGAACACUUCCUAGGCCAUUGGAUGGUGAUUUGGAGCCAAAUUCUUUUCUUGAGAUGUAUCCUAUGAAUUGUGAUCCUAGAUACCUACGGCUUACUACAAGUGCUAUACCAAAUUCUCAGUCUUUAGUUUCAAGAUGGCAUUUGCCUCUUGGAGCAGUUGUUUGUCCUCUUGCAGAGGCUCCUGAAGGGGUAAGUGCCUCAAGAAUCAUAAUAUUACUUUUAGUUGUUUAAUAACUGUAUUUUCAUGAAGACUUAAGUUUUUCCUGUCAAUUACUGUUGCUUCAUGUUCAGGAAGAAGUGCCUGUAAUUAAUUUUGCUUCGACUGGUAUCAUUCGUUGUAGAAGAUGUCGCACAUAUGUGAAUCCCUAUGUCACAUUUACUGAUGCUGGAAGAAAGUGGCGUUGCAACAUCUGUUCUUUACUAAAUGAUGGUAAACUCAACCUAGGAAGCAAAGAUAUAAUUCAAUGUUGCAAGUGCAAUGAGUCGCAUCAAGUUUUCUAGUUGUGACUGAUGUUUAUGGCAUCAUUUUCCAUGCCAUACAUUCUUUUAUCUUUUAUCUGCAUUUUUUUUCUUUGUAAUAUCAAAUAUUAUUGGAGGGCAAUGAGCUCAUUACUCGCAUAGACUUCCAAUAAAAUAUAACAGUUUUCUGCAAGGUUGCUUGUCAUGGGCAUCUUGCCUAACUUUUAACUAUCUCAUUACACUGGUAAACUGCAAACUGCAAAAUGUAAUUUUCAAUUUACUAAUAGGUGCAGUAUGGAGUAUCACAUAACAUGUCAACUAACUUCUCUUUAUUGGUAAUGUAUUUUUGUUUAUUUUUCUGUUGUAUCCAAUUGGUUAUACUGUGUGGCAGACUGGCUUUCUGUCCUGGGUAGAUCUCUUUAAUAGUUAUUACAAAGCAUAUAUGCUUAUUUGAUUCAACUUCCAUGUUCAGUUCCUGGUGAGUAUUUUGCGAACUUGGAUGCCACUGGAAGAAGAAUUGAUUUGGACCAGCGGCCUGAGCUUCUAAAAGGCAGUGUGGAAUUUGUUGCACCAACUGAAUACAUGGUGCGGCCUCCAAUGCCGCCACUGUAUUUCUUUCUCAUUGAUGUUUCAAUAUCUGCAGUAAGAAGUGGUAUGAUUGAGGUAAGCACUUCCUUUAAGGCAGUUGAUUAUUUACUAGAGUGUGUUUAAUAAAGAAUCGUGUUAUUCUAGUAGGGAUUUAUGAAGGCAGAGUUUUCUAAUUGUAAUGUGAAUUAAGAACACGUGAAUUACAGUUGAGGAUGCUGGCUUGGGUUAUCUAGUGUUUGUCUGAUGUACUAUUUGAAAGUGAUAGAUGGGCUGACUUUGCCACAAUUUGGUCUCAAAUAUGUUUAUCAAGUAAGAUUUGCAAGACUCUUUCCCCUUGCCAUGGAAUCUGUUGGGAGAAGAGAAAUAUGGGUUAGCCUGGCUGCAAUUAUUACAGUGUUUGUUUAACAUAGUAGAACUUGUUUAGCUGAUUGUUCAUCCAGGUUGUUAUAGGCAUUUUCCGAUCAUACUUGAUUAAACUAUGGUCAUAACAUGUACCUUUAUAAGUCUUGCUGUUCUUCUCUCCAUUUUUUUCUCCUUAUAUUGCUUAUGCAUGUAAUAGUUUCUGCUAACUUGCAACAUAUUUCUUAGGUUGUUGCUCAAACUAUACGUUCAUGUUUGGAUGAGCUGCCUGGUUUCCCCAGAACACAGAUUGGUUUCAUUACUUUUGAUAGCACCAUUCAUUUUUACAAUAUGAAGGUAAGUGACAUCUGGGAUCAGUGGAAAAGUUUUCUGAGAUGCCUCGAUUUUCUCCAUUCCAGUGAAGUAGUUAAUAACUAUGCGGUUUUUGUCUUUGCAGUCAUCUCUUACACAGCCUCAAAUGAUGGUAGUUUCAGAUCUAGAUGAUGUAUUUGUGCCAUUGCCCGAUGAUCUCCUUGUCAACUUGUCUGAAUCUAGAAAUGUGGUUGAGACGUUCCUGGAUAGUUUGCCCUCUAUGUUUCAGGAUAAUGUGAAUGUGGAAUCUGCUUUUGGUCCUGCACUUAAGGCUGCAUUCAUGGUUAUGGUAUGUUAUUUUCUCCACCUUUCUACCGUGAGCCUUCAUCAAUGAUAAGAUUCCUUCUAGUUUCUUGCUGAUGUUUGCGUUAUAUAUUUGGUUGUUUGGCAACCUGUUUAUUGCAGAGUCAACUUGGGGGAAAGUUGCUAAUAUUCCAGAACACAUUGCCUUCCCUAGGAUAUGGGCGCUUGAAGUUGCGUGGAGAUGAUAUCCGUGUGUAUGGAACUGAUAAGGAACAUACAUUGAGAUUGCCGGAAGAUCCUUUCUACAAGCAAAUGGCUGCUGAUCUUACAAAGUACCAGAUAGGGGUUAAUAUUUAUGCCUUUAGUGACAAAUACACUGACAUAGCUUCCUUAGGUACAAAGAUCAGUGCCCUUUUUUUAUGUUAAAAAUGAUAUAGAUUUUUACAAGAGCUUUUAGUGAUACUUGAUGUCUCUUUUAUGAAUUUUCAAUGUAGGAACCCUGGCAAAAUAUACUGGGGGUCAAGUGUAUUAUUAUCCAAGCUUCCAAUCAAACAUUCAUGGAGAGAAGCUGAGGCGUGAGUUGGCCAGAGAUCUUACUAGGGAAACAGCCUGGGAAGCAGUUAUGCGCAUAAGAUGUGGAAAAGGUAUGUAAAUUCUUUUUUACUUAUUGUUGUAGCUAUUUGUAACUUAUGCUACAUUUGGUUAGAGAAUUAUUUUUUCCACAUGUUUUAGUCAUUGUUUAACUAUAAACUAAUCACAAUUGGUAAUUUUUAGCCACUCACAUGACUUGUUUGUAGCAAAGAGAAGGAAAAUUUUUCGCUUAUUUUAAAGGGGUCUUAAUUUUCACUAGAGUUUUUACUCAUCUUUCUAGUUGCAUGUUUAAAUUUGUGUUAACUAUUCUUUAUUUAAUAUCUAACUAUUUUAAAGCAUGUGUUAAAUAUGCUUUUUACUCAUGUUAUUACACCAGUAACCAAACGUUGCCUUAAUGCCAUGUAGCCAUAAUUCCAAUGUAGUUGGGUUAGCUAGAUUUUUUCCCCCUUCCAUCUGUAUGCUGGCUUGGGGUAAUGCUCAUAUAAAAUGCUAUUACGACCCAUGUUUUUUUGAUAACAAAGCAACUUAUUCAUGUUAUCUGUUACUUUGCACCAGGGAUUCGGUUUACAUCUUACCACGGCAACUUUAUGCUGAGGUCCACAGAUUUACUAGCACUUCCCGCUGUAGACUGUGAUAAAGCAUAUGCAAUGCAGUUAUCCCUUGAGGAGACACUUCUUUCUACUCCAACAUUAUAUUUCCAAGUUGCUUUACUGUAUCCUUCAAAUGGCAAGCUUAUUAUAUCAGUUUUAAUUUAUUCGAUUAUUCCCUUGUCAGCUGAAACUGAUUGUUUUAUAAGUGGAAAACGAUAUGGAUUACUGAUGUUUCUUUAACAGUUUAAAGAUAUACUGCAUCUUGUGGAGAGAGGCGUAUCAGAGUACAUACCGCAGCUGCCCCUGUUGUUACAGAUUUGGGGGAGAUGUACCGCCAGGCUGACACUGGUGCCAUUGUUUCUUUGUUUUGUAGAUUAGGUGAAGUUAAUCAAAAGUCCCUCUGCAAGAGUGCUAUUUGUUUUGGUUGAUCUUAUUCUUAUGUUUUCUAAUUGACUUAUGUUUUGCAGCAAUCGAGAAAACAUUGACAAGUAAACUUGAAGAUGCUAGAAAUUCUUUGCAACAAAGGAUUGUAAAAGCGCUCAGAGAAUACCGCAAUCUUUAUGCUGUGCAGCAUCGGUUGGGAGCUAGGAUGAUCUAUCCAGAGUCUCUAAAGUUCUUGUGUUUGUACGGAUUAGCACUGUCUAAAUCAGUACCUCUAAAAGGAGGAUAUGCAGACGCUCAGCUUGAUGAACGCUGCGCAGCAGGUUUCACCAUGAUGGCAUUACCCGUUAAAAAGUUGUUGAAGCUUUUAUAUCCUAGCUUGAUUCGAAUUGAUGAAUAUCUUUUGAAGGUGAAAUAUUUGAAACCUUUAAAUACAUUUCAAUAAAGAUGUAGAUUUUGCAAACUGAACAUAACUUAUGUUUCAUAUUUGCAGCCAUCUGCUCAAGCUGAUGAUUUCAAAAACAUCAUGAAGAGAUUGCCUUUGCUCGCAGAAAGCCUAGAUUCAAGGGGCCUUUAUUUGUAUGAUGAUGGCUUACGCUUUGUUAUUUGGUUUGGUAGAAUGCUUUCACCUGAUAUAGCAAGGAAUUUACUUGGACCAGAGUUUGCAGCAGAAUUAUCGAGGGUAUGAUCUCUUGAUGAAACUAUUCUUGUAUGUUUAAUCUGUUUUAGUGACCAUUUUAUGGAUUAAUGAAAUUGAUAUCAUUGUCGGUAAAUAUAUAAGAUUUGCUUCAAAUGCUAGCCUUUAUUGUUAUAUGAACUCGUCUUUAAUAGGACUGCGGGAUUGUAAUCUUGCUCAUAUUUUUCUGCAGGCUAAUGUUAGUAUUUGAAGUUGAAUGCCUCGUUAUGAGGUUUCUACUUAACUGGUUCUUCAUGUUGUCUCUUUAAAAUCAGGUUGCGCUUACCGAGAAUGAUAAUGAAAUGUCAAGAAGGCUGAUGAAGAUGUUAAAGAGACUAAGAGAGAGUGACCCUUCGUAUUAUCAACUUCCUUAUCUUGUAAGACAAGGUGAACAGCCGAGGGAAGGUUUCCUGCUGCUUGUAAAUCUUCUUGAGGACCAGAUGGGCGGUACUGUUGGUUACGUCGAUUGGAUAAUGCAAAUACACCGACAAGUCCAACAAAAUGCAUGAUAUACGGGUAAUUGUUCAAGAGGUGGCUAAACUUUCGUAGUCUUCUUGAACUUAAGAACAACUAUUGUUCCUUUCAUUUGGGAUAACUUUUAGUCUAGUUUUUGGUUGAGACAAGCAAGUUUUUCGAGUCAGGAUCUUUAGUCAGAGUUAAUGGUGUUUGAGUUAGGGGCUUCUUUUUAUGGAAUUACAUUGCAAUGAAUCAUCAUUUGCUUUUGAUUCUGAUUACUUCAAAUUCCACAGGAGUUCAUCAUCUUACGUCGUAAAAUUCAUCUGUAUUGUCCGGUUUCCUCUGGAGCUUGUGUGUUGAACCGAUGGAACCAAUCGGUCCGAAGAUUUGCAGGAAAGAAUUUUUUGUUCAUUACGAAAUUCAAUAACUAGGAAAAGAGAGAAAACACCUGUGCUUCUAGCUAUUCGUUAUUGCAGUGCUUGAGAAUUUAAGUUGUGUAUGUGACAUUUAAAUUAUUGCCUUGCAAUUUUUUUGGGUUUAGAAAAAAAGAAGGUAUGAACACAUUUGCCAAAACGCUGUCAUGUUUUAGCAUGCUUUCGAAAUUGGAGUGUUAUUUUCUCACUUCCCCAACACAUAAUCAUCAUCAUCGUGUUUCUGACUCUAAUUCAUAUCCCUACCUGGUAACCCAUAAAUCGGUUCAAUUGUUAAAUCUGUAUGUUAAAUAAAAAAAUUAAAUAGGUUUUUUUUUUUUGUUAAAAUCUUCUUUCAAUUUUAUCUCCGAAUGUCGGUAUGAGAUACACAUGUUAUGUUAGUAUGUUAUACAUAUAUUGUUUAAUUAAUUUGUUUACUACACUAUUUUUUAAUUAAAUAAAAAGAAUUAAUUUAUUCUGUGAUUUAACUUUUUAAAUAAAGAAAGUAAAAUGCAUGGUAUUUUUUACUCCAUAAAUCUUAUUAAAGUAAUACUCAAAUUAAGUUAAGUGAUUUGAAUAAAUAAUUUAAAAUGAUAUAACUGUGAAUUAGUUUGAAAAAACAAAAAAAAAAUGUAAUUAUAACUAAUGUAUUUCUUUAUCAUUUAAUAUUAAUUUUUUAAUUUUUUUGCCUACCAAUUAUUGCAUACUCUAAUAAUUGUGAUUUAAUUUUUCAUCCAUUCACAAUCAUACAAAGUUAUUUUCCAAUUUUUAUCUAACUUUUUAUUUUAUUUUAUUAUUUUCUAUCCGAUAUUUAAAUUUAUUAAAUGAUCAACCAGUUAUGCACAAAUUUAUUAAUGUUAAUAGUAAUUACUCUUUUUUUUUUUAAAUUUUCAUAAGCAUUUUUUUGAAAGAAAAUUUAAAGAUUAUUUAAUGAAUUAGUAAUGGUUUAAAUUAUUUUCAUUAAUUUCAACUCUAAGGUAGUGUUUGGAAAGUCACUUAGAUUUGAGUGUAACUGUUUGUGAUUACAAAGGGGUGACACGUUUAGGUAACCAUUGUGAUUAAUGGACCUCACUAAAUUGCGUGUAAUUAAAGUACCUCAAUUAUACUUUUCAAUUCUUAGGGAAAUAGUGAGGAUUGGAGCAAUUACAUAGGUAAUUACACUCAAUUUUUUAAAAAUAUUUUUAUACAAGUUUAAGAUGUAAAGUUAUAUUAUAAGCAUGUACAUGUAUGGGUGUUUGAGAUGAUUAUGAUAAAAAAAAUUAUACUAUAAAUCCUAAAAAUAUAUUAUAAAAAUAAUUUGUGUAUUUUAUAAAAUUAUAAUAAAAACUUUUAUUAUUUAAAAAAUAUAAAGUUAUAAUUAAAAUGUUUACUAUGAAAAAUAAUUUACAUGUUAUAAAAGUAUUAUAAUAUAUUUAUUUAUAAAAAAAAUAAAAUUUUAAAGUUGUGGAAAAAUCAUAUUAUUUAUAAGAGGUAUUAUAAAAGUUAUUAGACACUUUAAAAUAAUUUUUUUAACAAGGAUUAUAUACUAUAAAUUUAUAUUAUUUUUACUUAAUUUAUGUAUUAAAAAAAUGUUAUAACUUAGCCUAGGUCUUUUUUCAAAAUUAAAUUUAUGUAAGUUUUUAUAAUUAACACUACAUGAUAUCUGCAUCGUGAAUAUAAAUAUUAUAUGGUAGAUAUUAAUUAUAUAAAUAUGAAAGGUUUUCUUACAUCAUACUAUAGGGAUGAUACCAUUUGAAAGAAUAGAGCUAGAUACGAACAUUAGAGAUAGCUCGUGAGCUCUUUACUUUGAGACAUUCAAGGCUUUGAAAUGUAGUUCAAAAGACGUUUGUUGUUCUAAAAAAAGAUUUCUCAUGUUAACAUCACUUUAGUAUAGCAUAAAAAAAAGUUGAACCAUAAUAACAUGUUAUUAAUGAAAUGAUACAAGUAUUUUUUUUAAAAUUAAAAAAUAAAUAAACACAAUUUAAUUAACACAUACAAUUAAUUUGCCCAUCGCAUGCACAUGUAUGAAAACUAGCUUAUUGAUAAGUGACAUUAUAUAAUUAAAUAAUAGAUAAUUAUUUAAUAUACUAAUAGUGAAAAUUUUUAAUUUCACAAAUAAGAUUGAGAUUUGAUCAUGUAUUUUUAAAUUAUAUUUUUAAAAAAUAAAAUAUACGAUAAAAUCUCAACCCACUUAUAAAAUAAAAAAUCCCCACUAUUUAUACACCAAAUAAUUACCCAUAAUUUAGAAAUAAAGGAAUAAUUAAAAAGAAUGGUGGUGGAACAUGCAUAUACUACCUUCCCAUAAUACUAUUAUAAUAAGUUGACUUCCUUAACCAUAUAUAUAUAUAUAUAUAUAUAUAUAUAUAUAUAUAUAUAUAUAUAUAUAUAUUUUCUAAGUAAAUUUCUGGAAUCUAUAUGCAAAAUUCUCUUCCAUAUUCGAAAAAAUUAAAAAAAAUUCAAAUUUUGAGUUAAUCGAAUCGAGUUAUUCGAGUAAACUCGAAUAAGUAAUUAUAGUUUCGAGUUCGAGUCGAGUUGAAAUUUACAAUUCGAAUAACUCGAAUAAUUUGAAUAAUAAAUUGGUGUAAAUACCCAUUUGGUCCUUGUCAAUUUUGAAAAUGGGCAAAUUAAUCUCCCUCUCAACAAAAAAUAGAAAAUAAUUCCAAAUAUUUUUCAAAAAUUUAAAAUAUUUAUAAAAAUUCCAAAAUUUAGAAAUUUUUUAAAUACAAUUCUAAAGAAUAUAUAACUAAAGUUAAAAUUUUAAAAAUUUUCUAAAACAAUAACUUUGGGGAACCUAAAUAAGUUAAUUAAUGAUUCAAGUUUACCAUACUAAAGCAUCUUAUUAUUUUAUUAUUAUUUUGCUUUGAAUUUUUUUUCAAAUAUAUAUGGUUUCAAAUUUAUGUGCUCUAACAUGAAAUUAGUUAUACUAUAACAAUAUUUUACUUUGACAUGUUUAAUUUUUAAAUUUAACAUCAAAAAAUUUCACUUAAAUCAACCUUUAUAAACUGCUCUUUUUGACAUAAUGUCUAGAAUUAUCAAUAGCCCCUCCCCAAUCCAUAAAUAGGAAGAUAAUGCGCUUCAACGCACUUGACCCACAUCCUUUUAUAUUGACAACAAUGCCCAUGUAAUCGAGUUAAGACUCAAUCGUCAACAUUAGUGAGUUUUUUUUUUAUUUUAAAUAUACUAAUGCAGUUAAACUUUUUUCUACUAUUCAUAUAUAGGUGAAUAUUUGGUAUACUGACAAUGUAUUUUUUUUUUUGAAAUAAGUUUCAGAUUGGGUUUUAUUUUAAAAUAAAUAAAUGUUACACAUAAUAUCUUAGAAAAAACAACCAACGAGCCCAAUUAAAAAAAUUGAGCCCAGCAAAAGAAAACUAAAAGACAAAAAUUGAAAAACCAAAUCUCCUAGAGAAAAGAAAAAGGAAACAAAAUCUGAUUCUAAUAAAUGUUUACUAUUCUACCUGCCCAAUCAGUCUUAAAAGACUACAAACGUCUUAUCUCUUCAAUUUUAUUUACUUUUCCAAGACGCUUGAGAUUACUCUAGGGCUGCUGAAAUAACUUUGAUGUCUGCCCUUCUCUAUACUCUCAUCCCUUCAUUUCUCGCUUUCUUCCUUCAAUCUGGUGCUUUUGCCCUCUCAGUUUCUGCUUGGAUUUCUGCCGCUUCAGGGACUCGUCCGAUCAGGUAGGCUCCUCUACUACUCUUCAGCGCUUCAUUUGCUAAUAUAUGCACAAGGUUGUUUGCUAAUCUUGGGAUAUGCUCAAACCUACACUCCUUGAAUUUAAGCAAAAGUUGAUGAAUAUCAUGUAAAUACGCACUAAUCAAUGAUUUAUCGGGGCUUUUUGUUUUACAUUUUCUUAUUAUUGAUAAAGAAUCCCCUUCAAUAAUAACUUUUUCCCACUGCAUGUUAAUGCCGAUCUGGAGGGCUUUCCGACACGCUAUUGCUUCCGCCCCAAAGGCUGAGGGAACUCUUUGAUGAACCUCCGUACAUGAUAGAAGAACUGAACCCUUCUUAUCGCGGGCCACAACCCCAAUAGCCGUUUUACUUUGUCUACCAUCGUACGCUGCAUCGAAAUUGAUUUUGACUACCUUGUCCACUGGCUUUGUCCAUAUUUUUACAGGUAUGGAAGAUUGCAACCUAUUUUUACCAACUGCAUCAAGAUCUGAAAUAUAGCUAUGAACAAAUCUCCUUACUUCUUUUCUAGAUUUACCAUCUUUUUUAUGCAAUCUAUUGUUCCUGUCUCCCUAGAUGGCCCAUACUGCAACACAAAAGAUUCGAUGCUGAGGAGUCGAGCUUUGUGAGAAAACCCAGGUUAGCCACUGUAGAAACCCCAUUUGAUUGUCUUGCAAAAACCUAUGAAAAGAUAACUCUCUCCAUACUGCUAUUGUAGCAGGACAUUCCCGGAAGAGAUGGUCCAUAGUUUCAGUUCCUGAACUACAGUGAGGACAUACUGACGUGUUCGUCAGUCUUCUAAGUAGCAUAUUAGCUCGCGUAGUUAGAAAAUUCCAAGAUAUCUUCCAAACUGUAAUUUUAAUUUUUGAAGGAAGAUCAAGUAGCCAUAGUUUUCUGUAGAAGUCCUUGUAGUCAUUUUGUAAAGCAUAAGCUUCAGGGUUAUUUUCAAUGCUUUGUAAUAGUUUAUAGGCGCUCCGUGUUGUGAACUCAUCCGUCGCUUCAACGCUCCAAACUUGGAAAUCUUUGUGCGGUGUUUCAGCUAGUGGGAUACUGAGGAUCUUCUCUGCUACAUCCUCCAGAAAGGUAUGCUCUACCAACUCUUGUUUCCAUGUUCUGCUACUUGAAUCAAUUAGCUCUGCAACUUUACUAUCAUUCAAAUUUGAACUUAAAACUGGUAAUCUAUCACGCGGUAAAACUGGAAUCCAAUAAUCACGACUGAUUGAAAAUUUUGUACCUCGCCCCACCUUCCAACAUAAGCCCUCUGCUAGGAUGCCCUUAGCAGCCCAAAUACUUUUCCAUGUAUACGAUAUAUUAUUCCCCAACUGUGAGUUUAAAAAAUCAACACUUGGAAAAUAUUUCGCUUUUAAUACUUGCGCAACUAAAGAAUUUGGAUUGUUUAUAAUACGCCAUCCUUGCUUAGCUAAAAGUGAAACAUUAAAUUGAGCCAUAUUUCUAAAGCCCAAUCCACCCUCUUCUUUAGGACGGCAUAAGUACUUCCACUGACACCAAUGAAUACCUCUCCUACCAUGCGUUUUUUGCCACCAAAAUUUAGCAAAAAUAUUUUCAAAUUCUCCACAAGGAGUCUUUGGUAAUAAGAAGCAUGACAUAGCGUACGUUGGAAUGGCCUGUAACACCGAUUUAAUAAAGACUUCUUUACCUCAUUGAGAUAACAUUCUAGUACUCCACCCAUCAAUCCUGGUAGCAAUCUUUUCUUUUAAAUGCUGAAAGGAUUCUUUCUUUCAUCGACCAACCAUGUUUGAAAGCCCUAGAUAUCGUUCUAAGUUUGUUGAGAUCCUAACCCCCAAUUUUGCCGAAACUUCAUUCAUUUUUUCUUCUGACGUAUUGGUGCUGAAAAAUAUGGUAGACUUGUUGAAAUUAACGCACUGUCCAGAACACUUUUCAUAUUCCUUCAAAAUUUCCUUUAGUAUACUGGCACCCCUAUCAGAUGCUUCCCCAAACAACAUACAAUCAUCUGCAAAGAGUAGAUGUGAAAUUUCUGGUCCUCUUCUGCUUGCUUUUGCACCCUUUAUCAGUCCCUUUUCUGAAGCCAAUCUCAUUAAAGAUGAUAACCCCUCACUACAAAUCAGAAAAAGAAAGGGGCUCAGCGGAUCUCCUUGACGUAAGCCUCGAGACGGUGAAAAAACUUUUCCACUUCUACCAUUUGUAUUAACUGCAUAGGAUGUUGUGGAAACACAAGUCAUAAUCAGCUUAACCCACUCUGGUGUGAAGCCCAUUCGUAACAUCACUUCCUUCAAGAAUCCCCACUCAACCCUAUCAUAGGCUUUGCUCAUGUCAAGUUUAACUGCCAUGUAUCCUUUUUUUCCUGUGCGCUUUUGCCGAAAAGUAUGUAAGAUCUCAUAAGCUAGUAUCACAUUGUCUGUUAUUAGCCUUCCCAGGACGAACACACUUUGAGCAGCAUCAAUGCAUCUUCCAAUAACUGCUUGUAGUCGAGUUGCAAUUGUUUUUGCCACCAUUUUGUAGAUUACAAAACAUAAACUGAUAGGUCUGAAAUUAACUAUGCUAGUGGGAUUUGGAAUUUUUGGGAUAAGCACAAUGUCGGUAUGAUUUAAAUUACCAAAACUUGCACCGUUAUUUAAAAUUUCCAAGCAAAGAUUGGUUAUUUCCUUACCUACGAUAUGCCAGAAUUUCUGAAAGAAAAUGGCUGGAAAACCAUCAUUGAUUAAAUACUAAAAUUACAUAUUUUAUGUAAUUAAUUUGGUAUAUUUAUGAGAAUGCACCACUAAUUUUGCCAUAUUUAUUGAAUUUUGUGCAGGAAUGUAUUUGGGGACUAAAUAGAAGAAAAAGGGAACAAUUGGGCCAAAUUAAAGAAAGAAGCAAAGAAGGAGCGCCAAAGUAGAAUUUUUCCUAUUUUUAAUUAGCUAAAAAUUUUGUUGAUUUAGUGGGGGAGAUUAUUUUGGGAUAUUUUUGGUCAUGGAAUAUUUUUUUUCCUUAAUUUCCUAUGACUAGUAGGUUCCUAAUUUAGUAAAUCCUCUAGUAUAAAUAGUGCUUGUAUUGUUCAUCAUUUCAUCAAUCAAUCAAAAAAAUAUUUUAGCUUUUGUCUUUCAAUUCUCUCCUUUCUCACGUAGCAUUUGUUAUUUCUUAGCUUGUUUUCCUUCAAUUUUCAUUAGUUCCAGUAGCCUACCAUCCAUUUCACCUUUAUUUUCAACUUUUCAUAAAUUUAUUUAUUGUCUUUAGUUUCUUUAACUUUUAAUUCCUAAAAACUUCCAGCUUUUACUACUUUCCAUUUACAACUUUUUUUUCAAAUUCUCUUUUUCAACCACCCCCAUACUUAAUCACAUCACCCAUCUUUUCACCUUUUCUACCUUAUUUAAUUUAUCAAAUACCAACAUGUCCCAAACCUUAGCCAACUAAACCCAUUUUUAGCUUUAGGCCGAAAUUAGCCUCGUCAAAACCCGUGAGUUACGAACCCGAGCCAUUUAACUCCUAAAAUUCCAGUACUUAUUACUUCUCCGGAUUAAGAGUAUGAUUUUGUCAACUCAUAAAGUCAGAUCAACACUAAGUCAAAAAAGACGUCGUUUGAUUUAGUGUGGUUAGACGUACAGUUGGAAUUCCGAAAGGAACGUUUCUAAUCGGUUUUCUGUGAACACAUUAGCGUGCCAAGUGGAGAUUGCUGUUUGGUUCUGUCAAGGGAAGUAGUAACCGGAUUUAAAUGUUUGACGCGGUUGAGGGCAUUGGUUCGAGUUAGGCUCUUCUAGAACGCAAAGCUGCCGGAGUUCUAAAUCACGAACGUUUCGUGGUUGUUCGAUCGGUAAGAGUUAGUUAUUGGACGUUCCAUAACUAAUUUACACAAGGAAGAGUUGGUGUCUGAGGCGUCCUUGGUAGCUAUAACUAGCUUAUUGGAAAAAAAGGAGUUCAUCCAAUUUCGAGGAUCGGUUCAAAGACGAGGAAAAUUCGCGCCUAAAGCUGAGCUCAUUCUAAUUAAUUCUUCUAAAUAUUUAUUUCACGAUUUUUAUUAUUCUAUUUUCAACUUUUACUUUUGACAUUAUUUUUCUGUUAAUUUUAGGUUUUCAAAUUUUUAUCCCCCCAAACGUCUUGGGCAUGACAGCUGCCCCGACAAAAAUUUGGUCAAGAGAGGAACAAUUUGCAGUAAACCAGUCUCUGAGGGAUCGACCCUACUCCCUAUACUGCAUAAUUUGCAAACUAAGGCGUAGGUUUAUAUUGGUGGAUUCGACAACCAUCAGUUUUGGUGCCGUUGCCGGGGAUUGGCAACACUUAUAAUUGUUUAAAUCAUCUUCAUGACCAGGUCUUCAUUCAGAGGUCUCGAAUACGACCCAGAGAUCGAAAAAUCAGCACGAGCACGACGUAAAGAGACGGAAGUUCUUAAGUGUGUAGCAGCAAUUGAACGUGGAAAACAAGUCGAAGUGGUUGAACCUGAGUCUAAACCUCUUCCUGCAACAAAAGAAGUAGAAGACAACCUCGGCGAACCAGAAAGGAUGGCAAACUGAACCAUUCGUCAACUAGCCGCUGCUCCCAACGAGCAAACACCGUUAUGCAUCAACUAUCCAAUCGGAGAAACCCCAUUCGAAUUGAAGUCAGGCCUGAUCCACCUUUUGCCCACUUUUCGAGGCUUGAAGAAUGAGAAUCCACAUACCCACUUGAGAGAAUUCCACAUGGUCUGCUCAAGCAUGAAACCACAGGGAGUAACCGAAGAUGAAAUUAAACUUCGGGCCUUUCCUUUUUCUUUAGUUGAUACAGCAAAAGAAUGGUUAUUUUACUUACCCCCUGGUUCUAUUACAACGUGGGAUGACUUAUCUCGUGUUUUUCUUGACAGAUUUUUCCCAGCAUCGCGAGCAGCUGAACUUAGGAGAGACAUAGUGGGAAUUCGCCAAAUGGAGAGUGAAUUGCUUUACGACUAUUGGGAGUGGUACAAAAACUGUGUGCAAGUUGUCCUCAACACGGUUUGACCGAACAAUCACUUCUUCAAUAUUUCUACGAGGGUUUGCUCCCUAUGGAAAUUAAAAUGAUUGACGCAGCUAGUGGAGGGGCGCUUGUCAAUAUGACUCCUCAAAGGGCAAGAGAAUUGAUAUCCACCAUGGCGGAAAAUUCUCAACAGUAUCGGCCAAAUUCAGAACCCACAAGACGGGUUAAUGGGGUAAACGUUUCAUCCUUAGAAGAUAAAUUGGAUAAGCUCACUAAUGCUGUUCAAUCUAUGCUUACAGAAAAGAAGAAUCAGACCCAAUUGUGUGGGAUAUGUACUACGUCUGAACAUCCGACGGAUUUGUGCCCAAUCCUUAACGAAAAUUCAACGGUACAUGUCGACGCUGUCGGAGGUUUUUCGGGACCUCUACAAAGACGCUAUGAUCCUUUCUCCAACAGUUACAAUCCUGGGUGGAAGGAUCAUCCCAACUUGAGUUACGGAGCUAAUCCCCGAUAUAAUCCAUCGUUCCAGUCAAGACCACCGCAACUGCCACCCAAGCCAAGCACAUCUCUAGAAGCUAUUGUGGAAAGACUUGCCGUCGAUGUUGCGAAGUACCAACAGAGGACAGAUGCAUCAAUACAGGAGUUAACUAAUCAAGUUAGUAAACUCUCGAUGGCAGUUAAUCGAUUGGAAUCUCAAGGUAAAUUACCUUCCCAGACAGAGCCUAAUCCUCGGCAGAAUGCAAGUGCAAUAACUCUUCGUAGCGGAAAAGUCCUGGAAACAGUUCCAGACAAAAGUCAUGGGCAAGACAAUGAACGGGAAAAACAAAUCUCUGAUCCAAAAGCCAGACCGGAAUCAGAAAUUCAGAAACCAGUUGUGGUGCCACCUCCUUUUCCAGGGAGACUCUCGAAGGAUAAGAAAGAAAAGGAGGAAAAAGAAAUCCUCGAAACGUUCAGGAAGGUGGAGGUAAAUAUUCCUUUGCUCGACGCUAUCAAGCAAAUCCCUCGUUAUGCGAAAUUUCUCAAGGAAUUGUGCACUAGCAAAAGGAGGUUAAUAGGUAACGAAAGAGUAAAUGUGGGAGAAAAUGUCUCCGCGGUACUGCAAAAGAAAGUUCCGCCUAAAUACAAGGACCAAGGUAUGUUUGCUAUUUCUUGUGAGAUAGGUAACGUAGGCAUUAAGAAAGCCAUGUGUGAUUUAGGGGCUUCCAUUAAUGUUAUGCCUUAUCCUAUUUAUAAGUUGAUUAACGCGGGUCCUUUGAAAAAGACAGGAGUAAUAAUCCAGUUGGCGGACAGGUCAGUCAUCUAUCCCGAAGGGUUGCUUGAAGACGUCCUUGUUAAAAUUAACGAAUUAGUUUUCCCUGCAUAUUUCUACAUUAUUAAUAUGGAGGAUGAUAACUCAACUAAUUCGUCUGAUAUUUUGCUUGGAAGGCCAUUUUUAAGUACCGCAAGCGCAAAAAUUGAUGUUCAGAGUGGAACAUUGACAAUGGAGUUUGAUGGCGAAAUCGUGAAAUUCAAUGUCUACGAAGCCAUGAGUCAUCCUAACUCAUUGUCAAAUAUUUCCAGUAUCGAUAGUAUAGAUUGUUUAACUCAAAAUUAUUCUGAAUAUCAUGACUUUGAUGAAUUGGAAACAGUCUUUUACAGAAGCAUUGACAUGGAUGUAUUGAGUCGUCUCGAGGAGUUAGCAGUUAUAGAAGAUCCGUUGCGAGAAAUUGUCAAACACUUGGAGACUCAACCAUCGUCGACGAGUUGAGGUAACCAUCUUGAACUAUUACCUUCCCAAGUUGAAAUGUUGCCUUCGAUUUUGCAGCCACCAACCUUGGAGCUCAAAGCGUUACCAGACCACCUCAAGUAUGUCUUUUUGGGAGAGAAAGACACCCUACCGGUAAUAGUGUCAAACAGACUAACCAAAGACGAUGAGGAAAGUCUAGUUCGAGUUCUGAAGGAAUAUAAGGAAGCUAUUGGUUGGACAAUAGCCGACAUAAAAGGGCUAAGUCCAUCCACCUGUAUGCACAGAAUUUCCAUCGAAGAUAGCACGAAACCAAAGAGAGAUGCUCAGAGGCGCCUUAAUCCACCCAUGACGGAGGUAGUAAAGAAGGAGAUCCAGAAAAUGUUGGAUGCUGGAAUGAUAUACCCGAUCUCUGACAGUGAUUGGGUUAGCCCAGUUCAUGUCGUGCCCAAGAAAACUGGCGUGAUAGUGGUGCAAAAUUCAUCAGGAGAGCUAGUUCCUACCCGAGUCCAGAAUGGAUGGAGGGUUUGCAUCGAUUACAGAAAGUUGAAUGCAGCUACCCGGAAGGACCAUUUCCCACUUCCCUUCAUCGAUCAAAUGCUCGAGCGAUUAGCUGGUAAGACUCAUUAUUGUUGUCUCGAUAGAUAUUCAGGAUUUUUCCAAAUUCCGGUGGCGCCUGAGGAUCAAGACAAAACAACUUUCACGUGCCCAUUUGGAAUGUUUGCGUAUAGAGGAAUGCUGUUUGGACUCUGUAAUGCUCCGGCCACCUUCCAGAGAUGUAUGGUAAGCAUAUUCUCUGAUUACGUCGAGAAAAUCAUUGAAGUCUUCAUGGAUGACUUCACGGUGUACGGUAACUCUUUUAAUGAAUGUCUCGAUAAUCUUGCUAAGAUAUUACAAAGAUGCCUAGAAUUUAAUAUUGUUUUAAACUAUGAAAAAUGCCACUUCAUGGUUGACAAAGGAUUGAUUUUAGGUCAUAUAGUUUCCUCGGAAGGUAUUGAGGUCGAUAAAGCAAAAACAGAUAUUAUUAACUCAUUACCUUAUCCCACAUCUGUGAGGGAAAUUCGUUCGUUUCUUGGACAUGCAUGAUUUUACAGAUGAUUCAUAAAAGACUUCUCGAAGAUCGCGCAACCGCUUUGCAGUCUGUUACAAAAAGGAUAAAGAAUUUAAAUUUGACCAGACUUGUAAAGAUGCAUUUGACGUAUUGAAGCAGAAAUUGGUCUCUACCCCCAUAGUGUAACCACCGAAUUGGAACUUCCCGUUUGAAAUCAUGUGUGAUGCAAGUGAUCGAAGUGUGGGAGCUGUUCUUGGCCAAAGAAUAGAGAAAGAGCCUCAUGUUAUCUAUUACGCUUCGAAAACCUUGGAUGCUGCCCAAAGCAAUUACACAACCACCGAGAAAAAAUUAUUAGCUGUUGUGUUUGCUUUAGAUAAAUUUAGAUCUUACCUGUUGGGAACUAAAGUAAUUAUCUUUUCUGAUCAUGCAGCUUUAAAGUAUUUAAUAGGGAAGAAGGAGGCAAAACCUCGACUGAUCAGGUGGAUUCUACUCCUACAAGAAUUUGAUUUUGAAAUCCGGGAUAAGAAGGGAUGCGAAAACUUAGUAGCUGACCAUCUGAGUCGAUUACCGAUUCCAACAGAUGACACACCAUUGAAAGACAACUUCCCAGAUGAAAACUUGUUUUCAGCAAAUGCGGUUCAUCCUUGGUACGCAGACAUAGUAAACUAUCUCGUCACAGGUACUAUACCUUCAGAAUUACCUAGGUCCAGGAAAGAUAAUAUUAAAAAGGAUGCUCGAUAUUACAUUUGGGACGAUCCUUACUUAUGGAAGCAUUGCUCCGAUCAGGUAAUCCGACGGUGUGUAGUAGAAACAGAGGUACAGUCUAUCUUAACUUUUUGUCACUCUUAUGCAUGUGGAGGACACUUUGGACCUAAACGCACUGCACAUAAAAUUCUUGAGUGUAGACUAUUUUCGCCAAGUAUAUUUCGUGACGCCUUCUUAUUCUGUAAAACCUGUGAAAAAUGUCAAAAAGUCGGUAAUCUUAGCCGUCGAAAUGAGAUGCCCCUUACUCCUAUCCAUAUUUGUGAAAUUUUCGAUGUGUGGGGCAUCGAUUUUAUGGGUCCUUUUAUUUCUUCUUUCGGUAAUUUCUAUAUACUCUUAGUUGUUGAUUACGUUUCUAAGUGGAUAGAGGCAAAGGCUACUCGCAAUGAUAAUGCUAAGACUGUGGUUGACUUUCUUAAAAGUUCUAUCUUUUCCAGGUAUGGCACCCCACGAGCAUUAAUCAGCGACAGAGGAACUCAUUUCUGCAAUAAACUCGUAAGUGCACUUAUGGAGAAGUAUGGAGUGACUCAACGAAUUUCUACUGCCUACCAUCCACAAACAAACGGACAAGCUGAAGUGUCAAAUCGAGAAAUCAAGUCCAUAUUGGAGAAGACUGUUAAACCUAACAGAAAGGAUUGGAGCUUGAGACUAAACGACGCACUUUGGGCUUAUAGGACAGCUUACAAGGGACCAAUAGGCAUGUCACCUUAUCGACUUGUUUUUGGUAAACCGUUCCAUCUCCCGGUCGAAUUAGAGCAUAAAACAUUUUGGGCAGUUAAGCAGUGUAAUAUGGAGAUGGAGACCGCAGGAAGAGCUCGAAAGUUAGACAUUCUGGAACUCGAAGAAAUUAGAAACGAUGCAUAUGAAAAUGCUCGAGUUUAUAAAGAAAAGACGAAGGCAUUCCACGAUAAGAUGAUCACUAGGAAGCAGUUUUCAAUAGGACAAAAAGUUCUCCUAUACGACUCCACCUUAAAAAUUUUCGCUGGUAAGCUUCGAUCCAAAUGGAUAGGUCCAUUUACUAUCACUAAUCUAUUCUCAAAUGGUGUAGUGGAAAUUCAAAGCGAAGAAACCCGAAAGUGCUUUAAGGUGAAUGGUCAACGACUGAAACCCUUCUACGAGAAUUUUCAAAUACACACAGUUGAGGAGAUUGUUCUCGAAGAGCCCAAAACUUGAAUAACACAGGUCGUCGAGCUAAAUGACGUUAAACAAAGCGCUGUUGGGAGGCAACCCAAAUUUUCUUUUCCUUUAUGCAAAUAAAAUUUUUGGUAAAAUGGAAAAUGGAAAUGCAUGUCAAGGAUUAGUUCUGUCUAAGGAAAGACUUGGUACUUAAGUAUGUCCAUUGUGACUCACCUCUCUUUCCUGGGAACUUACUUGGUGCAUUUAUCACGACUGUUUUACCAAAUCUCGUAAUCUUGGUUUUUAAUAAUUUAUUUCUCGAGUUUAUAACUUAGCUAAUAAAUUUGAAAAAAAAACAUUUUAAUUUUCCUAUUAUUAUUAUUAUUUAUUUAUUUUUACUAUUUUAUUUUUGCAGGAAAACAUUCCAAGACAAAAUUAAAUUCCACAUGUCAACCCAUAAAAUUCUUUUUUUCAGUUAAGGCCCACUCUACCUACGAGACCAUCCUCCACGACGUUGAAAUACAUGGGAAAUUUAUUUUUCUUCUUUUGUCUACUUAAUUUUACCUUAUAUCCUUUAAUAUUACAUUGGGACAAUGUAAAACAAGUAGGGGGAGGGAAACAUAAAUUGGUUCUAAUUGCUUAUCUGUCAUCGCUAUUUUUGCAUGUUUUCGGUAAAAGGUAAAAUUUUCUUUUAAUUGGGAUGGUACACUUAUGGUUUGACUGAUUUAGCUAUUUAAUUCUUUACACAUGAAACUUUUCAAUAACCUAGACUUAGUAGGUAAGAAAUUUUUGGAAUUAUGAGUUUGCUUGAUUGCCUACCUUUUAUCAUAUGUUUUUAUUUUUCUGUUCAAAAAAAAAAAAAAACUCCUCUGAUACAAAUGUUAAGAGUGACAAUUGGGGUUGUGCAUCGGGCUAAGUAACCGGAACGUGGUGCUUGGGUUGUCAUCACAUCGCGCGUAAAAAGGUUCGUGUGGCUAUCCAAUUUAUUUGCACUCACUCCGCUGACAAGUUAUUAUGAGUAGGGCGAAAUAACCCGCUUAGAAACGUCCGAAUUGAGUAACCGGAACAUGGUGCUUGGGUUGUCAUCAUGUCUCGCGUCAAAAAAUUCGAUAAUGUCCUAAGUAAAAAAAUAAAUAAAUAAAAUAAUAAAAUGAAAGGUAAGUCUAUCAAGCUCUCAUAAAUUCUGAAAUAUAUUUACUUACUGCUUAGGCUAGGUUAUUUGAGUUGUUAAUGUGCUAGGAUUGAAUUGUUGAAUUGUGCAAACCAUGAGUAUCAAGUCCUAUUUUGGAGAAAUUUUUUCCUUUUGCAGAUACAUACAAAAUGCUCGAGGACUAGCAUAAGCUAAGUAGGGGGAAUUGAUUAAAUACUAAAAUUACAUAUUUUAUGUAAUUAAUUUGGUAUAUUUAUGAGAAUGCACCACUAAUUUUGCCAUAUUUAUUGAAUUUUGUGCAGGAAUGUAAUUUGGGGACUAAAUAGAAGAAAAAGGGAACAAUUGGGCCAAAUUAAAGAAAGAAGCAAAGGAGGGCCAAAGUAGAAUUUUUCCUAUUUUUAAUUAGCUGAAAAUUUUGUUGAUUUAGUGGGGGAGAUUAUUUUGGGAUAUUUUUGGUCAUGGAAUAUUUUUUUUCCUUAAUUUCCUAUGACUAGUAGGUUCCUAAUUUAGUAAAUCCUCUAGUAUAAAUAGUGCUUGUAUUGUUCAUCAUUUCAUCAAUCAAUCAAAAAAAUAUUUUAGCUUUUGUCUUUCAAUUCUCUCCUUUCUCACGUAGCAUUUGUUAUUUCUUAGCUUGUUUUCCUUCAAUUUUCAUUAGUUCCAGUAGCCUACCAUCCAUUUCACCUUUAUUUUCAACUUUUCAUAAAUUUAUUUAUUGUCUUUAGUUUCUUUAACUUUUAAUUCCUAAAAACUUCCAGCUUUUACUACUUUCCAUUUACAACUUUUUUUUCAAAUUCUCUUUUUCAACCACCCCCAUACUUAAUCACAUCACCCAUCUUUUCACCUUUUCUACCUUAUUUAAUUUAUCAAAUACCAACAUGUCCCAAACCUUAGCCAACUAAACCCAUUUUCAGCUUUAGGCUGAAAUUAGCCUCGUCAAAACCCGUGAGUUACGAACCCGAGCCAUUUAACUCCUAAAAUUCCAGUACUUAUUACUUCUCCGGAUUAAGAGUAUGAUUUUGUCAACUCAUAAAGUCAGAUCAACACUAAGUCAAAAAAGACGUCGUUUGAUUUAGUGUGGUUAGACGUACAGUUGGAAUUCCGAAAGGAACGUUUCUAAUCGAUUUUCUGUGAACACAUUGGCAUGCCAAGUGGAGAUUGCUGUUUGGUUCUGUCAAGGGAAGUAGUAACCGGAUUUAAAUGUUUCACACGGUUGAGGGCAUUGGUUCGAGCUAGGCUCUUCUAGAACGCAAAGCUGCCGGAGUUCUAAAUCACGAACGUUUCGUGGUUGUUCGAUCGGUAAGAGUUAGUUAUUGGACGUUCCAUAACUAAUUUACACAAGGAAGAGUUGGUGUCCGAGGCGUCCUUGGUAGCUAUAACUAGCUUAUUGGAAAAAAAAGAGUUCAUCCAAUUUCGAGGAUCGGUUCAAAGACGAGGAAAAUUCGCGCCUAAAGCUGAGCUCAUUCUAAUUAAUUCUUCUUAAUAUUUAUUUCACAGUUUUUAUUAUUCUGUUUUCAACUUUUACUUUUCAAAUUAUUUUUCUGUUAAUUUCAGGUUUUCAAAUUUUUAUCCCCCCGAACGUCUUGGGCACGACAGCUGCCCCGACAAAAAUCUGGUCAAGAGAGGAACAAUUUGCAGUAAACCAGUCUCUGAGGGAUCGACCCUACUCCCUAUACUGCAUAAUUUGCAAACUAAGGCGUAGGUUUAUAUUGGUGGAUUCGACAACCAUCAAUCAUAUCCUGGAGCUUUUGUUGGUCCCAUUUCCUUUAAUGCCGCAUACAAUUCUUCUGCUGUAAAGGUUAAUAUUAGCUCUCUAUUGAUAUCAGAUGAAAUAUUUUCCUUUAUUCCCGAUAGGAGAUAUGAACAUUCCGCCCUUCCUUCUGUCGUGAAAAGUUCCUGAAAAUAGGAGGUGUCCACAUCAUUAAUCUCACUCUCCUCAGUUGCUUCUCUGCCCACAGAUUUCUCCAAUUUGGAUAUUGAAUUUAUACGUCUUCUAGAUGUAGCAAACCUGUGAAAAAAAACUGUAUUUUUAUCACCCACUUUCAGCCAAUUUGCCUUUGCUCUUUGUUCCCAAUAUAUUUCAUCCUUAUCAAUUUCCAUAUUUAGGUGGAUCUUAGUGUCUACAAUGUCUGCCAUUGUGUUGUCAUUCCUUUCUUUCCCCAUUAACACUUCCAGCUGCUUCGUUAACUUUUUCUUUAGCCCCUCCCGACUUUUCUUAAUCCUUCUCGCCCAAUCUAAUAAAUCUGCUUGCAACUUUCCAAGUUUCUCAGCUACUAGGGCUGUUCUUGACUCCCUAAAUUCUUUAAUUAUUUUUUCAUAAGUAUCCUCCAUCAACCACCACGCUUCAAAUUUAAAUUUUGAAUUGCCAUUAUGAAUGCUUUCGCCAUCUGUGUUAAUUAGAAGUGGGCAGUGGUCUGACAUUGUGUGGGGUAGAUGGUUAACUCUACCUGCUGGGAAAAGGAGCCUCCAUUUAUCAUUUACCACCCCCUAUCAAGUCUUUCUCUAAUAUUUGUCUCUGGUAAAUUUCCCCUUUCCCAUGUAAACCAUACUCCCGAAAAACCCAAAUCUUCUAAAUGGCAAUUCUCUAAGACCUCUCGAAAUGCCUUCAUUCUAUUCUCUUCCCUUGGGGCACCCCUACAUUUCUCAAAAGAAUACAUGAUCUCAUUGAAGUCACCACUUACCAACCAUGGGUGGCUGUUAUCUUGCCCCAGAUUUAUCAGCAAAUCCCACGAAUCACUCUUAUUGUGGACAUAUGGAGAGCCAUAGAAACCUGUAAAUCUCCACUCUUUGUUACCCUAUUCCUCUUCAACCAGAACAUCAAUGUGAUUCCUAGAAAAACUUCGUAAACUUACUUUGGUGUCACCUUUCCAUGCUAAGCAUAAUCCUCCUUUCGAACCUUGUGCUUCUAUAUCAAUACCAUUCAUAAAACCGCAUUUCUGUCUGAUUUUUUCCAUCUUCUGUCUAUCAACUUUGGUCUCCAUUAAGAAGACCAUUUGGGGAUUGUGCUGCUUGAGGAAGUAACGCAGCCUUCUUUCAGCUCGUGGACUCCCCAAUCCACGAACAUUCCAGCUGAUGGUUGUUUUCAUUGCGUCCGGUCGGCUUGCCUAUUAGCAGCAGCCGAUAUCAAUAAAUCUUGAACUUCAAUUUGCUCAUUAGUGUCUGUCACCAUUUCCACAGGGCCUUUGUAGUAGUCUGAAGUAUCCUGUUUCAACCUUUUAAUUCCAUCUUUGUCUCCUUUUCCUGUAUGAUCGCUGGUAAAAUCUGCAUCAAUGGGCUUCCUCUUCCUCGUAUUAUUUCCAGCUUUUGUCGUUGUUGUGCCAUGUUGAAUGCUUAUCCAUUUUGCUUGUUUCUCUUGAUUUGGAUUUUGGCUCUUCUCUCUAUUACAAUUACUCACCUUCUCACCUUCCCCUUGUCUCUAAAUACCUGCAUAUUCUUUUAGCAUCUUCCCCCUUUCCUUUAAAUUCACCUUCUCAGCUUCCUCUACCUCCAAAAUACCUUCCUGUUCUUCUGGCAUCUCCUCCCCUUCUUUUAAUUUCAAAUUCUCCUGCGGGCCCCCUCUUCAUUGCUUCCUUUCUCAGCACAUUUAAUACUAUUGGGAGAAAUUCUCUCUUCUCCGAUAUAAGAACUCUGAACCCCCGUCUGUUUCUUCAAACUAUUAAAUUUCACACUUUCUUUUCCAAUUAAUCUUGAUUCUGCUUUUAAGGCCACAAAAUAAUAAGGAUUUUCACUGAUUUUAUUUUUUCUUACAGGUAAUAGCUGGGUGCAAUUACUCAUCCCAUGCCCCAUUCUUCCGCAUUCAAAAUAGAAUAUUGGCAAGUUUUCAUACUUGAAGGGUAUCCAAACUUUACUAACAUAAGCAUUAGAAACAAAAAUACCUCUUCUAAGUGGUCUUUGAACAUCCAAUUUAACUCUGAGUCGGCAGAAAUCUUCACUAAUUUCAGAUCUGAGGACCCCACCAAACGUAGAACCAAUGGCAUGCAAUAGAUCUUUCUUGUUGAACUCUGGGAAACACGACUCAAUUUUUAUCCAAAACGGGGAUGAAGUUAACUUUAUCUGAUCUCUUUCCACCGCUUGGCGUAACCUGUCAAAUAAAAUUAAGUUUUUACGAAAGAGCCAAGGUCUCCCCUCCAAAAUCAACUCCAGAUCUUCUACCAUCUCAAAAAUUAUUAGAAAUAAGUUUUGUCCCACCAAUCUGAUUUCAAACUUUUUCCUUGUCUUCCAUAAACUUUUCAUAUGAGCCCUAAAACUAUCUGGGUUAUAUAAUUUCCCCGUCCAAACCGUACAAAUCAAUGUAGGUUUGGAACUUGGUACCACCAACGAUCCUUUGACUGAUAGUUGAACUAAUUUUUCAGCAAGAAGACCGAUCUCAUCCCCUUCCUCUCUAUCGUCGCCACCGCUUGCUUCCAUCCCCAGCCACAGUAGUUACUGCUAUCUCUAGGGUUUCUCAACCAAGCACUCUUGGGAGCAGAGAGUUAAAUUUUAACAAUGUAUUUUUUUAUUCUACAAACAACAUUAAAAAAUAGACGUGUCUUCUCACUAAUUUUUUUUGAGAAGUCUCUUUUUUUUUAAAUAUUUAUUUUUAAAAAUAAUUUAUUAUACCUUUAUAGACAUUUUUCAACUCAUUGACUAUGCUUAUGGAGUCUAAAAACUCCAAUGACAGUAUACCAAAUAAUUUCUCUUCAUACAUUUUAAAAUUUAUCAAAAUAUACUUUAAAUUUUUGUAUUUUUUUAAUGUAUGAAAUUUAGUACUGUUUUUUAAUUUAAUACUUUUAAUUUUUUAUUAAAUUUAGAUUUAUUAUUUCUUCUUUUUUUACAAAUUACCAAUUGAAUAUUUUUUUAUAAAAUAUUAUAGCAAUAAAUUAAAAAAAAACCGAUUUUAUUAAUUAAAUCAGAAUUUGAAAAUUGAAAAGAUAAAAAAGAAACUAAAAUAUUGAAAAUAAAAGUACUAAAUUUGAAAUAUAAAACUUGGAGCUAGACCAUGCAUACGUGUCUAUUAUACCCACCAUACUAUUAUAUUACUUUUGACUUUCUUAACGGUGAAAGUUUUUGCUAAGUUGGAUUGGAUACAUUAAUAAUUUUAAAUAGAAUAAUUUAAAUUUUAUAUUAUUAAAAAAAUAAAAUAAAACAAAAUUGAAAUAAUGUUAAUAUUUACCAUUAAAAGAUUGAUAUGGGAAUAUGUUGAAUAUUGGCAAUAUCCCACAUUAGGUAAAGAUAGAAAGGGAGGGGGUUUUGGUUUGUUAUAUAUAGAACCCUUCCCCCUUAGGUUUUAUCAUCCCAAAAAUCCAAGUAGCUAAUUGUAACUUGGUGUUGAUCUUCUCUAUUGUAAUAUUUCUAGAGGAAAUAUUAAUUUGGUAGUGUCCGAGGACAUAAGCUAAAUUGGCCGAACCUCGUUAAAACUCUGGUAUUUUAUUUCUUAUUUGUUUGCUUAUAUUUAAUAGCUUUAUGUUGGUUAUAUUUAUUUAGUUAUUAUUGCUAUAAAUAUCUAAGUGAGUUCUGUCUAGUUGUUGGGUUUUAAGCGGGACCAUUUGUGACCCCUCCAAUUUAACUGAGAAUUUUCUUAGUAUAAUUGUUGGCAUAAUAAUUAUCUAAAUAUUUCUGAUAAUAUUAUUAUUAAUAUUAUCGUCGCUUCCGCAACAAUUGGUAUCCGAGCCAAGGUUUUGUAGUAUGCUCUGUGUUUGCAGCUUAGUCUGAUCUUACACAUCAGAAACAUUUUCGAAAGCUUGUGGGUAUUCCGCAUUUGGUGGCUAUUAAAUAGAAGCUAUGGCAAAAAUGACAGAAGAAAAACCAUCCAUAUCAACAACUUCCACUUCGUACAUUUUGUCGAGGGUUGGAACUGUAAAUACGAGAUUUGCAGUGGAAAUUUUUGAUGGAACAGGUCAUUUCGGCAUGUGGCAAAGCGAGCUUCUAGAUGCCCUCUUUCAACAAGGUCUAGAUAUUGCCAUUGAGGAAGAAAAACCAGAAGGGGUUGAUGAUAAAGAAUGGAAGACCAUCAACCGAUUGGCAUGUGGUACAAUUCGAUCAUGUCUUUCCAGAGAGCAGAAGUAUACAUUCAGUAAAGAGACUUCUGCAAGUAAAUUGUGGAAAGCAUUGGAGGAGAAAUUCCUGAAGAAGAACAGUCAAAAUAAGUUGCAUAUGAAGAAAAGGCUGUUUCGUCUCAGUUAUGUUCCUGGUACCACGAUGAACGAGCACAUUACCAAUUUUAAUCAGCUGGUGGCUGAUUUGUUGAAUUUGGAUGUGACUUUUGAAGAUGAAGUCUUGGCGUUAAUGUUGUUGGGAUCGCUUCCAGAGGAAUUUGAGUACCUUGAAACUACUUUACUUUAUGGAAAGUUGGAAGUAACUUUCAAUGAAGUAACUGCUGCAUUGUAUAGCUAUGAACUACGCCGAAAGGAUAAGUUGAAAGGUUCAAGUGAAGCAACAGUGGAAGCAUUGGUAACAAGAGAUCGUCAGCAAAGUCAGUCUAAGGGGAAGAGAAGAAAGUCCAAAGGUCGAGUUGUUGCCAAAGAUGAAUGUUCUUUUUGCAAAGAAAAAGGACAUUGGAAGAAAGAUUGUCCAAAAUUGAAGAAAAAAGGGAAGACUUCGCAAGAUGCAAAUGUUGCAGAAUGCAAUAGUGAAGCAGAGUCAGACUUUUCUCUUAGUAUGACAUCUUCAACAUUACAUGCAGAUGAGUGGAUCAUGGAUUCUGGUUGUUCCUAUCAUAUGUGUCCCAUUUGGGAAUGGUUCUUUGAAUUUCAAAAACUAGAUGGAGGGGUUGUUUACAUGGGUAAUGAUAACACAUGUAAAAUAGACGGGAUAGGUUCAAUUAAACUGAGGAGUCAUGAUGGAUCUACUAGAAUUUUGCGGGAUGUACGAUAUGUCCCAAAGUUGAAGAAGAAUCUCAUCUCUUUGGGGUCGUUAGAAUCUAAAGGCCUAGUUGUGACAAUACGAGAUGGAGUUCUUAAAGUAACUUCAGGAGCCUUGGUGAUGUUGAAAGACAUAAGAAAGAACAAUCUGUAUUACUACCAAGGUAGUACAGUGGUCGGGACAACAGCAGCAGCAAUUUCGAGUACCAAGAAGGACGUUGAGGCAACACAGCUGUGGCAUAUGCGUUUGGGCCAUGUUGGUGAAAAAUCCUUGCAAACUCUAGCCAAGCAAGGAUUAUUGAAAGGUACAAAGACUUGCAAACUUGAAUUUUGCGAGCAUUGUGUUCUGGGAAAACAACGAAGGGUGAAAUUUGGCACUGGGAUUCACAAUACUAAAGGUAUUCUGGAUUAUGUGCAUUUUGAUGUAUGGGGACCGUCCAAGACUCCAUCACUUGGAGGAAGACAUUAUUUUGUCACCUUUAUUGAUGAUUUUUCCAGAAGAGUUUAGGUGUUUCCUAUGAAGAACAAAGAUGAGGUGCUUGAAGUUUUCCUUAAGUGGAAAACUAAAGUUGAAAAUCAGACAGGAAGGAAGAUUAAGGUUCUCCGAUCAGACAACGGUGGAGAAUAUAAAAGCGAUCUAUUCCUGAAGAUAUGCCAAGAUUGUGGCAUAGUAAGGCACUUCACCAUAGGUGGAACACCGCAACAGAAUAGGGUGGCAGAGCGUAUGAAUCGAACGCUUGUGGAGAAAGUUCGAUGUAUGUUAUCUAAUGCUGGAUUAGAUAGAAAGUUUUGGGCUGAGGCUGUGACGUACGCUCAACAUCUCAUCAAUCAUUUGCCAUCAUCUGCUAUAAAUGGCAAGACUCCUUUGGAGAAAUGGUAUGGAAAACCUACUACUGAUUAUGACACCUUGCGUAUUUUUGGUUCUAUUGCAUAUAAUCAUGUGAAAGAAUCAAAGUUAGAUCCAAGAGCAAAGAAGGCUCUAUUCAUGGGCUUCAAUGCUGGUGUUAAGGGAUAUCGUUUGUGGUGUCUAGAGGCAAAGAAGACGAUAAUCAGUAGGUAUGUUACCUUUGAUGAAUCUGCCAUGUUGAAUAAGGUAAAUCCAGAAGGAGUGAGUAGUACUUCGCAGCAGGUGAAGUGUACUCCGCAGCAGGUGGAGUUUGAGCAGAGAGUGGUAAUUCCAGCAGAAGGUACCACUAGUGAUUCUUCAUUGCCAGAUGUAGAGUCAGAUGAGGAAGAGGUUUCUACCCAAGAACCUCAACAGCAAUCAGAGCCAAUUGCAGUCAGAAGGCAGAGACGAGAAAUUCAGAAAUCUGCUCGUUUCACUGACAUGGUAGCUUAUGCACUUCCAGUUGUUGAUAAUAUUCCAUCCACUUACACCGAAGCCAUUCAAGGUUUAGAGAAUAAUAGAUGGUUAGGUGCAAUGGAAGAGGAAAUGCAAUCCUAGAGAAAAACAAGACGUGGAAGCUGGCACAACUACCAAAAGGGAAGAAGGCGAUUGGUUGCAAAUUUGAAGACACUAUUGAAGUUUGUGUUAUGAGAAGAUGUUCGAAGAUGUGGAAUAUCGCCAAGGUGGAGAUUUGUUGAAUAUUGGCAAUAUCCCACAUUAGGUAAAGAUAGAAAGGGAGGGGGUUUUGGUUUGUUAUAUAUAGAACCCUUCCCCCUUAGGUUUUAUCAUCCCAAAAAUCCAAGUAGCUAAUUGUAACUUGGUGUUGAUCUUCUCUAUUGUAAUAUUUCUAGAGGAAAUAUUAAUUUGGUAGUGUCCGAGGACGUAAGCUAAAUUGGCCGAACCUCGUUAAAACUCUGGUAUUUUAUUUCUUAUUUGUUUGCUUAUAUUUAAUAGCUUUAUGUUGGUUAUAUUUAUUUAGUUAUUAUUGCUAUAAAUAUCUAAGUGAGUUCUGUCUAGUUGUUGGGUUUUAAGCGGGACCAUUUGUGACCCCUCCAAUUUAACUGGGAAUUUUCUUAGUAUAAUUGUUGGCAUAAUAAUUAUCUAAAUAUUUCUGAUAAUAUUGUUAUUAAUAUUAUCGUCGCUUCCGCAACAGAAUAUCCAUAUCAUGGAGGAAAGUUUAUUGACAGUUGAAAGUGGAAUGUGAUAAUGCUCUCUUAGUUGAAUUGAUUUUAGCUAGCGGAGUUGCAGAUAAUCAUUUGACUGAAAUGCGUCUUAUCCAUCAUUUAUUGAGUCAAACUUGGAAGGUCAUUGUUCAUCAUAUUCUGAGGUCACAAAAUAUAAUAGCUGAUUAUAUGGCCAAGUGUAUGGCGACUAAUCUUCAAACCAAUGAAUUUUGAGUUUUUCAUUUUAAGCUGUCUCUUUUUCUACUAAAAAAAAUUGAUAUGGAAAUACUUUUUUCGCAAUCUAACUUUAAAUAAAAUUUAAUUUACAGAAUUAUAAAAAGCUUUCAAAAUAUUAAUUUUGUUAAGCGUAAAUGUUACUUUUUAAGCUAAAAAUAUUUACUCCAUUGUAAUUUAAACUUAUUAAUUUUUUUAAUAAUAUAAAGAUAAAAUUAACGUAUUUACUAAUAGAAAAAUUAAUUUAAUUCAAUCCUUAUAUAUAUAUAUUCUUUAUCUCCAAUUUCCACUUGCUGUGCUGAAUUAAACUAAUGAAAUUAAAAAAAAAAACCUAAAGAUUGAAUGAAUCAUCAAUGAUUCACAUGCACAUGCACAUGCACUUCCUUAUAGUCUGGAAAUAUUGUAUACAUAUAGAGAAAUUUCAUCUCUUCAAAACUCUUCAAUUAGAUUUGAUUUUAGCCCAUUUUUUGAAGGUUAAUUAUGAUUAUGAUUGCCUUACAAAUCAUUCAAGGUUACCUCAACAUAAUAUUGUGAGGUUAUACUAAACACAUAUAGACAUCUAAAAUUUUUUGAAAAAAAAUUGAAUUUACUCAAACCCACACAAUACAUAGAGACAAACCUAUUGGUAACAUAAAACAGAGCUAAGAAUAAGGAAAAAAAAGGCAGGCCUAUAAUUGGAGUUACAUUGCUAAUCAACAUGGCCUUAUUGCUGAUAGUAGUGUGCUUUUAGUUUCACAUAAUAGUACAAGGAGCUGGAGUAGGAUCAGGAACCACUCUAUAAUAUUCAAACGGCUGUGGUUGACAGAUUAUAAUUUGAGGAGACGGGGGCUUUGGCGGAUCUACUGGUUUGGGUGUAUCUUUCACUUCUUCAACUAUUUCAAUGCUUGCAUGACAAAGCUUCUUCCUUAAUGCCUCGGUCAAACAUGCUGCAUCCACCCCAUCACCUAAUAUCAUUAGCUUGUCCUUUUCUGGUCCAUGUAAUGCCACCGAUGUCACCCCUGCCAAUCCAUUACAUGAACUUAUAAAAACACAUCAAUGGUUUCAUUAAUUUUGUUUUUAUUUGGUUGAAUCAAUAGAUUCAUUGUUAAAACAUACCAUAUGCAACAGCAGCUACUUUUAAAGCUUUUUUUCGGCAUUUGCUGCAAUGCAUUGACACUUUAAGAACUAUCUUUUGCUGCACAUUUGAAACACAACUUAAACAUCACAAUUUUGAAGACCCUAAAAUGUUAUUUUUCAUUGAAGAAAGUUUAAUGUAUAUAAAAAUGUUGAUAUAGAGGAAUUGGAGAGGAGUUGGCGGAGGAAAAAGAUGGUUUACCCUAAGAAGGGCAGAGAGCCGUUGCAGAAGAAGGGUGGUUAGGGAGAUGGAUAGAGAGAAAAGGUGUCUUCUCUUCCUUUCUAAUGAGGCGAGAGGGUUUUCAUACGAGUAAGCAUCUCAUAGGUGAGUGGUUCACAUCCUUGUCUCCUAGUGGUGGUGGCGGUAUAACCUUUUGGUGAUGUGACAAUUUAGAGUGGUUUUACUUCAGCCAUGUAGUCCAAUUGAUGCUAUGGUUGUAAGUAAGAGUUUUAUAAGCCUCGAGGUUUGAGUACUCACAUGUAAGUAAACUGUAUUAACACUUCUUUUGAGUCUUACAGGUUCACUAAUUGAAGUACUUUCGACUCUAUAAAUCGACUCUCAAGAGAACACAACAAGAAGCAAUUUCUACCAAAGAAUCAAUUGAGUAUUUGAUAAACAUCACUUCGAAGAUUUCUUCGGAAGUAAUCACCUCCAUUAACAAAGAACAUAAAUUGCUAUAUACUAUACCUUCAUAUUCUCAAGCACCGAAAAGAAUGUAGCUCCUAGACAAUUAGGCUUUUCCAAUAGCUGAUCACUUGAAAAUUAAAGUAGCCAUUGGUAGCUCUUUAUAUAAGGUCAUGACCUCUAAGGUUUAAACUCAUACAUAAUAUAUUAUAUAUAUAUAUAAAAUAUAAUUUAAUGAAAGUUUAAGAAUUAAGUUAGUAGAUGAUCCACAAUUUAUGGGUUCAACGCCAAGAGCUAACCUAUUCAAAAACACACACACAAAAAAAAAAUCUUUUGGUAGUGUUAACUCAAUCUUGAGUUAAACACGUUAAUUAAUUAAAUAUGUUUACAAAAGUCAACUAUUAUUGUAGUGAUUAGUUGUUAACAAUGCGAAACGAAUAUUUUUUAAGAGUUUUAAAGGACAUGAUUGAAAUAAUAUUGGAGUUGAUGUUAGAAAGUCAAAUAGUUUAAAAAUUAUAUGGAAUUUAGUCCCUUUGAUUUUCAAAUAUUAAAAAUCUAAGUCCAAUUGUUGACGCUGUUAAAAAUAUUCUAUUAAAUUCAAGUUUAUUACAAUAUCAUUUAUUUGUUACGUGACCAUUAAGUGAGUAUUUUUUUAUUUCAAAAUAUUACACCAUCAAAUUUAACCAAAGAAUUUUAACAGUGUUAACAAUUCGACCUGAAUUUUUAAAUAUGAAAAGUAGAUGAGUAGAGGGACUAAGUUCCAACUGUUCGAAGAGUAUAGGAGCUUGUAUCAUAUUUUAACCAAAAUUUCUCAACAUUUAAGUAGAGGAUUAAUUUUUUUAAGGUUGGCUUUAACGUAUUGAUCUUACGUGAUGGCUGAUCUCAUCAACUACAUCUUUGCAAUGCCAACAUUUACUAAAUAAAUACAAUCAUGAGAAAGGGUUCCAAGUGUCAUGAAUAAUAAUAUAAACAAGUUAAAUACACAUAAUGCUUCAUGUUUAGGAUAUUUUAUGCAUGUUUAGGAAUUUUUUAAGUAGGGUUAAGGUAUUCUUAAUAUCAUUUUACAAUGAAUCUGAUUCAUUGUGUCAUAAAUUAGUAAUAUCAUGAUUCAAGACCAUUAAGUGUACACAUGAUCAGAUUAUCUAUAAUUAUCCCCAUAAAAAUUACAAACCCCAAUUUGAAAAAGGAAACAUGGUGAGUUAAUUUCUUUAUAUAUAUAUAUAUAGAGUAAAAGUACAAAUUAAUAUUUCAACGCUUUAAAUAUUAUAUUUCACGGUUUAUUUGUGUAGAUUAUGUAAGUCAAAUUUGAUCUAAAAUUAAAAUUUCUAACCAUUUGUUUUAUGUAAAAAAUUCAACUGUUGAAUAUAUAAUAUAUAGAGUAUUUUAGAUGGAGAUGAUAGAGAUAUCAGAUUGAAUCGAAAAUUUACAUGCAUGAUAAGUAAAAUUAUAUAGAUAAAUUCAACAGUUGGAUUAUUAAAAUAUUAAUCAUAUAAAUAGUUAUGAAAGUAUGUAAAAACAAUCUUUAGUUUUUACAUUUUUACACUAAGUGGAUUUGAUGGGAGUCUCAAGGCUCAAUUUUAGGCUUACACUAUCUCAAGACCCAAUAAUAAGAUCAAAUGCCAAACAAAUCAAACAAAGAUUUGAUCAAAGACAAUAUGUGAGGACGAAUUUUUUCGAGGAAAGGGGGAAUGAUACAUGCACGAAAUGAGUGAAACUUAUUGAAGUCAAUCCAACCAAAAUGCCAAUUUUCAAGAUGAAAAGAUUAGUCAAGUUGCAACAAAUUUUUGGAUGUGAUCUAGACAUUUAUAGGCUUAGAUGUUUGAAUAGCGGUUCAAGAGCUAUCUUUUAUCUUCGAAACGCACUUUGAAUCACUCAAUUUUAAGUUUAGGAGCUCAAGUUAUGAUUAUUUUAGUGAAGAUUGCACGAACAAAGUUUUUGGAUGAGGAUAAUACGGAAAGUACGAGUUUCGGAAUUUUUAUUCAAGUUUAAAUAAUAUUGGGUUCAAGUUUUAGGCUUAAUUUUUAUCAUACACAAGCCCAAUAUUGUAUUUAUUAAGUUUUAUUAUUUUAUUAUUUAUUGAUUCCAAAUUUUGAAUAAAUUUUAAGUAUUUUUAGUUAUUUAGGAGUUUUAUGUCAAUAAGAAAAUUUAGUUUAAAACUACUUUUUUUUUAAGUUAAUUAGAGUUUUAUUUGGAUUUACUUAGCUUGCAGGUCUCUUCAUUGUACACAAUUAUACAACAAUCAAUUCAUUCAUUAGUUUGAGUUUUCUUUUUAAGAAUUUAUCUUGAGUUUUCUUUUAGAAGAGUUUUAACAAAUUUUUUCAGAUUUUGAGGAUCAUAUUCAGGCUUUUUCUUGUUAAGUUUUCUUUCUUGGAGGAAAAUUAGAGCCGUUUGUAAGGGGUUGUAGAUUCAUCAGGUUUUCAAGUGUAACCCCCCAAAGUGUGUAUACGAGAUUUGCUGAAUAUUGUCAUAUAAUUUAGUGGUUAAAGGCGUGGGUGUGGGCUUCAAGUCCUUUCGUGAGCGGUAUGACAAUAAAUUUAUGUGUUGUUUAAGUAGUUGAGUUUUAAGUAAAUUCAAAUGUUUUAAAAAAACUGUUGAGACUUAGUGGAUUAGUGGGCUUGUUAGAGAUUUGUUGGCAGGGGGUGUGGGGGUUUGAAUUUAAUUUCUUUUUCUUUUUCUUUCAAAUCAAAUUGUUCUCUUAUUUUUUUCAAUUUUUUUUGUAAGCUAUUUUGAUUUCCACGUCUCUUUCUACCUUCGCUAUCCAUUUUUUCCCCUUUCUUUUGUUCAUCGUUUCUUGCGCCACCUCUUGCCAUUUUGUUUCUAUUCCUUUUUGUUCUUUUAUUCCAUCGGUUCUGGGUGCCCGUCUGUUUGUGCCUUCACUUGCGUUCUUGUGGGUGGCUAUCGAUUCUGCUCUCUCAUGCAAUACUGUUUUUUUUUGGGGUAUUUGUGAGUAAGUUUUGUAGAGUUUAUAAAGGUUUUUGGUUAAUGUUUUAUUACCCUUUCGAAGCUUGGGUUAAUACUGUGUAAUAUUCACUGUUGGGUGCUAAUCAAGAAGAUUGGAAUUUCCCUCCUACGAGUGGGUUGUUUUAGGGGCUGCUGUGAACGUGGGUAAGUAUUCGAGCAUUUAUAUGUUCAAUUUUAGUUGGAAUUGCUCAUGUUUGUGUUUUAGCCAAGUGAAUGGCUCGGUGAGAAUUGAGGAAUUUGGGAUUGAUUUUGGGCGAUCUAUUGUCGUUUUUAGGUUUUCGCUAUCUCGUAGUUGCAUUCACGCAACAAGCGAACUAGGUGUGUAACAAGAAACCUAGAAAAUAGUGAAAGAAGAAAGCUAAAAUUGAGUACUAUCGACGCCACACUGCUGUGUGAUAGGCCGUGUGUGACACGGUUUGGGCUAUUUUGGGCCAUGUGGACCACAUGGGCUAGGCUAUUUGGGUUGUGUGGGCACAAAAAUUAAAAUUUUUCCCUAGGGCCGUACACAUUGUUUCGAUCGAUUGUGGGCCUUCCGUAGGGUCGGCAUGUGAUUAAAUAUACUAUAAAACAUGAAAUUUGAUCAUAUGUUAUUAUGAAUUUUGAUAUCAGUAAAUGUAUCUGAGAUGUCAUAUGAUAAUUCAAAUUGAGUGUGACGUCAAAUACGUACAUGAUUUGCAUUUGAAAUGUUAUACAUGAUUUCUGUUCUGUCUAUACCUGAUUCUGGGGUGGGAUAUAUUAUGUGGAGGAAGUGUUUAUGAGAGAAGCGAUUUUUUACUCAUUAUAUUGGUAACACUGCUGCGAAUAUUCUAAAAAGUGUCAUUUCGACACUAAGUGAUGUGUAGGGCUGCAUGGGUCUUUAAGACCCUACAUAAUGUGUAGGGAUGGUUGGAGAUGGUGUGUUGCGGAUGGGGUAAGAUUGUAAAUUUGCAUAUGAUUCUGAUUCUAUAUGAGAUAUACAUCUGUAUCUGGUCUACUAUGUAAUAAAUCUAAAGUUAAAUCUAUGAUUCUGUUUUGUUUUAAGUUACAUAUUGAGUUAUGAAAACUCAUUGUUUUUGAUUGUAUGCCACUUUCAAGUAACCCUCAGACUUAAGCGAGUCAGUGCGAUGGGAGCUCGGUUAUAUCCACAUUUUCGCAAACUCAAUUUAUUUAAAUUUGACUUAUUUAAAGUUCUGGUUUAAGAGUUUUGUAAAUUUUGGACUCUCUGGACAUUUAGGAUUAUUUUUGGUUUGGAUUUUAUUUUCGAUUUUUGCGUGAUACAGGUAAAAGGAUUUAUCGAAAAUGUCUGUUUUCCUGCAAACAAAUGAUUUCAAGAAAACAAACCUGGUUUUCCAAAAUAUAAUGGUCUAAGAAUUUUCGCUACAAAGUAACUAAUUUUUAGAAAACAUAAUUGAACAUGGAUUCAACUGAAAAGCUAACUAAGAAUAAUUUCCACUAAAUUGGAGAUUUCUUUAGUAACGAAAUUUGUGCUAUUUUUCAAUGUUUCUAGAAAGUUAAAUCUUCAACCAUUUUAUAUAAUCACUCCAGAUGCGGCCAUAACGUCUAGGCUAGAAUCAAAUCAAAUUUCUUGACAUAUCCUACAAAGAAAAUUUGUAGUUGUGCUGCUAGAAUAGAUUUGGUGGGUAUACUGCCAGAAUUGCAGUAAAACUGCUAGAGCACACUUCUCCAUCAUAUAUCAUAUCCUACCCCAAUGCACAUGCAAAAACAUACCAAUAUCUCAUGCUACAUGAUCAUAACAAAACAAAUUUAUAACAUGCUUACACAAGUUUCAUUAAAACAGAUUAUGUCACAUAGCCUACAUAGAGUUUUGCUAAUCAGAGUUAUGCUUUACCAAAAUGCAAACAUUUAGAUUAUGUAUUUCACAUUCUUACUAGAUUACAAAAUAUCUACCUACCUAAUUUCAAAAAUCUACUUUUGGCCAAAUAGAGGCCACAAACUACCCAAAAUGGGCCCACACUCUUGUGUGGCCCACACACCCUACUUGAUCGGGCCAUGUGGCUCACGAUCUACCACAUGGCCUACCAAAUGGCCGUGUGACCUACACUACUUCCCACAGGGUUUACCACAUAGUCGUGUGACCCACACGGUCUACCACAAGGCUUAACAUACAGUUGUGUGAUGUACACGACCAACCACACGACCGUGUGAUGCAGUCUACCAGCUUCAAUCACAAAAUUCCAGAUUUUUUGUGAUUUUUUAGUGUUCUCGAGUUAGAAAGACACACACGAACACUUUUGGUAUGUUGUCUCAACAACAAAAAUUUUGGAAUCUACCUACGAAAUCCAAAUCGAACCAAUUAACUAAUACACAUACUAAUACAACCUAAAUAAUCGGUUCCUAUAAACUAAAUGAAACUAACCUUUAAUUUGAACAUUUAAACACUUACCAUUGGAGAAGAACAAGAGCCUUUAACAACACUUAACUCGCUAGAGGAUCGUUGUGUGUCUCACAAUAUUCCUUUAUCAAUACAAGAAUGUUCAAACUCAACAUUAAAACCAAUUAAAAGUCCACUUAACUCUAUGUGAACUGAAGAAGAAAACCACAAAAAUAUGGAAAAAUAUGGAAAAAUAUGGAAAACCACAAAACAAAAGGAAGAAAACAGAGGAAGUGGCUGCAAGAGAGGAAUGAAACAGAAGGAAUAGUAGAAGCAAUUUUUUUAUCAGCCCAAAGUUCACAGGAAACAAAAGAAAGAAGGAAGAUUGUGAAGGUUUAUAGGAAACAAACAAAGAAAGAAAAGGGUCAACUUGUGACACGCGCGAAAGGAGGGGGACCAAAAGGCAAUAUUCCCACGUUGAUCAAACGGUGCCAUUCUGGCAAGCCCGUGCGCAUGGUCUUUGGACCAGAUUGAAACAAAAGCCAAAACUUGGUGGCCUAAAUCAAAUAAAACAAAGGACCAUAUUGACACAAAAUGCAAAGGCCGAGGAUCUAUUGCGCAAAUAGUCCCUCAAGUGAAAAACAUGCGGAUCCUUGGGUGCGGAUCGGGUCGCGCACGGGUCACGAAAAACGGCGCUGUUUUGGCGGUAAAACCCCUCCAAGUGAAACAACGUCGUUUCACACUAUAUAUAAAUUUUGAAAAAUAACUAAAAAAAACAUUUUUCCUUUCAUUUCUCAGAAAAAAGAACAGAGAGACAAAGUCUCUCUCCCUCUCAGCCUUUCUCUCCAGAUCCGACCAUCGCCACCACCGUAGCGCCACCGUGGCUAAUGGACGGCGUUGCACAAACAGGGUUUUUGAACCCUCGCCUCACGGCGUCCCCGAAGGCUAGGCCUUCUCAACCGCGUGAUCAAAAGAAAAGGAAGCAAAUGGGUCUUCUCCCUAUUCGACUCCGGUGAUGGCAAAGACAGACUCCAGCGCCGACUUUCGAAGCAAACAUGUAUUUUUUGCUUUAUCUUUUAUUAAAAAGGCUCGUAAAAAAAGUAAAAUAAAAUAAAUAAACACAAACAAUAAUGAACAAGAACACAAAGUAAAGAACAAAGAAAUUUUUAAAACAACCUUUUCUUUAAGUUUUUUUCAUGCUUUUCAUUCAUCAGUCGUAAAAAAAAUACAGAAAGAGUGUUUGGCUUUUAUAGCCGAUUUGCUUCUAUUUUUCUAUUAUUAUUUUUUGGGCUGCUUGUGUGUGUCCUCUAUUUUGCAGGGUUGAUGGGCGACGGUCGACGUGACAGCGGCGGUGGUAGACUCGCGGUGGCUCGGAGACCAAGGGUCUGAAGCAAGUGGUGGCCAGGAGACCAAAGGUCUGAAGCAAGGUGCGACAUUUAGGGUUUCAGUAGGCUGACUUUGGUUUCUGGGUCUGUUGGGCCUGGUUUUGGGCUCUGGGUUUGGAUUUAAUUUUGUUGGGCAAGGUUUUGGGUUAGGCUAGUUGGGCCUUGGGCUAAGUCCAUAGGUUGGGUUUGAUUUGGGCUAGGGUUAGGUGGGUUUGUUGGGCCCCAGGUAAAUUUGCGCUGUACAGCUCUGUAUUGUCAAAUGCUUAUGCAACAACUUUUACUUUAAUGAAAGUUUCUUUCCAUUUGUUAAAAUUACACAAGUUCCCAAUCCAUGUACUUAAACGAAUAUUAGAAUAUGUCAAUAACUUCAUUUCCCCAAUCAAUUACGCUCUCUUCUUUUACCAUCAUUUCUCAAUAGCUCAGCUUCUCUAGAUCAAGUAGUCAGUAUCAUACUAGUGGAUGCAAAGUUUUUGUUUUGGUAACCGUACGUGCUAGUGUAUUUUAUGUUUUGUUUCGGCCUUAUUGUUGUUUCUUAAAUAUAUUUUCCUGUUUAUAUCUUAGUUUCUCGAUAAAAUAUAUUAUAUAUGCAAAUAAACCAUAACAAUAUACGUUCGAACAAUUUAUUGAAAUAUAUAUAUUUUCCAAAUAUUAAUUGCAUCCAAUGAUUAUAUUUUAUUUCUAAAUGCAACAAUAAAUUAAAAAUCUUACUUUUUAAGACAAAAUAGCGUAAAUUUUUUAUUGAAACUGUGAAAAUCUUAUGCCAAUCGGUAUGGGCUAGGAGAAGCUGAAAUAAAUUGAAACACAAAAAAACCAAAACAAACCAAUUGAUUUACUAGUGAAUCAAUACAAUCAGAAUCUAGUGAAUGGCGAAAUCUCAAUUUUGAUUCACUAGUUCUGUCAACAAUUCGAAGAUAAAUUCACUUAUCUGAUCACUAAGAAUUUGAAUUUUACCCACAUACUACUAUUUUGGGCAGUACGACUUAAGGGAAACAAAAGUUAUUUUCGUUUUACACACACAAGAUUCAAACAUGAAACCUAAGGACAAGCUGAAGCCUUACCAUUAAACCAGCAGGCUCAUUCUUGUCAACAAACUAAUAAGAAUAAAUUAUAACUUGUAUGUGAACAGCCAAUUGAAGGAGCAAAUAUCAACAAAAGUCAAGGGAAGGGAAUCGAAUACAGGACCUCUAGCACACAACCAAAACACUUAUCUACUGAACCAAAUCAAAUAAACCCAUAAAUUAUAAAAUUUUGGGCGUUACAACUCUCGGUUCACUAACCCAAUUUCUACUAACCCGGUUUUUGGGAUGUGACAAUAUUUAUUUCCCUAAAAGAAAAUAUAAGCACAAUAAAAAAAGGGAAUAGAAAAUGGAAAGAGUCCAAGUCAAAUAAAUACACCUCCAUAUAUAUCUUAUCAUUUCGAAAGGGAAAGCACAAUAGGUCCAACAUGAAACUCUCUUAACCCAACCCUUUUGUGGAUAAUAAAAGCAUUUUCUAUUAAUGUACUCGGGCAUUAUCAUUACUAAAAAAUAAAAAUCUUACCCUAUUAAAUAUAUUUACUAACAAAACCAAAAUUAUUAGGCAAACUAACAAAACCAAAUAAUGCCUUAAAACAAUGACAACUUGAAACCUAUGUUUCACGGUUUCAAAAUGUUAGCUAUUAAAACAAUAUAUUUACUUUAAAAUAGAAAAAAACACAAUAUAUAAGGUAGCUAUCUCCAUUAAUUUUAAGCAUCAGAAAGUAAAGAAUUCAAUAAACAUUUGCUACCCUUAUCUCUUUGAUAUUAGAAUAAUUUCAAAUGGAAUUUCGGGGAGUAAUCUUUGUUAGUUUUCUUAUUUUUCAACUUGGAGUUAACUCUAAUGCCUUUCCAAUGAAUGAUUUGAUAAGCAAAUUGCCAGGACAACCAGAUGUUAAUUUCAGGCAAUUUGCUGGAUAUAUUGAUGUGGAUGAAAAUGUCGUUGGUCGAAGUCUUUUUUACUAUUUUGUUGAAGCUGAAAAAGAUCCCCUAACUCAACCCCUCACUGUUUGGUUAACUGGAGGUUCACUUCUUUGAAAUUUUUUAUUGCAGUUUUUGAUGUUAUGCGGAUUUUCCAGUAGGUAUCCUAUACGAACAAGUUAGAUAAAAUUUACUAUGCGCAAGCCAAAGCAAAGGGAAGCUGGGGCUUCGGCCCCAUUGGUUAAAUGUUACAAUUACAUUUUUAGCCUUUCCCAAAAAAUUAGAAUUCAAUUUAAUCCCCUUUUCCCCCUUCAAAUGGAAACAUUAUCACUUCCUGCCCUCGUUAGAAAGUAAUAAUUCAAUUUAGGCCGUUUCCAUGCAAAGAUUUUAUCUUUAUCUCCAUCUCUAACACAAAAUUUAUAGCCUUUCUCUGACUAUGAUUUUUUCCUCAUCUGGAAACCCAUACGUUUAAACAUAUAUUGAAUACAUGUCGAACUAGACUAGUCAUUACGUUAGAUCGAACCAUCACUCUAUUUUUCUAGCUUUACUUAAGUCUAGCCGAUAAGUUUGUUUGAUUACUCACAUAUAAUAAAAUCUUUAGUGUAAUACUAUUCAGGACCAGGGUGUUCUUCAGUUGGAGAUGCCUUUGGAAGUGUUGGUCCUUUUAUUGUUACAAAAGAUGCUCAUGGUCUCCAAACAAAUUUCUUAUCUUGGAGCAAAGGUUGUCUAAUUUCCUACGCUUAUUUUAUUGAUAUAUUUUUUUUGUGCAUAUAUAUAUAUCAUGUUUCAUAGUUAUUUUUUUUUCACAUCCAUAUAAAUUUAACAAAAUAUAUUAAAUGUUUUAGAACUAUAUAUAUAUUUUCACAUCCAUAUAAAUUUAACAAAAUAUAUUAAAUGUUUUAGAACUAUAUAUAAAAUGUUACAGUACGUCUAGUUUUCAUUAUUGUGUUUAAAUGAAUUGCAUUGCCUUUCUUAUAUUGUUUUUUUUUGUAUUUCUAUGUCUAUAUAAGAUUCUGUCUAAUAUAUGUUUCAGUGUCAAAUCUAUUGUUUAUUGACUCCCCUAUUGGAUCUGGAUGGUCAUAUUCAAACACAAGUAGUGAUUAUAAUAACGGAGAUGAUACCACUAGUAAGAUCGUAGUAUAUAUUCUUCACUAUUAAUUAAAAUAGUUUGGAUAUUAUAUAUAUUGAUAGUUUCCAAUUGUUUGUUACGUACAGAUAAAAUAUUGCUUACAUUUAUGCAAAAAUGGUAUGAAAAAUAUCCGGUCUUCAAGUCGAAAGAUCUAUAUCUAGCUGGAUCAAGUUUUGCAGGUGAACAAUUUCUUGCUUCUUUUCUCUUAUCUGGUUGUAUAUCAACAUAUUUUUAAUACACCAAAACAUACUUAAUGAAUACCUAAACAAAAUAUAAUGCGAUCUCUAGCAUAUAGUAUUUUCUAUCUAUAUAUUGUACGUUAUUAUUUACAUAUCAAGCUUGCAACACUAUUAUUUUUUAGAUUCAAACUCAAAUAAUUAAUCAAAUUUCUUAUUAAAUUAAUAAUUUUGUAAAAAUAAUUAAAAAAAAUAAAUAUUUUCAUAAAUUAUUUUUUGUAACAUACUUCUUUAAUUGAAUAUGUCAAACUAAUUAUUCAAAAGAAAUAUAACAAGCAAAUGAUCUUGUCUUAAUACGAGUUAUGGAUAAGUCUCUAUGGAACAAUACAAACAAUAUAACAUGUUCGUUACUAUAAUCAAAUCUGUGGAUUUUAUUUCAGGACACUAUGUACCAAAUCUUGCUAAUGCUUUACUCGAUGACAACAAGCAAUCCAAGCAGUCGAAAUUUAACCUCAAAGGACUGGUUGUAAGUAAAAUCGUAUCUAAAUAAUCAAAUUUAAUUGCCACUUUAAUAUAUAUUUGCAUAAAAGGAUUAGUUAGAAAUGUUCAUGGUUGAGUAACUUGCCUCAUUCGAGAAGGCUUAGCUUUACUAGAUUGGAUUAGGAUACCGACUUCUACGUUUUGGAUCAAACCAUUAUGACUUUGAUUAUUGUUCAUUAGAUUGCAUCAUAGAAAAUAAAUUUUGGUUUAAAUCAAGCAUCCACACUAACAUAAAAAGUUAAAAUUAUUCUGAAAUAUUUUUAAGAAUUUUAUCGGGCCUGGAUAAAACAAAAAUAACAUGUGUUGCAGCUCAAAUCUUCCGUAAACAUGGUUAGGUUCAAUUCAAUGUUAAUUUAAAUAUUUUAUUGUGAACUUUAUUUUUAUUUUUUUAAUUGCAACUAUUUUGAACAGCUGGGAAACCCAAUGCUUCGUAAAAAGCUAGACGAUAUUGCAAAAAUUGAUUUCUUUUUCUCUCGAGAGAUGAUAAAUAGCUCGUUGUAUAACGAAAUCAAGAAAGAAUGCAAUGCCAUUGAUGAAAAUAAUUACUUUUCUAGCAUCAAAACCACUUGGAGUGCAAAAUGUAAAAACCUUGUGUUUGAGGCCGAUUUGGCUGCUUUCAAGACCGAUGCUCAUAAUUACUCCCCGCAGAAGCUAUUUGAUGUCUUUCGCCCUCCUUGUGCUGAAACUGAGAAAGAUUUGAACUUAGGAAAACAGGUUUUCAUUUAUUUCUUUACAUUCCUCUUACUUUACUUCAAUUCGGAACUGCAAAUAACAUACGUUCGUAUAGAAUCGAAUUAACUGAACAACCGAGUAGAACUAAUUUGUGUUAUUUUUCUUUUAUUGGUCAUAGCAAAAGCAUAAAACUUUAUUUCUCGGUCCAGGUUCCUUUAGUUAGCACAGAAGUAGACAUGUGCCAUCCAUUACGGGUGCAAUUUUACUUUAAUCUCCCAGAAGUUCAAAAAGCUUUCCAUGGGAAUCAAACAAACUUGUCAUACAGAUGGAAGGGUUGUUUCACGUAAGUUCUCCCUUAAAAUUUGAAAAUAAUUGAUGUUUUUUUAUUCCAGAUAUGUUGAUAUAAUUACUUUUUAGAAAUUAUUUUAAAUUCAAGUUUUAAGACUCAUUAUCUCCAUAUUGUCACCUCUUGUUUUGGUAAAAUAAAUAAAUUACUUAUUUAUUGAUGUGGAUGCCGUGUAAAAAUUGUUAACCUUAAAAUUUUCAUUAUAUGUCACUCUUAUUUAUUUAGAGCUAAUUUUAAAUACAACGAAGCUGAUAAGGACCUUGACAUGCUUCCUGCGCUUAAAAAUCUUCUUCAACUAUCCGUUCCCAUUACAAUAUUCAGGUUGGUAUUGUAUUUGUAUGCCAUAAUUUUUCCAAUACUUUCUUGAAAUAAGUUAACUAAGUAUGAAGAAUCGAAGUGAACGAUUAUGAAAACAAAUUCUCGUGCCAUUUGACUGAUUUUUUAUUUUAUUUUAUUAAUAUGAUUACAAUGUUAUAGUGGAGAUCAAGAUGGUAUAAUACCGAUAGAGGGAACCUUACAACAUUUGGAAAAGUUGGCCGAGGAGUUAAACAUCAAGUUAACCAAAAAGGAAACAUGGAGUCUUGGAACCAAGGUUUUAUGUUUACACAUUUAAUUAUAUAUAUAUUAGCUUCUUCUUUUUUAUAUUAUGAUUAGAUAUAUUUAAGCAUCAAGUUAUCCGGCAGAUAUGGUUACCAAUUUGGAUCUAAACUUGAACAAGAAAUUUUAAGUGUUGACUCGAUUGGCUUGAUUAGCGCAUUCAAGGCAAGCUCACACUACUUACCCAGUUCAAUGGGCUUGACCAAUACGUGCUAGGCCGUGAUCAUGAUUUUCCACAAAUUUUGGGCAACUCGUCCUAAAUUUUUAUUUAAAUAUGAAAAUAUUAAUGUAAACAUAAUUUAUAUUUACUAAAUAGUUAGUCGAGCCGAUAGGUUGGCUCGAGCUAACUUAAUCAUAAAAAAGUAAAUAUAUUAGAAGAAAAUAAUUUUGCAGAAUGUCAUAUAUAUUGAAUAAUGGAAUGGGUUUUCUUCUUUACUAUUUAUAUUUAUAAAUUUGUAUUUUAAUACGAUAAAAUUAAUUAUAAAUAUUUAACAGGAAGGAGGCUUGAAGUAUGAAUUUGGAGACUUACUAAAAUUCUUGACGGUGAAGGGAGGUAAUCAUCAUGUUACAUCUUCUCGACCAUCACAAGCUUUUUCUAUUUUCUCAAAUUUCACAAUUAAAGCGAUGCAUUGAGGAUUGGUGAUGAAACUUAUGGAGCACACGAUCAUGAUUCAUGUUGAAGCCACCAUUCACCAUAAUAAGACUUGUCGUUGUAAUAAUUUAUUGUGAUGAUAUGUAUUAUUUUAUGAUGCAUGGACAUCAUAAAUUUUUAUAUUAUGCAAUAAUAUAAUUAGUUAAAUCAUCUGAUAUCUAACGAAUAAUUAUUAUUUUAAUAAAAUCAUGCAAUUUUCAUACAUGAAAAUAACAAAUAAAGAGAACUCAACCCAAUAUGUGUAACAAUUUUUUAUUGAAGAUUUUGUUUUCUAAUGUCAAAUAAAUUGAUUAAUGCAUCAACCUUUUCAAACACCUUUUAUAACUUUGUUAUAAGCAUUUUGUAUAUUUGAAUAUAUUAGAUACAGACUCUAAAACAAUGUGAAUAGUAAUUUCUUAUAUUUUCUUGAUCAUAAGUGUAUUAUAUAAAUAAUUACGAAAAAAGAUGGAGUAAUACAUUUGCGUAGUGCUUAUUACAAAAGACGAUCACAAUUUGUACACAAAACCCUUUUUCCUUAAACUCUCCUACAAAAGAAAACAUAGCCUUAGAUUUACGUUACUCUGUGAUUGGCCACCACCUUCUCCCUUCUAUUACUUCCCUCUUUAUUUUACUUUUUUCGAUUUCUUUCGUUACCCCUUGUGGGGGUGGUUUUGGAGCAACAAUUUUCGGAAGCAACACGAUUGUGCUUGUCUCAUAGCCGCCGUCUCAUCUCCUACAUUAGGGUGCUUGUUUUCAUUACAAAUUUGGCAUUGUUGUGGAAACGUCAAAGAACAAGAUGAGUGUGCUUUUAUGUCACAUUGGGGUGGACAACAAAUGACUUUCGAGUUUGUUGUGUCUUGGCCUUUCUUUGUCCUAGUUCUUUUGUUCGACUCUAGUGUCUCCCUUGUCUUUUAAAUUUCAGUUUUGCUUUAGCCCUUGGGUUGUUGUCAAGAAAUACGAUCAGGUUGCAUGCAAGAGAAAGGCUUGUGAAUGCAUAAUGACUUGAUGCACCAAUUCUCUCCAAUUACUUUCCUCCAUGCUUUUAAUAAAUUAGUAAAGGAAAACCUAGUCUUUGCAGGCCCUGUUCUAAGAGUUAUUUUGUUCGAUUUUCGAUGCAUUCUACCACGUUUUUAUAUCGCUCUUGUUGACACCAUUUUUUUUGGUGAAACGGGGUCGACUUGGAUUUUGAAAACGAAAAUAAAAAAAAUGGGAGUCACCACCAAUCCUUUUUGAUGAGGUGUGAUUGGAUCACCUUGAAAAGUGGUUUUUUUAAUAAAUGAUUUGAUUAAAACAACAAUUUUGAUCCACGAAAUUUAGAAAAAUAGGUUUGGGAGUCAGUUACGCACGAGGAAGGAUUAGUACCCUCGUAACGCCCAAAAUUGGUACCUAGUUUAUUAAUUAAUGUCUUAGUGUCGAAGAUUGAAAACUUUGAAGAGAUUUAAAAUACAAUCCUUUUUUAAAGACUGAUAUAAAUCAAAUUUCAUAUUAAGACCCUCUCAUUUUGGAGAGAGAAAAUGUUAUACCCGAUGAGUUAGGGUAUGAUAUUUCACUUCCCCAAAAAUGAGCUUGUCCUAAAAAAACUCACGCAAUAAAAUUUAAAAGGAUACUCAAUUGUUUAAGUCGGAUGAAGAAAUCGCAGCCCAAUACGUUAGGGCGCAAUUUCUCAAAAUUCUAAACAUUGAAUAUUACCUUUAUGAUUUCUUAAAAAAAUCCUCAUCUCGAGAAAACAACGUGUCAUGUCCAAUGCGUUAGGACACAACGUAUUGAAUUCCCGAUAAUGAGCCUUUUAUUUACGUUUUUUAUUUUAAAGAGCACUCUCGAUUAUUUAGAUUCAAUGAAGAAAAUUGGAACCCAAAACGUUAGGGCUGAAUUCUCUCGAAGAUCCCAAAUACCGAGUGUUGCUUUUGUUUUGAAAUUUUUCUGUUUUUGACAACUUUGAGUAAAAAUGGAUGUAACAUAAUGAUAAUGAUGAUAAUGUAAAUAGAGGAAUACAAGCAUGGGCUUUAAAAUAAAAUAAAUAAAAGGACAAACUAAUAUGGUACACAAUAGCAAGCACAUAAGCUACAAAAUUAAAACAUUCAUUCUAAACAAUGCGAAUACGAAUAAGGAAGUAAACAAAGAAAAUGAAUAGCACUAUGGAAAUGUAAAAAAGAUAUAUACAUAUGUAUAUAUUGUAAGAUUAUUAUACAUGAAAAUAUAAGUAAGUAAAAGCAUACAUAUGUGCAUAGAAAGGUACAUACAUACAUGCAUAUAUAAAUUAUAAAAGGUAUACGAAAAUAUGUUUUUAUAUACAUGUAAAAAUAAAUAAAUAUAUAUAUAUGAAUGUGCAUAUAUAAAUUAUAAGAUAUACAAAUGUGUAUGAACACAUGGUAAUAAUAACAGAAAAUAAAAAUAGUAAUGAUAUUGUAUGAAAGGAGUAACAAAUACAAAAAUAGUUAAUUUGAUGAACAAAUAAUUAAAAUAAUAAACUGGGGGCUAAUUUGAAAUUAAACAAAGUUUAUGGGCCAAAAUUAGGAAUGGAAAUAAAGAAAACGGUCAACUUGUGACACGCGCGAAAGGAGGGGGACCAAAAGGCAAUAUUCCCACGUUGAUCAAACGGUGCCGUUCUGGCAAGCCGGUGCGCAUGGUCUCUGGACCAGAUUGAAACAAAAGCCAAAACUUGGUGGCCUAAAUCAAAUAAAACAAAGGACCAUAUUGACACAAAAUGCAAAGGCCGAGGAUCUAUUGCGCAAAUAGUCCCUCAAGUGAAAAACACGUGGAUCCUUGGGUGCGGGUCGGGUCGCGCACGGGUCACGAAAAACGGGGCUAUUUUCGCGGUAAAACCCCUCCAAGUGAAACAACGUCGUUUCACACUAUAUAUAAAUUUUGAAAAAUAACUAAAAAAAACAUUUUUCCUUUCAUUUCUCAGAAAAAAGAACAGAGAGACAAAGUCUCUCUCCCUCUCAGCCUUUCUCUCCAGAUCCGACCAUCGCCACCACCGUAGCGCCACCGUGGCUAAUGGACGGCGUUGCGCAAACAGGGUUUUUGAACCCUCGCCUCACGGUGUCCCCGAAGGCUAGGCCUUCUCAACCGCGUGAUCAAAAGAAAAGGAAGCAAAGGGGUCUUCUCCCUGUUCGACUCCGGUGAUGGCAAAGACAGACUCCAGCGCCGACUUUCGAAGCAAACAUGUAUUUUUUGCUUUAUCUUUUAUUAAAAAGGCUAGUAAAAAAGUAAAAUAAAAUAAAUAAACACAAACAGUAAUGAACAGGAACACAAAGUAAAGAACAAAGAAAUUUUUAAAACAACCUUUUCUUUAAGUUUUUUUCAUGCUUUUCAUUCAUCAGUCGUAAAAAAAAUACAGAAAGGGUGUUUGGCUUUUAUAGCGGAUUUGCUUCUAUUUUUCUAUUAUUAUUUUUUGGGCUGCUUGUGUGUGUCCUCUAUUUUGCAGGGUUGAUGGGCGACGGUCGACGUGACAGCGGCGGUGGUAGACUCGCGGUGGCUCGGAGACCAAGGGUCUGAAGCAAGUGGUGGCCAGGAGACCAAAGGUCUGAAGCAAGGUGCGACGCUUAGGGUUUCAGUAGGCUGACUUUGGUUUCUGGGUCUGUUGGGCCUGGUUUUGGGCUCUGGGUUUGGGUUUAAUUUUGUUGGGCUAGGUUUUGGGUUAGGCUAGUUGGGCCUUGGGCUAAGUCCAUAGGUUGGGUUUGAUUUGGGCUAGGGUUAGGUGGGUUUGUUGGGCCCCAGGUAAAUUUGCGCUGUACAGCUCUGUAUUGUCAAAUGCUUAUGCAACAACUUUUACUUUAAUGAAAGUUUCUUUCCGUUUGUUAAAAUUACACAAGUUCCCAAUCCAUGUACUUAAACGAAUAUUAGAAUAUGUCAAUAACUUCAUUUCCCCAAUCAAUUACGCUCUCUUCUUUUACCAUCAUUUCUCAAUAGCUCAGCUUCUCUAGAUCAGGUAGUCAGUAUCAUACUAGUGGAUGCAAAGUUUUUGUUUUGGUAACCGUACGUGCUAGUGUAUUUUAUGUUUUGUUUCGACCUUAUUGUUGUUUCUUAAAUAUAUUUUCCUGUUUAUAUCUUAGUUUCUCGAUAAAAUAUAUUAUAUAUGCAAAUAAACCAUAACAAUAUACGUUCGAACAAUUUAUUGAAAUAUAUAUAUUUUCCAAAUAUUAAUUGCAUCCAAUGAUUAUAUUUUAUUUCUAAAUGCAACAAUAAAUUAAAAAUCUUACUUUUUAAGACAAAAUAGCGUAAAUUUUUUAUUGAAACUGUGAAAAUCUUAUGCCAAUCGGUAUGGGCUAGGAGAAGCCGAAAUAAAUUGAAACACAAAAAAACCAAAACAAACCAAUUGAUUUACUAGUGAAUCAAUACAAUCAGAAUCUAGUGAAUGGCGAAAUCUCAAUUUUGAUUCACUAGUUCUGUCAACAAUUCGAAGAUAAAUUCACUUAUCUGAUCACUAAGAAUUUGAAUUUUACCCACAUACUACUGUUUUGGGCAGUACGACUUAAGGGAAACAAAAGUUAUUUUCGUUUUACACACACAAGAUUCAAACAUGAAACCUAAGGACAAGCUGAAGCCUUACCAUUAAACCAGCAGGCUCAUUCUUGUCAACAAACUAAUAAGAAUAAAUUAUAACUUGUAUGUGAACAGCCAAUUGAAGGAGCAAAUAUCAACAAAAGUCAAGGGAAGGGAAUCGAAUACAGGACCUCUAGCACACAACCAAAACACUUAUCUACUGAACCAAAUCAAAUAAACCCAUAAAUUAUAAAAUUUUGGGCGUUACAACUCUCGGUUCACUAACCCAAUUUCUACUAACCCGGUUUUUGGGAUGUGACAAUAUUUAUUUCCCUAAAAGAAAAUAUAAGCACAAUAAAAAAAGGGAAUAGAAAAUGGAAAGAGUCCAAAUCAAAUAAAUACACCUCCAUAUAUAUCUUAUCAUUUCGAAAGGGAAAGCACAAUAGGUCCAACAUGAAACUCUCUUAACCCAACCCUUUUGUGGAUAAUAAAAGCAUUUUCUAUUAAUGUACUCGGGCAUUAUCAUUACUAAAAAAUAAAAAUCUUACCCUAUUAAAUAUAUUUACUAACAAAACCAAAAUUAUUAGGCAAACUAACAAAACCAAAUAAUGCCUUAAAACAAUGACAACUUGAAACCUAUGUUUCACGGUUUCAAAAUGUUAGCUAUUAAAACAAUAUAUUUACUUUAAAAUAGAAAAAAACACAAUAUAUAAGGUAGCUAUCUCCAUUAAUUUUAAGCAUCAGAAAGUAAAGAAUUCAAUAAACAUUUGCUACCCUUAUCUCUUUGAUAUUAGAAUAAUUUCAAAUGGAAUUUCGGGGAGUAAUCUUUGUUAGUUUUCUUAUUUUUCAACUUGGAGUUAACUCUAAUGCCUUUCCAAUGAAUGAUUUGAUAAGCAAAUUGCCAGGACAACCAUAUGUUAAUUUCAGGCAAUUUGCUGGAUAUAUUGAUGUGGAUGAAAAUGUCGUUGGUCGAAGUCUUUUUUACUAUUUUGUUGAAGCUGAAAAAGAUCCCCUAACUCAACCCCUCACUGUUUGGUUAACUGGAGGUUCACUUCUUUGAAAUUUUUUAUUGCAGUUUUUGAUGUUAUGCGGAUUUUCCAGUAGGUAUCCUAUACGAACAAGUUAGAUAAAAUUUACUAUGCGCAAGCCAAAGCAAAGGGAAGCUGGGGCUUCGGCCCCAUUGGUUAAAUGUUACAAUUACAUUUUUAGCCUUUCCCAAAAAAUUAGAAUUCAAUUUAAUCCCCUUUUCCCCCUUCAAAUGGAAACAUUAUCACUUCCUGCCCUCGUUAGAAAGUAAUAAUUCAAUUUAGGCCGUUUCCAUGCAAAGAUUUUAUCUUUAUCUCCAUCUCUAACACAAAAUUUAUAGCCUUUCUCUGACUAUGAUUUUUUCCUCAUCUGGAAACCCAUACGUUUAAACAUAUAUUGAAUACAUGUCGAACUAGACUAGUCAUUACGUUAGAUCGAACCAUCACUCUAUUUUUCUAGCUUUACUUAAGUCUAGCCGAUAAGUUUGUUUGAUUACUCACAUAUAAUAAAAUCUUUAGUGUAAUACUAUUCAGGACCAGGGUGUUCUUCAGUUGGAGAUGCCUUUGGAAGUGUUGGUCCUUUUAUUGUUACAAAAGAUGCUCAUGGUCUCCAAACAAAUUUCUUAUCUUGGAGCAAAGGUUGUCUAAUUUCCUACGCUUAUUUUAUUGAUAUAUUUUUUUUGUGCAUAUAUAUAUAUCAUGUUUCAUAGUUAUUUUUUUUUCACAUCCAUAUAAAUUUAACAAAAUAUAUUAAAUGUUUUAGAACUAUAUAUAUAUUUUCACAUCCAUAUAAAUUUAACAAAAUAUAUUAAAUGUUUUAGAACUAUAUAUAAAAUGUUACAGUACGUCUAGUUUUCAUUAUUGUGUUUAAAUGAAUUGCAUUGCCUUUCUUAUAUUGUUUUUUUUUGUAUUUCUAUGUCUAUAUAAGAUUCUGUCUAAUAUAUGUUUCAGUGUCAAAUCUAUUGUUUAUUGACUCCCCUAUUGGAUCUGGAUGGUCAUAUUCAAACACAAGUAGUGAUUAUAAUAACGGAGAUGAUACCACUAGUAAGAUCGUAGUAUAUAUUCUUCACUAUUAAUUAAAAUAGUUUGGAUAUUAUAUAUAUUGAUAGUUUCCAAUUGUUUGUUACGUACAGAUAAAAUAUUGCUUACAUUUAUGCAAAAAUGGUAUGAAAAAUAUCCGGUCUUCAAGUCGAAAGAUCUAUAUCUAGCUGGAUCAAGUUUUGCAGGUGAACAAUUUCUUGCUUCUUUUCUCUUAUCUGGUUGUAUAUCAACAUAUUUUUAAUACACCAAAACAUACUUAAUGAAUACCUAAACAAAAUAUAAUGCGAUCUCUAGCAUAUAGUAUUUUCUAUCUAUAUAUUGUACGUUAUUAUUUACAUAUCAAGCUUGCAACACUAUUAUUUUUUAGAUUCAAACUCAAAUAAUUAAUCAAAUUUCUUAUUAAAUUAAUAAUUUUGUAAAAAUAAUUAAAAAAAAUAAAUAUUUUCAUAAAUUAUUUUUUGUAACAUACUUCUUUAAUUGAAUAUGUCAAACUAAUUAUUCAAAAGAAAUAUAACAAGCAAAUGAUCUUGUCUUAAUACGAGUUAUGGAUAAGUCUCUAUGGAACAAUACAAACAAUAUAACAUGUUCGUUACUAUAAUCAAAUCUGUGGAUUUUAUUUCAGGACACUAUGUACCAAAUCUUGCUAAUGCUUUACUCGACGACAACAAGCAAUCCAAGCAGUCGAAAUUUAACCUCAAAGGACUGGUUGUAAGUAAAAUCGUAUCUAAAUAAUCAAAUUUAAUUGCCACUUUAAUAUAUAUUUGCAUAAAAGGAUUAGUUAGAAAUGUUCAUGGUUGAGUAACUUGCCUAAUUCGAGAAGGCUUAGCUUUACUAGAUUGGAUUAGGAUACCGACUUCUACGUUUUGGAUCAAACCAUUAUGACUUUGAUUAUUGUUCAUUAGAUUGCAUCAUAGAAAAUAAAUUUUGGUUUAAAUCAAGCAUCCACACUAACAUAAAAAGUUAAAAUUAUUCUGAAAUAUUUUUAAGAAUUUUAUCGGGCCUGGAUAAAACAAAAAUAACAUGUGUUGCAGCUCAAAUCUUCCGUAAACAUGGUUAGGUUCAAUUCAAUGUUAAUUUAAAUAUUUUAUUGUGAACUUUAUUUUUAUUUUUUUAAUUGCAACUAUUUUGAACAGCUGGGAAACCCAAUGCUUCGUAAAAAGCUAGACGAUAUUGCAAAAAUUGAUUUCUUUUUCUCUCGAGAGAUGAUAAAUAGCUCGUUGUAUAACGAAAUCAAGAAAGAAUGCAAUGCCAUUGAUGAAAAUAAUUACUUUUCUAGCAUCAAAACCACUUGGAGUGCAAAAUGUAAAAACCUUGUGUUUGAGGCCGAUUUGGCUGCUUUCAAGACCGAUGCUCAUAAUUACUCCCCGCAGAAGCUAUUUGAUGUCUUUCGCCCUCCUUGUGCUGAAACUGAGAAAGAUUUGAACUUAGGAAAACAGGUUUUCAUUUAUUUCUUUACAUUCCUCUUACUUUACUUCAAUUCGGAACUGCAAAUAACAUACGUUCGUAUAGAAUCGAAUUAACUGAACAACCGAGUAGAACUAAUUUGUGUUAUUUUUCUUUUAUUGGUCAUAGCAAAAGCAUAAAACUUUAUUUUUCGGUCCAGGUUCCUUUAGUUAGCACAGAAGUAGACAUGUGCCAUCCAUUACGGGUGCAAUUUUACUUUAAUCUCCCAGAAGUUCAAAAAGCUUUCCAUGGGAAUCAAACAAACUUGUCAUACAGAUGGAAGGGUUGUUUCACGUAAGUUCUCCCUUAAAAUUUGAAAAUAAUUGAUGUUUUUUUAUUCCAGAUAUGUUGAUAUAAUUACUUUUUAGAAAUUAUUUUAAAUUCAAGUUUUAAGACUCAUUAUCUCCAUAUUGUCACCUCUUGUUUUGGUAAAAUAAAUAAAUUACUUAUUUAUUGAUGUGGAUGCCGUGUAAAAAUUGUUAACCUUAAAAUUUUCAUUAUAUGUCACUCUUAUUUAUUUAGAGCUAAUUUUAAAUACAACGAAGCUGAUAAGGACCUUGACAUGCUUCCUGCGCUUAAAAAUCUUCUUCAACUAUCCGUUCCCAUUACAAUAUUCAGGUUGGUAUUGUAUUUGUAUGCCAUAAUUUUUCCAAUACUUUCUUGAAAUAAGUUAACUAAGUAUGAAGAAUCGAAGUGAACGAUUAUGAAAACAAAUUCUCGUGCCAUUUGACUGAUUUUUUAUUUUAUUUUAUUAAUAUGAUUACAAUGUUAUAGUGGAGAUCAAGAUGGUAUAAUACCGAUAGAGGGAACCUUACAACAUUUGGAAAAGUUGGCCGAGGAGUUAAACAUCAAGUUAACCAAAAAGGAAACAUGGAGUCUUGGAACCAAGGUUUUAUGUUUACACAUUUAAUUAUAUAUAUAUUAGCUUCUUCUUUUUUAUAUUAUGAUUAGAUAUAUUUAAGCAUCAAGUUAUCCGGCAGAUAUGGUUACCAAUUUGGAUCUAAACUUGAACAAGAAAUUUUAAGUGUUGACUCGAUUGGCUUGAUUAGCGCAUUCAAGGCAAGCUCACACUACUUACCCAGUUCAAUGGGCUUGACCAAUACGUGCUAGGCCGUGAUCAUGAUUUUCCACAAAUUUUGGGCAACUCGUCCUAAAUUUUUAUUUAAAUAUGAAAAUAUUAAUGUAAACAUAAUUUAUAUUUACUAAAUAGUUAGUCGAGCCGAUAGGUUGGCUCGAGCUAACUUAAUCAUAAAAAAGUAAAUAUAUUAGAAGAAAAUAAUUUUGCAGAAUGUCAUAUAUAUUGAAUAAUGGAAUGGGUUUUCUUCUUUACUAUUUAUAUUUAUAAAUUUGUAUUUUAAUACGAUAAAAUUAAUUAUAAAUAUUUAACAGGAAGGAGGCUUGAAGUAUGAAUUUGGAGACUUACUAAAAUUCUUGACGGUGAAGGGAGGUAAUCAUCAUGUUACAUCUUCUCGACCAUCACAAGCUUUUUCUAUUUUCUCAAAUUUCACAAUUAAAGCGAUGCAUUGAGGAUUGGUGAUGAAACUUAUGGAGCACACGAUCAUGAUUCAUGUUGAAGCCACCAUUCACCAUAAUAAGACUUGUCGUUGUAAUAAUUUAUUGUGAUGAUAUGUAUUAUUUUAUGAUGCAUGGACAUCAUAAAUUUUUAUAUUAUGCAAUAAUAUAAUUAGUUAAAUCAUCUGAUAUCUAACGAAUAAUUAUUAUUUUAAUAAAAUCAUGCAAUUUUCAUACAUGAAAAUAACAAAUAAAGAGAACUCAACCCAAUAUGUGUAACAAUUUUUUAUUGAAGAUUUUGUUUUCUAAUGUCAAAUAAAUUGAUUAAUGCAUCAACCUUUUCAAACACCUUUUAUAACUUUGUUAUAAGCAUUUUGUAUAUUUGAAUAUAUUAGAUACAGACUCUAAAACAAUGUGAAUAGUAAUUUCUUAUAUUUUCUUGAUCAUAAGUGUAUUAUAUAAAUAAUUACGAAAAAAGAUGGAGUAAUACAUUUGCGUAGUGCUUAUUACAAAAGACGAUCACAAUUUGUACACAAAACCCUUUUUCCUUAAACUCUCCUACAAAAGAAAACAUAGCCUUAGAUUUACGUUACUCUGUGAUUGGCCACCACCUUCUCCCUUCUAUUACUUCCCUCUUUAUUUUACUUUUUUCGAUUUCUUUCGUUACCCCUUGUGGGGGUGGUUUUGGAGCAACAAUUUUCGGAAGCAACACGAUUGUGCUUGUCUCAUAGCCGCCGUCUCAUCUCCUACAUUAGGGUGCUUGUUUUCAUUACAAAUUUGGCAUUGUUGUGGAAACGUCAAAGAACAAGAUGAGUGUGCUUUUAUGUCACAUUGGGGUGGACAACAAAUGACUUUCGAGUUUGUUGUGUCUUGGCCUUUCUUUGUCCUAGUUCUUUUGUUCGACUCUAGUGUCUCCCUUGUCUUUUAAAUUUCAGUUUUGCUUUAGCCCUUGGGUUGUUGUCAAGAAAUACGAUCAGGUUGCAUGCAAGAGAAAGGCUUGUGAAUGCAUAAUGACUUGAUGCACCAAUUCUCUCCAAUUACUUUCCUCCAUGCUUUUAAUAAAUUAGUAAAGGAAAACCUAGUCUUUGCAGGCCCUGUUCUAAGAGUUAUUUUGUUCGAUUUUCGAUGCAUUCUACCACGUUUUUAUAUCGCUCUUGUUGACACCAUUUUUUUUGGUGAAACGGGGUCGACUUGGAUUUUGAAAACGAAAAUAAAAAAAAUGGGAGUCACCACCAAUCCUUUUUGAUGAGGUGUGAUUGGAUCACCUUGAAAAGUGGUUGUUUUUAAUAAAUGAUUUGAUUAAAACAACAAUUUUGAUCCACGAAAUUUAGAAAAAUAGGUUUGGGAGUCAGUUACGCACGAGGAAGGAUUAGUACCCUCGUAACGCCCAAAAUUGGUACCUAGUUUAUUAAUUAAUGUCUUAGUGUCGAAGAUUGAAAACUUUGAAGAGAUUUAAAAUACAAUCCUUUUUUAAAGACUGAUAUAAAUCAAAUUUCAUAUUAAGACCCUCUCAUUUUGGAGAGAGAAAAUGUUAUACCCGAUGAGUUAGGGUAUGAUAUUUCACUUCCCCAAAAAUGAGCUUGUCCUAAAAAAACUCACGCAAUAAAAUUUAAAAGGAUACUCAAUUGUUUAAGUCGGAUGAAGAAAUCGCAGCCCAAUACGUUAGGGUGCAAUUUCUCAAAAUUCUAAACAUUGAAUAUUACCUUUAUGAUUUCUUAAAAAAAUCCUCAUCUCGAGAAAACAACGUGUCAUGUCCAAUGCGUUAGGACACAACGUAUUGAAUUCCCGAUAAUGAGCCUUUUAUUUACGUUUUUUAUUUUAAAGAGCACUCUCGAUUAUUUAGAUUCAAUGAAGAAAAUUGGAACCCAAAACGUUAGGGCUGAAUUCUCUCGAAGAUCCCAAAUACCGAGUGUUGCUUUUGUUUUGAAAUUUUUCUGUUUUUGACAACUUUGAGUAAAAAUGGAUGUAACAUAAUGAUAAUGAUGAUAAUGUAAAUAGAGGAAUACAAGCAUGGGCUUUAAAAUAAAAUAAAUAAAAGGACAAACUAAUAUGGUACACAAUAGCAAGCACAUAAGCUACAAAAUUAAAACAUUCAUUCUAAACAAUGCGAAUACGAAUAAGGAAGUAAACAAAGAAAAUGAAUAGCACUAUGGAAAUGUAAAAAAGAUAUAUACAUAUGUAUAUAUUGUAAGAUUAUUAUACAUGAAAAUAUAAGUAAGUAAAAGCAUACAUAUGUGCAUAGAAAGGUACAUACAUACAUGCAUAUAUAAAUUAUAAAAGGUAUACGAAAAUAUGUUUUUAUAUACAUGUAAAAAUAAAUAAAUAUAUAUAUAUGAAUGUGCAUAUAUAAAUUAUAAGAUAUACAAAUGUGUAUGAACACAUGGUAAUAAUAACAGAAAAUAAAAAUAGUAAUGAUAUUGUAUGAAAGGAGUAACAAAUACAAAAAUAGUUAAUUUGAUGAACAAAUAAUUAAAAUAAUAAACUGGGGGCUAAUUUGAAAUUAAACAAAGUUUAUGGGCCAAAAUUAGGAAUGGAAAUAAAGAAAACGGUCAACUUGUGACACGCGCGAAAGGAGGGGGACCAAAAGGCAAUAUUCCCACGUUGAUCAAACGGUGCCGUUCUGGCAAGCCGGUGCGCAUGGUCUCUGGACCAGAUUGAAACAAAAGCCAAAAAUUGGUGGCCUAAAUCAAAUAAAACAAAGGACCAUAUUGACACAAAAUGCAAAGGCCGAGGAUCUAUUGCGCAAAUAGUCCCUCAAGUGAAAAACACGUGGAUCCUUGGGUGCGGGUCGGGUCGCGCACGGGUCACGAAAAACGGGGCUAUUUUCGCGGUAAAACCCCUCCAAGUGAAACAACGUCGUUUCACACUAUAUAUAAAUUUUGAAAAAUAACUAAAAAAAACAUUUUUCCUUUCAUUUCUCAGAAAAAAGAACAGAGAGACAAAGUCUCUCUCCCUCUCAGCCUUUCUCUCUAGAUCCGACCAUCGCCACCACCGUAGCGCCACCGUGGCUAAUGGACGGCGUUGCGCAAACAGGGUUUUUGAACCCUCGCCUCACGGUGUCCCCGAAGGCUAGGCCUUCUCAACCGCGUGAUCAAAAGAAAAGGAAGCAAAGGGGUCUUCUCCCUGUUCGACUCCGGUGAUGGCAAAGACAGACUCCAGCGCCGACUUUCGAAGCAAACAUGUAUUUUUUGCUUUAUCUUUUAUUAAAAAGGCUAGUAAAAAAGUAAAAUAAAAUAAAUAAACACAAACAGUAAUGAACAGGAACACAAAGUAAAGAACAAAGAAAUUUUUAAAACAACCUUUUCUUUAAGUUUUUUUCAUGCUUUUCAUUCAUCAGUCGUAAAAAAAAUACAGAAAGGGUGUUUGGCUUUUAUAGCGGAUUUGCUUCUAUUUUUCUAUUAUUAUUUUUUGGGCUGCUUGUGUGUGUCCUCUAUUUUGCAGGGUUGAUGGGCGACGGUCGACGUGACAGCGGCGGUGGUAGACUCGCGGUGGCUCGGAGACCAAGGGUCUGAAGCAAGUGGUGGCCAGGAGACCAAAGGUCUGAAGCAAGGUGCGACGCUUAGGGUUUCAGUAGGCUGACUUUGGUUUCUGGGUCUGUUGGGCCUGGUUUUGGGCUCUGGGUUUGGGUUUAAUUUUGUUGGGCUAGGUUUUGGGUUAGGCUAGUUGGGCCUUGGGCUAAGUCCAUAGGUUGGGUUUGAUUUGGGCUAGGGUUAGGUGGGUUUGUUGGGCCCCAGGUAAAUUUGCGCUGUACAGCUCUGUAUUGUCAAAUGCUUAUGCAACAACUUUUACUUUAAUGAAAGUUUCUUUCCGUUUGUUAAAAUUACACAAGUUCCCAAUCCAUGUACUUAAACGAAUAUUAGAAUAUGUCAAUAACUUCAUUUCCCCAAUCAAUUACGCUCUCUUCUUUUACCAUCAUUUCUCAAUAGCUCAGCUUCUCUAGAUCAGGUAGUCAGUAUCAUACUAGUGGAUGCAAAGUUUUUGUUUUGGUAACCGUACGUGCUAGUGUAUUUUAUGUUUUGUUUCGGCCUUAUUAUUGUUUCUUAAAUAUAUUUUCCUGUUUAUAUCUUAGUUUCUCGAUAAAAUAUAUUAUAUAUGCAAAUAAACCAUAACAAUAUACGUUCGAACAAUUUAUUGAAAUAUAUAUAUUUUCCAAAUAUUAAUUGCAUCCAAUGAUUAUAUUUUAUUUCUAAAUGCAACAAUAAAUUAAAAAUCUUACUUUUUAAGACAAAAUAGCGUAAAUUUUUUAUUGAAACUGUGAAAAUCUUAUGCCAAUCGGUAUGGGCUAGGAGAAGCCGAAAUAAAUUGAAACACAAAAAAACCAAAACAAACCAAUUGAUUUACUAGUGAAUCAAUACAAUCAGAAUCUAGUGAAUGGCGAAAUCUCAAUUUUGAUUCACUAGUUCUGUCAACAAUUCGAAGAUAAAUUCACUUAUCUGAUCACUAAGAAUUUGAAUUUUACCCACAUACUACUGUUUUGGGCAGUACGACUUAAGGGAAACAAAAGUUAUUUUCGUUUUACACACACAAGAUUCAAACAUGAAACCUAAGGACAAGCUGAAGCCUUACCAUUAAACCAGCAGGCUCAUUCUUGUCAACAAACUAAUAAGAAUAAAUUAUAACUUGUAUGUGAACAGCCAAUUGAAGGAGCAAAUAUCAACAAAAGUCAAGGGAAGGGAAUCGAAUACAGGACCUCUAGCACACAACCAAAACACUUAUCUACUGAACCAAAUCAAAUAAACCCAUAAAUUAUAAAAUUUUGGGCGUUACAACUCUCGGUUCACUAACCCAAUUUCUACUAACCCGGUUUUUGGGAUGUGACAAUAUUUAUUUCCCUAAAAGAAAAUAUAAGCACAAUAAAAAAAGGGAAUAGAAAAUGGAAAGAGUCCAAAUCAAAUAAAUACACCUCCAUAUAUAUCUUAUCAUUUCGAAAGGGAAAGCACAAUAGGUCCAACAUGAAACUCUCUUAACCCAACCCUUUUGUGGAUAAUAAAAGCAUUUUCUAUUAAUGUACUCGGGCAUUAUCAUUACUAAAAAAUAAAAAUCUUACCCUAUUAAAUAUAUUUACUAACAAAACCAAAAUUAUUAGGCAAACUAACAAAACCAAAUAAUGCCUUAAAACAAUGACAACUUGAAACCUAUGUUUCACGGUUUCAAAAUGUUAGCUAUUAAAACAAUAUAUUUACUUUAAAAUAGAAAAAAACACAAUAUAUAAGGUAGCUAUCUCCAUUAAUUUUAAGCAUCAGAAAGUAAAGAAUUCAAUAAACAUUUGCUACCCUUAUCUCUUUGAUAUUAGAAUAAUUUCAAAUGGAAUUUCGGGGAGUAAUCUUUGUUAGUUUUCUUAUUUUUCAACUUGGAGUUAACUCUAAUGCCUUUCCAAUGAAUGAUUUGAUAAGCAAAUUGCCAGGACAACCAGAUGUUAAUUUCAGGCAAUUUGCUGGAUAUAUUGAUGUGGAUGAAAAUGUCGUUGGUCGAAGUCUUUUUUACUAUUUUGUUGAAGCUGAAAAAGAUCCCCUAACUCAACCCCUCACUGUUUGGUUAACUGGAGGUUCACUUCUUUGAAAUUUUUUAUUGCAGUUUUUGAUGUUAUGCGGAUUUUCCAGUAGGUAUCCUAUACGAACAAGUUAGAUAAAAUUUACUAUGCGCAAGCCAAAGCAAAGGGAAGCUGGGGCUUCGGCCCCAUUGGUUAAAUGUUACAAUUACAUUUUUAGCCUUUCCCAAAAAAUUAGAAUUCAAUUUAAUCCCCUUUUCCCCCUUCAAAUGGAAACAUUAUCACUUCCUGCCCUCGUUAGAAAGUAAUAAUUCAAUUUAGGCCGUUUCCAUGCAAAGAUUUUAUCUUUAUCUCCAUCUCUAACACAAAAUUUAUAGCCUUUCUCUGACUAUGAUUUUUUCCUCAUCUGGAAACCCAUACGUUUAAACAUAUAUUGAAUACAUGUCGAACUAGACUAGUCAUUACGUUAGAUCGAACCAUCACUCUAUUUUUCUAGCUUUACUUAAGUCUAGCCGAUAAGUUUGUUUGAUUACUCACAUAUAAUAAAAUCUUUAGUGUAAUACUAUUCAGGACCAGGGUGUUCUUCAGUUGGAGAUGCCUUUGGAAGUGUUGGUCCUUUUAUUGUUACAAAAGAUGCUCAUGGUCUCCAAACAAAUUUCUUAUCUUGGAGCAAAGGUUGUCUAAUUUCCUACGCUUAUUUUAUUGAUAUAUUUUUUUUGUGCAUAUAUAUAUAUCAUGUUUCAUAGUUAUUUUUUUUUCACAUCCAUAUAAAUUUAACAAAAUAUAUUAAAUGUUUUAGAACUAUAUAUAUAUUUUCACAUCCAUAUAAAUUUAACAAAAUAUAUUAAAUGUUUUAGAACUAUAUAUAAAAUGUUACAGUACGUCUAGUUUUCAUUAUUGUGUUUAAAUGAAUUGCAUUGCCUUUCUUAUAUUGUUUUUUUUUGUAUUUCUAUGUCUAUAUAAGAUUCUGUCUAAUAUAUGUUUCAGUGUCAAAUCUAUUGUUUAUUGACUCCCCUAUUGGAUCUGGAUGGUCAUAUUCAAACACAAGUAGUGAUUAUAAUAACGGAGAUGAUACCACUAGUAAGAUCGUAGUAUAUAUUCUUCACUAUUAAUUAAAAUAGUUUGGAUAUUAUAUAUAUUGAUAGUUUCCAAUUGUUUGUUACGUACAGAUAAAAUAUUGCUUACAUUUAUGCAAAAAUGGUAUGAAAAAUAUCCGGUCUUCAAGUCGAAAGAUCUAUAUCUAGCUGGAUCAAGUUUUGCAGGUGAACAAUUUCUUGCUUCUUUUCUCUUAUCUGGUUGUAUAUCAACAUAUUUUUAAUACACCAAAACAUACUUAAUGAAUACCUAAACAAAAUAUAAUGCGAUCUCUAGCAUAUAGUAUUUUCUAUCUAUAUAUUGUACGUUAUUAUUUACAUAUCAAGCUUGCAACACUAUUAUUUUUUAGAUUCAAACUCAAAUAAUUAAUCAAAUUUCUUAUUAAAUUAAUAAUUUUGUAAAAAUAAUUAAAAAAAAUAAAUAUUUUCAUAAAUUAUUUUUUGUAACAUACUUCUUUAAUUGAAUAUGUCAAACUAAUUAUUCAAAAGAAAUAUAACAAGCAAAUGAUCUUGUCUUAAUACGAGUUAUGGAUAAGUCUCUAUGGAACAAUACAAACAAUAUAACAUGUUCGUUACUAUAAUCAAAUCUGUGGAUUUUAUUUCAGGACACUAUGUACCAAAUCUUGCUAAUGCUUUACUCGACGACAACAAGCAAUCCAAGCAGUCGAAAUUUAACCUCAAAGGACUGGUUGUAAGUAAAAUCGUAUCUAAAUAAUCAAAUUUAAUUGCCACUUUAAUAUAUAUUUGCAUAAAAGGAUUAGUUAGAAAUGUUCAUGGUUGAGUAACUUGCCUAAUUCGAGAAGGCUUAGCUUUACUAGAUUGGAUUAGGAUACCGACUUCUACGUUUUCGAUCAAACCAUUAUGACUUUGAUUAUUGUUCAUUAGAUUGCAUCAUAGAAAAUAAAUUUUGGUUUAAAUCAAGCAUCCACACUAACAUAAAAAGUUAAAAUUAUUCUGAAAUAUUUUUAAGAAUUUUAUCGGGCAUGGAUAAAACAAAAAUAACAUGUGUUGCAGCUCAAAUCUUCCGUAAACAUGGUUAGGUUCAAUUCAAUGUUAAUUUAAAUAUUUUAUUGUGAACUUUAUUUUUAUUUUUUUAAUUGCAACUAUUUUGAACAGCUGGGAAACCCAAUGCUUCGUAAAAAGCUAGACGAUAUUGCAAAAAUUGAUUUCUUUUUCUCUCGAGAGAUGAUAAAUAGCUCGUUGUAUAACGAAAUCAAGAAAGAAUGCAAUGCCAUUGAUGAAAAUAAUUACUUUUCUAGCAUCAAAACCACUUGGAGUGCAAAAUGUAAAAACCUUGUGUUUGAGGCCGAUUUGGCUGCUUUCAAGACCGAUGCUCAUAAUUACUCCCCGCAGAAGCUAUUUGAUGUCUUUCGCCCUCCUUGUGCUGAAACUGAGAAAGAUUUGAACUUAGGAAAACAGGUUUUCAUUUAUUUCUUUACAUUCCUCUUACUUUACUUCAAUUCGGAACUGCAAAUAACAUACGUUCGUAUAGAAUCGAAUUAACUGAACAACCGAGUAGAACUAAUUUGUGUUAUUUUUCUUUUAUUGGUCAUAGCAAAAGCAUAAAACUUUAUUUUUCGGUCCAGGUUCCUUUAGUUAGCACAGAAGUAGACAUGUGCCAUCCAUUACGGGUGCAAUUUUACUUUUAUCUCCCAGAAGUUCAAAAAGCUUUCCAUGGGAAUCAAACAAACUUGUCAUACAGAUGGAAGGGUUGUUUCACGUAAGUUCUCCCUUAAAAUUUGAAAAUAAUUGAUGUUUUUUUAUUCCAGAUAUGUUGAUAUAAUUACUUUUUAGAAAUUAUUUUAAAUUCAAGUUUUAAGACUCAUUAUCUCCAUAUUGUCACCUCUUGUUUUGGUAAAAUAAAUAAAUUACUUAUUUAUUGAUGUGGAUGCUGUGUAAAAAUUGUUAACCUUAAAAUUUUCAUUAUAUGUCACUCUUAUUUAUUUAGAGCUAAUUUUAAAUACAACGAAGCUAAUAAGGACCUUGACAUGCUUCCUGCGCUUAAAAAUCUUCUUCAACUAUCCGUUCCCAUUACAAUAUUCAGGUUGGUAUUGUAUUUGUAUGCCAUAAUUUUUCCAAUACUUUCUUGAAAUAAGUUAAAUAAGUAUAAAGAAUCGAAGUGAACAAUUAUGAAAAGAAAUUCUCGUGCCAUUUGACUGAUUUUUUAUUUUAUUUUAUUAAUAUGAUUACAAUGUUAUAGUGGAGAUCAAGAUGGUAUAAUACCGAUAGAGGGAACCUUACAACAUUUGGAAAAGUUGGCCGAGGAGUUAAACAUCAAGUUAACCAAAAAGGAAACAUGGAGUCUUGGAACCAAGGUUUUAUGUUUACACAUUUAAUUAUAUAUAUAUAUAUAUUAGCUUCUUCUUUUUUUAUAUUAUGAUUAGAUAUAUUUAAGCAUCAAGUUAUCCGGCAGAUAUGGUUACCAAUUUGGAUCUAAACUUGAACAAGAAAUUUUAAGUGUUGACUCGAUUGGCUUGAUUAGCGCAUUCAAGGCAAGCUCACACUACUUACCCAGUUCAAUGGGCUUGACCAAUACGUGCUAGGCCGUGAUCAUGAUUUUCCACAAAUUUUGGGCAACUCGUCCUAAAUUUUUAUUUAAAUAUGAAAAUAUUAAUGUAAACAUAAUUUAUAUUUACCAAAUAGUUAGUCGAGCCGAUAGGUUGGCUCGAGCUAACUUAAUCAUAAAAAAGUAAAUAUAUUAGAAGAAAUUAAUUUUACAGAAUGUCAUAUAUAUUGAAUAAUGGAAUGGGUUUUCUUCUUUACUAUUUAUAUUUAUAAAUUUGUAUUUUAAUACCAUAAAAUUAAUUAUAAAUAUUUAACAGGAAGGAGGCUUGAAGAUUUUGUUUUCUAAUGUCAAAUAAAUUGAUUAAUGCAUCAACCUUUUCAAACACCUUUUUUAACUUUGUUAUAAGCAUUUUGUAUAUUUGAAUAUAUUGGAUACAGACUCUAAAACAAUGUGAAUAGUAAUUUCUUAUAUUUUCUUGAUCAUAAGUGUAUUAUAUAAAUAAUUACGAAAAAAGAUGGAGUAAUACAUUUGCGUAGUGCUUAUUACAAAAGACGAUCACAAUUUGUACACAAAACCCUUUUUCCUUAAACUCUCCUACAAAAGAAAACAUAGCCUUAGAUUUGCGUUACUCUGUGAUUGGCCACCACCUUCUCCCUUCUAUUACUUCCCUCUUUAUUUUACUUUUUUUGAUUUCUUUCGUUACCCCUUGUGGGGGUGGUUUUGGAGCAACAAUUUUCGGAAGCAACACGAUUGUGCUUGUCUCAUAGCCGCCCUCUCAUCUCCUGCAUUAGGGUGCUUGUUUUCAUUACAAAUUUGGCAUUGUUGUGGAAACGUCAAAGAACAAGAUGAGUGUGCUUUUAUGUCACAUUGGGGUGGACAACAAAUGACUUUCGAGUUUGUUGUGUCUUGGCCUUUCUUUGUCCUAGUUCUUUUGUUCGACUCUAGUGUCUCCCUUGUCUUUUAAAUUUCAGUUUUGCUUUAGCCCUUGGGUUGUUGUCAAGAAAUACGAUCAGGUUGCAUGCAGGAGAAAGGCUUGUGAAUGCAUAAUGACUUGAUGCACCAAUUCUCUCCAAUUACUUUCCUCCAUGCUUUCAAUAAAUUAGUAAAGGAAAACCUAGUCUUUGCAGGCCCUGUUCCAAGAGUUAUUUUGUUCGAUUUUCGAUGCAUUCUACCACCUUUUUAUAUCGCUCUGUAUUGUCAAAUGCUUAUGCAACAAAUUUUACUUUAAUGAAAGUUUCUUUUCGUUUGUUAAAAUUACACAAUUUCCCAAUCCAUGUACUUAAACGAAUAUCAAAAUAUGUCAAUAACUUCAUUUCCCCAAUCAAUUACGCUCUUUUCUUUUAUAUUCAUUUCUCAAUAGCUCAGCUUCCCUAGAUCAAGUAGUCAGUAUCAUACUAGUAGAUGCAAAGUUUUUGUAGUUUUUGUUUUGGUACUGAUAGGUAACCGUAGUAGUGGAAUUUGAGGAGUUUUAAAUAUUUAAUAGGUAUUUUCGAGCUUUUUAAUUGAUCUUAAAAGUGGUUUUAAGUCAGCCCCAAUUUGGUCAUCGUGGGUGGUGGUGUGCGCACCUAUGUGUUGGAAAAGGGGGUUGUUCUUGUUUAAUUUCUUUCCAUCUUUUUCCAAAAUUAUCUUGAGUUCUUGAACCCUUCUUAAUCAGUCUUUAAUCAUGUUUUAAUUAGGGAAAAUCAAUCUUGAUCAAUAGGUAAUUCAGAUCUAAUAAUUCGGGAAGCAUGAAUAUGGUUAAUUAUAAACUAGUUUAUAGUUUCCGUUUAGAUAUUAGGGGUAGAUUGAUAAUUGCCCCAAAUCAACAGUGAGGCCGAAAGAUGUUCGUGCGUACGAUUCACAUCAAAUUAGUGUAAGAAACUUAACUAGUUUGGAUUCAAAAAAUUGUUAUAAUUGUAAAGGUUGGAUUGAACCCAUAAGUGGGUGUUAGGGGGGCUGUUUAAUAGGUAUAGUAAUCAAGUUUAAUACUGAUUUUUAAUUUAGGUUAAUUUUAAAGCUUAUUAAAGAAACCGCGAGAUUCGCUAGUAUGCUGUAGAUGAGUGUAAAAUAAGGUGUGGGUCCUAACUCUAAGACUUGGAUGUUUAUAAUGAUUUUAAUGAUAUAAAUGAUGGUUUCACUUGCUGAUCGGGCUGGGCUAAUUAGCUAAGUAAUUAAAUUUGUAAGUGGUCGAAUCGGGUACGUUUCAAGUCCUAACUAUUUGGCAUGAUAGCAAUGUUGCUAGUUUGACUGAAUGAUUGAUGUUGUCAUGAAUGUUUGGUUAGUUUGAUGUAUGAUUGGUUGCAUGUAUAGCCAGUUUUUGAAUGAAAGUAAGGCUUAUACAUGAUAUAUUCGUACAAGUGAUUUGCUAUGAAAUGUUCGAAAGAUUGCUAUACAUUCACACAGAAAAGUUGUAACUGUACAUGAAAUUGUGAUUUGUUAAAUUAUACCACCUUGAAGGUAAAUUGAAAGUUGGAUCGAUGAUCUUACUCACUGAAUGUAUUUGAUAAUUUGAGGGCAUGUUGAACAUACCAAUAAAUUGUGAAAGUAUUGAAUUAUGACUAUGUAUGAGAUUGUAUGACAUUGAUUAGAAUUAGGUUUUUCAACCUAUAAAUAGAUGUAAUCGAAACUUCUCUUGUAUUAUUCGAAUUCGACAUUAGUGAAUUUUUUUCUCCUCUGCCCGUGGUUUUUUUCCUAAAGGCUUUCCACGAAAAAUCUGUGUGUUCUUUUUUUUUUAACAAUAUUUUUAUAUUGCCAUUAUCGAUGUUCAGUUUUUAACAUAUUCUAAUCAGUAUGAAUCGAUUUUGCUCAAAAUAGACAAAAAAAAAAACUAUCGAAACUAAAUUUAAAUUACUUAGACUAAUCUAGAAUUGAAGCAGUACAUAUCAACCCAUAGUACCAAUAUAAUAGCAGAGAGAAUCGUGAUAAACUGGACAAUGCAUAUGUUUAUAUUAUAAUGAUCCUAAGCUGGACCAUGCAUAUAUAGUUUUCUAAGUAAAUUCCUAGAAUCCAUUAAAUAUAUACGCAAUACGCUCUGUCUCUUCCUUUCUCGGGAUCUACAUGUGCUGUGCUGACUUUUCCUUUUCCAUUCAGUUAUCUUAUACAACAUCAACGAAGGUUCUAUUUUAAAGAAUACCCUUCAUAAAAACUAAUAUUUUGGGUUGAUAACUAUUCUUCCUUGAGUUCUCAUUUUUAUCAUUAUACUCAAUAUUUAUUAAUUUUUCCUUAAUGCAAAUUGCAUCAAGAAUUUGUUUAUUUUACCUCAAAGAGAUUAGACCCAACAUCUUACCCGUACCCGUACAGUGGGCAAAACAAGGACGACGCCAAGGGAGCUGGUAGGGGUCAGGCCACCCUUAAACUAAAAAAAAUCACUUUGAUCCCUUUAAAGUUAAUAAAAUUAUUAGUAAAUGAUUAAAUUGUAUUUGAAACCUUUAAAAUAGUAAAAAAGUUUAACUUAAUCUUUGAAAAUAUAUAAAAAUAUAAGUUAAUACAAUAACAAAAUUAUAUUUUAAUUUUCGAAUUGAGCAUACUGUUCAUAGUUUCAGUAAAAACAUAUACUUGUAGAAUGAGUCAUUGGUGAUUCUUGUCCUCAUAUGCACAUUUUGCAUAUAAACAUAGUACAAAUCUUUUGAAUAUAUAAAAAAUAAACUUUAAAAAGUUUAAUAAACUCGAAUUCAAAUUCCAUCCAAUGGGAUAACAUAGAUUAGUGUUUUGGUACCUAAAACUGAUAUAAAACCAAUCCUCAUAUGCACAUUUUGCAUAUAAACAUGGUACAAAUCUUUUGAAUAUAUAAAAAAUAAGUUUUAAAAAGUUAAAUAAACUCGAAUUCAGAUCCAAUUCAAUCAAAUGGGAUAACAUAGGUUACUUUUUUGGUACCUAAAAUUGAUAUAAAACCGACGAAGAAAACAUACCGUAAUUGAAGUUAUAAUUGCUAAUUAACAAGACAUUAUUGCUGACAGUCGUGUCAUUUUAGAUUCACAUAAUAGUACAAGGAGCAGGAGAAGGAUCAGCAACCACUCUGUAACAUUCAAACUGUGGCGGUUGUUGACAGUAUAUAAUUUGAGGAGGCGGUGUCGGUGGAGCUGGUGGUUUGGGUGGUGAUGGUUCUUUUACUUCUUCAACUAUUUCAAUGGUUGCAUGGCAAAGCUUCUUCCUCAAUGCCUCAGUCAAGCAUGCUACAUCCACCCCUUCACCUAAUAUCAUUAGCUUGUCCUUUUCCGGUCCAUGUAAGGCCACCGAAUUAACCCCUGAGAAUCCAUUACAUGAAUUAAAACCAUUGUUUCAUUAAAUAUGUUUUUAUUUGAUUGAAUCAAUUAAGAUUACUAACAGUAAACAUACCAUAUGCAACAGCAGCAACCUGUAAAGCUUCUGUUCGGCAUUUGCUGCAAUGCAUUGAAACUUUAAUAACUAUCUUUUGCUGCACAUUUGAAACAAAUUAAACAUCAGGUUUCUGAAAAUUUUAUACACAAUCAAUAAAUUAUCAGAAAUAUGUAGGCAUUCCUAUAUGAAGACCCUAAAAUGUUAUUUUUCACUGAAAAAAGUGAAAUAUAUAAGAAUAUAAAUUGCUAUAUUACUAUACUAUACCUUCAUAUUCUCUGGCACCGAAACGAAUGUUGCUUUUAGACAAUUAGGCUUUUUUACAGUAGCUGAUUCCUGCAGAAUAAAAGCAGUCAUCACUUGCUAUUUAUAUAAUGUUAUUAGAUACAAGGAUCAAUAGGUAUAAUUCCAAAUUUAGUCCUCAAUGCUUAUAUCUUUAUGUCAAUUUGACCUUUAUUCUUAUUUUGAGCUAAAUUUGACCAUUAUUCUUUAAAAGAAGUCAAAUUUCUUCUUCUUUUUUAACAAAAGUGAAAACUAAAAUAUUAUUUUUUUUAACAAAGUUUACAUACGUCAACAAAUAAUUCAAAAAUUAUAAAAAUAUUCAAACAAAUAAAAAUUUUAAAUAUAUAUAAAUUCGAAAAGAAAUAGCAUGAAGUACACUUGGAUUGUCAUUCAGGUUAUCAUACCUAAAAAUUUAAGGUUUUUAGUCAAUAUCUCCAUUCAAAAAAUAGUAAUAAUUUGACUCAUUUUGAAAGAAGGACCGAUUUAACUAAAAAAGAAUAAUGACCAAAUUGAUAAAAAAAUAAAAAUUAAUGACUAACUUUGUUAUUAUCCAUAAAUAAUAAAUUAAAUUUAGCUUCAAUGGAAGUUUAAGGAUUAAGUUAAUGAUGAUCCAUAAAUUGCGGGUUCAACGCCAAUAGCUUAGCCUAUCAAACCAAUUAACUUAAUCUUGAGUAGUUAAUAAUUAAAAAUUCAAAAGUCAAUUCUUAUUUAAUGAUCAGAUUGUUAAUCAAUGGGGAACGAAUAUUAAGAAGAUUUUAUAAGCACAUGAUUGAAACCAAAGUACAUCAAACAAACAACUUAUAUGGAUCCAUUUUCAUUGUUCAGCUCAACAACUUGCAGGAAAAUGUGGUUUUGGAAACUUUGGGGUUGAAUUUGACGUAAUCAUGUUAGUUGAUGCUUAACCUCAGCAAACAUGCAACUUUUUCUGCACCUGGUGCAAUGUUUUUCUUUAGGUUUUACGAGUAUAGUAUUAAAUAAUUCUCUUUAGGUUGAGAGUAGUAUUAAAAUAAAAUAAUCCAAAUUUAAUCAAUAUGUCGAGAAGAGAUUUUUUUAGCCGAAAAUGGAAAACAAUUCUAAGUAGUGAUUAAUGCCAACAAUAAAAAAUUGGAUUGGUGUCAUAUCGGUUCAAUUAGACCGAUUAGACCAUCAUUUUUUAGUUCGAUCGGUUUGAUUUUAAUUAAAUAAAUUAUUAAAAAAAUUAUAAAAUCAAGUCGACUGGCAUUGAACAGUUUACUCAAAAAUCGAUUCAAUACCUUUAUAUGUACUGAUAUAUUGGUCGGUAUGAUCUGAUUCCAACAACCAUGAUGUUAUUUGGUAUGUAUUAUUUUAUGGAUAGGUUUUAAUUGAAUCAUUUGUAAAAAUUUGAUCUCUAAUUUUUUUCAUUGAUAUGUAUGAUAUAUGUAACACUCCAAACCCGACCUAGAAGUUUAAGCCGAAUCUAGACGAGCUAUACCAACGUAGUAAAAACAUACUUCUUGUCAGAGUUUUAACUUUGAAAAUCAGAAAAUCAUUUUAGUCAAUUUAGAGGAUUUUGUAAUUUCAUUUUAGACUUGGCAGAUACUGAUGAGAUUAUAAAAAGAAAAAUUAGACAAGUCCAAAACAGUUUACAAAUCCAAAGGAUUAAAUCAAAAAAAAAUCAUAAAAAUAGGACAAGUAGUGAUUAAUUCCAACAAUAAAAAAUCGGAUUGGUGCCAAAUCGGUUCAAUUAGACCUAUCAGACCAUCAAUUUCUAGUUUGAUCGAUUUGAUUUUAAUUAAAUAAUUUAAAUUAUUAAAAAAUUAUUUAAAAAGUUAUAAAAUCAGUUCAAAUGGGAUUCAACAAUUCACUCAAAAAUUGAUUUAAUCCAUUUAUUUGCACUGAUAUAUUAGAUGAUAUGAUCCGAUUCCAACCACAUUAUUUGGUAUAUAUUAUUUUACAGAUAGGUUUUAAUUGGACCAUUUGCAAAAAUUUAAUCUCUAAUUUUUUUCAUAUCAUAUUCAAUACAAAAUAAAUAUAAUAAAUAGAGCACAUUUAAAUAAAUUUAUCACAACAACAACCAAAAAUACAUUAAUCACAACAAUUUGAACACAAAUUAUAAUAUUUCAUGCACAUUUUAUCAUUUUUAUUAUAUUUAUGAUGAUUACAUUAACAAGUGUUCACUUAAGAAUUUAAGAAGAGAAUUGGCUUAAUUAACAAUUAUUUAUUGACAAUAUUAGAGAUAAUUAAUUAUCUGGAACAUUUUAUUAGGUAAAUUUAAUUUUUUUAAAAUUUGAGGAUUAGGGUUGAUAAAAUGCCAUGCAAAUUCAUCAGAUUCAUUGUAUAAUAAUGGAAGGUACAUAUGGAUCGCAGUUCACAAUGUAUUUUAAUUUGAUUAAUUUAGUUCCUUUUGAUUUUGUCAAACUCUAUUCUAAUAGUUACUUGGAAUAGAAAACAAAGUCAAUACUAAAAGUCUUACAUUAAUCUUAUAUAUGAAGAUUCAAGAACUAUUAAGUAUGCACUUGAUUUUAACUUCUAUAUUAAAUUUAUGGGUUAAAUAUUAAAAUUCUACGUUAAUUUUAGUUUAAUGUGUAAUUUUAUGUAUAAUUUUUAUUCGGUAUAAUUAUAUAUAUUAAAAUUCAAUUACAAUUUAAAUGUGUAUAUCAAGUUUUGAUUUUGAUCUAAAAUAAUUCAAAUAAAAUAAUUCAAAUUUAAUCUAAAUAUCUCGAGAAGAGAUCUUUUUUAGUCGAAAAUGGAAAAGAAUUCUAAGCAUGGAUUAAUGCAUGCCAACAAUAAAAAAUCGGGUUGGUGUCAAAUCGGUUCAAUUAGACCUAUUAGACCAUCAAUUUCUAGUUCAAUCGGUUUGAUUUUAAUUAAAUAAAUUAUUAUAAAUUAUAAAAUUGGUUCGACUGAUAUUAAACAGCUCACUCAAAAAUCGAUUCAAUACCUUUAUCUAUACUAAUAUAUUGGUUGGUAUGAUCCGAUUCCAACAACCAUGAUGUUUUUUGGUAUAUAUUAUUUUAUGGAUAGGUUUUAAUUGAAUCAUUUGCAAAAAUUUGAUCUCUAUUUUUUUUCAUUGAUAUGUGUGAUAUAUAUAGAGAGAGGCAUAUCUAGGGGGAUUGGUGGAGGCCUUAACCUCCCCUAAAAUGGAAAAUUGUCUAUUUAGGUAUUUUAGAAAUUUUAGAAUGUUAAAUUAGUAGAAGUAAAAUUGCAGUUAACACUCCUAAAAUAAUAAAAAUUUGAUUUAAUCUUUUAAAAAUUAUAAAUAUAUAAACUAUUAAAAUUUAAAAUUUAAUUUCGACCCUCCCUAAAAAAAAGUUCUCCCAUAUUAUGAUUUGGAUAAAAUACAAUAAUAUGAACCAAUAUAUGGUGUUUGAAAAAUAUGUAGGGGAGAAAAACAAAUUAAGACUUUGAGGUGUGAAGACAUUUUUGUUGAUGCAAAGUCAUAAACAAAAUAUUAUACUAAUUACAAUAAUAAUAAAUUGAGCACAUUUAAAUAAAUUUAUCACAACAACAACAAAAACACAUUCAUCACAACAAUCUGAAUGCAAAUUAUAAUCAUGUUAGGAUGUUAGUUCACUUCAGAAUUUGAGAAGAGAAUUGGCUUAAUUAACAAUUAUUUAUUGUAAAAGAAAAUGCAAUAUUAGAGAUAAUUCAUAUUAGUUAAAUUUAAUUUUUUUUUAUAAAAUUUGAGGAUUAGAGUUGGUAAUAUGCCAUGCAAAUUCAUCAGAUUCAUUGUAUAAUGGAAGGUACAUAUGGAUCACAGUUCACAAUGCAUUUUAAAUUUGAUUAAUUUAGUUGCUUUUGAUUUUGUCAAACUUUAUUCUAAUAAUGUGAAUAGAAAAUAAAAUCAAUACUAAAAGUCUUACAUUAAUAUUAUCAAGAUUCAAGAACUAUCAAGUAUGAACAUGAUUUUGUUUUCUAUAUUAAACUUAUGGGUUAAAUAUUAAAAUUAUACAUUAAUUUUAAUUUAGAUUCAACUGUAAAUAUUUAAAGAAAUAAAUAUAUCAAUUUAUUUUUAUUGAAUAAAUAUAAUUAUUUGUGUAUAUAGUGUGUUAAGGUAAAAUGAUGUUAUAUUGAUAACUAUAUUAGUGAUUUGUAAAAAUUGAAUCAAAUUAACAUGUAUAAAAUUACACAAAAUUAAAAUUCAGGUAUAGCAUUGCACAUUGGACCAAAGUACAUGUGUAGCUUUAAACAUGAUCCCUGAAUGUAUUUCAGUAUAUCUAUCAUGACUUAUUUAGCCCUCGAACUUUAUAAAAAAAAAAGUCAUUUUAGACAUCCAUUUAAUUAUUUUUUUGCCCCUUUUGGCCUUUAAACUUGCGUUGUUUGUCAAAACACUUCAAAAUAGAUAGAAAUAUUAGUGCUCGUUAACUUUGCUAACGUGACAUAUACAUUUGACUCGAUUUGAUUCGAUUAAAAAAAAAAUUCAAAUUGAAUUCGGUUGCUAAAAUAGGAUUCGUCAACUCGAUUAACUCCAAUUUUUUUAACUCGAUUCGAUCAAAUACUCACUCUUACUCUAUUCUACAUUUGAUGAUUGAUUAAUUAAUAAGUACUGGAAUACAAAAAGAAAGUCAUACGGGCACCAAAUUUGACAUUAUUUAGUCAAUACUAAAGGUCUUAAAUUAAUAUUAUAAGAUUCAAUACCUAAGUGUGCACAUUAUUUUCUAUAUUAAAUUUAUGGGUUAAAUAUUAAAAUUAUAUAUGAAUUUUAGUGUAAUGUGUAAUUUGAUGUGUGAAUCUUAAUUUGGUAUAAUUAUAUAUAUGAAGCUUUAAUUACAAUUUAAAUGCGCACAUGAAAUUUUGAUUUUGAUUCAACUGUACACACUUGAAGAAAUAAAUAUUUCAAGUUAUUUUUAUAUUGAAUAAAUAUAAUUAUUUGUGUAUGUAGUAUGUUAAGGUAAAAUGAUGUUAUAUUGACAAUUGUGUUAGUGAUUCGUGAAAAUCAAAUCAAAUUAAUAUUUAAUGUAUAAAAUUACACAAAAUCAAAAUGCAUGUAUAGCAUUGCACUUUGGACCAAAGUUCAAGUGUAACUUCGAACAUUACCCCUAAUUUUAUUUUGGUACAACUAUCAUAAAAAAGGCAUAAUGACUUAUUUGGCCCACCAACUUUACAAAAAAGUCAUUUUAGACCUCUAUUUUUUUUACCUCUUUUGGCCCUUAAACUUGUGUUGUUUGUCAAAAAACCUCAAAAUAUAUAUAAAAAAAAGUCAAUGUUUGUUAAUUUUAUUGACAAGGCAUACAUGUGGAUUCCAUGUUAACAAUUAUUUUUAAAAAUUUUAAAAUUUUGAAAAAUAUAAAAUCAUUUACAAAUUUUAAAAAUUAUUAAAAAUAUAAAAAAUAUUUUUAAUGCUUAAAAUAUUAAUUAUUUUUUAAUAUUAUACAUGUAAAUUGCAUGAAUUCCAUGUUAGCAAAGUUAAAUUUUCCAUCCAUUUUAAGGUGAUUUAACAAACAAUAUAAGUUCAAUGGCAAAAAGAGGUGAAAAAUAAAAUAGAGAGUUAAAUAAGUGAUUAUGCCUAAAAAUAAAUUAAACAAAAAUCCAUUGUAACUGUUGAGUUCUAUGGCGGCAAACUCAAUGGAGUGAGUUAUAGUGAUCCUACUACUGUGAAAAAAUAUGCUAGACGUGCUCAAUUGGGUGAAACUUUUUAAUUAGAUCAUGCUACUUUGAAAUCCGAUGGUGUUUUUCGUAGCAGUCCGAGGGGUUGGUUUACUUUUGGGCAUGCUUCGUUUGCCUUGCUUUUCUUCUUCGAACACAUUUGGCAUGGUGCUAGAACCAAGUUCAGAGAUGUUUUUGCCAGUAUUGAUCCAACUUUGGAUACGCAAGUGGAACUUGGAGCAUUCCAAAAACUUGGAGAUCCAACUACAAGAAAACAAGUAGUCUGAUGCAAGAUUGCUUUGUUAACUUAGAUCUUCGGUGAUCACGAGUUCUUUUCUUUUUCCAAUUCUUUUUACGUGUAUUAGAUGAAUUUUGUGACAUGAAAAUUUUAACUUAUUGAUUGGUUCCAUUCGAUUCGAACAACCAUGAUGUUAAUUGGUAAAUAUUAUUUUCUAGAUAGGUUUUAGUUCAACUAUUUGCUAAAAUUUGAUCUCUAAUUUUUCUUCUAGAACAUUUUAUUAGUUAAAAUUGAAUUUUUUAUAAAAUUUGAGGAUGACUGUCGGCAAUAUGCCAUCAAAAUUCAUUGUAACGUUCACAAUGCAUUUUAAUUUGAUUAAUUUAGUUGCUUUUGAUUUUGUCAAACUCUAGAAUUGAUGGAAUAGAAAAGAAAGUCAUACCGAAACCAAAUUUGACCCUAUUUAGUCAAUAUUAAAAGUCUUAAAUUAAUAUUAUCAACAUUCAAGACCUAAGUGUGCACAUUAUUUUAUUUUCUAUAUUAAAUUAAUGAAUUAAAUAUCAAAGUUAUACAUGAAUUUUGAUUUAAUGUGUAAUUUAAUAUACGAAUCUUAAUUUGGUACAAUUAUACAUAUGAAGCUUUAAUUAAAAUUCAAUGCGUACAUAAAACUUUUAUUUUGAUUCAACUAUACACACUUGAGGAAAUAAAUACAUCAAUUUUUUUAUAUCAAAUAAAUGUAAUUAUUUGUGUAUGCAAUAUGUUAACGUAAAAUGAUGUUAUAUUGAUAAUUGUGUUAGUGAUUUGUGAAAAUUCAUAUAUAGCAUUGCAUAUUGGACGAAAUUUCAUGUGUACUUUUGAACAUUAUCCCUAAAUUUAUUUUGGUAUACUAUUAUACAGAAAAACUCAUCUUAGACCUCCAUUUAAUUUUUUCCCUCUUUUGACCUUUAAACUUACGCGGUUUGUCAAAUCACCUCAAAAUGAAUAAAAAAAAUUAAUACGUGUGACAUAUAUGCAAUAAAUUAUUUUUAAUUUUAAAAAAUUAAUUAAUUACAGAUAUCACAUAGUAAUACGUGGAUUCCAUGUAAUUACAUAGAUGACUUUUGUUACAUGAAAGAUGUAACAAAGUAAGCCAAAAGCGAUCCUAAAAGUGUGGAAUUACAUAGAAAUGUAGAUAAAGUUAAGAGUAGUUGAAUUGGAAAUCUAAUAAACUCCACUACACAAAUUAUUCAAUGUUGCUUGGUCAAGACUCAAGUGCUGCCUUACUUUUAUUUCACUUUUUCUGCUUCUGUUUUUCAAUAUAAAACAAAAUUAAAAAAAAAAUCUAAGAUAAACUAAUUAAAAGUCCAAAGCAGUUAUGAAUUUCUAGAAUCAGACAAGGGUGAUUUAGAUAUUAAAAUUUAGGAGUAAGGGUAAUUUAGGUAUUAAAAAUUAACAACAAUCUAAAAAAUUUGAUAAAAGUUAAUUAAUUUUUUUUUAUUAUUUGUGCUUUUGAUUAGUUUUUUUAAUUUGUUUAAAGUUACUUUUGUAGUAUUUAUCCCAAUUAAUUGUAUUUUAAGAAUAUGAUAAAGUAUGUGAUGUUUUAAUGGGUGGGAGUAAAUACGUGUUAUACUCUUUUUCUCUUAAUCAAGAUUUUGUUUCAUUGAGUUUUCUUGGUAAUGUUUUUAAUAAAGUAACAUAUUAUGCGUAUUAUAGAUUGCGUACUCUUUUUUCUUCAUUAGGUUUUUCCUAAUAAGGAUUUAACAAGGCACAUUAUCUACCAAUGGACAUCUAACGGGGAUGUCUAUCAACAUCAAGAUAAGCUUUGAUGUACUUUAAAUUCUAAUAGCCAUUAGAAUUAUAUCUCUACUUUAUUUAUACUUCUUAUGCUUAUAAAUAAAGACUUUGGAGAUGAUUUGUAAAUAUUCUCAUUGAUCGCAUUACAAAUAUCUAUAUCAACAUUCUUUUAAAUUAGUUUAUAAAAAAUAUUUAACAAUUUAAUCCAGUUCAUACAAAAAUAUAGAUGAAAUUAACAAAUGAUAAAAUCUCAAAAUGAUUUACUAUAAAAAUUUAUUAGUUUUAACUUUUUAAAAGAAAGAAAAUUAAACUUUAAAUUUUUAACUUCAAUUACAUAAGGUUAAUUUAAAUUUUAGUAUUUCAUUUUAAUUAUUCAUGAUUUAAUUAUUAUUUAAUGUUCAAAAAUUAUUUUUUGUCUAAUUAAUUAUUUUUUCUUUUUAAUAAUUAUAUUAUAUGUUUUCAAUUCUUUUUGAAGUCAUUGGAGUUAAUAAGAGUACUCUUGAUAUUUCAACACAUAUUAAGGGUAUUCUUGAUAUUCCAAAUAUAUUAAUUAAAUUAUGAAAUUUUAUUAUAUCACUAAUUAUAAUUUAAUUGAAUUAUAUAUUUUAUUAAUAUUUUUUUAUUUUUAAGUAAAUGAUUUUCAUUUAUAUGAAAUUAAUUGUUUUUAAUUCUUGAGAGUUACAUUUUUGUUUUAUUAUUAACUAAAUUAUUUUUAUUUAUAUCAAAUUAUUUUUAUUAAUUUUUGAGAGUUACCUUCUAGAAAUUUUUUUAAAAAAGUUACAAUAUUUUUAUUUAUAUCAAAUUAAUUGUUUUUAAUUAUUUUAGAGUUACAUUUUAAUGUCACUCUUCAAGUAGAGUUUUUUUUUUUUUCCCUUUUCUAAAGCAGGAAACGUUUGCCAUUUUCUUCAUAAAUAGUUAAUUUUAAAUAUUGGGUUUUAAAAAAUCAAAUAGAUUAUUUAUAAGUCAAAUUAUAAAAUGUAAAAGAUAAUAUUGAAUGAAAAAAAUAUUUAUAUGCUUUAAAAAAUAAAAAUAAAAUUGAUUAUAGAAUUUUUUUUAUGUUAAACUAAUAAAAAGUCAAAUCACGCAACGCAUGGUCAUAUUUCCAAUAGUUUAUUAAAUUGAAAUCUUUAAUUUCAUUUAUUAAAUAAUAUUUUUAUUUAAUUAAAUAUAAUUAAUAUGAUUUUAUGUGAAAUUUAAACAUUUUAUUAAAGUAAUAUCUUAACUAAGAUCAUUUUUAUUUAAUAAAUGAUAAUUAAUGGGUUUGUUUAUACAAAAUAGUUAUAGUUUUAAUUAAAAAAUGAGAAAAUAGAUUGUUAUAGAAAAUUAAUUUAUUAAAGAAUUUACUUCAUAAUUAUGAUGGUUCCUGUUAUAAGUAAAACAAAAUCCCAUUCUGCUAGAAAAAUUUCUUCUUUAUAUGAAGUGGUUAUAGAUAAACCAUCAAAAGACCCAUUUAUAGUCCUUAUGAAAGUAGGCCUUCUAGCUCAAUAAUGGGGCUUUAUAGUCGUAUCUAAAUCCAUUUACCAAUAGUUGUCUCAUUAAUGCUCUUACCAUCCCCUUUCAAGCUUCACAUCUUUCCCUCGUGUGUGUGUGUGUGUAAAAUACCUGCUCCACUAUUAAGCUUUUGGUUUCACCAAAUUGUUGAGUUGUUGCUAUUCGAGUUUCCUUGUAGGGCAUUCCCUAUCCAUUGCUCAACCUACCUCAACAAUAGCACACCUUAUGUAAAAUCCCAUAUUUGCAGAACAUAUCGCAAGCUAAUCGAUUUUUCCUUCUUAGUUUAAGCCUCACUUUUAAGCCUCCUUAAUUGAUAUACUUGUUUUCUUUCUUUUUAUAUAUGUGAACAUUUGGCUCACUUGACUACAAAGAGGAAGGAAAAAGAGUGUAUAAACACAAGAAUUAAACCCUAAAUUUCGUAUCAAUCAACUUAAAACUCACACAAUACUAACUUGAAUUGUAUGCUGGCAUAAUAUAUUGAAUGGAAUAUAUAAGAUAGAGAUUAAUUAAGACUUAACUGUCUAUAUUUGUUAUUGACAAGUAUGUAUAACCAUUGCCCUGGCCUGCAUUACUUCAUUUCAAGCAUCCCGUACAAGAUUUUUUUUUCUUUUUUAACUUAUAUUUUUUUAUGUUUGUUUUACAUUUUCAUUUAAAAUAAAUUAAGAGUUAAAAUAUAAUUUUAAUUUUUGUAAAAUAAAUUAUCAAAUGCUUAUAGGAAGGCAUCUAUUUAUAUAAGUAUAAAUUUAAAAUCAUUUUACAUCUUUUCAUAUAUUUUUGUACAAUUAAUAUUUUAACGCAUUUUAUAAUCCUUUAAGUAUUUUAGAUCGAUAUCAUAGAUACAUCAGAUAGGUUCAGAAAUUUACAUGCAUGAGAAGUUAUUAUAUCAAUAAAUUUAAUGAUUAAAAAGUUUAAAUAUUAAUAUUACAAAAUGAUAUAAAACUGAAAUAAUUUUACACCAGCUAUCCUCCCAUAAAAAGCAUAUUUGAUGAAAAAAUGUUUAAUAAUGUAAGAAAAACUACAACAAAAAAUUAAUGAGAAUUGAAGUAGACGCGUCUUUGGCAGCUUGGCUGGACACCCUUGAAGUCAAGUCAACUACGAAGAACUAAACAUUUUUGGUCGAUCAAACCAGAAGGUUUUCUCGAGAAGAAAAAAGAGUGCUUCAUUACCUUGUCUAUCUCUAAAAACAAUCGCAUUUCUUUAAUUUUUUUUGCUGCUAAUUAAGAGUUCAAACAUGGCAGAAGCUUUCUUGUCCUCUAUUGCAGCAAGGGUACUGGAGCAAAUGGCCACCAAUGUGUCAGAAGAAAUUCGCACGGCCUAUAAUGUCCGAAACGAUUUCGAAAAGCUCGAGGAGACCAUGAGCCGCAUUCAAGCUGUGCUUUUGGAUGCUGAGCGGCAGCAACACGAAAAUGAAAGCUUACACCUCUGUAUAUGGAAGCUUAGAGAAAUCUUUUACGAUGCUGAAGAUGUAGUUGAUGAUUUCAAGUGUAAAGCUCUUCGAAAACAGGUUGUCCAUGAUCACAACAUCAGCAAAAAGGUGCGAGCUUUAACUUCAUUAUCUGGUCAUCCGUCCUCUUUAAAACUGGCUUGGAAACUCAAAGAUACCAAUAAGAGGCUAAAUGAACUUACUACUGAGUGGGACAGCUUUAAUCUGAGACAAUGUAGGGAAAACCAACAUGUUUUUUACACAGAGACUCACUCUUCUGUUAAUUCUUGGGAUGUUUGUGGUAGAGGUGAACAUAAAGAGAAAAUUGCUCGUCAUUUGAUGAAACCAAGUGAGGAUCGAAAUUUCCCUGCUGUUUGCAUUGUUGGAAUUGGUGGUCUAGGGAAAACUACGGUGGCUAAAUUGGUAUACAAGGAUGAUAGAGUUAUUUGUUAUUUCGAUGUGAAGAUAUGGGUGAGUGUUUCAGGGGAGGAAUUUGAUCUUCCCAGGUUGCUCAAGUUGAUGAUUCAAUAAGUAAAGAAGAAAGCUGUGAUACUUUCACGGCUCGAGCCUUGCAAAACUGCUUGAGUAGUAUUUUAAAUUAUAAGUGGAGUUAUUUAAUUGAAGAAGCAAAUAUCAACAAAAGUCACGGGAAGGGAAUCAAACACAGGACCUCUAGCACACAAUUAACUAUUGAGCCAAAUCAAAUUUCUCAAUACAAUUAAACCCAUAAAUUAUAAAAUUUUGGACGUUACAAUUCUCGGUUUACUAACCCAAUUUUUACUAACUCAAUUUUUAAUAUGUAACAAUAUUUAUUUCCCUAAAAGAAAAUAUAAGCACAAUAAAAAAAAGGGAAUAGAAAAUGAAAAGAGUCCAAAUCAGAUAAAUACACCUCCAUAUAUAUCUUAUCUUUUUUCAAAGGGAAAGCACAAUAGGUCCAACAUGAAACUCUCUUAACCCAACCCUUUUGUGGAUAAUAAAAGCAUUUUCUAUUAAUGUACUCGGGCAUUGUCAUUACUAAAAGAAAAAAAAAAUCUUACCCUAUUAAAUUCAAAUUUCAAAAUAUAAUUGAAAUAUGAAGUUUAAAAAAAUGGGAAGAAAUUUACAUUUCAUUUCAUUAAUUAGUUACCUGAAAUCAUGUUUGUCCACGAAAUUAAUGAAUAUUUUGAUGCUAUAUCCUAUAAUAUGUUUAUAUAAAGUAAACCUAUAAUUCAUAAAGGUUAUUCAUCACAAAAAAAAAAAAAUUUAUUAGGCAAACUAACAAAACCAAAUAAUGCCUAAAAACAAUGACAACUUGAAACCUAUGUUUCACGGUUUCAAAAUGUUAGCUAUUAAAACAAUAUAUUUACUUUAAAACAAAAAAAAAACACAAUAUAUAAGGUAGCUCUCUCCAUUAAUUUUAGGCAUUAGAAAGUAAAGAAUUCGAUAAACAUUUGUUACCCUUAUCUCUUUGAUAUUAGAAUAAUUUCAAAUGGAAUUUCGGGGAGUAAACUUUGUUAGUUUUCUUAUUUUUCAACUUGGAGUUAACUCCAAUGCCUUCCCAGUGAAUGAUUUGAUAAGCAAAUUGCCGGGACAACCAGAUGUUAAUUUCAGACAAUUUGCUGGAUAUAUUGAUGUGGAUGAUAAUGUCGUUGGUCGAAGUCUUUUUUACUAUUUUGUUGAAGCUGAAAAAGAUCCCCUAACUCAACCCCUCACUGUUUGGUUAACUGGAGGUUAACUUCUUUGAAUUUUUUUAUUGUAGUUUCUGAUGUUAUGCAGAUUUUUCAGUAGGUAUCCUAUAUGAAUAAGUUAGAUUAAAUUUACCAUGCGCAAGCCAAAGCAAAGGGAAGCUAGGGCUUCGGCCCUAUUGGUUAAUUGUUACAAUUGCAUUUUUAGCCUUUCUCAAAAAAUUAGAAUUCAAUUUAAUCCCCUUUUGCCCCUUAAAAUGGAAACAUUAUCACUUUCUGCCCUUGUUAGAAAGUAAUAAUUCAAUUUAGGCCAUUUCCAUGCAAAGACUUUAGCUUUAUCUCCAUCCCUAACACAAAAUUUUUAGCCUUGCUCUGACUAUGAUUUUUUCCUCAUCUGGAAAGCGAUACGUUUAAACAUAUAUUUAAUACUUGUCGAACUAGACUAAUCAUUACGUUAGAUCAAACCAUUACUCUAUUUUUCUAGCUUUACUUAAGUCUAGCCGAUAAGUUUGUUUGAUUACUCACGUAUAAUAAAAUCUUUAGUGUAAUACUAUUCAGGACCAGGGUGUUCUUCAGUUGGAGAUGCCUUUGGAAGUGUUGGUCCUUUUAUUGUUACGAAAGAUGCUCAUGGUCUCCAAACAAAUUUCAUAUCUUGGAACAAAGGUUGUCUAACUUCCUACGCUUAUCUUUUAUUGAUAUUUUUUUUGUGUAUAUACGUCAUGUUUCAUUCUUAUUUUUUUCAUAUCCAUAUAAAUUUAUCAAAAUAUAUUAAAUGUUUUAGAACUAUAUAUAAAAUGUUACAGUACGUCUCGUUUUCUUUAUUGUGAUUAAAUGAAUUGCAUUGUCUUUCUUAUAUUGUUUUUUUGUAUUUCUAUAUCUAUAUAAAAUUCUGUCGAAUAUAUGUUUCAGUGUCAAAUCUAUUGUUUAUCGACUCCCCUAUUGGAUCUGGAUGGUCAUAUUCAAACACAAGUAGUGAUUAUAGUAACGGAGAUGAUAGCACUAGUAAGAUCAUAGUAUAUAUUCUUCAUUAUUAAUUAAAAUAGUUUGGAUAUUAUAUAUAUUGAUAGUUUUCAAUUGUUUGUUUUGUACAGAUAAAAUAUUGCUUACAUUUAUGCAAAAAUGGUAUGAAAAAUAUCCAGUCUUCAAGUCGAAAGAUCUAUAUCUAGCUGGAUCAAGUUUUGCAGGUGAACAAUUUAUUGCUUCUUUUCUCUUAUCUGGUUGUAUAUCAACAUAUUUUUAAUACACCAAAAAAUACUUAAUGAAUAACUAAACAAAAUGUCUCUAGCAUAUAGUUUUUUCUAUCUAUAUAUUGCACUUUAUUAUUUACAUAUCAAGCUUGCAACAGUAUUAUUUUUUAGAUUCAAACUCAAAUAAUUAAUCAAAUUUCUUAUUAAAUUAAUAAUUUUGUAAAAAUAAUUCAAAAAAUAUAAAUAUUUUCAUAAAUUAUUUUUUUUGAAACAUACUUCUUUAAUUGAAUAUGUCAAACUAAUUAUUUAAUAGAAAUAUAAUACGAGUUAUGGAUAAGUCUCUAUGCAACAAUACAAAAAGUAUAACAUGUUUAGUUACUAUAAUUAAACUUGAGGAUUUUAUUUCAGGACACUUCGUACCAAAUCUUGCUAAUGCUUUACUCGACGACAACAAGCAAUCCAAGCAGUCGAAAUUUAACCUCAAAGGAUUGGUUGUAAGUAAAAUUGUAUCUAAUUAAUCAAAUUUAAUUGCCACUUUAAUAUAUAUUUGCAUAAAAGGAUUAGUUAGAAAUGUUCAUGCUUGAGUAACUUGCCUAAUUCGAGAAGGCUUAGCUUUAUUUUAUUGGAUUAGGAUACUGACUUCUACGUUUUGGAUCAAACCAUUAUCACUUUGAUUAUUGUUCAUUAACUUACAUCAUAGACAAUAAAUUUUGAUUUAAAUCAAGCAUCCACACUAACAUAAAAAAAAAUUACACUGAAAUAUUAUUAAGAAUUUUAUCGGGCCUAGAUAAAACAAAAAUAACAUAUGUUGCAGUUCAAAUCUCCCGCAAACAUGGUUAGGUUCAAUUCAAUGUUAGUUUAAAUAUUUUAUUGUGAACUUUAUUUUUAUUUUCUUAAUUGUAACUAUUUUGAACAGCUGGGAAACCCAAUGCUUCGUAAAAAGCUAGACGAUCUUGCAAAAAUUGAUUUCUUUUUCUCUCGGAAGAUGAUAAACACCUCGUUGUAUAACGAAAUCAAGAAAGAAUGCAAUGCCAUUGAUGAAAAUAAUUACUUUUCUAACAUCAAAACCACUUGGAGCGCAAAAUGCAAAAACCUUGUGUUUGAGGCCGAUUUGGCUGCUUUCAAGACCGAUGCUCAUAACUACUCCCCACAGAAGCUAUUUGAUGUCUUUCGCCCUCCUUGUGCUGAAACUGAGCAAGAUUUGAACUUAGGAAAACAGGUUUUCAUUUAUUUCUUUACAUUCCUCUUACUUUACUUCAAUUUGAAACUACAAAUAACAUAUGUUCGUAUAGAAUCGAAUUAACUGAUCAACCGAGUACAACUAAUUUGUGUUAUUUUUCUUUUAUUGGUCAUAGCAAAAGCAUAAAACUUUAUUUUUUGGUCCAGGUUCCUAUAGUUAGCACAGAAGUAGACAUGUGCCAUCCAUUAAGGGUGCAAUUUUACUUUAAUCUCCCAUAAGUUCAAAAAGCUUUCCAUGGGAAUCAAACAAACUUGUCAUAUAGAUGGAAGGGUUGUUUCACGUAAGUUCUCCCUUAAAAUUUGAAAAUAAUUGAUUUUUUUUUUCUAGAUAUGUUGAUAUAAUUACUUUUUAGAAAUUAUUUUAAAUUCAAGUUUUAAGACUCAGCGGUCAAUUUUCCUUAUUUCCAUAUUGUCACCUCUUGUUUUGGUAAAAUAAAUAAAUUACUUGUUUAUUGAGGUGGAUGAUGUGUAAAAAAUUUUAACCUUGAAAUUUUCAUUAUAUGUCACUCUUAUUUAUUUAGAGCUAAUUUUAAAUACAACGAAGCUGAUAAGGACCUUGACAUGCUUCCUGCGCUUAAAAAUCUUCUUCAACUAUCCGUUCCCAUUACAAUAUCCAGGUUGGUAUUGUAUUUGUACACCCUACUUUUUCCCAAUACUUUCUUGAAAUAAGUUAAAUAAGUAUGAAGAAUCGAAGUGAACGAUCUUGAAAAGAAAUUCUCGUGCCAUUUGACUGAUUUUUUAUUUUAUCUUAUUAAUUUGAUUACAAUGUUAUAGUGGAGAUCAAGACGGUAUAAUACCGAUAGAGGGAACCUUACAACAUUUGGAAAAGUUGGCCGAGGAGUUAAACAUCAAGUUAACAAAAAAGGAAACAUGGAGUUUUGGAACCAAGGUUUUAUGUUUACACAUUUAAUUAUAUAUAUUAGCUUUUUUUAUAUAUUAUGAUUAGAUAUAUUUAAGCAUCAAAUUAUCGGCCGGAUAUGGUUACCAAUUUGGAUCUAAACUUGAACAAGAAAAUUUAAGUGUUGACUCAAUUGGCUUGAUUAGCGCGUUCAAGGCAAGCUCACACUACUUACCUAGUUCAAUAGGCUUGACCAAUAAGUGCCGGGCCGUAACAAGAUUUUUCACAAAUUUUGGGCAACUCAUCCUGAAUUUUCAUUUAAAUAUUAAAAUAUUAAUGUAAACAUAUUUUAUAUUUACUAAUUAAUAGUUAGUCGAGCCAAUAGGUUGGCUCGAGCUAACUUAAUCAUAAAAAAGUAAAUAUAUUAGAAGAAAAUAAUUUUACAACAUUUCAUAUAUAUUGAACAAUGGAAUGGGUUUUCUUUUUUACUAUUUAUAUUUAUAAAUUUCUAUUUUAAUACAAUAAAAUUAACUAUAAAUAUUUAACAGGAAGGAGGGUUGAAGUAUGAAUUUGGAGACUUACUAAAAUUCUUGACGGUGAAGGGAGGUAAUCAUCAUGUUACAUCUUCUCGACCAUCGCAAGCUUUUUCUAUUUUCACAAGUUUCACAAUUAAAUGGAUGCAUUGAGGAUUGGUAAUGAAACUUAUGGAGCACACGAUCAUGAUUCAUGUUGAAUCCAUCAUUCACCAUAAUAAGACUUGUCGUUGUAAUAAUUUAUUGUGAUGAUAUGUAUUAUUUUAUGAUGCAUGGAGAUCAUAAAUUUUUAUAUUAUGCAAUAAUAUAAUUAGUUAAAUAAUCUGAUAUCUAACGAAUAAUUAUUAUUUUAAUAAAAUCAUGCAAUUUUCAUACAUGAAAUUAACAAAUAAAGAGAACUCAACCUAAUAUGCGUAACAAUUUUUUACUGAUACAUACUCUAAAACAAUGUGAAUAGUAAUUUCUUAUAUUUUCUUGAUCAUAAGUGUACUUAUUAUAAAAGACGAUAACAAUAUGCACACAAAACCCUUUUUCCUUAAACUCUCCUACAAAAGAAAACUUAACCUUAGAUUUGCGUUGUUGUGUGAUUGGCCACCACCUUCUCCCUUCUAUUACUUCCCUCUUAAUUUUACUUUUUUCGAUUUCCUUCGUUACCCCUUGUCGGGGUGGUUUUGGAGGAGCAAUUUCGGGAAGCAACACGAUUGAGCCUGUUUCAUAGCCGCUGUCUCAUCUCCUGCAUUAGGGUGCUUGUUUUCGUUACAAAUUUGGCAUUGUUGUGGAAACAUCAAAGAACAAGAUGAGUGUGAUUUUAUGGCAAAUUGGGGUGGACAACAAAUGGCUUUCAAGUUUGUUGUGUCUUGGCCUUUCUUUGUCCUAGUUCUUUUGUUCGACUCUAGUGUCUCCCUUGUCUCUUAAAUUUCAGUUUUGCUUUUGUAGUCAAGAAAUACGAUCCGGUUGCAUGCAAGAGAAAGGCUUGUGAAUGCAUAAUGACUUGAUGCACCAAUUCUCUCCAAUUACUUUCCUCCAUGCUUUCAAUAAAUUAGUAAAGGAAAUCCUAGUCUUUGCAGGCCAUGUUCCAAGAGUUAUUUUGUUCGAUUUUCGAUGCAUUCUACCACCUUUUUAUAUCGUCAAAUGCUUAUGCAACAACUUUUACUUUAAUGAAAGUUUCUUUUGGUUUGUUAAAAUUACACAAUUUCCCAAUCCAUGUACUUAAGCGACUAUCAAAAUAUGUCAAUAACUUCAUUUCUCCAAUCAAUUACGCUCUCUUCUUUUAUCUUCAUUUCUCAAUAGCUCAACUUCUCUAGCUAGAUCAAGUAGUCAGUAUCAUACUAGUGGAUGCAAAGUUUUUGUUUUGGUAAUCGUACUAGUUUAUUUUAUGUUUUGUUUCAGCCUUAUUGUUGUUUCUUAAAUAUAUUUUCCUGUUUAUAUCUUAGUUUCUCGAUAAAAUAUAUUAUAUAUGCAAAUAUACCAUAACAAUAUACAUUUAACAAUUUAUUUAUAUAUAUAUUUUUAAAUACUAAUUGCAUCGAAUGAUUAUAUUUUAUUUCUAAAUGUAACUAUAAAAUAAAGAUCUUGCUUUUUAAGACAAAAUAGCGUAAAUUUUUUACUGAAACUGUGAAUAUCUUAUGCCAAUCGUUAUGUGUAACACCCCGAACCCGGCCAACACAUUAUGGCCGAAUCUGACGAUGUCACAUGGUAGUGCUUUUUGAAAACUAUGUCGUCGCUAAAUCCCCUUUUCUAUUUAACCAUUUUUUUUCAUUUUCCUAUGUUAAUUUCAAAUCGUGUCUUUCGUUUCCAAAACAUUAUUCAUUUAGAAAUCGUUAUUAAAUAUCCAAACAUUUUUUUAUUGCGGAAGCUUUUAAACAGUUUGCGUAUUCGUGGUAUUUUUGAUAAAAUAUUAAUUUCAUUUGAAAACCCGAGUUUUACCUAACACUGGCAGAUUUAAAUCAUAAAAUCGUAUACAAUCCAAAUUUAAACCAAAAUCCAUAAAAGCCAUAAUUACAGCAAACUACUCCCAAAUAAAAGUAAAAUCAUGAAUAGGUAAUAAACAGUGUAAAAGAAGUCAUGUGGCCACCACUGAGUCCCCUGUCGUACCAAUCCACCUAUAUUUGGGGAUUACCUGUACAGAUUAAACAGAAGGGGUGAGUUUACAUAAACCCAGUGUGUAAUCCUCGUACAAAUGUACAGACAGGAAACAGAUAAUCACAGUCUGGGCUUAAGCCUUUUUCAGUAUCAGUCUAGUUUGGGCUUUAGCCCAUCUCAUUACAAAAAUAGGCAUGCAGUAAGGCUUUAGCCCAUCACAGUAUCAAUAGCAGUAACAGAUAUGCAGUCACAAAUAUCCUACCCAACUAGCCUCUACAAACCAUUUUAAUCCAACCCUACACUCCAUGUGGGUAUAUAAUCAACCCACCCAUCCCUACACUCCAAGUAGUACCAAAUGUGGCACUAGACAGUAGUUUGUAGCUGAGCUGCCAGUAAAUUAGGCUCGAGGCCUUUCAGUACACUUCCUCCGAACAUUACAAUCCCCUAGCCCAAUGCAAUGUAACAUACAUAUAUGACUUGCUAUAACAUAAUAUCAUGCAUGUAAACAAGGCAUACAGUAUCAAACCAGUGGGACACCAUCAGGCUUAAUCAUAUCAGUCAUAAAGUCAUUUCAGUCAGCUAGGGGUCUAGGUAAGCUUACCGAUCCUACAGUAUGUCCACAGUCGACUCAGGCGACCAAUGCAACCUUAGCAAUAAAACAGUGAAAAUGGGCCUACAAGCCCAUGAUGUUUGCCCAUGUAGGCCCGCACGCCCGUGUGGCCCAAAUUGGCCUUGACCUCGUGAUCCAUUUUAAUGUAACCCGUGCUAGAUAAUUAAUCACAUGUGUUUCCACUAUUUACUUAUAUGAUCUUUCAAAGUUGUCUACUUGAGUCACUGUUACUAAAUUAUUUAUAUCUUGAGCUAUAGAAUUUCGAAUUAAGAUCCUCUUGAUGUCUUUGAAACUAGACUCAAGUACCUUUCUACCAUAAAAUUUCUAUAAUUUUUGGAUUAGCCAAUAAGUACAGUAAAAUCUUUAAGCUUUACCAUAUUCUGCUGUCUGACAGCUCCGACUCUUCUUUGCUAAAAAUUAGUUAUCUGUUAGUACAAAAUUUGGAUGAUGUUUCCAUUUGUUUCUAUUGAAAAUAGACUAAUUAAUAAUUUAAACAUGUAAAUUUUAACCCCUAAUUAUUUUUCUCCAAUUUUUUCAAAGUCAAAAUAGGGGAACUCGAAUUUAUUCUAACCUUGUCUUACAAAGUUUGUUAUAUCUCAAGAUUUACAAUUCCAUUACUAACAUCGUUUCUUCUAUGAGAAACUAAACUCAACAAGCUUUAAUUCCACAUUUUUUUCAUCCUCUAAUUAAAUUUCCAAAAUUUAUGACAAUUUUUCAAAGUCAGCCUAUUGUUGUUGUCCAAACAGCAAGGAAUUUCGUCAUUUCGCUGAAUCCCUUAUUUUUGCGUUUCGGGUACACAUCUGGUUUUGUAUGAUGCUAAAACAGUCCCCGAGCACUCCAAAGCCUAUAAUUGAACAAAUAACACCAUAAUCAGUCUUACCUCGCGAUUAAUCAAAAUCCCAAAACCAAAAUACUUACCCAUAAAAUGUGAACACUUACCGCAAAACUUUAAAUCGGUACGUUUACGAAAAUCACGAUGAGAGCCUUAAUCCUCGCAAAAUGCUGCUACCAACACCCCAGAAAUAGACUAUUGAACACAAAAUAAUAUAUUAAAAUGAUACCCAACAACUUACUGAAUUUGCACAAGUGCUGCUUAACGCUACGAAAUCAAGAGGAAAGAAUGAAUUAGGGGAAACAAGGGAACUUCAGCCGUAGUAGAGGAAAGAAAAAUAAAAGGUAACAGAGUAAGAAACAAAGAAAAAGAAAAAUUCGACAGAGAUGGAGGAGAAAACUUCAGAAAGAUGGAGAGAAAAGCAACUCUCUCUUUUUUUGAAAAAGGAAAAAAUAAUCAGAUUUUGGAUAUACUCCCCUAAUUCACUCCUAAAAUCUCUCCCCCACUUCACUACACAUCCACUGCUCAGAAACCCAGUUCCGUACAACUCUUGCUGAAAUUAGGAGCAAAAAAAAAAAUUCAACCCUUGCCAUCCCAGAGAUUCAAACCCAUGACCUCCACCAUAAUAAUACACCAUUUAACCACCAAACCAGCAGGCCCAUACUAAUGUAAUUUACCCAACAAUCAAAUAAAAGCCUACUGAACAAGAGUAAGACCCAAUUCAUCCAAAAUACCAAAAUUUGCCCAAGCGAAGGCUUAAACUUGAGACCUCCCAAGCACUCCCAAAACACAUAACCACUAAAGCUAACAGAUAUUUGUGUUAUAUUUUCACAAUAACGAAAUUAGAAAUUUUGGGGCGUUACAGUAUGGGCUAGGAUAAGCUGAAAUAAACUGAAACACAAAAAAACCAAAACAAGCCAAUUGAUUUACUAGUGAAUCAGUACAAUUAGAAUCAACAAAACACGAAACCUAAGAAUAAGCUGAAGCCUUACCAUUGAACCAGGAAAUAUCAACAAAAGUCAAGGAAGGGAAUCAAACACAGGACCUCUACCAUACAACCAAAACAGUUAACUACUGAGCCAAAUCAAAUUUAUUAAUACAAUUAAACUCAUAAAUUAUAAAAUUUUGGGCUUUACAACUCUCGGUUCACUAACCCAAUUUCUACUAACCCGAAUUUUGGGAUAUGACAAUAUUUAUUUCCCUAAAAUAAAAUAUAAGCACAAUAAAAAAAAGGGAAUAGAAAAUGAAAAGAGUCCAAAUCAAAUAAAUACACCUCCAUAUAUAUCUUAUCUUUUCCAAAGGGAAAGCACAAAGGUCCAGCAUGAAACUCUCUUAGCCCAACCCUUUUGUGGAUAAUAAAAGCAUUUUCUAUUAAUGUACUCGGCCAUUGUCAUUACUGAAAGAGAAAAAAAUCUCACCCUAUUAAAUUCAAAAUUCAAAAUAUACUUGAAAUAUGAAGUUUAAAAAAAUGGGAAGAAAUUUACAUUUCAUUUCAUUAGUUACCUGGAAUCAUAUUUGUCCACAAAAUUAAUGAAUGUGUUGAUGCUAUAUCCUAUAAUAUGUUUAUAUCAAGUAAACCUAUAUUUCAUAAAGGUUAUUCAUCACAAAAAAAAAUUAUUAGGCAAACUAACAAAAAAAAAUAAUGGCUGAAAACAAUGACAGCUUGAAACCUAUGUUUCACGGUUUCAAAAUGUUAGCUAUUAAAACAAUAUAUUUACUUUAAAACAGAAAAAAACACAAUAUAUAAGGUAGCUCUCUCCAUUAAUUUUAGGCAUUAGAAAGUAAAGAAUUCGAUAAACAUUUGUUACCCUUAUCUCUUUGAUAUUAGAAUAAUUUCAAAUGGAAUUUCGGGGAGUAAUCUUUGUUAGUUUUCUUAUUUUUCAACUUGGAGUUAACUCCAAUGCCUUCCCAAUGAAUGAUUUGAUAAGCAAAUUGCCAGGACAACCAGAUGUUAAUUUUAGACAAUUUGCUGGAUAUAUUGAUGUGGAUGAAAAUGUCGUUGGUCGAAGUCUUUUUUAUUAUUUUGUUGAAGCUGAAAAAGAUCCCCUAACUCAACCCCUCACUGUUUGGUUAACUGGAGGUUAACUUCUUUGAAUUUUUUAUUGUAGUUUCUGAUGUUAUGCGGAUUUUCCAGAAGGUAUCCUAUAUGAAUAAGUUAGAUUAAAUUUACCAUGCGCAAGCCAAAGCAAAGGGAAGCUAGGGCUUCGGCCCUAUUGGUUAAUUGUUACAAUUGCAUUUUUAGCCUUUCCCAAAAAUUAGAAUUCAAUUUAACCCCCUUUUGCCCCUUCAAAUGGGAACAUUAUCACUUUCUGCCCUUGUUAGAAAGUAAUAAUUCAAUUUAGGCCAUUUCCAUGCAAAGACUUUAGCUUUAUCUCCAUCCCUAACACAAAAUUUUUAGCCUUGCUCUGACUAUGAUUUGUUCCUCAUCUGGAAAGCGAUACGUUUAAACAUAUAUUUAAUACUUGUCGAACUAGACUAGUCAUUACGUUAGAUCGAACCAUUACUCUAUUUUUCUAGCUUUACUUAAGUCUAGCCGAUAAGUUUGUUUGAUUACUCACGUAUAAUAAAAUCUUUAGUGUAAUACUAUUCAGGACCAGGGUGUUCUUCAGUUGGAGAUGCCUUUGGAAGUGUUGGUCCUUUUAUUGUUACGAAAGAUGCUCAUGGUCUCCAAACAAAUUUCAUAUCUUGGAACAAAGGUUGUCUAACUUCCUACGCUUAUCUUUUAUUGAUAUUUUUUUUGUGUAUAUACGUCAAGUUUCAUUCUUAAUUUUUUCAUAUCCAUUUAAAUUUAUCAAAAUAUAUUAAAUGUUUUAGAACUAUAUAUAAAAUGUUACAGUACGUCUCGUUUUCUUUAUUGUGAUUAAAUGAAUUGCAUUGUCUUUCUUAUAUUGUUUUUUUUUGUAUUUCUAUAUCUAUAUAAAAUUCUGUCUAAUAUAUGUUUCAGUGUCAAAUCUAUUGUUUAUCGACUCCCCUAUUGGAUCUGGAUGGUCAUAUUCAAACACAAGUAGUGAUUAUAGUAACGGAGAUGAUAGCACUAGUAAGAUCAUAGUAUAUAUUCUUCAUUAUUAAUUAAAAUAGUUUGGAUAUUAUAUAUAUUGAUAGUUUUCAAUUGUUUGUUUCGUACAGAUAAAAUAUUGCUUACAUUUAUGCAAAAAUGGUAUGAAAAAUAUCCAGUCUUCAAGUCGAAAGAUCUAUAUCUAGCUGGAUCAAGUUUUGCAGGUGAACAAUUUCUUGCUUCUUUUCUCUUAUCUGGUUGUAUAUCAACUUAUUUUUAAUACACCAAAACAUACUUAAUGAAUAACUAAACAAAAUGUCUCUAGCAUAUAGUUUUUUCUAUCUAUAUAUUGUACUUUAUUAUUUACAUAUCAAGCUUGCAACACUAUUAUUUUUUAGAUUCAAACUCAAAUAAUUAAUCAAAUUUCUUUAUUAAAUUAAUAUAAGUAUUUUCAUAAAUUUUUUUUUUUGAAACAUACUUCUUUAAUUGAAUAUGUCAAACUAAUUAUUUAAUAGAAAUAUAACAAUCAAAUGAUAUUGUCUUAAUACGAGUUAUGGAUAAGUCUCUAUGCAACAAUACAAAAAGUAUAACAUGUUUAGUUACUCUAAUUAAACUUGAGGAUUUUAUUUCAGGACACUUCGUACCAAAUCUUGCUAAUGCUUUACUCGACGACAACAAGCAAUCCAAGCAGUCGAAAUUUAACCUCAAAGGAUUGGUUGUAAGUAAAAUUGUAUCUAAUUAGUCAAAUUUAAUUGCCACUUUAAUAUAUAUUUGCAUAAAAAGGAUUAGUUAGAAAUGUUCAUGCUUGAGUAACUUGCCUAAUUCGAGAAGGCUUAGCUUUAUUUUAUUGGAUUAGGAUACUGACUUCUACGUUUUGGAUCAAACCAUUAUCACUCUGAUUAUUGUUCAUUAGCUUACAUCAUAGACAAUAAAUUUUGAUUUAAAUCAAGCAUCCACACUAACAUAAAAAAAAAUUACACUAAAAUAUUAUUAAGAAUUUUAUCGGGCCUAGGUAAAACAAAAAUAACAUAUGUUGCAGUUCAAAUCUCCCGCAAACAUGGUUAGGUUCAAUUCAUUGUUAAUUUAAAUAUUUUAUUGUGAACUUUAUUUUUAUUUUCUUAAUUGUAACUAUUUUGAGCAGCUGGGAAACCCAAUGCUUCGUAAAAAGCUAGACGAUCUUGCAAAAAUUGAUUUCUUUUUCUCUCGGAAGAUGAUAAACAGCUCGUUGUAUAACGAAAUCAAGAAAGAAUGCAAUGCCAUUGAUGAAAAUAAUUACUUUUCUAGCAUCAAAACCACUUGGAGCUCAAAAUGCAAAAACCUUGUGUUUGAGGCCGAUUUGGCUGCUUUCAAGACCGAUGCUCAUAACUACUCCCCACAGAAGCUAUUUGAUGUCUUUCGCCCUCCUUGUGCUGAAACUGAGCAAGAUUUGAACUUAGGAAAACAGGUUUUCAUUUAUUUCUUUACAUUCCUCUUACUUUCCUUCAAUUCAAAACUGCAAAUAACAUACGUUCGUAUAGAAUCAAAUUAAAUGAUCAACCGAGUAGAACUAAUUUGUGUUAUUUUUCUUUUAUUGGUCAUAGCAAAAGCAUAAAACAUUAUUUUUCGGUCCAGGUUCCUAUAGUUAGCACAGAAGUAGACAUGUGCCAUCCAUUAAGGGUGCAAUUUUACUUUAAUCUCCCGGAAGUUCAAAAAGCUUUCCAUGGGAAUCAAACAAACUUGUCAUAUAGAUGGAAGGGUUGCUUCACGUAAGUUCUCCCUUAAAAUCUGAAAAUAAUUGAUUUUUUUUUCCAGAUAUGUUGAUAUAAUUACCUUUUAGAAAUUAUUUUAAAUUCAAGUUUUAAGACUGAGCGGUCAAUUUUCCUAAUCUCCAUAUUGUCACCUCUUGUUUUGGUAAAAUAAAUAAAUUACUUAUUUAUUGAGGUGGAUGUUGUGUAAAAAUUGUUAAACCUUAAAAUUUUCAUGAUAUGUCACUCUUAUUUAUUUAGAGCUAAUUUUAAGUACAACGAAGCUGAUAAGGACCUUGACAUGCUUCCUGCGCUUAAAAAUCUUCUUCAACUAUCCGUUCCCAUUACAAUAUUCAGGUUGGUAUUGUAUUUGUACACCCUACUUUUUCCCAAUACUUUCUUGAAAUAAGUUAAAUAAGUAUGAAGAAUCGAAGUGAACGAUCUUGAAAAGAAAUUCUCAUGCCAUUUGACUGAUUUUUUAUUUUAUCUUAUUAAUAUGAUUACAAUGUUAUAGUGGAGAUCAAGAUGGUAUAAUACCGAUAGAGGGAACCUUACAACAUUUGGAAAAGUUGGCCGAGGAGUUAAACAUCAAGUUAACAAAAAAGGAAACAUGGAGUUUUGGAACCAAGGUUUUAUGUUUACACAUUUAAUUAUAUAUAUUAGCUUUUUUUUAUAUAUUAUGAUUAGAUAUAUUUAAGCAUCAAAUUAUCGGCCAGAUAUGGUUACCAAUUUGGAUCUAAACUUGAACAAUAAAUUUAAGUGUUGACUCGAUUGGCUUGAUUAGCGCGUUCAAGGCAAGCUCACACUACUUACCUAGUUCAAUGGGCUUGACCAAUAAGUGCCGGGCCGUGAACAAGAUUUUUCACAAAUUUUGGGCAACUCAUCCUGAAUUUUCAUUUAAAUAUUAAAAUAUUAAUGUAAACAUAUUUUAUAUUUACUAAUUAAUAGUUAGUCGAGCCAAUAGGUUGGCUCGAGCUAACUUAAUCACAAAAAAGUAAAUAUAUUAGAAGAAAAUAAUUUUGCAAGCAUUUCAUAUAUAUUGAACAAUGGAAUGGGUUUUCCUUUUUACUAUUUAUAUUUAUAAAUUUCUAUUUUAAUACAAUAAAAUUAACUAUAAAUAUUUAACAGGAAGGAGGGUUGAAGUAUGAAUUUGGAGACUUACUAAAAUUCUUGACGGUGAAGGGAGGUAAUCAUCAUGUUACAUCUUCUCGACCAUCGCAAGCUUUUUCUAUUUUCACAAGUUUCACAAUUAAAUGGAUGCAUUGAGGAUUGGUAAUGAAACUUAUGGAGCACACGAUCAUGAUUCAUGUUGAAUCCAUCAUUCACCAUAAUAAUACUUGUCGUUGUAAUAAUUUAUUGUGAUGAUAUGUAUUAUUUUUGAUGCAUGGAGAUUAUAAAUUUUUAUAUUAUGCAAUAAUAUAAUUAGUUAAAUCAUCUGAUAUCUAACGAAUAAUUAUUAUUUUAAUAAAAUCAUGCAAUUUUCAUACAUGAAAUUAACAAAUAAAGAGAACUCAACCUAAUAUGCGUAACAAUUUUUUACUGAUACAUACUCUAAAACAAUGUGAAUAGUAAUUUCUUAUAUUUUCUUGAUCAUAAGUGUACUUAUUAUAAAAGACGAUAACAAUAUGCACACAAAACCCUUUUUCCUUAAACUCUCAUACAAAAGAAAACUUAACCUUAGAUUUGCGUUGUUGUGUGAUUGGCCACCACCUUCUCCCUUCUAUUACUUCCCUCUUAAUUUUACUUUUUUCGAUUUCCUUCGUUACCCCUUGUCGGGGUGGUUUUGGAGGAGCAAUUUUGGGAAGCAACACGAUUGAGCCUGUUUCAUAGCCGCUGUCUCAUCUCCUGCAUUAGGGUGCUUGUUUUCAGUUACAAAUUUGGCAUUGUUGUGGAAACAUCAAAGAACAAGAUGAGUGUGAUUUUAUGGCACAUUGGGGUGGACAACAAAUGGCUUUCAAGUUUGUUGUGUCUUGGCCUUUCUUUGUCCUAGUUCUUUUGUUCGACUCUAGUGUCUCCCUUGUCUCUUAAAUUUCAGUUUUGCUUUUGUAGUCAAGAAAUACGAUCCGGUUGCAUGCAAGAGAAAGGCUUGUGAAUGCAUAAUGACUUGAUGCACCAAUUCUCUCCAAUUACUUUCCUCCAUGCUUUCAAUAAAUUAGUAAAGGAAAUCCUAGUCUUUGCAGGCCAUGUUCCAAGAGUUAUUUUGUUCGAUUUUCGAUGCAUUCUACCACCUUUUUAUAUCGUCAAAUGCUUAUGCAACAACUUUUACUUUAAUGAAAGUUUCUUUUGGUUUGUUAAAAUUACACAAUUUCCCAAUCCAUGUACUUAAGCGACUAUCAAAAUAUGUCAAUAACUUCAUUUCUCCAAUCAAUUACGCUCUCUUCUUUUAUCUUCAUUUCUCAAUAGCUCAACUUCUCUAGCUAGAUCAAGUAGUCAGUAUCAUACUAGUGGAUGCAAAGUUUUUGUUUUGGUAAUCGUACUAGUUUAUUUUAUGUUUUGUUUCAGCCUUAUUGUUGUUUCUUAAAUAUAUUUUCCUGUUUAUAUCUUAGUUUCUCGAUAAAAUAUAUUAUAUAUGCAAAUAUACCAUAACAAUAUACAUUUAACAAUUUAUUUAUAUAUAUAUUUUUAAAUACUAAUUGCAUCGAAUGAUUAUAUUUUAUUUCUAAAUGUAACUAUAAAAUAAAGAUCUUGCUUUUUAAGACAAAAUAGCGUAAAUUUUUUACUGAAACUGUGAAUAUCUUAUGCCAAUCGUUAUGUGUAACACCCCGAACCCGGCCAACACAUUAUGGCCGAAUCUGACGAUGUCACAUGGUAGUGCUUUUUGAAAACUAUGUCGUCGCUAAAUCCCCUUUUCUAUUUAACCAUUUUUUUUCAUUUUCCUAUGUUAAUUUCAAAUCGUGUCUUUCGUUUCCAAAACAUUAUUCAUUUAGAAAUCGUUAUUAAAUAUCCAAACAUUUUUUUAUUGCGGAAGCUUUUAAACAGUUUGCGUAUUCGUGGUAUUUUUGAUAAAAUAUUAAUUUCAUUUGAAAACCCGAGUUUUACCUAACACUGGCAGAUUUAAAUCAUAAAACCGUAUACAAUCCAAACUUAAACCAAAAUCCAUAAAAGCCAUAAUUACAGCAAACUACUCCCAAAUAAAAGUAAAAUCAUGAAUAGGUAAUAAACAGUGUAAAAGAAGUCAUGUGGCCACCACUGAGUCCCCUGUCGUACCAAUCCACCUAUAUUUGGGGAUUACCUGUACAGAUUAAACAGAAGGGGUGAGUUUACAUAAACCCAGUGUGUAAUCCUCGUACAAAUGUACAGACAGGAAACAGAUAAUCACAGUCUGGGCUUAAGCCUUUUUCAGUAUCAGUCUAGUUUGGGCUUAGCCCAUCUCAUUACAAAAAUAGGCAUGCAGUAAGGCUUUAGCCCAUCACAGUAUCAAUAGCAGUAACAGAUAUGCAGUCACAAAUAUCCUACCCAACUAGCCUCUACAAACCAUUUUCAUCCAACCCUACACUCCAUGUGGGUAUAUAAUCAACCCACCCAUCCCUACACUCCAAGUAGUACCAAAUGUGGCACUAGACAGUAGUUUGUAGCUGAGCUGCCAGUAAAUUAGGCUCGAGGCCUUUCAGUACACUUCCUCCGAACAUUACAAUCCCCUAGCCCAAUGCAAUGUAACAUACAUAUAUGACUUGCUAUAACAUAAUAUCAUGCAUGUAAACAAGGCAUACAGUAUCAAACCAGUGGGACACCAUCAGGCUUAAUCAUAUCAGUCAUAAAGUCAUUUCAGUCAGCUAGGGGUCUAGGUAAGCUUACCGAUCCUACAGUAUGUCCACAGUCGACUCAGGCGACCAAUGCAACCUUAGCAAUAAAACAGUGAAAAUGGGCCUACAAGCCCAUGAUGUUUGCCCAUGUAGGCCCGCACGCCCGUGUGGCCCAAAUUGGCCUUGACCUCGUGAUCCAUUUUAAUGUAACCCGUGCUAGAUAAUUAAUCACAUGUGUUUCCACUAUUUACUUAUAUGAUCUUUCAAAGUUGUCUACUUGAGUCACUGUUACUAAAUUAUUUAUAUCUUGAGCUAUAGAAUUUCGAAUUAAGAUCCUCUUGAUGUCUUUGAAACUAGACUCAAGUACCUUUCUACCAUAAAAUUUCUAUAAUUUUUGGAUUAGCCAAUAAGUACAGUAAAAUCUUUAAGCUUUACCAUAUUCUGCUGUCUGACAGCUUCGACUCUUCUUUGCUAAAAAUUAGUUAUCUGUUAGUACAAAAUUUGGAUGAUGUUUCCAUUUGUUUCUAUUGAAAAUAGACUAAUUAAUAAUUUAAACAUGUAAAUUUUAACCCCUAAUUAUUUUUCUCCAAUUUUUUUCAAAGUCAAAAUAGGGGAACUCGAAUUUAUUCUAACCUUGUCUUACAAAGUUUGUUAUAUCUCAAGAUUUACAAUUCCAUUACUAACAUCGUUUCUUCUAUGAGAAACUAAACUCAACAAGCUUUAAUUCCACAUUUUUUUCAUCCUCUAAUUAAAUUUCCAAAAUUUAUGACAAUUUUUCAAAGUCAGCCUAUUGUUGUUGUCCAAACAGCAAGGAAUUUCGUCAUUUCGCUGAAUCCCUUAUUUUUGCGUUUCGGGUACACAUCUGGUUUUGUAUGAUGCUAAAACAGUCUCCGAGCACUCCAAAGCCUAUAAUUGAACAAAUAACACCAUAAUCAGUCUUACCUCGCGAUUAAUCAAAAUCCCAAAACCAAAAUACUUACCCAUAAAAUGUGAACACUUACCGCAAAACUUUAAAUCGGUACGUUUACGAAAAUCACGAUGAGAGCCUUAAUCCUCGCGAAAUGCUGCUACCAACACCCCAGAAAUAGACUAUUGAACACAAAAUAAUAUAUUAAAAUGAUACCCAACAACUUACUGAAUUUGCACAAGUGCUGCUUAACGCUACGAAAUCAAGAGGAAAGAAUGAAUUAGGGGAAACAAGGGAACUUCAGCCGUAGUAGAGGAAAGAAAAAUAAAAGGUAACAGAGUAAGAAACAAAGAAAAAGAAAAAUUCGACAGAGAUGGAGGAGAAAACUUCAGAAAGAUGGAGAGAAAAGCAACUCUCUCUUUUUUUGAAAAAGGAAAAAAUAAUCAGAUUUUGGAUAUACUCCCCUAAUUCACUCCUAAAAUCUCUCCCCCACUUCACUACACAUCCACUGCUCAGAAACCCAGUUCCGUACAACUCUUGCUGAAAUUAGGAGCAAAAAAAAAAAUUCAACCCUUGCCAUCCCAGAGAUUCAAACCCAUGACCUCCACCAUAAUAAUACACCAUUUAACCACCAAACCAGCAGGCCCAUACUAAUGUAAUUUACCCAACAAUCAAAUAAAAGCCUACUGAACAAGAGUAAGACCCAAUUCAUCCAAAAUACCAAAAUUUGCCCAAGCGAAGGCUUAAACUUGAGACCUCCCAAGCACUCCCAAAACACAUAACCACUAAAGCUAACAGAUAUUUGUGUUAUAUUUUCACAAUAACGAAAUUAGAAAUUUUGGGGCGUUACAGUAUGGGCUAGGAUAAGCUGAAAUAAACUGAAACACAAAAAAACCAAAACAAGCCAAUUGAUUUACUAGUGAAUCAGUACAAUUAGAAUCAACAAAACACGAAACCUAAGAAUAAGCUGAAGCCUUACCAUUGAACCAGGAAAUAUCAACAAAAGUCAAGGAAGGGAAUCAAACACAGGACCUCUACCAUACAACCAAAACAGUUAACUACUGAGCCAAAUCAAAUUUAUUAAUACAAUUAAACUCAUAAAUUAUAAAAUUUUGGGCUUUACAACUCUCGGUUCACUAACCCAAUUUCUACUAACCCGAAUUUUGGGAUAUGACAAUAUUUAUUUCCCUAAAAUAAAAUAUAAGCACAAUAAAAAAAGGGAAUAGAAAAUGAAAAGAGUCCAAAUCAAAUAAAUACACCUCCAUAUAUAUCUUAUCUUUUCCAAAGGGAAAGCACAAAGGUCCAGCAUGAAACUCUCUUAGCCCAACCCUUUUGUGGAUAAUAAAAGCAUUUUCUAUUAAUGUACUCGGCCAUUGUCAUUACUGAAAGAGAAAAAAAUCUCACCCUAUUAAAUUCAAAAUUCAAAAUAUACUUGAAAUAUGAAGUUUAAAAAAAUGGGAAGAAAUUUACAUUUCAUUUCAUUAGUUACCUGGAAUCAUAUUUGUCCACAAAAUUAAUGAAUGUGUUGAUGCUAUAUCCUAUAAUAUGUUUAUAUCAAGUAAACCUAUAUUUCAUAAAGGUUAUUCAUCACAAAAAAAAAUUAUUAGGCAAACUAACAAAAAAAAAUAAUGGCUGAAAACAAUGACAGCUUGAAACCUAUGUUUCACGGUUUCAAAAUGUUAGCUAUUAAAACAAUAUAUUUACUUUAAAACAGAAAAAAACACAAUAUAUAAGGUAGCUCUCUCCAUUAAUUUUAGGCAUUAGAAAGUAAAGAAUUCGAUAAACAUUUGUUACCCUUAUCUCUUUGAUAUUAGAAUAAUUUCAAAUGGAAUUUCGGGGAGUAAUCUUUGUUAGUUUUCUUAUUUUUCAACUUGGAGUUAACUCCAAUGCCUUCCCAAUGAAUGAUUUGAUAAGCAAAUUGCCAGGACAACCAGAUGUUAAUUUCAGACAAUUUGCUGGAUAUAUUGAUGUGGAUGAAAAUGUCGUUGGUCGAAGUCUUUUUUAUUAUUUUGUUGAAGCUGAAAAAGAUCCCCUAACUCAACCCCUCACUGUUUGGUUAACUGGAGGUUAACUUCUUUGAAUUUUUUUAUUGUAGUUUCUGAUGUUAUGCGGAUUUUCCAGAAGGUAUCCUAUAUGAAUAAGUUAGAUUAAAUUUACCAUGCGCAAGCCAAAGCAAAGGGAAGCUAGGGCUUCGGCCCUAUUGGUUAAUUGUUACAAUUGCAUUUUUAGCCUUUCCCAAAAAAUUAGAAUUCAAUUUAACCCCCUUUUGCCCCUUCAAAUGGGAACAUUAUCACUUUCUGCCCUUGUUAGAAAGUAAUAAUUCAAUUUAGGCCAUUUCCAUGCAAAGACUUUAGCUUUAUCUCCAUCCCUAACACAAAAUUUUUAGCCUUGCUCUGACUAUGAUUUGUUCCUCAUCUGGAAAGCGAUACGUUUAAACAUAUAUUUAAUACUUGUCGAACUAGACUAGUCAUUACGUUAGAUCGAACCAUUACUCUAUUUUUCUAGCUUUACUUAAGUCUAGCCGAUAAGUUUGUUUGAUUACUCACGUAUAAUAAAAUCUUUAGUGUAAUACUAUUCAGGACCAGGGUGUUCUUCAGUUGGAGAUGCCUUUGGAAGUGUUGGUCCUUUUAUUGUUACGAAAGAUGCUCAUGGUCUCCAAACAAAUUUCAUAUCUUGGAACAAAGGUUGUCUAACUUCCUACGCUUAUCUUUUAUUGAUAUUUUUUUUGUGUAUAUACGUCAAGUUUCAUUCUUAAUUUUUUCAUAUCCAUUUAAAUUUAUCAAAAUAUAUUAAAUGUUUUAGAACUAUAUAUAAAAUGUUACAGUACGUCUCGUUUUCUUUAUUGUGAUUAAAUGAAUUGCAUUGUCUUUCUUAUAUUGUUUUUUUUUGUAUUUCUAUAUCUAUAUAAAAUUCUGUCUAAUAUAUGUUUCAGUGUCAAAUCUAUUGUUUAUCGACUCCCCUAUUGGAUCUGGAUGGUCAUAUUCAAACACAAGUAGUGAUUAUAGUAACGGAGAUGAUAGCACUAGUAAGAUCAUAGUAUAUAUUCUUCAUUAUUAAUUAAAAUAGUUUGGAUAUUAUAUAUAUUGAUAGUUUUCAAUUGUUUGUUUCGUACAGAUAAAAUAUUGCUUACAUUUAUGCAAAAAUGGUAUGAAAAAUAUCCAGUCUUCAAGUCGAAAGAUCUAUAUCUAGCUGGAUCAAGUUUUGCAGGUGAACAAUUUCUUGCUUCUUUUCUCUUAUCUGGUUGUAUAUCAACUUAUUUUUAAUACACCAAAACAUACUUAAUGAAUAACUAAACAAAAUGUCUCUAGCAUAUAGUUUUUUCUAUCUAUAUAUUGUACUUUAUUAUUUACAUAUCAAGCUUGCAACACUAUUAUUUUUUAGAUUCAAACUCAAAUAAUUAAUCAAAUUUCUUAUUAAAUUAAUAUAAGUAUUUUCAUAAAUUUUUUUUUUUGAAACAUACUUCUUUAAUUGAAUAUGUCAAACUAAUUAUUUAAUAGAAAUAUAACAAUCAAAUGAUAUUGUCUUAAUACGAGUUAUGGAUAAGUCUCUAUGCAACAAUACAAAAAGUAUAACAUGUUUAGUUACUCUAAUUAAACUUGAGGAUCUUAUUUCAGGACACUUCGUACCAAAUCUUGCUAAUGCUUUACUCGACGACAACAAGCAAUCCAAGCAGUCGAAAUUUAACCUCAAAGGAUUGGUUGUAAGUAAAAUUGUAUCUAAUUAGUCAAAUUUAAUUGCCACUUUAAUAUAUAUUUGCAUAAAAAGGAUUAGUUAGAAAUGUUCAUGCUUGAGUAACUUGCCUAAUUCGAGAAGGCUUAGCUUUAUUUUAUUGGAUUAGGAUACUGACUUCUACGUUUUGGAUCAAACCAUUAUCACUCUGAUUAUUGUUCAUUAGCUUACAUCAUAGACAAUAAAUUUUGAUUUAAAUCAAGCAUCCACACUAACAUAAAAAAAAAUUACACUAAAAUAUUAUUAAGAAUUUUAUCGGGCCUAGGUAAAACAAAAAUAACAUAUGUUGCAGUUCAAAUCUCCCGCAAACAUGGUUAGGUUCAAUUCAUUGUUAAUUUAAAUAUUUUAUUGUGAACUUUAUUUUUAUUUUCUUAAUUGUAACUAUUUUGAGCAGCUGGGAAACCCAAUGCUUCGUAAAAAGCUAGACGAUCUUGCAAAAAUUGAUUUCUUUUUCUCUCGGAAGAUGAUAAACAGCUCGUUGUAUAACGAAAUCAAGAAAGAAUGCAAUGCCAUUGAUGAAAAUAAUUACUUUUCUAGCAUCAAAACCACUUGGAGCUCAAAAUGCAAAAACCUUGUGUUUGAGGCCGAUUUGGCUGCUUUCAAGACCGAUGCUCAUAACUACUCCCCACAGAAGCUAUUUGAUGUCUUUCGCCCUCCUUGUGCUGAAACUGAGCAAGAUUUGAACUUAGGAAAACAGGUUUUCAUUUAUUUCUUUACAUUCCUCUUACUUUCCUUCAAUUCAAAACUGCAAAUAACAUACGUUCGUAUAGAAUCAAAUUAAAUGAUCAACCGAGUAGAACUAAUUUGUGUUAUUUUUCUUUUAUUGGUCAUAGCAAAAGCAUAAAACAUUAUUUUUCGGUCCAGGUUCCUAUAGUUAGCACAGAAGUAGACAUGUGCCAUCCAUUAAGGGUGCAAUUUUACUUUAAUCUCCCGGAAGUUCAAAAAGCUUUCCAUGGGAAUCAAACAAACUUGUCAUAUAGAUGGAAGGGUUGCUUCACGUAAGUUCUCCCUUAAAAUCUGAAAAUAAUUGAUUUUUUUUUCCAGAUAUGUUGAUAUAAUUACCUUUUAGAAAUUAUUUUAAAUUCAAGUUUUAAGACUGAGCGGUCAAUUUUCCUAAUCUCCAUAUUGUCACCUCUUGUUUUGGUAAAAUAAAUAAAUUACUUAUUUAUUGAGGUGGAUGUUGUGUAAAAAUUGUUAACCUUAAAAUUUUCAUGAUAUGUCACUCUUAUUUAUUUAGAGCUAAUUUUAAGUACAACGAAGCUGAUAAGGACCUUGACAUGCUUCCUGCGCUUAAAAAUCUUCUUCAACUAUCCGUUCCCAUUACAAUAUUCAGGUUGGUAUUGUAUUUGUACACCCUACUUUUUCCCAAUACUUUCUUGAAAUAAGUUAAAUAAGUAUGAAGAAUCGAAGUGAACGAUCUUGAAAAGAAAUUCUCAUGCCAUUUGACUGAUUUUUUAUUUUAUCUUAUUAAUAUGAUUACAAUGUUAUAGUGGAGAUCAAGAUGGUAUAAUACCGAUAGAGGGAACCUUACAACAUUUGGAAAAGUUGGCCGAGGAGUUAAACAUCAAGUUAACAAAAAAGGAAACAUGGAGUUUUGGAACCAAGGUUUUAUGUUUACACAUUUAAUUAUAUAUAUUAGCUUUUUUUUAUAUAUUAUGAUUAGAUAUAUUUAAGCAUCAAAUUAUCGGCCAGAUAUGGUUACCAAUUUGGAUCUAAACUUGAACAAUAAAUUUUAAGUGUUGACUCGAUUGGCUUGAUUAGCGCGUUCAAGGCAAGCUCACACUACUUACCUAGUUCAAUGGGCUUGACCAAUAAGUGCCGGGCCGUGAACAAGAUUUUUCACAAAUUUUGGGCAACUCAUCCUGAAUUUUCAUUUAAAUAUUAAAAUAUUAAUGUAAACAUAUUUUAUAUUUACUAAUUAAUAGUUAGUCGAGCCAAUAGGUUGGCUCGAGCUAACUUAAUCACAAAAAAGUAAAUAUAUUAGAAGAAAAUAAUUUUGCAGCAUUUCAUAUAUAUUGAACAAUGGAAUGGGUUUUCCUUUUUACUAUUUAUAUUUAUAAAUUUCUAUUUUAAUACAAUAAAAUUAACUAUAAAUAUUUAACAGGAAGGAGGGUUGAAGUAUGAAUUUGGAGACUUACUAAAAUUCUUGACGGUGAAGGGAGGUAAUCAUCAUGUUACAUCUUCUCGACCAUCGCAAGCUUUUUCUAUUUUCACAAGUUUCACAAUUAAAUGGAUGCAUUGAGGAUUGGUAAUGAAACUUAUGGAGCACACGAUCAUGAUUCAUGUUGAAUCCAUCAUUCACCAUAAUAAUACUUGUCGUUGUAAUAAUUUAUUGUGAUGAUAUGUAUUAUUUUUUGAUGCAUGGAGAUUAUAAAUUUUUAUAUUAUGCAAUAAUAUAAUUAGUUAAAUCAUCUGAUAUCUAACGAAUAAUUAUUAUUUUAAUAAAAUCAUGCAAUUUUCAUACAUGAAAUUAACAAAUAAAGAGAACUCAACCUAAUAUGCGUAACAAUUUUUUACUGAUACAUACUCUAAAACAAUGUGAAUAGUAAUUUCUUAUAUUUUCUUGAUCAUAAGUGUACUUAUUAUAAAAGACGAUAACAAUAUGCACACAAAACCCUUUUUCCUUAAACUCUCAUACAAAAGAAAACUUAACCUUAGAUUUGCGUUGUUGUGUGAUUGGCCACCACCUUCUCCCUUCUAUUACUUCCCUCUUAAUUUUACUUUUUUCGAUUUCCUUCGUUACCCCUUGUCGGGGUGGUUUUGGAGGAGCAAUUUUGGGAAGCAACACGAUUGAGCCUGUUUCAUAGCCGCUGUCUCAUCUCCUGCAUUAGGGUGCUUGUUUUCAUUACAAAUUUGGCAUUGUUGUGGAAACAUCAAAGAACAAGAUGAGUGUGAUUUUAUGGCACAUUGGGGUGGACAACAAAUGGCUUUCAAGUUUGUUGUGUCUUGGCCUUUCUUUGUCCUAGUUCUUUUGUUCGACUCUAGUGUCUCCCUUGUCUCUUAAAUUUCAGUUUUGCUUUUGUAGUCAAGAAAUACGAUCCGGUUGCAUGCAAGAGAAAGGCUUGUGAAUGCAUAAUGACUUGAUGCACCAAUUCUCUCCAAUUACUUUCCUCCAUGCUUUCAAUAAAUUAGUAAAGGAAAUCCUAGUCUUUGCAGGCCAUGUUCCAAGAGUUAUUUUGUUCGAUUUUCGAUGCAUUCUACCACCUUUUUAUAUCGUCAAAUGCUUAUGCAACAACUUUUACUUUAAUGAAAGUUUCUUUUGGUUUGUUAAAAUUACACAAUUUCCCAAUCCAUGUACUUAAGCGACUAUCAAAAUAUGUCAAUAACUUCAUUUCUCCAAUCAAUUACGCUCUCUUCUUUUAUCUUCAUUUCUCAAUAGCUCAACUUCUCUAGCUAGAUCAAGUAGUCAGUAUCAUACUAGUGGAUGCAAAGUUUUUGUUUUGGUAAUCGUACUAGUUUAUUUUAUGUUUUGUUUCAGCCUUAUUGUUGUUUCUUAAAUAUAUUUUCCUGUUUAUAUCUUAGUUUCUCGAUAAAAUAUAUUAUAUAUGCAAAUAUACCAUAACAAUAUACAUUUAACAAUUUAUUUAUAUAUAUAUUUUUAAAUACUAAUUGCAUCGAAUGAUUAUAUUUUAUUUCUAAAUGUAACUAUAAAAUAAAGAUCUUGCUUUUUAAGACAAAAUAGCGUAAAUUUUUUACUGAAACUGUGAAUAUCUUAUGCCAAUCGUUAUGUGUAACACCCCGAACCCGGCCAACACAUUAUGGCCGAAUCUGACGAUGUCACAUGGUAGUGCUUUUUGAAAACUAUGUCGUCGCUAAAUCCCCUUUUCUAUUUAACCAUUUUUUUUCAUUUUCCUAUGUUAAUUUCAAAUCGUGUCUUUCGUUUCCAAAACAUUAUUCAUUUAGAAAUCGUUAUUAAAUAUCCAAACAUUUUUUUAUUGCGGAAGCUUUUAAACAGUUUGCGUAUUCGUGGUAUUUUUGAUAAAAUAUUAAUUUCAUUUGAAAACCCGAGUUUUACCUAACACUGGCAGAUUUAAAUCAUAAAACCGUAUACAAUCCAAACUUAAACCAAAAUCCAUAAAAGCCAUAAUUACAGCAAACUACUCCCAAAUAAAAGUAAAAUCAUGAAUAGGUAAUAAACAGUGUAAAAGAAGUCAUGUGGCCACCACUGAGUCCCCUGUCGUACCAAUCCACCUAUAUUUGGGGAUUACCUGUACAGAUUAAACAGAAGGGGUGAGUUUACAUAAACCCAGUGUGUAAUCCUCGUACAAAUGUACAGACAGGAAACAGAUAAUCACAGUCUGGGCUUAAGCCUUUUUCAGUAUCAGUCCAGUUUGGGCCUUAGCCCAUCUCAUUACAAAAAUAGGCAUGCAGUAAGGCUUUAGCCCAUCACAGUAUCAAUAGCAGUAACAGAUAUGCAGUCACAAAUAUCCUACCCAACUAGCCUCUACAAACCAUUUUCAUCCAACCCUACACUCCAUGUGGGUAUAUAAUCAACCCACCCAUCCCUACACUCCAAGUAGUACCAAAUGUGGCACUAGACAGUAGUUUGUAGCUGAGCUGCCAGUAAAUUAGGCUCGAGGCCUUUCAGUACACUUCCUCCGAACAUUACAAUCCCCUAGCCCAAUGCAAUGUAACAUACAUAUAUGACUUGCUAUAACAUAAUAUCAUGCAUGUAAACAAGGCAUACAGUAUCAAACCAGUGGGACACCAUCAGGCUUAAUCAUAUCAGUCAUAAAGUCAUUUCAGUCAGCUAGGGGUCUAGGUAAGCUUACCGAUCCUACAGUAUGUCCACAGUCGACUCAGGCGACCAAUGCAACCUUAGCAAUAAAACAGUGAAAAUGGGCCUACAAGCCCAUGAUGUUUGCCCAUGUAGGCCCGCACGCCCGUGUGGCCCAAAUUGGCCUUGACCUCGUGAUCCAUUUUAAUGUAACCCGUGCUAGAUAAUUAAUCACAUGUGUUUCCACUAUUUACUUAUAUGAUCUUUCAAAGUUGUCUACUUGAGUCACUGUUACUAAAUUAUUUAUAUCUUGAGCUAUAGAAUUUCGAAUUAAGAUCCUCUUGAUGUCUUUGAAACUAGACUCAAGUACCUUUCUACCAUAAAAUUUCUAUAAUUUUUGGAUUAGCCAAUAAGUACAGUAAAAUCUUUAAGCUUUACCAUAUUCUGCUGUCUGACAGCUUCGACUCUUCUUUGCUAAAAAUUAGUUAUCUGUUAGUACAAAAUUUGGAUGAUGUUUCCAUUUGUUUCUAUUGAAAAUAGACUAAUUAAUAAUUUAAACAUGUAAAUUUUAACCCCUAAUUAUUUUUCUCCAAUUUUUUUCAAAGUCAAAAUAGGGGAACUCGAAUUUAUUCUAACCUUGUCUUACAAAGUUUGUUAUAUCUCAAGAUUUACAAUUCCAUUACUAACAUCGUUUCUUCUAUGAGAAACUAAACUCAACAAGCUUUAAUUCCACAUUUUUUUCAUCCUCUAAUUAAAUUUCCAAAAUUUAUGACAAUUUUUCAAAGUCAGCCUAUUGUUGUUGUCCAAACAGCAAGGAAUUUCGUCAUUUCGCUGAAUCCCUUAUUUUUGCGUUUCGGGUACACAUCUGGUUUUGUAUGAUGCUAAAACAGUCUCCGAGCACUCCAAAGCCUAUAAUUGAACAAAUAACACCAUAAUCAGUCUUACCUCGCGAUUAAUCAAAAUCCCAAAACCAAAAUACUUACCCAUAAAAUGUGAACACUUACCGCAAAACUUUAAAUCGGUACGUUUACGAAAAUCACGAUGAGAGCCUUAAUCCUCGCGAAAUGCUGCUAACAACACCCCAGAAAUAGACUAUUGAACACAAAAUAAUAUAUUAAAAUGAUACCCAACAACUUACUGAAUUUGCACAAGUGCUGCUUAACGCUACGAAAUCAAGAGGAAAGAAUGAAUUAGGGGAAACAAGGGAACUUCAGCCGUAGUAGAGGAAAGAAAAAUAAAAGGUAACAGAGUAAGAAACAAAGAAAAAGAAAAAUUCGACAGAGAUGGAGGAGAAAACUUCAGAAAGAUGGAGAGAAAAGCAACUCUCUCUUUUUUUGAAAAAGGAAAAAAUAAUCAGAUUUUGGAUAUACUCCCCUAAUUCACUCCUAAAAUCUCUCCCCCACUUCACUACACAUCCACUGCUCAGAAACCCAGUUCCGUACAACUCUUGCUGAAAUUAGGAGCAAAAAAAAAAAUUCAACCCUUGCCAUCCCAGAGAUUCAAACCCAUGACCUCCACCAUAAUAAUACACCAUUUAACCACCAAACCAGCAGGCCCAUACUAAUGUAAUUUACCCAACAAUCAAAUAAAAGCCUACUGAACAAGAGUAAGACCCAAUUCAUCCAAAAUACCAAAAUUUGCCCAAGCGAAGGCUUAAACUUGAGACCUCCCAAGCACUCCCAAAACACAUAACCACUAAAGCUAACAGAUAUUUGUGUUAUAUUUUCACAAUAACGAAAUUAGAAAUUUUGGGGCGUUACAGUAUGGGCUAGGAUAAGCUGAAAUAAACUGAAACACAAAAAAACCAAAACAAGCCAAUUGAUUUACUAGUGAAUCAGUACAAUUAGAAUCAACAAAACACGAAACCUAAGAAUAAGCUGAAGCCUUACCAUUGAACCAGGAAAUAUCAACAAAAGUCAAGGAAGGGAAUCAAACACAGGACCUCUACCAUACAACCAAAACAGUUAACUACUGAGCCAAAUCAAAUUUAUUAAUACAAUUAAACUCAUAAAUUAUAAAAUUUUGGGCUUUACAACUCUCGGUUCACUAACCCAAUUUCUACUAACCCGAAUUUUGGGAUAUGACAAUAUUUAUUUCCCUAAAAUAAAAUAUAAGCACAAUAAAAAAAAGGGAAUAGAAAAUGAAAAGAGUCCAAAUCAAAUAAAUACACCUCCAUAUAUAUCUUAUCUUUUCCAAAGGGAAAGCACAAAGGUCCAGCAUGAAACUCUCUUAGCCCAACCCUUUUGUGGAUAAUAAAAGCAUUUUCUAUUAAUGUACUCGGCCAUUGUCAUUACUGAAAGAGAAAAAAAUCUCACCCUAUUAAAUUCAAAAUUCAAAAUAUACUUGAAAUAUGAAGUUUAAAAAAAUGGGAAGAAAUUUACAUUUCAUUUCAUUAGUUACCUGGAAUCAUAUUUGUCCACAAAAUUAAUGAAUGUGUUGAUGCUAUAUCCUAUAAUAUGUUUAUAUCAAGUAAACCUAUAUUUCAUAAAGGUUAUUCAUCACAAAAAAAAAUUAUUAGGCAAACUAACAAAAAAAAAUAAUGGCUGAAAACAAUGACAGCUUGAAACCUAUGUUUCACGGUUUCAAAAUGUUAGCUAUUAAAACAAUAUAUUUACUUUAAAACAGAAAAAAACACAAUAUAUAAGGUAGCUCUCUCCAUUAAUUUUAGGCAUUAGAAAGUAAAGAAUUCGAUAAACAUUUGUUACCCUUAUCUCUUUGAUAUUAGAAUAAUUUCAAAUGGAAUUUCGGGGAGUAAUCUUUGUUAGUUUUCUUAUUUUUCAACUUGGAGUUAACUCCAAUGCCUUCCCAAUGAAUGAUUUGAUAAGCAAAUUGCCAGGACAACCAGAUGUUAAUUUCAGACAAUUUGCUGGAUAUAUUGAUGUGGAUGAAAAUGUCGUUGGUCGAAGUCUUUUUUAUUAUUUUGUUGAAGCUGAAAAAGAUCCCCUAACUCAACCCCUCACUGUUUGGUUAACUGGAGGUUAACUUCUUUGAAUUUUUUUAUUGUAGUUUCUGAUGUUAUGCGGAUUUUCCAGAAGGUAUCCUAUAUGAAUAAGUUAGAUUAAAUUUACCAUGCGCAAGCCAAAGCAAAGGGAAGCUAGGGCUUCGGCCCUAUUGGUUAAUUGUUACAAUUGCAUUUUUAGCCUUUCCCAAAAAAUUAGAAUUCAAUUUAACCCCCUUUUGCCCCUUCAAAUGGGAACAUUAUCACUUUCUGCCCUUGUUAGAAAGUAAUAAUUCAAUUUAGGCCAUUUCCAUGCAAAGACUUUAGCUUUAUCUCCAUCCCUAACACAAAAUUUUUAGCCUUGCUCUGACUAUGAUUUGUUCCUCAUCUGGAAAGCGAUACGUUUAAACAUAUAUUUAAUACUUGUCGAACUAGACUAGUCAUUACGUUAGAUCGAACCAUUACUCUAUUUUUCUAGCUUUACUUAAGUCUAGCCGAUAAGUUUGUUUGAUUACUCACGUAUAAUAAAAUCUUUAGUGUAAUACUAUUCAGGACCAGGGUGUUCUUCAGUUGGAGAUGCCUUUGGAAGUGUUGGUCCUUUUAUUGUUACGAAAGAUGCUCAUGGUCUCCAAACAAAUUUCAUAUCUUGGAACAAAGGUUGUCUAACUUCCUACGCUUAUCUUUUAUUGAUAUUUUUUUUGUGUAUAUACGUCAAGUUUCAUUCUUAAUUUUUUCAUAUCCAUUUAAAUUUAUCAAAAUAUAUUAAAUGUUUUAGAACUAUAUAUAAAAUGUUACAGUACGUCUCGUUUUCUUUAUUGUGAUUAAAUGAAUUGCAUUGUCUUUCUUAUAUUGUUUUUUUUUUGUAUUUCUAUAUCUAUAUAAAAUUCUGUCUAAUAUAUGUUUCAGUGUCAAAUCUAUUGUUUAUCGACUCCCCUAUUGGAUCUGGAUGGUCAUAUUCAAACACAAGUAGUGAUUAUAGUAACGGAGAUGAUAGCACUAGUAAGAUCAUAGUAUAUAUUCUUCAUUAUUAAUUAAAAUAGUUUGGAUAUUAUAUAUAUUGAUAGUUUUCAAUUGUUUGUUUCGUACAGAUAAAAUAUUGCUUACAUUUAUGCAAAAAUGGUAUGAAAAAUAUCCAGUCUUCAAGUCGAAAGAUCUAUAUCUAGCUGGAUCAAGUUUUGCAGGUGAACAAUUUCUUGCUUCUUUUCUCUUAUCUGGUUGUAUAUCAACUUAUUUUUAAUACACCAAAACAUACUUAAUGAAUAACUAAACAAAAUGUCUCUAGCAUAUAGUUUUUUCUAUCUAUAUAUUGUACUUUAUUAUUUACAUAUCAAGCUUGCAACACUAUUAUUUUUUAGAUUCAAACUCAAAUAAUUAAUCAAAUUUCUUAUUAAAUUAAUAUAAGUAUUUUCAUAAAUUUUUUUUUUGAAACAUACUUCUUUAAUUGAAUAUGUCAAACUAAUUAUUUAAUAGAAAUAUAACAAUCAAAUGAUAUUGUCUUAAUACGAGUUAUGGAUAAGUCUCUAUGCAACAAUACAAAAAGUAUAACAUGUUUAGUUACUCUAAUUAAACUUGAGGAUCUUAUUUCAGGACACUUCGUACCAAAUCUUGCUAAUGCUUUACUCGACGACAACAAGCAAUCCAAGCAGUCGAAAUUUAACCUCAAAGGAUUGGUUGUAAGUAAAAUUGUAUCUAAUUAGUCAAAUUUAAUUGCCACUUUAAUAUAUAUUUGCAUAAAAAGGAUUAGUUAGAAAUGUUCAUGCUUGAGUAACUUGCCUAAUUCGAGAAGGCUUAGCUUUAUUUUAUUGGAUUAGGAUACUGACUUCUACGUUUUGGAUCAAACCAUUAUCACUCUGAUUAUUGUUCAUUAGCUUACAUCAUAGACAAUAAAUUUUGAUUUAAAUCAAGCAUCCACACUAACAUAAAAAAAAAUUACACUAAAAUAUUAUUAAGAAUUUUAUCGGGCCUAGGUAAAACAAAAAUAACAUAUGUUGCAGUUCAAAUCUCCCGCAAACAUGGUUAGGUUCAAUUCAUUGUUAAUUUAAAUAUUUUAUUGUGAACUUUAUUUUUAUUUUCUAAAUUGUAACUAUUUUGAGCAGCUGGGAAACCCAAUGCUUCGUAAAAAGCUAGACGAUCUUGCAAAAAUUGAUUUCUUUUUCUCUCGGAAGAUGAUAAACAGCUCGUUGUAUAACGAAAUCAAGAAAGAAUGCAAUGCCAUUGAUGAAAAUAAUUACUUUUCUAGCAUCAAAACCACUUGGAGCUCAAAAUGCAAAAACCUUGUGUUUGAGGCCGAUUUGGCUGCUUUCAAGACCGAUGCUCAUAACUACUCCCCACAGAAGCUAUUUGAUGUCUUUCGCCCUCCUUGUGCUGAAACUGAGCAAGAUUUGAACUUAGGAAAACAGGUUUUCAUUUAUUUCUUUACAUUCCUCUUACUUUCCUUCAAUUCAAAACUGCAAAUAACAUACGUUCGUAUAGAAUCAAAUUAAAUGAUCAACCGAGUAGAACUAAUUUGUGUUAUUUUUCUUUUAUUGGUCAUAGCAAAAGCAUAAAACAUUAUUUUUCGGUCCAGGUUCCUAUAGUUAGCACAGAAGUAGACAUGUGCCAUCCAUUAAGGGUGCAAUUUUACUUUAAUCUCCCGGAAGUUCAAAAAGCUUUCCAUGGGAAUCAAACAAACUUGUCAUAUAGAUGGAAGGGUUGCUUCACGUAAGUUCUCCCUUAAAAUCUGAAAAUAAUUGAUUUUUUUUUCCAGAUAUGUUGAUAUAAUUACCUUUUAGAAAUUAUUUUAAAUUCAAGUUUUAAGACUGAGCGGUCAAUUUUCCUAAUCUCCAUAUUGUCACCUCUUGUUUUGGUAAAAUAAAUAAAUUACUUAUUUAUUGAGGUGGAUGUUGUGUAAAAAUUGUUAACCUUAAAAUUUUCAUGAUAUGUCACUCUUAUUUAUUUAGAGCUAAUUUUAAGUACAACGAAGCUGAUAAGGACCUUGACAUGCUUCCUGCGCUUAAAAAUCUUCUUCAACUAUCCGUUCCCAUUACAAUAUUCAGGUUGGUAUUGUAUUUGUACACCCUACUUUUUCCCAAUACUUUCUUGAAAUAAGUUAAAUAAGUAUGAAGAAUCGAAGUGAACGAUCUUGAAAAGAAAUUCUCAUGCCAUUUGACUGAUUUUUUAUUUUAUCUUAUUAAUAUGAUUACAAUGUUAUAGUGGAGAUCAAGAUGGUAUAAUACCGAUAGAGGGAACCUUACAACAUUUGGAAAAGUUGGCCGAGGAGUUAAACAUCAAGUUAACAAAAAAGGAAACAUGGAGUUUUGGAACCAAGGUUUUAUGUUUACACAUUUAAUUAUAUAUAUUAGCUUUUUUUUAUAUAUUAUGAUUAGAUAUAUUUAAGCAUCAAAUUAUCGGCCAGAUAUGGUUACCAAUUUGGAUCUAAACUUGAACAAUAAAUUUUAAGUGUUGACUCGAUUGGCUUGAUUAGCGCGUUCAAGGCAAGCUCACACUACUUACCUAGUUCAAUGGGCUUGACCAAUAAGUGCCGGGCCGUGAACAAGAUUUUUCACAAAUUUUGGGCAACUCAUCCUGAAUUUUCAUUUAAAUAUUAAAAUAUUAAUGUAAACAUAUUUUAUAUUUACUAAUUAAUAGUUAGUCGAGCCAAUAGGUUGGCUCGAGCUAACUUAAUCACAAAAAAGUAAAUAUAUUAGAAGAAAAUAAUUUUGCAGCAUUUCAUAUAUAUUGAACAAUGGAAUGGGUUUUCCUUUUUACUAUUUAUAUUUAUAAAUUUCUAUUUUAAUACAAUAAAAUUAACUAUAAAUAUUUAACAGGAAGGAGGGUUGAAGUAUGAAUUUGGAGACUUACUAAAAUUCUUGACGGUGAAAGGAGGUAAUCAUCAUGUUACAUUUUCUCGACCAUCGCAAGCUUUUUCUAUUUUCUCAAGUUUCACAAUUAAAUGGAUGCAUUGAGGAUUGGUAAUGAAACUUAUGGAGCACACGAUCAUGAUUCAUGUUGAAUCCAUCAUUCACCAUAAUAAUACUUGUCGUUGUAAUAAUUUAUUGUUAUGAUAUGUAUUAUUUUAUAAUGCAUGGACAUCAUAAAUUUUUAUAUUAUGCAAUAAUAUAAUCAGUUAAAUCAUCUGAUAUCUAAUGAAUAAUUAUUUUUUUAAUAAAAUCAUGCAAUUUUCAUAUAUGAAAUUAACAAAUAAAGAGAACUCAACCCAAUAUGCGUAACAAUUUUCCUGUUUAUAUCUUAGUUUCUCGAUAAAAUAUAUUAUAUAUGCAAAUAUACCAUAACAAUAUACAUUUGAACAAUUUAUUGAAAUAUAUAUUUUUUAAAUAUUAAUUGCAUCCAGUGAUUAUAUUUUAUUUCUAAAUGCAACUAUAAAAUAAAAAUCUCACUUUUUAAGAUAAAAUAGCGUAAAUUUUUUAUUGAAACAGUGAAAAUCUUAUGCCAAUCUGUAUGGGCUAGGAUAAGCUGAAAACUAGGUCGUUACAAUUUCAAUCAAUUUGCUCAUUUUUUAUUAGAUUAAGGACAUGUUUAGAUUAUAUAUUAAUAUAAGUUAUCUUUUUGUAUUACGAUCUGACCAUAUAAUAUCGCUUAGUAUUAGUUAAGUGCUAGAUAAUUAUUGAGUCAAUAUUUGCUUUUAUUUUACCUUUUGUGCAAAAACCAUUGAGUACAAUAUACAAAGAAUAUUAAUGUAAUUGAUGAAUAUUUUAUUAAACUAAUUUGUUCGAAAAAAACAAGUACUUAUAGACUACUACAUUAAGGGCACUAUAUCCCAACAAUUUUAAGUCCAUCAGAACACUAGCGGUGGAGCUCUCCGAUCGACGAUGACUAGGGUUAGAAGAAGAAGGAGAAAAGAAAAAGGAAAUAGAGAGAAAAGAAGAGAUAAAAAGAAACUGAAAAGAAAGAAAAAUGAAUAAAGAAUAAAAGUAAUAUUCCAUGGAAAAUAGAAAAUUAAAAGAAAAUGCUACAUUAGAUUUUCAUUUGGGAUUUUAACGGAAGUGGUCAAAAUAAUUGAACCAUGUAACGUAAGUGCUUAAAUUGCAAACUUAUUAUUUUAGGUGCCUAAAAUGAAAAUUUUUCAUAGUUGAAUGACUAUAUAUGUAGUUUAUCUAUUUAGUUUUUCUAACUAAAUUUUGGAAAAUUUUCAUUUCUUCCUUGAAAUUUUUAGAAAAUCAAAAUUAAGCUCUCCAAAUUUUUUGAAAAUUUUCAAAUUUUUGUUGAAGUUUUAAAAUAAAUUUAAUUAGUCCUCCCAAAAUUUUGAAAAAUUUCAUUAUACCUUUUAACUUUUUUUCAAAAAAUAUUUAAUUAAGCUCCCUUAACAUUUUGAAAAUUCUUAUUAAUCUCGAAAUUUUUAAAAAAAAAUCUUUUAAACUCCUAAAGCAUUUGAAAGCUUUACUAGUCUCCCAAAACUUAGUCCUAAGUUCCGUAAUUUUGAAGGAGUAUAAAACACAAUAAAAGAAUAUAAAAAAUUAUGGAAAAAUACUAAAAAAUAUUUUUUUUUAAAACCAAAAAUUAUGAAACAAUUUAUUUUUAUGAAUUAUUAUUUUAUAUACAGUCAGUUAAGUACAAUUUAUAUACAGUUUGCACAGAAAAAUUACUUUUUUUCGUGAGAGAAAAUAAGCGUAAAAGUCAAACGGUUAAGCUCCCUUGGCGCGUGGCAAAGAGAAGAAGGGAGUGAAGACGCCACGUGACGUGAGGAGCCAGCUAAGCCAGGUGGGCAAAAAUUAGUACGGAAGUAGUACGAUGGAGUAGCACCACAUCCGUGUAUUUGUUGAGGUGGGAAGGGAGGGAGGGGAGGGAUAUCAUGGGGUCGGGCAGCCGGGGGGCUUUAGGAAUUUAUUUAUGGGUAAAUUGCUUUAUUAGUCACUAAACUAUUAAUAACUUUUUUUAUCUAUUAAUAAUAAUCUAAUUAUUUAAUUUUGUUCUUUUUAGUUAUAAUUCCAGCUUUUACAAUUGAUAUAAUAGUAAUUUUAACCCUUGAAAUUGAUACAUUAUAUCAAUUUAAUCUUGAUUCUAAAAAAUUUAACUGUCAAUAUUUACGCGUUGUGUACUUUGAUUUUUUUGUAAUUUUACUUCUUUUUGUGACCUUUGCACCUAAAAAGCUAAAAAUAUAUUAGUUAAAUUUUAUUGAAAAUAUUUAAAAAAUUAAAAACACCUAAAAAUUCAAUAUAAUAUUUUUCAUAUUUUCUAAUUAUUUUAAAAUUAACCCUCAAUGUCAUAGAAAAAACAAAAACAAAAAACCAAAUUACACCAUUGUGUAAAUGUUUUUUUUAAACAAAGACUAAAUUGACAUAAUUUAUAAAUGUUGAGGAUUAAAGUUACUAUUAUACUAAAUUUUCAUAUUGUGUUGAGUGAAUAACCCAAUUAUUGGUUAACUAAUUAAUCAAACACUAUAUAUAAUAAGACGAUUCCACUUUCAACCACUUCGUUUUCAUUUUUCUCUGCUCAAAAUGGAGGACAUUCAAGACUGAAGGAGUUGAGUGAGUACGGCCUUCCCUUUUCUUCUUCAUUUUCUUUUCAUUUUAUACUAUAAAAUUUGCAUUUAACUUACGUUAUUGUUAAAUAUUAUCAGACGGUAAGCGGUUUUCCGAAGGCGGUUUUCAGGUGAAACUUGUAUGUCUUUGAACUUAUCUUUUCAUUAUAUGCAGAUUUGCUUUUCAGGCUUAGCUUCUGUAGCUUUUAUUUGCUUCGUUUUUUGUACGGAUCUUUCUUUACUACCUUGUGUUUUCUUUACAUUUUCUUUUAUCUUCAUCUACUUUCUCUAAGUAGGAUUUAACGUGAUCUCGUCAUUUUUGCAUGCUAUUCUUGAUCUUCUUUAUUUGUUUUACUUAAUAGUUUUAUAAUAAACAAUAGGUUAAUGACAACGUUAGUUUUACUUAAUCGGAACUUACAUAGGAUUUCUGGUAACAGGGUUCUUGAUAUAUAUAUAUACACACACACACAAAUGAGGUAUAUUUUCCUGUCUCUCAGUUUAUUUGCUUUGUUAGGGUUGUUGAUGCCAGGGCUUCUAGUUUUGCUUCUUUAGACUUGUAUAUGAAUCCGUAACUUUUUCCUUUCUGCAAUUGUAAGUAGUCGGUGUUAGAUUUUAGUUCCAUUGUUUUGGUGGAAAACGCUCUUCCCUUUCUUUCCUGUGUACAUUUUUAUGGUAUUAAUCUCAUUGUUGCUUUUUUCUCCUGUUACAGUUAUCGUCAUGGUUCGAAAGAAGGGAACUGAUUCUGCUGGAGGCGAGAGCUCUCAGUCCCAUGAUACUGGAGUUGGCAGUGGUCGUGGUUCCCAAGGUCCUCCACAACAACUAGGCAGAGGUGAAGGUGGAGGAGGAUACUCCGGUGGUGGUAGAGAUUGGGUUCCACAGUCACAGCAACCGGGUCGUGGAGGUUAUGGUGCUGGUGGACCCCCUGAAUACCAAUCUAGAGGAAGGGGAUGGCCUUCCCACCGAAGAGGUUAUCGUGGUGGUCGGGGUCGCGGUGGCUAUGGUCGUGGUCGAGCAGGACAUGGCAGUCGUGGAGUACCUUUCCCCAGUGGACCAUCCCGGCCGCGUGUUCCUGAGCGGCACCAAGCGACUGAACCUUUUGAAAUUGCGGUAACUCCCCAGCCUGAUCCAUCUGAGGCAGGUUCGUCAUCCAGACCGCCUGAGCAUGUACCAUUGACAGAGCAGCUUCAGCAUCUUUCCAUCAAGCAAGAAGCUAGCCGAGCAAUUCAGCCAGUCCCACCUCCGAACAAGCCAUUGAGGUUUCCUCGUCGGCCGGGAUUGGGAUGCGAGGGAACAAAGUUCGUAGUCAAGGCUAAUCAUUUUUUUGCUGAAUUUCCAAAUAAAGAUUUGUACCAGUAUGACGUGAGUUCUUUUAUCUUCAGUGUACUCUAUGUUUGUUUUUGCCUUUAUUUGCAGGUUCUUGAUUAGAAUUGUGAAUGGAAAUAGGUUAUCAUAACACCAGAGGUCACAUUACGACGAGUGAACCGAGACGUCAUGCAACAGCUGGUGAGCUUAUACAAAUGUUCAGAUCUGGGAGAGCGCGAUCCUGCAUAUGACGGCCGGAAGAGUCUUUAUACUGCUGGGUCUCUCCCUUUUGAGUCAAAGGAGUUUAAGGUCACCAUUAGUGAUGAAAAUGGGUCAGUAUAUUUUUAUUUAUGGUUAUGUUAUGUUUUCUUUUUGGUGAAACUUUAUACCUUCUUAACUUCAAUCAUAUAUCUAAUUCUAGAAAUUUGUAACAUUAGUUUUGGCUAUCAUUUUGCCUUCUCUAUUAUUUAAAUUCAACAGGUUCUUAAAUGCCUACUGAGUGGUGGUUACCUUUUUUAUCUUAAAUUUCUAUUAAUGCAGAAAGAGAAAGUUCAGAUGAAAUAUGGCUUAUUUUUUUUAUAUCUAUACUCCAUCUCUUAUUAUAUUCUUGAUGCAGAAGAGAGAGCGAAUUUAAAGUUAUGAUCAGAUUGGCUGGACGUACUGAACUGCACCGUCUUCGACAAUUUUUGCAAGGGGACCAAGUUGAUGUACCUAAAGAUGCUCUUCAGGCUCUUGACAUUGUUCUCCGCGAACUACCCGCUACUAAUACUAGGUAUUGCUAUCUGGCUCUUUCUUUGGCAUAUAUGUUUACCACAUUGGUUUCACUGUCCAAGUCUAUUAUUUGAGAGACCAUUGGUAAUUGAUUACAGCUACUGUCCUGUUGGCCGUUCAUUUUAUUUCCGUGACGAACUGAGAAAAGAUUUGGACCAGGGACUACAAGCCUGGCGUGGCUUUUACCAAAGUACACGUCCUACACAGAGGGGAUUAUCACUGAAUAUUGGUAUUGUGGUUAUGAUGCUACCAUUUUUCUUGUGUUGGUCUAUUUUUUAUGCCUCCCUCAUGUUUGGUUGCCCCUGCAUUUUAUCUCUGUGCCUUUGUAAUCUUGAGCCAUUGCCCCUGCAUUUUAUCGUUGUCUUAUGGUUAUAAUUAUUUGUUCGACAGAUGUGUCUUCAACUGCUUUCAUCCAGCCAUUGCCAGUUAUUGAAUUUGUAACAAAUUUGCUAAAUCGGAAUGUUUCUUCCGGGCCUCUAUACGACGCAGAUCGUGUGAAGGUUAGGUUUGCUUAGAUUUCUUUUCGAUUGGAACUAUAUUUAGUAGGCACUUUUAUCAUUCUUGUUAUUUGUUCUUGCUUUAGGAAAUAAGAACCAUUGUUUUGAGCCAGCACUGAAAAAGUCCAUAGGAAAUUGUUGAGGGCUUGUAGUGUCUCACUUCUUCAAUGGAAAAUAUUGCUCCUCUGUUGGGGUUUUAAGAAGUUUAGGGAGUGCCUCAGUUAAUAUAGAUACGACCUGCAAACUUAAAGAAGAGGUAUUAAUAUUGUGUGAAAUAUUAAUUAUGCAUAUUGUGCCUGUGGGGAUCGAAGCAUUAAUUAAGGCUUAAAUGUCUUAACUUUGCAUACUUGAUACCACUUGGCUAGCCAAUACCUCUUGUUGAGGGAGUGAGACAAUCCAAAGUGGAUACUCACCUCAACAAAAAUAUAUUAUAUACCUGCUCUCUAUUAUUUCCAUUCUUAUUCUCCGUUUUCCUUGAAUAUGAUUAUAGUAGCUUAUGUUACAAUGGUCAUCGUAUUUACUUUCUUGUAUAGAUCAAAAAGGCUCUUCUAGGAGUUAAGGUGCAAGUUACGCAUCGUGGAAACAUGCGAAGAAAAUAUCGUAUAUCUGGUUUAACAUCACAGGCAACUGGACAACUGACGUGAGUAUAUUACUAUGAUAUUGUUAGAGCAGAUGAUCUAUGCGCUAGGUUUCACGGUUACAUCAUGCUAUGGUAUGAAACUUCUCUAACAAAGUUUAUUGCUGUAUAGUUUUCCCGUAGAUGAAAGGGGUGCAGAGAAAUCAGUUGUGGACUACUUUUCUGAAACUUACGGUAUCACCAUUCAACGCACGCAAUGGCCAUGUCUUCAAGUUGGAAGCCAGCAAAGACCAAUUUAUUUGCCAAUGGAGGUAAAGUACAUGCUAUAGUAUACUCCUUUCGAUUGAAUGUGCUUAAUGUAUGGACAUGCUUACGAAUGGGUUGUGAUUCAUGUAGGUAUGCAAGAUUGUGGAUGGUCAGAGAUACUCCAAGAGAUUGAAUGAGAAACAGAUCACUGGUUUGCUGGAGUUCACCUGCCAGCGUCCUAAGAAUAGAGAGGAUGAUAUUUUGAAGGUCUGACAGCUUUGCAUUUCUUCAUUCUUUUGCUUUUGACAUGCCUUGUAGAAUUGUAGUGAUAGCAUAUUGUUAGAUAAAUUUGGCAGCAACUAAAUCAAAAAGGAAGUUUCACUAAGCAACAGCAAAACAAAACAAUGAAAACAAAAGAAAGACUAAGAGCAGCAUGUAACCGAUGAAGCAAAAUCCUACAGCUUUCAUUUUCAUUUCAAAAUAUAAAGGAGUUACAAAAAUAAUAAUAAUAAGUCAGUUACCUAAACUGUAACUGCUCCUACCAAAUUUGGCAAGUUGCCAACUAAAAUAUUACAAAAGAAAAGCUGAAAAAAUUCAGCUGUUACAUCCAUCAAUUUCAAAUCUAAAAAUACUAGCUUUAGAUAUCAAGCUACUUGCCAACUUGUUAACAUGACAAAAAUACAAAAUUUAAACAAAAAAGUUGCUUCUGGUUCAAUCUUCAAACAGACAUGCUGCUGCUGCUCACGAUGCUGGUAGUUUGUUGCAUUGCAGACCAAUGCUCAACACUCCUCCUUGGACUGUAGGCAACAAACACCAAUCGAAUCUCGUAAGAAUUCAAACCUGAUUGUGCCAAGAGGCUUUGUCAAAAUGUCAGCCAAUUGAUCUUGUGAACUACAAUAUGCAAGAUUCACAUCCUUUGAUUGUACUGCCUCUCGAACAAAAUAAAAUUUGAGCUUAAAGUGCUUCGUUUUGCCAUGAAAAACAGCAUUCUUAGAGAUAGCUAUUGCUGAUUGAUUAUCAACCAUAAUCUCAGUAGGCUCAAAUUGUUCCUCAUUCAAAUCACACAACAAUUUUCUAAGCCAAAUAGCUUGGCUUACUGCUCCAGCUGCUGCUAUGUACUCUGCCUCAGCAGUUGAUUGAGCAACUGUUUGUUGCUUUUUAGAGCUCCAACAGAAAGCUCCUGAACCAAGAGAAAAGAGGUAGCCUGAGGUACUCCUCAUAUCAUCAAUCGAACCUCCCCAGUCACUGUCUGAGUAGCCAGAUAACUUCAGCUGACCUCCUGUCUUGAACAUCACUCCAAACUUCAAGGAUCCUUUCACAUACCUGAGGAUUCUCUUUGCAGCCUUUAAAUGUGUUGUGUUGCAGCUAUGCAUAAAACGAGAUAGCAAACUGACCGAAUGCAUAAGGUCAGGUCUAGUUGCUGUCAAGUAUAGCAAACAUCCAAUUAGACUUCUAUAUUCUCUUUCAUCCACCUUUUCUUCAUCUCCAUAGCUGCUCAACUUCUGUCCCAUGACUAGAGGUGUACUCACUGGCUUGCAAUUUUCCAUAUGAAACUUAGUGAGAAUUUUCAAGGCAAAUGCAUGCUGGCUGAUAAAAAUGCCUUGAUCAGACUGGUCUACUUCCAUACCAAGGAAGUAAGUCAUGAUUCCCAAGUCUGUCAUGUCAAACAUGUCUUGCAUAUUCUUCUUGAACUCCUGAAUCAAAUCAACCCUACUUCCAGUCACUAAUAGAUCAUCCACAUAUAUUGAGACAAUCAGCAAAGUCUCAUCUUUAGACUUCUUUAUAAACAAAGUUGGCUCACUCAAACUUUUCUCGAAAUUGAGCCUAGACAGGUAAGCAUCUAUCCUGUCAUACCAGGCUCGAGGAGCCUGUUUUAGUCCAUAGAGUGCCUUCUUCAGCUUGUAAACCUUGUCCUCCUUUCCUUGGACUUUAAAUCCAUCAGGCUGUUCAACAUAAAUUUCCUCUUUAAGGAAGCCAUUCAGGAAAGCUGACUUGACAUCAAGCUGAUGGACCUUCCACUGUUUCUGUGCAGCGAAAGCAAAUAGAAGCUUUAUGGUAUCCAGCCUUGCCACUGGAGAAAAUGUCUCCUCAAAAUCAAUGUCAAACUGUUGAUUGUACCCUUUCACCACAAGCCUUGCCUUGUGCUUGUUCAGAGAGCCAUCUGCAUUGAAUUUGGUCCUGAAAACCCACUUGACACCUAUGACCUUCUUCUUAUCAGGUCUGUCUACCAGAUCCCAAGUGUCAUUCUUAUGGAUCAUGUCGAUUUCAGCCUCCAUAGACUUCUUCCAGCUUUUGCUUCUUGCAGCUUCUUCAUAGCUUGAAGGCUCAACAAUGGCCACAUUGCAUCUUUGGUAGAUAUCAGCAAUAGACCUGGUCCCUCUCACAGGAGCAUCAUCUACAUUGGCAUUACUAACUUCAUUUUCUGCCAAUUCCAGAUUGCUGUCAAUCUGCUCUUCUUCAAACUGACUUGUGUUAGAGCCAUCUAGACUCCAAAACCUUCCUUCAUCGAAUUUGACAUCCCUGCUUACCAAAAUCUUCUUGGUUGAAAGAUCAAAUACUCUGUAGCCCUUCUUGCAGCUACUGUAGCCAACAAAUAUACCAGGAACUGACCUCUUCUCGAGCUUGGUUCUUCUUUCUGCAGGGACAAGUACAAAACACUUGCAACCAAACACUUUUAAAUGGGAAACAGUUGGUUUAAGAUCAUACCAUGCUUCAAAAGGAGUUUUAUCAUUCACAGCAUGUGUUGGCAGCCUAUUGAGCAGGUACACUGAGGUGUUGACACCUUCAGCCCAAAAAAUGCUUGGAAGCUUGCUUUGAAACAACAUACACCUGGUCAUGUUCAUCACUGUUCUGUUCUUCCUCUCACACACUCCAUUUUGCUGAGGAGUGUACACUGUGGUUAACUGAUGAUGAAUCCCAGCCUGCUCACAUAGCUUCUGAAAUCUUUCAGACAAGUAUUCAGAACCAUUGUCUGUCCUCAAGGCCUUAAUCCUGCAGCCUGUUUGAUUUUCUGCCAAUGCCUUGAACUUUCCAAAAACUUCAAACACUUCUGACUUCUGUUUCAUGAAAUAAACCCAGCAAAAUCUGGUCAGAUCAUCAAUAAACAGUAUAAAAUACUUACUGCCAUUCAGUGAAGGGGUCUUCAUUGGUCCACAGACAUCUGAGUGCACCAACUCUAGUCUUUCUCGAGCCCUCCAUGCUUGGUUAGCUGAAAAGGGCAACCUGGCUUGUUUGCCAAGCUGACACACCUCACAAACACCUUCACUUGCACUAACCUUCACCAUGUCCUUUGUCAUGUUCAUUUUGUGCAGCAAAUCAAGUGAUUUGAGGUUAACAUGGCCAAACCUCUUGUGCCAAAGAUCAGUAUUGUCAACUGAGCUUGUAUAUGCACUUUUCUCAAGCUGACUCACAUCCAGCAUAAAAUAUUUGUCUCCCAUAGGUACUGAGACAAUCUCCCUACCAUGAGCAUCACUUAUAACACAAGAAUCAUUCUUGAAAACUAGUGAAAAGCCUUUCUUGACUAGCUGGCCUACACUGAGUAAAUUUUGGUCUAUUUCUGGCACAUAGAGCACAUCAGAAAUGAUUUUGUUACCUGAACCAGUGUGAAUCACCACAUCACCUCUACCUUUUGCUUCAAUCAAGUUGCCAUUGCCUAUCCUGACCUUCGAGACAUAGCUCCUGUCAAGGUUCUUGAAAAGGCUCUCAUCUGCAGCCAUGUGGUGUGAGCAGCCACUAUCGACAAGCCAACUGCUCUUGCUGUUAGCUGCAAAACAUGAAGCUGUAAAUACAUGCUCUUCCUGAGCUUGGACAUCCUCGGCAGACUUGGCUUGUACUGGUUGUGCUUGUGCCUUCUCAUGACUUCUACAGAUUUUCUCAUGAUGACCAUACUUCUUACAGCUUUUGCAUUGUAUAUCUGGUCUGGUCCAGCAAAAUUUUUCCAGGUGAUUGGUCUUCUUGCAGUGAAUGCAUGGUGGAAACCUCCUUCUACCGGCAUCUUUCUUUGAUCUUUCCCUCUUUUCAAACCAAGGCUUCUUAGCUUUCUGGCUUGAGCUGGAGCCUUCUCUGACCUUUGCUUGAAAAGCACCUUCAAGACUCUCCUCCUGCCUACUUGCUCUUCUCUGCUCAAGUGCAUAGAGUGAGUUAACCAACUCAGACAAAGAAAUGGUUGUGAGAUCUCUCGAGUCCUUCAAUGAGGAGAUUUUUGACUCAAACCUUUCAGGUAAGGUGGUAAUAACCUUCUCAACAACCCUGCUAUCACUGAAAUCUUCUCAAAGGAGUCUAAUAUUAUUGAUAGUAGCCAUAAUCCUAUCAGAAUAUUGCUUGAUAGUUUCUGACUCCUUCAUCUUCAAAUUUUCAAACUCCCUUCUAAGGUUGAUGACUUGUUGCUGCCUGGUCUUGUCUGAUCCCAUAAAUUCCUCUUUCAGCCUGUCUCAUGCCUGCUUGGGAGAGUCACAGGCCAUGAUACGAGUGAAAAUAACAUCUGAUAUUCCAUUCUGCAAACAGGCCAUAGCUUUGUGUUUCUUGGCUCGUUCCUCACCAUGUUGCCUGAUCUGAGCAAUGGUAGGAUUUGCUCUUAAUGGUGCUGGCUCGACAUCACUCUCAACUGCACUCCAGAGGUCAAGUGCUUGAAGAUAUGUCUUCAUUUUGACAACCCAAAUGUGGUAGUUGUCUCCAGCAAAAACUGGUGGUGGAGGAGGAGCAAAACUCAUGCUGCCAAGACUGACUUUGAAAACACAAAAAACUGACUUUGCUUUGAAAAAACUAAAACAUAAACAACAGAGGUCCUCAAAGAUAGGAGGCUCUGAUUACCAUUUGUUAGAUAAAUUUGGCAGCAACUAAAUCAAAAAGGAAGUUUCACUAAGCAACAGCAAAACAAAACAAUGAAAACAAAAGAAAGACUAAGAGCAGCAUGUAACCGAUGAAGCAAAAUCCUACAGCUUUCAUUUUCAUUUCAAAAUAUAAAGGAGUUACAAAAAUAAUAAUAAUAAGUCAGUUACCUAAACUGUAACUGCUCCUACCAAAUUUGGCAAGUUGCCAACUAAAAUAUUACAAAAGAAAAGCUGAAAAAAUUCAGCUGUUACAUCCAUCAAUUUCAAAUCUAAAAAUACUAGCUUUAGAUAUCAAGCUACUUGCCAACUUGUUAACAUGACAAAAAUACAAAAUUUAAACAAAAAAGUUGCUUCUGGUUCAAUCUUCAAACAGACAUGCUGCUGCUGCUCACGAUGCUGGUAGUUUGUUGCAUUGCAGACCAAUGCUCAACACAUAUUGCAACAUGGUAUAUCUAGGUGAAUUAUUGUCGAACUAAUAUUUUAUAUUUCCUUCUAUAGACGGUAAAAAAAAAUGCUUACGCUGACAGCAAAUGUCAAACAGAAUUUGGAAUUAAAAUCAUAGAGAAGCUUGCUUUGGUUAAUGCACGCAUUCUGCCUGCACCCCUGGUAUGUUAUCAAUUAUAAUAUCCUAUUUUCUGCAAUUGUGAUUAUUUUCUGAUUUGAUUUUUUGUCUUUCUUUUAGCUUAAAUAUCAUGAUACUGGUAAACAGAAGAAUUGCUUGCCUCAAGUCGGGCAAUGGAAUAUGAAGGAUAAGGUAUACCUUGCUUUCAAUUCCGAAUUCUGCAAUACAUAUGUUGUUGUGCUCUCACUGUGUAUUUGUUCUUAGUCAAAUGUUUUACACAGCCAUUAUAUAAACUACUUGGUUAUCUAGAUUUAAGGGAAAACAAAAGUUAAUCUUAGAAUUUCAUCUCUUCAGCUUGCGAUAGUUGAAUGUGAAGAUUUUUUCGUGCAUUUUAUGAUAUAUUAUUGUUUUGUUGCAGAAAAUGGUUUAUUGGGGGACCGUAAAUAACUGGAUCUGCAUAAGUUUUUGUAGCAAAGUUGGACCUAAACUCGCACAUAACUUUUGGACAAAACUUGCAGACACGUGUCGCAUUUAUGGCAUGGUGAGGAAGUUGUAUUAAUUGGACAUUAUUGUUUGUGACCUCAGUUUGGUUAUUUUUAACACUUCUUAUUUGAUAAGGAUUUCUGUGGUUGUUUGCAGGCAUUUAAUUCUGUACCAGUGAUUCCUCCAUUGAAUGCUUCUCCUGACCAGGUGGAGGAAGUCUUGAAAACACUGUAUCGCAAAGCCAUGAAUAAACUCCAGCAAAACAAAGAGCUUGACCUGCUUAUUGCUAUUCUACCAGAUAAUAAUGGCUCUCUUUAUGGUAUAGAUUUUAUGGUCUGAAAUUUAUGUCUGUUGAAAAACAGUCAUACCAUUCCUUAGAGAUUUUCAUGUCCCUUGCAGGUGAUUUGAAAAGGAUUUGUGAGACGGAUAUUGGAAUUGUUUCUCAGUGUUGUUUGUCUAAAUAUGUACUUGACAUAAAAGGACCAUAUCUGACCAAUGUGGCAUUGAAGAUUAAUGUCAAGGUUGGUGGAAGUAAUACAGCUCUUGCUGCUGCAAUACCUUCAGUCAGUGAUCGGCGGACUAUAAUUUUUGGUGCUGAUGUUACCCAUCCUUCCCCUGGGGAGGAUUCAAGCCCUUCUAUUGCAGCUGUAUGUUUCUUAUCUGCUUUUCAUGAGCAUUUUGCUUCUUUGAAAUUCUAAUAUAAAAUUUUUAAUUAAACAUUCAGGUUGUUGCCUCUCAAGAUUGGCCAGAGAUUACCAAGUAUGCUGCUCUGGUUUGUACUCAAGCACAUCGCAAAGAGGUCAUUCAAGAUUUAUACAAGACAUGGCAGGAUCCUGUUAGGGGAAUUGUAUCUGGAGGCAUGAUUAAGUAUGGUUUUUUUCCUCGUGCUUCUAGUUCAAACACCUUUCAGCUUUUGUAGGUAUCAAGUUCUGUUUUGCUGUAAUGCAGGGAACACCUAAUAUCAUUCCAAAGAGCCAAUGGAGGACAUAAGCCAGAGCGCAUCAUAUUCUACAGGCAUAACGAAGCUUCUGGCUCUUCGAUUUUCCUCCCUUAUUUUUAUUGAGUUUUAUUGUAUUUUCUGUAUGCAGGGAUGGUGUUAGUGAAGGCCAGUUUUCUCAUGUAUUGAGCGAAGAACUUGAUGAUAUUCGUAAGGUCGUUGACUGUAUACCAUACUAACAGUAUUUUAACUUCAAUUUCUAGUGUCAGAGCUCUGAGUCUCAUUCAUCAACAUUUCAAUUUAGCAUAUACUCAUUUUUAUCUCAGGCAUGUGCCUCUUAGGAACCAAAUUAUAAGCCUACUAUUACUUUUAUUGUGGUACAAAAGCGACAUCAUACAAGGUUGUUUGCUAAAAACCACAAUGACCGCAAAUUUGCUGACCUUAAGGGAAAUAUUUUGCCUGGUGAGUACUAUUCAUUCUUUUUAUAAUUUUUUAAUAUGACAUCACAAUCUGAUGAUGGUUAUUUGUAUUCUAUUUUGCAGGCACAGUGGUGGACUCCGAUAUAUGUCAUCCAACAGAGUUUGAUUUCUACUUAUGCAGCCAUGCUGGGAUUAUGGUCAAUUCAUUUUUUACUUUGCUCCUAUUGAUAGGUGAUUAGGAUGGGGAUGUAGUUGUUUGUAUUUCUAAUAUUUUAUCCACCGUGGUAAACAGGGAACAAGUCGUCCGGCUCAUUACCAUGUGCUAUGGGAUGAGAACAACUUCACAGCUGAUGCAUUGCAGACUCUUACAAACAACCUGUGCUAUACGUACGUUCUUUUGCCUUCAUCUUGAUGAAUAUUGUCUCUACAUUAGCAAUUGCUCGUAUAUAUUUCUUGUUUUAAAUGUCUGUAAAAUGUUACGUUUCAGGCAUACAUUUUUGGAAGUCUAUAAUUUUAAGGGUUAAAUCACAUUUUGGGACUUGAACUUGACAACUAUUUCCACAUUGGGGCUUAAACUGUUUUAUUUCCAAAUUAGACCAUGAACUAGACAAUUGUUCCGAAAACUUUUUUUGUCCAAGCUAAGCCUUGAAUUUGAUAAUUAUUCUCACAUCGAGGCUUGAACUUUUUUUUUGUCCAGGUUAACUUGUGAAAAUGUUAGAGUUCAAGGCUCAAUCCGAGACAAUUGUCGAGUUCAAACCCCAAUAUUGGAAUAAAUGUCAAAUUCAACGAGUAUCUUAGACAAAAAAAGUUCAAGCCCAAAUGUAAGAAUAAUUGUUUAGUCCAAGUCCUAAUAUGAAAACAAUUACCAAGUUUAGGAUCUAAUUUAGACAUAAAGAAGCUCAGACCCCAAUAUGAGAAAAGUUGUCAAGUUUUGAGGCUCUAAAAUAGUGAUUUAACCCUAAGUUUUGAGUAAAUUUAGUAUUAUAUAAAUGAAAAUUGUAUCACUAUAGAAAUUCCAAUUUAAACAGAACUUUAGAAACACAAACUACAAACCCAUCCUAAGAAUCUUUAUCGAUGAUUGCCCAACUCUUUUCUUAUCUAUAGUAUGAAUCAAACAAUAAUUAAUUGCUCUAACUAAAAAUAUUAUGUUUUCAUUUGUUGCUAGAUAUGCAAGGUGUACCCGAUCUGUGUCCAUUGGUUAGUUCCUUUUGCUUGUUUACUUUUCACACAAAUAUAAAGGCAUUUCUGAGUGCUAGAGGAACUAAGUUUCUCUCCCCUCCCCUUUCCUUGUUAUUUUGUGAUUAACAAGCUAUGAAUAAUUGAACGUGCAGUCCCUCCUGCAUAUUAUGCUCACCUUGCUGCAUUCAGAGCUCGUUUUUACAUGGAACGGGAGACAUCUGAGAGUGGAUCAAGGCUUGGAAGUUCAAGAAGCACAAGAGGACCCGAUGGUAGUGUUGCUGUGAGACCUCUGCCAGCUCUCAGGGAAAAUGUCAAAAGGGUUAUGUUUUACUGUUAGGAGGUGCUUUUAGCAUACUAUAUCAGAGUAUUUUGGUUUUGCUUGUGUGUUGACCUAAAACCUACCUAUUUUCGGUACAAAUUCUGUUUUUGUUGGAACAAUGGCAGCAGCAAAAAAAGAGAACAGAGAGAACAGAACAAUGAAACUAGAUGCAAGAAAAAUUUUUACUUGCUCACAAAUGUGCAGCAAGGGAGCUAUGGCUGAUAGCUCAUUCAGCUCAUUCAUUCAACUAGAAAAACAACAUAUUUAUAGUCAAAUACAUCACCAAAUACUACCUACUACCACUAAGUAGCCUAGUAACUUUAUAAACAUUGCUUGUACCCAUAAACAAGCCACCUAAACUAGUAAUUCAACACCUAAUGCAUCAAGUUGUCAUCAACUUGUUUAUUUUCAACUAGUUUAAUUAACAAAGAAACUAAAGAGAAAACCUUGCUGUUAUAGCAAGUAUUUGUGCUGCAGCAUGUCAUCAAGCUGCAUGCACUUCAACCAAAACAUGUAACAGCAGCAUGGUUGGCCAAUUUCAACAGUUUUUACCGAGAUUGGAACGAUGCAUAAAAUUUCAGUAGGCACAGCUCACUCAAAUUUCCUGGAGUCCUCUAACAUGUUAGGUACAUGUUUAUGUUUUAUGGCAAAUUAAUGUCUCUUUGAGAGAAAAAGCUCCAAUAGUAUUUGAGGUAGUGGCUAUGUCACAGUUUGUUUUUCUGUAUGCUGUCUUUAUUUUUCAUCCAAACGCUGCAUACGUACUGUCUUUUUUUUAUGAUACAAUUUAAUUUGAUCCUAUUAUCAUUUUAUUUUAAGGCAAGGGUAAUGAGAUUCACUUUUUUUUUUCAUCAAAACCAAAAUAUAUGAUAAAAGGAAGCUAGUUGGCAUAAGCCAACAAGGGAAUACAUCAACACCAGUCAUGUAACUAGCAAAAUAUGUCAACGCCAGAAAAAAAAAAUAUCAAUUCACAUCAGCUAAAAUUUCAAACAUAAUCACCCUAUUUCUUCUCGAUCCCUGUCCUAUCUUGCACUCACCAAAUAUUCACCAUAUUCACUGCCUUGAUCACAUCCACCGUUCAUUCACUUCAAUUAACAAUAUAAAAUUUCCACUUACUCGACUAUUGCUCUUAGUUUCAUCUUAAUCCUUCACCUCAGUACCUAUUUCUUCCAUAUCAUUGUCUGCUGCCUUACUUUUGUACUACUCAAAGAAAUGUAUAAUAAAGCAAAAGCCAAAGAUUCCAAGUAUAUAGUGCAGCUCGCAUGCAACCAAGAAACCAAGAUUAAACAGAAUACCAAAAUGCUAGCAAUGAUGGUCAACCAAUGCCACCUGAGAUCAAACCAAAAAACUAGCACAUAAACAACUGAUCUCUUUGAAGAUGUCUUAAAAUCUCCAUUGCCUGUUCUCUGUACUGAAACACCAAGACAUUACACACAAGAAUCAGACACAACGAUCAAGUGCCACUUCUUCUUCCACUCUGUCUUAUCAAAUAUUUGCAGCGCCUAAAAGAUCGCUCUCAGACUCGUUUCUGCUUCAUUAGAUGAUCACUAACAGAACUGAUAAACAUUGCUCAACUCCUUAAAGUCCCUCCGAAACCAGCAGGAUCCCGUCUGCCUCUAGCUGCUCCGUUAACAUUGAGUUAACCAAACCCGAAGACAGUGGCUUCUUCACUAAUGGAGACAGUAAUCACAAUAAUGAAUGUUCCCACCAUUGAAGCACCAGAAAACAUACAUUAGAAUGUACCGCAUGAACCCAAUCCAUGGCUCUUAAUUAAUUGAAAGGAAAAUAUCCCCCUCUUCCAAUCGUUUCCUACUACAAAUGAUUUCAAUUCUAGCCAGCUAAGGAUGAUAAUGGUAGAAGUAAGAAAGAAAUAGGACACUGCCUUGAAACACUGUUAGUAUUUGGUUAACACGUGCCCUUUUUGUUCUUUUUGAAAUGGUAUUUUACAUUGGAAUCCAUCCCAUGCCAUGCCGUGAGAAUUGAUAAUACGUAAAUAAGUAGAUUAUUGAUAUAAAAAUACAACACAAAUAAUUUUUUUUUAAUAAAUGUAAAUAAGUAGAUUAUUGAUGUAAAAAUAUAAUAUAAACAAAUAAUUUAUUCAUUUUUUAUAAACAUACAAAAGAAACACAAAAACAAAUUUUUUUAUAAAAUUCAUAUAUAUUUUUUAUUUUCUAGCCAUUAACAAUCCAACAAUUUAUAUAUUUUUUAUUUUCUAAAAGUCGGUUUUGAGACCAGAUAGGACCACGUGACCAAACAAGCCCCCUAGAUGUUCUAAAAAAAAAAGCCUAUAUUCCUAAUUUUUUUAAAAUUAGCAUAUACCCAUUUUCGAUUUUUAUGAGUACUUUUUGAUUUUUCAGUUGGGUGUUUUGAUUAUUGAUUGAUUUAUCGAUUUUUGAGAUUGAUGUUUGGUUAAAAAUGAAUAAGUUUUGAUGACAGUUUGAUAUGUUUAGGUAGCUGAAUGACGUGUUUUAGUGUACAAACAGUAUUUCACAAUUUACUAGACUGAUUAAUGGCAAUAGUUGUGCUUGAUAGAGAAGAUUGUCUAUAAAUGAUAAUGAAAAUCAGUUUUUCGUUAUUUGCUACACGUUUAUGAGCAAGUAAAUUAUAUCAAGCUUUUAAUUUGCUACUUUUGUUGCUUCAAAAACCCCCAACAAAUGCUCUUUUGAAUCGAUUAAUUAUUGUUCGAGAUUCAUUGUGGUUUAAAUUGAAUUUUAUUAAAACAGGAGAAGUGCCUCCAAAAAUGACUCUCGAGAUUACAUGAAGUUGUGUUUCAUGCAAACAUAUAUCAGUAUAUUUAGAGCCAUUUUCUUUUAUGAUAUUAUGAGGUUUCUCUAGUAAUUUGAUUGCCCAGAAAAAAUUGAGAAUUUGUUCAUAUAGAUCUUCAUUCUUAGAUAUAUAUAGUCAAUUCAUUAUUUUAUUGCUGACACCACUUGAAUCUUAAUUCCAAAUUUUUUAUUGAGAAAAGAGACAUCAAAACAUUUUAGACACUUUUCUGUGCUAUAUUUUCUUUUAAUCUUUUAAAAUAAUUACCAGUUCUAGAAAAUGCCCAAUGUGGAACACGAGAUUCAUACUAGUAAAAAUUAAAAUAAACUAAGUAAACCAAAAUUUCAACAUAAUUAAUUUAAAAUAAGAAAAUAUAUAAAAUUCUCUAACACAAGUAAUUUAGAGAAUGUGUCUUUCUCUUUUCUAAAGAUGGGAUAUUUGAAAAAAAUACGAUGUGUAAUUUGGGGACCGUAACCCUAAUAUAUAACUUUUGCACUAUAACCCUAAUUUUUAAUCAACCCAUCAUAAAUUAGAAAUUAGUUAUUAGAGUAUCUACACAUAUGCCUCACCUAAACAAAGGCUAGGCCAAGCACAACCACCUUGACAAGACUACUAACAUUCAUUAUCAUCAUAUCUUGUAACCCAAUCACAUCAAAUCGUGUAGCCGAAGAGAAAUAUGUCAAAUAAUAAUCCACUAAUCACGAGAGGAUAUGUGGCAACAUCUCUAAACUCCGCAAUAAGACAUAUAAUACACUAAACUAUCAAACCACAUCUCUCCUUCCAACAUCUCCCAUUUCUACUCUCUAACCCUUUAUAUAGUGUUUUCUUCUCCUCUACUGUCUACGGUGAAUUUCCAACACAAAUUGAAUGGGAAUGAAAGAGUGGACAUAAGGAAAAUGUAUUUGUGGUUCUCCAAAAAAGAUUCCUGAAAAUGUAAGGAUCAAGGCAUGUUUGCAAAUUUUUUUUGCAAAAUAUGUAACAUAGGCAUAAAAAAAGUUGUGUAACUUAAAAACAUCCAUUAAUGUUAUGACUUUACCUAUCUAUAACUCACUCAGGUCCCUUGAAAGAAACAAAUGUUAUCAUCCAAUUGGUGGAUAGGUCCAUAGUUUAUUCGUAAGGUGUUUUAGAAUAUGUUAGAGUUGUGUGAUCAAAAUUCUUGUUAAAUAAAUAAUAUAGUGGUAAAACUAGGGGAUCUAUGGUGGGCUUAAGGACUAGGCUGCACAAGUAGAAUUCAUAUAGAACUACUCUUUUUCUAUUUGACAUUGAUUGCACAAGUAGAAUCAAUAUAGAAAUACUCUUCUUUUAUUUGACAUUGACUACAAUAAUAUUUUUCAACCUUUAAAUAAAUGUAGUUGAAACUCCUCUUGUAUCAUUUGAUUUUAAAUGUUAGUGAAUUUUCUUCUCCUCUUCCCAUGGUUUUUUCCCAAAAGGGUUUUCACGUAAAAUCUGUGUAUUUUGUUUUUCUUUCUUAUUGCGUUGCAAUAUUUCUAUAUUGUCAUUAUCGACGUUCAGCUUGAACAAAUUGUAUUAAAACUUUUUGGGUUGCUUAUCUCGAUCACGAUAAUGGCAAUAAUGAAGUAUGAUAUUCUGCUGUUGGAUCACAAUACCAUAUUCACGUUGUGACAGAUAAAGAUGCAAAUAAUUCUUGUGUAGAUAGAUUUGGAGGAUGCCUUGCUAGGGUUAGAUAAGAUGCUUUCGAAAUUAAUAAAGGAAGAGAAGAAGCAUAAAGAUCGAAAGGAUUUAAUGCAAUUACAUAUGCAUCUGUCGAUUGAAAUUCUACAGGACAUGAUGAAGGAGAAGAUCAACGCUAUAUUAUGAGCAAAGUUGCAACAGCUAUGCAUGUCGAAAACCCCAACUAGUAAGUUGUAUAUGAAGUAGCGUAUUUACGCUCAUCGUUUGGAGAAAGGUACAUCUAUGAACGAACACUUAAAUAUGUUUAAAGAAAUUCUCUUGGACCUUGAAGCCAUAUUAGUUUAGUAUGAUAAAGAAAAUUUAGUGUUAAUUCUACUUUGUUCCUUGCCCUCGCCUUAUUCAACCUUUAGAGAUACAAUUUUGUAUAGCUAUGAAUCUCUCACAGUUAAUGAAGCCUAUGCUUAACCUUUUUUGACAAGAUGAAACAUCUGGUAGCUGGAUUUAACUCUUAGGGAGAGAGUCUCAUUGUUCGUAGGAGACAAGAACGAAAUAUUGAUGAUAAUUGUGGGAGGACACAGGAACGAAAUCCUCGCAGUAAAUCUAAAGGUAGAUUGAGAUAUUCAAACAGAGAUAAAAUCUGUAACUUUUGCAAUAAGAAAGGGCAUAUUAAGUUUGAGUUCUAUAAGUUGUGGAAUAAGAUCAAAAGAGAGAUGAUGAAUUAAAAAAGAAAACAAUUAGAACAAUCUGAUGAAGCUGAUGUUGUAGAAGACUACAAUGAUGGUGAACUCCUAGUUUUUUUUGCCGACAACUCUAAAGUGAUCGAAUAGUGGAUCUUGAUUCUGGUUGCACCAUCCAUAUGAGUCCCAAUCGGGAUUGGUUUACAACAUAUAAAAUAGUGUCUAAAGGUGUUAUUUUGAUGGGAAAUAAUGCUUUAUGUAAAAUCGUAGGUAUUGGUAAGAUCGAAAUUAAAAUGUUCGAUAGAGUCAUCAAAAAAUUUAGUGGCGUACAACAUGUACCAUAAUUGAAGAGAAAUUUGAUUUUGUUGACUACUCUUGAUUUAAAAGGUACAAGUAUACAACUGAAAGUAGGAUUCUGAAGAUUAACAAAAGUUCCUUCGUUGUGAUGAAAGGGUAGCGAAAGAUUGCCAAGUUAUAUGUUUUGCAAGGUUCAAUUGUUAUUGGUGAUGCAACUGUCAUUUCCUCUUCCUUGUCAGAUGAUGAUGUUACUAGACUUUGGCAUAUGUGUCUAGGGCAUAUGAGUGAGAACAACAUGAUAGAAUUGAGCAAAAGAGGACUUCUUGAUGGACAAAAUAUUAACAAAUUGAAGUUCUAUGAGCACUUUAUUUUUGGGAAGCAAAAGAGAGUUCAAUUCACAAGAGAAACCCAUAACACAAAGAGAAUGCUGUAUUAUAUUAAUUAUGGUAUUUGAGGACCAUUUAGAGUGCCUUUGAGGGGUGACGCUAAUUAUAUGCUUACGAUCAUUGAUGAUUUUUCUAGAAAAUUUUGGGCAUUCUUCUUGAAGUAUAAAAGUGAUGUAUUUUUUACAUUUAAGGUUUGGAAAACUAUGAUCGAGAAGCAGAUAGGAAAAUAGAUAAAACACCUUCACACAAAUAAUGGCUUGGAAUUCUAUUUUGAUGAGUUUAAUGAAUUAUGCAAAUAACAAGGGAUUGUGAGACACUAGACAGUUCAUCAUACUCUACAACAAAAUGGCAUUACAGAAUGGAUGAAUAGAAGAAUUAUGGAAAAUGUUCGAUGUAUGUUGUCAUAUGCUUGUUUACCAAAGUUUUUUUGGGCUAAAACAACAUUUACUGUAUUUUUUUUAUUAACCAAUCUACGUCCAUUGUCAUUGAGAAAAAUACUCUACAAAAGGUAUGGUCUGAUAAUCCUGUUAAUUAUUCUGAUUUGAAAAUUUUUGGAUGUUCUACGUAUGCUCAUGUUGAUAAUGAGAAAUUGGAACCUAGAUCCAUUAAAUGUAUUUUUCUUCGUUAUAUGGCUAGUGUUAAAAGGUAUAAGUCAUGGUGUCCUGAAGAUAUAAAAGUUGUGAUUAGCAAAGAUGUUAUUUUUUAUGAAAUUGCUAUGCUGUAUAACUUAUCUCUUAAAGAAUCUUCCAAUAAAGACCAGUAAAGUUCAAACACACAUAUGAAGCAAGUGGAGCUUUAGAUUGAUCCAAGACCUACAAUAAAGUCUACUCAUUAAGUUAGUAUAGAAACUCGGAGUAGAGUUGCUCUUCACCACAAUAUUCUAUUGCCAAGAAUAGACCUAGAAGAGAAACUAAAUCUCCAAAGAGGUACGCUGAGUCUGAUCUAGUUACAUAUGCUUUAAACAUGGCUGAAGAUAUAGAUACAAAGCAAGAGUCAUCUACUUAUUCCUAAGAAGUUAACUAUGAAGAUUCAAGAAAGUAGAUGUUUGUUAUGCAAGAAGAGAUGGAAUUAGUCCAUAAGAACAGAACAUGGGACCUAGUGAAGCUAUCGAAGGGUAAAAAGGUUGUUCAUUGUAAAUGAGUAUUCAACAAGAAAAAAGAGACUCAAGGAGUUGAAGAACCCAAGUAUAAUGCAAGGUUGAUUGCAAAAGGUUAUAGUCAGAUUCUCAGUGUAAACUUCAUACAUGUGUUUUCUCCAGUUCUAAAGUAGAAUGUUAAAACAACCAUACUGCCUCUAGUGUCGUGACACAGCUAGUGGACGUCGUGACACACCUUUGGAGUAAAGCUAAAGCUAAGCACGCUAUCAUUGAUGUCAAUACACAAUAAGAGGAUGUCGCGACAUAGAUCAUAUACAUGAAAGCAUUAACGAGUUAAGGGAAUUUUGGUCCAUACAAAGAAAAUUAACAAAGAAAAAUCAAUCGACCUAGGGCUAAGGAGGACGACCAACCCUAACAUUAUAAAUAGACUCAUUAAACACUUGAGAUGGUACUUAAAAUUUUCCUUUUAAUCUAGUUUCAGUUUUUAGUUCUUUUUAGCCUUAGCAUUUAUUUUCAUUUGUUUCUGCUCGUGAUAUUCAGAGAAUCUGAUUUGUGGAUUCAACCAAACGCUGUGGAUUUAUGUGCUUUAAUUUUUCAAUAAAUCAGGAUUCUUCUUAAACCUUUAUUCUUGAUUUGUUAUUCGUGUUCACUUUAUUUAUCAAGUUUAUAUUGUUUGAGAAAUCCAUAAGUAACUAAUCCUCUUAUGGAAGAUUAGCGAGUGAAAGUAUGAUUAAUUAAUUUCUAUGUAGAUUUUCUUAGCGGAUUAGUUAUUUAGAAUAGGAAAAAACUUAAACCCUAGGCUUGGCAACCCUAGGAAGUCAUUUAGGUGGAAAUUAACCCAAAAUUGGUAUUGCCUAUCCAUGAACCCCUUACCCCAAACCAAUCUGGACUAUGAGGUCGAGAGAUAAGUAGCUCUUGUUGACUCAUUAGUUUAGUGGAAGAUCGAGAAGUCCUACUAGGGUAACAACUAGUUAAUUGAGUAGAAAUCCAACAUAGGAAUUAGUUAUAACCAUUGAAGCGAGGUAAUCACCCAUGCUUAGGUUUGGUUGAGUUUAUAGAUUAGUUUUAUGUUUUCACUAUUUUAUGCAUGAUGUAUUCUUGCCUUUAUAAAAAUAAUUCCUUUUUAAUUUAUAUUUCGUUGUGCUAUAAUUUAUUUAAAGUACUAAUUAAUUCUAUUUACGUUUAGGUUAAUCUUAAUUUAGUACUCGCCUCCCUUGGGUACAAUCCUCAGAGUACUUACCUACUUCAUUGUAAAACUAUAUUACAACCUGACUCGAUACUUGUGGACAUCACCUCAAUUCCAUAAUUUUAGUAGUAGUAUUCACACUAUGGACAUUAGUACGUUUGAAGGUUACCAGUCAACAAACAAUGACACGAGGAUUCACCACUAGAUACGUUAAAUGUCUACUUUAAUACCAAUUAUUGCUACCUACAGUUGUUGUUUUCUUAAUAUGAAAAUUUGUAAGGGAACUUCUUGACUUCACUGGCCACUAUGGCUUGACACUGCGAAAAAAUGUGCAAACAAAAACAAAAAACACCAAGAAUUUAUUUACGUAAUUCGAUUUUCUUAUGUCUGUGGAGCCUAGCUCAGUGAGUAAUCCCACUAUCUUUAGUCCACAAUACAUCAAGUGGUUUACACUUUAUCACUCCCCAAGUAUAGAGAACUUACCUUUGAACAUAAAUACUACAACACUCACCUCCAAAUCUUGCCCUUGAGAAUUUGGGCAAUAAACACUCAACAAUGUUUACAAUAUGGUUUGCACUCUCUCACAAAAUAGUUCCUCAAUGAACAGAUUCAAUUGCUCUCAAUAAAACCUCUUACAUAACCUAGACAAGCCUCAAGUAUAAUUAUCAAUCUCAACUACAAACAUAAAGUCUAAGUGAAUACAAAAUAACUCCUUCAAAAUAGCUAUUACAACAUCAAUAUUCAAAGCACAAUCAAUUAAAGAUAUGCUUUUCAAAUUCAACAACACAAUCUCGAUUUGAUCUCCACAUUCCAAGGGUUGGAUAGAUCUAGUCGAAUCCAGUCCAAUAUUCAAAGUUCAGAUUUUGGUUUCCAUAGAUGGACCAUAGUAUCUUCAAUAUAACAAUACAUUAACAUGCCCUAAGAUUUUCUUUAUUAAAUUACAAACUCAAAUAAGACAAAUAAUCAACUGCCUUAGUGGCAACCUAUAAUGAGCAUUGUCGACUGCCACUCAAUUUCAUUCUUCACAUCUUGCUUAAUCAUCAUGUAUUUAUUUGUUGUUGUUUUGUUCUUGUUUCUAAUAAAUUUCUUAAUUGGAUGUUAAUUUAGUGAGGAGAUUUAAAGGGAAAAAAAAGACUUCAUAUCAAAAAGACUUUUCUUAGUAGAAGAUAGAAUAAUUUAUAAAAUCAACACACCAAUCACAUAUAAUGUAUGAUAUCAAAUAAAUUAAAGUCAAUGGACAAUAUUCACACGAAAAUAAAAACGCAGGGCGAGGAAGCUUCCAAUCAGUUUAUUUAUAGAUAGAAUGGUGUUUACAACCUCCACCAUUCUAAUUAUUAAGUGGACACGUUCUUAUUUAUUCAAGUAUUCGUAUUUAUAUGUAUAAAAAAGGCAUUCCUAUUUAAAAAUCCGGCAGCUAAUUAGACCAAGUUGCUGUUGCGUGGUCAAGAUUUGUUUUGUUUUUAAUAUUACUAGGGAGAAAUCAACCAGGUAUUACAUAAUAUGUUUUCGACAAUAAAUUAUUUCCAAGUCUGCGUGAUUUCUCAGUAUAAAUGUUUGUGUUUUGUUAAUGAAAAUGAAGCAACAAUUCUACUAGCUUUCAUCUACAUUUCGCCCCAGAAAUUAUAGUAAAGCAGAGACAAUGAGAGGAUUAUCGGUGUUGAGUUGGAUUCUGAUCAUCUGCGUCUGCCAAGUAGCAGUGCGGAGCCAAUACUACUCGGACACCGUACCAUAUCAACCCAGGCCAGUUGUGGUCACCAAUCUUCACUUCUAUAUGCACGAAUUUACGGGCACUACAGCAGUCGUGCUAACCCAAGCUAACAUCACAAGCAAUAAUACAUCAGUGACAUUUGCCACCCUAGUUGCCGUUAAUGAUCCCCUCAGGACUGGUCCUGAGCCUGACUCAGAGCUGAUUGGAAAUGUUCAGGGUCUUUCCCUGCUAGCCGGAUCAAAUGCAUCGAGCACGCAGUACAUAGAUUUUGGAUUCAAUACCGGUAAGUUUAACGGAAGCUCUCUAAGCGUAUUUUCAAGGGGAGAAGCUGGGCUUGCGGUGGUCGGAGGAAGAGGCCAAUUCGCGAUGGCAACAGGGACUGCACUAUUUAACCCUCUCCUUAUAAAUGCCACCAAUGUCAUCAUUGAAUUUAACGUUACUGUAAUUCAUUACUAAGAUGUUAUUUACAGAGUCAAUCGUCUUGGAUUGUGUGAAAAUCAUAUGAUUAUGCUCCACUUGUUAGAAUAAAUGUAUGAGAAAUAUAUAGGUUUUUAGUAUUAAAAAUUAAAAUUCUCAUACUUGCAGUCAUUGUACUUUAUCAUUAUACGAGAAAUAAAUAUUAAAUUCUUAGCUACUAAAAGGACACCAAUAAAUGUAUCUACUCAGUAUUUAUCUUCAUAUCUAAUAGAGGUUGGUUUAUGCAAAAUUCGGAAAGUUUAUUGAUAACGAAACAAUUAUUAUAUGGUGUCAAAGUCAAAUAUUACAACAAAAGCAAGUUUCUGGACUAUUUGGCGUUGACUGCAACAAAGCAAUCAUGAAAACUUUAAAAAACCUAAUAUGGGCAUUGGUGCCCUUGACAUGUUUACUUUGCUCUAUAUAUCAUAACAAAUAUAUUCUUGUGUUGGGACUUCAAUUCCCAAAAAUAUGAUCCAGAUAACCAAAGUUUGAUCAAAGCCAGAGAGAAAAGUUUCAUUAUUUUUAUUGAUACUAAAUUUUGUCCAAGUCGAUAAAUCCAGAUUAGGCCAUACUUAGUCCACUAACAGAUCAACAAAUCAUGGCAUAAUGCCAAAUUUUGCAAUCAAUAUUAGAUUUUUUUUUUUUUUAAAUUAUGCUGUUAUUCUUUUCUUUUCGCUAAAUUUAACUCUCAACCUUUCGUAAAAAUUAAAUUUGACCAUCAACCUUUUAAAAAUAGUUAAAUUAUUGUAUUUUUAAUGCAAAUAUUAACUAAAACGUUAAAAUUUUUAAUCAUGAUAGCCCGCAUAGCAAUUCACACGUCUUUCAUGCUAAUUUUAUAAAAAUUUCUAAACCUUUUUAUAACUUUUUUUUGAAUAUUUUAUAACUAUAAAAUUAUUAGUUGACGUGGCAUAUUAAACAAAAAAAAAGGCCAUGUCAUACCUAGAUUGCCACACCAACAUCAUAAAAAAUUAAUAUUUUAAUCAAUAUUUUCAUUAAAAAAUAUAAUUUGACACUUUUUAAAAGAUUAAUGACAAAUUUUAGUUCAAGUAAAAGAGCCCUAUUGAGAAAAGUUAAACAUUGAGGGCUAAAUUUGACAUUAUAUUAUAAAUCAACCUUUCAAACUUAAUUCAAGACUUAGUUAAAUUUUUGGGAUUAAAUUGAAAUUUCAAAUUAAACUAAGCCUUUGGUUAAAUUUUUCAAAAGUUAAAUCACAGCAAAAGUUAAAUUUGACUUCCUAAUCUCCAACCAUAGACCAAAAUUGUUGAAGUGUUCAGCUUAUUACAAUUUCUUUCAUAUAAAAUUUCACUUUUAAUUUUAUAACAGAUUAAUAAAAAUACUCUUAACUUGUAAACUCAGACACUCAACUAUACUAUUUUAGUGUAAAAUCUUUUUCUUGUUUUGAAGAUAUUGUCUAGCAAUUGACAUUUAUAUUAUUUUAAAUAAUUUUAUGUAUUAUGAAUAAGAUUAUUUAUUUGAUGUAUUAUGCGUUCUUCUUAUUACACAAUUUUAUAAUUGUUCGACAUAGUCACUCUGUUGAACAAAGCUCGCUCACAUCGGAUGAUAGAAAGGAGCAAAGUUGCCUAUAUAGGAACCCGUCCAGUUGACCUGAAGAAAGUCACGAUCAUAUCUGUUAACAUUAUGAUUAAUGGCAGACAAUUUUAAUGGAAAACAAUCCAAGUGGUGCAAGUUUAGCACCCUAAAGUUGACUUUGAAAAAGUGGCAUGGGAUAAAUUUUUUUUGGUCCUUGAGAUAAUGGGCUAUUUAUUGUUUGGUCCUUAAACCUCAACUAUAAAUAGGCCUUCUCAUUUCUCAUUUCAAUUCAUCCCAACCAAUCUUUCUCUCUUAUUUUUCUCUCUUCUCUCAUUUGAGAAUUCUUAAGGAAUUCUAUUUGUUUGUAAUAUCUUGGAGAUAGUAAAGUUAUCAUCUGGUGUUAGUGCCCGAGGACGUAGGUAUAAUUUACCGAACCUCGUUAAAACUCUUGUGUUCUUUCUUGUCCUAUUUUUCUUUCAAUAUUUGAGGGUAUAAUAGUAGUAUUUAAUUGUGCUAUUAAAUUACUAUAAAAGGGAUAUUCUGACUAAGGAAAGACUUGGUAUUUAAAGAGAUCCUUGUGAUCCACCUCUCUUUCCUGGGAAUUGAACUUUGUGUGAUUUUUUAGUACAAUAAUUUACACGCUUCCGACCCUAUUGGAACAACAAGUGGUAUCAGAGCUGAAGGUUAAUCGUAGUAUGCUCUGUGGUUGCAGUUUAAACUGAUCUUCCACAUCAGAAAAGAUUUCCUUAGGUAUAUUGAAAGAUUAUGGAGAAAACGGUCGGUGUAGGAGCUUCAACAUCGUCCAUGUGGACAAGACCGACAAUUGCAAAUGCAAGAUUGGCCGUGGAGAUCUUUGAUGGCACGGGCCAUUUUGGUAUGUGGCAAAGUGAGGUUCUAGAUGCCCUUUUUCAGCAGGGUCUAGACAUUGCCAUUGAUGAAGAGAAACCAGAUGAUGUAUAGGAGAAAGAUUGGAAGGCGAUCAAUCGGUUGGCAUGUGGCACAAUUCGAUCAUGCCUUUCUCGAGAGCAGAGGUAUGCUUUUUCAAAGGAGACUUCUGCAAAUAAGUUGUGGGUGGCACUUGAAGAAAAAUUUUUGAAGAAAAACAGUCAAAAUAAGCUCCACUUGAAGAAAAGACUGUUUCGCUUCACAUACGUCCCAAGUACCACAAUGAAUGAUCACAUCACCAAAUUUAAUCAGUUAGUCACUGAUUUGCUGAAUAUGGAUGAGACAUUCAAAGAUGAAGAUUUGGCUUUGAUGCUGUUGGGGUCACUUCUUGAGGAGUUUGAGUUCCUAGAAACUACUCUACUUCAUGGCAGGAGUGAUAUAUCUCUGAGCGAAGUCUGUGCGGCCUUAUACAGUUAUGAACAGAGAAAGAAGGACAAACAGAAAAACUCAAUCAGAGAUACAGAAGCUUUAGUAGUCCGAGGUCGUCCAUACACUCGGAAGAAAACUCAAAAGGGGAGAUCAAAGUCAAAGUCUAGAUUCAGGAAAGAUGAAUGUGCUUUUUGUCAUGAGAAAGGCCACUGGAAGAAAAAUUGUCCAAAGUUGAAGAAUAAGGGAAAAGCUGUUGUAGAUGCUUGUGUUGCUAAGCAUGAUACUAGUGACUCUGAACUAUCACUGGUUGCAUCAUCAUCGUCGUUCCAUUCAGAUGAGUGGAUAUUAGAUUCGGGUUGUACCUAUCAUAUGUCCCCUAACCGGGAGUGGUUCUCUGAUUUAGUAGAACUAAAUGGAGGAGUUGUUUAUAUGGGCAAUGACAAUGCCUGUAAAACUGUUGGGAUAGGUUCAAUCCAAUUAAAGAAUAAAGAUGGAUCAACCAGAGUUCUGACUGAUGUUCGGUACGUGCCCAGUUUGAAGAAAAAUCUCAUCUCAUUGGGAGCCUUAAAAUUCAAUGGUUCAGUUGUUACUAUGAGAGAUGGGGUUUUGAAAGUGACAUCUGGCGCACUUGUGAUAUUGAAGGGCAUCAGGAAAAAUAACUUGUAUUACUACCAAGGUAGUACAGUUAUUGGAGCAGUCGCUGCAGCUUUCGGCAACAAAGAAUUAGACUCAAUACAGUUGUGGCAUAUGAAGUUGGGACAUGCCAGCGAAAAAUCCUUGCAAAUUCUGGCAAAGCAAGGAUUGUUGAAAGGUGCAAAGGCUUGCAAAUUAAAAUUUUGCGAGCAUUGUGUUUUGGGAAAGCAAAAGAGAGUGAAAUUCGGUACUGCUAUCCAUAAUACAAAAGGUAUUUUGGAAUAUGUUCACUCAGAUGUGUGGGGGCCUUCCAAGACACCUUCAUUGGGAGGAAAACACUACUUUGUUACUUUUGUUGAUGACUUUUCUAGAAGAGUUUGGGUGUAUACCAUGAGAACUAAGGAUGAAGUGCUUAGAGUUUUUCUUAAAUGGAAAACUAUGAUCGAAAACCAGACUGGCAAGAAAAUCAAGCGGCUUAGGACGGACAAUGGAGGGGAAUAUAAAAGUGAUCCGUUCUUCGAUGUGUGCCAAGAGUAUGGUAUUGUUUGACACUUCACAGUUAGGGAUACACCACAGCAGAAUGGAUUGGCAGAGCGUAUGAAUCGAACAUUGCUGGAGAAAGUUCGAUGUAUGUUGUCCAAUGCUGGGUUGGGCAAGCAAUUUUGGGCUGAGGCUGUGACAUACGCUGGCCAUCUUGUUAAUCGUUUGCCAUCAUCUGCAUUAGAAAGAAAAACUCCUAUGGAGGUAUGGUCUGGAAAACCGGCUACAGAUUAUGAUUCCUUACAUGUGUUUGGAACCACUGCAUAUUACCAUGUGAAGGAGUCAAAGUUAGAUCCAAGGGCAAAGAAAGCUCUCUUUAUGGGAAUCACUUCUGGAGUGAAGGGAUUUCGUCUUUGGUACUUAAGCACAAAGAAAAUGAUCUGUAGCAGAGAUGUUACCUUUGAUGAAUCUGCCACAUUGAAAAAGGUAGCAGAUAAAGAUAUGCAGACGAGCAAUACUCCAUAGCAGGUGGAGUGUACUCCAAAAUAGGUGGAGUUUGAGCAGAUGGGGAUUUGCCCAGUUAAUAAGUCUAAUUCUCCAGCCACAAUGGAGGAAUUAGAGGUUGAAGAGGUUAUGACCCAAGAACUACUAAGUACACCAGAACCAGUUGCAGUUGCAAGGCCACGGAGAGAAAUUCGUAAACCUUCUCGAUUUACUAAUAUGGUGGCCUACGCCCUUCCCGUUGUUGAUGAUAUUCCUAUCACUUAUCAAGAAGCAAUGCAAAGCUUAGAAAGUGAUAAAUGGAAAAGCGUCAUGGAUGAAGAAAUGCAGUCUCUCCAGAAGAACAAUACUUGGGAGUUAGCGCAAUUAACGAAAGGUAAAGGGGCAAUCGGAUGCAAGUGGGUAUUCGCAAAGAAAGAUGGAUCUCCUAGCAAGAAGGAUAUUCGCUACAAGGCAAGAUUGGUAGCUAAAGGCUACGCUCAGAAGGAGGGAAUUGACUACAAUGAUGUAUUUUCCCCUGUUGUGAAGCAUUCCUCCAUUAGAAUUUUGUUGGCCUUGGUAGCACAGUUGAAUUUGGAGCUAGCUCAACUUGAUGUUAAGACGGCUUUCUUGCAUGGUGAGUUAAAAGAGGAGAUCUAUAUGACUCAGCCAGAAGGAUACACAGAUGCUGGUGGUAGAAAUUGGGUUUGUAAGCUUAACAAAUCGCUAUAUGGAUUGAAGCAAUCCCCGAGGCAGUGGUACAAGCGAUUUGAUAGCUUUAUGAGAAGGCAGAAGUACACAAGAAGCAAAUAUGACAAUUGUGUAUAUUUGCAGAAGCUGCAUGACGGAUCUUUCAUUUAUCUACUCUUGUAUGUUGAUGAUAUGUUAAUCGCUUCGAAGAGCCAAAAUGAGAUAGAUAAGCUGAAGGCUCAGUUGAAUCAAGAGUUCGAGAUGAAAGAUCUAGGUGAGGCCAAGAAGAUUCUCGGCAUGGAGAUAAGUAGAGAUAGACCGAGAGGCAAGCUCUGUUUAAAUCAAAAGCAAUAUCUGAAAAAGGUAUUACAAUGUUUUGGUGUAAAUGAAAACACAAAACAUGUAAGUACCCCACUGGUUAGCUUCUUUGCUUGCUUAGUUGUUACAAUUAUCUUCAGAUUCUUGUCACUAUGUAUUUUGGAAUUAAAAAAUAUAUUAAAUGUAAAAAUAUGAUUUUUUAAUAAAAGUUCUUUUAAAAAUAAAAUGUGAAAUUGAUACCAAUAUAAAAUUUCAACACGAAUAUUUUAUGACAUAAUUAAUAAUUCAAUUUUAAUAUAAAUAUUCAAUAUGACUAAACAAUUCAAUAAUAUAAAUAAUAUAAAAUGUGAAAUUUAAUUUAAUAAUAUAAAUAGUAGAUAUAAAUAAAAUUAUUACUAUUUAUGUUUAGUGAUUUUUUUGGGAUAAUUUUGAUUUUUUAUUUGAGAGUAAAGGGUAAGAAGUAAAAGUUUAGAGGAAAAAUAAAAAGUUUUGGGGAAUAAAAGUUUGAGGGAAAGUAAAUAGAGGAGAGUAAAAUUUUAGAGGGAAAAUAUUAAAAAAAAUUGGAGGGGGGAGGGUUUGGGAUGGAUGGGAGGUGAGAUAGGAAAGGAAUAAAAGUUUUAGGGGAAAAGUGAGAGGGAGUAAAAAUUUUGGGGGAAAAUAAAAGGUUUUGAGGGUUUUUGGGAGUAAAAUUUUGAGAAAAAGUAAAUGGGAGAGUAAAAUUUUGGUGGAAAAUGGAUUUUGGGUAGAUUGGGGGGUUGAGAGGGGAGGAAAGUAAAAGUUUUGGGGGCAAAGUGGGAAGGAGUAAAAGUUUUGAAGGAAAAGUAAGGUUUGGGAGUUUGGGGUAAAAAUAUAAAAUAUUAUAGUUUGAUAUUCGAAUUAUUCGAAUUAUUCGAAUUCGAAAACUCAACUCGAUUGAUGGCAACGCGGAGGCUAGGGUGCAGCGGCGGCAGAAGAGCAAAGGUCAGAAGCAGGUGGCGGCCAGGAGCUAGGGUUUCAGCUUUUCUGAAACCCUAGUUUGACUUUGGUUUUUUGGGGUUGGAUAUUGGGCCUCGGGUUUGGGCUGCUGUAGUUGAUUUGGUUUUUUGGGCCUGUAAUGGGUUAUUUGGGUAUUUUAGGUUUGGGUUUGCUGUAUUUGUUUUGCUGGUAUGGGCCCAGGGCAAAAUGGGCUUGUACAAGAAAUAUAUAGGUUUAUAGUAUUAAAAAUUAAAAUUCUCAUACUUGGUCAUUAUACUUUAUCGUUAUACGAGAAAUAAAUAUUAAAUUCUUAGCUACAAAAAUAUAUCUAUUCCGUACUUAUGUUCAUCUCUAAUAGAGGUUGGGUUAUGCACAAAUUUGGAAAGUUUGUUGACAACGAAACAAUUAUUGUUUAGGGUCCGUUUGAUUGUGGUAAAAUAUUUUCCGGAAAAGGUUUUCAGCCUUUUCCAGUGUUUGAUUGGCUAAAAACAUUUUUCAUUUAGAAAAUGAAUUCCAAAACACGGGUAAAAUGCCUUACAAUUAGUGUCAAAGUCAAAUAUUACAACGAAGCAACAAAAUUUUCGGCCUCUUAAUUUUGCGUCGACUGAAGCAAAGCCGCCAUGAAAACUUAAAAGAAACUAAAGUGGACAUUGGUGUGUUUGAUUCCUUCGCAUUUGACAUGUUUACUUUGCUCAAUAUAUCAUAACAAAUAUAUUCUUGUGUUAGAGAUGAAUAAAUCUUGAGAUUCCCAUGAAAUGAUUCAACUCACUGGAAAAUCUCUCUGCCAAAGUUUGAAUAAAAUCAGAAAAGAAGCUUUAUUAUUUUUAUGAGUCAAUAAAUCCGGAUUAAGCAAUACUUAGGUCUCUAAUAAAUCUAUAUAUCAAAGCAUAAUGUCAAGUUUAGUUCUCAAAGUUUACAUUUUUUCACUAGUCAUCAUUGUCGCUAAAAAACGAUUUGACAUUUUUUCAAAGGUUAAUGACAAACUGAGUUAAAAAAGAAAAAAGAAAAAUAAGGGUUAAAUUGACAAAAUUUAAAUAUUAAAGGCUAAAUUUAACAUUAUGCCAUAAGUCAACCUUUUGAACUUAAUUCUAGAUUUAGUUAAAUUUUAAAUUGAAAAUUCAAAUUAAAUUCAGCCUUACGUUAAAUUUAAUUAAAGUUUAAUCACAAUCUUGAAAAGUUAACAAAAGUUAAACUUGACUUUCUAAUCUCCAACCGUAGGCCAAAUUUCUUUCUUUCAUAUUGAAUAAAACAUUAAUACAAAUACUCUUAAACUUAUAAGCUCAAACAUUCAACUAUAUUAUUUUUGUCUAAUGUCAUUUUCUUGUUUUGAAUAUAUCGUUUAGCAAUUGACAUUUAUACUAUUUUAAAAGAAAAUUGUUCAUGAUCUUAAACCAUUUUUUAUUUUUAUGUUUUAUGAACAAGAUUAUUUCUUUGAUAUUGUUGAGACAAGAUGUGAAGAAUAAAGUUGAGUGGUACUUGAAAGUGCCCACAGUAGGCUGCCAUUGAGGCAGUACCUUAUUUGAGUUGUCAAUCUAUUGAAUAAAAUCUUUGGCCCUGUUAAUGUGUUGUUAUAUUGAAGAUACUAUGGUUCAUCUAUAGAAAAACAAUCCUUGGCUAUUGAAGAUUGGAUUGGAUUCGAAUGAAUCAAUUCAACCCUUGGAAUGUGGAGGUCGAUCGAGAUUGUAUUGUUGAUUUUGGAGAGCAUGCCUUCGAUUAACUGUGUUCCGAUUAUUGAUGUUGUGAUAGCUGUUUUCAAGGAGUUACUUUAUAUUCACUUAGACUUGAUGCUAGCAAACCAAAUUGAGUGAAAAAAUGUAAACUUUGAGAAAUAAACUUAACAUUAUGCUUUGAUAUAUGGAUCUAUUAGAGACCUAAGUAUUGCUGAAUCCGGAUUUAUUGACUCAUAAAAAUAAUAAAGCUUCUUUUCUGAUUUCAUCCAAACUUUGGCAGAGAGAUUUUCCAGUGAUUUGAAUCGUUUCAUGGGAAUCUCAAGAUUUAUUCAUCUCUAACACAAGAAUAUAUUUGUUAUGAUAUAUUGAGCAAAGUAAACAUGUCAAAUGCGAAGGAAUCAAACACACCAAUGUCCACUUUAGUUUCUUUUAAGUUUUCAUGGUGGCUUUGCUGCAGUCGACGCCAAAUUAAGAGGCCGAAAAUUUUGUUGCUUCGUUGUAAUAUUUGACAUUGACACUAAACAAUAAUUGUUUCGUUGUCAACAAAGUUUCCAAAUUUGUGCAUAAACCAACCUCUAUUAGAGAUGAAGAUAAGUACGGAAUAGAUAUAUUUUUGUAGCUAAGGAUUUAAUAUUUAUUUCUCGUAUAAUGAUAAAGUACAAUGACCAAGUAUGAGAAUUUUAAUUUUUAAUACUACAAACCUAUAUAUUUCUCAUACAUUUAUUCUAACAAGUGGAGCAUAAUCAUAUGACUUUCACACAACCCAAGACGAUUGACUCUGUAAAUAACAUCUUAGUAAUGAAUUACAGUAACGUUAAAUUCAAUGAUGACAUUGGUGGCAUUUAUAAGGAUAGGGUUAAAUAGUGCAGUCCCUGUUGCCAUCGUGAAUUGGCCUCUUCCUCCGACCACCGCAAGCCCAGCUUCUCCCCUUGAAAACACGCUUAGAGAGCUUCCGUUGAACUUACCGGUAUUGAAUCCAAAAUCUAUGUACUGCGUGCUCGAUGCAUUUGAUCCGGCUAGGAGGGAAAUACCCUGAACAUUUCCAAUCAGCUCUGAGUCAGGCUCAGGACCAGUCCUGAGGGGAUCAUUAACGGCAACUAGGGUGGCAAAUGGCACUGAUGUAUUAUUGCUUGUGAUGUUAGCUUGGGUUAGCACGACUGCUGUAGUGCCCGUAAAUUCGUGCAUAUAGAAGUGAAGAUUGGUGACCACAACUGGCCUGGGUUGAUAUGGUAGGGUGUCCGAGUAGUAUUGGCUCCGCACUGCUACUUGGGAGAGGCAGAUGAUCAGAAUCCAACUCAACACCGAUGCUCCCCUCAUUGUCUCUGCUUUACUAUAAUUUCUGGGGUGAAGGAAAAAUGUUGAUGAAAGGUAGUGGAAUUUUUGCUUCAUGUUUAGACAUUUAUACUGAGAAAUCCUGCGGACUUUGGAAAUAAUGUAUUUGCCCAAAACAUUUGAUAUAAUAACUGGUUGAUUUUUCCCUAGUAAUAUUAAAAAGAAAACAAAUCUUGACCACGCAACGGUAGCUUGGUCUAAUUAGCAGCUUGAUUUUUGAAUAGGAAUAUACCUUUUUUAUAUACGUAUAUAUACGAAUUUCUUCCCUUAAUAAUUAGAAUGGUGAAGGUUGUAAACACCAUUUUAUCUAUAAAUAUAAUGUUUGGAAGUUUCCUGCCCUGCGUUUUUGUUUUUGUCUGAAUUUGACUUUUAAUUUAUCUGAUAUCAGAUAUUAGAUGUGAUUGAUGUGUUGGUUUUAUAAAUUAUUCUAUCUUCUGCUAAGAAAAGUCUGCUUGAUAUGAAGUCUUCUUUCUCUUUUUCUUUAAAUCUACGUACUAAAUUAUUAUAUUCCUACAAUGUUCUGUGUAUAAGAACUAAACGACAAGAAUAAAAGAAUAUAAUCGAUCAAUAUUAUAUUCCAUUAAUUCUAGAAUUCCCCAACCUUCAAAUAACUUCAUUUUCAUAGUGUCCUUGGUCAUAUGGAGCAGCAGCUACUCCUAAUCCUUUGCUCCUUCUGUACAAACCCAAAUAUGCCCGGGCCCAGACCAACAAACAAGCCCAAACAUUUAACCCCAAGCCCAAUAACUAAAUAGCCCAAUACUUAAAUAAAUGCAGAAAACCUUAGUAGCAGCAAGUAGCCGCCGCCCUCAAACGCCCCAGCAAUCUCCAGUCGCCGCAAGUUUCGGCCUCCACGCGUGCCGUUUCUCCGCAAACACCGCUCCUCAAGCACGUACCUGCAACAAGCGAAAGAGAAGAGCAAAAAAUCGGGCCAACAAACAACCGAAUAGAUUUAUUUGGAUUUAUUUUUUCUUUCCCAUUUUCGGCUAUAAAAGGCCAAUAUUUUCAGUGUAAAAAGGGGGAUGCAGUGUAAAAGAUACGAAAAUAGAGAGAAAAGAUUGAAAUACAAAGAAAAUUGAAGGUUAAUCGCGUUUAUUCUAUUUUCAUUUUUACUUUUUUUCUCUUUUCUUUUUUAUUUGUUUUGUGAAAUAAUAGAAUAAGAGGGGAAAAGGGAGACUUACCUUUCGCCGGAGUCUUCGAGCUGGUGUCCCCUCCGUCGGAAUCGAGGCGUGGGCUGAACGGCGGCCAAAGGGUUAAGGAAACCCAGAAAGAAGCAGUUUUUGCUUCAAAGGGAAAGGCAAAAUAUUACCCUGAAUUUGUUUUUUUUCUAAAACUUAAAACGGAACAAAGAUGGUGUUGUUUAGUUUGGGGGUCUGCGCAUAUCAACCUUAAGUGGGAGAAUUGCGCAAGAAGUCCUCCCCCUUUGCGCCAUGUUUUAUUGAGCCAGUUAUUUAUUUUUAAUUUGGCCCAAAUAUUUUUACCUUGUUUCAAGUCGGUCCCCAUUGCUGCGCACCGUUUGGGGAGAGGGAUUAUUUUCAUUUUAGGUCCCCCAUGUAGUGCGCGCGUCGCAAAUUGGUCCCCUUUCUUUUUUUUUUAAUUUCAUUUUUUGGUUAUUUUGUUUUUUUUUGCAUUUUUUUAAAAAUUAUUACUAUAUUAUUUAUUAUUAUUCCUAUAUUUAUACACGCAUUUUCUUUAUAUAGUAUAUAUACAUAUUUCUUUAUAUAAUAUAUAUAUUCUUAAACCUUUUUAAAUACAUGCAUUCUACAUACGUUUUAUAUAUUUAAUUAUUUUUUUGUAACUUUUAUGUACCUUAUAUUAUAUAUAUGCAUACUUAUACAUUUUCUUUUAUUCUGUGAAUAUAUACAUCUCCGCAUACUCUUAUAUUUUUUUUAUAUUAUUUUAUUUUUAUAGUUUUUGCAUUCAUAUAUGUACAUAUAUAUAUACAUAUUUUAAUACGUGCAUAAUUUAUAUAUAUAUUUUUUCCUUUUUUUGUUUUCAUAGUUUUUAUAAAUAAGUAUAUAUGUAUGUACAGUUAUAUUUUACAAUACAUAUGUAUUUUUCUUAUUUUUGUACAUAUACGUAUUUUCUUUGAAAUCUACAUACAUAUUUUUGGAGAUUACUAUAAGUUCUGUUGUACAUGUCUUUUUUACAUACGUAUACUUGUAUAUGUGUGUUAAAUAUAUGCAUACACAUAUUUUCAAAUUUACUUGUGUAUUGUGCUUGUGUUUACAUAUUUUGUAAAUACAUGUACAUAUAUAUUUUAAAUUAAAAUAUUUGUUUCAUAUUGUACAUUAAUUUUUAACGUACCCUUUGGAAAAUAAAUCUUGGUUUUUUCGAUAUAUCAAAAUCAUUUUUUCUUGAUUCAAGGGUUUUUUUUAAUAAAAGCAAUAUUCGAAGUUUGGGAUUUUCGAGGGAAAUUGAGCCCUAACGUAUUGGGUUCUAAUUUUCUUUGUUAAUCUUAAAUAACCGAGGAUAUUCUUCAUUCAAAAUGCAUGAGUAUAAAAAUCAUUUUUGGGAACUUAACUUGUUGUGCCCUAACGCAUUGGGUGUGGCAUGUUACUUUCUCAAAAUGAAGAUUUUCACAUAAAAUAAAAGUGAUAUUCAAAGUUCAGGGAUUAUGAGGAAUUGUACCCUAACGUAUUGGGACUCGAUUUCUUUACAUGACUUGAACAAUUGAUUAUCCUUUUUUCAAAUUUCAUCAUUUGAGCCGAUUUUAGAAAUCUUUUUAACCUUCGACACUAAGAUAUUAAAUGAUCAAUUUGGUACCGAUUUUGGGCGUUACGAGGGUGCUAACCCUUCCUCGUGCGUAACUGACUCCCGGACUCAUUUUCUCAAAAUUCGUAGACCAAAAUAGGGUGAGCCGAUCACACCUUAAUAAAGGAUCGGUGGCGACUCCAGUUUUAUUUUUAAAGUCGACAACUAAAAUUUUUGUUUUCAAAAAACGGUUUCGACAGCUUGGUGACUCCACUGGGGACAUUUGAGAGUCGAGUCAUGAAUUGAUUAUGCUUUGUCUUUUUGUCGAAAGUCAAUUUUUUUUAAAUCAUGAUUUCCUUUUGCAUUUAUUGAUUUUCAUCAUUUGCAUGAUUGAAUCAAGUUGGUUGAUCUGUAUUUGCAUUUUGCAUUGCAUGGUCAGUGUUACCCUUUAAGUGGGAGCGAGAAACUAGUCCUUCGUGAGGUUUUCACCUCCGUGCAGGGUAGUGGACCGCUUCCGAGAUACAUCCGUACCUAUGUCUUCGUGAGAUUUUCAUCUCCGUGCAGCCAUAGGGAAAUGUAUCCCCCUGAACUGAACUCGAUCCACAUGAGCCUAUAAUGGGUGAGGAUCGAGGAAUCUACUGGUUUGGGUACCCUUACUUUAGAAAAUAACCCUCAUAUAGUAAACAUUAGGAACUUACCCUAGGUAGAGCUAUACCAAACCCUAGAGGGGUCCUGAAUAGGUGCUUUUAUAAUUUCCUGUGUAUAUUGAAUUAUGAUUUUAUACAUAAUACUGACUUUUUUGUGUUUCACUUUGACUGCAUAGCAUUUAGACUGCAUGGCAUUUCAUUAUAGAAAAGAGGUGUUGAUUCACGUUUGGUUGUUAAUAGAGAGCUCACCAUGGAAAACGGGUUUCUUGAUAAGGUGGAAGAUAAUACGGUUGUCUGAGUACAGUCUAAGAAAACGUGACACGAAAGGUCUAACAAUUGGAGUAUACGAAUUUGCUACGUAACCUGAGAAUUCAAAUUGUCAAAGAUUAUUCAAAGUCAUCAAAGGUCCCAACCUCUUAAAGAAGCUAAUGAACGUGAAUGAGCAAGGAGUUAUGACCUAGAUCAAACAAAAAGGAGUUCGAAUUCGCGAGGUGCAUCUUAAUAUCCGAAUGGUCGAUGCCUUCGCUUGGAGUACGAAGGUGAAGCCGUAUAUAUAUAUCCGCUUUAUGUAAAGAGAUUUGUUUUUUAGUAAAACUUUCUAGUAAAGAAUUGAACAUAAAUCAACGUCUCUUUUUUGCAUUCAUUUCAUGCAUUUGCAUUUCAUUACAUUAUAUGCAUUAGACACCUUUAAAUGAUCCUAAUUAAUUAAAAUCCCUGCUCAGUUAACCUGGAAACCAACCAACCAACCAAGCACCGUUACGGCACUCGAGCAAAGAUUAAAGACAUGGAUCAGAGAUUGGAAAAGCUUGAACAAUACCAGAAGGAGAUGCAAGACUUACUUCAGCUACAAGUGCAGGAGCGGUUAGACAAGAUGCAACAGGAUAUGUCUGAGAAAAUGCAGGAAUCCCAAAAGGAUAUGAUGGCAAAGCUAACCAAACUAUUGACCGGAGGAGGUGAUAAGGGAAAGGGUCCCAUGGCUGAUGUCAAAGUGGGUAAUGAACCACUCUAUCUUCUAGGCUUUACUCCUCCACAUGUUCGAACUCAAUAUCCACAUAAACCCACUGUCACAAUCAAGCCUCAGCAGUCCCAGGCCAGUGCUUCGAACUUUUAAGUUAGAUUGGGCUCUAACCCCGAAAACUACCCUGUUAACUCUGUCAUUCCUGACUUUGAUGAAGUGGCUGAAAAGGAAAGAAUAAAAGAGGAGUUACCAAGGCAGUUAGAGGAAAGGUACAAAUGGCUAGAGGAGAAAUUUAAGGCGAUGGAAGUCACUGAAAGCUAUCGCGGGAUUGACGCCAAAGAGCUAAGCUUAGUUCCAGAUUUGGUACUCCCUCACAAGUUUAAGAUGCCAGAAUUCGAGAAGUACAAUGGGACAACUUGCCCAGAAGCUCAUAUCACCAUGUUCUGCAGGCGAAUGGCUGGAUACGUUAACAAUGACCAGCUAUUGAUACAUUGUUUCUAGGAUAGCCUUUCAGGGGCAGCAUCUAAAUGGUACAAUCAGCUAAGCCGUACCACAAUUGGUUCAUGGAAGGACUUGGCACAAGCGUUCAUGAAACAGUAUAGUCAUGUGACAGACAUAGUUCUUGACAGAAUCACCCUUCAAAAUAUAGAGAAGAAGCCGAACGAAAGUUUCAGGCAGUAUGCACAAAGGUGGAGGGAGGUCGUAGUCCAAGUUCAACCACCGCUCUUAGAGAGAGAAACAACAAUGCUCUUUGUCAAUACGCUGAAAUCUCCAUUCAUUACGCAUAUGUUAGGAAGUGCUACAAAAAGCUUUACUGACAUAGUCAUGAAUGGUGAAAUGAUCAAAAUGCUAUAAGAAGCGGGAAAAUUGAUACAGAGGAGAGUAACAAGAGGUCAGUUUCAAAUAGAAGAGAAAAUAAGGUGAACAACACAGGUUACUCUAAAUUAGUUACCGUGAGUCAGCCAAGAAAGGUGGUUGGUAAUCAACAGAAUUCAUCGAGGCAAGAUUCCGGCAUGAAGACUGAGAAGUUUCAGUUUACGCCAAUCCCAGUACCGUAUAAAGAACUGUAUCAAAAUUUGUUUGAUGCACAUGUUGUUUCCCCUUUUCAUGUGAAGCCUCUACAACCUCCGUAUCCCGAAUGGUAUAAUGCGAACACACAAUGUGAAUACCAUGCUGGGGUUACGGGACACUCGAUUGAGAAUUGUACUACCUUCAAGAAGCAAGUUGAAAGACUCAUCGACAUGGGUAUUGUCAAGUUUGAUGACCCAUCUAGUGCAGGAAAUCCGCUACCUAAUCAUGAUGGAUGAUGGAGGGAAUGCAAUGUAUGAAGAAGUGGUGAGGUUUUCAUAUCGAUGCCAUAUAUGCAGACAGAAAUAAAAGGGUCCUUGUUAGAUAUUCGCCUAGGAGGUUUUAUAAAUAAUGGGACUGUAGAGGAAACCCUGUAGUAUUUAGAGUUUGUUAGAGUAAUGUUCAGAACACACUUGUUGCUUUUAGCCUAGAAGCAAUGAGAACCUCUUUGUGAAAUAGGCUCACGUCUAAACAUUAUUAUUUUAAUGAAAUACAUUAUUACAAUCAUCUUUGAGCAAAUGUUCUUUCAUUCUUUACGAUUUUUUUCAUUCAUUCAGAUUCUUUUCUUCCAAACCAUUCAUUUAUUCAUUCAUUUAUUUGUAUAUCCUUUAGCACCCACUGUGGGUCCCCAAAUAUCAAUGACAUGAGUGACGCUGCUACAGACUCAAAAUUGCCUUCUGAGUGAGACAUGUGUUUAGAGGGAUCUCAUGACUUUGAAGAUGUCAUAAAUUGUAGUCUAUUUCUAGACUUAUUAAGGAUGGUAGAGCAGGAAGGAAAUUUUACCUCAUGAGGAGACAAUAGAAACUGUGACCUUGAGGGAACAUGCAUGAUCGAAGAAACAAAGCAAGAUGUUGUUGAGCUACUUCAAGAAUUCAAAAAUGUCUUCGUAUGGUUAUACCAGGGUAUGCCCAGGUUAAACACUGUCAUUGCAAUCUGAACAACAACACAAUAUGAGAAAUUUACAGUAUGUUUAAGAUUAAUAUCAUGAAUGAUGUAGUGGAAACUGUACCAGAGCAGUACCUCUCUCUUUAACUCAUCACGGUUUUUUCUAUUGAAGUUGAAAUUCUUUCUCUCCGGGUAUUGGCUGAGCAGGUUGGAUGAAGCAGAACAGAUCCAAUCGCAAUGUGAUCAAUUGAACUUGAUAGAAGGAAGAAGAUUAAAAGUUAUUCAUCAUGGUCAGAUGUACCAGAAAUGAAUGAUGCGAGCCUAUAACAAAAGGUUCAUCCUAGAGAAUUCCACGAGGGUGACCAAAUGUUGUAGAUCUUCCCUCUACAAAAAAUAUUUUGGAAGGAAACGGAUGCCAAAUUGGGAGGAACCUUAUGAUUAUAGAGAAUGUUUUUUUCAAAGGAGCUUUGAUUUUGAGCGAGAUGGAUGAUAAAACCUGCAAAGUCCUGUAAACUCAGAUUCAGUCAGGAAAUACUCUACUUAAAGAAGGAGAGGACCAAGGUAAAAACCCGCAAAGGGCAGCUUGAGUCCCAAAAAAAAAGAAAAAGAAGUGAUGUGAAAAAAUGAAAAGAUGAAAAUAAAAAAUGAAAAAGUGAAAUGGAGAGGCUAAGGUGAAAACCCGCAAAGGGCGCCUUAGACCAAAGGGGAUUUGAGUUGAAACCCCAAAAAGGGCGGCUUAAAUGUUGGUCAAAAUGGCGUUUGAAUUUUUCAGAGCAGCUCAAAUACUGAUCAGAAUGGGGGCAUGCAGUGGUCUUGCUAUACCUGAAUCAACAGGAAAGGGUAGGCGACAUCUUGGGGCAUCGACAAAGUACUCCUAAACACAUGUUAAACUCAGAAUGGUCUUUAAAAAUCUGUACAGAGAAGUUCAAGCUGCGAUAUCUGGGGCAUCUAAUCCUUAUAUUAUUUUUUGUUAUUCUUGGAACACUUCAUUCAUUUCCAAGAUAUGCAUUCCUAAAUCAAUUUCUUUGUUAUCCAUCUUUAUUAUCUUUGACAACUUAUUCAUUUCAAGCUAUGCUCAGAACCAACUCAAUUCUUAUCCAUGAUCUUUUUUGCAAGCAUGUUGCAUUAGAAUAAUGAUUAAUGGACUAAUAAAACUUUCACAAGGGAAGUUUUGCAUAUUACUCUAGAAGUUUCUGAAUAAUAUAGGAACCUCAAACAAGACUAUUGUUUAGAACGCACCAGGUUGGAAAUCUGAUAAAGAAGAGUCAACAUUAAGACUAUCUCUUUAGAUUUUCUUGUCUAAAGUAUUACUUGAACAAAAUGGUAAGAUGUCGUGUUGGUGACAAAGCUUCAAUGAAUAAGCAAGUAAUGAUCACCGAAUAAUAAGAAGAAGUUGUUCUUGGAGAAGAUUUCUUCAUUUGUGCAUGAGCAUUUGGUACAACACCCUGGGAAUGGUGUAAGAGACCAAAAAGUUUCACAUCCUGUAUCCUUGAAUUGUGAUAACAGAGGAUUGAGAAAAGGCCAAAUUUUUUACUCUUGGGUUACAACGGGAAAAGAUGGUACAAAUUUUGCAUCCCAGUAGAUCAAACUUGGAGGUUUACAGCGUGGGGCAAUCUGGUCAAGUGCUUAUUGGGUUCACCAGCCGAGCAUAAAGACGCUAUAGUACAUUAAGCGAUAAGACCUUAAUAAACUUGGAGUAAUGACAACUCAAGUGUUAAAAUAUCAUUUUUAUGACAUUCUACAUUCAUUCAAAUGUCAUUCAUACAUGUCUAGUUAGGAGAAUUUGAUUCAUUUGAUCAUGACAUCCUAUUCACUAGGCAUAAUUAGGUUCACAAAAUAAAUCAUACAGGUAUGUUCCACAGAGAACAGAUUGGUGAAAUCAUAAAGCCUUAUCUCCUUGAGUUGCCGUGGAGCAGGUUGAAAAGAUAGCAAAUCUUGUCUUCCCAUACUGGUGGUGAAGUAGAUCAAAGAAAGUAGAUCUUAUCUUCAUGUACUGGCGUGAAGUAGAUCAGAGAUAACAGAUCUUGCCUUCCCAUACUGGUGGUGAAGCAGAUCGAAGGAAAAAGUAGAUCUUGUCUUCAUGUACUGGCGUGAAGUAGAUCAGAAAUACCAGAUCUUGCCUUCCCAUACUGGUGGCGAAGCAGAUCGAAGAAAGCAGAUCUUGUCUUCCCAUACUGAUGGUGAAGUAGAUCGAAGAAAGCAGAUCUUGUCUUCAUGUACUGGCGUGAAGUAGAUCAGAGAUACCAGAUCUUGCCUUCCCAUACUGGUGGCAAAGCAGAUCAAAGAAAGUAGAUCUUGUCUCAAUGUACUGGCGUGAAGUAGAUCAGAGAUACCAGAUCUUGCCUUCCCAUACUGGUGGCGAAGCAGAUCAAAGAAAGUAGAUCUUGUCUUCAUGUACUGGUGUGAAGUAGAUCAGAGAUAACAGAUCUUGCCUUCCUAUACUGGUGGCGAAGCAGAUCGAAGGAAAAAACAGAUCUUGUCUUCAUGUACUGGCGUGAAGUAGAUCAGAGAUACCAGAUCUUGCCUUCCCAUACUGGUGGCGAAGCAGAUCAAAGAAAGCAGAUCUUGUUUUCAUGUACUAGCGUGAAGUAGAUCAGAGAUAACAAAUCUUGCCUUCCCAUACUGGUGGCGAAGCAGAUCGAAGGAAAAAGUAGAUCUUGUCUUCAUAUACUGGCGUGAAGUAGAUCAGAGAUACCAGAUCUUGCCUUCCCAUACUGGUGGCGAAGCAGAUCAAAGAAAGCAGAUCUUGUCUUCAUGUACUAGCGUGAAGUAGAUCAGAGAUAAUAAAUCUUGCCUUCCCAUACUGGUGGCGAAGCAGAUUGAAAGAAAAAGCAGAUCUUGUCUUCAUGUACUGGCGUGAAGUAGAUCAGAGAUACCAGAUCUUGCCUUCCCAUACUGGUGGCGAAGCAGAUCAAAGAAAGUAGAUCUUGUCUUCAUAUACUGGCGUGAAGUAGAUCAAAGAUAACAGAUCUUGUCUUCCCAUACUGGUGGUGAAACAGAUCGAAGAAAGCAGAUCUUGUCUUCAUGUACUGGCGUGAAGUAGAUCAAAGAUACCAGAUCUUGUCUUCAUGUAUUGGCGUGAAGUAGAUCGAAGAAAACAGAUCUUGUCUUCAUGUAUUGGCGUGAAGUAGAUCAAAGAUACCCGAUCUUAUCUUCCCAUACUGGUGGCGAAGUAGAUCGAAGAAAGCGGAUCUUGUCUUCCCAUACUGGUGACGAAGCAGAUCGAAGAUGGCAGAUUUUACCUCCCUGAGAUUACAGUGGAGUACAUUGAAGCCAGUUAUUCCUAUCUCAUUGAAGUUGCAAUGGAGUGGAUUAAAGUACCAGUUCCUAUACCUCUGAAGAUGCAGUAGGAAGGAACAAGGCUACUGGAAAGAGAAGCAUGGAAUAAGUUGAGAUUCAGUAGGACCGGGCACAAUUGGGCCUUGUAGUCUUUGCUCUAUUCCCGUUACACGACAAUGAGCAAAGAGGGGCAGUUGUAAUAGGCCCAAUCGAUCCAGGUCCAAACAAAAUUAAAAUCAGUCCAAGAUUUACAAGCUCAUCUAAAGCAAACACGGCCCAAAAGAAAAAAGAAAAGCUAAACCCUAGAACCUUCAGCAAAUGGCAGCAAGGAGCGCCGCAGCAAGCCGUCAGUGUCGUGCCCAACGCCCAGUCGCCGCACAACUCGGAGGUCGACCUCCCCACGCGCGUUUACACUCCAUGAACGCCUGAAAAAACGGACUCAAGGAGUCCAAAGAAAAACAAACAGGAAGCAAUAUUUUUUUCCCUUCUUUUUUGAUUUAUUUUCUUUCUCUUUUUCGGCCUAUAAAAGGCCAUUUUGUAAUCUGUAAAAUGGGGGGGAUUUUCGGUGUAAAGGAAUACACAUAGAAACACUGAAAAAUACAGAGAAAAAGAAAGAAAGAUACAAACUUUUCUUGAAUAUAAAGGUGGCUUUUUUUUUUCCAGCGUUCAUUAUUUUUUUCAUGUUUACUGUUGAUUUAUAAAGAGAAGAGAGUGAAGAGGAGUUUACCUCUGUGUUCGGGCCGCCGUUUGCUACCAUCUCCGCCGCAAUCGGGGAUCCGGUUCAAAAGGCCGACGAGCUACGGCGCAGAAGGAAAAAUUUUAAAAAAACCCUAGCAAAGGAUUCUCAAUUUUUUUCCCUUUCAGCUGUAAAUAAGUUUUUAACAAAAAAAUUUGUUUUAAAUAACAAAAGUGAAACGGCGCCAUUUUGCAAUGGGCUAGAUCCGCGCGUCGACCCGACCUGCAAGCAGGGUCCGCGCGUUCUGGCCCUGAAUGGGGAAUUUACGCAACUGGUCCCUCUGUUUUUGAGUCACCUUCAAUGCAAUUUUUUUUAUUUUCAAUUUUGACCGCACGCUUGUUUCUUGUUUCAAUUUGGUCCAACAUGAAAACGCUGCGUAUAAGGGGCUGGUACAUUUCUUGUUUGCUCCUUGAUGUUUCCAGCGCACUACAAAUUAGUCUUCAGCUUUUAUUAUUUUAAAUGUUUACCUGAAAGUUUCCUGUAGUUUCAAUUUGGGUCCCUUGUUAUUAAUUAUUUUAUUAUUAAAAUUAUUUAUUUUUAUUAUAUUAUUUAUUAUUAUUGAUUAUUAUCAUAUUUUCUAUACAUAUAUAUAUACGCAUAGUUUUUUUUAUAUAUAAUAUAUCUAUGGGCAUUUUUUUUAUAUAUAGGUAUAUAUAUAUUUUUAAGCUUUUAUAAAUACAUGCAUAUAUUUUAUACAUAUGUUUUAUUUUUGUUUUUUACUUUUUUAUAUAUACUUUUUUUUGUAAAUAUAUACACAUGUACAUAUUUUUAUAUUUUUAUCUUAUUUUCAUAAAUUUCGCAUACAUAUAUAUACAUGCAUAUUUUCUUAGGAAUUAUAAUAGGUUUUUGUUUUGUUUUAUGUAUUUCAUUUAUUUUUUUAAUUUUAUAUACGUAUACUUAUAUAUACCUGUUUUAAUAUAUGCUUAUACACGUUUUCAAAAUUUAUUUAUGUCUCAUACUUAUAUUUUGAAAAUACAUAUAUACAUAUAUUUUAAAUUAAAGUAUCUGUAUCAUAUUGUAUAUUAACUUUUUAACAUACCCUUUUGAAAAUAUAUUUUGGUUUUAACCAUUCAUCAAAGUUAUUUUCUUGAUUUAAAGGUUUUUUUUGAAUAAAAGCAUUAUUGGAAGUUUGGGAUUUUCGAGGGUAAUUGAGCCCUAACGUAUUGGGUUCUGAUUUUCUUUGUCAAUCUUAAAUGACCGAGAAUAUUCUUUAUUCAAAAUGCAUGAGCAUAAAAAUCAUUUUUGGGAACUUAACUUGUCGUGCCCUAACGUAUUGGGUGUGGCCUGUUACUUUCUCGAAAUGAAGAUUUUCGCAUAAAAUAAGAGUGAUAUUCAAAGUUCGGGGAUUAUGAGAAAUUGUACCCUAACGUAUUGGGACUCGAUUUCUUUACAUGACUUGAACAAUUGGUUAUCCUUUUGUAAAUUUCAUCAUUCAAGCUUAUUUUAAAAUCUUUUUUUCAAAUUUUCGACACCAAGGCAUUAAAUAAUUAAUUUGGUACCGAUUUUGGGCGUCACGAGGGUGCUAAUCCUUCCUUGUGCGUAACUGACUCCGGAACUCAUUUUCUCAAAUUUCAUAGACCAAAAUCAUUUUUAAGGUGAGCCGAUCACACCUUAAUCAAGAAUCGGUGGCGACUCCCAUUUUCGUUUUUAAAGUCGAAAACUAAAAUUUUUGUUUUCAAAAAACGGUUUCGACACCUUCCACUUCUUUCCUGUCAAGUUUGGUGAAAUGUAAAUUACCUACAAAAUAUAAGUAUAAAUAACUAAUUGUAUAGGUUUACAAAAUAAGAAAUUCAGUUCAACAAAAUAAUUAAUAUUUUAUAAUCUACCAAGUGAUUUUGAGGCAGUGCCAACCCUUUUGACAUCCUAAAUUUUACUCUUCCUCCGAUGAUCGCAAGCUCACGUUCUGUCUGCGUUAUAGCGUUUUCGUGAGAACUGUUUGGUAUACGUGGGGGGACGAAAUAAAAUUAAGUGGAUUGAGCAUUGAGUCAUGAUAAUAACUUCAGUCCGAUACUACUCCUAAUAUUUUCCUAUUUCGUUUAUCCUUCUACUUCUUUCCUGUCAAAUUUGGUGAAAUGUAAUUUUCCAACACAAUAUAAGUAUAAACGACUAACUGUAUCUGUUGCUACUUUAAAUUGUUUACUUGCUAAAAUACAAAAUUGAAAGGGAAGUGUUAGAUUGUAGUGGUCACUACGGCUUGGCACUUCCAAAUGCCAAUUCUGUGCAAACAAAAUUAUAAAGAACAUUAAGGUUUCUUUACAUAGUUCGGUUUCUUUAUGUCCAUAGAGUCUAACUCAGUGAGUAAUUUUACUAUCUUUAACUACACUCUAUCACUUCUCAAGAAUAGAAAUCUCACCUUUGUACCUGAAGAUUAGAACACUCAAUAAGCUCUCAUACAAAACCUAAACAAGCCUGUAUAUUCAAUUUCGGCUUGCUAACAUGGAAUCUAAGUGAACACAAUUUUACACAUUAAAACCAGCUAUUACAAUUACAACUUUCAAAGCAGAAUCAAACGAAGAUAUGAUUUCCAGAAUAGCAAUGCAGUCUUGAUCGAAUCUCGACACUUUCCAUGGGUUGAAUUGAUUCAUUCAUAUCCAAUCAAAUCCUCAAAAGCCAAAGACUAUUUUGCAUAGAUGGACCAUAGUAUCUUCAAUAACACAUCACAUUAAACAGGUCCAAAUAUUUUUUUGCCACCACCUUGACGAAUUAGUCUACAGUGACAUUAUCGAGUACCAGUUAGCAACUAUCAACUCAUCUUGCCUCAGUAGUAUCAGUUUACAAAAAUAAGAAAUUUUGGUCUACAAAGUAAAUAAUAUUUUAUAAGUUUUAGUAUUUUAUUUUCCAAGUAAAGUCCCACGACCUGGAAUUUUUUUGCACUAAAUAUUAAAUUUUUUUACACAUGCAAUGUGGUUGAGAAAAAUGUUGUAUAAAAUUGAUAUCUCGAGAAAUAAUUAUAUUCAAAAUAAAAGAUUUAAUAUUUUUUUUCUAAGGAGAUAAAUUAUGGUAUUUAAUUUAAUUUUGUUUUUUUUAAAUAUUGGUAAUUUAGUUAAGGAUACGAAGUUUGAAGUGGGUAGUUAUAGAGUAAUCGGUGCUAGAACAAAUUUUUGCCACCAUCUUGACGUUUUUAAUUAUCUAUGUAUAUAUUGAAAGUUGAUUAGUUAAUAAAAAUUGUGUCUAAAUUGGAUUGGACCGACUUAACUAAAGGCCCAACACAAUGAAAAACUAUAUUUCAUUUAAAUGGAUUUAGGAUCUAUUCAAUUUGGGUCUUAUACGAUGUACUGUCAGUCUAGUUAGUUACAUCUAUAUUCUUAUCUUUUGGGAGUAAUUUGUUCUAUAUUAAAGAUAAGAUAUGUCACCAAUUAGGCUAGAUAGAGAACAUAUUAGUAUUUUAAUCGAUUUUCUCAAUUCCGAUUAGACUAAGGACGUGUUUAGAUUAUCUACUAAUAUAAAUUGUCUUUUUAUAUUAUGAGUCGACCACAUAAUAUUGCUUACUAUUAAUUAAGCGUUGGAUAAUUAGUGAGUUAAUAUUUGUUUUCAUUUUGUUUUGCAUGCAAAAACCAUUAAGAAUAAUAUAUGAAGAUGUUAAUGAAACUGAUGAAUAUUUUAUUAAAUCAAUUUGUUCGAAAAUUACAACUACAUGUAGACGACAAUACUACACCAAGGCACUAGAUCCCAAUGCACCCAAGAGACAAUUUUCUAACCACUAAAUUCUCCUAUUGAGAACAUAGCAUGUAAAGCCACAAUACAAAAUUUGUACAAUCAUAUGCACUCUUACAAAUAAUGUUUCUCACUUGAAUGUAUUAAAUGUUAUAAAAAAUCAACACAUCAACAUUAAUCUAUACAAGUCUCUCAAUUAAAUAAAGAUUUCGAGACAUGCUAUCAUCAUAAAAAUCUGUCAGAAACCUAUUAAACAAUAGCUAUAUAAGCUAAAAUACCAUAUAAUAAUAACAACCAAGAUAAAUAAGGACUGUUGACAACUAAGUCUUCAACAUUUUAAUCUGAUCCAACCUCCUUGGUCUAACGUAUUAGAUAGACUUGCACUUCCUCAAGCAUAUUUUUAUAAUAUUUCAAGUAAUAUGAUAUUCUUUCAACAUUAAUGAGGCUUUAAGUUCAAAUACCUCUAUUUGUGGAUUUGGUCCAGAAAAGGAAAAUAAUUUGCUACAUCAAACAAUAGUAUUCUAUGCAUAAGAACUAAGCAACAAGAAUAGAAGAUUAAUACAAUCAAUCGAUAUUCUCCCGAUAUAUGAAGAUUAAUUCUAGAGUUCCCCAACCUUCAUUAACUUUUCUGUUAAUUGUAUGUACUACAAUUCCCUUUAGACCAAAUAACUUCAUUCUAGUAGUGUCCUUGAUCAUGUGGAGCAGUAGCUACUCCUAAUAUUUAACUAAUUCUUUGGUCCUUUCACUUCUUUCCUGUCAAAUAUGGUGAAAUGUAAUUACUUAGACAAUAUAAGUAUAAACUAAUUGUAUCGGUAAAUUUAGUUAUAAGUUUUAGUAUUUUAUUUACCAAGUAAACUCCUGUAAUUUUUUUUUUCAACAAAUACUAAAAUUUGUGACACCCACUAUGUGGAUGACAAAAAAUUUUAUGUAAUUAAUUCCUCAAGAAAUAUUUAUUUUAAAAUCAGAUGUCAUGUGAUUAAUAUAAUUUUGAAAUAUUAAAGAGUAGCUUCAACAUCUUUAAUUAUUUUAAAAAUAUAUAAUUAUCAUGGAUGGCCCUUCUAACAACUUUGGCCAGCCAUCAUGCUCCGAAAUGGCCCUUGGAGACAACCAUAGUUGUUAAGGUACAUGAGGAGCAAGGGCCAUUUAUCCUCUUCUCGGCAUUGCUUGACAACUUACACAAAUUUGGGUCAUCUGGCAACUUGGAGGCUGACAAUUUCUGAUGGUCUUCUAACAACUUUGGUCAACAAUUACGCUCGCAGAUGGCCGUUUGAACAACUUUGGCUGGCCAUAACGUUUAAGGUUAAAUUUGACAUUAUGUUUUGAUUUAUUGAUCAAGCUUAAGAAUUGCGAAAUCUGAAUUUAUUGAUUCAAACAAAAUAUUGUAUCACUAAAAAUAAUAAAGCUUAUCCCUUUGACUUAGUUAAAACUUUUGUGUAGAGAUUUUUCAUUAAAGAUAUUGGUGAUUUCAAUCAUUUCUUGAAUUGACGUCUCAAGAUUUAUUCAUCUCAACACAAGAAUAUAUCUGUUAUGAUAUAUUGAGCAAAGUAAACUUUCUCAUUUUUUUGGUAAACCAACCUCUAUCAGAGAUGAAAUAAAUACUGAAUAGAUAUAUUUAUGUCUCUUUUGUAGCAAACAAUUUAAUCUUUAUUUGUAAUAAAAUAAUAAAGUACAAUGAUGAAGUAUGAGAUUCUCAUACAUUUAUUGUAAUCAAGUGUAGCAGAAUCAUAUGACUUUUUCACAGUCCCAGAGAAUUGAGUCAGUAGAUAACAUCUUAGUGAUGAAUUGCAGUAACGUUAAAUUCAAUAAUGACAUUGGUGGCAUUUAUAAGGAUAGGGUUAAAUAGUGCAAUCCCCUUUGCCAUCAUGAAUCGUCCUCUUCCUCCAACCACCGCAAGCCCAGGUUCUCCCCUUGAAAAUACGCUUAGAGAGCUGCCAUUAAACUUACCGGUAUUAAAUCCAAAUUCUAUGUACUGCGUACUCGAUGCAUUUGAUCCAGCCAGGAGCGAAAUACCCUGAACAUUUCCAAUUACCUCUGAGUCAGGCUCAGGACCAGUCCUGAGGGGAUCAUUAACGGCAACUAGGGUGGCAAAUGGCACUGAUGAAUUAUUGCUUGAGAUAUUAGCUUGGGCUACCACGACUGCAGUAACACCCGUAUGUUCGUGCAUAAAGAAGUGAAGAUUGGUGACCUUAGGUGGCCUGGGAUGAUAUGGUCGGCUCUUCGAGUAGUAUUGGCUCUGCACUGCUACUUGGGAGAGGCAGAUGAUCAGAAUCCAACUCAACAUCAAUGUUCCUCUCAUUGUCUCUGCUUUACUAUAAUUUCUGGGGCGAAAUGUAGAUGAAAGCUAUAGAAUUGUUUCUUUAUUUUUAUUAAGAAAACAGAAAUAUUUAUAGUGAUAAAACCCGCAGACAUGAAAAUAAUUUAUUGUCCCAAAUAUUUUAUAUAAUAUUUCGCCGUAGUAAUAUUAAAAGGAACACAAACCUUGAUCACGCAAAAGAAACAUGGUCUCAUUGUCUAUGAUCCACUUGUAAAUUAAUUUUAUAUUGGAAGUUUCCUCUCCUACGUUUUUAAUUUCGUGUGAAUGGGGCAUUGUCCAUUGACUUUAUUUUAUUUGAUCUUAUAUAUUACUUGUGAUUGAUUUUAUAAAUUAUUUUAUCUUCUGCAAAUAAAAGAUGUUUGAUUUUAUAAAUUAUUUAUUUGAUACGUUUUUUCGGGUAUUCUAAGAUUUAUAUAUGACAAAAAAAAGAAGAUAGGAGUGAGUUAUCAUAGAAUAUUUAAGAAAUUUUUUCUUAUAUAUACAUCUUAGAAUGCCCGAAAAACCUAAAAAAAUGCAAUUUCCUGUAAUUUAGUGUACAAAUUCAUAAAAUCGACACGAACUACCACAUGGCCGUGUGGAAUGGGUCAGCCCGUGUGGCUCAUGUAGCUUACUCUGAUUUUCCAUUCUUCACACGUUUUGCUCCCAAAUGCUCUAUUAAGCAUUAAAAUAUGAAUUUAAAGGAUUAGGAUAAUAAAAUUCACCAUUAACAUUGAAAAAUCACCUAAAAACGAAUUAAGAGCGAGGUUAAAAUAUGGUUUCUUUUAGCACUCAUCAAAUAUCUCCAUACUUAAGCGUUUGCUUGUCCUCCACAAUCAAGUGCGCUUCCCUUAAUUUGUUGUUUUCACCGAUAAUGUCUCAGGAUAAUCCACAGAUAAUCAAGCAUUAGAAAUUCGAACUAAAAUGACACUAAAGAAUACAAGUAAUCUAAGCAAAAAUUUUCAAUACAUAAAAACAAAGGCAUCUCUCCUAUCUCAAUAAUUACAUGAAAUUUAAACUCAACAAGAAUUGACAUCCUCACUAAGGAUCACUCAAAGCACUCAGAGUCUUUAAUGUUCAAGGACUAUGCACUUAAUAGUCGAAUGAGAAAUGUUAUUACCAUAGGCUUGCUUGAAAAUUAGAUCUCUACCACUAAAGAAAUGAGAUGACACACCUAUUACCUCACAUAAAUACUAAGAAACCUUUAGUUUAAUAUGAUCAGUAAAAUGCAUGUUUCACUAAGUAGAAGAUCUAAAAGGACUUAAUUUGGUUUCUAAACUCAUGAAAGAUCAAGUUGCCAUGGAAUGCUUUCCGAACACUGUUAAGUAUGAUGAAAAUAAAUUAAGUUGAUUAAUGUAAUUAUCUUAACCUAUACAUGUUAUUGAUUGUUGAAGUUGUGUUUCUGUUGCUAAAAUUCAUUCAUACAUUUAGAUUAUUUUGCAUACUUAGUUUAAAAAUGCAUUAGGGACCAAAUUUUGCAUCCAGUUAAAUUAAUUUAGUUAAAUCAUCAUCACUAAAAUUAUUGUGUUUGAUAAUACUCUGGAUUGACAUAUUUUUAUGUAUUAAUUACAUAAUUAUUUUGAGUAUGAUCCUGCUAAUUUGAGCUAUUUAUGGUUUUUUUAUAUGCUAGGGAUUAAAUUGAAGGCAAAAGGAAAUUUAGGAGCAAAAAGCAUGAAUUUGAAACAAAAUGGGCCAGCAUGCGAAAUAGGAAAGAAGUUGUGCCAAAAAUGCAAAGUGUGGAAGACUUGAGAGCAACAGUUCAAAGAAAAGAUUUUAUAAACACAAUACUCUAUUUAAAUUUUAAUUAUAUUAGGAUUAUUGUUAAAAUUAUUAUUUAAAUUUCAUUUUAGCUUUUAUCUUUAUUUAUCUUUUAGAAUUUAGAUAGGAAUAAACUAGGUUUUCUGAGUACUAUAAAUAGAGGAUGGAGUGACAUAAAUUGCACUAAUCUUUUCUGUAAAAGCUCCCUCUCCCAAAAAGCUCUAGCUUUUGUUCCUUUUAUUUAUUCAAUAAAAUUCCAUUUUUAUUAAGUUUAUUUCUUUUUCCCCAAAAAGCACGAGCCACUAAAUUCAUCUAGCCAAAGGUUGUCGAAGAUUCCCCAAAAAGGGUUCAUGAGGCUUAGAAUCCACACUUAACCUUCUCAACAAAUAUUCGUCAUUUCUCUGUAUUACAGGACUGACGCUUCUAUCCAUGUCCCUUCAAAUGUGAUCUUUUCAUCUUGUACAAAGGCGGCCGCUUUAUAUGUUUUGGGAAGGUUGCACAGUCGGUUCGUUAGCCUACUGCGUCAGUGCUUGUCAAGUCCAAGAGACAAAAUAGCGUGGCAUUCGCCAUUGAGAAGUGAUGAUCUAGUGUAAAACGGUUCCAUAAAAGUGACGAUUGGUUAGAGUCAGGUUCCACUAUAUCGUGAGUCUAAAAUCUAAGUGGAGCUGGUGGUCAUAGGCGUCCUCUUCCACUAUAACUGGCUUAUUCUGUUAUGAUAAGGAUCAUCUAAAAGCCUAGGAUUGAACCUGAGGAGGAUCGAGAUAACCGAAGGCUGGAAUCUCUUUAUCAAAAACUCUAUUUUCUUAAUUCUGUUUAUUUUUACAGUUUCAAUUUCAAUUUAUGCAAUCUCAACUCAACCAAACUUUUAAUUUUGUUUUUUUAUUCUUUUCCAGGCACGCUAUUUUUAUUGGGUAAGACUUUGCUCGGGAUAUCGAGGAAGAGGAACCUGUGCAAGUCCAAUCCCUGAAGAUUUGACCCUACUUCCCUUAUACUAUUCUUUUCAUUAUUUUAUAGGGAUAUGAUACUUUUGGUUCUCUCAACGAUGCACCAAAUUUUGACACUGUUGCUGGGGACUAGUAACGUACUAAUCUUGCUCAUUUUGUUUCUUAUUACCAGAUCUGUUCCAAGUAUUCUUACAUUUGAUUCAGAGAUAGAGAAGAUUGCGUGAGCUAAUCGCAAAGAAACAAAACUACAUAAAAAGCAGUUAGGGGUGGUAAGGACUCAGACUAACCCACCGCUGGAGAUAGAAGCAGAUGACAAUGUGUCUAGGGUUAACGAAAACCCUACUCAAACACUAGAAAAUGAAAGAGUAGGAGUCGAUCCACCAGAAGAAGUGCUUAAUGUGAGGGUUAACGAAAUGCAAAAUAAAAAUCCACACAAACAUCUAAAAGAGUUUUAUAUGGUUUGUCUUAGCAUAAAACCUUAGGGCAUAACUAAGGAUCAAAUCAAAUUGGGUGCUUUCCCUUUUUCCCUAGCAGAUUCUACUAGGCAAAGGUUAUUUUAUCUACCCUCUAGAUCUAUUACAACUUGGACUGAUCUUUCUCGUUUGUUUCUCAAUAAUCUUUUCUAGCAUCGUAUGCAAUUGAGUUAAUAAGGGAGAUCGUUGGGAUAAGAAUAAAAGAAGUAAAGUCUCUUUAUGACUAUUGGGAGCGAUUUAAGAAGUUGUGUACAAGUUGCCCACAACAAGGUAUAACGAAACAGUCUUUACUCCAAUACUUCUAUGAAGGAUGGAAACCUAUAGAAAUGAACACGGAAGAUGCCGCCAGUGGAGGGGCAUUGGUCAACAUGACUCCCCAACAAGUAAGGGACUUGAUAUCCACGAUGGCUAUGAAUAAUCAACAAUUUUGAGCCAAUCCUAAACCCACUAGAAGGGUUCACUAGCUAAGUAAUUCAACCUUAGAAGAUAAAGUUGAUAGACUUACUAAUAUUAUGAAUUCUCUUAUUACAGAAAAAGCAAAACUAACUUGACUAUGCGGAAUUUGUUCCAUACCUAAACAUACAAUUGAUUUAUUUCCUAGUUUGUAUGAUGAUACUAUGGCCUAUUUGAAUGCUAUGGAGAACUUUCCUGGGCCACCACAAAGUCGAUAUGAUCCUUACGCUAAUACCUAUAACCCAGGAUGGAAAAACCAUCCUAACUUGAGUUAUAGGGUCAACCUACGAUAUAACUAGCCAUACCAAAAUUAGUUUCAACAAUAGCCGCGAGAUUGAUGUACUUCUCUAGAAACCAUGGUCAAUAAAUUAGCAACUAAUAUGCUUGAUUUUUAAUAGAAAACUGAGGUGUCUAUAAGAGAGUUGACCAUAUCAAUUGAGAAAAUGAACUCUUAAGGGAAGCUACCAUCACAAACAGAGCCAAACCCAAGACAAAAUGCAAAUGUAGUGACAUUUGGAAGAGAACUAGAACCAAUUCCUGGUAGAAAUCUUGGCAAAGAUUUUGCCCAAGAGAAGCACGAGAACGACGAACUAGUUCGAAUGAAACCUCCAUUGCCUAAAAUUCAACCUCCAUUUCCAAGAUGAUUGAACCAAAAUCGGAAAGGUAAAGAGGAUAAGGAGAUCCUCGAAACAUUCAGAAAUGUUGAGAUCAACAUACCACUAUUGGAUGCCAUCAAACAAAUUCUGUGAUAUGCCAAGUUUCAUAAGGAGCUCUACACCAACAAGUGAAAAUUAACUGGUAAUGAAAGGGUAAGCGUUGGUGAAAAUGUAUCCACAGUGUUAUAGUGGAAGAUGCCAACAAAAUGCAAAGAUAGGGGAAUGUUUACAAUACCAUGCAAAAGAGGCCACUUAGGAAUUAAAAAAGCUAUGUGUGAUUUAGGGGUCUCCAUAACUGUAAUGCAUUUUUCUAUUUAUGAAUCACUUACCACGGGUUUUUUAAUGAAAAUAGGUGCUAUCAUUCAGUUAGCAGACACGUCUAUUGUGCAUUCUGAAAGAGGAUCGAGAUAACUGGAGGCUGGAAUCUCUCCAUCAAAAACUCUCUUUUCUCAACUCUGUUUAUUUUUACAAUUUCAAUUUCAAUUUACGCAAUCUCAACUCAACCAAACUUUUAAGUCUAUUUUUUAUUUUUUUAUCCAGGUACGCCAUUUUUCUUGGGCAUGACCCUGUCCGGGAUCUUGAGGAACAAGAACUUGUACAAGUCCAGUCUUUGAGGAUUUGACCUUACUUCCCUUAUACUAUUCUUUUCAUUAUUUUAUAGGGAUAUGGUAUUUUUGGUGUUCUCAACGACGCACCAAUGUUUUUAUACCAAAUUGUGAAUUUAUAAAUUUGCAAAUAAUCAAUUAACACACACAGCCCCUGUGGAGAUGAUAACUCAUUUUACUUACUUAUUACUUGAACAACUGUGUACACUUGCACAAUAAUCCCGUUACAAAUGUUUUUCAUAUUCAAAAGGAGUAAGCUUUAUGCAUGUCAUGGAUGAGAAAAGUAUGGCACUAGGUGUAGAGAAAAGGAUAAAAUUUUUAAGAGGAUGUAGAGAUUAUAAGGUUUUCUAAAUCUUCUCAAAUAUAUUAAAAUUAUUUGACAAGAAUAUCCUUGUCCCAUAAUAAAUAUAUACCUUAAUCCUGAGUGGAUGAUGGACUAUGUAUGUGUGUAUCAUAUACUUUGAGGUAAGUAAAAGUCUGAGUUCAAAUAGAUAAGGAACCAAAAGUUGGUGCAUUGGAUAUACGACUUCUGUAGUAUAUAAGUUCGUUCACAAUAGUGGAAUUCAUUGCGCAACUAAUGGGUAAAUGAUACAAAUUCAUCUACAUUACAUGCUAGAUGAAAAUUAAACAUGAUCAUAGAUCGUUUGUCUUUGUGGUAAAUGGCUUGAUAACUAUUUGUCCUAGACAAAUGAUUCGUGGCCUUGUUACUUUUUCAUCUAUCAUUUAAUGCUAAUGAGAGAAUAUCAUUUACCCUUUAAUGGGUUAUGAAUUCCACUAUCUGAAUGAAGCUAUGUCGUGCAAAAGUAGUAUGCCUAACAUAUUAGCUUUCGGAUUUUUAGUUGUUUUGAACUCAAUCUUUCACUACAUCUAAGUGUACGAGUUAUGCACACAUAGUUAGUCACUUAGUCAAGUUUGAGGUAAGUCACUAUGAACAUCACAAAUAAAUUAAUCCACAAACAAAUCUAAGAUUAAUUUGAAUUGAGUCUUUCUUUAUGUAUUAUCAAUCCAGACAAUAACAUCUACGUCUCUAUCUUCUGGGAGUCAUCUGUUUCGAUACUAAAGACAAGAUAUCUAUCUAAUAGAACUUGAUAGACUGCAUAAUAAUCCUUUAACUGAUUUGCUCAAUUUCGAUUUAAUGGACCUUUUAAAUUAUCUACUAAUAUAAGUUAUCUUCUCGAAUUGAUCCGACCAUAUAAUACAACUUAAUAUCGGUUAAACGUUAGGUAAUCAAGGACUAAUAUUUGUUGACAUUUUACUUCUUUUGCGCUUGUUUUUAUAUUCAAAAUUUACCAUUUUCUUUUGCAAAUUCAUUUUAUUCUAUUUUAAUUAGUUUAUAGUUAACUACACUUAGACUCCCUUUGGAUAGGUGAUGAGAUUAAUCCGAUGAGAUUGAAAAUAGUGGUAGCGACAAUAUUAUCUACUAUUGAUGUACUAAAACAACUCUUCAUGACCAAAAAUAAAUUAAAAUUAAUAAAUUUUAUUUAUUAACAACAGAAUACCGCCAAACUCAAGAGGACGCCUCUAUAAAUGAAACUAUUCGUGGCAUUCAACGAGAGAAACGCCACUAAUAUAUACAAAUUAAAAUUUAAAAAAUUAAUUAUAUUUCUUAAUUGUAUAAUUUACGGUAUCUGAGACUUGGUCGCCACCAUGUGCACUAAUGUGUUAUCCGCUGAAAUGUUGAAAUUCGCUGGCUGACGUGAGUGAAUUAGCCGCGUUUUCUGGGUAACCUCCACUUAUCAUGCGCAUAAGCCACUACAGGAGUACCUAUGUGGCACUUUUCUCUGUAAACGCCGCAAGGUAUUGCCGCGGUGAGUGGUGAGAUGCAACAUGAUAUGAUCGUGGUUUUCUUCAAGUCAACUGGAUGAGGUCGCAUAUAAGCAAUCUUGCUCCUUCCUGUCUUCCGCUGUGAGUGAGCUUUGUUCAACAAAGUGAUCUGAGAGGAUAGGUGGGUUUUACUUGUUGUAAGGGUGGAGUGGCAACGUCUAGCAACUAUAAAUUUUGCAACCAUAUAAGCCAAACUGUAAAAGACAGCACAUAAUUCAUCAAAUAAAUAAUCUUAUUCAUAAUACAUAAAAAUAAAAUAAUUAAUUCAAAAUCAUGCACAAUUUUCUUUAAAAUAAUAUAAAUGUCAAAUGCUAAAUAAUAUGAUCAGAACAAGAAAGAGAUAAUACACUAAAAUAAUACAGUUGAAUGUUUGAGUUUAUAAGUUAAGAGUAUUUUUAUUAAUAUUAUAUUCCAAUUCGAGUUAAGAUUUUUUAUCAAACUAAAAGUGAAAAUUUAUAUCAAAGAAAGAAAUUGUAGUAAGUUGAGUGUCAAAUCCGUUUUUUUAUUGAAAAUGGUGGCAAAAACAUUAAUUUUUUAAUGAUGUUGACGCGACAACUUAAUUACAUAUACUUUAUACAAACAUUACAAUUCGUUUUUUUUUAUGUUACCUCACCAAAUGAUUUAAAAUUUAUAAAAUAUUCAAAUUAUAAAAAAGAGUUCAUAAAAAUUCAUAAAAUUAGCAUGGACUACAUGGAGAUUGCUAAGUGAGCUGUUAUGUUUAAAAGUUUAAUGUUUUAAUAAGUAUUUCUAUUUAAAAAAAAUAACAAUUCGAUUCUUUUUUAAAUGUUGGUGGUCAAAUUUGACCUCUUUAAAAUGGUUGAGACUAAAACCAAUAUGAGUAAAAAAUAUAAACAUUAAGGGUUAAAUUUGAUAUUAUGCAUGGACUUAUCGAUAAUUAGAGGCUUUUAAGUAUAGUUAAAUCCGAAUUUAUUGAUUCAAACAAAAUUUUGUAUCAAUAAAAAUAAUAAAAGUUUUCUUUUUUACUUUGUUCAAACUUUGGUGGAGAGAUUUUCGAGUAAAGGUGUUGGUGAUUUGAAUCAUUUCCUGGGAAUUGAAGUCAUUCUCAAGAUUUAUUCAUCUCAACUCAAGAAUAUAUCUGUUAUGAUAUAUUGAGCAAAGUAAACUUGCUGCUUCGUUGUAAUAUUUGACUUUGACACCAUUUCAUAAUUGUUUGGUUGAUAUAUUGAGCAAAGUAAACUUUUCUCAGCUUUUGCGUAAACCAACCUCUAGCAGAGAUGAAGAUAAAUACUGAAUAAAUAUAUUUGUAAUAAAAUAAUAAAGUACAAUGAUGAAGUAUGAGAAUGUCAAUCUCAUACUGUUGCGGAAAGGAUCGAUUCGAGAACUCCGAUAUGACUACAAGUAAAUUGACCGAAACGAAAAAUAAAGUGAACACAAGGAUUUACGUGGUUCGGCUUUAAUGCCUACGUCCACGGGCAGAGGCGAAAAGAAAUUUCACUAUAACAAGAUGAAGAUUACAAGUGUUUUACACUCAAGACACAACCCGAGAACCUCACAACUCUCAACCCCUAUAGAAAACCCGAAAGCUAAAAUCCUAGCUUUCAAAGAACAAGCUUUGCUCUCUCUUGGUUUGGGAUGAUGAAUAUGGCUAAUGAACCUCUCUAUUUAUAAGAGAGUUCAAGGACAUAAUUGUCCAAAACUUUGGCAAAGAUUUGUGGUUGAAAAUGGACACCAACAACCAUCCACUAAUCCACUACCACCAACAACCCACUACCAACAACAACAAUCCACUACCAAUUUUAAGCCAUUUCUUAACAAAUCUCCACCUUGGCUUGAAAUUUACCAAGCUGAACAUCAUAGUGAAUUCCUCGAACUGGAUCACCUCUUCCAAACGCCUCUCUGGCGCUUAAUCAAUCCCGAAUACCUAUCAAGUCCAAGCAAUGCUUGAACUUAUAUGCAGGGAUCACCUUAGUUAACAUAUCUGCAGGAUUCUUCUCGGUAGCAACCUUGCUGAUAACAAUGUCACCUUGCGUAACAUGUUCCCGAACAAAAUGAUAUCUGACAUCAAUGUGUUUGGUCCGUUCAUGAAACAUCUGAUUUUUAGUCAGAUGUAUGGCACUCUGGCUAUCGCAAAAUACAACAGUGAAAUCCUGUUGUAAACCCAAACUGCUUACUAGACCUUUCAUCCACAAUGCUUCUUUCACUGCUUCUGCUAACGCCAUAUAUUCCGCCUCAGUCGUAGAUAAGGCUACGGUAGACUGUAACACAGCUUUCCAACUAAUGGCUCCUCCAGAAUAAGUGAAAACAUAACCCGUCAGAGAUCUUCUUUUGUCCAGAUCUCCAGCAUAAUCAGAGUCCACAUAGCCCGUGACACUGCUAGUGCAGUCACUCUGAUCAUAUACCAAGCAUAAAUCUGCAGAACCUCUCAAGUACCUGAGAAUCCAUUUCACGGCCUGCCAGUGUUCCUUGCCAGGACAACUCAUGUAUCUGCUGACCACACUAACUGCAUGUGAAAUGUCUGGACGAGUGCAAACCAUUGCAUACAUCACGCUUCCAACUGCACUCGAGUAUGGAAUGUGAGACAUUUGCUGCUUUUCUUCAUCAGAUUGUGGUGACAACUCUGCAGAGAGUUUGAAAUGUGGUGCCAACGGAGUACUCACAGUUUUCGCUUUAUCCAUGCCGAAGCGUUGAAGAACCUUUUCAAUGUAGUUCUUCUGCGACACACGAAGCUUGCCCGCCUUGCGAUCUCUGUGAAUAUCCAUGCCCAAAAUUUUCUUGGCAGCACCCAGAUCCUUCAUCUCGAACUCACCACUCAACUGCGACUUUAACUUGUUGAUUUCCGACAUGUUUUUGGAAGCAAUUAACAUGUCAUCAACAUACAGCAACAAAUAAAUGUGCGAACCAUCUGAGAGCUUCCGAUGAUAGACACAAGCAUCAUAGUCACAUCUUGUGUAACCAUGCUGAAUCAUGAAGCUAUCAAACCGCUUGUACCACUGCCUUGGGGAUUGUUUCAAUCCAUAUAAAGACUUCUUUAAUAGACAGACAUGGUCUUCUUUACCAGGAACUGUAAAACCCUCUGGUUGACGCAUGUAGAUUGUUUCCUCGAGCUCACCAUGCAAGAACGCCGUUUUUACGUCAAGCUGCUCAAGUUCUAGAUCAGACUUGGCCACCAUGGCAAGUAAUACACGAAUGGAAGAAUGCUUUACGACUGGGGAGAAAACUUCAUUGUAGUCAAUCCCCUCUUUCUGAGUGAAGCCUUUAGCAACCAAUCGUGCCUUGAAUCUAGUUGCUUCAACCCCUAGGAUGCCUUCCUUUUUCUUGAAGACCCAUUUGCAACCAACUAUCUUCUGGUUACUUGGCGGCUUAACCAACUCCCAAGUAUGGUUCUUGUGAAGAGAUUCUAUCUCCUCACUCAUAGCAAUUGCCCACUGUGCCGACUCAUCACACGUGACAGCCUCAUUAUAACUGGAAGGUUCUAUACCAAUGGACUCCGCCACACUGAGCGCGAAAGACACCAGAUUAGCGUAACGCGGAUUUGGUUUGAUUUGUCUCUUCGUUCUUCCAGUGGCAAUGCUAUAUGGUUUUUCUUGAGGUGACUCAUCUUCAUCGGAAUCUUGCACCUCAACUUGAUCAUCCUGGACUGAAGUACCUUCCGUAGGAAUUGGAGCGUCCACCUGACACUCCACCUGCUUCUCAACACCGUGAUCUCCCAUUCUAUCUGACUCCUCCUUUUCCCGAGAAUUUGUGGUGGAUCGAAGCAUGGAUGACUCAUCAAAAGUCACAUCUCUGCUGAUGAUGAACUUGGACGAAACCGGAUCAGGACACCACAACCUGUAUCCUUUCACCCCUUGGCCGUAUCCAAGAAAUAUGCAUUUCUUCGCCCUCGGUUUGAGUUUUCCCUCAUUUACAUGAGCAUACGCAGGGCAGCCAAACACUCUUAAACCAGAGUAAUCAGCAGGAGAACCAGACCAUACUUCCUCAGGAGUCUUCAGCUCAAUAGCUGUUGACGGAGAUCUGUUAACCAAAUAACAAGCAGUAUUAACAGCUUCAGCCCAAAAUUCUUCACCGAGCCCAGCAUUUGAUCGCAUGCAACGAGCUCGCUCCAAGAGAGUUCUAUUCAUGCGUUCUGCAACUCCAUUUUGUUGUGGUGUUCGACGAACAGUGCGGUGUCUCACUAUUCCUUCAUUUUUGCAGAACUCAUUGAAUUCACCUGAGCAAAACUCCAAGCCAUUAUCCGUCCGGAAUCGCUUGAUCUUCUUUCCUGUUUGAUUUUCGAUCAAAGCUUUAAAUUGCUUGAAGUUGAUGAGAACCUCAUACUUGCUCUUCAGAAAAUACACCCAAACCUUUCUCGAGUAAUCAUCGAUAAAGGUAAGCAGAUAUCUGUAACCACCUUUAGAAAUUGUCGGAGAAGGCCCCCAAAGGUCAGAAUGGAAGUAAUCCACUGUGCCUUUUGUCUUGUGAAUCCCAGUGCUGAACUUUACCCGAGUCUGCUUACCGAAGACGCAGUGCUCACAGAAAUUCAACUUUCCUGUACACUGCCCAGACAAUAAUCCCCGUUUGCUUAGCACCGAUAAGCCUCUCUCGCUCAUAUGCCCGAGCCGCAUAUGCCAUAACUUCGUGGUGUCAGAAUCUAGAUCAUCUGAUGAUGACACUCCCGCAACACCUGUAACCGAGGAACCAUCGAGGAAGUAAAGGCCCCGCUCCAAAUUACCACGUAUCACAGUCAAAGCACCCGAGAAUACCUUGAGAACUCCACCUUCAGCAGAGUACCGAAAGCCUUUCUUGUCCAACGUACUCAAAGAGAUCAAAUUUUUCUUCAUUUCUGGAAUGUGCCGAACAUCAGUUAGAGUUCUAACAAUACCGUCAAACAUCUUUAUACGAACUGUGCCAAUCCCCAUGACUUGACAUGCGUGGUCAUUUCCCAUUAGUACUGAACCAGAAUGCUUCUCGUAUGUUGAGAAUGCAUCUUUCGAAGUACUUAUAUGAAAUGUAGCUCCCGUAUCAAGAAUCCAUCUCCCACCAGCGUAAGAGUCGGAUACUGCAAGAACGAUCUCGGCAUCACUUGAAGAAUCUGCAUCAGCUACAUUCGCACGAUCAUUUUGUUGCUCCUGUGAUUCUGAUUUCUCCUUCCUUUUCGGACAAUCUACCUUCAUGUGCCCGUACUUCUUACAGUAGUAGCACUGUAUUCUCUUCUUGGACUGCGAUCUAGGAUGGCUUUUACUUGAACUUCCACCCUUUGCCUUGGAUCUUCCUCGAGCAACCAAGCCUUCGCCUUCAUUGUUUUCGACCACCUUACCAGUGAUUUUCUUCCUCAACUCACUGGAACUUAAGGCAUUUUUCACCUCCUCUAGAGUCAGGUCAUCACGACCGUACAUCAUUGUAUCAACAAAAUUCUCAUACGAGGGAGGCAAAGAACACAAAACAAUUAUUGCUUGGUCCUCAUCAUCGAUUUUGUUAUCGAUAUUAUUCAAAUCCAUGAUAAUGGAAUUGAAUUUAUCCAGGUGCUGGGAAACAGGUGUACCUUCCUCCAUCUUCAGGGCAUAGAGUCUUUGCUUGAGGUAGAGCCGGUUCGUCAAUGACUUCGUCAUGUACUUGCUCUCUAACCGGAGCCACAAACCGGACGCGGUUUUCUCAUCCGCUACUUCUCGUAGCACUUCAUCUCCUAGACAUAGCAGAAUAGCACUAUGUGCUCUUUCUAGCAUGUCAUCCUUUUGCUCUUCCGAAAGCGUGCUUGGUAAUUUAUCUUUACCAGACAAUGCUUUUAGCAAUCCUUGUUGAACCAGCACUGCCCGCAUCUUGAUGCGCCAUAAACUGAAACUAUUUUUCCCGGUAAAUUUCUCGACAUCAUACUUAGUCGAUGAAACACUUGUAGCCAUAAUUUGGAACCUUUGAAUGAAUGAUAAUAUUUUCUUCCUGAUGUGAAAGAUCAGACAAAGCUGCAGUCACAGGGCAAUUCAGAAAAUAUUAUCACUCCUUCAACUACGCUCUGAUACCAAUUUGUUGCGGAAAGGAUCGAUUCGAGAACUCCGAUAUGACUACAAGUAAAUUGACCGAAACGAAAAAUAAAGUGAACACAAGGAUUUACGUGGUUCGGCUUUAAUGCCUACGUCCACGGGCAGAGGCGAAAAGAAAUUUCACUAUAACAAGAUGAAGAUUACAAGUGUUUUACACUCAAGACACAACCCGAGAACCUCACAACUCUCAACCCCUAUAGAAAACCCGAAAGCUAAAAUCCUAGCUUUCAAAGAACAAGCUUUGCUCUCUCUUGGUUUGGGAUGAUGAAUAUGGCUAAUGAACCUCUCUAUUUAUAAGAGAGUUCAAGGACAUAAUUGUCCAAAACUUUGGCAAAGAUUUGUGGUUGAAAAUGGACACCAACAACCAUCCACUAAUCCACUACCACCAACAACCCACUACCAACAACAACAAUCCACUACCAAUUUUAAGCCAUUUCUUAACACAUACACUUAUUCUAUCCGAGUGGAGCGGAAUCAUACGACUUUUUCACAAUCCAAGAGAAUUGAGUCUGUAAAUGACACCUUAGUAAUGAACUACAGUAAAGUUAAAUUCCAUAAUGACAUUGGUGGCAUUUAUAAGGAUAGGGUUAAAUAGUGCAGUCCCUUUUGCCAUCAUGAAUCGUCCUCUUCCUCCGACCACCGCAAGCCCUGGUUCUCCCCUUGAAAAUACGCUUAGAGAGCUGCCGUUAAACUUACCGGUAUUAAAUCCAAAUUCUAUGUACUGCGUGCUCGAUGCAUUUGAUCCGGCUAAGAGGGAAAUACCCUGAACAUUUCCAAUCACCUCUGAGUCAGGCUCAGGACCAGUCCUGAGGGGAUCAUUAACAGCAACUAGGGUGGCAAAUGUCACUGAUGAAUUAUUGCUUGUGAUGUUAGCUUGGGUUAGCACGACUGCUGUAACACCCGUAUGUUCGUGCAUAAAGAAGUGAAGAUUGGUGACCUUAGGUGGCUUGGGAUGAUAUGGUCGGGUAUCUGAGUAGUAUUGGCUCCGAACUGCUACUUGGGAGAGGCAGAUGAUCAGAAUCCAACUCAACAUCAAUGCUCCUUUCAUUGUCUCUGUUUUACUAUAAGUUCUGGGGCGAAAUGUAGAUGAAAACUAUAGAAUUGUUGCUUCAAUUUUAUUAGGAAGACAGAAAGAUUUAUAGUGAUAAAACCCGCAGACAUGAACAUAAUUUGUUGUCCCAAACAUUUUAUAUAAUACAUGAUUGAUUUCGCCGUGGCAAUAUUAUAAAGAACACAAAUCCUGAUCACGCAACAGAAACUUGGCCUAAUUAUUUUAGAUUGGAAGUUUCCUCCUCCUGCGUUUCUGUUUUCGUGUGAAUAUUGUCCAUUGACUUUAAUUUAUUUGAUAUUAUAUAUUCCAUGUGAUUGAUGUGUUGAUUUUAUAAAUUAUUUUAUCUUCUGCAAACAAAUGUUUGUUUGAUGUGAAAUCUCUUUUUUUUUUCUUUCUAAAUCUCCUUCAGAAAUUAACAGCGAAUCUAGAAAUCAGAAACAUGGUCUAAUUAGCUGCUUGCUCUAAUCAAUUUUCUUUGUUUUUUACGCAAAGCAGGUUGUGGAAUUCACUACCACCGUUCUGCCAAUUUUUCUCUUUUUUCUUGAGUAACUAAAACUUUAUUCUGGCUUGGGGACACUAAUCAAUCCGAGAGAGAACUGUGAUGCUUUCAAUUUUGCCUAAAUCUUCCACACUCUUGCAACACUUUAUUGGAAUUUGUUAAAUUUGGAACUGAAUUGUGUGCUAAUACAUGUCUCAUGGAAUUUGACAUUUUCUAUACUCGCUUAGACAAAUUGCUCAUUUGAAAAAACGAAAAAGAAAAAAAGAAGAAGUGAGAACAGAACUGACAGCUUAAAUUAUGAGUAAGAACUUGUGUAUUGUGACGGUUGUUUGAAUUGUAAUCGCACUUCGCGUCAAAAGCUCUAGUACUGUUUCAAGUCAAUAAAUUACUCUAAUCACGGUGCCAUAAGAGAGAUAUAUUGAAUUGUGUAAUCAUCUUGAGUUGUCAUUUCAUUUUAUGUUAAGAGAUUCGACAACAUCUUAAACAAAAAGAAAUAAAUAAAUGUCUGUGCGAGUCUAAUUGAAUAAGUCCAUGGAAUGAAAACAUUUUCCGGGAUAUUGUUACAUGACUCGAAUGAUUGAACAAAAGGUGUGCUUGAGAACAAGCUUUCUUCAAGUCAGCCGGAGGAGGUCUGUCAUCCGGUGUGAGUGAGCAAUAUUGUUCAACAAAGAGAUCUUAGAGGGUAAGGGUGGAGACACCAUGUCUAAAAGUUAUAAAUUUUUUAACCAUAUAAGUAAACGUGUAAGAAAAACACAUAAUACAUCAAAUAAAUAAUCUUAAUCGCGAUACAUAAAAUAAAAAAAAAAGAUUUAAGAUCAUACACACACAUUGUUUUAAAUAAUAUAAAUGUCGAUUCCCAGACAAUAUCUUCAAAACAGGAAAAAUAUAUUACACUAAAAUAAUAUAGUUGAAUGUUUGAGUGUAUGAAUUAAGAAAAAUUUUAUUAAUGUUUUAUUCCAUAUGAAAGAAAGAAAUUGUAGUAAGCUGAAAAAUUUAACACAUUUGGCCUAUAGUUGGAGACUAGAAAUUCAAAUUUAACUUCUCCUUAUUGUGAUUUAACUUUUGUUAAACUUAACUUAAGCUUCAAUUUAAUCCCAGAAAUUCAACAGAGUCUAGAUUGGAAGUUUCCUCCCCCUGCGUUUUGAUUUUCGUGUGGAUAUUGCCCAUUGACUUUAAUUUAUUUGAUAUUACAUAUAAUAUAUGAUUGAUGUAUUGAUAUUAUAAAUUAUUCUAUUUCUGCUAAGAAAAGUUUGUUUGGUAUGAUCAAGUCUCUUUCCAAUAUAAUCAACUCCGACAUAAGAAAUUCAUUAGAAAUCAGAAACAUGAUCUAAUUAACACCCAAUUGAGAAAUUUAUAUCAAUUUUCUUUGGUUUUUGCGCCAACCAGGUGGUGGCCCAUUUUUUAAAUUAUUAUUUAAUUAAUUAUAAUUAAUUAACUUAAGUAUAAUGCGAGAAAUAAAUUUAAAUAAUUAUCAUGGAUUUAUUAAAUAAGACAAUUAAAUAUAUUUUUCUUACAAAUUUAUUAAAUAACUUUAAUGGGAUUAUAAUUGGGUUGAAAUAUAAUUUAAUUAAGAAAAUAAUUUAAUUAAUUUAUAUAUUUAAGAAAUAUAAAAUAAAUAUUAGGUUAUAUAAAUUAUUAGUGUUGGAUAAAAAACCCAAAUUAGGUCUAGUUAAUGGAAGGGAUGGCAAGCCUUAGUAUUUUCUAGGCCAUGCCACCGCCCCCACCUAUUCUACUUCAAGUAGAAUUUUUAUUUUCUAUUAAAAUAUUAUCAUUCGAUUACCCUUUAUUCGAAUAGAUCUCUUGUACUGUUUCUUUAUAAUUAGGGACUACGAGCUAAACUAUUCAUACAAUUUUGAGAGUAUUGUUAUUUUGUCGAAAAAUAGUGAUAAUUUUUUUAGAAUAAAUUCUAUUUUUUGGGAAAAUCUGAUAGUUUCCAGUUUAUAGAGAGAAUUAACAUUCUCAUUGAAAGUUAAGAAAUGUUUUCAUUCUGUGCAUUUGGUUCUAUUUUGAGAGCUCAUACUCAAAGCAAUUCAGGGUUUGAGGAUAGCGAAGAAGGUCAUUCACUAGAAAGUCGGGAUUGACUUAGACUACCUCGUACAAAACAUAGGUAUAAAUUUGGUUAAAGGUUUAUUGUUAUAAAUAUCACCAGGCUUGAUUUUAAGUAAAAUUUUAAACUUCCGUUUUGCCUAAAAACUUUGUUUUCUAAACCCAUUUUUACAACAAUUGUGUGGUGUAUAGUUGGAAGAAUCGAAACAAUCCGUAAUUGUCAUAUUCAGUGUGUUGAAGAACAAACUAAUGUGACCAAUUGAGUAAAUGAUUGGAUUUGUCAAGGGAAUUAAUGAUAGAUUUUAAACGACUCACACAAUUGAGACCUUUGAUUCAAGUCAAUUCUAUCUUGUUCGCAUGGUUAAUGAGGAACUAAAUAGUGGAAGUUGAUUUUAGGUUAUUCGCUUGGUAAGGGUUACUUGUCAAAUCGUUCUCGCAUUUAAUUUACAUACAAAAAGGCAAGUCGCGGUUAGAAGUUGCUCCUCAAUCAUUAUAAUUGACUUAUCGGUUGGAGGAGAAAAUCUAUUGUCGUGCAUCAACUAAAACCAAGGCCAAAACUAUUCCUGAAGUUAGAGCGUUGUUUCAUCAGUUUACUCAAUUUUAAUCCCUCUCUUCUAUUUUUCAUAUAGUUCGACACAUGUCGUGGGCAUGAAAGUUGCCUACCACACGUUCUGGUUAAAAUGAACAUCAAUUUAUUCUGUUAUAUUAGCAUUAUGGAAAUCUCUGGGAUACCUGGUCUAUUCCGCUGUUAUACUCGUUAUUAUAUUCUCCGUUGAAUACAGCAGUCGGAAAGUUAAUUUCUCUCUAUGAAAAAUCGAAAAGCUUUGAGAUUUAUAGAAAAUAGGAUUUAUUCUUGUAAAUAUCUCUUUUUUAAAGAAAAUGAUGACAAAAAGAAUUAAUUUUUUAAUGAUGUUGGUAUGGCAAUCCACACGUAAUUUAUUGUUAAGAAAUGGCUUAAAAUUGGUAGUGGAUUGUUGUUGUUGGUAGUGGGUUGUUGGUGGUAGUGGAUUAGUGGAUGGUUGUUGGUGUCCAUUUUCAACCACAAAUCUUUGCCAAAGUUUUGGACAAUUAUGUCCUUGAACUCUCUUAUAAAUAGAGAGGUUCAUUAGCCAUAUUGAUCAUCCCAAACCAAGAGAGAGCAAAGCUUGUUCUUUGAAAGCUAGGAUUUUAGCUUUCGGGUUUUCUAUAGGGGUUGAGAGUUGUGAGGUUCUCGGGUUGUGUCUUGAGUGUAAAACACUUGUAAUCUUCAUCUUGUUAUAGUGAAAUUUCUUUUCGCCUCUGCCCGUGGACGUAGGCAUUAAAGCCGAACCACGUAAAUCCUUGUGUUCACUUUAUUUUUCGUUUCGGUCAAUUUACUUGUAGUCAUAUCGGAGUUCACGAAUCGAUCCUUUCCGCAACAAAUUGGUAUCAGAGCGUAGUUGAAGGAGUGAUAAUAUUUUCUGAAUUGCCCUGUGACUGCAGCUUUGUCUGAUCUUUCACAUCAGGAAGAAAAUAUUAUCAUUCAUUCAAAGGUUCCAAAUUAUGGCUACAAGUGUUUCAUCGACUAAGUAUGAUGUCGAGAAAUUUACCGGGAAAAAUAGUUUCAGUUUAUGGCGCAUCAAGAUGCGGGCAGUGCUGGUUCAACAAGGAUUGCUAAAAGCAUUGUCUGGUAAAGAUAAAUUACCAAGCACGCUUUCGGAAGAGCAAAAGGAUGACAUGCUAGAAAGAGCACAUAGUGCUAUUCUGCUAUGUCUAGGAGAUGAAGUGCUACGAGAAGUAGCGGAUGAGAAAACCGCGUCCGGUUUGUGGCUCCGGUUAGAGAGCAAGUACAUGACGAAGUCAUUGACGAACCGGCUCUACCUCAAGCAAAGACUCUAUGCCCUGAAGAUGGAGGAAGGUACACCUGUUUCCCAGCACCUGGAUAAAUUCAAUUCCAUUAUCAUGGAUUUGAAUAAUAUCGAUAACAAAAUCGAUGAUGAGGACCAAGCAAUAAUUGUUUUGUGUUCUUUGCCUCCCUCGUAUGAGAAUUUUGUUGAUACAAUGAUGUACGGUCGUGAUGACCUGACUCUAGAGGAGGUGAAAAAUGCCUUAAGUUCCAGUGAGUUGAGGAAGAAAAUCACUGGUAAGGUGGUCGAAAACAAUGAAGGCGAAGGCUUGGUUGCUCGAGGAAGAUCCAAGGCAAAGGGUGGAAGUUCAAGUAAAAGCCAUCCUAGAUCGCAGUCCAAGAAGAGAAUACAGUGCUACUACUGUAAGAAGUACGGGCACAUGAAGGUAGAUUGUCCGAAAAGGAAGGAGAAAUCAGAAUCACAGGAGCAACAAAAUGAUCGUGCGAAUGUAGCUGAUGCAGAUUCUUCAAGUGAUGCCGAGAUCGUUCUUGCAGUAUCCGACUCUUACGCUGGUGGGAGAUGGAUUCUUGAUACGGGAGCUACAUUUCAUAUAAGUACUUCGAAAGAUGCAUUCUCAACAUACGAGAAGCAUUCUGGUUCAGUACUAAUGGGAAAUGACCACGCAUGUCAAGUCAUGGGGAUUGGCACAGUUCGUAUAAAGAUGUUUGACGGUAUUGUUAGAACUCUAACUGAUGUUCGGCACAUUCCAGAAAUGAAGAAAAAUUUGAUCUCUUUGAGUACGUUGGACAAGAAAGGCUUUCGGUACUCUGCUGAAGGUGGAGUUCUCAAGGUAUUCUCGGGUGCUUUGACUGUGAUACGUGGUAAUUUGGAGCGGGGCCUUUACUUCCUCGAUGGUUCCUCGGUUACAGGUGUUGCGGGAGUGUCAUCAUCAGAUGAUCUAGAUUCUGACACCACGAAGUUAUGGCAUAUGCGGCUCGGGCAUAUGAGCGAGAGAGGCUUAUCGGUGCUAAGCAAACGAGGAUUAUUGUCUGGGCAGUGUACAGGAAAGUUGAAUUUCUGUGAGCACUGCGUCUUCGGUAAGCAGACUCGGGUAAAGUUCAGCACUGGGAUUCACAAGACAAAAGGCACAGUGGAUUACUUCCAUUCUGACCUUUGGGGGCCUUCUCCGACAAUUUCUAAAGGUGGUUACAGAUAUCUGCUUACCUUUAUCGAUGAUUACUCGAGAAAGGUUUGGGUGUAUUUUCUGAAGAGCAAGUAUGAGGUUCUCAUCAACUUCAAGCAAUUUAAAGCUUUGAUCGAAAAUCAAACAGGAAAGAAGAUCAAGCGAUUCCGGACGGAUAAUGGCUUGGAGUUUUGCUCAGGUGAAUUCAAUGAGUUCUGCAAAAAUGAAGGAAUAGUGAGACACCGCACUGUUCGUCGAACACCACAACAAAAUGGAGUUGCAGAACGCAUGAAUAGAACUCUCUUGGAGCGAGCUCGUUGCAUGCGAUCAAAUGCUGGGCUCGGUGAAGAAUUUUGGGCUGAAGCUGUUAAUACUGCUUGUUAUUUGGUUAACAGAUCUCCGUCAACAGCUAUUGAGCUGAAGACUCCUGAGGAAGUAUGGUCUGGUUCUCCUGCUGAUUACUCUGGUUUAAGAGUGUUUGGCUGCCCUGCGUAUGCUCAUGUAAAUGAGGGAAAACUCAAACCGAGGGCGAAGAAAUGCAUAUUUCUUGGAUACGGCCAAGGGGUGAAAGGAUACAGGUUGUGGUGUCCUGAUCCGGUUUCGUCCAAGUUCAUCAUCAGCAGAGAUGUGACUUUUGAUGAGUCAUCCAUGCUUCGAUCCACCACAAAUUCCCGGGAAAAGGAGGAGUCAGAUAGAAUGGGAGAUCACGGUGUUGAGAAGCAGGUGGAGUGUCAGGUGGACGCUCCAAUUCCUACGGAAGGUACUUCAGUCCAGGAUGAUCAAGUUGAGGUGCAAGAUUCCGAUGAAGAUGAGUCACCUCAAGAAAAACCAUAUAGCAUUGCCACUGGAAGAACGAAGAGACAAAUCAAACCAAAUCCGCGUUACGCUAAUCUGGUGUCUUUCGCGCUCAGUGUGGCGGAGUCCAUUGGUAUAGAACCUUCCAGUUAUAAUGAGGCUGUCACGUGUGAUGAGUCGGCACAGUGGGCAAUUGCUAUGAGUGAGGAGAUAGAAUCUCUUCACAAGAACCAUACUUGGGAGUUGGUUAAGCCGCCAAGUAACCAGAAGAUAGUUGGUUGCAAAUGGGUCUUCAAGAAAAAGGAAGGCAUCCUAGGGGUUGAAACAACUAGAUUCAAGGCACGAUUGGUUGCUAAAGGCUUCACUCAGAAAGAGGGGAUUGACUACAAUGAAGUUUUCUCCCCAGUCGUAAAGCAUUCUUCCAUUCGUGUAUUACUUGCCAUGGUGGCCAAGUCUGAUCUAGAACUUGAGCAGCUUGACGUAAAAACGGCGUUCUUGCAUGGUGAGCUCGAGGAAACAAUCUACAUGCGUCAACCAGAGGGUUUUACAGUUCCUGGUAAAGAAGACCAUGUCUGUCUAUUAAAGAAGUCUUUAUAUGGAUUGAAACAAUCCCCAAGGCAGUGGUACAAGCGGUUUGAUAGCUUCAUGAUUCAGCAUGGUUACACAAGAUGUGACUAUGAUGCUUGUGUCUAUCAUCGGAAGCUCUCAGAUGGUUCGCACAUUUAUUUGUUGCUGUAUGUUGAUGACAUGUUAAUUGCUUCCAAAAACAUGUCGGAAAUCAACAAGUUAAAGUCGCAGUUGAGUGGUGAGUUCGAGAUGAAGGAUCUGGGUGCUGCCAAGAAAAUUUUGGGCAUGGAUAUUCACAGAGAUCGCAAGGCGGGCAAGCUUCGUGUGUCGCAGAAGAACUACAUUGAAAAGGUUCUUCAACGCUUCGGCAUGGAUAAAGCGAAAACUGUGAGUACUCCGUUGGCACCACAUUUCAAACUCUCUGCAGAGUUGUCACCACAAUCUGAUGAAGAAAAGCAGCAAAUGUCUCACAUUCCAUACUCGAGUGCAGUUGGAAGCGUGAUGUAUGCAAUGGUUUGCACUCGUCCAGACAUUUCACAUGCAGUUAGUGUGGUCAGCAGAUACAUGAGUUGUCCUGGCAAGGAACACUGGCAGGCCGUGAAAUGGAUUCUCAGGUAUUUGAGAGGUUCUGCAGAUUUAUGCUUGGUAUAUGAUCAGAGUGACUGCACUAGCAGUGUCACGGGCUAUGUGGACUCUGAUUAUGCUGGAGAUCUGGACAAAAGAAGAUCUCUGACGGGUUAUGUUUUCACUUAUUCUGGAGGAGCCAUUAGUUGGAAAGCUGUGUUACAGUCUACCGUAGCCUUAUCUACGACUGAGGCGGAAUAUAUGGCGUUAGCAGAAGCAGUGAAAGAAGCAUUGUGGAUGAAAGGUCUAGUAAGCAGUUUGGGUUUACAACAGGAUUUCACUGUUGUAUUUUGCGAUAGCCAGAGUGCCAUACAUCUGACUAAAAAUCAGAUGUUUCAUGAAAGGACCAAACACAUUGAUGUCAGAUAUCAUUUUGUUCGGGAACAUGUUACGCAAGGUGACAUUGUUAUCAGCAAGGUUGCUACCGAGAAGAAUCCUGCAGAUAUGUUAACUAAGGUGAUCCCUGCAUAUAAGUUCAAGCAUUGCUUGGACUUGAUAGGUAUUCGGGAUUGAUUAGCGCCAGAGAGGCGUUUGGAAGAGGUGAUCCAGUUCGAGGAAUUCACUAUGAUGUUCAGCUUGGUAAAUUUCAAGCCAAGGUGGAGAUUUGUUAAGAAAUGGCUUAAAAUUGGUAGUGGAUUGUUGUUGUUGGUAGUGGGUUGUUGGUGGUAGUGGAUUAGUGGAUGGUUGUUGGUGUCCAUUUUCAACCACAAAUCUUUGCCAAAGUUUUGGACAAUUAUGUCCUUGAACUCUCUUAUAAAUAGAGAGGUUCAUUAGCCAUAUUGAUCAUCCCAAACCAAGAGAGAGCAAAGCUUGUUCUUUGAAAGCUAGGAUUUUAGCUUUCGGGUUUUCUAUAGGGGUUGAGAGUUGUGAGGUUCUCGGGUUGUGUCUUGAGUGUAAAACACUUGUAAUCUUCAUCUUGUUAUAGUGAAAUUUCUUUUCGCCUCUGCCCGUGGACGUAGGCAUUAAAGCCGAACCACGUAAAUCCUUGUGUUCACUUUAUUUUUCGUUUCGGUCAAUUUACUUGUAGUCAUAUCGGAGUUCACGAAUCGAUCCUUUCGGCAACAUUUAUAUUGUCAUGAUAUUUUUUGUUUUAUAUGCCAUGUCAACAAAUAAUUUAAAAAUUAUAAAUUAUAAAAAAAUUAAUACAAAAUAUAUGUGGAUUGCCCUGCGCGCUGUGAUGUUUAAAAAUAGUUAGUAUUUCCAUAAACAAAAAAAAAAUCGACUCUUCUUGAAAGGUUUGUGGUCAAAUUUGAUUCCUUUUAAAAGGUUGCGGCUCAAAUUUAGCUCAAAAAUGAAAUAAGAGUUAAAUUGAGUAAAACACGUCAACAUUGAGAACUAAAUUUGACAUUACGCCUUGAUUUAUCAAUCUAUUAAAGGCCUAAGUAUUGUGGAAUAUGAACUUAUCGAAUCAGACAAAAUUUGGUAUCAAUAAAAACAAUAAAGCUUUUCUCUCUAACUUUGUUCAAACUUUGGCGGAGACAUUCUCUAGUAAAGAUCUUGGUGAUCUGAAUCAUUUCUUGGAAGUUAAAGUCAUUCCAACAUAUCAAGAUUUAUUCAUCUCAACACAAGUAUAUAGAUGUUAUGAUAUAUUGAGCAAAAUCAACAAAUAAUUGUCAAGUGCCAAGGAAUCAAAUACACCAAUGUCUACUUUAGUUUGUUUAAGUUUUCAUGUUGGUCAAGUUUUGCAUAAAGCAGCCUCUAUCAGAGAUGAAGAUAAAUACUGAAUAGAUAUAUUUAUAUGCCUUUUUGUAGCUAAGAAUUUAAUCUUUAUUUGUAAUAUAACAGUAAAGUACAAUGAUCAAGUAUGAGAAUUUUAAGUUUUAAUCAAAUCAACAUAUAUAUAUCAUACACUUAUUCUAAUCAAGUGGAGCAUAAUCAUACGACUUUUUCACAUUAAUCCAAGAGAAAUGAGUCUGUAAAUAACACCUUAGUAAUGAAUUACAGUAACGUUAAAUUCAGCAAUUGUAUUGGUGGCAUUUACAAGGAUAGGAUUAAAUUGUGCAACCCCUGUUGCCAUCAUGAAUUGUCCUCUUCCUCCGACCACCGCAAGAUCAGGUUCUCCCCUUGAAAAUACGCUUAGAGAGCUACCGUUAAACUUACCAGUAUUAAAUCCAAAAUCUAGGUAUUCCGUGCUCGAUGCAUUCAUUCCAGCCACUGACGCAAUACCCUGAAUAUUUCCAAUCAACUCUGAGUCAGGCUCAGGACCAGUCCUGAGGGGAUCAUUAAUGGCAAAUAAGGAGGCAAAUGGCAGUGAUGAACUAUUGUCAUUGCUUGUGCUGUUAGCUUGGGCUACCACUACUAUUGUAACACCCGUAGUUCUGUGCAUAAAGAAGUUAAGAUUGGUGACCUUAACUGGCCUGGGAUGAUAUGGUAGGGUCUCCGAGUAGUAUUGGCUCUGCACUGCUACUUGGGAGAGGCAGAUGAUCAGAAUCCAACUCAACAUCCAUGUUCCUCUCAUUGUCUCUGCUUUACUAUAAUUUCUGGGGAAAGCUAUAGAAUUGUUGCUUCAUUUUUAUUAAGAAAACAGAAAGAUUUAUACUGAUAAAACCUGCAGAUAUGAAAAUAAUUUAUUGUCCAUAACAUUUUAUAUAAUACCUGCAUGAUUUCUCACUAGUAAUAUUAAAGACAAAACAAAUUUUGACCAGGCAACACAAACUUGGUCUAAUUGGCUGAUUGAUUUUUUAAAAAAGGAUAACUUCACGUAAACACCAUUCUGCCUAUAAAAUUAAAUGAUCCACUUGCUUUAAAUUAAUUUGUGGAUUGGAAGUCUCCUACCCUGCCUUUUUUAUUUUCGUUUGAAUGGUUUGUAUUGUCCAUACAUCUGAUUGAUGUGCUGAUGUUAUAAAUUAUUUUAUUUUAUAAUUUUGUGGAUUGGGUCCACUUAAAUAAAGGUUGAAGAUAACCAAAAAUAAUAUUAAUGUUCUUAGGUAUCAUUAAGUAAAAUAAUAUUGUGUUACUAGGAGGGCAACAACACUCCCUCUCGAGCCUUGGGUGUUGCCCAUCACACAUUGGAUGAGCUUAUUGGGCCUAUCUCAUAUAUUGUACAUAUAUCUGAAUAUUUAAUCAACCCAUAUAUUUUAGUUAACUUCCUAAAUAAUUUUUUAUUUACUUAAUUAAAAAAAUUUAAUUAAUCUAUUUAAUUAAAUUAUUUUCUCAACCCAAUUAAAUAUUUGAGGUAAAAUUUAUUAUUAUACCAAUAAAAAAUUAUCACCGUCAAUGAUUUAACGGAGUGAUGACCAAAAUAUUAAAUUUCAAUAAGGUGACUAAAAUAGAAAAUUUUAAACUUGAGUGACCAUAAUUGAAACACACUAAGAAUUAGGUGACUAUUUUUUAACUUUACCAUUGUUGUACUAUGAUAAGAACAAUCGGAUUUGGCAGGGCAUAUAGAGUUAAAAAUUGUCACAUAGCCUACAUAAUUUUUCUAUACAUUAAUGCUUAAAAUACUCAUAAACCCCCACGCUCGUAAAUUGGAGAUAAAAGCACUUAAAGUGUUUGAACCCACAUCCUACUUAUUGUUGCAACAACAAUAGUAACACUUGAGUUAAAGAUCAAUUAGCCAUGUUUCUUUUUCUUUUAAAGUUGCAUAACAAGUGGUUAAAAUCUAAACAAUGAAUCAAACCCCAAAUUUGUGGUCUAUUGAUUGACUGCCUAUUUUCUAUAAAAAUAGCCUAAAUUCGAGUCAUCUAUGCACCUAUAACAAAUGAUUAAAAUCUAAAUAAUGAACCAAACCGUAAGUUGUGAUCCAUUGAUCGAGUGUUUAUUUUCUAUAAAAAUAGCCUAGAUUCAAGUCAUCGAUGUGCCUAAAGAAAACGUCUAAACAGAGAUCCAAAGUUUUGUAUUUUUCAAAAAUAUUAGUUAAGCGCAUAUCCCUAUUAUACUCAAGGUUAAAACAUUUAAGGAGUCUAAUAAUUAAAAUUUUAAUAAGUUUUUUUUAUAAAAUAUUUAAAAAAAUUGUAUUAAUUUAUUUAUGAGGAUAGUUUAGUUCAUCAAUUUAAAUUAAUCAAUAUUUUAAAAUUAAUAUUAGAAUGAUAUUUUGGUCUAUCAAUUUUAAGAGUUAAUUUAAAGCUUACUCAAUAAACAGAUGAAAAGGUGAGUUAAAGAUGAAAUGGAUCAUACUAAGUGUUGGGUAUAGCGGUAAGAUACAUUAUAUUUUUAAGGGAAAAUACAAAAUUAAAUUUUGGAGAUGACAUUGUUAAGACGGACAACAACGAACCUUGAAUAUAUAUUCAAGUAAGUAUAUCUUACAUGCAUAAAUAUGUUUAUAUCAAAAUAUAAGUUUUAAAUUUACUAAUUAGGUUUAAUAAAUUAAUUUAAUAAUUGUAUUUUAAGUUUAAAUGUAAAAUUUAAAUUGUUUAAUAUAAAAUAAAAUAAAAUUUAGGUUUAAAGUAUUAAAAUUUUAUAUUGAUGUUCACUAAAUUAAUUAAUAAAUUUAAUAAAUUGGUUAAAAUAAUUGUAUCUAUCAAUUAAUAGUAUAAUUAUAACGAGUGAUUUGUCAUAAUUAGUGGUCUCAAGUAAAGAGUAUUCUCGGCGAGCUUGCUUUGUAGCUAAGAAUUUAAUCUUUAUUUGUAAUAUAACAAUAAAGUACAAUGAUGAAGUAUGACAAUUUUAAUUUAUUCUCGUACAUUUAUUCUAAUCAAGUGGAGCAGAACCAAGACAUUUUCACAAUCGAUCAGAAUUGAGUUUGUAAAUAGCACCUUAGUAAUGAACUACAGUAACGUUAAAUUCAAUAAUGACAUUGGUGGCAUUUAUAAGGAUAGGGUUAAAUAGUGCAACCCCUCUUGCCAUCAUGAAUCGUCCUCUUCCUCCGACCACCGCUAGCCCAGGUUCUCCUCUUGAAAAUACGCUUAGAGAGCUGCCGUUAAACUUACCGGUAUUGAAUCCAAAAUCUAUGUAUUGUGUGCUCGAUGCAUUCAUUCCAGCCAGGAGCGCAAUACCCUGAACAUUUCCAAUCACCUUCGAGUCAGGCUCAGGACCAGUCCUGAGGGGAUCAUUAACGGCAACCAGGGAGGCAAAUGGCACUGAUGAACUAUUGCUUGUGAUGUUAGCUUGGGCUACCACGACUGCUGUAACACCCGUAUGUUCAUGCAUAAAGAAAUGAAGAUUGGUUUCCUUAGCUGGCUUGCGAUCAUAGUGUCGGGUCUUCGAGUAGUAUUGGCUCUGCACGGCUACUUGGGAGAGGCAGAUGAUCAGAAUCCAAGUCAACACCAAUGUUCCUCUCAUUGUCUCUGCUUUACUAUAAUUUCUGGGGCGAAAUGUAGAUGCAAGCUAGUAGAAUUGUUGCUUGAUUCUUUAUUAAGAACACAGAAACAUUUAUACUGAAAAUACCCGGAGACAUGAAAAUCAUUUAUUGUCCAAAACAUUUGAUGCAAUACGUGCUUGAUUUCUCACUAGUAAUAUUAAAAACAAAACAAAUUUUGACCAGGCAACACAAACUUGCCCUAAUUGGCUGCUUGAUUUUUAAAUAGGAAUAUUUUUGUUUUUGGAUACAUAUAAAUACGAAUUGUCUUCACUUAACAAUUGGAAUGGCUUAAAGAGCAUUCUGCCUAUAAAAUUAAAUGAUCCACGUGCUUUAAAUUAGUUCUAGAUUGGAAUUUGGAAGUUUCCUCCCCCGCGUUUUUAUUUUCGUCGUCGGUUUUCGUCUUUUUCACAUGUUAUUGAUGUGUUGAUUUUAUAAAUUAUUUUAUCUUCCGCAAUUCCCUUUAGACCAAAUAACUUCAUUCUAAUACUGUCCUUGGUCAUAUUUUAAUCCAUGUUUAAUAAAGUAAAAAAAAAAUUAAUCCAACAAAUGUUUAUGCAUAAUUAAAUAAAACACAUGUUAAAGGAUGGUAUCUGAAUAUUUAAUCAAAACUCAUAUAUUUUAAUCAACCUAAAAAAUUUUUUUCUAUUUUUUAAAAUAUUAAUUAAUUAUUUAUUUAUUUAUUUAUUUUCUCAAUUGAAUUAAAUAUUUGAGGUCCAAAUUUGUUAUUAAAAUUUGGUAACGUGACUAAAAUAGACACCACCAUUAGUGAUUUAACGGAGGCGUGACUAAAAUAUUAAAUGUCGAUAACAUGACUAAGAUAGACGUUUUUAAACAUGGGUGGCCAAAAUUGAAAAAUGGUAAUAAUUAGACGAUCAUUUUUAGAGUUUACCCUUGUUGUAGUAUGAUAAGGACUUUUGAAUUUGGCGGGGCAUAUAGAGUUAAAAAUGGUCACAUUGUAUACGAAAUCUUUUUUAUAUAAUUUAUUCAUAAACCUCCCACACUCAUAAAAUAGAGGAUAAAAACACUUGUACGCAUGCUCAAACCCAAAUCCCGUUUAUACUUCAUGGUUAAAGUAUUUAAGGAAUAUAAUAAUUAAAAUUAAAAUUUUAAUAAAAUUUGUGUAUUUAAUAUUAAAAAUAAUUUCAAAUAUAUAUUUUGCGUGGAAAGUUUAGUUAAUCAGUAUUUAUAAAGUUAGUAUGAAAAAUAUAUUAUCAGUAGGUUGGGUAACUAAAUCCAGAAAAUCAUUUUAAUUUUAAUUAUAUUACAUAUAACCUUAAUUAUAUUACAGGAAUUAAAUUGUGAAAGUUCAAUCGCUAUUUAAUUUUAAUUUAAAAAACGUUUGAGGAUCCAGUUAGCAAUUAUGCAAAUGGCCUAAAAUAGUUAUGAAACCAUUGUUAUUAUAGGGAAGUUUAUGAUAAUAUCCACUUAAUUUCAUUAAUAAAGGUUAAUUAAUAAAGUAAGCAUGUUUAAUAGUUAAAAAUCUAAGUCAAUUAAACUUUAAUUAUAACCUUAAUUAUGUAUUAAUAGGAAGGUGAGUGGAGAGAUGAUACAUUCAUCAUCCUCACCAAAUUGUGUUGUCCAAGUAGGAAGAGAAAGUAAAGGAAAACUCUUUUGCUUCUUUUACAUUUUGGUCCAAAAUCCCUGAGGUAUUUAAGUCUUUCCUUUGAAACUUUUAUGUUUUCAUGACUAUCUAAGUUUGAUUAAGUUUACCCACGCCUUAGAUUUGUCAAUUGUUAAAUGCUUAUCAAAUAGUCAUUAAUGGGUAUUUGAUGAAAUUGAGUUUGAUUUUGAUGAUAAAUAGAAGUAUGAUUUUUUAGCAUGUUAGGACUAAGUUGAAAAUUAGAGAAACGUGCUGGAAUUGAUUAGAAAUUCAAUUAACCUAUCUAAUUGGUUUAUGACAUUUGGGAUCAAAUUGAACAAAGUGAAAAUUGUUAGGGAAUUAUGUUAUAGAUUAAAAGUACAAGGUCCCUAAUGAAAGGAUAUGAAAUUAGAUUUUGAUUCGAUAUUAAAUAUAAAAGAAUACAAGUAUUUUGGAUAUAGGAACUAAAAUGAUUAAAAUGCAAACUAUGUUUGAUUAUAUGUUUUCAUGUGAUUGGGUGAAAACUAUUAUCGUUUCUAUUCUUGAAUUAUUGUAUGUAGCUAAAGAUGAUGUCAGAUUGUCUCGAGAGAAAGGAAAGACGAGAGUUGUAGACAAGUAGCUAAUACAGUUUGUGCUUCCAUGAUUUAAAAUCAAUACAUUUACAUAUAUUUCUAUUAAUUGUAUCAAACUAUCUUGAUUGAGGUAAUGUCAUGAAAAUGGUAAGUAUUUCAUGGUUGGAAACUUGUGAGAAAUGUGGUGAUAUGCAUGUGAUAAUACGAAAUAAUAUGAAUUAAUGGAUUGGAUUAAGCAUUAUAGAAAUUGGUAUUAUAUGAAAUUAUGAAAUGUUUGAUCUGGUGUCUUAAGUGCAGUAUAUUCGUUUGGUAAACUUGUAUUUUUUUGAACAAAUUGAUUUAAUAAUAUCCAUUAAUUACUUUAACACCCUUUGUAUAUUGUCCUCAAUGGUUUUUGUACACUGUUGACACCAUUUUUUUGAUGAAAACGGGAUCGACUUGGGUUUUGAAAACAAAAACGGGAGUCGCCACCAAUCCUUUUUGAUAAGGUGUGAUCAGAUCACCUUGAAAAGUGGUUGUUUUUAAUAAACGAUUUGAUUUUAUUAAAACAACAAUUUUGUUCCACAAAAUUCAGAAAAACGAGUUCGGGAGUCGGUUACGUACGAGGAAGGAUUAGCACCCUCGUAACGCCCAAAAAUUGGUACCUAAUUGAAAACUUUGAAGAAUUUUAAAAAUACGAUCCUAAAAUUUUUGAAUAAUAUGAGUUGGAAUUUAAGAUUCUCUUGUUCCGAAAGAAUAUCACAUCCAGCACAUUAGGAUACGACAAGAUCACCUUAUGGUUUCCAAAACCUAUACUUUGAAACUUUAAAAGAGUAUUUGGCUAUUUGGCUAAAAGAGAAAUCGAAACACAGCUCAUUAGGGCACGUUUUCUCGAAUUUCCAAAUGCAAAAUAUUGCCUUACUUUGAAAUUUUAAAAAGAUAUUUGGCUAUUUGGUCGAACGAAAAAAUCGAAACCCAGCACAUUAGGGCACGUUUUCAAAUUUCCAAAUGCAAAAUAUUGCCUUUAUUAUGUUUUAGAAAAAUCCUCAUUUCGAUAAAACGACGUGUCAUAUCCAAUGCGUUAGGACACAACGUAUUGAAUUCCCGAUACGAGAAUAAAUGCCGAAAAGUUUACUUACUUAAAAGAUAUUUAACUAUCUCGGAUUUUAGAAAAAGGUGUCAUGCCCAGUAAGUUAGGACACGAUCUUUUCUUAAUUCCCGAGAUCGUUUAAAAACUUGAGUUUGAAAAGAUUCGUGUAUUUAGAUUUAUUACGAAAAUCGAAACCCAGUAAGUUAGGGUACAACCUUCUCGAAUCUAAACACGAGAUUUUGCUUAUUCAAAAAUCAUAAUUUAUGCAUCGAAUAAAAUUAAUCUAACAUGAAAUAGUAGAAAUGAAACUCGAUAUUAAUACAUGUAACAAGAUAAUGAAUACAAUAAUGUAAGCAUAAAUGAUACGAGCAACAACAACAAAAUAAUAAAUAAAUAAAUAAAAGAUGACAAAACAAUUAUACGUGAAACAAUAAACAACUAGGGCUAAAAAAUUUCAUAAGAAUAAUGAUGAAAACAUAAAUAAAAACAUAAAUAUAAGAUAAAACAAUAAUAACAAUAAAGAAAAUAGAUAAAAAUUAUAAAAUGUAAAAAAUAUAUAUGUACAUAUAAAGGAAAUAUAUAUGUAUGUAGAUAUAAAAUUAUGAAAAUACGAGAAAUAUAUAUAUCUUAAAAUUAUUGAAUAUAAAAGUUUAUGCAAGUAUGUAUAUACACGUUUAUGUAUAUAAAGUUUAUAAAAAAAAUAUAAGUAUAUAUAUAUAUUCGUAAAAAAAUGUAUAUAAAUAUAGAUAUAUAUGUAUAGAUUAUCAAAUGUAUAUAAACAUGCGUGUGUAUGUACAUAUUAAAUAAAAAAACGUGUACAUAUAUUAUGAAAAUGUAUAUAUAUAUAGAUAUAAAAAUAAAGCUAAAUAUAUAUAUUACUAAUUAAUGUAUUAAAUAUAAUAGUAACAAAUAAAUAAAAGGAAAAUAAAAUUAAUAAUAAUAAGGUUAAAUAAUAAAAAUGCUAAAAAAACACUGACUAAAUUAAAAUAAAACGAAAAUACAUGGUUGAUUUGAAAGUAAAAAAGACGAAAAGGAUCAAAUUGCGACACGCACAAAAAGGGAGGGACCAAAACAAUAAAUAGACUGAAUUCCCAAAACGCGGUGCUGCAGUGGACUAAAUUGAAACGAAAAUAAAAUUGCGCGUCUAAAUUAAAAUAAAAGAAAAGAAAGAAAAAAGGGGCAAAUUGCAACACGCUGCAAAAUCGGAGGGACUGUACGCGUAAAUAUCCCAAAAGUCAAAAACACGUGGAUCCUCUGGGUCGGGCCGGGUCGACGCGCGGAUCUCCUCACCAAAACGGUGCCCGUUUCAUUCCUUUAUAAAAGUCAGAUUUUUUUAUAUAUAUUUUUAUUUCUGCCACUUUUUUUCUCUCAACCCUUCCCUAAUCUCCCCAGAAUCCGGCCGUCGGUCCGGCCAUGGGCCACCGUGCCAAUCGCCUAUCACCGGCGCUGCCGUGUACGAUGGCAGGGAGACCAAAAGUCUCCCCUUUUUCGCUGAAUCGUCUCUCCUCGGCCUCCUGAGCGUCCCGGCGUCGAUAAAAAAGGGUAAAAAUGCCUCCUUUCUUCCUUUAUUUUGUACUUCGAAAAAAAAUAAAAAUAAAAAUAAAAACAAAACAAAAAUAAAAAGAAGAGUAACCUUUUAUUGCUUUUUUAAUCUUUGUUCUUCCUUUUUUUUGAAUAGAUUUAUCUUUUUUUUUCAAAAGAAGAACCCUUUUACAAUUUGUUUUUGGGCUAUUUAUAGCCGAUUCUGUUUUUGUUUCCUUUUUCUAUUUAUGCUUGCGUGUUCUUCUUUCUCUUGCAAGUGGAGCAGGUGCAAGUGGGGUGAUGGGACGUGCGGCGUGUCGGUGGCAGAGCUAGGGCGGCAGCAGUUGAGUCUGAAUACCCUAGGUGCGGCGCCUAGGGUUCUUUUGUUUCUGCUAGGGUUUUUUUUUCUUUUUUUUUGUUUUGGAUUUAGGCCAUUUGGGUUUUGGGCUUAGGUUAGGUUUAAUUGGGGUUUGGUCUGUUUAUUUUCUGUUUUGGUUGUAUUUGGGCUAGUUGGGCCUCAGGCAAAAAAUUGGGCUUGUACAACUGCCCCUCUUUACUCGUUGUCCUGUAACGAGAACAGAGCAAAGACCUAAAAAGACCAAUAUUUUGCCCGAUCUCGCCAAGUCUUGACUUCUCUUGGCGUUUCUCUUCUUCAAGUAGCUUAUUUUCAAUCCACUACGUCUUGUUGCUUCAAUCCACUCUACUGUAGCAAUAACUUUAGAGGGACGAGGUUUGUGGUUUUAGUCUGCUCCACUUGGGAAGAUAAGAUUCACCAUCUUUGAUCUGCUCCACUACUGCUUAGGGAGACAUAAUCUGCAAGGGAGACAGAAUCUGUAAUCUUUAACCUACUCUACUACUGCUUAGGGAGAUAGGACUAAUGGCUUAAAUCUACUUCUCCACUAUCUUGGGAAGAUAAGAUUCACCAUCUUUGAUCUGCUCCACUACUACUUAGGGAGACAGAAUCCUACUCCACUACUGCUUAGGGAGAUAGGACUGAUGGCUUAAAACUGCUUCUCCACUAUCUUGGGAAGAGAAGAUUCACCAUCUUCGAUCUGCUCCACUACUGCUUAGGGAGACAGAAUCUACAAUCUUCAACUUACUCCACUACUACUUAGGGAGAUAGGACAAAUGGCUUAAAUCUGCUUCUCCACUAUCUUAGGAAGAUAAGAUUCACCAUCUUCGAUCUACUCCACUACUGCUUAGGGAGACAGAAUCUUCAAUUUUUAACCUACUCCACUACUGCUUAGGGAGAUAAGACUAAUGGCUGAAAUCUGCUUCUCCACUAUCUUGGGAAGAUAAGAUUCACCAUCUUCGAUCUGCUUCACUACUGCUUAGGGGGACAGAAUCUGCAAUCUUCAACCUACUCCACUACUACUUAGGGAGAUAGGAUCUGCAACCUUUAAUCUGCUUUGCUGCAAACUAUGAUGUCUUCGAUCUACUUCAUUGUCAGUACAGGAAGGCAAGAUCUGCUAUCUUCAGUCUGAUGGUGUCUUCGAUCUACUUCGUCGUCAGUAUAGGAAGGCAAGGCUGGUGUCUUCGAUCUGCUUCGCCGUCAGUACAGGAAGGCAAGAUCUGCUAUCUUCAGUCUGCUCUGCUGUCAGUAUAGAGAGGCAAGGCUGAUGUCUUCGAUCUACUUCGCCGUCAAUACAGGAAGGCAAGAUCUGCUAUCUUCAGUCUGCUUCGCUGUCAGUACAGGAAGGCAAGGCUGGUGUCUUCGAUAUGCUUUGCUGUCAGUAUAGGAAGGCAAAAUUUACUAUUUUUAGUCUGCUCCACUGUCAGUACAGGAAGGCAAGACUGGUGUCUUCGAUCUGCUUCGCAGUCAGUACAGGAAGGCAAGAUCUGCUAUCUUCAGUCUGCUCCGCUGUCAGUACAGGAAGGCAAGGCUGGUGUCUUCGAUAUGCUUCGCUGUCAGUACAGGAAGGUAAAAUCUACUAUUUUAAGUCUGCUCCGCUGUCAGUACAGGAAGGCAAGGCGGGUUUCUUCGAUCUGCUUCACCGUCAGUACAGGAAGGCAAGAUCUGCUAUAUUUAGUCUGCUCCGCUGUCAGUACAAGAAGGCAAGGUUGGUGUCUCCGAUCUGCUUCGCUGCCAGUACAGGAAGGCAUGAUCUGCUAUCUUUAGUCUGCUUCACUGUUAGUACAGGAAGGCAAGACUGGUUUCUUCGAUCUGUUUCGCCGUUAGUACAAGAAGGCAUGAUCUGCUAUCUUUAGUCUGCUUCACUGUCAGUACAGGAAGGCAAGACUGGUUUCUUCGAUCUGCUUCACCGUCAGUACAGGGAGGCAUGAUCUGCUAUCCUUAUUCUGCUUCGCUGUCGGUACAGAAAAGCAAGACUGGCUUCUUCGAUCUACUUCACUGUCAGUACAGGAAGGCAUGAUCUACUAUCUUUAGUCUGCUUCGCUGUCAGUACAGGAAGGCAAGACUGGUUUCUUCGAUCUGCUUCGCCGUCAGUACAGGAAUGCAUGAUCUGCUAUCUUCAGUCUGCUCCGCUGUCAGUAUAAGAAUGCAAGACUGGUUUCUUCGAUCUGCUUCGCCAUCAGUACAGGGGGGCAAGAUCUGCAAUCUUCAUUGAUCUGUGCUCUGGGGAACACCACCUCUAUAUUCUAUAUUAUGAACCUAAUUGUGCCUAGUGAUUAGGAUGACAUGAUCAGAAUGAAUCAAACGCUCCUAACUAGACACGUAUGAAUGACGUUUGAAUGAAUGCAAUGAAAAUGAUCCCUUUUUAAUGCUUGAGUUAUCAUUACUCAAAGUUUAUUAAGGUUUUAUCACUGACGUGCUACAAUGUCUUCUUGCUCGGCUGGCGUAUCCAAAGAAACACUUAAUCUGAUUGCCCCCCAUUGUGAACGUCAGAGUUCAAUCCACUAGGACACAAAAUUUGUACCAUCAUUCUCCCACUGUGAUCCAAGGGUAGAAAAAUAUGGCUUUUCUCAAUCAUCUCCUAUUGCAAUUCAAGGAUACAGAAUGUGAAGCUCUUUGGUCUUUUACCCCAUUCCCAAGGUGUUAUACCAAAUGCUCAUGCACAAUUGCAAAAUUUUCUUCUCCGAGAAAACCUUUUCUUAUCACUCGGUGAUCAUUGCUUGUUUGUUCAUUGAAGCCUUGUCAUCAACAUAAAAUUUUGUCAUUUUGUUCAAUCAAUGUUUGGAUAACAAAAUCUGAAAGGAUAGUCUUAACUUAGACUCUUCCUUCUUAGAAAUUUCAACCUUUAAACUUGGUGUGUUCUAAACAAUAUCAUGUUUCAGGUUCCUAUAUUAUUUAGAAACUUCUAGGGUAAUAUGCAAAACUUCUCUUGUGAAAGUAUUAUUAGUCCAUUAAUAUUAUUCCAAUGCAACAUGCUUGCAAAAGAUCAUAACGAUAGAUAAAACAAAAUUGAUUUGGGAGCCUAGCUCAAAAUAAAUUAUCAAGGAUAGCAAGAAUAAAAGAGGAAUUGAUUGGAACACGUAUCUUGAAUAAGAAUAAAGUAUUCCAAGAACAAAAAAUUCAAUAUAAAGGUUAGGUGCCCCAGAUAUCGCAUCUUAAACUUCUCUAUACAAACUUUCUGAAGACCUUUCUGAGUUUGACAUGUGUUUAGGAGAUCUACAGGACUUUGUCGAUGCCCCAAGAUGUUGCCUACCCUUUCCUGUUGAUUCAGGUAUAACAAGAUCACCACAUGCCCCAAUUUGGUUAAAAUUUGAGCUGCUCUGAUCACCUCAUGCCCCAUUUAAUCCAAAACUUGAAUUGCCCUUUUCGAGUUUUCAACUCAAAUCCCCUUUGGUCUCAAGGCGCCCUUUGCGGGUUUUCACCUUGGCCUCUCCUUUUUUUUUCUUUUUCUUUUUUUCCCUCUUUUUUUCUUUUUUUAAUCUGAACUCAUUGGAUUAGGUAUGUCCUCGUUAUCCCUUCCGAUCAAGAUUGACGCUUUUCCAGAUAAGGCCUUCCCCAUAAGGUUUUUCCCAUCUUGGCAUGAAGUUCUUUUUGUAUGGAAAGGAUCUUCUUCGAUACCAAGUACCCCUCAUGGAAUUUUAUAGGGCGAACUUUUUUGUGAGCUCGCAUCAUUUGCUUUUGGCGCAUUUGACCACGAUGGACAACUUUGAACAUUCAUCUUCAAUCGGGAUUGGAUCCAAAAACUCAGAGAGAAAGAAUCUCAUCUUCAAUAGGCGAAACUGCGAUGGGCCCAAGAGAACGGCAUUGCCCCCGCAGAGUUUUUUUUAAUGCUCUGUUCACCUUUGGGCGACAUAGUGUUAAUUUUGAACAAACUGCCAACUUUUGAAAUCGUGCUCUUGUUCAAAUUUGGUGUAUUGUCAAAUAUGAUCCUUUUGGCAUUCCAUAUUGACAUGUGAUUUUUUUUGAGAAUUUGUUGACUGUCAACUUUCUGAUGUUGGCAUAUGAAGCGGCUUCUACCCGCGAAGAUAAAUCAAUGACCGCCAAAAUCUUCUGUCUAGAUCGUCCCAAUAGCCUUCAUGCCCCACAUAGGGAGGAGCCAUGGACUCCAUUGAUUUUUUGUAUGGUGGAAUCUGUUUUUCACCUUAUUUUAUCAUCCUUAACAAGUUUAGAGAUAAACUAUAAUCUAUGUCAUCUUCGAAGUCAUGAGAUCCCUCUAAACACAUGUCUCACUCAAAAGGAGAUUCUGAGUCUGUAGCAGCGUCACUCAUGUCGUUGAUAUCUGGGGACUUAUUGUAGGUACAAGAGAAUAUACAAAGAAUGUAUGAAUUUAAGAAUAAAUAUCUAUACAGUAUGAUUAUGAAUGAAUGAAAGAAUGAUUUGGAAGAAAGAAUGAAAGAAUAAUUAUUCAUAAAUGAUGAAAGAAUAUUAGCUCAAAAAUGAUCGCAAAGAUAUAUUUCAUUAAAAUAACGACGUUCAGACAUGAGCCUAUUUCACAAAGGAAUUCUUAUCGCCUCUAGGCUAAAAGCAACAAGUGUGUUUUGGACAUUACUCUAAAUAAACUCUAAAUACUACAAAGAUUUCUUCUGCAGUCUGAUUAUUUAGAACACUCCCAAGUUUAUAAUGACGGAUAUCUAACAAGGUCCCUUUUCAGUUGUCUUCAUGUAUGACAUUGAUAUGACCAUUUUUUUGACCCCUUCACAAAAAUCUAUCUUGUUGGACCUUAGCUAACCGCUCUUGUAUUUGCAGUCGUAGUUGGUCUUGCCUCCCCCUUUGGAGUCGUUCAAGUUUUCAAUCUUUGGUCCAUGUUUUUUUGUUCGGAUACCGUAAUGAUGCUAAGUCGAUAGACUUUUUUUUAGUUCCCAGGUUAACUGAAAUAAUUUUACUCAAUUACGGUCUUUUAAUGGUCCUUAAUGCGCAUGAUGCUAUGUAAUGCAAAUGCAUGAAAUGAAUGCAAAAAAGAGACAUUGAUUCUUGGUUCAAUUCUAUUAGAACAACUUUACUAGAAAACAAAUCUCUUUACAUAAAGCGGAUAUAUAUACGGCUUUGCCCUCAUAGGCGGAGACAUUCGAUCCUCUUCUUCAUUCGAGCGUUAAGAUAAAUCUCACGAACUCUUCAAAAGGGACGUCUCUUCUAUCUCUUUUUUGCUUAAUCCGGGCCGUGACUCGUUCCUCGCUCAUCCUCGUGAUGCUCAUUGGCUUCUCUUUAAGAAAGUUCAGCGGCUCUCGAAUAAUCUUUGUCUUCUUGAAUCCUCGAGCAACGGAGCAAUAGUCGUGUAGUCCUCUAUUAAACUAUCAUCAUUCUCUUAUCACGUUUUCUUGGACCAUAUUCGGAUAACUGUAUCGUCAUCCACUUUAUCAAGAAACCCAUUUUCUUAUGACAAGCUCUCUAUUUAGCAACCGAACGUGAAUCAACACCUCUUUUUAUGAUGAAAAUGCAAUGCAAUCAUAACAAAAAAGAAAACAGGUUAGUACAAAGCAAAAGCAAGCAAGAAUAAAGAGAACACCUAUUCGGGUGAAUACUAGGGGUUCGAAGUGGUUCUACCUAGGGUGGGCUCCUAAAGUUCGCCACAUGAGGUUUGGUUCUAAAGUAAAGGUACCCGAACCAACAGAUUCCUCAAUCGUCACCCAUUAUAGGCUCACAUAGACCGAGUUCGGUUCAGGGGAAUGCAUUUCCCUAUGGCUGCACAGAUAUGAAAAUCUCACGAAAACAUAGGUACAGAUGUAUCCCGAAAGCGACCCACUAUCCUGCACGGAGGCGAAAACCUCACGAAGGAGUAGCUUCUCACUCCCACUUAAAAGGGUGUGACCAACGGUCAUGCAAUGCAAUGUGCAAAGAUGUAAAAAUUUAAAAUACAAAACAUGAUGAAAACUAUAAAACAUGAUGAAAACUAUAACUCAAAAUAAAUGCAAUGAGAGGAUUGUAUAUUUAAAUCAAGUUUUUUAAUUUUUGACAAAAAGACAAAAAAUAAUCAUCUCGUGGCUUGACUCUCUUAUUUUAUGUCCCCAGUGGAGUCGCCAAGCUAUUGACACCAUUUUUUUGAUGAAAACGGGGUCGACUUGGGUUUUGAAAACAAAAACGAGAGUCGCCACCAAUCCUUUUUGAUAAGGUGUGAUCGGAUCACCUUGAAAAGUGAUUGUUUUUAAUAAACAAUUUGAUUUUAUUAAAACAAUGAUUUUGGUCCACAAAAUUCAGAAAAACGGGUUUGGGAGUCGGUUACGUACGAGGAAGGAUUAGCUCCCUCGUAACGCCCAAAAAUUGGUAAAAAUGGGUAAAAAAAGGGUAAAAAUGCCCCCUUUCUUGCUUUAUUUUGUACUUCGGAAAAAAAUAAAAUAAAAUAAAAACGAAACAAAAAUAAAAAGAAGAGUAUCCUUUUAUUACUUUUUUAAUCUUUGUUCUGCCUUCUUUUGUUUUUUUUUUAAUAGAUUUCUCUUUUUUUUUCCAAAAGAAGAACCCUUUUACAAUUUGUUUUUGGGCUAUUUAUAGCUGAUUCUAUUUUUGUUUCUUUUUUCUAUUUAUGCUUGCGUGUUCUUCUUUCUCUUCCAGGUGGAGCAGGUGCAAGUGGGGUGAUGAGACGUGCGGCGCGGCGGUGGCAGGGCUAGGGCGGCGGCAGUUGGGUUUGAAUACCCUAGGUGCGGCGCCUAGGGUUCUUUUGUUUCUGCUAGGGUUUUUUUUCUUUUUUUUUGUUUUGGAUUUGGGCCAUUUGGGUUUUGGGCUUAGGUUAGGUUUAAUUGGGGUUUGGUCUAUUUAUUUUCUGUUUUGGUUGUAUUUGGGCUAGUUGGGCCUCGGGCAAAAAAUUGGGCUUGUACAUACACAAUGCAAAAUGGAAGAAAAUAUUAGAUCACUGAUUUUCUAACGUUUAACUAAUACUAAGCAGCAUUAUGUGGUCGGGUUGUAAUGAGGAAAGACGACUUGUAUUAGUAGAUCAUAAACCUAAACAUGCCCUUAGUCUAAUCGGAAAUGAGAAAACCAAUUGAAAGGUUUAUAUGUCAUAUAUGAAGUCAAAUAAGGGCUAAUCAAUGACUAAUCAAUUUAAUUUUCACUUUGAACUUCAAUUAUUUAAUUUCAAUAAAUUAAAUAAUAAUUCAAAACAAUUAAUUCAAUUUUCUACAUGCAAUCUAUUUUGGGUUAUACUGAAUUAGCAGAGGAACCAAUUGAACAUAUAUAAUUAGGACUCAAAUAAUUUUUAAUUUAGUUUCAUCUAUUCACCUAUUAAUUACAACAUUAUUUAAUUAUAAAGUUAUUUCACUAAAGUAUCAUGAUUGAACCCUUCCUUAUUAUAUAGCAUCACGAAAGUAACUUAAUAAAUGCUUGUACAAUGACCUUAUUAUGAGUGUGUUACCCUCGUAGGUUAUCUAUUAUCUUUUUGGUUAAUUUCUUUCAAGUAAUAUGAUCCUAUUUUAUCUCAUGGUAAUUACUAUUUCAUCUUCCCUCAUGAAACAGUCAAUUAAAUCAUUUGUUCCAGAAAAAUGAUCUAAGACCAUGUUACAUUUUCAUCUAUCAUGUAAUAAUGUCAAAGAGAAGAUAUCAUUUACCUUUUGUCUGACUAUGAAUUCCACCAUAAUAAAUGAAGCUAUGUCAUGCAGAAGUCAAAUACACUACAUACCGGCUUUUGGUUCUUUAGUUGUUUUGAACUCAGACAUUCAAUACAUUAAAGCAUACAAAUCAAGCAUACAUAGUAACUUACUCAAGGUUAAGGUAAGUCACACUACGAACAUUACAAGUAAAUUAAUCCUCAAACAAAUCUACGAUUAAUUUGACUUGUAUCUUGUCUAAUGUUUUAUCAAUCCAGACAAUAACAUCUAUGUUCGUAUCUUUUCGGAGUCAUUUGCUUUGAUACGCAAGACAAUGUAUCUCUUUAAUAGGAUUUGAUAGACGACAGAAUAGUCCUUUAAUCAAUUUGCUAAAUUUCGAUACAGUAAAUGAUGGAUCUUUUAGAUCGCCUACUAAUAUAAGUUGUUUUCUCACAUUAUGACUUGAUGACGUAAUACAACUUCGUAUAAGUUAAACACUAUGUAAUUAGUGAGUCAAUAUUUACUAUAUUCAAAAUUUACCAUUUUCUUUUGGGAAAUCAUUUUAGUCUAUUUUAUGCAGUUUAUAAUUAACAUUUAAUAUCUCUCUCUCUCUUGGGCAGAACAAUAAAAUAUAUAAUACGAGCUUAAUAUAGUUUAUUAGACUAUACUUAGGCUCCUUUGGAUUGGUGGUGACAUUCGCUCGAAUGAGAUUAAAACUAGUGGUUCAUGUACUAAAAUGCCUCUUUAUAACUCAAAAUAAAUUAAAAUUAAUAAAUUUUAUUUUUAUAUAUUUAAAUUUUUAUUUAUUAACAACCAUAUGUUAAAAUUUAAAAACAUCGUGAUAUGUUGGAAUUCGCUGGUUGAUGUCAGACUCAUCAUCAACAUGAUAUGAUCGUCAAGUCCACUGGAUGAGGUCGCAUAUUGGCAACCUUGCUCCUUUCUGUCAUCCGGUGUGAGUGAGCUUUGGUCAACAAAGUGAUCUUAGAGUUAAAUAUAAAUGUCAAUUGCUAAACAACAUCUUCGAAACAAGAGUAUUUUCAUUUAUCUUUUUAUUCCAUUUCGAGUUAAGAUUUUUGAGAAAACUAAAAGUGAAAAUUUAUAUGAAAAGAAAGAAAUUGUAGUAGGCUGAAAAGUUAUAUGGUUGGAAAUUAGGAAGUUUAACUUUUCAUAAUUGUGAUUUAUCUUUUGUUAAAUUUAACCAAAGCCUCAUCUUAAUUAAUUUGAAAUAUCAGUUUAUCCCAAAUAUUUAACUGAGUCUGGAAUUAAGUUCGAAAGGUUGAUUUAAGGUAUAAUAUCAAAUUUAGUCUUCAACGUUUAAAUAUUGUCAAUUUGGCCCUUAUUCUAUUUUUUAGCUCUAUUUGACCGUUAACCUUUUAAAAAGCGUCAAAUCGUUUUUGUUUUAUAUGCUAUGUCAACUAAUAGUUUUAUUUUUUAAAAAACAAUAAUAAUAAAAUUUAUAAAAAUAUUCAUAAAAACUCAAAAAAAUAGCAUGAAGUACAUGUGAAUUACCAUGCGGGCUAUGAUAUUUAAGAAGUUCACGUUUUAAUUAAUAUUUUCAUUAAAAAUUAAUUAUUCAACUCAUUUAAAAAGGUUGGUGUUAAAUUGACUCCUUUUGAUUAAAAAGUUGAGGCUCAAUUUUAAGUAAAAAGAAGAAGAAAAACCAAAUUGAGUUUGAUAGCUAAAUUUGAUAUUAUACUUAAAUUUGUCCAAUCAGACAAAAUUUGGAAUCAAUGAAAAUAAUAAAGCUUUUCUCUCUAACUUUAUUCAAACUUUGGACGAGAGAAUUUCCAGUUUAGAUGUUGGUGAUCUAAAUCAUUUCUUGGGAAUUGAAGUCAUUCCAACAUCUCAAGUUUUAUUCAUCUGAAUAUAUUAGUUAUGAUAUAUUGAGCAAAGUAAACAUGUCGAAUACUCAAACGCGAAGGAAUCAAACACACCGGUUUCCACUUUAGUUUCUUUAAGUUUUCAUGAUGGCUUUGCUGUAGUCGAGGCCAAAGAGUCCAGAAAACUUGUUGCUUCGUUGUAAUUGUUUCCUUGUAAACAAACUUUUCAAAUUUUUGCAUAAACCAAUCUCUAUUAGAGAUGAAGAUAAAUUUUUGUAGCUAAGAAUUUAAUCUUUAUUUGUAAUAUAAUGAUAAAAUACAAUGAUCAAGUAUGAGAAUUUUAACUUUUAAUCAGAUGAAGAUAUAUAUCUCAUACAUUUAUUCUAAUCAAGCGUGACAGAAUGAUAUGACUUUUUCACAAUCUGUAGAUAACAUCUUAGUAAUGAAUUACAGUAACGUUGAAUUCAAUGAUGACAUUGGUGGCAUUUAUAAGGAUAGGGUUAAAUAGUGCAACCCCUGUUGCCAUCAUGAAUCGUCCUCUUCCUCCGACCACCGCAAGCCCAGGUUCUCCCCUUGAAAAUACGCUUAGAGAGCUGCCGUUAAACUUACCGGUAUUGAAUCCAAAAUCUAUGUAUUGCGUGCUUGAUGCAUUCGUUCCAGCCAGGAGCGCAAUACCCUGAACAUUUCCAAUCAGCUCCGAGUCAGGCUCAGGACCAGUCCUGAGGGGAUCAUUAACGGCAACUAGGGAGGCAAAUGGCACUGAUGAAUUAUUGUCGCUGCUUGUGAUGUUAACUUGGGCUACCUGGACUGCUGUAAUACCCGUAAAUUCGUGCAUAAAGAAGUGAAGAUUGGUGACCUUAACUGGCCUGGGACGAUAUGGUAGGGUCUCCGAGUAGUAUUGGCUCUGCACUGCUACUAGGGAGAGGCAGAUGAUCAGAACCCAACUCAACAUCAAUGUUCCUCUCAUUGUCUCUGCUGUACUUUAAUUUCUGGGGCGAAAUGUAGAUGAAAGCUAUAGAUUUGUUGCUUCAUCUCUAUUAACAAAACAGACACAUUUAUACUGAAAAUACCCGCAGACAUGAAAAUAAUUUAUUGUCCAAAACAUUUUAUGUAAUACCAACUUGAUUUCUGACUAGUAAUAUAAAAAACAAAGCAAAUUUUGACAAGGCAACACAAACUUGGUCUACGAAUACUUGGAUAAAUACGAAUAACUUUACGUAAUAAUUAGACUGGUCAGCGUUGUAAACACCAUUCUGUCUGUAAAAUUAAAUGAUCCAAUUGCUUUAAAUUAAUCUUAGAUUGGAUGUUUUCCUCCCCUGCGUUUUUCUUUUUCGUUUAUAUGUAUCUACCUAAGAAAAUGAAGUGAAUUGAGAAUAAGUCUUGAGUCCUGAUAACAGUAUACAUGAAUUUCAAUUUGUAUAUACUGCAAUCUCCCUAUAUAUGAAAAUCAAUAUUAUAGGGAUCUCCCUAUAUAUGAAGAUCAAUUCUAGAAUUUCCCAACCUUCAUAAACUCUUCUGCUAAUUGUAUACACUGCAAUUCCCUUCAGACCAAAUAACUUCAUUCUAAUAUUGUCCUUGAUCAAAUGGAGCAGCUACUCCUCCUAAUAUUAGCCUAAUUCUUUGGUCCUUCCACUUCUUUCCUAUCAAAUUUGGUGAAUUCUAAACUACCUACACAAUAUAAGUAUAAAUGACUAAUUGUAUCGGUUUACAAAAAGUGAGAUUUAAUUCUACAAAAUAAUUGAAUAAAUAAGAAUUUCUUCACAUAAAAAUUAGAAUGGUCAAGGUUUUAAACACCAUUCUGUCCAUAAACUAAAUGUUCCAUUUGUUGUAAAUUAAUUUUAGAUUGUAAGCUUCCUCCACUUGAGGUUUUAUUUUCUUCUGAAUGGGACAUUGUCCAUUGACUUUAAUUUAUUUGGUGUUAUAUAUGACAUCUGAUUGACGUCUUGGUUUUAUAAAUUAAUUUAUCUUCUUCUAACAAAUGUUUGUUUGAUGUGAACUUUCUUGUUACUCUUCUUGCGAUCACAACAAGCUCAAGUUCUGUCUGCAUUAUAGGAUUGUUUGGGAAUCAAGGACGAAGUUAUAAGUUUAUUUUUGAGGGAUCAAAAUUAAACUAUAAAAUUUUAAAGGGAUUAAAAUACAAUUUUAUCUUCGUAUAUGAUUGCUAGUUUAUAAUUUUAAAAAGAUGAAAUUGAAUUUUUUUCAACUUAAUUUAGGGGGCUAAAACAAAAUUUACCAUUAAAUUAACUUAUAAUUUAAAAAAAUUCAAGGAACUAAAUUGAUAAUUUAUCAUUUGAGGGGGUCAGGCCCUUGCCUAUCCCCGUUUGCUUUGUGGUUGUUGAGAACUGUUAGGUGGAUUGAGAGCUACGGUGGGUUUGGAUGGGCGAUUGGGUGCGGUGCAAUGCGUUUAGCUUAUUUUUUGUCUCACGCUACAGUAUCGCUACAGUAUCUAAUCUCACCGCCACUGCUGUUCUUACACUAACCGCAGGUAAACGCACCGCCCAUCCAAACCCACCCCUAGUAUAUAUGAAUUUCAAACGUUAUACUCAAUUUUAACCAAAAUUACUUAGAAUAAUUUUUAUUUAAUUCACAAGAUCCCACUAAUAAAAAAUAUUUAUUUUAUUAAAUUUAAUUUAUACUUUUUAUAAUUUACAUUUUUUAAAAAUAUUUUAAAUACCAUUUAAAAAAAAAGUGAGUUUUUUUGGUUUAAUUACCAUCAUAUGUGGAUUUAAUUCUGAAAAGGAAAAUAAUCCCCUACAUAAAAAAAUAGCCUAUGUAAAAUGUUCAAAUAACACCAUUUGUGAAUUUGGUUUUAUAAUUAUAUUGUAUGCAGUUGAUUUAGCCGUUGUUUAAUAGGGAUUGUGAUACAUUUUCAUAUGCUAGCAAAUAUCAAAAUUCUAAUUGAGGGACUUGUACAAGUUGAUAAAUUAAUUUUGAGAGCACUUAUUUGUUCGAGUGAGGAACAUUAUUUGUAAGAGUACACUUGAUUGUAAAAUCUUUUGUGUUGUGAUUUUAUAAACUAAGUUCUCAAGGGGAGAAGUUAAUGAUAAAAGAUAUAAUCUUCGAAAAUCCCCUAUUUGACUUUGUGUUAUCAUAGUGCUUGCCGAAGUGCCCACUACUACAAUUAUUUUUGCUCGUACUUUUCUUGUUACUUUGCAACUAUUUCAAGUCAACAAUUGGUAUCAUGGUCUCCUACUUAACAUUUCUAGUGGAGAUUCCUGGUGUCGAUAGUUGCAAGCUAUGGAAGGAUCAUCAAUCACUAGACCAUCGAUGUUGGAGAUUGGCUAUUUAUGCUUACUGAAAAGCACACAUGGAGUCUACAACAAAAGGACUAAAAAUGUAAUGGUGUAAUAUCCUUAACCCGGUCACCGAACUCGAGUUAUAGGAUGUUAGGACAGAUAACAAUGCUUGUCACAUAUAGAUUCAACUUCAAACAUUGAAUUAAACAAUAGAACAUACCAUAGUCAAAGUAUAACAUGAUUUACAAACAAAAUUGGAAUGGCUUAUGAAUAGGAAUUAUAGGCUAUGGUCGUUACAGAAAUUGUUUGGGGAUGUUGACUGUGACACUAUCUAGUUGGCUCAAUUUCAGUUCGAAGAUAUUCACAGACAAGGUAAUGGUAUAGAGGAUACUUUUGUGAAAGCUGGUAUAUCGAAAUCUUCUUCUUCUUUUUUAAGCUUGAUGGUGAAUUUUGUUUAAUGUACCAUAGCUUUAGUUUUCCGGAGGAUUUUGUCUUUGGCUACCAGUAGUAAUACUAGUGUAUUCAUGUUGUCUUUGAAAGAUGUUGUUAGUUCCAACGUCUUUCUCGGUUUUACAUUAUUUUUCUCGACUGAGAAAAAAAAUAACCAAUGGUAAUCCACAAGCAUUGUGGAAAUUUGCAUAAUGCCAAUUCAUUUUCCAUGCAAAGAAGAAAAUUUUAUAGUUUUGACUAUGCUUACUCGAGAAAAAGAUGAUGAGAUGAGCAAGAAGAUUGCUAGAAAUUUGAUCCACCAAUUAAUAAGCUAACUAAAGUAAAUAAUGACAAUUGAUUCACCAAUUGAUGUUUUAAUUCAUUAUAUUACUAUGCCCAUAUAACUAAGCUUUUACUGACAAAGUCUAGAAAGCAGAUAUUAUUGAGACUAAAAAUUGAAAUUCAUGAAGACAUAAAUAGUUACAACAUACAAAAUGUUACGUUCAAAAUAAAACCUUACAGAUGGUACGUAAUGCAAUAAAAUACAGAUUAAAUAUUGUAACAAAAAAUAAGGACAGAUGCAUGCCAGUGCAACCCUUUACCAUAGGAAAAAAACAUUUCGACAGGCUUCAAAACAAGAAAUUAUGAAGAUACAACAUAAAUGCUUGAACAUCAUUUACAUCAACUAGAUCCUUCUUUGUCCAUUGCUGCAAUUGCCAUUCUUUGACUUUCUUCUUCGCCUCUUUAUGUCAGUUUUCAACCAAAUUCACGAACCAUUUCGGCUUACCAAUUUGGAAAGCAACAUAUCCCACGGCCAUUCCGAACACUACUCCACAUCCAUAACUUCUCAACACCACUUUCCAACCAAAAGCAAUGUUUGAUUUUGAACCAUCUUUUUCGAGCACAUUUGGAGGUGGUAGCUCAAUGAUGUUGCAAUCUUUCGAGACCGGAAAUCCGCAUAGUCCCUUGUUUCCUUCAUAUGAAUCUUUUUAAUGUGUUGAAUUUGUUAAGAUCAUGUGUUUAAGAUUGCUGCCAUUUAAAUUUUUUCUGUUACUAAGUUUGAAUAAUUCUUCUUGACUUUAGGAGCUUAGUUUUUGAUUUGUUUGGUAUAUUGUUACCAAAUUUUUAGCAGAUUUUUUAGAACUUUUUUUUUAUAUUUUAAGCUUGAACUUUUGUAUUUAAAUAGUUGAGGUGCAAAUCAAUUAAUUAUUCCUGUCUUCAAUUAUUUUCUAUCUUAAAACUUCCUGUCUUUUCUUUCUGCUUCAAAUCUCUCGAUCAAUGUAACAGCCCGAUUUUGACUCUAAUUGGACAUAGUGGUUUCGGGACCACAAAUCUGAGUCUGAAAAAUAUUUUAAUAUUAUUUUGUGUGUUUAUGAUGUGUGAAUUUAAAUGUGUGAAAGUUUCGUGAAUUAAUUUUGUUGUUUAUGUGUUUAAUUGACAAAAGUAUCAAAUUGCAUAAAAUGUGAAGUUUGAUUAUUAAGGUGUAAAGUGCUUAUUUGAUGGUGGCUUUUAAAUAUGAGGUUCUUAAAGGGCAAUUAGCCCAUUUUAAAAGAUAGUGGACGGCAAUGAUAGUUAAUAUAUACUUUUUAUAUAUUAAAUAUAAAAGUUAUAAUAGUAAUAGUAUAAUAUUAUAUUAUUAUAUCAUUAAAACAUAAAAGAAAUAAGUUUUUUUUCUUUCUUCAUUGUUUGUAUCACCGAAACAAAAAGAAAGAAACUUUGUUCUUCAAGCUUUAGCAUUCGGCCAUCUUAGGGAUUUCAAUUCAAGGUUAGUUUGAUUUUAGUUUUUGAUAAUUUUUACGUUUUUGAGAUCGUUGCUUUGAAUACUUCAAAACCCAUGUCUUAAUUUUGUGAAUUGAUGAAUAUUUUGAAUUAUGCCAUUGAUGAAUAUUUGUGUUUUGGGAUGUUUGAUGAUGAAUAAUGGAAGAUAUGUCUUAGAUUAACAUGUUUUGUAUUGGUAUUUUUGAUGAAUUUGAGUAUUUAGGGCUAAAUUGUGAAAAUAAAUUUUUUUUGAGGGACUAAAAUGUGAAAUAAAUGCAAUGUGUGGACUUGUAUGAGAACCAUGAAUAUUCGGCCCUUGUGUGUUAUGGGCAAAUUUUAUGUAUUUUGUGUUUUGUGCAAAAAGGACUAAAUUGCAAAAAGUGCUAAAUGUUAGGGGCAAAAUGGUAAUUUUCCCAUUUAUGUAUUGUUGGACUCAAAUGAAUGUUUUGAUGAAUAAAAAGGUUAAAUUUGACUAUGUUUAGAUCAAGGAACGAAGAAAACGAAUUUGGAUCGGGGGAAGUCGAAGAUAAUCGAAUAGUCGAUCGUGUUUGCUGAUAUCCGAGGUAAGUCUAUUAGCAACUAAAAGUUAUUAAGUUAAUAUUUAUACAUGCAUACUAAUUUUUAUCUUAUGAUUGAGCUAUAAUUUAAAGUAUAAUAGUUGAAUAAACUUUGGACUAUAGAUAUUGUAUAUAACAUGUUCGAAUAUACAAGUAUGAUCUUGUAUAAAUUAUUGGAUUAAUCAAAGGUAUGUAUAAGAUAUAGGUAUAUAUAUAUAUGGUUUGAAUGAUUAUAUAAGUAUGUAUAUAUAUAUAUAAAGUCGAAUAAGCAUGCAAAUAUACAUGUAUGUGUUGUGUAUUGAAUUUAGUUAUGUCAUUAUAUAAGUAUGCGAGGAUUGAUUGUGCAUUUAUAUAUGUACAAGUUUUUGUUUUGAAAUUGAGUAUGAAAUUAUACAUUCAUAUGGUAGAUUCGAAUAUGUAUAAAUGCACAUGUAUAAAUUCUUGAAUCGAAAUUUGGUAUGGAAUUAUAUAUGUAUGUGAAAGUUUCGAUUUUGUAUGUAUAUUCACGUAAAAGUUUUUGAAUGGUAGUGAAGAUAUGAAAUUGUUAGUUUGAAUUAUUAUAAAGUGAUUGAAUGUAAUACGGACGUUACGUCUAGCAGGCUUAAUGCCGGUGAAGUAAUUCAGACUUUAAGUCUAGCAGGCUUAAUGCCGGUGAAGUAAUUCAGACUUUAAGUCUAGCAGGCUUAAUGCCGGUGAUACAUUUCAGACUUUAAGUCUAGCAGGCUUAAUGCCGGUGAUACAUUUCAGACUAUAUGCCUAGCAGGCUUAAUGCCGGUGAUACAUUUCAGACUAUAUGUCUAGCAGGCUAAGUGUCGGUGUACUGAAUCAGGCUUUAAGCCUAGCAGGCAAAAUGCCGGUGAAUCUGUUUAAAUUGUGUUAGAAUAUGCAAUGGAUAUAUCUAUGAUUUGUGAUUAUAUGAAAUCGAUGAAUACAUAUGUACAUUAGAUAUAUGUGAUUGCUGAAUUUAUAAAUGCAUAUGGUGAUAUGUGGUAGUUAAACAUAUAUAUGUUGAGCCUAUGUGUUUGAUAAUUAAUCAUGUAUGCAUUUGAGAUAUAUAUAUAUAUGUGUGUAUUUCGAAUGUAUGUGUUACCUAGGUAUUCAGGUAUAAAUUCAUAAUGAGUAUAUUUAUAUACAAACAAAUAUAAGGUGUGAUUGAUGAAUAUAUAUUUGUGUUAGAUUUGAAUUGAUUUAGAACUUACCAUGAGUGUAUAUAUACAAUCGGUUUGAUAUGUAUAUAAUAUGUAUAUAUAUAUGCUCGAUGGUAUACAUUCAAUUGUAAUGUUGUUUUGUAUAAUAUAUAUAUUAAACUGAAUUCAUCCGACAGGUAUACAUAUCUGACUUUAAAUGAAAUGGUCUGAGUAGAAUAAUGUAUGAAUGUUAGUUGGUUGUGUUAGUUGAAAUUUCAGUAGAAUAGAUUAAAAAGGUUAUAAUAAUUAUGUGUUUAUAAUUAUACAUUUAGUUAUGCUGGAGACUUACUAAGCUAUAAAAGCUUACUUCGUUUGCUUUCGUUCUUUCGUUUUUAUAGAUUUGGAGAUGCGUUACGAGCUCGGGGAUCAUCAGCACAGUCCAUCACACUAUCGAUUUCUUUUGGUAUUUUGUUAAAUAUUUGAACUCGAUCUUAUGGCAUGUAUAGGCUUGAUAAUGUUUUGGUUAGUUUUGAAUCCUAUUGUGUAAAUAGCAAUGUGAAAAGAGUUUAGUUUCCAUGCUUGAAUUUGAUUAUAUAUGUUCAUGAAUUGGACUUGUUUUUGGAAUUAGAUAUUAAAGUUAUGUUUAUGUGAGCUUGGUUUCGUAAUGCCUUGUAACCCUGAUUCAGCGACGGAGAUGGGUUAGGGGUGUUACAAUCAACCAUCAAAGUUCGAGUUCUAAACACCAACAAAUUGGUACCGGAGCUGUUUUCUUGAGGGAUCUGUGAGGUUAUUUGCGUGUUAAAAUGGAAGGAGGGUCUAGUUUUUCAGUUGCUGCACCACCAGUCUUCGAUGGAGACAAUUACCAGAUGUGGGCAGUUCGCAUGGAGACUUACUUGGAGGCUUUGGAUCUUUGGGAACCUGUAGAAGAGGAUUACAAGGUCCCACCUCUUCCAGCAAAUCCUACUGUAGCACAGAUUAAAACACAAAAGGAAAAGAAGACAAGGAAAUCAAAGGCAAAAGCUUACUUAUUUGCAGCUGUGUCUCAAAUGAUUUUCACAUGAGUAAUGUCUCUGAAAUCAGUAAAGGAAAUCUGGGAUUACCUCAAGGCUGAGUAUGAAGGAGAUGAGAGGAUUCGUGGAAUGAAAGUCCUGAAUCUAAUCAGGGAUUUCGAGUUGCAGAAGAUGAAGGAGUCUGAGUCAGUGAAAGAAUAGUCUGACAGACUUCUCAGCAUUGCCAACAAGGUGAGAUUGCUUGGUUUUGAGUUGAACGACUCUAAAAUCGUAGAAAAGCUACUGGUCACUGUUCCAGAGAAGUUUGAAGCCACCAUUACUACUCUGGAGAACACUAAGGACCUGUCAAAAAUCUCUCUUACAGAGCUCUUGAAUGCUUUACAAGCACAAGACCAAAGAAGAUCCAUGAGGCAAGAGGGAGUGAUAAAAGGUGCCUUACCUGUCAAGCAUCAAGACAACAACAGAUAUAAAAAGAAGAAAAAUUUUAAGAACCAGUCGACGAAUGGAGAAAAUUCAUCAGGCAAUUAUCAGAAGAGCAAAAUAGGAGGUGUCAAGAAAUCCUACCCACCUUGUCACCAUUGUGAGAAGAAAGGUCAUCCACCAUUCAAAUGUUGGAAAAGACCUGACGCCAAAUGCUCCAAAUGCAAUCAACUUGGACAUGAAGCAGUGAUUUGUAAGGUCAAAGGCCAGGUGCAAGAAGUAGAUGCACAGGUAGCUGAUCAAGAAGAAUAAGAUCAAUUGUUCAUGGUUACUUGUUUCUCAGGCAAAGAAUCAAGUGAGAGCUGGUUGAUUGAUAGUGGGUACACAAAUCACAUGACGUAUGACAAGGAGCUCUUCGAGGAAUUAAGAAACACUGAAGUCAAAAGAGUGAGGAUUGGAAAUGGUGAGUACUUGGAAGUCAAGGGAAAAGGCACAGUAGCUAUUACAAGCUAUGAAGGUACAAAAUUCGUUUCAGAUGUUUUGUUUGUACCUAAAAUUGAUCAAAAUCUCUUAAUUGUUGGUCAGUUGCUGGAUAAAAGCUAUAAAGUGCUAUUUGAGAAUAAGCAGUGCUUGAUCAGAGAUGUUAAUGGCAGAGACUUGUUCAAUGUCAAAAUGAAGGGAAAAUUUUUUGCUCUUAAUCCAAUGGAAAAGGAGCAAAUGGCUUUUAAAUCCAGAGUUAGUGCUACUGAGACUUGGCACAAGAGACUUGGGUACUUUCACCAUCGGGGAUUGCUUCAAAUGUAGUCGAAGAAGCUAGUGGAAGGACUUACAGAUAUUGAUGAUGAUCUACCUCAUUGUUGAGCUUGCAAAUUUGGGAAAUAACAUAGACAACCCUUUCCUAAACAAGCCUGGAGAGCCUCGAAGAAGUUACAGCUUGUUCAUACUGAUCUUUGUGGUCCUCAGAGAACGCCUUCGUUAAAUGGUAACCUCUAUUACUUAGCCUUUAUCGAUGAUCUAACAAGAAUAUGUUGGAUUUUUUUGUUGAAGCAAAAAUCAGAAGUUGCUAGUGUGUUCUAGAAAUUUAAAGGUAGAGUUGAGAAUGAAAGUGGAUGCAUGAUUCAGAUUUUAAGAUCUGAUAAUGGCAAGGAGUACACUUCAGAAGCCUUUAAUAGGUUUUGUGAAAAGGCUGGAAUUAAGCAUCAGUUGACGGUGCCAUACACUCCACAACAAAAUGGGGUCAGUGAAAGGAGGAACAGAUUCAUAAUGGAGAUGACUCGAUGUAUGCUUCAUGAGAAGAAUCUUUCCAAAAGCUUUUGGGGAGAAGCUGCAAACACUGCUGUGUUCUUGCAAAAUCGGAUUUCAACAAAAGCUGUGAAGGAUCAGACGCCAUUUGAAGCUUGGUAUGGUUACAAACCUUCUUUAAAGUUUCUUAGAGUGUUUGGCUGCUUGUGUUUCACUUACAUUCCACAGGUCAAGCAUGAUAAGCUUGACAAAAAGGCAAAAGCUGGCAUUUUUGUUGGGUAUAGCACUGUAUCUAAAGCUUACAGAGUCUUUCAACCACACACUGGACGUGUUAUUGUAAGCAGAGAUGUUUAUUUUGUUGAAAAUGAGCAAUGGAAUUGGGAAGACUCGAUCAAGACGAACCAAACUUCUAGUGCACCAAAUUGUUUUACCAUUGGCAGCACGUUAGAAGAGCUUGAAGAUGAAGGGUAAGAUGUUUUGGCUGAUGAUGCACCUGUUAGAGGUACAAGGCUGCUCUCCGACAUUUACCAAAGAUGUAACAUGGCUAUUUGUGAGCCUGCAGGGUAUCAUGAUGCAAAAAAAUAGUCAACAUUGGAUGGCUGCAGUGAAGGACGAGCUUGCGAUGAUCGAGAAAAACAAAAUAGUUGAGGUGCAAAUCAAUUAAUUAUUCCUGUCUUCAAUUAUUUUCUAUCUUAAAACUUCUUGUCUUUUCUUUCUGCUUCAAAUCUCUCGAUCAACCAUUAAAGUUCGAGUUCUAAACACCAACAGAAUUGUUUGCCUUGAGGAAUCUGACCAUGAAGUUGAUUUUCAGAAACACUUAAGGACGAAAGAAAUGCCAGAUCUACCAAUCUAUUUGGAAUUGUCCUAGACAACCUGUUUGAAGAUAGGUCCAGCUAUUCAAGAUUUGUCAAAUUCCCUAUUCAAGUGGGGAUACCACCAUUAAGGUUAUUGUGAGAAAGGUUGAGCCCUUUCAGUAAGUUAAGCUUCCUAGUAACCUUUGGAAUCUCUCCUUCAAACUGAUUGUUUGAUAGAUCAAUGAUCAUCCACAUGGUGAAAAUUUUCACCAAUUCCAUAUAUUGUCCUUCCAUAAUAAUUCCAAUGGAAUAGGCAUAGAAGCCACUAGUAUAAUCUUGCACACCCAUGUAUGGCCUUGCAAUACCUUUUUUCUCUAGAUUUAUGAUAGCCUUGAAGCUGUUGAUGUAUGUCACUGGUAGGGGUCCAGAAAAAUAAUUACUUGAGAGGUCAAAAAUUUGGAUUUUAGAGAAAAAAGGGCUAGACUUGGAGCUAUUGACACGCAAGGAACCAUGCAUAUGAUUUGACUUCAAUACAAGAACUUGCAAAAAUGAAAGACUUCCCAACCAAUGAAGAAAUGUAUCAUUGAUCUUGUUGUUACCAAGAUCCAGCACUUCCAUACCUCUACAAUUAAGGAUGGAUGGUGUCAAAGGCUCUUUUAACAGAUUUCCAUUUAAGUUUAAAUUACUCAAUUGGCAUCCCUUCGCAAAUGUUGGAGGAAUCGUCCCAUAAAACUUGUUCUUCUUCAGAUUCAAGAAUUCAAGGCUGUUGCUCAAAUUUCCAAAACAUUGCGGAAUUGUUACACUCAAGUUAUUGUGGGAGAAAUCAAGAAUUCGAAGAGCACUGGCAUUGCAUAUUAAAGUAGAGACCUCUCCAUUGAAAUUAUUAUUUGAGACAAAAAAGACAUUGAUCGUCGAAGCUGGAAUUAAAAGAUUUCCAACUAUCAAAUUGAAGCUUAAGUCAAGAGUUCCAAUAUUCUUCCAUGGAAAUUGCUCAACUUUUGUCAAAGAGUUGUGAGAUACAUUUAAGUAUCUCAAAGAGUCAUUCCUCACCUCUUGCAUCCACCGUGGAAUCUUGCAUUCAAUUCUAUUGUAAGAAAGGUCUAGACCUCUUAAACUUUUAAGCUCUUUUAGAAAUUGGGGGAAUUCACUAAGAUUGCAAGAUGACAAAGAUAAGUCUGUAAGAUUAGGCAAUAUUAUAUGAUUAACACUAGAUGUACUAUUAGAUGUUAAGGAUAGGCUGUUAUAUGAAAGGUCAAGAAGUUCGAGAUUUGGAAGGUUUGAGAACAUGCUAAACUCUCUGACACCAGUAAGAUUAUUUGAGGAUAAGCUGAGGGAGGUAAGAUUGAGAAGUUGGAAUAUUGAAGAUGGAAGAGGACCUUGGAGUUUAUUAUUUUUUAGAUAUAAAUAUUCUAGUGAUUUGGAUUGGAAUUCUUUGAUAUGCCCACUGAAUUGAUUUUGAGAGAGAUAUAUUGUCUUUAAGGAGGGAGCAAAAUACUACCAUGAUGGAAGUGUUUCAUUGAGUAAAUUGUUUGUUAAGUCUAAAGAUAUUAGAUUAGGAAAAGUGGUUACCUCGUCUGGAAUGGAACCUUCUAAUGAAUUUCCAGCUAUUUUCAAUUAUUCCAGCUGCGUUAGGUUUAGAAUUGACAAUAGAAUUUGUCCACUCAAUUUGUUCCAUCCCAAAUCUAAAUGAGUGAGUUGCAAAAGGUUUCCCAAAGAUCUUGGAAUUGGUCCUGAUAAGUUGGAAUGGGAGAGAUCCAAAAACUUCAAGGAUACAAGAUUCCCUAUCGAGCAGGCAAUCCUCCAAAAAAAUAUGCAUCUGAAAUAAUCAAGUCCUCCAAAGAUGAUCAAAUUGUGAUUGAGACUGUUAAGAAAUGGCUUAAAAUUGGUAGUGGAUUGUUGUUGUUGGUAGUGGGUUGUUGGUGGUAGUGGAUUAGUGGAUGGUUGUUGGUGUCCAUUUUCAACCACAAAUCUUUGCCAAAGUUUUGGACAAUUAUGUCCUUGAACUCUCUUAUAAAUAGAGAGGUUCAUUAGCCAUAUUCAUCAUCCCAAACCAAGAGAGAGCAAAGCUUGUUCUUUGAAAGCUAGGAUUUUAGCUUUCGGGUUUUCUAUAGGGGUUGAGAGUUGUGAGGUUCUCGGGUUGUGUCUUGAGUGUAAAACACUUGUAAUCUUCAUCUUGUUAUAGUGAAAUUUCUUUUCGCCUCUGCCCGUGGACGUAGGCAUUAAAGCCGAACCACGUAAAUCCUUGUGUUCACUUUAUUUUUCGUUUCGGUCAAUUUACUUGUAGUCAUAUCGGAGUUCUCGAAUCGAUCCUUUCCGCAACAAAUUGGUAUCAGAGCGUAGUUGAAGGAGUGAUAAUAUUUUCUGAAUUGCCCUGUGACUGCAGCUUUGUCUGAUCUUUCACAUCAGGAAGAAAAUAUUAUCAUUCAUUCAAAGGUUCCAAAUUAUGGCUACAAGUGUUUCAUCGACUAAGUAUGAUGUCGAGAAAUUUACCGGGAAAAAUAGUUUCAGUUUAUGGCGCAUCAAGAUGCGGGCAGUGCUGGUUCAACAAGGAUUGCUAAAAGCAUUGUCUGGUAAAGAUAAAUUACCAAGCACGCUUUCGGAAGAGCAAAAGGAUGACAUGCUAGAAAGAGCACAUAGUGCUAUUCUGCUAUGUCUAGGAGAUGAAGUGCUACGAGAAGUAGCGGAUGAGAAAACCGCGUCCGGUUUGUGGCUCCGGUUAGAGAGCAAGUACAUGACGAAGUCAUUGACGAACCGGCUCUACCUCAAGCAAAGACUCUAUGCCCUGAAGAUGGAGGAAGGUACACCUGUUUCCCAGCACCUGGAUAAAUUCAAUUCCAUUAUCAUGGAUUUGAAUAAUAUCGAUAACAAAAUCGAUGAUGAGGACCAAGCAAUAAUUGUUUUGUGUUCUUUGCCUCCCUCGUAUGAGAAUUUUGUUGAUACAAUGAUGUACGGUCGUGAUGACCUGACUCUAGAGGAGGUGAAAAAUGCCUUAAGUUCCAGUGAGUUGAGGAAGAAAAUCACUGGUAAGGUGGUCGAAAACAAUGAAGGCGAAGGCUUGGUUGCUCGAGGAAGAUCCAAGGCAAAGGGUGGAAGUUCAAGUAAAAGCCAUCCUAGAUCGCAGUCCAAGAAGAGAAUACAGUGCUACUACUGUAAGAAGUACGGGCACAUGAAGGUAGAUUGUCCGAAAAGGAAGGAGAAAUCAGAAUCACAGGAGCAACAAAAUGAUCGUGCGAAUGUAGCUGAUGCAGAUUCUUCAAGUGAUGCCGAGAUCGUUCUUGCAGUAUCCGACUCUUACGCUGGUGGGAGAUGGAUUCUUGAUACGGGAGCUACAUUUCAUAUAAGUACUUCGAAAGAUGCAUUCUCAACAUACGAGAAGCAUUCUGGUUCAGUACUAAUGGGAAAUGACCACGCAUGUCAAGUCAUGGGGAUUGGCACAGUUCGUAUAAAGAUGUUUGACGGUAUUGUUAGAACUCUAACUGAUGUUCGGCACAUUCCAGAAAUGAAGAAAAAUUUGAUCUCUUUGAGUACGUUGGACAAGAAAGGCUUUCGGUACUCUGCUGAAGGUGGAGUUCUCAAGGUAUUCUCGGGUGCUUUGACUGUGAUACGUGGUAAUUUGGAGCGGGGCCUUUACUUCCUCGAUGGUUCCUCGGUUACAGGUGUUGCGGGAGUGUCAUCAUCAGAUGAUCUAGAUUCUGACACCACGAAGUUAUGGCAUAUGCGGCUCGGGCAUAUGAGCGAGAGAGGCUUAUCGGUGCUAAGCAAACGAGGAUUAUUGUCUGGGCAGUGUACAGGAAAGUUGAAUUUCUGUGAGCACUGCGUCUUCGGUAAGCAGACUCGGGUAAAGUUCAGCACUGGGAUUCACAAGACAAAAGGCACAGUGGAUUACUUCCAUUCUGACCUUUGGGGGCCUUCUCCGACAAUUUCUAAAGGUGGUUACAGAUAUCUGCUUACCUUUAUCGAUGAUUACUCGAGAAAGGUUUGGGUGUAUUUUCUGAAGAGCAAGUAUGAGGUUCUCAUCAACUUCAAGCAAUUUAAAGCUUUGAUCGAAAAUCAAACAGGAAAGAAGAUCAAGCGAUUCCGGACGGAUAAUGGCUUGGAGUUUUGCUCAGGUGAAUUCAAUGAGUUCUGCAAAAAUGAAGGAAUAGUGAGACACCGCACUGUUCGUCGAACACCACAACAAAAUGGAGUUGCAGAACGCAUGAAUAGAACUCUCUUGGAGCGAGCUCGUUGCAUGCGAUCAAAUGCUGGGCUCGGUGAAGAAUUUUGGGCUGAAGCUGUUAAUACUGCUUGUUAUUUGGUUAACAGAUCUCCGUCAACAGCUAUUGAGCUGAAGACUCCUGAGGAAGUAUGGUCUGGUUCUCCUGCUGAUUACUCUGGUUUAAGAGUGUUUGGCUGCCCUGCGUAUGCUCAUGUAAAUGAGGGAAAACUCAAACCGAGGGCGAAGAAAUGCAUAUUUCUUGGAUACGGCCAAGGGGUGAAAGGAUACAGGUUGUGGUGUCCUGAUCCGGUUUCGUCCAAGUUCAUCAUCAGCAGAGAUGUGACUUUUGAUGAGUCAUCCAUGCUUCGAUCCACCACAAAUUCCCGGGAAAAGGAGGAGUCAGAUAGAAUGGGAGAUCACGGUGUUGAGAAGCAGGUGGAGUGUCAGGUGGACGCUCCAAUUCCUACGGAAGGUACUUCAGUCCAGGAUGAUCAAGUUGAGGUGCAAGAUUCCGAUGAAGAUGAGUCACCUCAAGAAAAACCAUAUAGCAUUGCCACUGGAAGAACGAAGAGACAAAUCAAACCAAAUCCGCGUUACGCUAAUCUGGUGUCUUUCGCGCUCAGUGUGGCGGAGUCCAUUGGUAUAGAACCUUCCAGUUAUAAUGAGGCUGUCACGUGUGAUGAGUCGGCACAGUGGGCAAUUGCUAUGAGUGAGGAGAUAGAAUCUCUUCACAAGAACCAUACUUGGGAGUUGGUUAAGCCGCCAAGUAACCAGAAGAUAGUUGGUUGCAAAUGGGUCUUCAAGAAAAAGGAAGGCAUCCUAGGGGUUGAAGCAACUAGAUUCAAGGCACGAUUGGUUGCUAAAGGCUUCACUCAGAAAGAGGGGAUUGACUACAAUGAAGUUUUCUCCCCAGUCGUAAAGCAUUCUUCCAUUCGUGUAUUACUUGCCAUGGUGGCCAAGUCUGAUCUAGAACUUGAGCAGCUUGACGUAAAAACGGCGUUCUUGCAUGGUGAGCUCGAGGAAACAAUCUACAUGCGUCAACCAGAGGGUUUUACAGUUCCUGGUAAAGAAGACCAUGUCUGUCUAUUAAAGAAGUCUUUAUAUGGAUUGAAACAAUCCCCAAGGCAGUGGUACAAGCGGUUUGAUAGCUUCAUGAUUCAGCAUGGUUACACAAGAUGUGACUAUGAUGCUUGUGUCUAUCAUCGGAAGCUCUCAGAUGGUUCGCACAUUUAUUUGUUGCUGUAUGUUGAUGACAUGUUAAUUGCUUCCAAAAACAUGUCGGAAAUCAACAAGUUAAAGUCGCAGUUGAGUGGUGAGUUCGAGAUGAAGGAUCUGGGUGCUGCCAAGAAAAUUUUGGGCAUGGAUAUUCACAGAGAUCGCAAGGCGGGCAAGCUUCGUGUGUCGCAGAAGAACUACAUUGAAAAGGUUCUUCAACGCUUUGGCAUGGAUAAAGCGAAAACUGUGAGUACUCCGUUGGCACCACAUUUCAAACUCUCUGCAGAGUUGUCACCACAAUCUGAUGAAGAAAAGCAGCAAAUGUCUCACAUUCCAUACUCGAGUGCAGUUGGAAGCGUGAUGUAUGCAAUGGUUUGCACUCGUCCAGACAUUUCACAUGCAGUUAGUGUGGUCAGCAGAUACAUGAGUUGUCCUGGCAAGGAACACUGGCAGGCCGUGAAAUGGAUUCUCAGGUACUUGAGAGGUUCUGCAGAUUUAUGCUUGGUAUAUGAUCAGAGUGACUGCACUAGCAGUGUCACGGGCUAUGUGGACUCUGAUUAUGCUGGAGAUCUGGACAAAAGAAGAUCUCUGACGGGUUAUGUUUUCACUUAUUCUGGAGGAGCCAUUAGUUGGAAAGCUGUGUUACAGUCUACCGUAGCCUUAUCUACGACUGAGGCGGAAUAUAUGGCGUUAGCAGAAGCAGUGAAAGAAGCAUUGUGGAUGAAAGGUCUAGUAAGCAGUUUGGGUUUACAACAGGAUUUCACUGUUGUAUUUUGCGAUAGCCAGAGUGCCAUACAUCUGACUAAAAAUCAGAUGUUUCAUGAACGGACCAAACACAUUGAUGUCAGAUAUCAUUUUGUUCGGGAACAUGUUACGCAAGGUGACAUUGUUAUCAGCAAGGUUGCUACCGAGAAGAAUCCUGCAGAUAUGUUAACUAAGGUGAUCCCUGCAUAUAAGUUCAAGCAUUGCUUGGACUUGAUAGGUAUUCGGGAUUGAUUAGCGCCAGAGAGGCGUUUGGAAGAGGUGAUCCAGUUCGAGGAAUUCACUAUGAUGUUCAGCUUGGUAAAUUUCAAGCCAAGGUGGAGAUUUGUUAAGAAAUGGCUUAAAAUUGGUAGUGGAUUGUUGUUGUUGGUAGUGGGUUGUUGGUGGUAGUGGAUUAGUGGAUGGUUGUUGGUGUCCAUUUUCAACCACAAAUCUUUGCCAAAGUUUUGGACAAUUAUGUCCUUGAACUCUCUUAUAAAUAGAGAGGUUCAUUAGCCAUAUUCAUCAUCCCAAACCAAGAGAGAGCAAAGCUUGUUCUUUGAAAGCUAGGAUUUUAGCUUUCGGGUUUUCUAUAGGGGUUGAGAGUUGUGAGGUUCUCGGGUUGUGUCUUGAGUGUAAAACACUUGUAAUCUUCAUCUUGUUAUAGUGAAAUUUCUUUUCGCCUCUGCCCGUGGACGUAGGCAUUAAAGCCGAACCACGUAAAUCCUUGUGUUCACUUUAUUUUUCGUUUCGGUCAAUUUACUUGUAGUCAUAUCGGAGUUCUCGAAUCGAUCCUUUCCGCAACAGAGACAAACAAUCCUUGAAAGAAAGAACUUCCUGAUAGACCUAAGUACUUUAAGGCCUAGAUUAUCAAUUGAAUUAAUCCAUUCUGUAGAGAAGGACAUCCUCGACAGAUCUAAAUGUUCAAGAUUGCUGCCCCGGUCGAACUUCAAAAGAUCAAGAUUGAGGUUUCGGUUGCCUCGCAAGUUGAGCAAAUUGAGGUUUGGGAAAUCAAAAAUGUUUUUUGGGAAUUUUCCUUGCAAAUCACAACUAUCAAGACUGAGAGACCUUAGAGAAGAUGAUAGAUUCAUGAAGACAUGAGGAUUAAUAGAAAACAUGUCGAUUCCAUCCAAGAAAAGAUGUCUUAGCUCGGUUAGGUUGUGAACAAGUCCCUCCAGAGCAUAUUUGUCAAUUGUUAAUUGUUCAUCAAUCCAAGAGAGAUCAAGCGAGACCAAUUUUGACAGGUGGGAGACCUGCGAUGGGACUACUCCUACAAACCCUGUAUGAGAAAGGUUGAGGUAGUGUAGGCCUGUAAAUCGACCAAACUCAGAUGGAAUUUUGGAAUGAUUAAAAUUAUUGAAGGCAAGAUUGAGUUUUUGAAGGUGAGGAAGAAGGAAGAGACUGGUAUUGGAAGGGAAGUUGCCAAAAAGCCAACUGCAGCUCAAGUCAAGGGUGUUGGAAUUUUCGAUUAACAGCAAGGAACAAAACAAAGUUUUUUGUGUUUGAAAAAUGAAAAACAGAAGCAAAAACAAAAGCUUGAUGAUGAAGAGCAAAACUUAACUUCAUUACUUAAAAUUGAGUAAAAACAAAUACAUAAGUAGUUCAAAAAUUACAUUGAAAGAAAACAAAGCUUGCUUGUGCAAGUAUCUAAGCUAUUACAUCAGCUUAAUGACAACCUAAGUCACUACCAAAUCAGCUAAGCACACAAUUAAACCUUAGCUGAUCAAAUAAAAAUGAUUACAACAUAAGCUAGCAAAAAGUCAACUGUGCAAAAACUCUACAGUCGAAUUACACCAUGGAUAUUAGCAUGCUUCAGCUGUGUUCCUGGUUACUUGCAUGCUGCAGCUCUGUUGCAUGGUUUCUUGCAUGUUGCUGCUGUGUUGCCACCUUUGAACAAAGGGCAAUAACAUGAGCAUUAAGGUGAUCACAACUGACCCCAUCCCAUGAGCAGCAAUCUGUACCCUCCUUCCAUGAAUUUGUCUUGGGAUAAGAUUUAAGGCCAGCAAUCUCAUCGCAAUACAAAGCAGGAAGCAUUGUCUGAGUGAUGGAAAAAGAAUUCUUUAACUGGAUAGGGAAGCAGCUUCAGGGUGAGAGCAGGAGUGAGAUCCUGAAGAAGAAGCAUAAAGAUGGGGAAAGAAGAGAAAUAGGCAGAGAAAGAGUAUAAGGAGGCCAUGUUAUGUUUUUAGAGUAAGAUGAUGGAGAAUGAUAUUUAUAGGCAACAACAACAGCAGUUGAAAAGUGAAACAAAUUAUAAUAUCCAAUACUAAACAAAAGAUUUGUUUAAAUAAUUUUAGAUGUAUAUUUUCAUAUUUUAAAUAAUUUAUUUAUCAUUUAAAUAGUAAUCUGUGAUUUUAUAAUAGAAUAUGCGUUAAAGGAUUCUGGAAAGUUAAGGAUCUGCACGCACACAGACAUGUUGUGAAGAUUAGGUGAAAUACUAGCUGUCCGGUUGUCUUUUUAUGUGUUUUUGACCUUCAUUUAAAUAUAAAAAAUGUCUUUGUUUUUCUGUUGGUAAUGAACAGGAGCCAAAUGUUGAAGGGGCUGGAACUUGUCUUGUAUUGCUUGCCUGCAGAUUUUGGUAUGUUUGAAAUGUAUGGAAAUGUGCCAAGUGGAACUAUUUUGGGGCUUAUCACUACCUCUGUCACACAACAGAACACAAAAUAAAAUAAUCAAAUCAGAUCUUUGAAUAUUGAAAUACCAAAAGUUAAAAGAGUACAUGCACUAAAAUACAGUAGAAUAAAAUAGAAAUAUUUUUUUUUAGAUUGUAAAUAAGUAUAUAUUAUUGUUGUAAAAUAUAGUCGAAAAUAUUUUUUUGAUAAAAUUGGAAUAAACACAUUGUGGAUGAAAAUUUUUAAUACAAUACAAAUUGAUCAUUAACAAAUUAAAUGACGAUUUACAUGAGAAAAAUUUAAAAUAAAAAAAAUAUCGGUGUUGUUUGCCCAAAUGUGUGCCACAACCCAGUGGGUGUUAGUUACGAGUAGGAUUUCAUCGUAGUUAGGGUUCUAGCUCUUUCUUUUCUUCACCUCCACCUCCAAUUGAUCUCCAUCUUCAUUUCGUUCCUUCGUGCUAGUAUGGAUUAAAUUCUUGCAAUACAGGGGAGAGAAACCUAGUUUUCCCGUAAGCUUAUUAUCAAAAAAGUUGAACAAUUUCAAGUUCCAGCAAAUGGAAAGGGGCUUAGCGAUCUUACUCACACUAGACUUAGCACCUAGGUGGUUUGGCUAAUAGUGGGCUAAGAAAUCUUGAAUGGCGAUAUGAGUUGGGGUUUCCGAGGAAUACAAAUAACCUCUGGAUUUUUUUUUCCAAAUUUGACGAGCAUCUAGAAUAACUAGUGAAUUACAAUUCUAUUGUACGACAAUUGGUGCAUUGGUCUUUGCGGACUUAAUGUGUUUUGCUUGUUGGUUCUAUUAUCACAAAGCGAACCCAAAAUUGGCUUGGUUCCAAGAUGUAGAAUUUAUGUUAGAAUCACCAUUUAGCAAGGUUACCGGGGCUUAUUUCCCUUUCUUGGGCAGGGCAUCAAGUACAUGUCUCUUUACCAAUAAAAUAAUUUUUAAAUGCUUUAGUAGACUCUAAAGAGAUCCCACUUCCCCAUGAAUUUAUAUUGAAUCAUGAUCUUUUGGCUCAACUUUAUCCUAGUUUUGAUGAGGGAACAACCCCAUUUUUUUCCUUGAAUUGGUCAAAAUAUGCAAAAUUAUUUCUUACUUUUCGUGGAUGAUUAAAUCCAAUGAUUGGGGGUCCAUGGUUGACUGGUAUUGCACACCAUCAUUUAGCUAUUACAAUUCUUUUCCUAAUAGUACGUCACAUGUAUAAGACCAAUUGGGGCAAUGGGCAUAGCCUAAAAGAUAUUUUAGAGGCUCAUAAAAGUCCAUUCAUAGGCCAAGGACAUAAAGAACUAUAUGAAAUCGUAACAACACCAUGGCAUGCUCAAUGAUCUCUUAACUUAGUUAUGUUAGGCUCUUUAACCAUUGUUGUAGCUCACCUUACGUAUUCCAUGCCCCCUUAUCCAUAUCUAACUAUUGACUACGGUACACAACUAUCAUUGUUCACACAUCACAUGUGGAUUGGUGGAUUUCUGAUAAUGGGUGUUGUAUGGUAAAAAUUAGUUGUAUUCAUUCUUCACAUAGUUGAUCUUUUGUUGUGGAAGUAUUGUAUUUCUGGUAAUCCAAUAAGUAUUCAGUUUUUGGUACAAUUGAUUUGCAUUUUAUUAUUGUAUUUUGUGGAAGGAUCCUUUUUCUAUUUUGUUUUUUGCAUUUCUGUUAAGUUUACAUUUUUCAGCAAUUAAUUUAUGUAGUUUUAGCCAAACUAUGUAGCGUUUCACUUUUGGUAAAAUUCCAUCCUUGGUCCCUUUAAACUCCUUUUUGCUUUAAUUUGAUUGCUUUCUAGCUUUGCAAAUUACAUAACACUCUUCAAAUGUCUAAUUAAAUUCUCACUUUUACGAGUGCUAUGUUAAUCAAUUUUAAGUUCCAUAUAACACUUACAUGGCUACAAAAUGUGUGUGUGUGUGUGUAAGUGUCCUCAACCACAAACAAUCCAAAUUUGCUGAGAAACCACCCACUGUACAUAGGUUUGCCAAUGAGAUGGCAAGCAGACUGCUAGCUAGAAAUUCAUGCAUCUUUGAAUCAUCAAUUCAAUUAAUAAGCUUAACUAGAGGAAAUAAGGACUUUACACCACCAAUUAAAGCAACCUAUAUGUACCCUUUUACAGUCUGCAUUGUUCCAUGUUUCCAUUCAUUACAUCAUUCCUUCAACUCUGCUAUAUAUUAUUACCGUCUCCAUAUAACCAAACCUUUUACUGCUAACUUGUAAAGAAAUUAUGAAAAUACAACAGAUAUGAUUGAGACAUUUUGUUCUCCUUUCUCCUUUACUGAGCAGUAGCAAAGAUUAUGGAGACUAAAUUGAAAAUCAUGAAAGAAGACAUAAACAACACCACCAUACAAAAUGUUCCACUCAAACAAACCAUUACAGAUAGUACGAAAUCCAAUGAAAGACAGAGGAAUUGGUACAAUAAUAAAGACAGACACAUACCAAUGCAACCCUUCACCAUAGGCAAAACGGUCUACAGAACAAGAAAUUAUGAAAAUACAACACUAAUUCUUAAACAUCAUUUGCAGUAAUUAGAUCCUUCUUCGUCUAUUGCUUCGAUUGCCUUUCUUUGACUUUCUUCUUCGCCUCUUCUCUUGUUGGUUUUCAACCAAAUUCACCAACCAUUUCGGCUUACCAGUUUGGAAAACAACAUAUCCCACGGACAUUCCGAACACCACUCCGCAUCCAUAGCCUAUCAACACCACUUUCCAACCAAAAGCGAUGUUUGAUUUUGAGCCAUCAUUUUCAAGCACAUUUGGAGGUGCUGGCUCAAUGAUGUUGCAACCUUUCGAGACCGGAAAUCCACAUAGUCCCUUAUUUCCAUCAUAUGAAUCAUUUCCAAAUGUGUUGAACUGUUUGCCUUGAGGAAUCUGACCAUGGAGUUGAUUUUCAGAAACAUUGAAGGACGAAAGAAAUGGCAGAUCUGCCAAUCUAUUUGGAAUCGUCCCAGACAACCUGUUUGAAGAUAGGUCCAGCCAUUCAAGACUUGUCAAAUUCCCUAUUGAGGUGGGGAUACCUCCAUUAAGGUUAUUAUGAGAAAGGUUGAGCCCUUUCAGUAAGUUAAGCUUCCCAAAAACCUCUGGAAUACCCCCUUCAAACUGAUUGUCUGAUAGAUCAAUGAUCAUCCACAUGGUGAAAAUUUUCACCAAUUCCAUAUAUUGCCCUUUCAUAACAAUUCCAAUGGAAUAGGUAUAGAAGCCACUACCUCUCUGAACAUACACCCCCAUGUACGACAUUGUACUCCCAAUCUUCUCUAGAUUUAUCAUAGCCUUGAAGCUGUUGAUGUAUCUCACUGGUAGGGCUCCAGAAAAAUGAUUACUUGAGAGGUCAAAAAUUUGGAUUUUAGAGAAAAAAGGGUUAGACUUGGAGCUAUUGACACGCAAGGAACCAUGCAUAUGAUUUGACUUCAAUACAAGAACUUGCAAAAAUGGAAGACUGCCCAACCAAUGAGGAAAUGUAUCAUUGAUCUUGUUGUUACCAAGAUCUAGCACUUCCAGACCUCUACAAUUAAGGAUGGAUGGUAUCAAUGGCCCUUCUAACAGAUUUCCAUUUAAGUUGAAAUUAGUCAAUCGGCAUCCCAGUGCAAAUUUUGGAGGAAUCGUCCCAUAGAACUUGUUCUUCUUCAGAUUCAAGAAUUCAAGGCUGUUGCUCAAAUUUCCAAAACAUCGCGGAAUUGUUCCACUCAAGUUAUUGUGGGACAAAUCAAGAACUCGAAGAGAAGUGGCAUUGCAGAUUAAAGAAGAGACCUCUCCAUUGAAACUAUUAUUUGAGAUCAAAAAGAAAUUGAUGGUCGAAGCUGGAAUCGGAAGAUUUCCGCUGAUCAAAUUGGAGCUUAAGUCAAGAACUUCAAUAUUCUUCCAUAGAAAGUGCUCAACUUCUGUCAAAGAGUUGUGAGAUACGUUUAAGUAAGUCAAAGAGCCAUUCCCCACCUCUUGCAUCCACUGUGGAAUCUUGCCUUCAAUUUUGUUGCAAGAGAGGUCUAAGCUUUCCAAACUUUUAAGCCCUUUUAAAAAUUGGGGGAAUUCACUAAGAUUGCAAGAUGACAAAAGUAAGUCUGUAACAUUAGGCAAUAUAUGAUUAACACUAGAUGUAGUAUUAGAUGUUAAGGAUAGGCUGUUAUAUGAAAGGUCGAGAUGUUUUAGAUUUGGAAGGUUUGAGAACAUGCGAAACUCUAUGACACCACUAAGAUUAUUUGAGGAUAAAAGGAGCCAGGUAAGAUUGAGAAGUUGGAAUAUUGAAGAUGGAAGGGGACCUUGGAGUUUAUUAUUUUCUAGAUCUAAAUAUUCUAGUGAUUUGGUUUGGAAUUCUUUGAUAUGCCCACUGAAUUGAUUUUGAGAGAGAAUUAUACCCUUUAAGGAGGGAGCAGUAUACAACCAUGACGGAAGUGUUCCAUUGAGUAAAUUGUCAUAUAAGACUAAAUAUAUUAGAUUCGGAACAGCGGUUACCUCAUCUGGAAUAGAACCUUCUAAAGAAUUUUCAGAUAUUUCCAAGUAUUCCAACUGCGUUAGGUUUAGAAUUGACAAUGGAAUUUGUCCACUCAAUUUAUUUGAUCCCAAGUCUAAAUGAGUGAGUUGCAAGAGGUUUCCAAGUGAUCUUGGAACCGGUCCUGAUAAGUUGGAAUAGGAGAGAUCUAAAAACUUCAAGGACACAAGAUUCCCCAUCGAGUCAGGCAAUCCUCCAAAAAAAUUUGCGCCUCUAAGAAUCAAGUACUCCAAAGAUGAUAAAUUUGUGAUUGAGACAGACAAUCCUUGAAAGAAAGAAAUUCCUGAUAGAUCUAAGUACUUUAAGGCCCGUAGAUUAUCAACCGAAUCAAUGAAUUCUGUAGAGAAGGACAUCCUCGACAGAUCCAAAUGUUCGAGAUUGCUGCUCCGGUUCAACUUCAAAGGAUCAAGAUUGAGGUUUUGGUUGCCUCCCAAGUUGAGGAGAUUGAGGUUUGGCAAAUCAAAAAUGUUUUUUGGGAAUUUUCCUUGCAAAUCACAACCAGCAAGACUGAGAGACCUUAGAGAAGAGGAUAGAUUCAUGAAGACAUGAGCAUUAACAUAAGACAUGUCCAUUCCACCCAAAAAUAGAUGUCUGACAUCGGUUAGGUUGUGAACAAGUCCCUCCAGAGCAUGUUUGUCAAUUGUUUGUUCACCAAACACAGAGGAGGAGAGAUCAAGUGAAACCAAUUUUGACAGGUGGGAGACUUGGGAUGGGACUUCUCCUGCAAACCCUGUAUAAGAAAGGUUGAGGUAGAAUAGGCUAGUAAACCGACCGAACUCGGAUGGAAUUUUGGAAAGAUUAAAAUCAUUGUAGGCAAGGUUGAGUUUUUGAAGGUGAGGAAGAAGGAAGAGAGUGGUAUUGGAAGGGAAGUUGCCAUAUAGCCAACUGCAGCUCAAGUCAAGGGCAAUAACAUGAGCAUUUAGGUGGUCACAAGUGACCCCAUCCCAUGAGCAGCAAUCUGUACCCUCCUUCCAUGAAUUUGUCUUGGGAUAAGAUUUAAGGCCAGCAUAAUCAUUGCAAUAAGAAGAAACAUCCUCUGUUACGGAAAAAGAGUCCUUAAACUGGAUUAGGGAAGAGCAGGAGUGAGAUCCUGAAGAAGAAAAAGAAGCAUAAAGAUGGGGAAAGAAGAGGAAUAGGCAGAGAAAGAGAUAGGGGGCCAUGUUAUGUUUGUAGAGAAAGAAGAAGGAUAGGAAUGGUAUUUGUAGGCAACAAAUAGUACCACAACAUUGGUGUUACAGUAUUUUUUUUUUCUUUUACAUUGAAAAGCUAUGGAUAUUAGAUUUUCAAAAAUUUUGUAUUUUUCACCAUCAUCAACAACCACUUAGUCUUCUUUUUACCAUAUAUUUUUCAUUCUAUUUUUUUAACAAAAUCUUGUAUUUCAUUUCAGCUUUCAAAACAACUAAAAAAUUUAAAAUUGAUGAAAUUACAAAGUAGAUUGACUUAGUCUUCUUUCCUAUAACAUUUAAAAGAAUAUCUUGUCAACCAAAGUUAAUUAAUGUGAAAAUUCUUUUUCACACAAAAGAACAAAAUUGUGCUCUAUUCACUAAGUUAGAGGAAAAAGACUGCUAGAUUUUUUAAUUAUUUUUUCUUUGAAAAAUUUGAAAGUUUUUUACUGCCUUUAAGCCAAUAAAAAAAACAUGUAUUAAUUUUGUUUUUAAAAAUAGUGUGUUUGAUUGUGAAAUGAUUCAUCAUCCUCCACCACAAACUAUCCAUAUUUGCAGUGUGAAAGCAGCUACUUUCAUAAAGAAAUUACUUAGGAGAUGGGAUCCACCAAUUUUACCUAAACUCGCAUCAACAUUGUUUAGCAAUUUCAAAAUAGACUAAUUAGUCUGGUUCAAAUACCAAGACUACAAUAUCUAUUCACUUCACUUGGUCUUGCUUCCUAUCGCUGUCAGCCAAACUUGAUCGACUAGCAGUAAGGAAAUUUCAGUCAUUUGCAGCAUAAUGUACAAGAAUUCCACUCCCGCAAAAUAAUUUACAAUAUGGACUAACACACUAAAAAUGAUUUUUAAAAAAUGAUUUUUAGAAAGUAAUUUUUGAAAAAUGGUUAGAAGAUAAUUUUUGUUUCUGAAAUAGUUAAUUUUUUUUGGUGUUUAGAUAAAUUUUGUUAUGUUUUCAUUGUUUACUUGAGUUUAUUUCAUAAAGCUUAUGUAUAUAUUUUAAUUAAUCAUGUUUUAGUUUUAAUUAAUCUUAAUUUACUUAAUUAAGCUUAAUUGUUAACUUCGUACAUUAGAAUAUAAAUUUAUGUUUAAUUAAGUUGAAAGUGAUAAAUAUUUAUUUUGAAUAUUAUUUGGAUAAGUUGAAAAAUGAUUUAAUUUGAUAAAAUUGAAGUCAGGGUCAUAGAACUAUGCUUUUUACUGACAAAAUCUUAGAUGCAGUGAUUAUUGAGACUAAAAAAUGAAAGUCAUGAAAGAAGACAUAAAUAGUUGAACCAUACAAAAUGUUACAUUUUGUAAUGCAAUGAAAUAUAGAUGAAUUGUUACAAAUAUAAAGACAGAUGCAUUGCAAUGCAACCUUUCUCCAUAGGAAAAAAAAUUUGACAGACUUCAAAACAAGAAAUUAUGAAGAUACAACAUACACACUUGAACAUCAUUUCCACUAACUAGAUCCUUCUUCGUCCAUUGCUGCGACUGCCAUCCUUUGACUUUCUUCUUCGCUACUUCUCAUGUUGGAUUCAACCAAAUUCACCAACCAUUUUGGCUUACUAAUUUGGAAAACAACAUAUCCCACGACCAUUCCAAACACUACUCCGCAUCCAUAACCUAUCAACACCAAUUUCCAACCAAAAGAGAUGUUUGAUUUUGAACCAUCUUUUCCAAGCACAUUUGGAGGUGGUGGCUCAAUGAUGUUGCAACCUUUUGAGACCGGAAAUCCACAUAAUCCCUUGUUUCCUUCAUAUGAAUCAUUUCCAUAUGUGUUGAACUGUUUGCCUUGAGGAAUCUGACCAUGGAGUUGAUUUUCAGAAACAUUGAAGGACGAAAGAAAUGCCAGAUCUGCAAAUCUAUUUCGAAUUGUCCCUGACAACCUGUUUGAAUAUAGGUCCAACCAUUCAAGACUCGUCAAAUUCCCUAUUGAAGUGGGGAUACCACCGUUAUAAACACUGUCAUAUGGCAUGAAUAACAUACUCAUAUAUUUACUGUCACAUGGCAUGAAAAACACACCCUCAUAUUCACUUUCACAUUAGUCAUCAUAAGCUUAUAACAUAUGUCAUAGCAAUCUCAUAUAUAUUCAUAAUUUCACAAUUUCACAAGCGUACAUAUAUCACAUUUAAUCAUAUGCGCGAGAAAACUUACUCUCACUUACUCUUGGAAUUUAGAGUAGGAAUUUAGGCUACCACUAAAUUCUCAUCAAUUAAACAAUGAAUCAUCUACGAGCAACAAUUUCAAACCACAAUGAAUCGAGAGCUCAAACUAGCUCUUCCUCUAACUCGUAGAAGGCUUUAAUGAAUCCGAGGCUUCACACAUGACAAUCACACAAUACUCACAGUCAAAUGACAGCCAAGGACCCACUUAAACUAACCAAAAUAAAAGCCUAAGCUACCUUCUAAUGUAACCAAACCCUUUAGCAUGACGAACUUAAAAUGCAAAUAUAUCAAUCUACACUUAAACAUUUUCACAUGAAACAAGUUUCAGUCAUCCCCCAUAUUCAUUUAUAGCUAAACUCCAAUCUUUAAACCACACAAAACUACAAGUUUCAAGGUAUAACAUUUUUCCACAAAUUUUGACCAUAAUAAUGAAAAUUCAUUAAAACACGGGAAAUCUAUAAUGAAACUUAGAAGUAAUUUUAAAAAACUUCUAAUUAAGUUAAAACAAGUUGAAAAACACUUUUAAAUCACUUUUUCAUCCACAAUCUCGAAUUCCACCAUUAAUGACCCAAUUUUUAGGUUUAAAUUAAAACAUGCAAUUUCAUAACUAAAAUCUCAAUUUUAAAGUCUAGAUAACAUUAAAAACUAAUGAGAAAGUAAAUGGUUACCUUUGAUGAAAGAUUAAACGAGUUUUGAAGUAAAUUUGAAAAACCCACAAUUGAAGAAGAAGAUGAAAUCUAUGGCGUUUUUGAGUGUUUUUCUUGGAAUUAUAAGAAAUCAAAGUACUAUUGUUUGGGAAUAAAAAUUAAUUGAAAGAUCAAGGGAAUAGCAAAGGACGGCAAUAGCAAACUUUGGAGAGUAACUAUUGUGAAAUAGAACAGGGAAUGGGGUUUAUUAGGUUCAAUUUAAAACAUUGGUAAAACUUCAAUCUAAGUGCUCACUAUUUUAACUUUGUUACAAAUUAGUUCUUUUUCUAAAUUUUAGGUAUUUAAAACUCAUUUUCAGAAAUCGGCUCAAUUCCCUAAUAGCCAUUGUCGAAAACAUUAUUGAAUACUAACCUUACGAAAUUUUGAUUACAUAUAGGCUAAAAUUCCUAAAAAAAAAUUGAAACUCUUAGAUCCUAUUUUGGGGUGUUCACGUAUGGUCAUGAUUCAUGUUGAAUUAAUACAUCAUUCACCGUAAUAAGGCUUAUCGUUGUAAUAAUUAGUUAAAUCACCUAAUAUCUAAAAAAUUAUUAUUAUUUUCAUAAAAUCAUUGAUCAAAUUAUUGUUUUCAAAUUUCAUACAUAAAAUUAACAAAUAAAGAUAGCUCUAAAUAGCAAAACCCAAUAUGUGUAACAAGUAUUUUUAUUAAUCCAUUUGGAAUGUUAAGGUUUGCUGGAGCAAAUAAAUUGAUUAAUGCUUUGAACUUUCCAAACACUUUUUAUAGUUUUGUUAUAUGCAUUUUGUAUAAUUAGUAUAUUUGAAUAUAUUAGAUACAUCGUCUAAAACAAUGCCAAUUGUAAUUUUUUUAUAUUUUGUUGAUCAUAAGCGUAUUAUAUAAAUAAUUUAAAAAAAAAAAGAUGGAGUGAUACAUUUAUGUAGUGCUUAUGAAUAUAAUGUUGGAUUAAAAUCCUUAAUUAUGAGUACAUAUGUAUAUGCUUGAUAUUACAAUUAUCUUAAUAAUUUUGUUUCUGUUCUUGUUGAUUGAUGAUUAUAGAAAUCAUUAUUCUUCUGAAGGCAUACUUUGUUGUCAAUGACAGUACCUGCACCCUAAAAAAGUCACCAGCUUUAACGACUACAAAAGUUGUCCUGCCUGAUAUUUAUUAAAAAAUCACCAGGAAGCACAUUGUCAGGACAUCCUUGCUGGAAAAAAACUUGGUAGGAUGGUUUUUCUGUGCAAACUUAGUAAUUAAUUUAUGUUGUUUUUACCAAACUUUGUAGCGUUUCACUUUUGGUAAAAUUUCAUCCUUGGUCCCUUUAAACUCCUUUUUGCUUUAAUUUGAUUGCUUUCUAGCGUUGCAAAUUACAUAACACUCUUCAAAUGUCUUAUUAAAUUCUCACUUUUACGAGUGCUAUGUUAAUCAAUUUUAAGUUCCAUAUAACACUUACAUGGCUACAAAAUGUGUGUGUGUGUAAGUGUCCUCAACCACAAACAAUCCAAAUUUGCUGAGAAACCACCCAUUAUAUAUAGGUUUGCCAAUGAGAUGGCAAGCAGACUGCUAGCUAGAAAUUCAUGCAUCUUUGAAUCACCAAUUCAAUUAAUAAGCUUAACUAGAGGAAAUAAGGACUUUACACCACCAAUUAAAGCAACCUAUAUGUACCCUUUUACAGUCUGCAUUGUUCCAUGUUUCCAUUCAUUACAUCAUUCCUUCAACUCUGCUAUAUAUUAUUACCGUCUCCAGAAAACCAAACCUUUUACUGCUAACUUGUAAAAAAAUUAUGAAAAUACAACAGAGAUCAUUGAGACAUUGUUGAAGUUGGCUUGCAUGCAGACCAAGAAGCACACCAAGCUGUCCGAGAUAUGCAAGUUGCAGCUGAAGCUUAUGCUGCUGUUUUGUUACUUUCAAAUAGAUAUUUUAUUAUUUACUUAGAUAUGAACUAAGUUGCUGAUAUGCUUGAUGUAAUUAGGAGCUGAUAGAUUGAUAAAUCAGCUUUACCAAGUGUACAAGCAAUGUUUAUCAAGUUACUAAGCCACUUAGUGGAGUUAGGUAUGUGUUUAGGUAACAUUUUCUUAUUUUUGACCAGCUGAUUGCUUGCUAUAUGUAAUGGCAUUGUGCCUUCAUUCAAAUGUAAAGAAAUCUUUCAGAAAAUUCUUCUUCAUUUGGUCUUUACCUAAGCAUUUUUUUUCACGAAGCUCUUGCUGUUUUUGUUUUGUUUGUUGAGCAAGAUAACAAUGCUUUAUGCUUAAGUUUCUGUCAAAAUUUCUCAUUCUGUUUUCUUAGUUCCUACAGACAUUUUGUUCUCCUUUCUCCUUUACUGAGCAGUAGCAAAGAUUAUCGAGACUAAAUUGAAAUCCAUGAAAGAAGACAUAAACAACACCACCAUACAAAAUGUCACACUCAAACAAACCAUUACAGAUACGAAAUGCAAUGAAAGACAGAGGAAUUGGUACAAUAAUAAAGACAGCCAGAUACCAAUGCAACCCUUCACCAUAGGCAAAACGGUCUACAAACAAGAAAUUAUGAAAAAUACAACACUAAUUCUUGAACAUCAUUUGCAGUAAUUAAAUCCUUCUUCGUCUACUGCUGUGAUUGCCUUUCUUUGACUUUCUUCUUCGCCUCUUCUCAUGUUGGUUUUCAACCAAAUUCACCAACCAUUUUGGCUUACCAGUUUGGAAAACAACAUAUCCCACGGACAUUCCGAACACUACUCCGCAUCCAUAACCUAUCAACACCACUUUCCAACCAAAAGCAAUGUUUGAUUUUGAGCCAUCUUUUUCAAGCACAUUUGGAGGUGCUGGAUCAAUGAUGUUGCAACCUUUCGAGACCGGAAACCCACACAGUCCCUUAUUUCCUUCAUAUGAAUCAUUUCCAAAUGUGUUGAAUUGUUUGCCUUGAGGAAUCUGACCAUGGAGUUGAUUUUCAGAAACAUUGAAGGACGAAAGAAAUGGCAGAUCUGCCAAUCUAUUUGGAAUCGUCCCAGACAACCUGUUUGAAGAUAGGUCCAACCAUUCAAGACUUGUCAAAUUCCCUAUUGAGGUGGGGAUAUCACCAAUAAGGUUAUUAUGAGAAAGGUUGAGCCCUUUCAGUAAGUUAAGCUUCCCAAUAACCUUUGGAAUACCCCUUUCAAACUGAUUGUUUGAUAGAUCAAUGAUCAUCCACAUGGUGAAAAUUUUCACCAAUUCCCUAUCUUGUCCUUUCAUAACAAUUCCAAUGGAAUAGGUAUAGAAGCCAACUCCAUAAUCAUGCACCCCCAUGUAUGACACUGUACUACCAAUCUUCUCUAGAUUUAUGAUAGCCUUGAAGCUGUUGAUGUAUCUCACUGGUAGGGGUCCAGAAAAAUAAUUACUUGAGAGAUCAAAAAUUUGGAUUUUAGAGAAAAAAGGGAUAGACUUGGAGCUAUUGACACAUAAGGAACCAUGCAGUUGAUUUGACUUCAAUACAAGAACUUGUAGCUGUGGAAGACUUCCCAACCAGUGAGGAAAUGUAUCAUUGAUCUUGUUGUUACCAAGAUCUAGCACUUCCAGACCUCUACAAUUAAGGAUGGAUGGUGUCAAAGGCCCUUCUAACAGAUUUCCAUUUAAGUUGAAAUUACUCAAUCGGCAUCCCUUUGCAAAUGCUGGAGGAAUCGUCCCAUAAUACUUGUUCUUCUUCAGAUUCAAGAAUAGAAGGCUGUUGCUCAAAUUUCCAAAACAUUGUGGAAUUGUUCCACUCAAGUUAUUGUGGGACAAAUCAAGAAUUUCAAGAAAAGCGGCAUUGCAUAUUAAAGAAGAGACCUCUCCAUUGAAACUAUUAUUUGAGAUCAAAAAGACUCUUAUGGUCGAAGCUGGAAUCGGAAGAUUUCCACUGAUCAAAUUGGAGCUUAAGUCAAGAACAUCAAUAUUCUUCCAUGGAAAGUGCUCAACUUCUGUCAAAGUGUUGUGAGAUACAUUUAAGUGAGUCAAAGAGCCAUUCCCCACCUCUCGCAUCCACUGUGGAAUCUUGCCUUCAAUUUUGUUGCAAGAGAGGUGUUGAAGUAAUGGUCAGCAUGCAGCAACCAAGACUGUCAAAGGCACUACAUGCAGAAGCUGCUGGUUCACCUAGUCAGCAAGCUGUUUAUGUUUCAUUUUGUAAUUUUAAGUUAGAGUAAUGUAACUUAGUUGCUUUAUAACUAUGUUAGGUUUAUGUUUGAUGUAAUUUUGAUGUUGACUGAGCUGAUAAAUCAGCUUUGUUUGUUUAUUCAAGCUAAUUAGCACAAGUUACUAUGUGUAUUAGUGGUAGUAGGUGAAGUUUAGGUCAACCUACUGUUUUGUCAAGAUUGUAAACUUGUUUUAUGUAUUGGCUUUGUGCCAUAUUUAGUUUGAUGAAUGAAUUCAAGAAGUUAUCAUCCAUAUGCUCUCCAUUUUUAGUUUUGCUUAAAAAUCCAUUUGAGUUUUCUGCUUUGUUUCUCCUACAAGUCACGAGACUUGCCAUACAAGCAUUCUGCUGAAGCUUGCUGCUGCUGCCUCUUGCACCAACAAUUGGUAUCUAGAGCCACAUUCUUAGAGGACCUGUUGUAGUUCAGUAUCAAAACGAUGGCAUCAUCAGGUUUUUCACCAGCUUCACCACCUGUCUUCAAUGGAGAGGGCUUCAACAUUUGGGCAGUUAAGAUGAGGACUUACCUGCAGGCAUUCGACCUAUGGGAAGUUGUUAACUCAGAUGCUGAGCCAGCACCUCUUCGAGCUAAUCCAACAGUUGCUCAAAUAAGGCAACACACUGAUGAAAGGACAAAAAGGCACAAGGCCAUGUCAUGCAUACAGAAUUGUGUGACAGAUGUGAUCUUUAUGAGGAUCAUGGCCUGUGAGACACCAAAGGAGGCUUGGGACAAGCUGAAAGAAGAAUUUCAGGGGACUGAGAAAACAAGGCAACAACAGCUGCUCAAUUUGAGAAGAGAUUUCGAAAAUCUCAAAAUGAAAGAGGAAGAAACAGUUAAGCAGUACUCAGACCGGAUUAUGGCUGUUGUAAACAGCAUAAGGCUCCUAGGAGAGCAAUUCAGUGAAGCUAGAAUGGUUGAGAAAGUCAUGUCCACUCUACCAGAGAGGUAUGAAGCUAAAAUUUCAUCCCUCGAAGACUCAAGGGACUUGACAACUAUCUCCUUAACUGAGCUAAUCAAUGCCUUGUAUGCAUAAGAGCAAAGAAGAGCUAGCAGACAAGAGGAGCACCAGGAAGGGGCUUUUCAAGCCAAAGAAGCCUCGAGCAUCAAAACUCAUAAAGGCAAAAAGUUCUGGAAAAACAAGCCUAAGCCUGAUGCUGCUAGGAGCAGUGACCAACUCUGCAGACAUUGUAAAAGAGCUGGUCAUCCAGAAGAUAGAUGCUGGUUUAGACCAGAUGCAGUAUGCCAAAACUGCAAGAAAAAAGGCCAUGUUGAAAAAGUUUGCAAGAAUAGAAGCAAACCAAGACAGAAUCAAUUUCAGCAACAAAAGGUGGAAGCUCGAGUAGCUGAAGAAAGUAGUGAUCAAGAAGAACAUGUUUUUGCUGUGUCAUGUGCAGCAAAUCAGAAGAAGGGUUCAAAGGGCUGGCUUCUAGACAGUGGGUGCACAAACCACAUGUCACCAGAUGCAACUAUCUUCAAAACCCUGGACAGAACCUGCAAAACCAAAGUAAAAAUUGGAAAUGGUCAGUUAAUCAAUGCUGAAGGAAGAGGAGAUGUGCUGAUUCAUACUUCUACAGGUGGCAAAAUCAUUUCAAAUGUACUUUUGGUACCUGAAAUCGAUAGGAACCUUCUCAGUAUAACUCAACUACUUGAGAAAGGUUACUCAGUUGUUUUCAAGGAGAAAGAAUGUCAAAUUUUUGAUCCAAGUGGAUCAAAUCUUAUAACAGUCACCAUGACUGAUAAAUGUUUUGAAGUAGACUGGCCAAAUGACUCACAUUCAGCCUGCAUAGCCUCCACUAAUGACUCGAGACUCUGGCAUCAGAGGCUUGGACAUGCAAACUACAAAUCCAUAGCCCGCAUGGUCAAUGAAGGUCUGGCAGAAAAUUUCAUUGAUUCAGUGAAGAAUGAUGAGCUUUGUGAGAUAUGUCAGCAAGGAAAAUUGGCAAGAUUGCCAUUUCCAACAAGCACAACAUGGAGAGCAUCAGAGAAGCUCCAGCUUGUGCAUACAGAUGUGUGUGGACCAAUGAAGACUGAGUCUCUCAAAGGAAGCAGGUACUUUAUUUUAUUUAUUGAUGACUUAACAAGAUACUGCUGGAUUUAUUUUCUAAAACAGAAAUCAGAAGUACCAUCUAUGUUCCUGAAGUAUAAGGCUGCUGUUGAAACUGAGUCUGGUUGCAAACUUAGAGCAAUGAGGUCAGAUAAUGGAACUGAGUACACCUCAGCUCAGUUCCAAGUCUACUGUGAAGAAGCAGGUAUCAAACACCAGUUGACUAAUGUGUAUACACCCCAACAGAAUGGGGUCAGUGAAAGGAAAAACAGAAGCUUGAUGAACAUGGCAAGAUGUCUUCUGUUUGAGAAGAAUUUGCCCAAAAGUCUGUGGGCUGAAGCUGUUAACACAGCAGUUUAUCUCUAAAAUAGGCUCCCAACCAAGGCUCUGGCUGAGAAGACUCCAUUUGAAGCCUGGUUUGGGUUUAAGCCAUCACUGGCUCAUCUCAGAACCUUUGGUUGUCUGUGCUAUACUCAAGUUCCAGCUGAGAAGAGAAGCAAGCUAGACAAAAGAGCUCAAGCAGGGAUCCUGAUCGGCUACAGCUUGGUUAAGAAGGGCUACAGAAUUCUAGAACCUGCUACAAACAAGAUAUUGGUUAGCAGGGAUGUUGUUUUCAAUGAAAAAGGACACUGGAAUUGGGAGAAGGCUGAACCAGAGGCAGUGGCUGAAGAUCUGGCAGUGGACCAAGUUGAAAAUGGUGAAAACACACCUGAAAUGGAUGUAGAUGAUGUUCCAAUCAGAGGCACUCGAUCACUGGCUGAUGUUUAUGAAAGAGCACAAGUGGCUACUGUUGAACCAAAUUGCUUUGAAGAAGCAGAAAACCAGGAGGACUGGAAGCAAGCAAUGAUUGAAGAAAUCAGAAUGAUUGAAAAGAAUCAGACCUGGAGUCUGGUUGAUAAACCAACAAACAGGAAGAUUAUUGGUGUCAAAUGGGUUUAUCGAGUAAAGAACAAUGCUGAUGGUAGCCUAAACAAGUUAAAGGCUAGAUUGGUUGUGAAAGGCUUCAGUCAAAGGUAUGGAUCAGACUACCUGGAAACCUUUGCACCAGUGGCCAGGUUAGACACUAUUAGACUGCUAGUUGCCUUAGCAGCACAAAAACAGUGGCUGAUACACCAACUUGAUGUAAAAUCAGCAUUUCUGAAUGGAUUCCUUGAAGAGGAGAUUUAUGUGGAGCAACCUCAAGGUUUCAAGGUGUCUGGCAAAGAAGAUAUGGUGUACAAGCUCAACAAAGCCUUGUAUGGCUUGAAACAGGCUCCAAGGGCCUGGUAUAGCAGAAUAGAUGGCUAUCUGACCAGUCAAGGAUUUGAAAGAAGUCUUAGCGAGCCAACUCUGUAUGUUAAAUCAACUAGUGCUGAAACUCAGCUCAUUGUCUCAAUAUAUGUCGAUGACCUACUGGUGACAGGAGGAGAUCAUGAGAUGCUAAGCAGUUUUAAAGUCAAAAUGCAACAGCACUUUGAAAUGUCAGACUUGGGAUUGAUGUCUUACUUCUUAGGCAUGGAAGUAACUCAAGCUAAGAAUGGGAUUUGGCUAAGUCAAAAGACCUUUGCUAUGAAGGUUCUCAACAAAUUCUCAAUGGAGAAUUGCAAAGCAACCAGCACACCAGUUGCUGUUGGAGAAAAACUCUCGAGCCAAGACAAGCAUGAAAAGGUUUGUGAAACAACCUAUCGAAGUCUAGUUAGAUGUUUGUUGUAUUUGACUGCUACUAGACCUGACAUAAUGUAUGCUGUGAGUCUACUCUCGAGGUUUAUGCAUUCUUCAAAUGAAAGUCAUUUUAGAGCUGCAAAAAGGGUUCUAAGAUACAUCAAAGGAACUUUGUCCUAUGGAAUGCAGUUUACCAAGGCUGAGAACUUGAGGCUAGUUGGAUAUUGUGACAGUGAUUGGGCUGGUUCUUUGGAUGACAUGAAGAGCACUACAGGUUAUGCAUUCAACAUAGGCUCUGCUAUGAUAUGCUGGAGCUCAAAGAAGCAAGGAGUAGUGGCUCAGUCGACUGCAGAAGCAGAAUAUGUGGCUGCUGCUGCAGCAGUCAAUCAAGCCAUAUGGCUUAGAAAAAUUUUGAAAGAUAUCAAUCAUGAGCAAAAGGAAGCAACUGAGAUAAUGUCUGACAACCAAUCAGCAGUUGCUAUUGCAAAGAAUCCUGUUUUUCAUGGAAGGACCAAGCACUUCAACAUCAAACUUCAUGCAGUUCGGGAAAUGGAACAAGCUCAUGUUGUUAAGCUGAUACAUUGCAGUUCUGAAGAGCAAAUUACUGAUAUUUUAACAAAAGCACUAAGUGUUUCCAAGUUUCAACACCUGAGAGCUAAUAUGGGAGUUUGCAACAUGCUAACCAAGGAGGAGUGUUGAAGUAAUGGUCAGCAUGCAGCAACCAAGACUGUCAAAGGCACUACAUGCAGAAGCUGCUGGUUCACCUAGUCAGCAAGCUGUUUAUGUUUCAUUUUGUAAUUUUAAGUUAGAGUAAUGUAACUUAGUUGCUUUAUAACUAUGUUAGGUUUAUGUUUGAUGUAAUUUUGAUGUUGACUGAGCUGAUAAAUCAGCUUUGUUUGUUUAUUCAAGCUAAUUAGCACAAGUUACUAUGUGUAUUAGUGGUAGUAGGUGAAGUUUAGGUCAACCUACUGUUUUGUCAAGAUUGUAAACUUGUUUUAUGUAUUGGCUUUGUGCCAUAUUUAGUUUGAUGAAUGAAUUCAAGAAGUUAUCAUCCAUAUGCUCUCCAUUUUUAGUUUUGCUUAAAAAUCCAUUUGAGUUUUCUGCUUUGUUUCUCCUACAAGUCACGAGACUUGCCAUACAAGCAUUCUGCUGAAGCUUGCUGCUGCUGCCUCUUGCACCAACAAGAGGUCUAAGCUUUCCAAACUUUUAAGCCCUUUUAAAAAUUGGGGGAAUUCACUAAGAUUGCAAGAUGACAAAAAUAAGCUUGUAAGAUUAACAGUAGAAGUUGUAUUAGAUGUUAAGGAUAGGCUGUUAUAUGAAAGGUCAAGAUAUUCGAGAUUUGGAAGGUUUGAGAACAUGCGAAACUCUAUGACACCACUAAGAUAAUUUGAGGAUAAGCUAAGUUGGGUAAGAUUGAGAAGUUGGAAUAUUGAAGAUGGAAGAGGACCUUGGAGUUUAUUAUUCUCUAACCAUAUCCAUUCUAGUGAUUUGGAUUGGAAUUCUUUGAUAUGCCCACUGAAUUGAUUUUGAGAGAGAUAUAUUGUCUUUAAGGAGGGAGCAAUAUACAACCAUGACGGAAGUGUUCCAUUGAGUAAAUUGUCAGAUAAGUCUAAAUAUAUUAGAUUAUGAAAAGCGGUUACCUCAUCUGGAAUGGAACCUUCUAAAGAAUUGUUAGAUAUUGUCAAGUAUUCCAGCUGCGUUAGGUUUAGAAUUGACAAUGGAAUUUGUCCACUCAAUUUGUUCCAUCCCAAGUCUAAAACAGUGAGUUGCAAGAGGUUCCCCAAUGAUCUUGGAAUCUGUCCACUCAAUUGGUUCAGCCACAAGUCUAAAUGAGUGAGUUGCAAGAGGUUCCCUAAUGAUCUUGGAAUUUGUCCACUCAAUUGGUUCUUCGACAAGUCUAAAUGAGUGAGUUGCAAGAGGUUCCCCAAUUUUCUUGGAAUUUGUCCACUCAAUUGGUUCUCCGACAAGUCUAAAUGAGUGAGUUUCAAGAGAUUCCCCAGUGAUCUUGGAACCAGUCCUGAUAAGUUGGAAUGGGAGAGAACUAAAAACUUCAAGGACACAAGAUUCCCCAUCGAGUCAGGCAAUCCUCCACAAAUAUUUGCGUCUGAAAUUAUCAAUUGUUCAAGAUUGCUGCUCCGAUUGAACUUCAAAGGAUCAAGAUUGAGGUUUUGGUUGCCUCCCAAGUUGAGGAGAUUGAGGUUUGGCAAAUCAAAAAUGUUUUUUGGGAAUUUUCCUUGCAAAUCACAACCAACAAGACUGAGAGACCUUAGAGAAGAGGAUAGAUUCAUGAAGACAUGAGCAUUAACUGAAGACAUGUCCAUUUCAUCCAAAAACAGACGUCUGACCUCGGUUAGGUUGUGAACAAGACCCUCCAGAGCAUAUUUGUCAAUUGUUAAUAGUUCAUCAAACCCAGAAAGAUCAAGUGAAACCAAUUUUGACAGGUGGGAGACUUGGGAUGGGACUUCUGAAAACCAUGUAUUGGAAAGGUUGAGGUAGAAUAGGCUUGUAAACCGACCGAACUCGGAUGGAAUUUUGGAAGAAUUAAAAUCAUUGUAGGCAAGGUUGAGUUUUUGAAGGUGAGGAAGAAGGAAGAGAGUGGUAUUGGAAGGGAAGGUGCCAUAUAGCCAACUGCAGCUCAAGUCAAGGGCAAUAACAUGAGCAUUUAGGUGGUCACAAGUGACCCCAUCCCAUGAGCAGCAAUCUGUACCCUCCUUCCAUGAAUUUGUCUUGGGAUAAGAUUUAAGGCCAGCAAAAUAAUCGCAAUGAUCAAAAGAAGCAUCCUCUCUUAUGGAAAAGGAGUCCUUAAACUGGAUUAGUGAAGAGCAGGAGUGAGAUCCUGAAGAAGAAAAAGAAGCAUAAAGAUGGAGAAAGAAGAGGAAUAGGGAGAGAAAGAGAUAGGAGGCCAUGUUAUGUUGGUAGAGGAAGAUGAAGGAUAGGAAUGGUAUUUAUAGGCAACAAAUAAUACCACAACAUUGGUGUUACAGUCUUUUUUCUUUUACAUUGAAAAGCUAUGGAUAUUAGAUUUUCAAAAUUUUUGUAUUUUUCACAAUCAUCAACAACCACUUUGUCUUCAUUUUACCAUAUAUUUUUCAUUCUUAAAAUUGGAUUAUUUUCUUUUAGCAAAAUCUUGUAUUUCAUUUGAACUCCCUAAACAACUAAAAAAUUAAGAUUGAUAAAAUUACAAAGUAGAUUGACUUAGUCUUCUUCCUUGUAACACGUAAAGAAUUUCCACGCAAAAGAACAAAAUUGUGCUCUAUUCUUUACGUUUGAGGAAGAAGACUGCUGGAAUUUUAAUCCACUGAUUCCAUAAAAACGUGUAUACUUAUAUAUAUAUAUAUUUAUAACCUCAUAAUUUAAAUCUAAAAUCUCAUUUGUUAUAAAUUCUGAUAAAUUUAUUUGGGAAUUGCUAUUUUUCAUUCGUUAAUUAUUUCUCUUUUAAUCGAGUAAAAAAUUAAAACUAAAGACAUAAUGAUUUAUUUGGUAUUUUUUAACUUCGCAAACGAAAAAUUAUUUUAGCUUUCUAUUUUUUUUUAUCUCUUUUAGUCUUGAAAUUUAUAUGGUUCAUUAAAUCACCCAAAAAAAUGAUGAAAAAAAUAACAAAACUAGCACCUACGUGGCUGAUGUUGACCCUUAAUAGUUAAUGGCAACACCUAUGUAGUUGUUAACAGAUACCACACCAACACUGUUUGUUGACGUGACAAUGCCACAUGAUCAAUAAUCGCAGACAUGGUAGCGCCACGCCAUCGCCCAUUGAUGACAUAUUAACCUUUGAGUUAAACUCAAAUAAUUUGGUCCCAAAUAGUUUUCAACACAAAAGAAUAGAGGAAGAAGACUGCUACAGGUUUAACUAUCAAUUGUCUAUUGACUAUACUUUUAACUCCACUAAAAAAGACCAAGACUAAGACUAUCAAUUGUCUAUUGACUACACUUUAACUCGACAAAAAAAGACCAAGACUAAGACUAUCAAUUGUCUAUUGGCUUCACACUUGCUGUUGCUUCCUCCUAUUUCUCUCACCCAAACUUAAUUUACAAGCAAUGUGGAAAUUUUGGACAUUUGCCCACAACGUACAAUACUUCCACACCAUUUGCAGUAUUGACUACGUUUACUUGAGGGAAAACAAAGACAUGAACGCUGGAAAUUUUAACUAGUUUGUACCGUCAAUGAAGCUACGUACCUAAAAGCCAUUUAGGAUAUCAAUUCCUGUAAUUGGAGUAAUCUCAUCGUUGCUGCAAUCUUUUGACAGUUUAAUCGAAUCUUAAAUAUGUUACUCUGCAAUGCUAUUGUAAAUAUUUUUCUUAAAUUUGUCGAUAGAUUUAUAGGUUUGGCACAAAAUUAAGAAUACACAAAGGCAGGUUGAAUUAUUCCAUGUUUGAACAUCUGCAACAUAAAUGCAUAUGGCAAAAGGGCUCAAACCAUACCUUAUGUUCAUGAAUUCUCAUCAUCACGUGUUUAUAAAUGCAACUCAAACUUCAAUAAUUGAAUCUUUUGUAAUUCUACAUGUAUUUUUUUAUUAUGGCGAGCAGUAUAAUGUUUACUAAAAAUUGAAAUUCAAGAAAGAAGACAUAUAUAGUUGCACCAUACAAGAUGUUACACUCGAACUAAACGCUUACAAAUAGUACGAAAUGCAAUUGAAUACAGAGGAAUUGGUACAAUCAUAAAAACAGACACAUACCAAUGCAACUUUUCACCAUAGGAAAAACUUUCUGACAGACUACUAAACAAGAAAUUAUGAAGACACAGUAGAAAUGCUUUAACUUCAUUUGCACCAACUAGAUCAUUCUUCAUCCACUCAUGCGAUUGCUAUAUUUUGGCUUUCUUCUUCGCCUCUUCUCAUGUUGGUCUUCAACCAAAUUCACGAACCUUUUCACCUUAUCGGUUUGGAAAACAACACAUCCCAUGGCCAUUCCAAACACUACCCCGGAUCCAUAACCUAUCAACACCACUUUCCAACCAAAAGCAAUGUUUGCUUUUGAGCCAUCCUUUUCCAGCACAUUUGGAGGUGGUGUCUCAUUGAUGCUGCAACCUUUGGAGACUGGAAAUCCACAUAGUCUCUGUUUCCUUCGUAUGAAUUGUUUCCAAAUGUAUUGAACUGUUUGCCUUGAGGAAUCUGACCAUGGAGUUGAUUUUCGGAAACGUUUAAUAAGGAAAGAAAUGCCGGAUCUGCCAAUAUCUCUGGAAUUAACUCAGUUCAAAAGACUAUAUAACUCGUAAAGUUUGGUCGAAGACUAGCAGGGGUCAAGAAAAAUAAUUACUUGAAUUGUCAAAAUUUUGGAUUUUAGAGAAACAAGCACUAGACUUGGAGCUAUGGUCAUGCAAGGAACCAUGCAUUUCAUUUGACUUUAGUACAAGAACUUGUAGCCGUGGAAGACUUCCCUACCAAUGAGGAAAUGUAUCAUUGAUCUUGUUGUUCCUAAGAUCUAGCACUUCCAAAGACCUAAAAUUGAGGAUGGAUGGUGACAAAUGCCAUUCAAAUUGAUUUCCAUUUAAGUUGAGAUUACUCAAUUGGCAUCCCUUUGCAAAUGUUGGAGGAAUCAAUCCAUAAAACUUGUUCUUCUUUAGAUUCAAAAAUUCCAGGUUGUUGCUCAAAUUUCCAAAACAUUGUAGAAUAGUUCCACUCAAUUUAUUGUGGGACAAGUCAAGAAUUUGGAGAGCACUCACAUUGCCUAUCAAAGAAGAGACCUCUCCACUUAAACUAUUGUUUGAAGUAAAAAACACGUUGAUUGUCGAAGAUGGGAUUGGAAGAUUUCCAUGGAUCAAAUUGGAGCUUAAGUCAAGAAUAUUAAUAUUCUUCCAUGGAAGUUGCUCAACUUCUGUCAAUGAAUUGUGAGAUAAAUUUAAGUAACUCAAAGAGUCACACGUCACUUCUUGCAGCCAUUGUGGAAUCUUCCCUUCAAUUCUAUUGUUAGAAAGCUCCAAAGUUUUCAACUUUUUUAACCCUUUCAAAAAUCGGGGGAAUUGGCUGACAUUAUUUGAGCUUAAGGAUAGGCUGUUUAGUGAAAGGUCAAGAUAUUCGAGAUUUGGGAGAUUUGAGAACAUGCCAAACUCUAUGACACCACUGAAAUUAUUUGAGUAUAAAAGGAGCCAGGUAAGGUUGAGAAAUUGGAAUAUUGAAGAUGGAAGAGGACCUUGGAGAUUAUUAUUCCCUAACACUAUCAUUCUAGUGAUUUGGAUUGGAAUUCUUUGAUGUGUCCACUGAAUUGAUUCUGAGAGAGAGAUAUUUCCAUUAAGGAGAAAGCAUUAUACAACCAUGACAGAAGUUUUCCAUUGGGUAAAUUGUUAGAUAAGUCUAAAGAUAUUAGAUUAGGGAAAGCAGCUACCUCAUCUGGAAUGGGACCUUCUAAAGAAUUUUCAGCUAUUCUCAAGUGUUCAAGCUGUGUUAGGUUUACAAUUGACAAUGGAACUUGUUCACUCAAUUGGUUCCAUGACAAGUCUAAAUAUAUGAGCCACAAGAGGUUCCCCAGAGAUCUCGAAAUUGAUCCCUGUAAAUUGGAAUUAGAGAGAGACAAAUAUUUCAAGACGUGCAGGUUGUCAAUCAAAUCAAUCAAUUUUGAAAAGGAGGACAUCCAUGACAGAUCCAAAUGUUCAAGAUUACUGCUCUGAUUGAACUUCAGAAGAUCAAGAAUCAGGUUUCGGUUGUAUCCUAAGUUGAGCAAAUUGAGGUUUGGCGAAUGAAGAACGUUUCUUGAGAAUUUUCCUUGCAAAUCACAACCACCAAGACUGAGAGACUUUAUAGAAGAGGAUAGAUUGAUGAAAACAUUAGGAUUAAUAGAAGGCAUGAUAAUUCUAUCAAGAAAAAGAUGUCUCACCUCAGUUAGGUUGUGAACAAGUCCCUUCAAAGAAUUUUAUCAAGUGUUAAUUGGUCAGAAAAAACAUUAUGAGAGAGAUCAAGUGAAACCAAUUUUGACGAGUGGGAGAUUUGGGAUGGGACUUUUCCUGCAAAUAACGUUUCUGAGAUGUUAAGAUACACCAGGCUUGUAAACCGGCCGAACUCGGAUGGAAUUUUGGAAAGAUUAAAAUCAUUGUAGGCAAGGUUGAAUUUUUGAAGGUGAGGAAGAAGGAAGAGAGUGGUAUUGGAAGGGAAGUUGCCAUAUAGACAACUGCAGCUCAAGUCAAGGGCAAUAUAUAACUUGAGCAUUUAGGUGGUCACAAGUGACCCCAUCCCAUGAGCAGCAAUCUGUACCCUCAUUCCAUGAAUUUGUCCUGGGAUAAGAUUUAUGGCCAUCAAUCUCAUUGCUAUAAGAAGAAGCAUACUCUGUUAUGGAAAAAGAGUCCUUAAACUGGAUUAGUGAAGAGCAGGAGUGAGAUCCUGAAGAAGAAAAAGAAGCAUAAAGAUGGGGAAAGGUUAAGGUAGAAUAGGCUUGUAAACCGACCGAACUCGGAUGAAAUUUUGGAAAGAUUAAAAUCAUUGAAGGCAAGGUUGAGUUUUUGAAGGUGAGGAAGAAGGAAGAGAGUGGUAUUGGAAGGGAAGUUGCCAUAUAGCCAACUGCAGCUCAAGUCAAGGGCAAUAACUUGAGCAUUAAGGUGAUGACAAGUGACCCCACACCAUGAGCAGCAAUCUGUACCCUCCUUCCAUGAAUUUGUCUUGGGAUAAGAUUUAAGGCCGGCAAAAUCAUCGCAACACAAAGCAGCAUGGCCUGUCUGAGUGAUCGAAAAUGAAUUCUUGAACUGGAUUAGAGAAGCAGCUUCGUGGUGAGAGCAGGAGUGAGAUCCUGAAGAAGAAGAAGCAUAAAGAUGGGGAAAGAAGAGGAAUAGGCAGAGAGAGAGAUAGGGGCCAUGUUAUGUUUGUAGAGGAAGAUGAAGGAUAGGAAUGGUAUUUAUAGGCAACAAAUAGAAUCCAAUAUUAAACAAAAGAUUUGAUGAUUAAUACCACAACACCACUGUUACAGUGUUGUUUCUUUUAUGGUAUAAAGAUUGUUAUUGGAAGAGUUUGAAAUGCUGACAUUGAAAACCUAUAUUUUUCAAUACUCAUCAACAACCACUUCCUUUUUACCAUAUCUUUUUCAUUCCCAAAAUUGGAUACAUUGUUUUACCAAAAUUUUGUAUUUCAUUUGAACUCCCUAAACAACUGAGAAAAUUAACAUUGAUGAGAUUACAAAGUAGAUUGACUUAGUCUUCUUCCUUAUAAUAGGUAAAAAAAAAAUGUGAGUGUCUAUUCACUUAUAAUAUUUCCAUGCUAGAGGUAGUUUUUGGAAAAUCUUUAAUUAAAUCUUAAUUUCAUUUUGUUAAAAUUUUAAACUGGGUUAUCGAAUUGGCUUCUGAUUGUAGGUUGAUCAAUGAUGGGCCGAUUUCUUCUUCUUCUUUUUUAAUUUUUUUAGGGUUAAUUUAUAAUAUACUGCUUAAUGUUGUUGAUUUAUUUUUCUGGUCAUCGUUUCAUCCGUUUGUUGAAGAUAACUGAAUUUUUAUUGGUUGUAAUUGGACUUGGGUUUUAGCCAAUGACUAUAAUCAAAGGGUUAAUUUAAGGUUCCAAUGAAUUGUUUGAAAAUUUUAUUAUUUUUCUUUUCAAUUAGUUGUUUUACAAGGAUUUAACUUAUAUUAGUCAAAUGAACUGGCUUUAAAAAAUGAACAAGAACGAAGAAAUUGGAUGGUUAACUGGACACUGGAAAGGGGGAAUGCUAAAAGUUGUAAAUGUUUUGAAUAUAGAGUUGUAUUCUUUUCAUGGCUUCAGAAAAAUGUAUGCAAUGUUUGGCCAGCGAUAAUGGACAAGUUUUUUUAAACCUCCAUGCCUUAGUCAUGCUUUCAUAAACAUGGGCAGCUAACACCGAGAAGUCUCAUUGAAUGUAGUAAGCGAUUUAAAAGUGAAGCUCAUAUGCGACCGGGGAUGGUUGAUUUGAGGUUUAAUUCUAGCUAGUAGAUUCUGUUGUUUGUUAAGCGUCUUUUUGGAGACAAAUGUCUGAGAUUGCUGGAAAAUGCUUCUUACCAUCAUAUUAAUGUGUAUUUGGGUUGCGUUUUCUUAGAGUUUUGGAUUCUUUGCAUCAUAUCAUAAAAUUGAGUUAGAUAUAACAUCUCAUUGUUAUCUGUUAAUUGUUUCACUUGGGACCAGGAGCAUGCUGGCAACUCAAUACAGCUGUAAAUGCAUAUUUCAGUGAGGGUGAUAGGUAUAUAUUUAUGAAUUAUCCUAAUAUUUUUUAUGAUAAGUAAUUCUAGGUUUAUAGCUUUAUUUGUUUGUUUGUUUUCUCGUGUUUCCUACAAAAAAAGGCCAACAUCAACCAUAGUUCCUGUAGAUGAUGCCAUGGAUAUAGAUGAUCCAAAUGAAGUAGUACCAAAUGGGCCAGUCCUUCCAUUUCUACCAUCAUCUAGAACAAACGAACAAUCGUCUCUUUUUCUGAAAUUUCCGGCGCGACGCCUGUGCGGGGGGCCUUGGCCGGAAUCUGGACUUAGUCCAGAGAGUUUUUUUUUCUUUCUUCUGUUUUUUUUUUUCAAUGUUCAAAUGAUUUUUUUUCUCAAAACACUAAUUUUUAUGCCCAGUGAAACGGCGCCGUUUUGGCUAAGCUCCAAAACACCCAAAACGACGUCGUUUCACUCGCCACCAACUUGAAUUUUAUAACUACUCCUAUGCCAACCAGCAAACCAUAACAGCGUACAUAAAAAAGAGGAUGCUGACUUACAAUUCCUUUCAUUUCACCAUAACCAAUCAAAUCCCUUGCAAUGCUGUUUGGAUCACAGCAGCUCAUCUUUCAAUCCUAGAUGGCUCCGCUAAUUUUUUGAAAGCAUACAUAAACUGUUAAAGAAAUAAAUGGAUAAAACAACUACAGGAUAGAAGGCUGAAAAAUUACAAAGUGCAAUGACCUUAUUGUUAAAAUUUCAACGCCCAUUCCUUGGAAAGAUAUCUUCACCAUUGCCCACUCAAGAGAACUCAAAUAGCAGCAAGAUCUAGUAUAAAAUGUAACUCUCAACAACACACACAAAUGUUUGUUCUAUCAAGGAGCAAUACACAGACAUAUUCACCUACCCUUGGUUCUAGCUUUGCAUAUUACAUAACACUCUUCAAAUGUCUUAUUAAAUUCUCACUUUUACGAGUGCUAUGAUAAUCAAAUAAAAUUCAAUUCAAUUUUAAGUUCCAUAUAACACUUACAUGGCUACAAAAUGUGUGUGUGUUUAAGUGUCGACAACCACAAACAAUCCAAAUUUGCAGAGAAACCACCCAUUAUAUAUAGGUUUGCCAAUGAGAUGGCAAGCAGAUUGCUAGCUAGAAAUUCAUGCAUCUUUGAAUCACCAGUUCAAUUAAUAAGCUUAAGUAGAGGAAAUAGGGACUUUACAUCCACCAAUUAAAGCAACCUAUAUGUACCCUUUUACAGUCUGCAUUGUUCCAUGUUUCAAUUCAUUACAUCAUUCCUUCAACUCUGCUAUAUAUUAUUACCGUCUCCAGAUAACCAAACCUUUUACUGCUAACUUGUAAAAAAAUUAUGAAAAUACAACAGAGAUCAUUGAGACAUUGUUGAAGUUGGCUUGCAUGCAGAGCAAGAAGCAGACCAAGCUGUCCGAGCCAUGCAAGUUGCAGCUGAAGCUUAUGCUGCUGUUUUGUUACUUUCAAAUAGAUAUUUUAUUACUUAGUUAGAUAUGAACUAAGUUGUUGAUAUGCUUGAUGUGAUUAGGUGCUGAUAGAUUGAUAAAUCAGCUUUACCAAGUGUACAAGCAAUGUUUAUCAAGUUACUAAGCCACUUAGUGGAGUUAGGCACGUGUUUAGGUAACAUUUUCUUAUUUUUGACCAGCUGAUUGCUCGGUAUAUGUAAUGGAAUUGUGCCUUCAUUUGGUCUUUACUUAAGCAUUUUUAUUCAAAAAGCUCUUGCUGUUUUUGUUUUGUUUGUUGUGCAAGAUAUCAAUGCUUUAUGCUUAAGUUUCUGUCAAAAUUUCUCAUUCUGUUUUCUUAGUUCCUACAGACAUUUUGUUCUCCUUUCUCCUUUACUGAGCAGUAGCAAAGAUUAUUGAGACUAAAUUGAAAUCCAUGAAAGAAGACAUAAACAACACCACCAUACAAAAUGUCACACUCAAACAAACCAUUACAGAUAGUACGAAAUGCAAUGAAAGACAGAGGAAUUGGUACAAUAAUAAAGACAGCCAGAUACCAAUGCAACCCUUCACCAUAGGCACAACGGUCUACAAACAAGAAAUUAUGAAAAAUACAACACUAAUUCUUGAACAUCAUUUGCAGUAAUUAGAUCCUUCUUCGUCUACUGCUGCGAUUGCCUUUCUUUGACUUUCUUCUUCGCCUCUUCUCAUGUUGGUUUUCAACCAAAUUCACCAACCAUUUUGGCUUUCCAGUUUGGAAAACAACAUAUCCCACGGACAUUCCGAACACUACUCCGCAUCCACAACCUAUCAUCACCACUUUCCAACCAAAAGCAAUGUUUGAUUUUGAGCCAUCUUUUUCAAGCACAUUUGGAGGUGGUGGGUCAAUGAUGUUGCAACCUUUCGAGACCGGAAACCCACACAGUCCCUUAUUUCCUUCAUAUGAAUCAUUUCCAAAUGUGUUGAAUUGUUUGCCUUGGGGAAUCUUACCAUGGAGUUGAUUUUCAGAAACAUUUAAGGACGAAAGAAACGGCAGAUCUGCCAAUCUAUUUGGAAUCGCCCCAGACAACCUGUUUGAAGAUAGGUCCAACCAUUCAAGACUUGUCAAAUUCCCUAUUGAUGUGGGGAUACCACCAUUAAGGUUAUUAUGAGAAAGGUUGAGCCCUUUCAGUAAGUUAAGCUUCCCAAUAACCUUUGGAAUACCCCCUUCAAACUGAUUGUUUGAUAGAUCAAUGAUCAUCCACAUGGUGAAAAUUUUCACCAAUUCCCUAUCUUGUCCUUUCAUAACAAUUCCAAUGGAAUAGGUAUAGAAGUCACCUCCAUCAUCAUUCACCCCCAUGUACGACACUGUACUACCAAUCUUCUCUAGAUUUAUGAUAGCCUUGAAGCUGUUGAUGUAUCUCACUGGUAGGGGUCCAGAAAAAUAAUUACUUGAGAGAUCAAAAAUUUGGAUUUUAGAGAAAAAAGGGAUAGACUUGGAGCUAUUGACACAUAAGGAACCAUGCAAUUGAUUUGACUUCAAUACAAGAACUUGUAGCCGUGGAAGACUUCCCAACCAAUGAGGAAAUGUAUCAUUGAUCUUGUUGUUACCAAGAUCUAGCACUUCCAGACCAUUACAAUUAAGGAUGGAUGGUGUCAAAGGCCCUUCUAACAGAUUUCCAUUUAAGUUGAAAUUACUCAAUUGGCAUCCCAUUGCAAAUGUUGGAGGAAUCGUCCCAUAGAACUUGUUCUUCUUCAGAUUCAAGAAUAGAAGGCUGUUGCUCAAAUUUCCAAAACAUUGUGGAAUUGUUCCACUCAAGUUAUUGUGGGACAAAUCAAGAAUUUCAAGAAAAGCGGCAUUGCAUAUUAAAGAAGAGACCUCUCCAUUGAAACUAUUAUUAGAGAUCAAAAAGACAUUGAUGGUCGAAGCUGGAAUCGGAAGAUUUCCACUGAUCAAAUUGGAGCUUAAGUCAAGAACGUCAAUAUUCUUCCAUGGAAAGUGCUCAACUUCUGUCAAAGAGUUGUGAGAUACGUUUAAGUAAGUCAAAGAGUCAUUCCCCACCUCUUGCAUCCACUGUGGAAUCUUGCCUUCAAUUUUGUUGUAAGAGAGGUCUAAGCUUUCCAAACUUUUAAGCCCUUUUAAAAAUUGGGGGAAUUCACUAAGAUUGCAAGAUGACAAAAACAACCUUGUAAGAUUAACAGUAGAAGUAGUAUUAGAUGUUAAGGAUAGGCUGUUAUAUGAAAGGUCAAGAGAUUCGAGAUUUGGAAGGUUUGAGAACAUGCGAAACUCUAUGACACCACUAAGAUAAUUUGAGGAUAAGCUAAGUUGGGUAAGAUUGAGAAGUUGGAAUAUUGAAGAUGGAAGAGGACCUUGGAGUUUAUUAUUCUCUAACGCUAUCCAUUCUAGUGAUUUGGAUUGGAAUUCUUUGAUAUGCCCACUGAAUUGAUUUUGAGAGAGUUUUAUAUCCUUUAAGGAGGGAGCAGUAUACAACCAUGAUGGAAGUUGUCCACUGAGUAAAUUGUUAGUUAAGUCUAAAGAUAUUAGAUUAGGAAAAGCGGUUACCUCAUCUGGAAUAGAACCUUUUAAUGUAUUUCCAGCUAUUCUCAAGUAUUCCAGCUGCGUUAGGUUUAGAAUUGACAAUGGAAUUUGUCCAUUCAAUUGGUUCUGCCACAAGCCUAAAUAAGUGAGUUGCAAGAGGUUCCCCAAUGAUCUUGGAAUUUGUCCACUCAAUUGGUUUUGCCACAAGCCUAAAUAAGUGAGUUGCAAGAGGUUCCCCAAUGAUCUUGGAAUUUGUCCACUCAACUGGUUCCCCGAUAAGUCUAAAUGAGUGAGUUGCAAGAGAUUCCCCAGUGAUUUUGGAACCGGUCCUGAUAAGUUGGAAUAGGAGAGAUCUAAAAACUUCAAGGACACAAGAUUACCCACCGAGUCUGGCAAUCCUCCAAAAAAAUUUGCGCCUGAAAUUAUCAAUUGCUCCAAAGAUGAUAAAUUUGUGAUUGAGACAGACAAUCCUUGAAAGAAAAAAUUUCCUGAUAGACCUAAGGACUUUAAGGCCUGUAGAUUAUCAACUGAAUCAAUGAAUUCUGUAGAGAAGGACGUCCAUGACAGAUCCAAAUGUUCAAGAUUGCUGCUCCGAUUCAACUUCAAAGGAUCAAGAUUGAGGUUUUGGUUGUUUCCCAAGUUGAGGAGAUUGAGGUUUGGCAAAUCAAAAAUGUUGUUUGGGAAUUUUCCUUGCAAAUCACAACCAGCAAGACUGAGAGACCUUAGAGAAGAGGAUAGAUUCAUGAAGACAUGAGCAUUAACAGAAGCCAUCUCCAUUCCAUCCAAAAACAGAUGUCUGACCUCGGUUAGGUUUUGAACAAGUCCCUCCAGAGCAUGUUUGUCUCCUACAAACCCUGUACUGGAAAGGUCGAGGUAGAGUAGGCUUGUAAACCGACCUAACUCGGAUGGAAUUUCGGAAAGAUUAAACUCAUUGUAGGCAAGGUUGAGUUUUUGAAGGUGAGGAAGAAGGAAGAGAGUGGAAUUGGAAGGGAAGUUGCCAUAUAGCCAACUGCAGCUCAAGUCAAGGGCAAUAACAUGAGCAUUUAGGUGGUCACAAGUGACCCCAUCCCAUGAGCAGCAAUCUGUACCCUCCUUCCAUGAAUUUGUCUUGGGAUAAGAUUUAUGGCCAGCAAUCUCAUUGCAAUAAGAAGAAGCGUCCUCUGUUAUGGAAAAAGAGUCCUUAAACUGGAUUAGUGAAGAGCAGGAGUGAGAUCCAGAAGAAGAAAAAGAAGCAUAAAGAUGGGGAAAGAAGAGGAAUAGGCAGAGGAAGAGAUAGGGGGCCAUGUUAUGUCUGUAGAGGAAGAUGAAGGAUAGGAAUGGUAUUUAUAGGCAACAAAUAAUACCGCAGUGUUACAGUCUUUUUUUCUUUUACAUUGAGAAGCUAUGGAGAUUAGAUUUUCAAAAUUUUUGUAUUUUUAACAAUCAUCAACAGUCACUUAGUCUUCUUUUUACCAUAUAUUUUUCAUUCUUAAAAUUGGAUGCUAUCUUUUCGCAAAAUCUUGUGGAAAUUCUUUAGCCUUCUUCUCUAUAACACUUAAAGAAUGUGUGUAUGUAUUCAUUUGCCUGUCAACUAAAGCUAAUUAAUGUGGAAAUUCUUUUCCACCCAAAAGAACAAAAUUGUGCUCUAUUCAUUAAGUUUGAGGAAGAAGAUUGCUGGAAAUUUAAUCUACCGAUUCCAUAAAAAACGUGUAUACUUAUAUAACCUCAUAAUUCAAAUCUAAAAUCUCAUUUGUUAUAAAUUCUGAUAAAUUUCUUUGGAAUUGCUAUUUUUCAUUUGUUAAUUAUUUCUCUUUUAAUCGAGUAAAAAAUUAAAACUAAAAAGACAUAAUGAUUUAUUUGGCAUUUUUAAACUUUACAAAUAAAAAAUCAUUUUAGCUUUUCAUUUUUUUAUCUCUAUUAAAUCACCCAAAAAAAAUAAUGAAAAAGACUAACAAAACUAGCACCUACGUGGCUGAUGUUGACCCUUAGUAGUUAAUGACAACAUCUACGUAGUUGUUAACAGAUACCACACUAACACUGUUUGUUGACGUGACAAUGCCACAUGAUCAAUAAUCACCGACAUGGUAGCGCCACGCUAUCGCCCAUUGGUGACAUAUUGAUGUUUGAGUUAAACUCAAAUUACUAUUUCCUUUGUUAUAAAUUAAGAGUAUAACUAAUUUUGAUAAGAAUGAUUACUUUUCAUUAACUCAGUCUAAAGGACUAUAACACGUAAAGUUUGGCCUAUUGCAGAAUUCACAUGCAAUGCGGGGCAUUUACAUUAUGCAGAAUUCGGCACAUAUAUGGGAAUUUUUGUAUUUCCACAAUCAUCAUGUUGUUCGUGAUCAACAACUACUUCCUUUUUACCAUAUAUUUUUCAUUCAUAAAAUUGAUUACUUUUUUUUUUACGAAAGAAGUAAAAUUAUUAACAUUCAUGAUAUUACAAAGCCUUCUUCCUUAUAACACGUCAAGUUUGGCCCCAAAUAAUUUUCCAGACAAAAGAAUUAAGAGGAAGGAGACUGCUACAGAUUGACUAUACUUUUAACUCCACAAACAAAGACUAAGACUAUCAAUUGUCUAUUGACUACACUUUAACUCGACAAAAACAGAUUGACUAUACUUUUAACUCCACAAACAAAGACUAAGACUAUCAAUUGUCUAUUGACUUCACUUUAACUCGACAAAAACAGACUAAUAAGACUUUGGUUGGCUGUAAUGGGCUAUUGACUAUACUUUAACUCCGCAAAAAAAGACUAAGGCUAUCAAUUGUCUAUUGACUUCACACUUGCUGUUGCUUCCUCCUAUCUCUAUCACUUGCUUCCUCCUAUCUCUAUCACCCAAACUUAAUUUACAAGCAAUGUGGAAAUUUUGGACAUUUGGGCCACAAUGUACAAUACUUCCACACCAUUUGCAGUAUUGACUACGUUUACUUGAGGGCAAACAAAGACAUGAAUGCUGGAAAUUUUAACUAGUUUGUACCGUCAAUGAAGCUACGUACCUAAAAGCAAUGUAUUAUCACCGUCUCCAGAAAUUUUGCUAAUUCAAUUUCCCAAGAAAUAUGAUUAAUUUUGGUUAAAUUGGAGUGAACAUUACUAUUUCUGUUUUAGCAAUUAAAGCAACCUAUAUGUACCCUUUUACAGUCUGCAUUGUUCCAUGUUUCCAUUCAUUACAUCAUUCCUUCAACUCUGCUAUAUAUUAUCACCGUCUCCAGAGAACCAAACCUUUUACUGCUAACUUGUAAAAAAAUUAUGAAAAUACAACAGAGAUUAUUGAGACAUUGUUGAAGUUGGCUUGCAUGCAGUAGACAUUGUUAAUCUUAUUAUUAUUAUUAUUAUUAUUAACUCAUGAACCCAUGGUUACACUUCCAACAGAGGUGAGAGAGGUUAAGAGUAGCCAUGAGCCAUCUAGUCAUGCUCCUGUUGUUGAGGAUGCCUCUGAAACUGCACAAGCUCUCAGCCCGAAUUCAAAUCUAAAAUCUCAUUUGUUAUAAAUUCUGAUAAAUUUAUUUGGGAAUUGCUAUUUUUCAUUCGUUAAUUAUUUCUCUUUUAAUCGAGUAAAAAAUUAAAACUAAAAAGACAUGAUAAUUUACUUGGCAUUUUUUAACUUUACAAACAAAUAGUCAUUUUAGCUUUCCAUUUUUUUUUUCUCUUUUAGCCUUGAAACUUAUAUGGUUCCUUAAAUCACUCCAAAAAAAAUGAUGAAAAAGACUAACAAAUUCUAGCACCUACGUGGCUGAUGUUGACCCUAGUAGUUAAUGGCAACACCUACGUAGUGGUUAACAGAUACCACACCAACACUGUUUGUUGACGUGACAAUGCCAAAUGGUCAAUAAUCGCUGACAUGGUAGCGCCACGCCAUCGCCCAUUGAUGACAUGUUAACCUUUGAGUUAAACUCAAAUUACUCUUUCCUUUGUUAUAAAUUAAGAGUAUAAAUAAUUCUGAUAAGAAUAGUUACUUUUCAUUAACUCAGUUUAAAGGACUAUAACACGUAAAGUUUGGUCUAUUGCAGAAUUCACAUGCCAUGCGGGACGUUUACAUUAUGCAGAAUUCAACACAUAUAUGGGAAUUUUUGUAUUUCCACAAUCAUCAAAUAAUUUUCAUAAAUUGAUUACUUUCUUUUUACCAUAUAAUUUUCAUUCAUAAAUUGAUUACUUUUUUUUUACAAAAGAAGUAAAAUAAUUAAUAUUCGUGAGAUUACAAAGUCUUCUUCCUUAUACACGUCAAGUUUGGUCUCAAAUAAUUUUCCACACAAAAGAAUACUUUUAACAAUCAAUUGUCUAUUGACUAUACUUUGAACUCCACAAAAAAGACUAAGACCUUCAAUUGUCUAUUGACUACACUUUAACUCGACAAAAAAAGACUAAGACUAUCAAUUGUCUAUUGACUAUCAAUUGGUUCCAUGACAAGUCUAAAUAUAUGAGCCACAAGAGGUUCCCCAAUGAUCUCGAAAUUGAUCCCCGUAAAUUGGAAUUAGAGAGAGACAAAUAUUUCAAGACAUGCAGGUUGUCAAUCAAAUCAAUCAAUUUCGUAAAGGAGGACAUCCAUGACAGAUCCAAAUGUUCAAAAUUACUGCUCUGAUUGAACUUCAGAAGAUCAAGACUAAGGAUUCGGUUGUAUCCUAAGUUGAGCAAAUUGAGGUUUGGCGAAUGAAGAAUGUUUCUUGAGAACUUUCCUUGCAAAUCACAACCACCAAGACUGAGAGACUUUAUAGAAGAGGAUAGAUUCAUGAAAACAUUAGGAUUAAUAGAAGGCAUGAUAAUUCUAACAAGAAAAAGAUGUGUCACCUCAGUUAGGUUGUGAACAAGUCCCUCCAAAGAAUUUUAUCAAGAGUUAAUUGGUGAGAAAAAACAUUAUGAGAGAGAUCAAGUGAAACCAAAUUUGACGAGUGGGAGAUUUGGGAUGGGACUUUUCCUGUAAAUAACGUUUUUUAGAUGUUAAGAUACACCAGCCUUGUAAACCGACCGAACUAGGAUGGAAUUUUGGAAAGAUUAAAAUCAUUGUAGGCAAGGUUGAGUUUUUGAAGGUGAGGAAGGAGGAAGAGAGUGGUAUUGGAAGGGAAGUUGCCAUAUAGCCAACUGCAGCUCAAGUCAAGGGCAAUAACAUGAGCAUUAAGGUGAUGACAAGUGACCCCAUACCAUGAGCAGCAAUCUGUACCCUCCUUCCAUGAAUUUGUCUUGGGAUAAGAUUUAAGGCCGUCAAAAUCAUCGCAAUACAAAGCAGCAUGGUCUGUCUGAGUGAUCGAAAAUGAAUUCUUGAACUGGAUUAGAGAAGCAGCUUCGUGGUGAGAGCAGGAGUGAGAUCCUGAAGAAGAAGAAGCAUAAAGAUGGGGAAAGAAGAGGAAUAGGCAGAGAGAGAGAUAGGGGCCAUGUUAUGUUUGUAGAGGAAGAUGAAGGAUAGGAAUGGUAUUUAUAGGCAACAAAUAGAAUCCAAUAUUAAACAAAAGCUUUGAUGAUUAAUACCACAACACCACUGUUACAGUGUUGUUUCUUUUAUGGUAUAAAGAUUGUUAUUGGAAGAGUUUGAAAUGCUGACAUUGAAAACCUAUAUUUUUCAAUACUCAUCAACAACCACUUCCUUUUUACCAUAUCUUUUUCAUUCCCAAAAUUGGAUACAUUGUUUUACCAAAAUUUUGUAUUUCAUUUGAACUCCCUAAACAACUGAGAAAAUUAACAUUGAUGAGAUUACAAAAUAGAUUGACUUAGUCUUCUUCCUUAUAAUACGUAAAAAAAAAUGUGAGUGUCUAUUCACUUAUAAUAUUUCCAUGCUAGAGGUAGUUUUUGGAAAAUCUUUAAUUAAACCUUAAUUUCAUUUUGUUAAAAUUUUUAACUGGAUUAUCGAAUUGGCUUCUGAUUGUAGGUUGAUCAAUGAUGGGCUGAUUUCUUCUUCUUCUUUUUUAAUUUUUUUAGGGUUUAUAAUAUACUGCUUAAUGUUGUUGAUUUAUUUUUCUGAUCAUCGUUUCAUUCGUUUGUUGAAGAUAACUGAAUUUUUAUUGGUUGUAAUUGGACUUGGGUUUUAGCCAAUGACUAUAAUCAAAGGGUUAAUUUAAGGUUCGAAUGAAUUAUUUGAAAAUUUUAUUAUUUUUCUUUUCAAUUAGUUGUUUUACAAGGAUUUAACUUAUAUUAGUCAAAUGAACUGGGUUUAAAAAAUGAACAAGAACGAAGAAAUUGGAUGGUUGACUGGACACUGGAAAGGGGAAAAGCUAAAAGUUGUAAAUGUUUUGAAUAUAGAGUUGUAUUCUUUUCAUGGCUUCAGAAAAAUGUAUGCAAUGUUUGGCCAGCGAUAAUGGACAAGUUUUUUUAAACCUCCAUGCCUAAGUCAUGCUUUCAUAAACAUGGGCAGCUAACACCGAGAAGUCAGUAAGCGAUUUAAAAGUGAAGCUCAUAUGCGUCAUUGCUACUCGCUUUGCAGCUAAACUCCUGAGUGACCGGGGAUGGUUGAUUUGAGGUUUAAUUCUAGCUAGUAGAUUCUUAGGUUUGUUAAGGGUCUUUUUGGAGACAAAUGUCUGAGAUUGCUGGAAAAUGCUUCUUACCAUCAUAUUAAUGUCUAUUCGGGUUGCGUUUUCUUAGAGUUUUGGAUUCUUUGCAUCUUAUCAUAAAAUUGAGUUAGAUAUAACAUGUCAUUGUUAUCUGUUAAUUGUUUCACUUGGGACCAGGAGCAUGGUGGCAACUCAAUACAGCUGUAAAUGCAUAUUUCAGCGAGGGUGAUAGGUAUAUAUUUAUGAAUUAUGCUAAUAUUUUGUUAUGAUAAGUAAUUCUAGGUUUAUAGCUUUAUUGGUUUGUUUGUUUUCUCAUGUUUCCUACAAAAAUAAGGCCAACAUCAACCAUAGUUUCUGUAGAUUAUGCCAUGGAUAUAAAUGAUCCAAAUGAAGUUGUACCAAAUGGGCCAGUCCCUUCCAUUUCUACCAUCAUCUAGAACAAACGAACAAUCGUCUCUUCAUCAUCGAAACUUCCAUAGCAGUUUCUUCGAUGGUGAUUCUGGUUCAACUUAUGAACCAAUUGAUACAUAUCCAACAGAGGUGAGAGGGGUUAAGUAUAGCCAUGAGCCAUCUAGUCAUGCUCCUGUUGUUGAGGAUGCCUCUGAAACUGCACAAGCUCUCGGCCCGAAUUCCCAUGAGACUGUUACAAUUGGUGAAGUAGGUGACGAUUCAAUUGCGCAGCCAAGGUGGCAGAAUGAUAACUGUAACAACCAGCAUGUUACACCCAGCGCUCCUGCCUUUGAUAAUUUGCUAGACUAUGGCGAUGACAUUGAAGAACAAAUGAUUCAAGCUGCCAUUGAGGCCUCUAAGCGGGAUGCUGAGGCAAGUUUUAAAAAAAGGACGCUUCCAAUUUGAUAGUGUUGUGGUGCCCUUCAUUCUUGUAGUUGCUGUAAAUGCUUGUUUUACAGAUUGCCUUUUUCAUGUUUAAAGUGUUAAAGUGUUGCAAAUUGAAGUGUUUUAAGUAAUGCAAAUUGAAUUGUUUAGUUGCUGGAAAUUGAGAUGUUUUAUGGCCGUAAUUGAGUGUAUAAAUGUUGUAAAUUGAAGUGUUUUAUUGCUGGAAAUUGGAUGCAUGGUAUAAUGACAUGAUAGAAUGUCAUUACAAUGUUGUAACUUUUUGAUGUUGUAAAAUCAUAUGGAUUAUGACAUCUAAACUAAUGAAAUCGUGUAACUUUUUAUUAAUAUAUGAAUAUUAUGUUGGGAUGUGAAAUAUAAUUCUCAAGUUAUUUAUUACUUCUAAUAUCUAAUAUUUCAUUGUAGAAUAAUUAAAAUUAUUUGUUUCACUAAUGAUAUUUUAGCACAUUCAAUAUCUAUUGCAGUUUAAAAAUAAUAAUUUAGAUUAUAUAUUAUUUUUAUAGUAUUAUAUAUUAUGAUUUUAGUAAAUUCAUAUAAUAGUAAUUAUAUUAAGAAUUUUAUUAAAUUAUAUUUAAUAAUAAUUAUGUUAAAAUAUGGUUAAAUUAUUUAUUAUCUUUAUUAAAUUAUUUUUAAUAAUAAUCUUUUUAAAAUUUAAUAACAAUAACAAAAAUCAUCUACUUAAAAAAGAUUCUGCUAAGGGUAUUCUAGUCAUUUUAGUUUUUUCCUUAUGCAAUUACAACAUCAUUCCAUUCAACCAAACACAAGAAUACCAUUACAGUUCUAUUCCGUUCCAUUCAACCAAACAAUUGAAUUACUGAUUACAGCUCUAUUCCAUUACAGUGAACCAAAUAUAUCCUUAGUAUGAAUGGCUGUCGAGGCAUGUAGAAAUUUGCACACAAAAGAACAAAAUUGUGCACUACUUAAAACUUCAAAGCAUGUGUGGCCUUAAUUUAAUUUUUCAUCUUUUUUAGCCCUUAAACCUACAUUGUUUAUCAGAUGAAAAAAUUAAUAUCUAUUAACUUUGCUAAUGUGCAAGCAUAUGCAACUUCUUUUAAAUCUAAAAAAUAUAAAAAUAAUUAAAUAUGUAUAAAUCUAAAGAUAUCUUAAACUUAAAACUAAAAUUUUUUAAACUAAUGCAAAUUUUUAUUAUUUAAAAAAUCUUAAAAUUUUCAAAUUAAAUUCCAUUUGUUUUCCACCGUUGAAGAACACCUUUAAUCACAACUUCAUGCUGUAUUGCCUAGAAAUUGUUUUGCAAAUUUAUUUUGUUUUAUUUAUUUCUAAACCCAUAUUUCUUUUCUAUAACUCCAAUUAUUAGAUUGUUUAGGGUUUUGAGUAACUUUCGAUUUUGGAAUUUUAGAUUUUUUAAAUUUAAAUAUGAAGUGCUCUUCUUCUUCUCCAAACCCACAAAUUUUUCUGCCAAAUUUCUACUCAAGGUUUUACUUUCAGCUAUAAAUAAAGCGUAUAUUAUAUUUAUAAUGAUCUAAGAAUAGUAGAGUCGAUGCCGAUCUACAUGAAAAAGGAUGAAAAAAAAAGGCAAAGAAUGAUAAUAUGAAGAGAGCAUAAAUCAAUAAAGCAAAUGAAAAACGAGCAGGAUUAAAGUAAAUGGGUAUUUAAUAUUUUUUUGUGAAAGUUCAAAGACUGAUUAUUUAUAAAAUUGGAUGUGGAAAAAUUAGUUGGAAUUUUUUUUCUUACACCAAUUGAUUUUUUAUAUAAAAUUUUUAUUUAUUUUUAAGUGUUGAAACCACUUUUUGAAAACAAAAAAAAAGUGUUACUUUUAUUUUGAAAACGGAAACGAAAAAAUGGGAGUCGCCACCGAUAUUUUUUUUGAGGUGUGAUCGGAUCACCUUAAAACAAUUUUGGUCUACGAAUAAAAAAAUGGGUCCGGGAGUCAAUUACGUAGGAGGAAGGAUUAGCACCCUCAUAACGCCCAAAAUUGAUACCGAAUUGCAUAAUUAAUGUCUUAAAGUCGAAUGUCGAAAAUUCAAAAAGAUUAAAAAUGAUCCCCUUUAAUUAAUGACAUAUUUUUAAACAAUAUUUGUAUAAAUUUGAUCAUAUGUAGAAAGGUCUUCUCAUCCUGAGUCAACAAAAUGUCGUAUCCCAUAAGUUAGGAUGCGACAUUUAGAUUUCCGAGCAUAAUCUAGCCUUUAAAACCCUUUAUUGAAACUUUAUGUAUUUGAAAACUAAAAAUGUUUGACCAUCUUGGUUCAAUGAGGAAAUCGAAAACCCGUAAGUUAGGACAAAUUUCCUCAAAGUUCCAAAGACGAUAUAUACGUUUGCCUUUAUUUAAAAAAAAAAGAUACUCGGUUACUUAAAUUCAACGAGGAAAAUUGGAGCCUAAUAAGUUAGGGCACAAUCUUCUCGAAAAUAUUGGAUACCGGGUAUUACGUUAUUUUGAAAACUUUGAAUAAAAUGAUUUCAAUACUUUGACUAAACGCAACAUUUUAAAUGAAUAAAAUGCGAUGGAACAAUAACGUAUAACGCGAAGUGAUAAUUCGUAAACUAAAAUAUACGCUAAUGAUCGACAAAGAAUCAAUGAAUACGAGUAAGCAAUACAAUACAUCAUAUAAGAGCAACAAUCUCAUAUCCCACAUUAUGCAAAUACUAACAUCCAUUUUAGCAAGCUAAAUGAAUUAAAAGUUAAUUAAAGAACAGCAAGCAAAUUAAUGUAAAUCUAAUAUAACAAGCUUUAAAAUAAAAUAAAAAUAAAAAUCAUGAAAAAGAGGAAAAUUCAAACACUAAAUUGUAUGUAUAAAAUAUUUGGCACAAAUAAUAUAUAGGAAAACUUGCAAUAAAAAAAUGAAGAAAAUAAAGAAUAAAUAAGAUGCAAAAUAAUACAUGUUCAUCUAAAUAAGUAGUACAUAUAAAAUAAAAUUUUAAUAUAAAUGUUGAAAUAAACAAAGCGUGUAAUUGAACAUCAUUUCCACUAACUAGAUCCUUCUUCGUCAACUGCUGCGAUUGCCUUUCUUUGACUUUCUUUUUCGCCUCUUCUCAUGUUGGUUUUCAACCAAAUUCACCAACCAUUUCGGUUUUCCAGUUUGGAAAACAACAUAUCCCACCAACAUUCCGAACACUACUCCGCAUCCAUAACCUAUCAACACCACUUUCCAACCAAAAGUAAUGUUUGAUUUUGAGCCAUCUUUUUCAAGCACAUCUGGAGGUGUUGGCGCAAUGAUGUUGCAACCUUUCGAGACCGGAAACCCACAUAUGAAUCAUUUCCAAAUGUGUUGAAUUGUUUGCCUUGAGGAAUCUGACCAUGGAGUUGAUUUUCAGAAACAUUUAAGGACAAAAGAAAUGGCAGAUCUACCAAUCUAUUUGGAAUGGUUCCAGACAACCUGUUUGAAGAUAGUGUUGGCACAUAAUUAAAUUAACCUUGCACAAAUAAAUUAUGAAAAGUUAGAAGAGUGAAGAGACUUGAAUAUGAAAAGUGAAAAAACUUGAAUAUGAAUAGUGAAGAGACUUGAAGAUGAAAAGUUAAGAGGCUUGAAUAUGAAAAGAUACACACAUGCAUGAAUAGUCACAACUCCUAGCAUAUAGUGAUAUAGAUGAAUAGUCACUUACAACUCCUAUAUAAAGAGUUGUAUGUGAUGAAGAAUUAUUAACUUUGUGUGCUUGAAAUAAAAGAUUAUUUGAAAGAAUUUUUUCAUACAAAAUUUAUUUCUCUUCUCCAUUAUAUUCUUUAUCAUUUUCUUUGUUUUAUUUCUCCAAAUAUUAAUCAUUCAACUACAAAUUGGUAUCAAAGCCUUGUUCAAUCGAAAUGAACAAUUCUAUUCCUCUUUCUUCCGUUCCCCAAUUAACCAAAGAAAAUUAUGGCAAAUGGAGUAUCCAAAUGAAGGCUCUUCUUGGAUCUCUAGAAGUUUGGGAGAUUGUUGAAAAAGGUUAUAAUGAAGUUGAGGGUGAAGAGGAGGAAGGAUUAACACAAGUUCAAAAAGAGAGUCUAAGAAAAUCAAGGAAGAAAAAUCAGCAAGCCUUAUUUUGGAUAUAUCAAGGAGUUCAAUCAUAUGAAGCGGCUUGGGAAAAAAUAGCUUGUGCCACCACGGCAAAACAAGCAUGGGAAUUUUUACAAAAUUCAUUCAAAGGAGAUGAAAAGGUGAAAAGAGUUCGGUUGCAAACUCUUUGAGGAGAGUUUGAAAGAUUGCAAAAAAUAGAGUCAGAAUCAGUUUCUGAUUACUGUUCACGGGUUUUGUCCAUAGUCAAUCAAUUAAAAAGAAAUGGUGAAACUAUGGAUGAUAUUCGUGGUGUUGAGAAAAUCCUCCGUUCUUUAGAUUCCAAAUUUGACUACAUUGUGGUUGCCAUAGAAGAAUCAAAGGACUUGAGUACCAUGACUAUUGAUGAACUCACAGGUUCGUUGCAAGCCCAUGAAGAAAGAUUAAACAAGAAGAAAAAGGAAGUAGAUCUAGAUCAAGCACUUCAGUCAAAGUUGUCUCUAAAUGAGAAUAAGGGAGAUUUUAAAAAUCAAAGAGGGAGAGAUCGUGGUCGUGGAAGAGGAAGAAAUUUUAGAGGAAGAGGCUCAAAUGCUCGUGAAAGAGGUGAAGAUGUAAGCAUGGAGAAUGGAUGGAAAGAAGCCAACCAAAGUCAAAAUUUUAGAGGAUCACAAAGAGGACGUGGACGUAGAAAUCAAAGAGGAAGAGGUCGUGGCUAUUUUGAAUGUUAUAAUUGUCGCAAACCUGGUCAUUUGGCAAGUGAAUGCUGGUACAAAGAAGAAGAGAAAAAUGAAGCUAAUAUAGUACAAAAUAAUCAAGAGCAAAAGCAAGAAACUUUGUUGCUCGUAUCUCAUGGUGGAGAGAUUGAUGAUGUCUGGUACAUAGACAGUGGUGCUAGCAAGCAUAUGACAGGUAACAAAAAUUUAUUUUCGAAGUUCUUUGAAUCUGAUUGUGGAGAAGUAAAAGUAGGAGAUGGCAAAGCUUACAAAGUUAGCGGUGUUGGUGAGUUGGAGUUCAAAACAAAGCAAGGAAGGGUAGAGAAAAUGUCUGAAGUUUAUUUUGUUCCUGGUCUUAAAAAUAAUCUGCUUAGCGUUGGGCAUCUCUUGAAGAAGGGGUAUGAUAUUCAUUUCCGAGACAUGGCUUGCUAUUUAUCAAAGAAAAAUCAGGUUGUUGCUAGAGUUGGAGUGGCAUCAAAUAAUCUUUUCUCUCUUACCCUUCAAAAUCAGAAUAUGUCUUGUUUUAUUGGUGCUCAUAAAGGAAUUUCAAAGUUAUGGCAUGAUAGAUAUGGACAUUUAAACUAUGGAAAUUUGGAGAUGCUUUCAAGGAAGAUGAUGGUUAGAGGUUUACCAAAAAUCGAUCGGCUUGAUGAUGUUUGUGAAGCAUGUCAACUUGGAAAGCAACAUAAAAUUGCUUUUCCUUCUCAAUCCUCGUGGAAAGCAAGAAGACCAUUGCAACUUAUUCACUCAAAUCUUUGUGGUCCAAUGACAGUUUCAUCUUUAGGAGGUAAUCGUUACUUUAUCUCUUUCAUUGAUGAUUACUCAAGAAAGUUAUGGGUGUAUUGUGUCAAAGAAAAAUCAGAGGCUUUUCAGAGAUUCAAAGAUUUCAAGGCAGAAGUGGAGAACUUUACUGGGUUGAAAAUUAACACCUUGCGUACAGAUCGUGGAGGUGAAUAUUUUUCAAAAGAAUUUGAGAAAUAUUGCCGAGAUAGUGGCAUCCGGCAUGAAAUGACAGUCCGCCAUACACCUCAGCAAAAUGGUGUGUGUGAAAGAAAGAACAGAACAAUUAUGGAAAUGGCUAGAUGUCUUCUUAAUAAGAAGAGGUUAUCAAGAAGAUUUUGGGCUGAAGUUGUUUCCUGUGCAGUUUAUCUUAUAAACAGAUCACCGACAAGAAGCUUGGAGAAUUACACACCACAUGAGGCGUGGUAUGGUAUAAAGCCUAGUGUUAGUCAUCUUAGAGUAUUUGGGAGUGUUGCCUACUCUCUAUUCCAGAUGCAAUGAGAAGCAAGUUGGAUGACAAGUCAGAGAAAUGCAUUUUUAUUGGCUAUAGUGAAAGAAGUAAGGCAUACAAGUUGUAUAAUCCGGUGACAAAGAAGAUUGUGAUAAGCCGAGAUGUUCGGUUUGAUGAAAAUUCCAUGUUUGAAGAUAUGGAAGUUGAAAAGGAAAAUUUGCCAAUUUUUCCUUUUGAACUUGAAGAAGAAGAAGAGGCAGUAAUUGAGAAUGCUGAAGAUGAUGCUCAAGUAGAAAAUCCUCCUGCUUCCCCAUGUUCUUCAUCAAAUUCUUCUUCAUCCAGCCCGAUCCGAAAAACGAGAAGCAUCCAAGAGUUAUAUGAUGUAACGGAUGAAGUUGUGCAAAAUGAUGCUGUAUUCUUUGCCUUCUUUGCAGGAGAAGAUCCAAUUUCUUUUGAUGAUGCAUAUCAAGAAGAAAUAUGGAGGAAAGCCAUGAAAUAAGAGAUUUUCUCAAUUGAAAACAAUGAUACAUGGGAACUCACAGAUUUACCGCCGCACAAGAAUUCAAUUGGAGUCAAAUGGGUGUACAAGACAAAGAUGAAUCCGAAUGGCUCUAUCAACAAGUACAAGGCAAGACUGGUUGCAAAAGGAUACAAGCAAAAGGAAGGAGAAGAUUUUACAGAGGUAUUUGCUCCAGUUUCAAGACUUGAGACAGUUCGGUUACUUAUUUCUCUUGCUGCCCAAAAUAAUUGGAAAAUAUUCCAAAUGGACGUAAAAUCUGCGUUUUUGAAUGGUGUUCUCAAAGAAGAAGUCUAUGUUGAUCAACCACCAGGGUUUGUCAAAAAAGGAGAAGAAGAAAAAGUUUACAAGUUGAAGAAAGCUUUGUACGGGUUGAAGCAAUCACCCAGAGCAUGGUACAGCCGCAUCGAUUCUUAUUUUCAGAAGUGUGGAUUCCAGAAAUCUCCAUAUGAGCAUACUCUCUACAUCAAAGGCAAUUAUCAAGGAAGAUUCAUGGUUGUAAGUCUCUACGUUGAUGAUCUUAUUUUCACAGGAAAUGAUGUGAAGAUGUUGAAAGAAUUUCAGCACUCAAUGAUGGCAGAAUUUAAGAUGACAGAUUUGGGAGAACUUCAUCAUUUUCUUGGCAUUGAAGUUCAUCAAUCCGAGAAAGGAAUUUUUAUUUCACAAGAGAGCUACGCAAAGGAAGUUCUAAAAAAAUUCAUGAUGGAAAAUGCGAAUCCAGUCUCUACUCCAUGCAUUACAGGUCUGAAGUUAUCUAAAGAGGGUGAAGGAAAGCUUGUCAAUUCCACCAUAUUCAGAAGUUUGGUUGGGAAGUUGAUGUAUCUGACUUCGACAAGGCCUGAUAUCGUGUAUGUUGUUAGCUUGGUAAGUAGAUUCAUGGAGAAACCUUACUCCAAUCACUGGGAGGCUGCCAAGAGAAUAUUGAGAUAUGUGAAGGGAACCAUUGAUUAUGGAAUUUUCUAUAAAUCUAAUACAUUAGUUGAUCUCAUUGGUUAUACGGAUAGUGAUUUAGCAGGAAGCAUUGAUGAUAGCAGAAGCACUUCUGGUUAUGUUUUUCACCUUGGUAGUGGUGCAGUUUCAUGGAGUUCAAAGAAACAAUCAAUUGUGGCGCUUUCGACUAUAGAAGCUGAAUAUAUCGCUGCAUCUUAUGCAGGAUGUCAAUUGAUUUGGUUACGUGGAAUUUUGGAAAGUCUUAAGCAGAAGCAAAGCAAGUCAACAAUUUUGUUUUGUGACAAUAGUUCUACUAUUUCGGUCACAAAAGAUCCAAUUCUUCAUAGAAGGACAAAACACAUUCGCAUUCGAUAUCACUUCUUGAGAGAACUAGUGAAUAAUGGUGAUGUUCAAGUUGAAUAUUGCAAGACGGAAGAUCAGAUGGCUGAUAUCUUCACAAAGCCUCUAAGUGGACAAGUCUUCAAGAAAAAUGUUGAAAGGUUGGGAGUUCAAAGCAAGUUUAAUUUAAGGGAGGCAUUGUUGGCACAUAAUUAAAUUAACCUUGCACAAAUAAAUUAUGAAAAGUUAGAAGAGUGAAGAGACUUGAAUAUGAAAAGUGAAAAAACUUGAAUAUGAAUAGUGAAGAGACUUGAAGAUGAAAAGUUAAGAGGCUUGAAUAUGAAAAGAUACACACAUGCAUGAAUAGUCACAACUCCUAGCAUAUAGUGAUAUAGAUGAAUAGUCACUUACAACUCUUAUAUAAAGAGUUAUAUGUGAUGAAGAAUUAUUAACUUUGUGUGCUUGAAAUAAAAGAUUAUUUGAAAGAAUUUUUUCAUACAAAAUUUAUUUCUCUUCUCCAUUAUAUUCUUUAUCAUUUUCUUUGUUUUAUUUCUCCAAAUAUUAAUCAUUCAACUACAGAUAGGUCCAACCAUUCAAGACUUGUCAAAUCCCCUACUGAGGUAGGGAUACCACUAUUAAGGUUAUUAUGAGAAAGGUUGAGCCCUUUCAGUAAGUUAAGCUUCCCAAUAACCUUUGGAAUCUCCCCUUCAAACUGAUUGCUUGAUAGAUCAAUGAUCACCCACAUAGUGAAAAUUUUCACCAAUUCCACGUCUUGUCCUUUCAUAACAAUUCCAAUGGAAUAGGCAUAGAAGUCAUCUCCAUCAUUCACCCCCAUGUACGACACUGUACUACUAACCUUCUCUAGAUUUAUGAUAGCCUUGAAGCUGUUGAUGUAUCUCACUAGUAGGGGUCCAGAAAAAUAAUUACUUGAGAGGUCAAAAAUUUGGAUUUUAGAGAAAAAAGGGCUAGACUUGGAGUUAUUGACACACAGGGAACCAUGCAUUUGAUUUGACUUUAGUACAAGAACUUGUAGCUGUGGAAGACUUCCCAACCAAUGAGGAAAUGUAUCAUUGAUCUUGUUGUUACCAAGAUCUAGUACUUCCAGACCUCUACAAUUAAGGAUGGAUGGUGUCAAAGGCCCUCCUAACAGAUUUCCAUUUAAAUUGAAAUUACUCAAUUGGCAUCCCAUUGCAAAUGUUGGAGGAAUCGUCCCAUAGAACUUGUUCUUCUUCAGAUUCAAGAAUUGAAGGCUGUUGCUCAAAUUUCCAAAACACUGCGGAAUUGUUCCACUCAAGUAAUUGUGGGACAAAUCAAGAAUUUGAAGAUAAGUGGCAUUGCAUAUUAAUGAAGAGACCUCUCCAUUGAAACAAUUAUUUGAGAUCAAAAAGACAGUGAUGGUCGAAGCUGGAAUCGGAAGAUUUCCACUGAUCAAAUUGGAGCUUAAGUCAAGAACAUCAAUAUUCUUCCAUGGAAAGUGCUCAGCUUCUGUCAAAGAGUUGUGAAAUACAUUUAAGUAAGUCAAAGAGCCAUUCCCCACCUCUUGCAUCCACUAUGGAAUCUUGCCUUUAAUUUUGUUGCAAGAGAGGUCUAAGCUUUCCAAACUUUUAAGCCCUUUUAAAAAUUGGGGGAAUUCACUAAGAUUGCAAGAUGACAAAAAUAACCAUUCAAGAUUUCCACUGAUCAAAUUGGAGCUUAAGUCAAGAACAUCAAUAUUAUGACGAUAUAUAAGUUUCCCUUUAUUUUUUAAAAAAAAACCUCGUCUCGAGAUAUCGAAAGGUCAUAUCCAAUGAGUUAGGACACAACGUUUUGAAUUCCCGAGAUAAGCUUUAAUUUGAAAUUUUUAUAUUUUAAUUAAAAAAUGAUACUCAGUUACUUAAAUUCAACGAGGAAAAUUGGAGCCCAGUAAGUUAGGGCACAUUCUUCUCGAAAAUCUUGGAUACCGGGUAUUACGUUAUUUUGAAAACCUUUGAAUAAAACGAUUUCUAUACUUUGAUUAAAUGCAACCUUUUAAACGAAUAAAAUGCGAUGGAACAAUAACAUACAACCCGAAGUGAUAAUUCGUAAACUAAAAUAUAUGCUAAUGAUUGACAAGGAAUCAAUGAAUACGAGUAAGCAAUACAAUACAUCAUAUAAGAGCAACAAUCUCAUAUCCCACAUUAUGCAAAUACUAACGUCCAUAUUAGCAAGCUAAAUGAAUUAAAAGUUAAUUAAAGAACAGCAAGCAAAUUAAUGUAAAUCUAAUAUAACAAGCUUUAAAAUAAAAUAAAAAUAAAAAUCAUGAAAGAGAGGAAAGUGCUAAGGGAUAAGAUUGAAGGCCCGUAAUAUGAUCGCAAGACAAAGAAGCACGCUCUGUUAUGGAAAAAGAGUUCUUGAACUGGAUUAAUGAAGAGCAGGAGUGAGAUCCUGAAGAAGAAAAAGAAGCAUAAAGAUGGGGAAAAAAGAGGAAUAGGGAGAGAAAGAGAUAGGAGGCCAUGUUAUGUUUGUAGAGGAAGAAGGAUAGGAAUGGUAUUUAUAGGCAACAAAUAAUACCACAACAUUGGUGUUACAGUCUUUUUUUUCUUUUACAUUGAAAUGCUACAGAUAUUAGAUUUUCAAAAUAUUUGUAUUUUUCACAAUCAUCAACACUUAGUCGUCAUUUUACCAUAUAUUUUUCAUUCUUUUUUUUUUUAACAAAAUCUUGUAUAUCAUUUGGACUCGCUAAACAACUAAAAAAAUAAAGAUUGAUGAGAUUACAAAGUAGAUUGACUUAGUCUUCUUCCCUAUAACAUGUAAAGAAUGUAUGUGUCUAUUCAAUUGCCUGUCAACCAAAGCUUAUUAAUGUGGAAAUUCUUUUCCACACAAAAGAACAAAAUUGUGCUCUAUUCAGCUACGUUUGAGGAAGGAGACGGCUGGAAAUUUAAUCCACCGAUUCCAUAAAAACGUGUAUAUUUAUUUAUAAAUAUAUAUAUAACCUCAUGAUUCAAAUCUAAAAUCUCAUUUGUUAUAAAUUCUUAUAAAUUUAUUUGGGAAUAGUUAUUUUUCAUUCGUUAAUUAUUUCUCUUUUAGCCGUGAAACUUAUAUGGUUCGUUAAAUCGCCCCAAAAAAUGAUAAAAAAGAUUAACAAAACUAGCCCCUACGUGGCUGAUGUUGACCCUUAGUAGUUAAUGGCAACUCCUAUGUAAUUGUUAACAGAUACCACAGCAACAAUGUUUGUUGACGUGACAAUGCCACAUGACCAAUAAUCGUUGUCAUGGUAGUGCCACGCCGUCACCCAUUGAUGACAUAUUAACCUUCGAGUUAAACUCAAAUUGCUCUUUCCUUUGUUAUAAAUUAAGAGUAUAACUAAUUUUGAUAAGAAUAGUUACUUUUCAUUAACUCAGUUUAAAGGACUAUAACACGUAAAGUUUGGUCUAUUGCAGAAUUCACAUGCAAUGCGGGAUAUUUACAUUUUGAAGAAUUCAACACAUAUAUGGGAAUUUUUGUAUUUCCACAAUCAUAAUUUUGUUAGUGAUCAACAACUACUUCCUCCUUACCAUAUAUUUUUCAUUCAUAAAAUUGAUUACUUUUUUUAUCAAAGAAGUAAAAUAAUUAACAUUCUUAAGAUUACAAAGUCUUCUUCCUUAUAACACGUAAAGUUUAGUUCCAAAUAAUUUUCCACAAAAAAAAGACCAUCAAUUGUCGAUUGACUAUACUUUAACUCCAAAAAAAAGACUAAGACUAUCAAUUGUCUAUUGACUACACUUUAACUCGACAAAAAAGGACUAAGACUAAGACUUUCAAUUGUCUAUUGACUUCACACUUGCGGUUGCUUCCUCCUAUCUCUCUCACCCAAACUUAAUUUAGAAGCAAUGGGGAAAUUUUGGACAUUUGGGCCACAAUGAACAAUACUUCCACACCAUUUGCAGUAUUGACUACGUUUACUUGAGGGAAAACAAAGACAUGAAUGCUGGAAAUUUUAACUAGUUUGUACCGUCAAUGAAGCUACGUACCUAAAAGCCUUUUAGGAUAUCAAUUCCUGUAAUUGGAUUAAUCUCAUCGUUGCUGCAAUCUUUUGACAGUGUAAUCGAAUCUUAAAUAUGUUACUCUGCAAUGCUGUUGUAAAAAUUACUCUUAAAAUUGUCGAUAGAUAUAUAGGUUUGGCACAAAAUUAAGAAUACACAAAGGCAGGUUGAAUUAUUCCAUGUUUGAACAUAAAUUCAUAUGGCAAAAGGGCCCAAACCAUACCUUAUGUUCAUGAAUUCUCAUCAUCACAUGUUUAUAAAUGCAUCUCAAAACUUGAAUAAUUGAAUCUUUUGUAAUUCUACAUGUAUUUUUUUUUAUGGUGAGCAGUAUAAUGUUUACUAAAAAUUGAAAUUCAAGAAAGAAGACAUACAUAGUUGCACCAUACAAGUUGUUACACUCGAACUAAACCCUUACAAAUAGUACGAGAUGCAAUGAAAUACAGAGGAAUUGGUACAAUCAUAAAGACAGACACAUACCAAUGCAACUUUUCACCAUAGGAAAAACUUUCUGACAGACUACUAAACAAGAAAUUAUGAAGACACAGCAGAAAUGCUUUGACUUCUUUUGCACCAACUAGAUCCUUCUUCAUCCAUUGAUGCGAUUGCUAUAUUUUGGCUUUCUUCUUCGCCUCUUCUCAUGUUGGUUUUCAACCAAAUUCACAAACCUUUUCACCUUACCGGUUUGGAAAACAACAUAUCCCAUGGCCAUUCCAAACACUACCCCGCAUCCACAACCUAUCAACACCACUAUCCAACCAAAAGCAAUGUUUGCUUUUGAGCCAUCCUUUUCCAGCACAUUUGGAGGUGGUGUCUCAUUGAUGCUGCAACCUUUGGAGACUGGGAAUCCACAUAGUCUCUGUUUCCUUCAUAUGAAUUGUUUCGAAAUGUAUUGACAAUCUGACCAUGGAGUUGAUUUUCAGAAACGUUUAAGAAGAAAAGAAAUGCCGGAUCUGCCAAUAUCUCUGGAAUUAACUCAGUUCAAAUGACCAUAUAACUCGUAAAGUUUGGUCGAAGACUGGCAGCGUCUAUUGACUUCAACUCUUGCUAUUACCUCAAGAAGAAAGACUGCUACAAUUCUAUCUUCUUUAAACCAGCUAUUUAAAAGCAAUAAGGACAUUAAAUCCACCAAUUUAUCUUUGAAGUCAUUCGUCAUGCAGCUCUGCUAUGUACGAUUAUUGGCAAAAAUCUUGAAAGGAGACAACCUCAAAUUUGAAGACAAGAAAUGAGCAAGAACAUGCACCAACGAAGAAUCGAUUAUUGUUUUGUAUUUGGUAAAUACAAUUUGAGUUAAAUAAUCAAGAAUGAUAGUGAAUAAAUAAGGAAAAACAAUGUAGAUUCAGAACCACAAUAAAUCAUAUUAAGCUCAUGAGUUUAUAAUAUAUAUCUCUGCAGCUUGAUUGCCUUGUUAGCUAUAAACAUAACCUGUUAAUUCCAUCAUUAAUACCAUUAGAUAUAUUUUGAUGGGGGAGAUUUUUUAGUAGGAAAACAGUUGAAGUCAUUCAAGAAGACAUAAACAGCUGCAACUACGUAAGAGUUUAACUUUGAGAAUAGAUCCUUACACGUUAUUGAAAUGCCAUACUAAAGAUAAAGACAUAUAGCUAAACGUUAGACACACCAUAAAAAUAUAUAUAGGUAAAGUGAUAGGGUGUGAGUAAGGAGGCCAUGCUAUGUUUUCAAAUAAGAUUAUCAUGGUAUGAAUUAUGAGAACCCUAUUUAUAGGAAGAACAAAACCGAUAUGAAACUAAGAAUAUAGUCCAUUGAUAAUGAAGAAUCUAAGAAAUUUAAUGGAAAUUGUGGAUAAGCAUCGUGUUUUUAUCUCUGAUGGAGAAAAGCUAAGAGUGUGAGGAAGACCAACUGUCAAUGUCACCCAAACCGAAUCUACAAGUCACCACAAUGUACAGUAAUUCAAAGCAGGAAAAGUUCAUAGUUUCAGAGUAAAUAACACUUCAAUGAUUGUAUUAUAGAAAACAUGUGUAUCCUAUAUAUGUUGAACAAUAUUAUCUAACAAACAUAUUUUCCAAAAGACUAGAAAAUUUGUGAUUAAAUGCUAAAGUUACAUAUUUUAUGUAAUUAAAUUGGUUAAUUUAUGAGAGUGCACCACUAAUUUUUCCAUGUUUUUGUUGAAUUUUGUGCAGGGGUGCAAUUUGGGGCUAAAUAGAAGAAAAAGGAAACAAUUGGGCUAGAUUGAAGAGAGAAGCAAAGAAGGAGGGCCAAAACAGAAUUUUUCCAGAUUAAUUAGCUGAAAUUUUUGUUGACUUAGUGGGAGAUUAUUUUGGGAUUUUUUUUUAUAUCAUGGAAUAUUUUUCCUUAAUUUUCUAUACUAGUUGGCUUUUAAUUUAGCAAGGCCACUAGUAUAAAUAGAGGCUACAUUGUUCAUUUUAAUCAUCAAGUCUUGAAUCAAUUCAUAAAUCAAGCUUUCAUCUUUCAAUACAUUCUCUCUUUUCUACUCACAAAUUUAUUUGUUGUUUUUAGUUUCAUUUACUUUCAAUCCAUUAAUUUCCAGCUUGUUACCACUUAAACCAUUUUCAAUUUCUUUUUCAAACUUUCUUUCCAUCUCCAGUAGCUAAUUCACUUUAUUACACCCCCAAAAUUCCAGCCCCCCAAACUAAAUCACGCCACCCAUUCCUUUCACCCAUUUUACCUUAUUUAAUUUAUCCAAUACCAACAUGCCCCAAACCUUAGCCAACUAAAUUCAUUUCCAGCUUUAGGUCGGAAUUAGCCUCGUCAAAACCCGUGAGUUACGAACCCGAGCAAAUUAACUCCUAAAUUUUAGUACUUAUUAUUUCUCCGGAUUAAGAGUAUGAUUUUGUCAACUCACAAAGUCAGAUCAACAUUAAGUUAAAAAAGACGUCGUUUGAUUUAGUGUGGUUAGACGUACAGUUGGAAUUCCAAAAAGAUCGAUUCUAAUCGGUUUUCUGUGAACACAUUGGCGUGCCAAUUGGAGAUUGCUGUUUGGUUCCGUCAAGGGAAGUAGUAACCCGAUUUAAAUGUCCCACGCGGUUGAGGGCAUUGGUUCGAGCUAGGGUUUUCUAGAACGCAAAGCUGCCGGAGUUCUAAAUCACGAACAUUUCGUGGUUGUUCGAUCAGUAAGGGUUAGUUAUUGGACGUUCCAUAACUAAUUUACACAAGGAAGAGUUAGUGUCUGAGGCGUCCUUGGUAGCUAUAACUAGCUUAUUGGAAAAGAGGAGUUCAUCUAAUUUUGAGAAUCGGUUCAAAGACGAGGAAAAUUCGUGCCUAAAGCUGAGCUUAUUCUAAUUAAAUUUUCUUCAUAUUUAUUUAACUAUUUUAAUUAUUCUGUUUUCAACUUUAUCUUUUCACGCAUUUUAUUUAUUUAUUUCAGGUCUUCAAAUUUUAUCCCCCCGAACUUCUUGGGCACGACAACUGCCCCAACAUAAAUCUGGUCAAAAUAGAAACAAUUUGCAGUAAACCCAGUCUCUGAGGGAUCGACCCUACUCCCUAUACUGUUUAAAUCGCAAAUUAGGCGUAGGUUUAUAUUGGUGGAUUCGACACCCAUCAAUUUGUAUGUCAUUUUCUAUUACUUGCAAGAAAACUACAGGGGAAAUUGCAUUUCUAAUUCAUCCAUAGGCUUUAAAUUCAAACAAGAAAAAGGAAAAAGAAUAUAUAUAUAUCAACAGGAAACUUCAAGGAGAGAAAUUUUGUUACAUCAAUUUUCCAGUCAUAUUUAAUCUUUACCCAAAGUUGAUUCUAGAUUAAAUUUGGAAAAAAUUAAAAAAGAGGACAUGUAUUUUUUUUUAUUUUUGAAAAGUAAAGGAUUAUAUCUCAGCCAAAUAAAAAAGUCACAAUGCAAAGCCAAGAGCCAAAGCCAAGCCAAGCACACACUCAACUAGCAGACAUAACUCAUACAGGACCUAGAUGUAUUAUUGAACUCUUAUAUAAAAGACAACUGAAGAUGCAAAGCUUAAUUGUUAAGCUUUUCUGAUGCUUGAUAAGCAUAGUUUUAGUUCAGUUCCGAAAUCUAAACUGCUUUGCUAUGGGAUUAUUUUUAUAAGUACAUUGAGAUCAAUGCAUGCUAUUGCGAUUUAUUAUCUUUGAUGCCAAGGAAAUGACAGAAUUCAAAGACCAAAAGGUUCGAUUACAUACUAGAUCAUGGAUGUAAGCCAAUCUACAACCUCUCUCCUCGACCUCCAUGUGAAACCAGCAUGAUUUGAAUUCUCAGCCGCAUAUACCCUCACAAACUCCUCAGCAACAACAUAAAACAUAUACCUAACACUCCUUUGAGAACCGAUAACUGCACAGACAGAUUCACUAAUGGAAGCCUUCAAGAAAUAUUGAACCACACAAUUACCACACUUCUGUGAAAUAAACUUGUUGGUGCAAAGAGACAACAAUAGACUGUUUUCAAUCUUGCUUGUAUAGCAAGCCUCGAGCCUUGCUGAAGAAACAAACUCAAAAGCAAGAACAGAAACACAUGCGAAUGAAAAACAAAAGAAAUUGAGAGAGAGAGUAUUUUGAAUGAAAAGAGCUGAUAUUUCAUUAACAAAUCCAGAAGGCAUAAUGCCAUUACAUAUAAUAGAUAACAACAACAAAAUGAACAAGUCUUUACCUAAUGACAUACCUAACACCACUAAAUUUACAUUGGAAAUUGUUAAUCAGCUUGCUUAAGUUUCUUUGCUGAUUUUUUCAGUCAAUCAAUCAACAAAAAACAUCAUAAGGUUUACCAACUUAGUUCAACAUGAACUAGAUUACAAAAUAAUAAUUAAAAAUACAAUCAAAACAUAACAAGUAGUUAGGCAACUUUAAGCUCCAGUUUCUGCACUUCAUAGCUCGACUGCUUGCUGCCACUUCUCCUUGCAUGGCCACCUUUGCAUGUCUUGCAUGGGAACUAAAUUCAACACUCCUCCUUAGUUUCCAUGCUAGUGACACCUAAUUGCCUUCUUAAUUUAACAAAUUUAGACACAUUGAGUGCCUUUGUAAAGAUAUCAGCAAUUUGCUCUUCUGAAUUGCAAUGAACCAGCUCGAUUUCAUGAGCUUGCUCCAUCUCCCUUAUGACAUGUAGCUUGAUGUUGAAGUACUUUGCUCUACCAUGAAAGAUAGGAUUCUUUGCAAUUGCAACAGCAGAUUUGUUGUCACAGUAAAUCUCUGUUGCCUUUCCUUGAUUUUGAUUUAAAUCAGCUAGGAUUUUUCUAAGCCAUAUGGCUUGAUUUACAGCAGAUGCAGCAGCAACAUAUUCAGCUUCUGCUGUUGACUGUGCUACCAGACUUUGCUUUUUAGAACUCCAGCAAAACAUGCCUGAGCCAAGACUAAAGGCAUAUCCAGAUGUGCUUCUCAUGUCAUCACAAGAUCCAGCCCAGUCACUAUCAACAUAGCCUAUUAGCUUCAUGUUUAUAGCCCUUUUGAACAAUACACCAUGAUCAAUGGUGCCUUUGAUGUAUCUAAGCACUCUUUUAGCUGCUUGAAAGUGCUGAUCAUUGCAGCAAUUCAUGUAUCUGGAUAGCACACUAACAGCAAACAUGAUAUCGGGUCUUGUUGCAGUCAAAUACAACAGACUACCAAUGAGACUUUUGUACAUAGUCUCGCAAAUUGGUUCACCACUCCCUUGCCUCGAAAGCUUCACUCCAACAGCCAUUGGUGUGCUUGUUGGCUUGCAGUUCUUCAUAGAGAACUUAUCCAGGAUCUUCAUAGUAAAAGAACUCUGACUAAGAAAGAUUCCCUUUGCUGUUUGCUUCACUUCCAUUCCAAGGAAGUAGUUCAUUCUGCCUAAAUCAGACAUUUCAAACAUUUCCAUCAUUUUUCUUUUGAAAUCUUCCAGCAUUCUUCUAUCUCCUCCAGUCACCAAUAAAUCAUCAACAUAGAGUGACAGGAUAAGCUGAGUUUCAGCUUGGUUCUUCUUCACAUACAGUGUUGGUUCACUGAGACUUCUCUCGAAUUCCAAACUGAGCAAGUAAGAAUCAAUUCGAGCAUACCAGGCUCAAGGAGCCUGUUUUAGGCCAUACAAAGCCUUUUUCAGUCUGUACACCUUGUGUUCUUUGCCAGUGACCACAAAUCCUUGAGGCUGUUCGAUGUAGAUCUCUUCUUCCAGGAAACCAUUGAGAAAUGCAGACUUAACAUCAAGCUGAUGAAUGGUCCACUGAUGUUGAGCAGCCAAGGCAACUAUCAUUCUAACUGUGUCAAGCCUGGCUACUGGUGCAAAUGUCUCCAGAUAGUCCAGACCAUACCUUUGGCUAAAACCUUUGACAACAAGCCUGGCUUUUAGCUUGUUCAGACUGUCAUCUGCAUUCUGUUUUGCUCGAUAGACCCAUUUUACUCCAAUGGUCUUCUUUCCAGUAGGUUUAUCAACUAGCUCCCAUGUCUGGUUCUUCUCAAUCAUGUUGAUUUCAUCGACCAUAGCUAGUUUCCAGCCUUCAUCUGCCUCAGCCUCUUCAAAACUGCUAGGUUCUGCUAUUGCAACCUGUGCCCUUUCAUAAAUAUCAUCUAGGGGCCUUGUGCCUCUCACAAGCACAUCAUCAACAUCCAUUUCAGGUCCUAGCUGCUCAAGUUCAGCUUGAUUAGGCACCAGGUCUUCUGAAGCAGCUUCUGGUUCAUUCUUUUCCCAAUUCCAACAAGCCUUCUCAUCGAAGAUGACAUCUCUGCUCACUUGAACUAUGUUUGUCAAAGGAUCCAGCACCCUGUAGCCCUUCUUAACUGAGCUAUAGCCUACUAGAACACCUGGUUGAGCCCUUUCAGAGAGCUUGUCUCUCUUAACUGCUGGUAUUUGUGCAUAACACAGGCAACCAAACACCUUCAGAUGUACCAAGGAAGGCUUGAAACCGGACCAAGCCUCGAAAGGUGUUUUGGAUGCAAGAGCUUUGGUAGGAAGCCUAUUUUGAAGGUAGACAGCAGUGUUUACUGCCUCAGCCCACAUGGUCUUGGGCAGUUUCUUCUCAAACAGCAGGCACCUGGCCAUAUCCAUCAAGCUUCUGUUCUUUCUUUCUGAUACCCCAUUCUGCUGAGGUGUGUAGACAUUUGUAAGCUGGUGUUUGAUACCAGCAUCAUUGCAAAUGGCUUGAAACUGAGCUGAAGUGUACUCAGUGCCAUUGUCUGACCUUAUCGAUUUCAGCUUGCAACCUGUUUCUGUCUCUACAGCAAUUUUAAACUUCACAAACACUUGAGCUACCUCAAACUUGUGUUUUAAGAAGAAAAUCCAGCAAAACCUUGUAAAAUCAUCAAUGAAGAGGAUGAAAUACCUAUUUUUCUUGAGUGAUUCAGUCCUCAUCGGGCCACAUACAUCAGAGUGCACCAGCUGUAGUUUUUUAGUAGCUCUCUAAGCUGAAUUUGUAGGAAAUGGCAGUCUUGCCUGUUUCCCCAUCUGGCAAACUUCACACACAUCAUCAUGCUCCACUGAGCUAGUAAAGUUCUCUGCCAAGCCUUCUUUGGCCAUUCGAGCCAAUGAUCUGAAGUUGGCAUGCCCAAGCCUUUGAUGCCAAAGCUUGGAAUCAUCAACAGAGGCUGUAUAUGCAGACUUUGAGUCAUUUGGCCAGUGUACCUCAAAGCAUUUGUUAGUCAUUGUGACUGUCAUAAGGCUUGAUCCACUUGGAUCAGCAAUGUGGCACUGUUUGUUCUUGAACACAACAGAAUAGCCUUUCUUGAGCAAUUGAGCUAUGCUGAGAAGGUUUCUGUCGAUUUCUGGCACUAACAGCACAUUUGGAAUGAUCUUGUUGCCUGUGGGGGUACAUAUCAGCACCUCUCCUCUUCCUUCAGCCCUUAUGAACUGACCAUUUCCAACCUUGACCUUGGUUUUACAACUUCUAUCCAAGGUUUUAAAUAAGGAGGCAUCUGGUGACAUGUGGUUAGUGCAACCACUGUCCAAUAACCAGCCUUUUGAGCAUUUCUUCUCAGCAGCUAAGAAAGAAACAGCAAAGACCUGCUCUUCUUGAUCACUACUGUCCUCAGCUACUCGAGCUUCAACCUUUGGUUGUUGAAAUUGACUCUGCCUUGACUUGGUUUUAUUUUUGCAAACCCUUUCAACAUGGCCUUUCUUCUUGCAGUGUUGGCAUACUGCAUCUGGCCUGAACCAGCAUCUGUCUUCUGGAUGACCUGGCCUCUUGCAAUGUCUGCAGGGCUGGUCAUUGCUCCUUGCAGUAUCAGGCUUAGGCCUGCUUUUCCAAGGCUUUUUACCUCUUGGAGCAUUGAUGCUCGAGGCUUCUCUGGCCUUGGCAUUGAAUGCACCUUCCUGGUGGUCUUCAGCUCUGCUAGCUCUCCUUUGUUCCUGAGCAUAGAAAGUGUUGAUUAGCUCAGUCAAAGAGAUGGUAGCAAGGUCUCUUGAGUCCUCAAGAGAGGAUAUCUUGGCCUCAUAUCUCUCAGGCAAAGUGGAGAGAACUUUCUCUACUAUCCUUGCCUCAUCAAAGUGCUCACCAAGGAGCCUUAUACUGUUAACCACUGCCAUGAUUCUAUCUGCAUACUGCUUCACUGUUUCUUCUUCCUUCAUCUUCAGGUUCUCAAAAUCCCUUCUCAAAUUCAAUAGCUGUUGUUGCCUUGUUCUCUCAGUGCCUUGAAACUCCUCCUUAAGCUUAUCCCAUGCCUGUUUUGGAGUCUCACAGGCCAUAAUUCUGGUGAAGAUGACAUUUGACACACAAUUCUGAAUGCAGGACAUGGCUUUGUGCCUUUUGGUCCUCUCAUCAGCAUGUUGCCUAAUCUGAGCUACUGUGGGAUUGGCCCUCAGUGGUGCUGGCUCAGCAUCUGUGUUGACAACUUCCCACAGAUCAAAGGCCUGUAGGUAAGUCUUCAUCUUGACCAGCCAUAUGUGAAAGCCUUCUCCAUUGAAGACUAGUGGGGCUGCUGGUGAAAAACUUGAGGAAGACAUUCAGCUUUCUUAGUUUGAUAAAACAGGUCCACUAAGAAUGAAGCUCUAGAUACCAAUUGUUGGUGCAAAUAGACAACAACAGACUGUUUUCAAUCUUGCUUGUAUAGCAAGCCUCGAGCCUUGCUGAAGAAACAAACUCAGAAGCAAGAACAGAAACACAUGCGAAUGAAAAACAAAAGAAAUUGAGAGAGAGAGUAUUUUGAAUGAAAAGAGCUGAUAUUUCAUUAACAAAUCCAGAAGGCAUAAUGCCAUUACAUAUAAUAGAUAACAACAACAAAAUGAACAAGUCUUUACCUAAUGACAUACCUAACACCACUAAAUUUACAUUGGAAAUUGUUAAUCAGCUUGCUUAAGUUUCUUUGCUGAUUUUUUCAGUCAAUCAAUCAACAAAAAACAUCAUAAGGUUUACCAACUUAGUUCAACAUGAACUAGAUUACAAAAUAAUAAUUAAAAAUACAAUCAAAACAUAACAAGUAGUUAGGCAACUUUAAGCUCCAGUUUCUGCACUUCAUAGCUCGACUGCUUGCUGCCACUUCUCCUUGCAUGGCCACCUUUGCAUGUCUUGCAUGGGAACUAAAUUCAACAAAACUCCUUCUGCCACUCGAAACAAUGACCAUUCCAAACAUUUUGAUAGACAAUACACAAUUUGCUUCACUACUUACUCACAUAGCCAAAAAAUAUCCAAUGAAACUGGCAAAGGGUUCUUCCAAAAUGGUACAUUAGCUGCCAAAAAGACAACCACCAUAUAUUCCUUCAUUCAGUAAACAGCUUCAAUAUGGAAAUAAGUUAUUAUCUUAAAAAUGCUUUUUCUACCACAGAAGAAUAAGAACUAGGCAUCUCAGAAAAUUUGCUAAAUUAAUGACUUUGCUCCCUUCAAAAUAAACAAAUGAUUAACUGCAUUAUCCCAAAGAGGUCACCAUCAACCUCCAGUUGAACUUUCAAGGAAUAAUAAUAAAAAAUAGAAGGAAAUAAGGGGGAAAAAACCCAACCAGAACUCAGUAAUAGCUGAGCCUUGAAGAUCUGUAGGUAGUAAGAGAAAAACCCCAUGACGACUAAAGUCCAGGCUUGAAAGAACCAAAAGGGAGCAACAUAUGACUAUGAUUCACUGGACCAAGAGAAUCACCAAUGAAUAAAGGAAAAAGGGUACUUUCCUUUAUACCUAAACAUACAAUAUUUAGCCUCAAAAUGGGAAAAUUUCAGGUUUUCACAAAGGGUUUAAGAAAGAGGGUGAAAGUUAAAGAACUUGUCUUUGUUUUGAUGUGUGGUACACGAGAUAGUGAAGGAAAAUAGAGGUGAGGAAAUAAGAUGGAGUAAGUGCCUAAGUGGUGAAAAAGGAGAGCCUAAAAGAGACAUUUUUGAAGGGUAGUUUAGAAGCUGCAGAGGCUUUGGCAUACAGCAGCUGAUAAUGAGAGAAGACAAACCAGAAAUGUAAGUACGACGACGAUAAAAAUUAAAAAAUUUUAAGAAUUAAUGAAAUAAAAUUUUGUAGCUUAGCGAAUUGGGACGAAGUCCACCAGUGUGAUGCCCAUAGAUCCAUACCUGGGAUUUUUCUAUUUGGGCUAACUUUCUAACUUCUCCCACCAGUCUUAAAACUUUGCAGAUUUUUUCAAUUUGAUCUGGAUUGUAUGAUAACAUAUCACUUUGAGAUUGGAAAAAAAAUUAUUUUUUUUAAAUUAGAGAAAAAAUAAAGAAACUAAAUUUCAAGCAUGCAAAGUACAAAAGAAAGAACUGUAUUAAUAAAAGAUGAGUUACUUCACUCAGAUUGGAGUACCCUUUAAACAAGUUUAUUCUUGUAGAGAAAGAAACUGGAUUUUGAUUUCAUUUGCUGUGGCAAAAUUUUUAAUUUCAACAACAGUAUAACAUAUUGAAAGCCUGCCUACAUCUCGGCAGAAAAAUUUACAAAUUCUUUCAUCAGACAAUUUAAAUGAUGCAAUGCAAAGAUUCAUCAAUGUAUGAUCUUUUUAUCAUAAAUGGCUGUUUUACUGGAAAACUUGAUAUGUACUGUCUUUCACAUUCUUUUGUGCUGAAUGGUCUCUGAAAACUGCAAUCAUCAACUAUAGAUAACCCAUUCCUCAGCGCCGCCAGAGCCGACCUUGUUGUUUCUGUUCUUGAACUUGCCUGUGUCAUCAAAGGCAGUGAGCAUUUAUCAAUGUUAUAAAAAUGGCAUAUCGAAGUCAGAUUUUACUUGACAAUACACAAAUGUAAGAAGAUAAUUCACCUUUGAUACUCUUUAGAACGCUCGAGAAACUCUUUCGCGAUGUCUUUUCUUUAAUAUGAUUGCAAUACUUGUCUGAUAUCAGCCGGACCAUUGUGUUAGUACAAAACUCCGGUAAGGAAAAAAACUCGAACACACGAUCGGAACUCGAAAAGAAAAAGAAGAAAUAGGACAGGCUCCAAGGCGUGUAUCAAGCCACUAUCUUUAAGGUUAUAUUCGCCCCCACUUAUCUUCAGUGUGCAAACGAGUUCCAAGCAAAUUAACCUCGAGGAUACAAUGAAGCCAAUGACUAUUUGCGUUUUGCACUGACGAGAAUAGUCCACUAUACACUAAGUAAUGUAUAACAAAAACUCAAUUUCUACAAAGGAUUUCUGCAGCAAUACUUUAUAGAAUAAUCUAAUAAUAUUAGAAAAUGAAGGAAGAGAAGAAAUAAUAUUAGAAUUUGUUGAUAUGAUUUCCAAAUGAAAUCCCAUUCCUAUUUAUAGGAAUUUUCAUGUCUCUUCAUAGAGACAUCUUUCAAUAGGUGUCUUUAUGAAUAAAUAAAUAAUAAUAAUUAUUCAUUUAAUUUUGUAACUAUUCAAAUAAUAUUUUUUGAAUAGUUAUAAUUCUUUUUUAAAAAAUCAAAUGAUAUAACUUUUGACCAAUGACCAAAAGUUUUAUCUUUUGAUUAAUUACACCCAUUCAUUUAUAGUUAUUGGGAUACUAUAAAUAUUUGAAAAUAUUCCAACAAUCUCCCCCCAUUUUCAAAAUAUUUAGAUUUUGAUAUUCUUGGAAAUCAAUUUGCAUAAAUAAAGGUGUCUUACGAUUGAACCUUCACUUAGUGAAAACAUGUUAAAGUUAAUCGAAAUUGUAUGGUAGACUAAGCUUUGAACCAACUAUUCCAUUUGAUUAAUUGAACACAUCUCACACAAUGAUUUCAACAUCAGUCAAUGCAUAGUAUCUAGGGACACUAUUAUAGCCAUGUGUCUAUGUCCUCUUUUCAUGAGUGCUGUCAGAGCCAAGCCCUUAAGCUCCUAGAAGCGGCCACACUUCCACUCACAUAGGUAGAUCCCAUCAAAAGUGUUCCCGUAAUUAUAACACUCUAACAUAUUUAUGUUAUGGGUCCAUUAAGAGUAAAUUACUCAUCCUUCCCUUAUCAUUACGGGUACCUAGCACUUUAAUCUUAGGAUGGAUUUAUUUAUAGUGCUAACAGUCACAUACUAAUGAUGUACUUUGUCUCAUUGAACUCAAGACUUGACGUUAUACCAAGCAUUGAGUCGAGUUUCCAUCAUGGGUGACUCUAAUUAAUAGGCUUGAGUCCCAUCCCUUUUGAGGUCCUUUUUACUGCAUCUCUAGCAAGACUUUUUGUCAAAGGAUCUGCCAAAUUUUCACUUGACCUCACAUAAUUAAUAGUGAUCACUCCAUCAGAGAUUAAUUGUCGGACAUAACUAUGUCUUAAUCCAAUGUGUCUAGACUUUCCAUUAUAUACUUGGCUAUAUGCCUUUGCUAGAGUAGCCUCACUAUCACAACGGAUAGAAAUAGGUGAAAUUGGCUUAAGCCAUAAACGUACAUCAUAAAGCAAAUUUCUUAACCAUUCUGCUUCUUUAGAUGCAGCGGCUAAUGCAAUAAAUUCUGCUGCCAUGGUGGAAUCAGUAAUACAUGUUUGUUUCUUGGAACCCUAAGAAAUGACUCCUCCACCAAGAAUGAAGAUCCACCCACUAGUAGAUGCAUGAUCUUCCAAACUUGUAAUCCAACUAGCAUCCGAAUACCCUUCUAAAACUGGAGGAUAUCCAUUAUAACACAAUCCAUAGUUAAUAGUUUUCUUUAAGUACCUAAGUACUCUAUUUAAAGCUUGCCAAUGCAAACUACUUGGAUUAUUUGUGUAUCUACUCAAUUUUCCAAUAGCAUAUGCAAUAUCUGGUCUUGUACAAGUCAUUAUGUACAUAAGAAAACCAAUUGACUUGCAUAUUUCAAUUGAUCAAUUUUCCUACCAGCAUUAGAUACUAAUUUUAAUUGAGGAUCCAUGGGUGUAGAUACUGGUAUACAGUUGAAAAUAUCAAACUUUUUAAGCACAUUUUCAAUGUAAUGUGAUUGUGAUAAAGCUAUAGUGCUUUCAUCUCGGGUUAUUUUAAUCCCAAGAAUAACAUCUUCUACACCCAUAUCCUUCAUAGCAAAGUUGUUUGACAAGAAUUUCUUUGUGUUUUCUAUUUGUUCCAAAUCCGUGCCAAAAAUGAGCAUGUCAUCUACAUAUAAGCAAAUUAUAACACCCUUUCCAUUAUCAAAUUUACUAUAUAUGCACUUAUCGGAUUCAUUUAUUUAUAGCCAUUAGCUAAAACAACCUUGUCAAACUUUUGGUGCCAUUGUUUUGGUGCUUGUUUAAGCCCAUAUAAAGAUUUAACAAGCUUACAUACCUUAUGCUCUUGUCCUGGAACAACAAAUCCUUCCGGUUGCUCCAUGUACACUUCCUCUUCCAAUUCACCAUUUAAAAAUGCAGUUUUAACAUCCAUUUGGUGAACAACCAAAUUAUAUAUAGAGGUAAGUGAUAUUAAUAGUCUAAUUGUAGCAAUUCUUGCUACUGGAGCAUAGGUAUCAAAGUAAUCAAUACCUUGUCUUUGUGUAAAACCUUUUGCUACCAACCUUGCUUUAAAUUUAUCAAUGGUUCCAUCGACCUUCAUUUUCUUUUUGAAGAUCCAUUUACAACCUAUUGGUUUGGAACCUGGUGGAAGAUCAACUAAGAUCCAAGUUUGAUUUCCCAUUAUUGAAUCCAUUUCAUCAUUUAUUGCUUCUUUCCAAAAAGUAGAGUCUUGAGAUUUCACUGCUUCUUCAAAUGUAACAGGAUCAGAUUCGGUAUUAUAACAAUAAGGUAUCUUAUUGCAUAUACUUUCACCUUUUCCUUCUAUAAGAAACAUAAUGAAAUCUGGUCAAAAAUCUUUGACCUUUUUAAUCCUCUUACUUCUUCUUAAUUCUUGACAAGAUUCAUCAUUAUUAUCAAUUUGUUUCAAUGGAAUCUCAUUCUCAUUUGAAGAAUGAAUCAAUUGUUGUGGUUGUAAUUGUCUUGAUAUAGAAUUAAAUCUAUUUUCAUCAAAAAUAGCAUCUCUUGAUUCAAUAACCGUAUUAAUUGAAAUUGAAUCAUUUGGUUCAAUUACUAUGAACCUAUAUGCCUUGCUAUUAUGUGCAUAACCUAUAAAUAUGCAUUCAAUUCCUCUUUCACCUAACUUUUUACGUUUAGGUGUUGGAACUUUUACAAUAGCUCUACAACCCCAAACCUUUAAAUAAUUAAGGUUUGGUUUCCUUUUCUUCCAUUGUUCAUAGAGGGUUAUUUUAGUUUCCUUAUUAGGAACUCUAUUCAAUAUAUGACAAGCUGUUAGAACAGCUUCUCCCCAAAAACCCUGUCCAAGACCUGAAUAUGAUAACAUUGAAUUUACCAUUUCAAUCAAGACUCUAUUUUUCCUUUCAGCUACACCAUUUUGUUGUGGUGUGUAAGGGGCUGAAACUUGAUGGACAAUUCCAGUGAGUUCAAAAUAACUUGGAUUAUAGUAUUCUCCACCUCUAUCCGAUCUUAAGCACUUGAUAAAUGAUUCACACUGAAGUUCAACUUCAGAUUUAUAAACUUUAAAUUUAUCAAGCGCUUCAUCUUUUGAAUGCAAUAAAUAUACAUAACAAUAUCUAGAACAAUCAUCAAUAAAAGUAACAAAAUAUUUCUUUCCACCUAAUGUAGGAGUAUUAUGCAAGUCACAUAAAUCACUAUGUAUCAAAUCAAGCAAUUUUGUUUUCCUUUUAACCUUAGGGAAAGGAUUUCUUGUAAUUUUAGUCAACAUACAGGUAUUGCAUUUUUCAAUAUUAUUAUUAAAAACAGGAAUUAAAUCUAAUUUAUACAUGUCAUUCAAUUUUCUAUAAUUCAAAUGACCUAAUCUAUAAUGCCACAAACAAAAUGAUUCAACCAUAUAAGCAGAAAUAGUAUUUUUAUUCUUAUUAAUAAUAUUAAGUUUGAACAUGCUUUCAUACAUAUACCCUUUUUCCCACAAAAAUUCCUCCCUUAGACAAAAUAAACUUAUCUGCCUCAAAAACAAGUUUGAAACCAAACUUAUUCAACAGACUUCCAGACACUAAAUUUUUCCUAACUUCUGGUACAUAAUAUACAUCAUUUAAGGUUAAAACCUUUCCAGAAGUGAAUUGUAGUUCAACAGACCCUUUGCCUUUAAUUUGCGGUGGAAGAAUUUCCCAUGUACAAGACAUUGUCAUUUUCACAUUGUGUGACUUUGUGAACAUGCUUUUGUCUUUGCACACAUGUUUGGUUGCUCCGGUAUCAAUCCACCAUGUAUUAUCAUCUUGUACCAUAUUAAUUUCAGAUAUCAUUGCAACGAACUUUUCGUUAUUAUCAGCCUUAGAAGAUGAUUUCUUCUUUAAAAAUCGAUAUUCAUUCUUGAAAUGUCCCGGCUUUCCACAAUGAUAGCAUGAGCCCUUUUGUUUCUUUUUGAACUUAGGUGCUCUAUCAGCCUGAUUGAACUUUCUUUUGAAUGGUUUAGUAGUCUGUACUUCCUCCGUAACAUGUACUUUGGCAUUUUCAGAAUUUAGGUUCUGAUCUUGUUGUCGAUACUCUUCUUCAAUACGAAGAUGAUUUGCCAAAGCCUCAAGAGAUAUUUCCUCUUUCUUAUGUUUUAGACUUCUUUUAAAGUCUUUCCAAGAUGGAGGAAGUUUGUCUAUUAUAGAGGAUACCACAAUUAUUUCAUCCAUUUUCAUAUCAUAUUGCUUAAAUUGAUUCAACAUCUUUUCAAUAUCACGAAAUUGUUCCAUAACAGAACGACCAUCAACCAUUUGAUAAUUAUUGAAACGACUGACAAGAAAUUUCUUACUUGUAACAUCUUCGGUCAUGUAUCUUGCCUCCAAUUUGUCCCAUAAAUCUUUAGCGGUGACGUCGUUUUGGUAGGUGUCGAACAAACCAUCAGAUAAACCAUUCAAUAUGUGGCCCAUGCACAUGUAAUCAGCAUUGUCCCAUUUUUGUCUUUCUCGGGUUGCAGCAAUAGAUUCGUUUUCAUUCUCUUCAGGUCUUGGAGUAUCCAAAACAUAAGCAAUCUUCAAAGUUGAUAACAAAAAGUGCAUCUUUUUCUGCCAUCGUCGAAAAUUGCCACCAUCAAAACGAUCAAGUUUAACAAAGUUGGAAGCCAACUCCCUUAGUGUUCCACUUUCAUGUGUUGUGGUAGUCAUCAUGAAAUAUAACCUUAAAAUUGUUAGUACAAAACUCCGGUAAGGAAAAAAACUCGAACACACGAUCGGAACUCGAAAAGAAAAAGAAGAAAUAGGACAGGCUCCAAGGCAUGUAUCAAGCCACUAUCUUUAAGGUUAUAUUCGCCCCCACUUAUCUUCAGUGUGCAAACGAGUUCCAAGCAAAUUAACCUCGAGGAUACAAUGAAGCCAAUGACUAUUUGCGUUUUGUACUGACGAGAAUAGUCCACUAUGCACUGAGUAAUGUAUAACAAAAACUCAAUUUCUACAAAGGAUUUCUGCAGCAAUACUUUAUAGAAUAAUCUAAUAAUAUUAGAAAAUGAAGGAAGAGAAGAAAUAGUAUUAGAAUUUGUUGAUAUGAUUUCCAAAUGAAAUCCCAUUCCUAUUUAUAGGAAUUUUCAUGUCUCUUCAUAGAGACAUCUUUCAAUAGGUGUCUUUAUGAAUAAAUAAAUAAUAAUAAUUAUUCAUUUAAUUUUGUAACUAUUCAAAUAAUAUUUUUUGAAUAGUUAUAAUUCUUUUUUAAAAAAUCAAAUGAUAUAACUUUUGACCAAUGACCAAAAGUUUUAUCUUUUGAUUAAUUACACCCAUUCAUUUAUAGUUAUUGGGAUACUAUAAAUAUUUGAAAAUAUUCCAACACAUUGCGGGCUACAUCUGUGAACAAAUCAAAACAAAUGGUACUAUAAUCAACAAAUGAAUAUAGGAAACAUAAAAUUUGAACAAAGGCGAUGUGCAGAGGAAAAAGCAACAACAUAAGACUUACAUUCAAGAAAUGGAAUAAGGUCUAAAAGUGCGGUAUCAUCAGUCUCGACCUUAUAUGGCUUAAUAUGGACACAAUUUUCUGGUUGAAGGCUAGAAUCAAAUGCAUGAGCACUCACAUAUAAAAUCUUGGUUGGAUCCCUGUUUAGCUUUGAAAGAUCCUGCCAACAGGAACUAUUUGUUAACAAUAAGGCUUCUUUUUAAGUAGCAGCUUGUAAAGGCACUGUCUCAUAUAUUAAUUCACAUAGUAUUGUAGAAACUAAGGAGGAGAAAACCAAAAGCAAAAUGUUUUGAAGGGAAGAGAUUGACUAUGACAUGGUAAAAGUAUCAUGGAGGCCCCUAUGUUAGGAGUUAGAUUGCCUUUUGCCCCCUUUACUCAAAAACUGGAUAAAUUAGUCCCUAUAUGUUAGAUUAAAGAGUAAGCUAGACUUUCUGUUAAAAAUUUCAUCCAUUGCUACUGUUAAAAACUGGUGCAGUUGAUAAAAUAACCAAACAGUUACACAUAAUGUGUCACGUGUACCUCAUGCUAAUGUAUAUGGACCAAUUUUUAACAGUAGAAAUGGAUGGAACUUGUAACAGAAGGGCUGGUUUGCUUUUUAAUCUAAUUUACAGGGAUUAAUUUGCCCAUUUUUUUAGUAAAGGGGUGAAAUGCAAUAUGACUCCUAGUAUAAGGGCCUCCAUGGUACUUUUACCACUAUGACAUACUCUAUAAUGCUUGCCAUCCUGAUAUUUAGUAGCACCCCUUGAUAGCCUAUAUCGUAUACAAUGGUUAGUGUCCAACCUUUCACAAGCAGGAUCAACAUACCGCAUAGCCAAAAACAAAAUAAUUAUGAACUUGCAGGCAACAUCAGUUAUAGUAUAUCUGAAAAAGAUAAGGAAAAAAAACUGUUACUUUCAUAUCUAAUUUCUUUAUAGUAUUAGGACAAACUAAACAAUGGAUAUAUCACAUUAUUAAGACUUAGCUAAGGAGCCGCUGAUAUACAUUCAAAUGAUCAAUCAUAAAGGAUGAACUAGGAGGCCUAAUGAUAAAUCAAAAUUACACCUAAACCAGUUAUAUGUCUAAAGGCAAUUGCACAUUAUAUCAAUCAAACAACUAAAAUAAAUAGAGAAAAUCCUUUAAAAUAUUCAAUUUCUAAACAAAAUCAAACUCACAUCAAUAGCAGAUCUUGACAAAGAAACCCAAAAUCACAAAUGAUCCUAUCUUUUUAAAAGGGGAAAAAGAAAACUUACUAUAAGAGAGAUAACCAGCAUAGCCAGUAGUUCCAGUAACACCUGCAAUGAGUCCGUACUUGACAAAGCUCUAAAUUUUCCCUCCCGAAACCUGUGGGGCAACUUUCGGCGCCAGAGGAGGAGGUGUCGACUGAUCGGAGAGAAUGGAUUGUGAAGAACAAUCCAAACUUAAUUUACAAGCAAUGUGGAAAUUUUGGACGUUGCAGUAUUGACUACGUUUACUUGAGGGAAAACAAAGACAUGAAUGCUGGAAAUUUUAACUAGUUUGUACGGUCAAUGAAGCUACCUCGAAUGUUAAAUAUGUUACUCUGCAAUGCCAUUGUAAAUAUGACUGUUAAAUUUGUUGAUAGCGGAAUUGUUCCACUCAAGUUAUUGUGGGACAAAUCAAGAAUUUGAAGAAAAGUGACAUUGCAUGUUAAACAAGAGACCUCUCCAUUGAAACUAUUAUUUGAGAUCAGAAAGACAUUGAUUGUCGAAGCUGGAAUCGGAAGAUUUCCACGGAUCAAAUAGGAGCUUAAGUCAAGAACUACAAUAUUCUUCCAUGGAAAGUGCAAAACUUCUGUCAAAGAGUUGCUGUAAUUGGAUUAAUCUCAUCGUUGCUGCAAUCUUUUGACAAAUCGAAUCUUAAAUAUGUUACUCUGCAACGCUAUUGUAAAUGUUACUCUUAAAUAUUACUCUGUAACUAGAUUGAUGGCUCAAUCUUGUUUUUAACAUUGUUAUGGGUAUUACUACUUUCAUGCUUUGAUACGCGAUACCCUCUUUCUAGGUGACAUUUUUGCUCCUUCCGGGCCACCAUGGGCUCUCUGCAUCACUCACCAACCUCAUUAGAUUCCCCGGGUGCCAUUUGGCCAUCUCAAGUCUCAAAAUAGCAUCAAAAUGCACUCUAAUAAUUUAUUAAUAUAAAGAACUAAAACAAAAUAAAAACACAACAAAGAUAUCUAAAUUGCACGAAAAUAAGCUUUUAAGUGUGAUGGAGAGUCUAAUUUGACAUAUCAAUUAAUGUUUGACUAUCUCCAUCUCACUUUUUAUUAAUUAAGGAAUAUGAAUUAGAAUUAAUAUAAACUUACUAUUUUAACAUUUCAUAAGCAAAAGCUAAAAUAAUAUUGGUCACAUCCCAUAUCUUCAUAUAUAGCUUAUCAGACAAAAGUUAAAACAGCCUUCAGUUCAUCUACAUUCUACAUUCCACGUCGAAUCUGCAAGCAUCAAAUAUUAACCUUUGAACUCCAAAAUAACAACACCAAUUUCCAGCAAUUGCAGAAGAAUGUCCAAUAAUUCCACACAAAUUAACAACAAUUUGCCAGCAUCCACUACAUUCGUAUGAAUUCCACACAAAUUAAGACUGGAAACUCUAACUUGUUCAUACCCUCAAUGAAGCUACCUAAAAGUUAUGAAUUCCACUGCAAAUUUUGUAUUGCUUGGAAUGAAUUGACUGUAAUUUCCUAUUACUUGCCACAAAAUUUUCUUUUACUGCUAACUUGUAAAAAAAUUAUGAAAAUACAACAGAGAUCAUUGAGACAUUUUGUUCUCCUUUCUCCUUUACUGAGCAGUAGCAAAGAUUAUCGAGACUAAAUUGAAAGUCAUGAAAGAAGACAUAAACAACACCACCAUACAAAAUGUUACACUCAAACAAACCAUUACAGAUAGUACGAAAUGCAAUGAAAGACACAGGAAUUGGUACAACAAUAAAGACAGACACAUACCAAUGCAACCCUUCACCAUAGGCAAAACGGUCUACAGAAUAAGAAAUUAUGAAAAUACAACACUAAUUCUUGAACAUCAUUUCCAGUAAUUAGAUCCUUCUUCGUCUAUUGCUUCGAUUGCCUUUCUUUGACUUUCUUCUUCGCCUCAUCUCUUGUUGGUUUUCAACCAAAUUCACCAACCAUUUCGGCUUACCAAUUUGGAAAACAACAUAUCCCACGGACAUUCCGAACACCACUCUGCAUCCAUAACCUAUCAACACCACUUUCCAACCAAAAGCAAUGUUUGAUUUUGAGCCAUCUUUUUCAAGCGCAUUUGGAGGUGCUGGCUCAAUGAUGUUGCAACCUUUCGAGACCGGAAACCCACACAGUCCAUUAUUCCCUUCAUAUGAAUCAUUUCCAAAUGUGUUGAAUUGUUUUCCUUGAGGAAUCUGACCAUGGAGUUGAUUUUCAGCGACAUUGAAGGACGAAAGAAAUGGCAGAUCUGCCAAUCUAUUUGGAAUCGUCCCAGACAACCUGUUUGAAGAUAGGUCCAACCAUUCAAUACUUGUCAAAUUCCCUAUUGAUGUGGGAUACCACCAUUAAGGUUAUUAUGAGAAAGGUUGAGCCCUUUCAGUAAGUUAAGCUUCCCAAAAACCUUUGGAAUACCCCCUUCAAACUGAUUGUUUGAUAGAUCAAUGAUCAUCCACAUGGUGAAAAUUUUCACCAAUUCCAUAUAUUGUCCUUUCAUAACAGUUCCGAUGGAAUAGGUAUAGAAGCCAUUACCUCUCGGAACAUACAUCCCCAUGUACGACAUUGUACUCCCAAUCUUCUCUAGAUUUAUGAUACCCUUGAAGCUGUUGAUGUAUCUCACUGGUAGGGGUCCAGAAAAAUAAUUACUUGAGAGAAAAAAAAUUUGGAUUUUAGAGAAAAAAGGGCUAGACUUGGAGCUAUUGUCACAUAAGGAACCAUGCAUAUGAUUUGACUUCAAUACAAGAACUUGUAGCUGUGGAAGACUUCCCAACCAAUGAGGAAAUGUAUCAUUGAUCUUGUUCUUCUUCAGAUUCAAGAAUUGAAGGCUGUAGCUCAAAUUUUCAAAACAUUGCGGAAUUGUUCCGCUCAAGUUAUUGUGGGACAAAUCACGAAUUUGAAGAAAAGUGACAUUGCAUAUUAAAGAAGAGACCUCUCCAUUGAAACUAUUAUUUGAGAUCAGAAAGACAUUGAUCGUCGAAGCUGGAAUGGGAAGAUUUCCACGGAUCAAAUUGGAGCUUAAGUCAAGAACUGCAAUAUUCUUCCAUGGAAAGUGCUCAACUUCUGUCAAAGAGUUGUGAGAUACAUUUAAGUCAAAGAGCCAUUGCCCACCUCUUGCAUCCACUGUGGAAUCUUGCCUUCAAUUUUGUUGCAAGAGAGGUCCAAGCUUUCCAAACUUUUAAGCCCUUAUAAAAACUGGGGGAAUUCACUAAGAUUGAAAGAUGACAAACGUAAGUCUAUAAGAUUAGACAAUAUAUGGUUAACACAAGAAGUAGUAUUAAAUGUUAAGGAUAGGCUGUUAUAUGAAAGGUCGAGAAGUUUUAGAGUUGGAAGGUUUGAGAACAUGCGAAACUCUAUGACACCACUAAGAUUAUUUGAGGAUAAAAGGAGGUGGGUAAGAUUGAGAAGUUGGAAUAUUGAAGAUGGAAGAGGACCUUGGAGUUUAUUAUUGUUUAACCUUAUCAAUUCUAGUGUUUUGGAUUGGAAUUCUUUGAUAUGCCCACUGAAUUGUUUUUAGAGAGAUCUAUUGUUUAACCACGUUAUUUUUCAGUGACGGAUCGAGAAAUAAAACUUAGGGGGAGCAGGGGCGAAGUUAGAAAAUUAGUUUGGGGUAAUCGAAAUUAAAUUAUAUAUUUUUAUGAUAGUAAAAAUAGAAUUUCGUCAUUUUAAUAGCCUAUAUCUUUAUAAUUUUUAGAGGAUUAAAUUAAUUUUUUAUCAUUUGAGGGGGGCAAAGUGCAAUUUUACCGUUAUUAAUUUAAAAUUUUAUAAAUUAUAAAUGGCCUAAAUUUUAAAAAAAAAAUCAUUUUAGGGGGUUGAGACCCUGUCAGCCCUCUCCCUAGACCCACCCCUAGUCUUUUUGAUACAAUUUGGCAGUUUAAGUACUUAAUUAGUGCAAAAAAAAAAAAACUAGGGGCUCAAUAGCUUUUUUUUGAAAAAGUUUGAGAGCCUUUUUGAUCCAUUUUGGCAGUUCAAAUGCCCAAUUCAGUGCAAGAAAAGAAGUAGGGGCUUAAUUAUUUUUUUUUAAAAAAAGUUUGAGAGCCUUUUUACACCAUUGAACCUUUUUUAUACUAAUUGGUAGACGCGAAGUUAUAAAUAUUUAAUUGUUAAUGUAAUUUUUAGAAUUUCUAAAGAAUAAUAAUAUUUAAAAUCUUAUAAUUUUUUUUAUUUCAUGUGCAUAAAAAACUUAAAUAAAUAAGUGUUUAGAUUUAGAUUAAUCACGCUGUCCAUUUAUUCAUAUUCAUUCUAGAGGUAUAACUUUUAGUUAUUUUAUAUGUUUUUAUAAUUAAAAAUAAUGGUAUAAAAGUCGAUUAAGUUUUAGCUCAAUUGACAUAGACAUUGUUGUUGAGGAGGACCUAUUGGUAGUUCUAGGCAUUGUGUCAAAAUGAACUAUAUUUGAUAAGAACCUAUAAUGAAAUUAAUGUUAAAAAAAUAAUAGUAUAAAAAGCUAAUAUUUUUAUAAAAGUUUCAUUUUUUUUUCAGUUUUUGGAUUUUUCUCAUAUAAAAUUUUAGAAUUGUUUCUUGAAUUUUUAUAGCUUUUCUUAUUAUGAUGUUAUAUAAUUUUAGAUUUUUAUACAUCUUUAAUAUUUUUUUAGUUUUUUAUUGUUUCUCAAAUAAUGCUUGGUUGAUGUAGCUUGCCAAGUGGUAUCGUGUUAUUGGCUGUCAAUUUCAAUAAUAAAAAAAUUUGGAGUUGAUUAGUUAUGAACUAACUCGAUUAAUCAAUUCUAAAUUUAAGUACUAAUUAAGUCCAAAAAAAGUUCAAAUUUCAAUUCAUGCAAGUUGGAUGGCAAUGAAACGGGAUUGGGGUGCGAAUAUUGUCAAAUUCACUAUUGUUUCAUAGUUGAUGUGUUUUGUCCCAUCACUCACCCCCGCUCCACUAUGGAUGUUUAAUUUUGAAAACCACUCACCCCAUGGAUGUUGGAUGCAUCCAUCCCUGCUUCACGUCGUGCCAUUUCAAUUUAAUUUUUAUUAGUUUUUUUAAAAAUAUUUUCAAUUUUUUUUUAAUUUUAAAAUAUUUUCAAUCUUUUUAAAACUUAUAAAUAUUUAAACAUAAUUAUUCAAGAAAAACAUUUAAACAUAAAACAUAUGAGUUUUUUAUAACAUAUUUUUACCCUUUAAUAGUUAUAAAUAUACAAGGGUCGAAUAGUAAUUUCAAAUAGUGAAAUAGAGUGGAUUGGGACAAACAAUUACCAUAACUGCUACACUUAAUCAUCGUAAAAAAAAAAAAAAAAAAUCUAUUUCAUCCCCGCCCAUAUUCCCUUUUAAAAGGAUCUACUCUAAAUGAAACAAACCAAUUCAAAAUCCAUUUAACAUCCUAAAUUCUAAAACUAAUUUUGAUAUGAAGUCUCAAUUAAAUUCAAGUAAUAAGGUUUUUUGAUAUGGUUUACACUACUAACUUCUAUAUGAAAACAACAACCAUUUCCCAUGAUGUUUGCGGCUUACCAACAAAUCCUUGCAGAUUUUCAACGUAGAAGAAAAUCAUGAAAAUAAAAAAAAAAAAAAAAAAAAAACUCUGGUUGGGAUUUGUUUCAUAUGGAAAACAGAAAACAAAACUUAAGUUAGUCAAAAUUACCAACUCACUGCUGACAACAUUUUUGUUGUAACCAAACAUUUGGAAGAAAAUAAACACAAGAGCACGCCGUUGACCUGUAUUUCUUUUAUUCUUCAAUUCUAUUUCAUCUUUAAGCUGUAACCAAUGAUAAUCAAAUCUUGACUUGCAUAAAAACCAAAGAAAACAAAAUGAAUGCAGCAGAAUUUUCUACCACAAAUGAGUAGUAAUUUACAGAUAAUAAAAUUAUCGAAAAACUAUUGAGAGUCGAAUUUCAUAUUAAUUGUGGUAUCCAUGAACUAGAAUGUAUUAAAAAAAGAAGGAUAUUGACCUUGAGACUACUUGCAAUUUUCAAAAACACUCUCAAUUCCUCUCCCCCUCUUCGGGCACCGGCCCAAGAUCCUGCCAUUGGCUACCACGCCGGCCGCUAGUCGCCAGCGCCGGCGCCGUGCAUGGAGGAGGAGAGUCCAAAAAUAUCCUUUUUUUUUUCUCACAUGCAGAUCCUCGGCCUCCAAACACUCCGACGACGGCUACAAAGGUAAAAAGGCCUCUCAUUUUUUAUUUUUAUAAUGCUUCAAAAUAAAAAAAUAAAAAAAAGGGAAAAAAUCACCUUUAAAAAAAACUGAUUCCUGUUUUUUAUUUCUCUUUGUUUUUUUUUUUCCAAAAGAGAACUCCCUUAAUUUUUCAUCUUUUUUAGCCCUUAAACCUACGUUGUUUAUCAAUAACCUUAAACUUACAUUGUUUACCGGAUGAAAAAUUUAAUAUUUAUUAACUUUGCUAAGGUGCACAUAUGCAAUUUAUUUAAAUCUAAAAACUAUAAAAUAUCUUAAAAUUAAAACUAAAAGUUUUUAAACUACUUGAUUGCUCCUUUCUCCUUUACUGAGCAGUAGCAAAGAUAAUCGAGACUAAAUUGAAAUCCAUGAAAGAAGACAUAAAACACCUCCAUACAAAGUGUCACACUCAAACAAACCAUUACAGAUAGUACGAAAUGCAAUGAAAGACAGAGGAAUUGCUACAAUAACAAAGACAGACACAUACCAAUGCAACCCUUCACCAUAGGCAAAACAAGAAAUUAUGAAAAUACAACACUAGUUCUUGAACAUCAUUUGCAGUAAUUAGAUCCUUCUUCGUCCACUGCUGCGAUUGCCUUUCUUUGACUUUCUUCUUCGCCUCUUCUCAUGUUGGUUUUCAACCAAAUUCACCAACCAUUUCGGCUUUCCAGUUUGGAAAACAACAUAUCCCACCAGCAUUCCGAACACUACUCCGCAUCCAUAACCUAUCAACACCACUUUCCAUUCAAAAGCAAUGUUUGAUUUUGAGCCAUCUUUUUCAAGCACAUUUGGAGGUGCUGGCUCAAUGAUGUUGCAACCUUUCGAGACCGGAAAUCCACAUAGUCCCUUAUUUCCUUCAUAUGAAUCAUUUCCAAAUGUGUUGAAUUGUUUUCCUUGAGGAAUCUGACCAUGGAGUUGAUUUUCAGAAACAUUUAAGGACGAAAGAAAUGACAGAUCUGCCAAUCUAUUUGGAAUCGUCCCAGACAACCUGUUUGAAGAUAGGUCCAACCAUUCAAGACUUGUCAAACUCCCUAUUGAGGAGGGGAUAUCACCAUUAAGGUUAUUAUGAGAAAGGUUGAGCCCUUUCAGUAAGUUAAGCUUCCCAAUAACCUUUGGAAUACCCCCUUCAGACUGAUUGUUUGAUAGAUCAAUGAUCAUCCACAUGGUGAAAAUUUUCACCAAUUCCCUAUCUUGUCCUUUCAUGACAAUUCCAAUGGAAUAGGUAUAGAAGCCACUACCUCGAGAAUCAUUCACCCCCAUGUACGACACCGUACUACCAAUCUUUUCUAGAUUUAUGAUAGCCUUGAAGCUGUUGAUGUAUCUCACUGGUAGGGGUCCAGAAAAAUAAUUACUUGAGAGGUCAAAAAUUUGGAUUUUAGAGAAAAAAGGGCUAGACUUGGAGCUAUUGACACGCAAGGAACCAUGCAUAUGAUUUGACUUCAAAACAAGAACUUGCAAAAAUGGAAGACUUCCCAACCAAUGAGGAAAUGUAUCAUUGAUCUUGUUGUUACCAAGAUCUAGCACUUCCAGACCAUUACAAUUAAGGAUGGAUGGUGUCAAAGGCCCUUCUAACAGAUUUCCAUUUAAGUUGAAAUUAGUCAGUUGGCAUCCCUUUGCAAAUGUUAGAGGAAUCGUCCCAUAGAACUCGUUCUUCUUCAGAUUGAAGACUUGAAGGAUGUUGCUCAGAUUUCCAAAACAUUGCGGAAUUGUUCCACUCAAGUAAUUGUGGGACAAAUCAAGAAUUUGAAGAUAAGUGGCAUUGCAUAUUAAAGAAGAGACCUCUCCAUUGAAACUGUUAUUUGAGAUCAAAAAGACAUUGAUGGUCGAAGCUGGAAUCGGAAGAUUUCCACGGAUCAAAUUGGAGCUUAAGUCAAGAAAUUCAAUAUUCUUCCAUGGAAAGUGCUCAACUUCUGUCAAAGAGUUGUGAGAUACGUUUAAGUAAGUCAAAGAGUCAUUCCCCACCUCUUGCAUCCACUGUGGAAUCUUGCCUUCAAUUUUGUUGCAAGAGAGGUCUAACCUUUCCAAACUUUUAAGCCCUUUUAAAAACUGGGGGAAUUCACUAAGAUUGCAAGAUGACAAAAAUAAGCUUCUAAGAUUAACAGUAGAUGUAGUAUUAGAUGUUAAGUAUAGGCUGUUAAAUGAAAGGUCGAGAUAUUUUAGAUUUGGAAGGUUUGAGAACAUACGUAACUCUAUGACACCACUUAGAUUAUUUGAGGAUAAAACGAGCAAGGUAAGAUUGAGAAGUUGGAAUAUUGAAGAUGGAAAAGGACCUUGGAGUUUAUUAUUGUUUAGAUAUAAAUGUUCUAGUGAUUUGGAUUGGAAUUCUUGGAUAUGCCCACUGAAUUGAUUUUGAGAGAGAAUUAUAACCUUUAAGGAGGGAGCAGUAUACAACCAUGACGGAAGUGUUCCAUUGAGUAAAUUGUCAGAUAAGCCUAAAUAUAUUAGAUUAGGAAAAGUGGUUACCUCAUCUGGAAUGGAUCCUUCUAAAGAAUUUUCAGAUAUUCCCAAGUAUUCCAGCUGGGUUAGGUUUAGAAUUGACAAUGGAAUUUGUCCACUCAAUUGGUUCUGCGACAAGUCUAAAUGAGUGAGUUGCAAGAGGUUCCCCAAUGAUAUUGGAAUUUGUCCACUCAAUUGGUUCUGCCACAAGUUUAAAUCAGUGAGUUGCAAGAGGUUCCCCAAUGAUCUUGGAAUUUGUCCACUCAAUUGGUUCUGCCACAAGUCUAAAUCAGUGAGUUGCAAGAGGUUGCCCAAUGAUCUUGGAAUUUGUCCACUCAAUUGGUUCUGCCACAAGCCUAAAUUAGUGAGUUGCAAGAGGUUCCCCAAUGAUCUUGGAAUUUUUUCACUCAAUUGGUUCUGCCACAAGCCUAAAUGAGUGACUUGCAAGAGGUUCCCCAAUGAUCUUGGAAUUUUUCCACUCAAUUGGUUCUGCCACAAACCUAAAUCAGUGAGUUGCAAGAGAUUCCCCAAUGAUCUUGGAAUAUUUCCACUCAAUUGGUUCUGCCACAAGCCUAAAUGAGUGAGUUGCAAGAGGUUCCCCAAUGAUCUGCCACAAGCCUAAAUGAGUGAGUUGCAAGAGUUUCCCCAAUGAUCUUGGAAUUUGUCCACUCAAUUGGUUCUCACACAAGUCUAAAUAAGUGAGUUGCAAGAGGUUCUCCAAUGAUCUUGGAAUUUGUCCACUCAAUAGGUUCUGUGACAAGUCUAAAUAAGCGAGUUGCAAGAGGUUCCCCAGUGAUCUUGGACCCGGUCCUGAUAAGUUGGAAUGGGAGAGAUCUAAAACCUUCAAGGACACAAGAUUCCCCAUCCAGUCAGGCAAUCCUCCAAAAAAAUUUGCGCCUCCAAGAAUCAACUACUCCAAAGAUGAUAAAUUUGUGAAUGAGACAGACAAUCCUUGAAAGAAGGAAUUUCCUGAGAGAUCUAAGUACUUUAAGGCCUGUAGAUUAUCAACUGAAUCAAUGAAUUCUGUAGAGAAGGACACGAACGACAGAUCCAAAUGUUCAAGAUUGCUGCUCCGAUUGAACUUCAAAGGAUCAAGAUUGAGGUUUUGGUUGCCUCCCAAGUUGAGGAGAUUGAGGUUUGGCAAAUCAAAAAUGUUUUUUGGGAAUUUUCCUUGCAAAUCACAAAAAGCAAGACUGAGAGACCUUAGAGAAGAGGAUAGAUUCAUGAAGACAUGAGCAUUAACAGAAGACAUGUCCAUUCCAUCCAAAAACAGAUGUCUGACCUCGGUUAGGUUGUGAACAAGUCCCUCCAGAGCAUGUUUGUCAAUUGUUUGUGCAUCACCCCAACAGGAGAGAUCAAGUGAAACCAAUUUUGACAGGUGGGAGACUUGGGAUGGGACUUCUCCUGCAAACCCUGUAUUGGAAAGGUUGAGGUAGAAUAGGCUUGUAAACCGACCUAAGUCGGAUGGAAUUUUGGAAAGAUUAAAAUCAUUGAAGGCAAGGUUGAGUUUUUGAAGGUGAGGAAGAAGGAAGAGAGUGGUAUUGGAAGGGAAGUUGCCAGAUAGCCAACUGCAGCUCAAGUCAAGGGCAAUAACAUGAGCAUUUAGGUGGUCACAAGUGACCCCAUCCCAUGAGCAGCAAUCUGUACCCUCCUUCCAUGAAUUUGUCUUGGGAUAAGAUUUAGGGCCGCAAGACGAAUAAGCAGCCUCUGUUAUGGAAAAAGAGUUCUUGAACUGGAUUAGUAAAGAGCAGGAGUGAGAUCCUGAAGAAGAAAAAGAAGCAUAAAGAUGGGGAAAGAAGAGGAAUAG